This 490342-nucleotide long non-coding RNA is filed under the name Hordeum vulgare. RNAcentral's name for it is "long non-coding RNA (HVUL_LNC019127)". Lineage: Eukaryota; Viridiplantae; Streptophyta; Magnoliopsida; Poales; Poaceae. The record is from RNAcentral.
UGAGUCUCCUCCUCCCACUACCACUAGGUUCAACACCAAGCCUUGGUGAGUUGUUGUUCCUGCUCAGGAGACAAGACAUACAUCUUCGGCACAAGCCUCAACACCUUCAGAACCAGCUCCAGCUCCAGCUCAAGAUCCUUCAGUAUCAACUCCUCCAUCUCCAGGGCGUUCAGCAGAAGCCUUCACAGACGCUGUUCUAUCGACUCCAUCAUCAGCUACUCAGAGAGACGAGUAGUUCUAUACUUUUGAACUUUUUGGUAACUUGUUGCCAAAGGGGGAGAAAGGUAUAGAUCAUAGACUUCGUGUGAGAGAGAGCUUUUGACUUUAUUUACUCUCGUUUGGUUUUAAAAACUUUGGUUUUCGGACGACUUCAUCCUAUCUGUGUGAUUGAUCAUACACUUUAUCCUGUGUGAUGCUACGAUAUCAUCUUUUAGCUAUCCUUGUGAUGGUCACUCACUUAUCUUGUUGGUGUCAUGUGCAUUGCUAUUAUUUUUACGCACCACCAAGAUGUGUGUGACAUGGAAGAGUAACCCAUGAUCCUAAUCUAUUGUGCAUUUGCAUUCAAAUGCAAAUUUUAAAUAAUACACAAAUUUAGAGGGAGCUCUUGCUUUUCACAUACUUCUCAAAGAGUCGAUGCUAAUCAUUGAUUAUAUCUUUUGUCGAAGCUUUGAUCUAUAUUUUGUCAUCAGUUACCAAAAAGGGGGAGAUUGAAAGCACAAUUGCUCCCUAGGGGGGUUUUGAUAAUUGAUCACAACAUAUGCAUCAAUGGACUAAUGUGUUUUCCAAGUAUAUUUCAGAAAAGUUCAAAAUAUGCUAUGGCUUAAAGUUUAUGUGGAGAUACCCCUUGAUGCAAGAAAGGAAUAAUUUUGGCUCAAGCUUCAAGCUAGAAGACUCUUCAUUUUAUAUUUGUGAGAAAUCACUUUUGAGUCCAUAGGAAAGCCAAUACUAUUAAAAGGGGGUGAGGUAGUAAAAUGAAUUGAUUGCUCAAAUGCUCAAAGUUAGCCACCAAAACAGUUAGUCAUUUUUCCCACAUAUCCACUCUGUCAAGUUCAUCAUUCAAAAAUUCGGUGUCACCAACAUUUCCACAUUGGACCCACCGAGUUUGAACCUCACACAGAACCCUAGCCAUUCCCACCAAAUCGGUGCAACCGAAACUGCAUCGGUGCUACCGAGUUUAGUGUGACCAACAUUCUGUUGCCACGAUACACAAAAUUGGAAUUUCUGAGUUUGAGUACCGGUGCCACCGAAUUUGGCCAUCUGACCGUUAGUCACCUUUUCAGUGCCUCCGAGUUGUGUAUAUCGGUCUCACCGAGAUUCAAAAUUUCACAUCUUUUGUGCUAGUCGGUACCACCGAGUUUCCAACUUUGGUGUCACCCAGUUUUCUCUUUUGUGUGUAACCAUCGGAUUUUUGGCUACUGCCUAUAUAUACCCCUUCACCCACCUCUCAUUCGUGGGAGAAACACUCACAACACACACUUCAUUUCCAGAUCCAUUUUCGGAGAGAGAACCACCUACUCAUGUGUUGAGACCAAGAUGUUCCAAUCCAAACAUUUGAAACUUGAUCUCUAGCCUCCCCAAUGUGCUUUCCACCAAAUCAACCUCUCCUACCCAUGCAUAUUCUGUGAGAGAGUAAUUUGUGUUGAGGAGACUAUCUCUAGAAGCACAAGAGCAAUGACUCAAUUGAUCUACCCCAUCUAUUACCUUUUGGAGGUUGGUGCCUCCUAGAUUGGUUAGGUGUCGCUUGGGAGCCUCCUACUUCGUGUUGUGGAGUUGAACCAAGAUGUUUGUAAGGACAAGAAGAUUGCCUACUUCGCGAAGAUCUAUCAUAAGGCUAGUCCUCCGUGGACGGAAGCCGUGGUGGGAUAGACAAGGCCUCUUCUUUGUGGACCCUCCGUGGGUGGAGCCCUCCAUGGACUCUCGCAGCCGAUACCCUCCGUGGGUUGAAGUCUCCACUAACAUGGACAUACGAUAACGCCACCUAUCAGAACCAUGCCAAAAAUCGUCGUGUCAACUUCAUGCGUUUGAUCUCCCUACCGUACUCCUCUACAUUAAACUUGCAUGUUUUACUUUCCGCUGCUAUACUAUUAGAACUGCAUAUGUAGGGUGUACUUGACUUAGCUGCCUCUCAAGUAAAAUUGGGAAAAUGCCAUAGCUGCCUCUCAAGUAAAAUUGGGAAAAUGCAAUUUUUUUAUCUUGUCAUGUAGUCUAAUAACCCCCCUCUAGACAUACUUUCGAUCCUACAGCUUUCAAAUAUUUAAAAUCAGUAGUUUAUUGUCACUCGAGACAGAACCAUGAGGAAGCUCGUGCCCUUCUCUCUUCCCUCUCUUUGUUGUACAUACAAAGCAACAAUUGGAUCAUACUCAUGAGUAGAAACGAUGGGUGAAAUUUUGUUAACUUUGCAUUUAUUAAUUCAAUCGAGAGAAAGAGAGAGAGAGAGAGAGAGAGGAAAUGCAUGGGAUGAAGCCGAGCAUGCACAUGGAUAUAAACUUCUCUUAGUGCCCUCCUCCAUGUAGUGUGCCUCUCCGCCGUCGGCGAGAGGCCUGUCAUGCUUGCCACUCGAGCUGGACCAGCCACCCUUCUCCCCAGAGGAGUAACUCGACUGCUCGGGCCACCAUAUUGACAUUCCUCGCCCCGAGGCUGGCAACCGCUCUAACGGCCCUUUUGGAUUUGAGGUUCCAAGUAGGUUUGGAGAUUGAAGAUCGUAUCAAGAGGAAUCUGGGAGUUCAAGUCAAUUCAUUCAAGGGAGUUAGAUCAAGGAAUUCUUUCUAGAUGCUCAGUUCUCUCGAUCAAAGAGAAAACACAACCAAGAUUAUAUUGCACUAAUUCUUCUAGCCUGUUUUGGAAGUAAUGCUGCUGGGUUUAAUGUGGUUUUUCUGCGUGGCCAUUGCUUUAGAUUCUCAGUGUCUUCCAAGGAUGUUGGCUUUACAAUUUACAACAAUGGUAACAUUGCCAAUGAAACUUUCAAUCUUGACAGUGCGUUAUAUCGACUAGAGGAAAUUCCUAGUGAGGAAAGUCCUCAGUCAUGAACUGAGUGCAGCGGAAACAAUACUAAGACAGAUCUGCAAAAGUGAUUACAUCAAAGUACUCAGAGUGAAUUGAUAGGUUUGGUUUGCACAUGUCACGUGUAUAGGAUAAGCAGGUGAUGAAUAACUCAGGUGAAGAAUUUGAGGUGAGGAAUUAGGAGAAAGUUUUUAGUCAAAUUGUUCGAACAGUACAGAUGAAAGUGUUCAACAUGCAAUUGAGGAAAUGAAAAGAGUUGAAGAAAUAGAACCACUAGAUCGAUGAAGACAAUGGUUGAUGACACAGUUCCAACUGUUGUGAGAGUUGUACGUCUCGUUUGGAGCGACUUGGUAUUGAAACCAAAUGACACACAGUCCUGGGACACACAGUCCCUAUCGUAUUCUCCUUGAGCUAAGGACACACAAUCCUCGCCCUACACUCACUGUAAGUCUUCAGGGCACACUUCCAAUCCCUCACAAACUCGGUCACCCGACGAUCCACAAUUGAUUGCCGGAUGCUCCAGACCAUGGCGCCUAACCGUCUGGAGGAUGCAUAGUCCUCAAAGAUAACAAGUGUCGGUUCUACACACGAACAAUCUCUUAAGUGAUGCUCUAUCACUUUGGGUUUUGGGUUUGGUUUGGGUGUUUGGGAUAUUUUCUCACUUGAUGAUUUUUGCUCAAAGUCCUCGAGGAAUUGGGUUGCUCUAAAUGAUAGGUGUCAGAUUCUCUUGGAGCUGCCAACCGGCUAGUGGUUGUAGGGGGUGGCUAUUUAUAGCCUGGGAGCAUCCCGACAUGAUAUGACAUUAAUGCCCUUAAUGAUAUGACCGUUGGGUGGAUAAGAUUGGGGACAGGUGGCGCGCGGCGCGACAAUGGUCGAAACUUUCAACUGUGAAAGUCCUCAUGUGUCUCAUGUUCCUCACUUUGAGGAUCUGGUAGGUGUCGGUUGAGUUGAGCAUCAUAAGCAAAUUCUUUCCUUAGUUUUACGUCGACCCCCUUUAACAGCACAAUGUUCCUAUAACUCAAGAAUGAAGAAAAUGAAAGAGAAAGAAUAAAUCUUCUAGAUUCAAAGUCUUCACAGUAUUUUCUUCGGGACACACCGAAUUCUUCAUCUUCAAUGUCUUCAUGAGAAAUAUCCAUUUCUUCGGAAUUUCUUCGCGAUCAAAGUCUUCAAGCAAUGAUCAAAGUCUUCACCCGAAGAUAUACAUUUUUAGGGGUCGAUAUUCAUCGAAUAACUAAAACUCCUCAGCGACUUAUAUAGCUUGUGUACACUCACAAUCAUAUCAGUAUAUUAACCUAUAAGUCUUCAGUCCACUAAAAUCACUAAGGGGUCCUAGAUGCACUUACAAUCUACCCCCUUUUGGUGCUUGAUGACAAACAUGUUAAGUUUUCAACGAGAAUAAAAAUAUGAAGUGUAAGUACAAAGUUUGAGGAAUUUGAUUGCAAGAUAUAGAGAAACUUCCCUGAAGAUGUGCAUAUUUGAGGAAUUUGCUUUGGACUGCAAAUACACAUUGAUGAUUAAUAUCAUGGAGAUCUCCCCCUAUAUCUUGUAAUUCAUGCAUGCAUUUAACAUAUAUUAUGAGGAAUUUGAAAUGCAUGAUGAAAAAUGGUGCCUCACGAAUUCAGCAUGUAUGCAAUUAAAUAACUUGAGGAAUAAACAUGAGAGGAAGAAUUAUCAAAAGCGUUAGAUCACUUUCUGGCUCAAGUUACAACUCAUUACAACAAAAACUUCAGAAGAACGAGAGUUUGUAAUUUAAUAAUGUUUAUGAUAGCCCCUAAGUAGACUCGCUUGAAGACUAACUCAGAUUCCCCCCCUUUGUCAUCAAGUGACGAAAAGGGACAAAAACUAAGAACUAACACCCUUGAAGGAUUUCACUUCUUAUUUAGAGGAGGUGUGUCGGGGUCGGCCGUUGUAGAAGUGUCAUCAAUAUCUUCAGCUUCAUUGGCUGUGCGGGUUGAAGAAAAUGAGCUAGCCACCAGUUGAGGAACAUGGAUCUUCUUGAACUUCUUCUUCGGAGGCCAGGACCAAUCAAAGUCUUGUUGGAACUCCAUGUCUGCAAGUUCCUCAGGAGUCUUGUGAUGAGACAGAAUAGCCCAUGUGCGACCAAAAAUCUCAUGCAGGUAGUAGUAUUUUCUUCACUGCAUUGCUGGUUGCAUUAGGUCUUUCAUAAUUUCUCCAACCUGAUGCUUGACCCAUUUGUGGUUGCAAUCAGCCUUCUGAUGAAGACUUAGAAGUAGCUCACAACUAGUCAUCACGGGCGGUGCAGUUGGGCUUGGUGGUUCUUGAGAUAUAGUGUCAUCAUUGAUAGAAUAUGACACUGGUUUGCGAAAUUGUCCAUCAAGGGGACUGGUGCCUUCAUCAGUUACUGAUUUGCCUUUGGCUUUAAUUUCAUCAAAGGAGCUUUUGACAACUUCUUGGAGGCAUAUAAGUUUGAUGAUUUAGAAUGUCAGCCUUGUAUGUAAUAUCUAACCUCUUUCUGGUGAAUUUCAUGAUCCAUGGAGCAUAAGGCUUCAAAUCCAGUGGUGAGGGAGCAGAGUGGGACAAUGUCCCCAGGAGGAACUCAUGAAGAUUUAUAGGGAUUCCAUGUAUGAUGCUAAAGAGCAAAUUCUUCAUGAUACCCACUAUUUCUUCAUCGUUUGAAUCAUGACCCCUGAUGGGAUAGAAGGUCUUGUCCAGAAUGCGAUAGACUGUCCUCAGCAAAUAGAUUAAUUCCUUUAUGCGGAAUUUGGUUCUUGUGUCCAGGUGCUAAUGGCUUCAUGAGGAUUUGCAUAUAGUGGUAUCCUAUUUCAGGUUCAUCGUAUACGCGUCUGGCACCAUCUGAGGGUAUUGGCACAGGAAGAUCCUGAAGUAAUUCAGUUAAAUGGGCUUUGAAGUGUGUGUACUGUGUCAUCUAGUCCAUAACCCAUGUGUUGGCAUCUUGAGGAUCUCCAGAUAGGUGAAGUGUAGCAUAAACUAAAGAAUAAUUUCUUCAUUCCAGUCACAGAUUUUUGUGCAGAAUUGUAGCAGGCCAGAAUCAUGAAGAACUCUCAGGACUGGUUCAUAUGAGGAAAUUUCCUCCAUAUCUGGAUGAGGAAUAUGCAUGUGAGGAAAGACCAUUUCUCUAUCAAACAUCACAACACCGUCGUAGUUCAUCUGACUUUGAUUCCAAAAUCUGUCGCGUCUGUACUGAGGAGAUUCAUAUGGACUAGGGCCCAUGAAGUAAUGAUGUUCAUCAAAGAAUUGAUGCAUGCCAAACUUUGGCCUUUUUCCCUUGAAGGGCUUGAUUCCCUUCAGCUGAAGGUUUGGCUUGAAGCGGCUCCCAAGUCUUCGUGUAUUGCCUGCUUGAAGAAUUUGAGCCACCACAAUUGCUGUCUCAGGAUUUGCAACAUGUUGUUCACCAACAGAUUAUUCAUUUUGUGUCGGAGCAGAUUCUUCACGCACAUUUCUUUAGUCUGAGGAAUUUGCUGGGUCAGUGUAUCAGUUGCAGGCACACCAGUUCCUUCAACAUUUUCAUUAGUUGAUGCAGCUGAUUCCAUAGCAGCUGUAGACUUGGCUGGAGUGUUAUUCUCUUUAGAGCCAGUCAAAACUUAAGUGGCCGCAUGAGAUUCUGGGAUCUGAGGAAUUGGAGGGACUAAUGGUGAAUUUGGAUGAGUUUGUUCCCAUAAGUCAUCAUGGAUCACUAGUGUGUUGCAGCCAAUGUCCACAUUCUCCUUCUUUUCUUCAGUAGUCACCUCGGGGUUGUGAGGAGGAGGAGUUGAGGCUUGAGGAAUGUCAUCAACUUGAAUGUCCUCAGCUAUGGGUGUGGAUGCAGUAGGCCGAUUUUCAUCCAUUUCCUCAUCGCUUUCUUGAAUGACUUGUUCUUCACCAAAUGGUACAAUCAUGUAUGACGGUGCAACACUAAGAGGAGUUGCAUCAAUUGGAGCAGAUGAAGAGGCAAGCAGAGUCUUCAGGCGUUUUGCCUCUGAAGACUUUGUAGGUGUUGAUGCCUUUCUCUUCUUUGCUUCUUUCUCAGCUGCUUUGGUUUUCUUCACUUCUGGUGUAGAAUGAAGUGGGACUUUCUUCAUCUUUUAAGACUUUUGGUGAAGGUGCAUUUUUUCGCGCAUUGCAUAGGUAGUUGCAGGCCUCACAGAUUCUUCACCAGUUUCAUCAGCUGCGGUUUCAUAUGGAUCGGGUAUAUCAGCAGCAUGUUCAUCAGCUGUAGGUUCUGCAUUUUCAUCAACCAGGUCUAUAGUGUAUGUGACGUGAGGAGUUGAUGGUUGCGCUAGGACUGCAACCCUGUUGUUGUACUCAUCAAUGGCUUUAAUAGCUGCCUUGACAAACCUCACUUUGACACCCUUACAUUUAGCUGGAAGACUUGUGUAUUUGUGAGUGAGGGUUUUUAGCCCAGCUUGAGUGGAGACUAGUUGCUCAAGCGUCGAGGUUAGAAGAUUUUGUUGCAAAAAUUUGUUCUUUUGAACCUUUGCUCUCUGAGUUUGCUUGGCUUGCUGAGCCUUCCACUUUUCUUCGUUGAUGAAUGAAAUCACCAUGUGACUGGGUCCAGGUGGAAGGUGUAAGUCAUUGAUGGGUGUGUUGGGAUCUUUGUACCACAAAUCGAUGAAAUCCAGUAUCACCUUUGGAUCUAGUGCUAUUGGAAUGGUGGAACCUUUAGCUUGUGCAACCCUUUCUUGCUUGUUUCUAAUGAUGGCUUGAAUGGUUUCCUCAUCAUAUUUAUCACUUUCCUCUGGUGCAGAGGGAACCUUGAGGACAACUGUGUUAGGACUAGGCCUAAUUCCUUGCCCAACAGUUGUCUUUGUCUUCAGAAUGCCACUUGAGGAUUUGUGAGCAGUACCAGAAGCUGAUGGUUUUGAGGGAAUUGAGGUCCCUGUUGGUUGCUGUCUGGACUGGGGCUGCAAAGUAGGUGAAGACUUUGCUGCAAUUGAGGACUUUGCAGCAAUAUUUGAUUCCGCCUGAGGAAUUUUCUGUUUGGACCAUGCUAUUGAGGACUUUGGUUUGAUACCAGAUUUCUUCACUAGUUCCUUCUUGGGAGGUUGUUCUAUGGCAGAAGCCUCAACAGCAGAGGAGGAGGCAGCAACACUUCCAGUAGCAGAAUCCUCAUUAAGCUUGUUCACUGCAUCAUUGUCAGUUUUCCUGAGUUUUGCCAAAUACUUUGCCUUCUUGUCAGGAUAGUGUUCAAUUGUUAGCAUGCUUGAGGGAUGGGAAGUUUGUUGCUGUUGUAGGGGAGGUCUGGAGCAAGGGGCUUGACGGCAAAAUUUCUAGCAUACUUAGGAGUGACAUACCUGUAUAUUUUCCACUCCUUAGCCCAUCUCCUCUCAAUCUUUUGAAUCCUGAUCUUGCGCUUCGCAGAUGUUUCUUUCCCAUAGUUGUUUUCAUUCGGUAUGCAAUAGUCAGCAUAGAUGUCCUCAGGAAUCUCAAAGGCAGUGUUCUUUUCUGGCAUCUUGCCACCCUUCUGUUGCUUGUCAUCCUCCAUUUUCUUCAAUUGAGGACUUUCCUGAGGAAUUUGAACUCUGGAGGAAUCUGAUGACACAUGUAUAUGUUCUUCAAGGAACACUGCAAAUGAGUUAAGUUAAUGAGACCCUAGUGAUUCAUUAGCUGACAUUUUGUACGUGUGAAUAGAGUAUAGGUGCGAAGAAUUUGGAGAGGCCAUAUGCGUUCUCAGAUUUGAGGAAUUUGAAAAAUGACCCAUGAUGAGGAAUUUGACCAAUAUAGUGUUGAAGAAUUUCGCUAAGCAUUCUGAUCUUGGGUUCGAGACUUGUCCAGAUUCAGAAAUUUGCACAAUUGAGGAAUCUCAAGAAGAAUUUAGUAACUUAGAGAAAUUCAUCACGUGUUCUAGACAUGGAUUGUGAUCUUCCUAAGUAUUUUUGAGGAAUAACAGAUUUCACACAUCCAAGGAAUAUAAAUGGAUCAACAUGGGGAGGAAAAUUAGAUUUUAAUUACCCUGUGUGAAGAACACGAUGAACUGAGGAAGUGAAAACCGAAGCUCGUCAGUUCAGAUCUCCAGUGCCCUAAUGCAGCGACUGAAGACAGAUACGGCGACAACGGAGGGAGAUGAACCAUAGUCGGCGUGAGACCGACAAGGGCGAAGUUGAGGCAGCGAAUAUCUUCCUCACCGGCGAUGAAGAUUUCCAGUGGUGGUGCUAGGGUAGAUCUCUAGCAGGGGAAGAUGAAAGCGAGAGGAAGAGAUUUCACUCGAGGGGGUAAGGACCUAUUUAUAGCUCAGGUGAAAAUGGUCUAAAGUGAAACUUUCGGACCGAACUGCCCCUGCCCUUUCCUCUCCGCAUAACACGUGUUAGUGGAGAACGUGGUUAUCCUAUUGUGAGUAGUGGGUGCAGUUAGAGCGGUAACGACGUCAAAAUUUAAGUUUGAAAUUUUUGAGGAUUUUGGAGAAAAUUCUUCAGUUGACAAGGACUCAGUGAGGACUUUGAAUAGGUGUCACUUAGAACGCAUAUGAAGAAUUGUGAAUAUUUUGGGUUGAUCUUAGCAUCGAGGGGACUCGGGUCCAAUAACAUUCACUUAGAUGAAACUCCAACUUGAAGACUUAGCAAUAAGUGAAUGUUGUUGAGGACAUUUGAAAGCUCAUAUAUAGUCAAUGAAGACAAUUAGAAAAUGUUGAAGACAUUGAAAAUUUUGAAGACUUUGAAAUUUUUCAGGAAUUUGAAAAAAGUCUCGGUUUUGAAGAAUUUCAAAGUUUGGUGGUGGCGUGACCCAUCGUAUAAGAAAAGUGAUUUAAGGCGCCAUGUACAAUUGUCGUAGGGCCUUGCGAAUCAAAUUCUUCAUUAAUUUCUUCACAGUUAGAGUGUUAUUCUUCAUUGGUUGAAGAAAAACGUUACUUUGUGUGCUGCGCGUCGAAGUCAUCAAUUUUGCAUAAGUGUUAGGAUGUGUGCAUUUUAACACAACAUUCAAAGACUCUAGGAUAUUUAGCUCACACCAUAACUUGAAAAACCUUUUCUCAUCCAAGGGAUUAGUGAAGAUAUCUGCUAGAUGGCCAUGAGUGUUCACAUGGUUGAUGAUGAUAUUGCCCUUGAGUGCAUGAUCACGAAGAAAAUGAUGACGAAUCUGGAUGUGCUUGGUCUUUGAGUGUUGUACUAGGUUGUAGGCAGUCUUGAUUGCACUUUCAUUGUCACAUUAGAGGGGCACAUUCUUCAUGUUGAAGUUGUAGUCCUUGAGGGUUUACUUCAUCCACAACAGUUGAGCACAACAAGAUCUCGCAGCAAUGUAUUCAGCUUCAGCAGUGGAGAGUGAUACGCAGUUGUGCUUCUUUGAGGACCAGGAGACUAAGGAUCGUCCGAGGAAAUGACAUGUGCAUGAUGUUGACUUGUGAUCCACACGGUCACUAGCAUAAUCAGAACGAGAAUAUCCAACGAGGUGAAGAUUUGAGCCCUUGGGGUACCGGAAACCAAGCGUUGGUGUGGGAGCUACAUAUCGAAGAAUAUGUUUCACAGCCUUAUGGUGUGAUUCCUUCGGUUUUACUUAGAAAAUUGCACACAUGAAAACACUAAGCAUAAUGUCUGGCCUAGAUGCACAUGGGUACAAUAAAGAGCCAAUCAUAGAGCGAUAUACCUGUUGAUCGAAAUCUAUACCAUUUUCGUAAGUGGAGAGGUGACCAUUGGUAGGCAUUGGAAUUUUGACGCCUUUGUAUUCAUUCAUGCCUAAUUUCUUGUGGAAUCCUUGAGGUAUUUCUCUUCACAGAUGAAUAUGCCAUUGCGUUGUUGAUGAAUUUGAAGACCUGGGAAGAAUUUGAGACCCCCCAUCAUGGACAUUUGAUAUUCUUCACUCCUCAUGUAGGCAAAUUCAUCACUCUAACAUUUGUCACUACAACCAAAGAUAAUAUCGUCCACAUAUAUUUGGCAUACAAAGAGUUCAUUAUCAUAGGAUUUUGUGAAAAGAGUGGGAUUGAGUGAACCGGGUUUGAAACCUUUCUUCACAAGGAAUUCCUUCAAUCUAUCAUACCACACCAGAGGGGCUUGCUUGAGGCCACAAAGUGCCUUUUUGAGUUUGAAGACUUUGUUUGGAUGCUUCGGGUCUUCAAAACCUGGGGGCUGAGCAACAUAUACUUCUUCCUCAAGCUUACCAUUGAGGAAUGCACUUUUCACAUCCAUUUGAUAUAGUGUAAUAUUGUGAUGGUUAGAAUAAGCAAGCAAUAUAGCAACAGGUGCAAAAGUUUCAUCAAAGUCAAUUCCUUCAACCUGUGUGUAGCCUUGGGCUACAAGUAGUUCCUUCUUCCUCACAACCUGACCAUCCUCAUCUUGCUUGUUUAAGUAGAUCCACUUGGUCCCGAUGAUAUUGUGCUUGCGAGGAUCAAGUCUUUUGACGAGCUCCCACACAUCAUUUAGCUUGAACUGAAGAAGUUCAUCUUGCAUGGCUUGAAUCCAGUCAGGUUCCAUGAAGGCUUUAUCAACUUUUGAGGGUUCUAUGAUAGACACAAAGGUGAAAUGCCCACAAAAAUUAACUAAAUGUGAAGCUUUUGAGCGAGUGAGGGGACCUGGCAUAUUGAUGUCAUCGAGUAUUUUGUCAGUUUCCACUUCAUUUGCAUUCCUCAGAUGCGUAGGUUGAAGACUUUGGUUGGGCUAAGGAAUUUGAUCUGGAGAAAUUUCCUCAAGUGCAACCGCAUGAAUUUCAUCAUUGUUGGGGUCGACUUCUUCUAUAGGAGGUUGUUCCUCGGUAGGAAUGAUAUCUUCAGUAGCCUUGUGCUUGAUAGCUUCUUCAGGAGUCAAUUUAUCUCGCACAAGAGGUAGAUGCUCUCUUUGCAAGCCAUUAGUUUGAUCGAACUGCACAUCUACACUUUCAACAACCUUCUUGUGAUAGGUGUUGAAGACUUUGUAGGUGUGCGAGUCCUUUCCAUGACCGAGCAUAAAAUGCUCAAGUGCUUUAGGUGCAAGUUUUGAGCUAUGGUGAGGAUCUCUAACCCAGCAUCUUGCACCAAAGACUUUGAAAUAACUUACAUUGGGUUUCUGGUCAGUGACGAGUUCGUAUGAAGCUUUCUUGAGGAAUUUGUGAAGAUAUACCCUGUUGAUGAUGUGGAAAGAAGUGUUGAUUGCCUGAGGCCAAAAGCGACGAGGAGUCUAAUAUUCUUCAAGCAUAGUCCAUGCCAUUUCAACCAGAGUCCUAUUCUUGCGCUCAACGACGCUAUUUUGUUGAGGAGUAUAAGGAGCAGACAAUUCAUGAGUAAUACCAAGUUCAACAAGAUAAUCAUCAAGGCCAGUAUUCUUGAAUUCUGUCCCAUUGUCACUCCUCAUGUGUUUGAUCUUGACGCCGAAGUUCGCCAAGGCCCUUGUGGAAAAUUGGUUGAAGACUUCCUGCACUUCAGUCUUAUACAAAAUGAUAUGUACCCAAGUAUAUUGAGAAUAAUCAUCAACGAUGACAAAGCCACAUAGAGAUGCUGCAUUGGUUAGAGUAGCAUAAUCAGUAGGUCGAAAGAUAUCCAUAUGAAGCAAUUCAAACGGACGAGUAGUAGUCAUGAUAGUUUUCGAGGGGUGUUUGGAUCUGGUCAUCUUUCCAAACCCACAAGCACCAUAGAGAUGGUCCUUGAGGAAUUUGACGGUUUCAAUGCCAAUGACAUGCUUCUUCUUUGCCACUGUGUGCAAAUUCCUCAUGCCUGCAUGACUAAGUCGCCGAUGGCAUAGCCAGCCUUCUGAGGUUUUUGCUAGUAGACACGUGGCUGGUUGAGGACCUGUAGAGAAGUCAACAAGAUACAAGUCUCCUCUCCUAAAGCCUUCGAAUACUUUGGAUUUGUCAGAUUCCAUGAUGACUACACAUCUAUAUUUUCCAAAGAUGACAAUCAUAUCAAGAUCACAAAGCAUUGAGACUGACCCGAGGUUAAACCCAAGGGAUUCAACAAGCAUGACUUUGCCCAUGUGUCGAUCCUUAGAGAAAGCCACUUUACCUAGUCCCAAUACCUUGCUUUUACCUUUGUCAGCGUAGGUGAUGUGCUUCAGUGGUGAUGGAGUCGGUGGGAUAUUAAUCGAUAAGCUUGCAUGCNNNNNNNNNNNNNNNNNNNNNNNNNNNNNNNNNNNNNNNNNNNNNNNNNNNNNNNNNNNNNNNNNNNNNNNNNNNNNNNNNNNNNNNNNNNNNNNNNNNNCCUCACCCAGUGACAGAAGGGGUAGCGAGGCACGCAUCAUGUUGUUGCCAUCAAGGGUAAAAAGAUGGGUUUUUCAUCAUUGGUUUGAGUUUAUCCCUCUACAUCAUGUCAUCUUGCUUAAGGUGUUACUCCGUUCGUCAUGAACUCAAUUACACUAGAUGCAUGCUGGAUAGCGGUCGAUGUGUGGAGUAAUAGUAGUAGAUGCAGAAAGUAUCGGUCUACUUGUCUCGGACGUGAUGCCUAUAUGUAUGAUCAUUGCCUUAGAUAUCGUCAUGACUUUGCGCGGUUCUAUCAAUGGCUCGACAGUAAUUUGUUCACCCACCGUGAUAUUUGCUAUUUUGAGAGAAGCCUCUAGUGAACACUAUGGCCCCCGGGUCUACUCCACACCAUAUUUUCAGCCUUACACUUUUUACUUCGUUGCACUUUCCGCCUUCAGAUCUCACUUUGCAAUCAAUCUUGAAGGGAUUGACAACCCCUUUAUAGCGUUGGGUGCACGCUCUUUUGUGUUUGCGCAGGUACUUUGGACUUGACGAGAUUCUCCUACUGGAUUGAUACCUUGGUUCUCAAACUGAGGGAAAUACUUACUGCUCCUGUGCUGCAUCACCCUUUCCUCUUCAAGGGAAAAACCGACGCAAGCAAGAGAAGUAGCAAGAAGAAUUCCUAGCGUUGCCGGGGAAGGACUUUUGUUGCCGUAGCAGAAGAAUUUCUGCCGUUGUUGCCGGGGAGGAUCAAGUCAAGAACUCAUCCAAGUAAGUGUCGCACACUCAUCUCUUCCAUUUACUUUGUUUGCCAGUUGCCUCUCGUUUUCCUCUCCCCCACUUCACAAUUUGCCUUUUUCGUUUUCCUUUUUCAUUUGGCUUUUUCGUUCGCCCUUUUCUUUCAUUUGCCUUUCCUUUGCUUGUCUGCUAUGUGCCUUCAAUAUGCUUGCAUCUUCGCUUGCUAAAAAUAUAGUGAUAUGGAUCCUCAUCCACUUGCUAAUCUCUUUAAGAGAUCCAAUUAUGUUGAUCCAAUUGCUAGUGAGUUGAGUGCACUUGACUUUCUCUAUGGAAUUUUUCUUGAGAUGCAUGAAUCUGAAAAUCGUGAUGUAGAAAUUUAUGAAGUGAUUCACGAGGGCUCCUUGAAUGAAAAGCAUGAUUGCAAUGGUUUCACUAUAAAUCCUAUUAGUGUCAAUCAUGCUAAAAAUAUGCAAAACCCUAAGCUUGGGGAUGCUAGUUUUGCUAUGUCCACUACUUGUUGCAAUGAUCAUGAGUGGGGCGAUGAUUUUUCUUAUGAUCUUGAAAAUUUGUUAAGCCUCAUGAUGAAUAUGAUAUUUGCAAUAUUAUUGAAAGUGGGUUUGGAGAAGUCAUGACUUUAGUUGAUGAUAGUCCCACUAUUUUUGAAGAGCGUCAACUUUGCAUGCAUGUGGAUCAUGAAAAGAAUAUCCUAUGUGAUAGUUACAUUGUUGAAUUCGAAUAUGAUGCCACAUGUAAUUAUUAUGAGAGAGGAAAAUACGGUGGUAGAAACUUUCAUAUCACUAAAUCACCUCUCGUUAUGUUGAGAUUGAUAUUGUCUCUUUCUUCUUCCGUGCAUAUGGUAACUAUUGGUUGUCUUGACAAUCUGUUUUCCUAUAAAAUGCCUAUGCAUAGGAAGUAUAUUAGACUUAGAUGUGAUUUUCACAUGCUUUAUGAUGCUCUCGUUGUGCUUCAAUUCUUGUCUUUUGCGUGAGCAUCAUUGAAUUAUCAAUGCCUAGCUAAGGGCGUUAAACAAUAGCGCUUGUUGGGAGGCAACCCAAUGAGUUUAUCUUUUUUCUUUCUGUUUUGUUGCAUCCACACCAUCAUAAUUCUGUUGUGAUUGUGUUUUUUGUGUUUGAGCCAAGCAAAACCUUUAUGACUAAUCUUGGUAAUGGUUGUUUGAUCCUGCUGGAAAAAGACAGAAACUUUUCACUCACGAGAUGAUUUUUCAUUUUUAUUCAGAAAGAGCUUUUGAGUUGAUUCUUUUUUCUGCUGUUUGAUAUGCCUUUUUCCCAGCCAGUCGUAAGUUUUCAGAAUUUUUGAGUUACCACAAGUAUACGAAGUAUACAGAUUGCUACAGACUGGUCUGUUUUUGAUACAUUCUGUUUUUGUUGAGUUGGUUGCUUGUUUUGAUAAAACUAUGGUUAGUAUCGGGGGGUACUAGCCAUGGAAAAGUGAGAAUACAGUAGCCCAACACCAAUAUAGAUAGAAUUCAAGUUUCUACAGUACCAAAAGAGGUGGUAGUUUGUUUUCUUGUGCUAAUGAUAUCACGAGUUUCUGUUUAAGUUUUGUGUUGUGAAGUUUUCAAGUUUUUGGUGAUGUUCUCAUGGACAAAGAGAUAAGGGGUGGAAAGAGCUCAAGCUUGGGUAUGCCCAAGGCACCCCAAGACAAAUUCAAGGACAUCGGCAUCCCCUCUUUCGUCUUCAAUCCAUCAGUAACAUUACUUGGAGCUAUAUUUUUAUUCACCACAUGAUAUGUGUUUUGCUUGGAGCGUCUUGUAUCGUAGGAGUCUUUUCUUUUUGUUGUGUCACAAUAAUCCUUGCUGCACACCUUUUUGAGGGAGAGAGACAUGCACUCAUCGUGAUUUUGCUAGAAUGCUCAUAGUGCUUCACUUAUAUCUUUUGAGCUAGAUAAUUUUGCUCUAUGUGCUUCACUUAUAUCUUUUAGAGCACGGCGGUGCGUGACUUGGUAGUUGGCUUAUGCUAUGAAAGUAGUCCCAAAGGUGAUAGGUACCCAAAGAGGAUAUAAAAACCUCCAUCUUCAUGUGCAUUGAGUAGAAAGAGAAGUCUUGAUUCCUCUCAAUUAGUUUUGAGACGUGGAUUUGCUAAUAUUAAGAGUUAUGUUAGUAGGGUGUUGUGCAUCUAGAGAUACUUGUGUUGAAGUUAGUGAUUCCCGUACAUGCACGUAUGGUGAACCGCUAUGUUAGGAAGUCGGAGCAUAAUUGAUCUAUUGAUUGUCAUCCUUUGUGUUGAGGUCGGGAUCGCGCGAUGGUUAACACCUACCAACCCUUCCCCUAGAAGUAUGCAUUUAGCACUUUGUUUCGAUUACUAAUAAAAACUUACGCAACAAGUAUGUGAGUUCUACAUGACUAAUGUGAGUCCAUGGUAUAGAUGCACUUUCACCUUCCACCUUUGCUAGCCUCUGUAGUGUCGCGCAACUUUCGCCGGUACACAAACCCACCAUAUGCGUUCCUCAAAAUAGCCACCAUACCUACCUACUAUGGCAUUUUCAUAGCCAUUCCGAGAUAUAUUGCCAUGCAACCCCCACCGUUCUGUCUCAUGACUUAUGCCGUCACUCUCAUAUUGCCAUUGCAUGAUCGUAAGAUAGCUAGCGAGAUGUUUCAACGUCAUACGCCAAGCUAGAUCGUUGCACAUCCCGGUACACUGCCGGAGGCAUUUCCUAUAGAGUCAUCAUCGUUUUAAGCUUUGAGCUGUGAGUAAAUAAAAAUGUGAUGAUCAUCAUUAUUAGAGCAUUGUCCCAUGUGAGGAAAUAAUAAAAAAAGGCCAAAGAGCCCAAAAAUAAAAAAAUAAAAAAAUGAGAAAAGAGAAAAAGAAGAGAAGAGGCCUAAGAGCCCAAAUAAAAAAAGAUAGAGAAAGAGAGAAGGGACAAUGCUACUAUCUUUUUUCACACUUGUGCUUCAUAAUAGCACCAUGUUCUUCAUGAUUGAGAGCUUCUUGCUUUGUCACUACCAUAUGCUAGUGGGAAUCUUCAUUAUAUAACUUGGCUUGUAUAUUCCAAUGAUGGGCUUCCUCAAAAUUGCCCUAGGUCUUCGUGAGCAAGCAAGUUGGAUGCACACCCACUAGUUCUCCUUUUGAGCUUUCACAUACUUAUAGCUCUAGUGCAUCCCUUGUAUGGCAAUCCCUACUCAUUCACAUUGAUAUCUAUUAAUGGGCAUCUCCAUAGCCCUUUGAUACGCCGAGUCAAUGUGACCAUCUUCUCCUUUUUGUCUCACAACCACCAGCACACUCUAUUCCACCUAUAGUGCUAUAUCCAUGGCUCGCGCUCAUGUAUUGCGUGAUAGUUAUAAAUUUUUUGAGAAAGUAAGAGCGCGAAAACAAUUACUUGGCCAAUACCGGGGUUGUGCAUGAUUUACAUUAGUUGUGUAAGGAUGAUUGAGCAUAGCCAGACUAUAUGAUUUUGUAGGGAUAACUUUCCUUGGCGUUGUUAUUUUGAAAGUUCAUGAUUACCUUGCUAGUUUGCUUGAAGUAUUAUUGUUUUCAUGUCAAUAGAAAACUAUUGUUUCGAAUCUUGCGGAUCUGAACAUUCAUGUCAUGUGAAAGAACUUGCAAAGGAUAACUAUGCUAGGUAGCAUUCCACAUCAAAAAUUCAUUCUUUAUCACUUCCCUACUCGAGGACGAGCAGGAGUUAAGCUUGGGGAUGCUUGAUACGUCUCCAACAUAUCUAUAAUUUUUGAUGGUUUCAUGCUAUUAUCUUAUCAAACUUUGGAUGUUUUGUAUGCCUUUUAUAUAUUUUUUGGGACUAACUUAUUAACUCAGUACCAAGUUCCAUUUCCUGUUUUUUCCAUGUUUUUGGCCCCUUUCAGAGGAGGAUUUUGAACGGAGUCCAAACGGAAUAAAACUGCCAAAAAGAUUUUUUCCGGAACAGAAAAAGAUAGAGAAGCCGGAGAAUCGGGGCACGGGGCCACCAGGGACCCCACAAGCCCUCAUGGCGCGGCUAAGGGGGCCCGCGCCCCCCUGGCUUGUGGGCUCCCUGAGGCUCCUUUGCCCUAGGUUUUGCCCCUAUAUAUUCCCUAAAAUCCAAUAAAAAUCAGGAGAUCAUCGAAAGUACUUUUCCGCCAACGCAAGCUUCUGUCUCCACAAGAUCCCAUCUGUGGCACGUUCUCGUGCCCUGCCGGAGGGGGAUUCGGAUACGGAGGGCUUCUUCAUCAACACCAUGACCUUUCCGAUGAUGCGUGAGUAGUUCACCAUAGACCUACGGGUCCAUAGCUAGUAACUAGAUGGCUUCUUCUAUCUCUUGGAUCUUCAAUACAAAGUUCUCCAUGAUCUUCAUGGAGAUCUAUCCGAUGUAAUCUUCUUUUGUGGUGUGUUUGUCGAGAUCCGAUGAAUUGUGGAUUUAUGAUCAUAUUAUCUAUGAAUCUUAUUUGAGUUUCUUUUGAUCUCUCUUAUGCAUGAUUUCAUAUCCUUGUAAUUCUCUUCGAGCUGUGGGUUUUGUUUCGCCAACUAGAUCUAUAAUUCUUGCAAUGGGAUAAGUGCUUGGUUUGGGGUUCAUACCGUGCAGUGACCUCACCCAGUGACAGAAGGGGUAGCGAGGCACGCAUCGUGUUGUUGCCAUCAAGGGUAAAAAGAUGGGGUUUUCAUCAUUGGUUUAAGUUUAUCCCUCUACAUCAUGUCAUCUUGCUUAAGGCGUUACUCUGUUCGUCAUGAACUCAAUACACUAGAUGCAUGCUGGAUAGCGGUCGAUGUGUGGAGUAAUAGUAGUAGAUGCAGAAAGUAUCGGUCUACUUGUCUCGGACGUGAUGCCUAUAUGUAUGAUCAUUGCCUUAGAUAUCGUCAUGACUUUGCGCGGUUCUAUCAAUAACUCGACAGUAAUUUGUUCACCCACCGUGAUAUUUGCUAUUUUGAGAGAAGCCUCUAGUGAACACUAUGGCCCGGGGGUCUACUCCACACCAUAUUUUCAGCCUUACACUUUUUACUUCGUUGCACUUUCCGCCUUCAGAUCUCACUUUGCAAUCAAUCUUGAAGGGAUUGACAACCCCUUUAUAGCGUUGGGUGCACGCUCUUUUGUGUUUGCGCAGGUACUCUGGACUUGACGAGAUUCUCCNNNNNNNNNNNNNNNNNNNNNNNNNNNNNNNNNNNNNNNNNNNNNNNNNNNNNNNNNNNNNNNNNNNNNNNNNNNNNNNNNNNNNNNNNNNNNNNNNNNNGCAACCACUCGCGUGGUCAGUGUGGUUCUAGUAGUGGAGCGCAAGGAGGAGGGCAAGGUACUGUUAGUGCAACGCCCUAUCUACUACCUCAGCGAGGUCUUGUCCGCCCCAAGCAAAACUACCCCCACUAUCAAAAUAUGUGUUAUGGCAUUUACCUUGCCACAAAGAAGUUGAAGCAAUACUUUCAGGAGCAAGCCAUCACUGUCGUGAGCACUGCUCCGCUUUCUGAAAUCAUGGGCAACCGUGAUGCCACGGGCUAGAUUGCCAAGUGGUCCAUUUCCAUGGCCGACCACGACUUCCGCUAUGAGCCGCGCACCGCCAUCAAAUCCCAGCUGGUGGCUGACUUCCUCGUCGAUUGGGCAGAAACCCAAUUUAUGCCACCACCUCUAGACUCCACACAUUGGCGGAUGCACUUCCAUGAGUAGAAUAUGCAAACUGGUCUGGGAGCCGGCAUCGUCUUGACGUCUCCAAAAGGAGACCAACUCAAGUAAGCUCUCCAGAUACACUUCGCCGCCUCCAACAAUGUCGCCGAGUACGAAGCGCUCGCUCACGGCCUUCGGCUUGCCAGAGAGAUUGGCAUCCGGCAGAUCCUUUGCUUCGGCGACUUGGACAUUGUGGUGCAGCAAGUCUCUGGUGAAUGGGAUGCCAGGGACGCCAACAUGGCGAGCUACCGCUUCCUCAUUCAGCAGCUCAGUGGUCCUUUCAAGGGUUGUGAGUUCCAUCAUGUCCCCAGGGCGGACAACGAGGCAGCCGACACCUUGGCCAAAAUCGGCUCCACAAGGCAGGCAAUCCCAGCUGGCGUCUCCCUUGAGCAACUGCACAAGCCAUUCAUCAAGUUGUCUCCUGAGUCGGCGUCNNNNNNNNNNNNNNNNNNNNNNNNNNNNNNNNNNNNNNNNNNNNNNNNNNNNNNNNNNNNNNNNNNNNNNNNNNNNNNNNNNNNNNNNNNNNNNNNNNNNUCUUCUCGUGCUUCUCCGCCGUUGGGAAUCGCCGCCGCCAAAGGGAUCUUCACCACCGUCGCCGCCGUAGCCGGACCACCACCAAGCUAGGGUAUGGUUCGGAUCCCCUUCUGUGUUCCCCUAUCCGAUUCUUAUGCAUUGGGAAAGUUUAUCUUCAAGCCACCAUGUGCAAACUCUUCCUUUCCACCAGAGCAUCUCGUACCAUAGAGGAAGAUUAAAUUUUUUGAUCUGAUCUGCCUCAGUAUGCAACUCGGUGAGACCGAGUUUGCAACAUCGGUUCCACCGGUUUCCCUUUUAGGGUUCCUGAGAAGCAACUUGGUGAGACUGAGCAGAUCUUUUCAGUACCAUCGAAAUAGACUGCCAAGUCUCUAUUAAGCGUGUAAGCUUUCUCGAUGACUCGAAAAAUGCCAACUCGGUGCCACCGAUUUACAUCCUGCGGAAGAUCAUACCAUAUGUUUCAGACUUCACAUUUUCAAAAAAGUCUGAAUAUUGUGAUGCUCAUCCAGUCUAUCUUUCCUAUAUCCACUUCACAUGGCUUGUCGUUUGCUGCUGAGUUUGCGUGUCAGAUAUGUCUGGUUCAGAAGAUAGUCAGAAUGACUUCACAGAGCAGAGUGUCGAGUUGGACGUCGGCACUAGUCCAGAGAAGUCUGACUCUGACCCUGGUUCCUACAGAUCCCAUGGUUUGCCCAAGGUAGCCACUAGGCAGAGCAAGAAGCUGAAUUCUUAUGAGGAGGACUCUGACUUUGUGCCAGAGGAGACUUCAGCUCCUUCAAAGGCUCCUCCUAUGAAGGUUGUUAGGAAAGUAACUUCUACCCCAGCCGAUCUGAGAGGACCUGAGUAUGCCAGGAAGAACACAUCACUUUCCAAGGAUGCACUUGCAAAGAAAGCUGGUGUGAAGAGGCAAUGGAAGAGGAAUGUUCAUCUUGUUGGAAGAAGAACUUCCAUGUUUGAAGACACAAAAUCUUCCGAGGAAGAAGCUCCUGGGGAGAUCCCAGUUCGUUCCAAGAAGAAGAAGUUGAUGGCUGCUACUUCUCAAACUUCUGUUGGUUUUCCCUUGAAGAGGAAAGGGUGAUGCAGCAAAGUAGAUAAGUAUUUCCCUUAGUUUGUUGAGAACCAAGGUAUCAAUCCAGUAGGAGUAACAAGCAAGGCCCCAAUAUUAGAACCUACACAAAUAAUCAAAUACUUGCACCCAAUGCAACAAAGGUGUUGUCAAUCCGUUCACGGUUAUUUGCAAGGAUGAGAUCUGAUAGAGAUAGAUAUAAAAAACUACAAGUAAAACAAAAGUAAAUAAAUUGCAGCAAAGUAUUUUUUGGUGUUUUUGGUUUAUAUAUCUGAAAAUAUAAUGUGGAAAAUAGACCCGGGGGCCAUAGGUUUCACUAGAGGCUUCUCUCAUGAAGGAAAAUAAUACGGUGGGUGAACAAAUUACUAUCGAGCAAUGGGUAGAAAAGCGAAUAAUCAUGAAGAUAUCUAAGGGAAUGAUUAUGCAUAUAGGCAUCACGUCCGUUUCAGGUAGACCUAAAAGAUUCUGCAUCUACUACUAUUACUCCACACAUCGACCGACUCCUUCCUGCAUCUAGAGUAUUAAGUUCAUGAAGAACAGAGUAACGCAUUAAGUAAGAUGACAUUAUGUAGAGGGAUAAACUCAAGCAAUAUGAUGAAAACCCCAUCUUUUUAUCCUUGAUGACAACAAUGCAAUACAUGCCUCACUACCCCUACUUUAGCACUGGUUGAGAACAUCACAAGAUUGAACCCAAAACUAAGCACUUCUCCCAUUUUAAGAACUACCAAUCUAGUUGGCCAAAACAAACCAAUAAUUCAAAGAGACUUGCAAAGAUAUGAAAUCAUGCAUAUAAGAAAUGAGGAAAGACUCAAAUAAUAUUCAUAGAUAAUCUGCACAAAAACUACCAAUUCAUUAGAUCUCGACAAACACACCGCAAAAGAGUAUUACAUCGGAUAGAUAUCCAUGAAGAUCAUGCAGAACAUGGUAUUCAAGAACAAAGAGAGAAAAGAAGCCAUCUAGCUACUAGCUAUGGACCCAUAGGUCUAUGGUAAACUACUAACGCAUCAUUGGAGAGGCAAUGGAGUUGAUGUAGAAGCCCUCGUGAUUGAAUCCCCCUCCGGCAGAUUACCAGAAAAGGUUCCCAGAUUGGAUCUCUCGGAAACAGAGACUUCCGGCGGUGGAAAAGUAUUUCUUGGCGUCGUUGUGGUAAUGAUGGAAUAUUUGGGAAUUUAUAGAAUUAGGAUUUGGAGACCUGCAAGGGGCCCACAAGCCAGGGGCGCGGCCUACCCCCUGGUCGCGCCCUGCAGGCUUGUAGCCNNNNNNNNNNNNNNNNNNNNNNNNNNNNNNNNNNNNNNNNNNNNNNNNNNNNNNNNNNNNNNNNNNNNNNNNNNNNNNNNNNNNNNNNNNNNNNGGUCUCUUUCAUUCCAGAAAAAAAUUUCCUAAGAUUUUAUUCCGUUUGGACUCCGUUUAAUAUUCCUUAUCUGCAAAACUCAAAAACAAGAAAAAAAAACAGAAACUGGCACUAGGCUCUAGAUUAAUAAGUUAGUCCCAAAAAUAAUAUAAAAUGUCCUUUUAAUGCAUAUAAAACAUCCAAAACAGAUAAUAUAAUAGCAUGGAACAAUCAAAAAGUAUAGAUACGUUGGAGACGUACCAGCAUCCCCAAUCUUAAUUCAUGCUCGCCCUCAAGUAGGUAAAUGAUAAAACAGAAUUUUUGAUGUGGAAUGCUACCUAACAUUUUUGAUGUGGCAUGAAUAUUCAGAUCCAUAAGAUUCAAAACAAAAGUCUAAUAUUGACAUAAAAACAGUAAUACUUCAAGCAUACUAACAAGGCAAUUGUGUCUCUUUGAAAUAACAUGGCCUUAUAAAGUUAUCCCUACAAAAUAAUAUAGUCGGGCUAUGCUCUAUCUUAACCACACAAAGUAUUUAAAUCAUGCACAACCCCGAUGAAAGACAAGCAAUUUUUUCACACUUUUUAUGUUCUCAAACCUUUUCAAUUCUCACGCAAUACAUGAGCGUGAGCCAUAGAUAUAGCACUAUAGGUGGAAUAUAAUAUGGUAGAGGUUGCAAAGGAAAAAGGAUGAGAAGAUAGUCUCACAUUAACUAGGCAUAUCAAUGGGUUAUGGAGAUGCCCAUCACUAGAUAUCAAUGUGAGUGAGUAGGGAUUGCCAUGCAAUGGAUGCACUAGAGCUAUAAGUGAAUGAAAGCUCAAAAAGAAACUAAGUGGGUGUGCAUCCAACUCUCUUGCUCAUGAAGACCUAGUGAAACUUGAGGAAGCCCAUCAUUGGAAUAUACAAGCCAAGUUCUAUAAUGAAAAAUUCCCACUAGUAUACGAAAGUGACAAAAUAGGAGACUCUCGAUCAUGAACAUCAUGGUGCUACUUUGAAGCACAAGUGUGGAAAAGAUAGCAGCAUUUUCCCUUCUCUCUUUUCUCUCAUUUUUUAUCUUCUUUUAUGUGGGCAUCUUUGGCCUCUUUUUUUAUGGGCUUCACUGGCCUCUUUUAUUUUUUGUAAAGUCCGGAUGCUCAUCCCAACUUGCGAGGGAAUCCUAGAUCUCCAUCAUCCUUUUCUCUCACAUGGGACAAUGCUAUAAUAACACAAAUCAUCACACUUUUAUUUACUUAGAACUCCACUCCUAGAACAAAAUAUGACUCUAUAUCCAUGCCUCCAGUAGUGUACCGGGAUGUGCAACGAUCUAGCGUAGCAAUGACAUCAGAAAAAUUGACAAGCCAUGAAAACAUCAUACUAGAUAUUUUACGAUCAUGCAUGGCAAUAUGACAAUGAUGGUGCAUGUCAUAAAGAACGGUGGUGUUGCAUGGAAAUAUAUCUCGGAAUGGCUAUGGAAAUGCCAUAAUAGGUAGGUUUGGUGGUUGUUUUGAGGAAAAUAUAUGGUGGCUGUUUGGAGGAAGGUGGGUUUAAUGCACCGACGAAGGUUGCGUGGUACUAGAGAGGCUAGCAAUGGUGGACGGGUCAGAGUGCGUAUAAUACAUGGACUCAACAUUAAUCAAAAAAGAACUCACAUACUUAUUGCAAAAUUCUAUUAGUUAUCGAAGCAAAGUAUUAGACGCAUGCUCCUAGGGGAAGGGUUGGUAGGAGUUAACCAUCGCGCGAUCCCGACUCUCACACAAAGAUUGAUAGUCAUUAAACAAAUCAUGCUCUGACUUCAUCACAUAACGGUUCACCAUACGUGCAUGCUACGGGAAUCACAAACUUUAACACAAGUAUUUCUUCCAAUUCACAAUUACUUACUAGCAUGACUCUCAUAUUACCAUCUUCAUAUCUCAAAACUAUAUGCAACGAACAAACUUCUCAUCAUAUUCAAUGCACUUAAUAUGAAAGUUUUUAUUAUAUCCCUCUUGGAUGCCCAUUUUUAGCUACCAGACCUCAAUCAGUCCAGUCUCUAUGCAUCUGUGUCAUCCCUGGAUCGGUAUGCUAACACGAACAAUACUUCGACGGGUAUUAUAACAGAGUAGCAAUCACACACAUAUUACAACGAAUGUCUCAAAGAGAACUUAUUACAAUAAUAUGGCCUAAGGCCAUCUAAAUAAGAUAACAGCGGAAGGCUUGGAAGAUAAAGUAGGUCCAACAACUCCAACGGCAUAGCUGAGUGCAAAACAACGACCUGUGGCUCUUACUCGAGAUCUGAAAAGUCUGCAACAUGAACGAUGCAGCCCGAAACGGGUCAGCACAUGGAAUAUGCUGACAAGGUAACACAUAGCGAGUGAACAGAAUAAAAGCUAUCUCUACAUGCAUACUUGGCUGGUGGAAAGCUCUAUGGUUAACAGUUUUGCAUAAAGCCAAAUUUCUUCCUAUAUUAGUGGAACAAAGUUUAUUUAACUACGUUUUUAGUUAUUAAACAAUGAGAAGGUUCCUCCAACUCAAACCCAAAAUAAUCAUCAUUAAUCCGGAAAUUAAUUUAGAGUGCUGAGAUACACAUGAAAAUCCAAGAACCAGAUACUCAAGAUGUCCAUAACCGGGGACACGGCUAAUCGUGAUUAGUUUGUACACUCGGCAGAGGUUAUGCACUUUUCCCAUAAGACUCGAAAUACAUCCAUGGUCGGAGAUUCGAGACACAAUCUAUCUGAAGCAUUAACUCUCUACUUCUGGGUAGACCGUACCACCUAUACCCUCUACAUCUGCUAGUCUACCACUUCGAGAGCUUCACACAACUUACUCCACUAUGCUAGAGACCAUAAUAUCUUGCGGCUGCACACGUAAGUUUCAUGUAUGAAUAGUCUUAUGAUCCCUUUGAAGCUGGGUGGCGGACGUUAGGAUGAUCACACGGUUCCCCCGGGAUAUCCUGACAGCCACUAGGGAUUCCAGGGUGCCUCAAGCAAUCCACCCAGAUGUGUAUUUAAGUAGCCACCUUAAGUUAAGCUUUAAUUAACAAUACUCACAUCUGUCAUGGAAAUCACUCACCCAAAUAAUCGUCUACGAGCAUAGCAUAGCAAUAAUAGCAUAACGUAGAAGUAACUCCCAAAAGUUUGAUAGUAAACAGGUAAUAGGUUCUACCUGUGUAUCUACUUCCCAAUACCCACAUGUUAAUUAGAUCCUAACCAUGCAAUGUGUGAGGGCGGAUCUAAUGUAAUAAAACUAGGUAAUAAGGGAUAUGAUCAAAGUGUUACUUGCCUUGCUGAUGAUCCGCAAAACCUAGGGACUCGUAGUAGCAUGCUUCACAAUCCGGGUAUUCUAUCGCAACAAACAAUAGCACACAUAAGCAAACAAUAUAGAUGCACGGGUAAAAUUGAAUAAGAUCUAACCAGAAAGUUCAAGUAACGAACUUCGGUUUGCAAAAGAAUCGAGUCAAACGGAUCAACGAAACUCAAACUGCGAAAGAAACGAGAUACGUUUACUAAUCUGGACUAAAUUCAAAAUUUUAUUUGUAAAAUUCUUGUGCAAGUGGAUUAAUCGGAAAGAUAUUUUCGUGACGAAAAUCUGGGCGUUUGAAUCACGUGAUUCCGAUAAACGAGCGAAAUGUUAUACUAAAAUGAAAUUCGAAUCACGAAUUGCGAUAGAAAUUAAUCGUGGAAAAAUCCCAGAAAAUAAAUCUGACGAACAGACGGACGAACGAACGUUUGUCGUCUAAAAUUAAUUAAUGAACAGUGUUCGUUAAAACGAACGUACGGACGAACGUUCGUUAAUUAAAUAAACCAAAAAAAAAUCUGAAAAUUUAUAUAUUUUUUGCUACCUCGAGGGCAUGCUCCGGCGAGUGGCGGCGNNNNNNNNNNNNNNNNNNNNNNNNNNNNNNNNNNNNNNNNNNNNNNNNNNNNNNNNNNNNNNNNNNNNNNNNNNNNNNNNNNNNNNNNNNNNNNNNNNNNAUGGGAGAAGUUGCUUACAAGUUGGAAUUGUCGGAAGGAUUGUCGGGAGUUCACGAUGUCUUCCAUGUUUCCGAGUUGAAAAAGUGCCACGCAGAGAUGGCCGAUAUUCCUCUAAGAGAUAUUGUACCACUCGAAGAAUUCAGUUGGAUAGUGAUUUGACCUACGAGGAGAAACCAGAGAAGAUUCUCGAGUAUGCCAGCCGAGUCACACGCAGCAAGGUUAUCAAGUUCUGCAAAGUUCAAUGGAGCCACCAUACAGAGGAAGAAGCCACAUGGGAACGAGAGGAGGAUCUACGGAAAGAUCACCCGCACCUAUUUUCUAUUCAACCCGAAUCUCGAGGGUGAGAUUCAUCUUAAGGGGUAAGGUUUGUAACAUCCCAAAUUUCCAAUUUGCAAUGUUAUUGCAUUAGAGCAUCUUGCAUAUCAUAUUUUAUUUGCAUAAUUGCUGAUCCUAAAAAUUCUAAGCAACUCAAGGACCCUUGGAGAGAGUUGGGAAUUUAUUUAUCUUCAUAUUGGGAUUUUCUCAAAUAAUGAAAAGAGGAUCAUUGGUUUUUAAUUAUUUUUCUCUUCAAAUAUUUCAUAUAUAAUAAUAUGAGAGAGGGGAUAAAAUGACUUUCCCAAAUUUUAGAAAUAUUUGAGAGGAAAUAUUAAAGCCAAAUAAUAAUUUUUAUUUGGAUUUUAUUUGCUAUUUUAUUGGAUUUACGAAAAUACGCGUUUUUCAAAAUAUUAUUUCGGUCUUUUAAAAAUGUCCACGUUGUAGAGCUCAUAUUUAGGAGUCCGGCAAAAUUUGUUUCAUCGAAAUCAGAGUUCGUAUGGACUUCCGAUUUAAUUUUCUAUCUCGUCCUAUUUAAAAAAAAGAACCGACCCCGGAGGCCUAUAUAAGCUGGCCCCCCNNNNNNNNNNNNNNNNNNNNNNNNNNNNNNNNNNNNNNNNNNNNNNNNNNNNNNNNNNNNNNNNNNNNNNNNNNNNNNNNNNNNNNNNNNNNNNNNNNNNGCAGGUGAUUCCUAGACGGCCAGGAGGAGUUGGCCGUCUCGCCCCUAGCCGGCAGGAGCUUCCCAGCCGGCCAGGGGGAUUUGGCCGUAUGGAACAAGUUGUGGUUUUCCUUUAAUCUUGUAUGCAAAGGUGUAGGCACGAUAAGCCUACCCGGGGUUAUCCCCCCAUCAUACACCAAGAGUAGUUCAAGAAGAAUACAUCAAGCUCAUAAUGGUGAAUGGGUUUCUGGCUUCGAGUCUGAUCACCACUCCGAGACAAGCUAUCAAUCCCAAUCCGACUAUAGUAAAGAUGAAGGUGUUGCCGGGAUUGCACUUGUUUCCACCAACACCUACAACUUUUUUGAUUGACCAAAUGAGGGAGUCGGAAACUGCUUCAUGGAUAAAGGCUUGUUAGGAGAAGAUGAUUUGCUUCUUGAUAAAACUAGUGAUUCCGCUGAAAAUGAACUUGCUAUUAAUCAUGCUAGUCAGCAUAAACCGAAUGAUGAUGAUAAGAAAAAAAUGGAACGUGUAACUCAAGAAUUAAAAUCUCUUAAUUUAGCCCACGAGACUACUCUAGAAAAUCAUAGAGAGCUUGCAAGAACCCAUGAGGAGAUACGCUUCGAGAAGCUCAACUUGGAGCAAGAACAUGAGUUCUUAAAAGCAAUCAAUGAUGAUCUUCGGAAGAAGAGUUAUUCUUAUCUAGCCAAACAAUUAAUCUUGUCUAACUUUGUUCGACAAGUUAAACCUAGGAACACUAGUAACAAAGGCAAGAAGGUUUCUUCAUCUAGUAACAACAAUGCUGAAGCUAAAUCCAAUACUUUUGUUGCUAGUAGCUCUAUUGAUUCCACUAGCGAUCCUCUUAGCCAAGUAACACUUGAGCAAGAAAAUGAUCUAUUGAAAGGGAUUAUAGAGAGAGGUGUAUUCAAGAGUCUUGCCGGAAGUAAACAAUUCGAGAAAAUUGUGCACAAGCAAGGAGGACAUCGUAAGAAACAAGGUGUUGGCUACUUGAACGUCAACGGAGAUGAUUGGGAAGAAGGUCCAUAUCCCACUCCUAAGUUUGUUCCCCAAGAGGAGAAGUGUGAUUCCACUCCCCCGAAGUAACAAGCUCACAAUAUGACCUUCUACCACAAGACCACAAAGGCAAGGGAAGGCUUCAAGAUGACAUUGACCUAUUUGAAGAAGAACCCCAAACAAAGGUCAAGUGAGUUCCCAAGGAGACUACUAGCUCUACCUCAACAAGCGCUACCACAACUCCGAGGAUUCCCAUCAAUUUGGUGUGGAUUCCCAAGAGGAAUAACUAGAAGUUAUUUAGGGGUGACACCGCCAAUGAAAUUCACUCUUAUUCAUCUUGGCAAGAACUAUUUGCAAUCAACCUCAACCAUAUGCAUUAGUUCAAGGAGUCACACAUUCCCUCAAAGGUAAGCAAGGAACAAGGUAAUUAAUGCAUCUUUGGAUAUCAUCCCAUUUUGGUUUCACUCAUUUCUAUAGAUAUUAUUACAUAUGUUUCUUUUUCUUUGGGACUAACCCAUGUAGGUGAGAAGAGUAUGAAAACAACAAGGAUUGCUCCCAACUGUUGAUGAUCUUCAUCAACAUUGAGCAUCCACCACUACUUCACCUACUUGAAGUCUUCUACGACAAAACCCAAGGUUAGUUAAUCCCUCUUAGUGGGGAUGACAUAUCAAGGGGGAGCUUUACUCUAAGACUUGAGUAUAAGGAUCUCCUAAGGAUAUGACCACAUUAAUGCUUAUGUAAACGGGGUAACCCCACUUGUGUUUGACGAUGAGUAUGACCUAUGAUCAAGUAUUCUUACUUGGCUCCUAUGUCAAUAUACUCAUAUAUUGAUGACUUCGUCAUCCCCCAAGUGCUUGAUAGCCGCUAGAAUGUUUGUGCAUGUUCACCAUAUUUUUCUCCAUCAUUCUUAUUGUGUGAGCAUGUUGGUCUGUAUAUGUUUGAUCAUUCGAGGAUAUCUAAUUGUUGUUAUUUGGCUCUUGAUUUAGCGUUUGCCAAUUGGAUGGACAAGAAUGCCUAGGACACUUCUGUAGCUAUCUAUUCUAUCACAUCUCAAGUUCUAUUCAUGCUUCACCAGAAAACUUGAACAAGCACUUGUCGAUCCCUCUGUGUGAAGGAGCACUCGGAGUUCCCUAUCGUCAAUGGUUGACUUCCAAAACCUCUCUGUGAAUGAACUCGGUGAAACUAACUUCACAAACUCGGUUCCACCAAAUUCCAGAGUUGAACUAGGUUUUCCAUCUCGGUACCACCAAAAUCACCAACUCGGUUAAACCGAGUUUCCCACUCAACUGACAGUUGAGGAACUCGGUGACACCGAUUUUUUCAUCUCGGUGACACCUACAGCGAACGGGUAUAUAAAUCCAGCGGACCGAAACUUUGAUUUCACUUCAUCAAAGCCGUUUCGUUCCCAAAACCCUCGCCGCCUUUGGACCCCUAGUCGUCGCCCUUGUCUUCUCGUGCUUCUCCGCCGUUGGGAAUCGCCGCCGCCAAAGGGAUCNNNNNNNNNNNNNNNNNNNNNNNNNNNNNNNNNNNNNNNNNNNNNNNNNNNNNNNNNNNNNNNNNNNNNNNNNNNNNNNNNNNNNNNNNNNNNNNNNNNNGGAUCUCGACAAACACACCGCCAAAGAGGAUUACAUCGGAUAGAUCUCCAUGAAGAUCAUGGAAAACUUUGUAUUGAUGACCCAAGAGAGAGAAGAAGCCAUCUAGCUACUAACUACGGACCUGUAGGUCUGAAGUGAACUACUCACGAGUCAUUGGAGGGGCGAUGAUGUUGAUGAAGAAGCCCUGCAACUCCAAAGUCCCCUCCGACAGGGCACCGGGAAGGGUCUCCAGAUGAGAUCUCACGGAAACGGAAGCUUGCGGCGGCGAAAAAGUGUUUUCGUGGACGCCCUGAUUUUUUUCAUGAUUUUUAGGAAUUUAUAGGCCAAAGACCUAGGGCAGGGGAGCGCUAGGGGGGCAACAAGCUUGGUUGCCGCGGUCUCCCCCUGGCCGCGGCAACAGGGCUUGUGGGCCCACUUGCUUGGCCCUCAAGCCUCCCGAUCUUCUUCUGUUCUGGAAAAAAUCAUUUUGGGGAUUUUAUUCCGUUUGGACUCCGUUCCAAAAAUCAGAUCUGAAAAGAGUCAAAACACAGAAAAAACAGGAACUGGCACUUGGCAUUGAGUUAAUAAGUUAGUCCCAAAGAAGAUAUAAAAGGUAAACAAAACAUCCAAAGUUGACAAGUUAACAGCGUGAAACCAUCAAAAAUUAUAGAUACGUUUGAGACAUAUCAAUAUGCAAGCCCAGUUCAUGAAAUCUCUAACCAAAGGUCCAAAAAUGGAUUUCCCAAAGUAUGAAGGAGCAGAUCCUGUUGGAUGGAUAAGACAAUGCAACAAAAACUUUCAAAUGUGUGGAGCUCCAGAAGAAUAUAAAGUAUCAUUAGCUCAACUUUACAUUGUAGGAGAGGCUGAUACUUGGCUGAGAAGAUCUCGCAUACUCAAGAAACACUUGACUUGGAAGCAAUUCUGUGCAGAAUUAGUCAAAAGAUUUUCUAAACAAGGAUCCUAUGAUCUGACAGAAAAAUUCAAUUCUGCUAAGCAAGGAAGUAGCACUGUUUCUGAGUAUACUAAACAGUUUGAAGAUCUGAUGGCGGAUGUACAAGAGGAAAACCCUGAACUAAGUGAACUAUGGUUUGUAAGAUGCUUUGUUAAUGUGCUAAGAGAUGAGAUUAAGUUCCAAAUUAGACCAUUGAGACCACAAACUCUCAUUGAUGCCUAUUGGCUGGCCAAAUAUGUUGAACCUUGUCAUCCUCCUAUUUCAAGCUUGGCAAAGAGAAACUGUAUUCCCUACUCUAACUUCUAUCAAAAGCCUACUACAAGUAGUGUUGUUGGGAGACAAGUAUCUAAUGUGUCUGUGGCAACUGUUACACCAAAUCAGCCAAGUCAAAAUAAUACUUAUCAGAAGAUUAGAAAAGUGAGAGAGUGCUGGAGAUGUGGAGAUAAAUGGGUGCAUGGACACAAUUGUAAACUGGUUCCUAACCUACACAUGAUGCAACAGGAUGCAGAAGAACAAAUAGCCCAAGAGAUUGAAGAUAUCCAAAAUCAGGAACAACCUGAAAUUGUUUCAGAAGGGGGAACCUUAGUGUCUUAUGCGGUGAUACCCAGUUGUGAAUUCCAACUAGGCAAAUUGAAACUACAACACAGUUUCAGAUCUAUAUCAUUACCUAGUCAUGAUUCUAUACUAGGGUAUGAUUGGUUUAUAGCUGUGAGCCCUUUAUCUUUUGAUAUACCAAAGCAACUGUUCAGCUUUACAGGGCAAGAAAAACAGACAGUAACCACUGCUAUGUUCACAAAUGCUGCCAGUUUGAAAGAUGUGAAAUCAGAGAAAAUGAACAAGUUAUUGGAUAAGGGAGUGGAGGUAUUCCUAUUGCAAGUCCACAACAUUAUGAUGAAUGCUCCUGAAGGUUGGAAAACUCCUCCUCAACUACAGAAACUACUUUUGUAACAUGCUGAUCUUUUUGAAGAACCUAAAAAUCUUCCACCACAUAGAGCCCUGGACCAUACUAUGCCGGUUACAGGAGCUACACCUCCUCAAGUCAGGCCUUAUAGAGUUCCUCAGCAUCAGAAAUAGGAAAUGGAGGAUCAGAUCAAAAAGUUAUUAGCUGCUCAUUUCAUCAGGCACAACCAAAGUCCAUAUGCAGCUCCUUUUAUACUAGUCAAGAAAAAGGAUGGAUCAAUGAGACUAUGCACUGAUUUCAGAAGAUUAAACUCUUUGACAAUUAAGAACAAGUUUCCAAUACCUGUCAUUGAAGAUUUAUUAGAUGAGUUGCAUGAAGCUACUUAUUUCUCUAAGUUAGAUUUGAGAUAUGGAUAUCAUGAAAUAAGAAUGAACCCUGAAGAUAUACAUAAAACUGCUUUCAGAACAUUCUUGGGCCAUUUUGAGUAUCUGGUCAUGCCUUUUGGAUUAUCCAAUGCCCCUCGCACAUUUCAGGAACUAAUGAAUACCAUAUUUACACCUCAUCUAAGAAAGUUUGUGCUGUUAUUUUUUGAUGAUAUUUUGAUAUUCAGCAAAAAUCUCAAGGAACAUUUGGAACAUAUCAAAAUAGUCCUUGAUACAUUGAAGGCACAUAGCUUGUUUGCAAAGUUAUCUAAGUGUGUGUUUGCUGCUCAACAAGUGGAAUAUCUGGGUCAUGUAAUAUCUGCUGAAGGUGUAGCCACAGACCCAAAGAAAAUUUCUGCUAUUGCUGAAUGGCCUGUUCCUGAUACAAUCACCAAACUAAGAAGUUUCCUAGGUUUAGCUGGAUACUAUAGAAGAUUCAUCAAGGGUUAUCGUGUGAUUUGUAGACCCCUUCAUGAUGUGUUAAAGAAAGGACAAUUUUCCUGGCAAUCAGCACAAGAUACAACUUUCAAACAACUUCAAGAAGCCCUGAUAUCUGCUCCAGUACCGGCAUUACCAAGUUUUUGCAAACCUUUUGUGCUAGAAACUGUUGCUUCACGCAAGGGAAUAGGAGCUAUAUUGAUGCAACAUGGAAGGCCGAUAUCCUACUAUAGCUAUGCCUUAUGCCCUAGAAAUGCUGCCUUAUCCAGAUAUGAAAAAGAGGCUCUAGCUAUUUUAGAAGUACUUAAAAGGUGGAGACAUUAUUUGCUGGGAAAUAAUUUAACAAUCAAGACUGAUCAACAAUCCCUUAAGUUUAUCACUGAUCAGAAAUUGACUGAGGGCAUACAACACAAGUUGAUGAUGAAACUGUUAGAAUUCAACUUCACCAUUCGAUAUAAAAAGGGAGUCUACAACAAAGUGGUUGAUGGUCUGUCUAGAGCGCUUCCUGGAUGCAUGGCAAUUUCAGUUGCUACUACAACUUGGGAAGAAGAAUUGCUUGAAAGCUAUCAAAAGGACAAAGACAGUAAAAUACUAUUGGAAAAACUCCUGUUACAAACAGAUAAAACAGAAUAUGACUUUUCACUUCAUUCAGGCAUCAUGAGGUACAAGGGCAAAUUUUUUGUAGGUAUUGUUCCUACAUUAAGACAUAAGCUUCUUACAACCCUACAUAGCUCUCUAGUGGGAGGACAUUCUGGGAACAGAGCAACUUAUCAGAGAGUGAAGAACAUUUUCUAUUGUCCUGGCAUUAAGAAGACAGUGGAAGAUUUCAUUGCUGCCUGCCCUAUAUGCCAAAGAGCUAAGCAUGAAAAUUGCCUUCAAUCAGGAUUACUUGAUCCCUUACGUGUAGCAGAUCUAGCAUGGCAACAUAUUUCUAUGGAUUUUGUGGAAGGAUUUCCAAUGUCUAAAGGAUAUGAUGUCAUUAUGGUGGUAGUGGACAAAUUUACCCAGUAUGCACACUUUAUUACCCUAUCACAUCCUUACGCAGUGUUGAGUGUGGCUCAAGCCUUUGUUGAUCAAAUCAUCAGGUUACAUGGUCCACCCAAAAUGAUAAUUUCAGAUAGGGAUAGAAUAUUUACAAGCAAGAUUUGGAAAUAUAUUUUUGCUGCCUUGAAAGUGGAAUUGAGAUAUAUCACAGCAUACCACCCUGAAACUGAUGGACAAACAGAGAGAAGCAAUCAAUGUUUAGAAACCUAUCUCAGAUGCAUGACUACUACUGCUCCUAGUAAAUGGUUUUCUUGGUUGUCCUUAGCAGAAUUCUGGUACAAUGCUACAUACCAUACCAGCCUAAAAAUGCCCCCAUUCCAAGCCCUAUAUGGUUACCCUCCUCCUAUGAUCAAUGAGUUAGAAAUUCCAGGCCCUGAUGAGGGGGAGGCACAAGACUUUCUUACAGUCAAGCAACAUAUGUUGAACCAACUCAGAAGCAAUCUGCUUUUGGCUCAAAACAGAAUGAAAAAGUAUGCUGAUUUGAAAAGAGUGGAAAGAUCAUUUCAAGUGGGAGAUAUGGUAUAUCUAAAAAUGGCUCCAUAUAGUCUCGCAACAUUUGGGUUCAGAGGAAUUCUCAAACUUCAAAACAAGUUUUAUGGUCCUUUCAUCAUCAUUCAGAAAAUAGGAAAGUCAGCUUAAAAGCUCUAGUUCCGAGAGCAUGUCAAAAUACAUCCAGUUUUCCAUGUAAGUCAGCUCAAGAAGCAUGUUGGAGAUCAUUCCAUACCUAGUCCUAAUCUUCCAAUGGUGAAUGCUGAUGGCACCAUCAAGACAGGCCCUGCUGGAGUCCUUCACGUAAGACAAGUUCCGAGGCACAACAUUCCAGUAGUGCAGUGGCUAGUUCAGUGGAAAAAUUUAUCUCGAGAAGAAGCUACAUGGGAAGAUGCUGAUUUUAUCAAGUACACAUUUCCGGAGUCCUUCAAAGUUACGAUGCUACAAUGGCGUCAAAAUCAGAAUACGCCGUGAGGAAACGUCGUGUUCCAGAAGGGGGCAAUGUCAGGAUCAUCUUCAGUUAUCUUCAGACGAGGAUGCACUUCAGAUAGUAAACCGACGGCUGAGAUCAACUCCUCGUGUACUGCUUCGUCAUAGCCGUUAGAUGUAACUGUUUACUUUCCGUUGCCGGUUACUGUGCGCCGUUGUUGGUAAAAACCUCCUGCCUAUAAAGCUACUGGGUUGUGGCUUAGCUGGUCAUUGAAUUGUUUUAUCUCUUGCCUUAGAGCAAAGUUAAUGGACUCUAUAGUUAAUAUACUUCAAAUCCGAGAGCACUUUCCUCUCCUCUUCGCACAAACUCUAUCUGUAUUACUACUGGGUCCUGACAACCGGCUCCUUCCUCGCCUCCGACAAGCACUUCCUGCACCAUCUCGUCGCGGGGCUUCCUCUCCAACGCGCCGGGUCCCCUCUUCUCUCCGUCUCGGUGAGCCGCAGUACCCCCCGCACUCCUCGUCUUUUGCUCCNNNNNNNNNNNNNNNNNNNNNNNNNNNNNNNNNNNNNNNNNNNNNNNNNNNNNNNNNNNNNNNNNNNNNNNNNNNNNNNNNNNNNNNNNNNNNNNNNNNNAGAAUUAAGACAAAGUCUAACCAUAGCAUUAAACUAGUGGAUCCAAAUUAGCCCUUACGAAGCAAUGCAUAAACUAGGGUUUAAGCUUCUGUCACUCUAGCAACCCAUCAUCUACUUACUACUUCCCAAUGCCUUCCUCUAGGCCCAAAUAAUGGUGAAGUGUUAUGUAGCCGACGUUCACAUAACACCACUAGAGGAAAAACAACAUACAACACAUCAAAAUAUCGAACGAAUACCAAAUUCACGUGACUACUUAUAGCAUGACUUAUCCCAUGUCCUGGUGAACAAAAGUAACUACUCAUAAAGCAUAAUUAUGUUCAUGACUAGAGCGGUAUUGAAUAGCAUCAAGGAUCUUAACAUAUAAUCUUCCAUCGAGUAAUCCAGCUAGCAUCAACUACAAAGAGUAAUUAAGACUACUAGCAACCUUACAGGUACCAAUCAGAGUCGCGAGACGGAGAUUGGUUACAAGAGAUGAACUAGGGUUUGGAGAUGAGAUGGUGCUGAUGAAGAUGUUCAUGGUGAUGAGUCCCCUCCGAUGAGAGGAGUGUUGGUGAUGACGAUGGCGACGAUUUCCCCCUCCGAGAGGGAAGUUUCCCCGGUAGGACGACCCUGAUGGAGUUCUAGAUUGGUUCUGCUCAAGUUCCGCCUCAUGGCGGCGGCGAUUCCUCCCGAAAGCCUCCUCUUGAUUUUUUGNNNNNNNNNNNNNNNNNNNNNNNNNNNNNNNNNNNNNNNNNNNNNNNNNNNNNNNNNNNNNNNNNNNNNNNNNNNNNNNNNNNNNNNNNNNNNNNNNNNNUUGGACAAGGAAGACAACAUAAUGAAUUAUGUUUGCUUGGUUCCGAACAAUGUUAUAUGACUAGAGAUCCCUUAGCAUGUGACGCUUGGUUCCACCUCAUAUCAGCCAAAACAUCCACACCAAGUAGAGAUACUACUUGUGCAUCCAUAAACCUUCAACCCAUUUUUGCCAUGAGUCCACCAUACCUACCUAUGGAUUGAAUAAGAUCCCUCAAGUAAGUUUUCAUCGGUGCAAGCAAUAAAAAUUGCUCCCUAAAUAUGUAUGAUCUAUUAGUGUGUGGAAAAUAAGCUUUGUACAAACCUGUCAUGAGGAAGACAUAAAAGCGACAGACUGCAUAAUAAAGUUCUUUAUCAAAGGAGGCAAUAUAAAGUGACGUUCCUUCACACUAGGAGGACACACAUCCAAACCUCAAAAGCGCAUGAAAACCUCUGCUUCCCGCUGCGAAGGGCCUAUCUUGUACCUUUACUUUUUUCCCCUGAAAGAGUCAUGGUGAUCGACACCAAUUCCUUAUUUCUCCUUUAUCUUGGCUAAGGUCAUAUGCUAGGGAAAGAUAUAUAUUCAUAUGUCAACUUGGAGGUAAGCAUUCAUGAAUUAUUAUUGUUGACAUUACCCUUGAGGUAACUAGUUGGGAGGCGAAACUAUAAGCCCCUAUCUUUCUCUGUGUCCGACUGAAACUUUGAUCUCAUGAGUACCGAGUGAGUUGUAGCAAUUGUAGAAGACGAAAGGAUGAUUGAGUAUGUGGAUUUGCUUUACAAGCUCUUAUUUAAAUCUUUCCGAUGUUAUGAUAAAUUGCAAUUACUUCAAUGACUAAAGGCUAUUGGUUGUUAAUUCUCAAUAAGGUUCUUGAUCCAUACUUUACUUUGUGAAGGAAUUAUCACUUUAGGAUGAGAGAUUAUAUGAUGGUAUUGCUGUUCUAACUAUGAUCAUCAUGCCUGCAUGUCCUUAUCUUGCUUUGUCGAUACCUCUCUCUCUAAACAUGUGGGCAUAUUUAUUGAUGUCGGUUUCCGCUUGAGGACAAGCGAAGUCUAAGCUUGGGGGAGUUGAUACGUCCAUUUUGCAUCAUGCUUUUAUGUUGAUAUUUAUCGCUUUAUGGGAUGUUAUUACACUUCACGGUACAAUACUUAUGCCUUUUCUCUCUUAUUUUACAAGGUUUACAUGAAGAUGGAGAAUGCUAGGAGCUGGAAUUCUGGCCUGAAAAGGGAGAAAGUUUGAGAUACCUAUUCUGCACAACUCCAAAAGACGUGAAAAUCAACGAGGAAUUAUUUUGGAAUUUAUAAAAACUACUGGGGGGAAGAAGUACCAGAGGGGAGAAAUGAGGAGGCCACAAGCCUGCUAGGCGCAGCCUACCCCCUGGCCGUGCCUAGGGGGCUUGUGGGCUCCCUGUUGGCCCUCUGGCUCCCCUCUUUUGCUAUAAGGAGGGUUUCGUUCCACAAAAAAUCAAGAGGAGGCUUUCGGGAGGAAUNNNNNNNNNNNNNNNNNNNNNNNNNNNNNNNNNNNNNNNNNNNNNNNNNNNNNNNNNNNNNNNNNNNNNNNNNNNNNNNNNNNNNNNNNNNNNNNNNNNNCAGUCGCUGUGCAAAGCUACACUGCCGGAGGGUAUGAGUGGUCGGCUUCGCCCCAGUGUGCACCUUGCGUAGUGCGUCGAGCAUUUGCUCAAAUGUGAGCUUGGGCUGCCAGUUGUUCUUCGGGUCCGCUGUCGUUGAGAGUCGGCUUGGUAGCGGGCGCAUCUUCCUCCACGCUAGCCACAUGCUUGCUUGUAGAGUGCGAAUCAAGUUGAUCCGCGUUGCGCUAGUUGUUCUGGCCGCCUUGGUUGUCACCAGCCGGCUUGGUAGUAGACGGCGUGGGGACAAUUUUGUCCGAGGUGGUGACCUUGACCCGCAUCGCGGAGUCGGCCGUGGCGUACUUGUCCGCCUUGGCCAUGAGUACCGCCAGAGAGGUGGGCUCGGGGCACAUGAGCUUGUGCUUGAGUAGGGUGCCUUCUCGGCAGCCGUCAAUGAAAUAUUGAAUGGCUUGUACCUCAUGCACUCCUUCGCAGGAGUUGCGCAACUCCAUCCAACGUGUGACGUAGUCGCGAAGGGGUUCGUCAGGGCUCUGGACGCACAUGGCCAUCUCGUGAGGCCGACCAGGGCAUUUGUAGGUGCCAGUGAAGUUGCAGACGAAUGCCUCCUCGAAGUCAACCCAAGAGUUGACGCUGCCGCCUCGAAGGCUAUUAAGCCAUGUCCUAGUCGAGCCGGCCAACAUGAGAGGCACGCAGCGGACUGCUACGCGUUUGUUGCCUCGAGCGAUGCCAACUGCGGUGGUGUAGUCGAUCAGCCAGUCUUGUGGCUUGGUUGUGCCGUUGUANNNNNNNNNNNNNNNNNNNNNNNNNNNNNNNNNNNNNNNNNNNNNNNNNNNNNNNNNNNNNNNNNNNNNNNNNNNNNNNNNNNNNNNNNNNNNNNNNNNNAAUCUAUCAAGAUGUGUGAGGGGGUGCUGCACAUCCGCGAUGUUGAGGGGCCCAAGAAGAUUGGAAGCAUGGAGGCGAGGCUCAAAGCAAUGGAGAAAUAAGUGUUCAAGUGCCAAGGGAUGGUGGAACGCGGACUCAACACCAACCACAUGAUGAUCACGGAGUUCACCAACAAGCACAAGAUCGAUGACAAUGACAUCGGCAAACACCUCUCCAAGCUCUAUGACAGAAUUGAUCACCUCCAAGCCGAGAUCUAUGACCUGCAGAACCAAAACUGUGAGUAUGAGUAUAGAUUUAAAUCAAUACGGUUGGCUGCAGAUUUGAGGAUUCCGGAGACUCGAUCAUCUUUCCAUGAUGGAGUACCUAUGCCUUGGAAGACGGAGGAUCAAACCCAGGUUGCAACAACUCCACCACCAUCACCUCCAAAGGAAGACAACUAAGCACGUGUAUGGGCAAUCCCCUUGGCUUGUGCCAAGCUUGGGGGAGUUGCCCCGGUAUCGUAUCAUCAUCACAUCUUUUGCCUUUACCUUUUCUUAGUUUGAUACUUUUUGGUUUUAUCUUUCUCUAGUAGAAUAAAGUUCUUAGUGUUUUGGGCUUGAGUUUUGCUUUGUUUCACCGCCGAUGUAUUCGAGUUCGUGAGUCAUAUAAUAAAGAGUGUUUUAGUUAAGGGCAUUGCUUCAUGCCAUGAUCUAAAGAAAAGAAUGAUAAAAGAACAAAAGCAUGAAAGACCAUGUACUGAUCUUAUGGGAAGUGAUGACUUCACAUAUAAAAAGAAUGUUGAAUGAAACUUGUCGUGGGUGGACAAACAUAGACCUUGGUCAUUGUUGCAAUUAAUAGGAAGUAAUAAAGAAGGAGAGGUUCACAUAUAAAUAUAUCAUCUUGGGCACCAUCUAUGAUCGUGAACACUCAUUAAACUAUUGCAUGCUUAGAAGUAGAUGUUGGACAAGGAAGACAACAUAAUGAAUUAUGUUUGCNNNNNNNNNNNNNNNNNNNNNNNNNNNNNNNNNNNNNNNNNNNNNNNNNNNNNNNNNNNNNNNNNNNNNNNNNNNNNNNNNNNNNNNNNNNNNNNNNNNNGAUCUGUGGCAGGAGGCAUUGUUGCAUGCAGCGCUGAAACAUGGCACCAGCGUUCUUCAGGCCGAACAUCAUGGUGGUGUAGCAGUAGGCCCCGAAGGGUGUGAUGAAGGAGGUCUUCAGUCGAUCAGCUCGAUCCAGCUUGAUUUGGUGGUAGCCUGAAUAGGCGUACAGAAAGGACAGCAAUUCGUAGCCGGUUGUGGAGUCGAUCACUUGAUCUAUCAUGGGCAAGGCAAAAGGGUCUUUCGGGCAUGCCUUAUUCAGGCUCGUGUAGUCGAUACACAUUCGCCAUGUGUUGUUCUUCUUCGGCACCAGGACUGGGUUGGCCAACCAGUCCGAGUGGAAAACCUCCAUUAUGAAGCCGGCUGCGAGCAGCCGGGCGAUUUCUUCUCCAAUUGUGCGCUGCUUCCCCUCGGCGAAGCGGCACAAGGGUUGUUUUACCCGCUUGGAAUCGGCCGCACAUGAAGCUUGUGCUCGGCGUACUUCCUCGAACUCCUGGCAUGUCCUUUGGGACCAUGCAAAGAUGUCCCAAUUCUCACGAAGGAAGUCGACGAGCUCGCCUUCCUAUUUGGUGUUGAGAUUAGCACCGAUGGUGACGCACUGCUUGGGGUUUGCUGGGUCAAGUGGCACCUGCUUGGUUUCCUUGGCCGGCUUGAAUGAGCCUUCACCGGCUGACUGGGAUGGUGGAUUAGGGAUCGCCGGCUACUCGGUAGCCUGAGCCACGAGCCGGUCGAUCUGCCUCUUUUCCUCAGCAAUCACGAGGGCGUCCNNNNNNNNNNNNNNNNNNNNNNNNNNNNNNNNNNNNNNNNNNNNNNNNNNNNNNNNNNNNNNNNNNNNNNNNNNNNNNNNNNNNNNNNNNNNNNNNNNNNNNNNNNNNNNNGCUGCUCUGGUGUGCCCACUCGAGCGACUUCUUAUAGUCACCAGCGCUGGUGAUGAUGCCCUUUGGAACCGACUUCUUCAUAUUGAGGUAGGCAUAGUGGGGGAUAGCCUUGAACUUGGCCAAAGCCGGCCUGCCCAGCAACACAUGGUACAGGCUGUUGAGAUCCGCCACCUCGAACCAAAUUGAUUCUCGGCGGAAGUGCGCCUUGUGGCCGAAGAGGACGUCCAGCUGGAUUUUGCCUAUCGGCGAGCAGGACUGUCCCGGCACGAUACCGUGGAAGACAGUGCUGGUCGGCUGGAGGUCCCUCUCCUUCAGCCCAAGCAUGAGCAAGGUGUCGCGAUAGAGGAUGUUUAUGCUGCUGCUGCCGUCAACCAACACCCGAAAUAACCGGCAAGUGAGCCUCUUGGAGGCGAAGGUGGGGUCGAGGACGAGUGCGUAUGAGCCAUGGUUCCGCAUCACCGUAGGAUGGUNNNNNNNNNNNNNNNNNNNNNNNNNNNNNNNNNNNNNNNNNNNNNNNNNNNNNNNNNNNNNNNNNNNNNNNNNNNNNNNNNNNNNNNNNNNNNNNNNNNNCAACAUCGCGGAUGUGCAGCACCCCCUCACACAUCUUGAUAGAUUGAGGGUGUUGCAGCACUCCUGCGAGGUAGGGAUUGAUGACCUUCUCGAAGAACUUGUUCUUCGGAGCUUUUGGGGACGCCAUAGCGAUCUAGAUCUAUCUGCAUAACAGCUCGAAACGAAAACAGAGGAAAUUUGCGUGAUACGAGGGUCAGACCUUUCGAGAGAAUAUAUUAUGAUUUUUUCCAGACCAGAAGGAGUACUCCACAAGAAAACGGAGUCCGGGAGGCACACGAGGUGGUCACAAGCCCCCCAGGCGCGGCCAGGGGGGUGGCCCGCGCCUGACAGGCUUGUCGCCUCCUCGUGCACUUUCCGGACUACUUUAAAAUUUUCUAUUUUUCUCAAAAUUCCAAAACAGAGAAAAACUCCUACUGGAAAAGUUUUGGAGUCGGUUUACUUAUCGAAUCACAUACCUCUUCGUUUUUUGAGUCUGAAACAGGCUGAUAAAUAUCCCUUAUGUACUCCUCCGGAGUUAUGGUAUUGAUAAUAUUGCUUUCAAUAUUUAUGGGAGUACCUGAGAUAUAAUGCUUGAUUCCUUGCCUAUUUACCACUCUCGGAAAAUUACCUUCCGUAUUGUUGAUCUUGAUGGCACCGAAACAAUAUACUUCCUCAACAAUGUAAGGACGUUCGCAUUUAGAGAGAAGCUUGCGUGCAAAAAAUCUUCAACGAGAAUUAUAUAGCAGGACAUAAUCACCCACGUUGAACUCAUGUUUUUGUAUCCUUUUAUCAUGCCACCUCUUAACCUUUUCUUUAAACAACUUGGCAUUUUCAUAUGCCUNNNNNNNNNNNNNNNNNNNNNNNNNNNNNNNNNNNNNNNNNNNNNNNNNNNNNNNNNNNNNNNNNNNNNNNNNNNNNNNNNNNNNNNNNNNNNNNNNNNNUCGCGUCCGGAUCGAUCACCAUGCCCGUGGAGCCUACGCUUGUGGAGGUUUUUGUGAUGUUGGUCGAUGUUCGAGUCCGUCUCAUGGACUCUGACGAGGAGUCUGACAAUGAGUCGCUCCCCAGCAUCGUCAUCGCUGUUGUUGCGAACCUCGGCGUCCUCUUCAGUGACUUGUGCCUCGACGAUGAGCCUCGCUACCUCGGCGAGGGCAUCGACAUCGACGCGCUAUGCGCCAGCUUCAGUAGGCUCUCCCUCAAGGAGGUGCCUGCGCACGAUGAGUACCCUAGCGAGGUACUCGUCUUCAAUGGUCCACCAUCAUCUGCAGGGUGUCUUGCCCCACACCACGUCACUGUCAUCUCCAACCUCAUGGAGGUGAUGGUCAUUGGUGGCGGCACCAGCAAGCAUCACGGCAAGGCGUUAGCAAAGGCAGCUGACCCCGCUACGGGUGCUGCCGAAUCGCUUCAUGCUGCCCUUGCCGGCUUGAAGACGCCUAUCGCCUUCUCUGCAAGCCCAAUCGAUGCUCGUGCNNNNNNNNNNNNNNNNNNNNNNNNNNNNNNNNNNNNNNNNNNNNNNNNNNNNNNNNNNNNNNNNNNNNNNNNNNNNNNNNNNNNNNNNNNNNNNNNNNNNGCAAUGGCGCAAGAAAAUAGUCUUGAUAACCCACAAGUAUAGGGGAUCGCAACAGUUUUCGAGGGUAGAGUAUUCGGCCCAAAUUUGUUGAUUCGACACAAGGGGAAGCAAAAGAAUAUUCUCGAGUAUUAGCAGUUGAGUUGUCAAUUCAACCACACCUGAAAGACUUAGUAUCUACAGCAAACUUUCAGUAGUAAUGUAGUGUGAUGGCAACAGUAGCAACGGUAACAGUAGCAACAGUGACAGCAGUAGCGGUAACAGUAGCAGAAGUGAAAGCAGUAGAAGCAAAGUAACAUAGCAAGAACCAGUCGGAAAAGACUCGUAGGCACUGGAUCGGUGAUGCAUAAUUAUGUCGGAUGACAUUCAUCAUGCUACAGUUAUAACAUGGGCAGAUAUGUAACUAGCUCCGCUUCGUCAAUGUAAUGUAGGCAUGCAUUCCGCAUACAGACAUACGUCCUUAGGGAAAAGAACUUGCAUGACAUCUAUUGUCCAUCCCUCCCGUGGCAGCGGGGACCUAACGGAAACUACGGGAUAUUAAGGUUCUCCUUUUAAUAGAGAACCGGAACAAAGCAUUAGCACUUAGUGAAUACAUGAACUCCUCAUACUAUGAUCAUCUCCGGGAGUGGUUCCGGCUAUUGUCACUCCGGGGUUGUCGGGUCAUAACACAUAGUAGGUGACUACAACUUGCAAGAUAGGAUCAAGAACACACAUAUAUUGACGAGAACAUAAUAGGUUCAGAUCUGAAAUCAUGGCACUCGGGCCCUAGUGACAAGAAUUAAGCAUGGCAAAGUAGUAGCAACAUCAAUCUCAGAACAUAGUGGAUACUAGGGAUCAAUCCCCAUCAAAACUAACUCGAUUACAUGAUAGAUCUCAUCCAACCCAUCACCGUCCAGCAAGCCUACGAUGAGAUUACUCACGAACGGUGAAGAGCAUCAUGGAAUUGGCGAUGAAGGAAGGUUGGUGAUGACGCUGGUGACGAUAUCCCCUCUCCGGAGCCCAGAACGGACUCGAGAUCUGCGCUCCAGAGGAAGAACAGGUGGUGGCGGCGCCUCCGUAUCGUAAAAUGCAAUGAACUCUUCUCCUUGAUCUUAUUCCGGACGAAAGGGACUAAAUAUGGCCAUGGGGGCCACGCCUCCUGGGCUUGUGGGCACCUCGCUCCACGUCUCCGGUUGAUUCUUGCGCCAGUAUUUUUUAUAUAUUUCACAAAAAAUCCUCGUACAUUUCCAGGUCAUUCCGAGAACUUUUAAUUCUGCGCAAAAACAACAUCAUGGCAAUUCUGCUAAAAACAGCGUUAGUCCUGGUUAGUUCCAUUCCAAUCAUGCAAAUUAGAGUCCAAAACAAGGGCAAAAGAGUUUGGAAAAGUAUAUACAAUGGAGACGUAUCACACAACAAAACUAGCAGGAAAGAAAAGGCUUUUCCCUUUUCGAAAUAUGGUUUUACACCUGAAUUCAAAUAGAGGCAAGCAAAAGGAUUUGGUAAAAAGUAAAAAUAGACAAGCCAUGUGGGAAUUAUGCCCUAUUUUACAAAAAUAAUUAACAUAUUUUUAGGACAAGAUAAUUCACACUUAAAACAGAAAUUAGAUGUUGUUUUCUUUUAAAACCCUCAUUAAACCAAAGUCUAAAAUAACAAUGAGAGCAACCCCUACAUUCACAAAUAAGACCUCUAAGGCAUUAACAUUUUUUAUAACAGGUUCAAGCAAAGUUUAAAGCACAAGUUAGAAUAAAUAAUGGGAUGAGUGUUUUGCAAGGUUUGAAAACACCACACUCAACCCAAACACUUAUAUGAGCACUAGCACUUCCAUGAUGGACCAAACACUAGCAACACAAGUAAGGGGGUGCAAAGGAUGCAAAAGAAUGCCAUGAUGCAAGAUGAUGACAGGGAAUGAUGGCCACAUGAAAUGAUAACCUCCUCAUAACUUCCAUACAUAGGCUCAACAAUGUGCCACAAGAGGAAAGGAAUUACAAUUAAGGAAAGGGAAACAUCUGGGCUCUUACACGGCUUCACCUUCAAUGUCGCGCUGGAUUUUGGCCAUCUCCUCCCUUAGUUUUCCUAACUUGGCGUUGACUUGUUCCUGAUUCUCCGCCGUCACAGUGAUUGACGUGAGUUUGGCCACCUCGGCUACUAAAUACGCCAUGGCUUGAGCUGGGGUCUUCCCUGAUUCGCUGGCUUUGUUGUUGCCAGCCGCGUUUGGCUGAGGGACCGCUGCUCCUGCCAUGUAAAUGGUGACCUGACGAUGGGGGCCUUCAACGUCCUCGGAAAUUGCUGCCUCAGGCAAGCCCCUCGGCUAUCCUUCGUGGAGAGGAUAGAUUGAAUCUGUGUCGCCUAUGGACGACUCGUCGUCCGAGUUGACAGGUGUGUUCUCCUGGAUUACUGUCUCAUCCGGUAGGUCGGUUCCUUGUGUAAAACCAACAAAAGCAUGGCGUUUCCUGACCUGAUGCUUGGCAGGAUGGGCGUACCGGGCCGGCUCGACGGUGUCGGUGAAGGUGUCCGGCUCAGGUACGGGAGCCCCAAACUUUCCAAUGAAGAUGUGAAUCUUGCCGAAGGGGACCCUGUAUCCAGAUUCGAUUGAAUCGGCCUCAGACCCCCAUUGAGAGUUGUCGAUGUAGUACUCCCCACGACGACUCUUAGUCAUGAUGCUGACAGCGUAGCUUCCAAACCCUGGAAGGGAUCCCUUUGAAAACUCAACUCCACCGUGUGCAAGCCCCACAUUGGGCGCCAACUGUCGUGGUUUUUUCACGGCAGGUGUCCUCGUGAAAGGACUUAGUGAUGGAGCCAUCGCACCUUGGUGGCGACUCAAAGGGGGUGAGCGGAAGCGAGACUUAGGUUUACCCAGGUUUGGCCCCUCCUAUGGAGGUAAAAGCUACGUCCUCCUUUGUGUAUAUUGACGGUGGAUUCGAUUACAAGGAGGGAGUAACUCGCCUGGCCUAGCUCUCGAUGGAUUCUCACUUAACCUAUCUUCCCUACAGACUCGCCUUUAUAUACACAUCGAGGCCCUAGGGUUUACAAAGUCCUGGCCACAUUACAAAUCGUGGCCUUCCAUAUCUCUAACCGUCGUGUAUUCCAUGCUAGGAAAUCUCCUCGGCGACUUAUCUUCUCCAUUAAUCUUGAACCGCCAUCUAGGCUCAUGGGCCCUGGCCGGCUUUUCGUUGAAGUUCUCCUGACGCAUCUCAAACCCUGCGCCAAGGCCAAUCUUUUAUCAUGAAUGUUGAAUCGCCGCUUACCUGGCCCGGCCCAAUAGGGCGGGUCAUACCGCAGGUAAUAUCCCCAACACCACCCUUAGGAUUUCCCACCCUAAGAGGUGCGGCGGCCCCAGAUGGGCAAGGAGGGCGGCAGCCAAGGGUGGAGGCGCCCUAGAGUGGGCCUUGAGGCCCAAGGCAGCCCCUCCACGCCUAGGGUUUGCCCCCCUCCACCACUUGCUGCGCCUUGGGCCUUUAGUGGUGGCGCACCAGUCCACCUAGGGGCUGGUUCCCAUCCACUUUUGGCCCAUGUAGUAGUUUGGGGCUGGUGGCCCUUCUCGGUGGACCCCCGGAACCCUUCCGGUGGUCCCGGUACAUUACAGGUGACGCCCGUAACACUUCUGGCGAUGAAAUCUUCAUUUCCUAUAUAUGAAUCUUUACCUACGUACCAUUAUGGAACUCCUCGUGCCGUCUGAGAUCUCAUCCGGGACUCUGAACAACCUUCGGUAACCACGUACACUAUUCCCAUAUAACCCUAACGUCAUCGAACCUUAAGUGUGUAGACCAUACGGGUUCGGAAAGCAUGCAGACAUGACCGAGAUACCUCUCCGGUCAAUAACCAAAUGAGGGGUCUGGAUAUCCAUGUUGGCUCCCACAUGUUCCAUGAUGAUCUCAUCGGAUGAACCACGAUGUCAGGGAUUCAAUCAAUCAUGUAUGCAAUUCCCUUUGUCUACCGGUAUGAUACUUUCCCAAGAUUCGAUCGUCAGUAUCCCUAUACCUUGUUCAAUCUCGUUACCGGCAAGUCUCUUUACUCGUUUUGUAACACAUCACCCCAUGGCUAACUCCUUAGUCACAUUGAGCUCAUUAUGAUGAUAGAUUACCAAGUGGGCCAAGAGAUACCUCUUCAUCACACGGAGUGACAAAUCCCAGUCUCGAUUCGUACAACCCAACAAACGCUUUCGGAGAUACCUGUAGUGCACCUUUAUAAUCACCAGUUACAUUGUGACGUUUGGUACACCCAAAUAACUUCUACGGUAUCCGGGAGUUGCACAAUCUCAUGGUCUAAGGAAACGAUACUUGACAUUAGAAAAGCUUUAGCAGACGAACAAUACGAUCUUGUGCUAUGCUUAGGAUUGGGUCUUGUCCAUCACAUCAUUUCCCAAUGAUGUGAUCCCGUUAACAAUGACAUACAAUGUCCAUGAUCGGGAAACCAUGAUCAUAUAUUGAUCAACAAGCUAGCCAACUAGAGGCUCACUAGGGACACAUUGUGAUCUAUAUAUUCACACAUGUAUUACGGUUUCCGGUUAAUACAAUUAUAGAAUGAAUAAUAGACAAUUAUCAUGAACUAGGAAAUAUAAUAAUAACCACUUUAUUAUUGCCUCCACGGCAUAUUUUCAACACUUACAUCCUUUACGUACCGUUUUACUCGGAAAUGGCUUCCAUGGGCAAGUCUUCAUAUAUUUGUAGUGGAAAUCUUCAUCGAUAGCAUUAACCCAUGCCAUCUGCCUUAACCCCAUAGGCAUUCUCAAAGGGAAGCGUCCUAGCUCGCACUUAAGUCACCAAGGUAUUCUUCAUCUUAUCAUGUUCUCUCAUGCCUGGUCAAUAAAAUAACUAGUGGCAAGCUAGUGAGUGCUUUGAAUGUACUCGCUAGCAACCCAUGUUUGGAACAAGGCAAUAAGAAUGCAUGAUAUAGCACUAAGUAGGUAAUUUGUAGAAAUCUAGUUUACAGUGGAAUGUCAUGAUCAAUCAACUUGUAAAAGCAUGCAUCAACAGGUUGCCGAUAUCCAUACGAACAAGUCAUAGAUAUCAUCAUAUGCAGGGUUAAACAUCUCAUGUUCAAUCACCAUGUCCAGUCAUGUGAGUACGCUCAAGUAUCAUCUUUCUCGUACAUACAUGCCAAGUUUGCAACAAUGGACGUAGCCCAAGAGCGGUCAUCCAACUAUCCUUGACCAUGGACAUGGCUAUUCGAAUAUUUUUAUACUCUGAUUUGCGCGUUGUACCCACAAGACUCCGAGAACUUCCGUGUCAUCCAAGACUCGCGGUAUAUUACAUACCCGAGGUAAGCACCAGAACAAUGCCUUUCCCCCGGAGACACUAAACAACGAAUUCACUCGUUGGCCCACGUCCUCAUGACGUACAUCAUACGAGCCUCACUCAAGAUUGUACCAUCCUUGAGUUGACACAAGGGUGUGCCCGGUGUUCAUAAAAACAUUCCAUGGUCUCCCUACCUGGCACGACCGUGUAUUGAGAGGGUAACUCUGGCCCUCCCGCCACUAGUAAUGCGGGCUCUCUGCUAGAAUCAACCAGAGUAAUCAACAAAGUCCGGUCCCAUGAAGGGGUGUCGUGGUCGAACAUGUAAGGUUGGAGUAAUGGUCGCAACUUAAACCAAUCUGUUUUCGAAAGAACCACCUCUUUCUCAAGUGGUUACCUAGAUCAACACCAUCUCCCUCGGGAAAUAGUGGCACUCGACGGGGUUUUCGAGAAGUCUUUGAAAUCAUUUCUUUUUUGUCACCAUGCAUAUUCCAAUCCAACUUGCGUAGCAUCUACUUUAGCAUCCUAACUACUCCCCACCCACACAGCCCUCAUUGGAUGGUUGGGUCAUGCUCAUUGCAAGUAUCAAAGAGGAAAUAUCGGAGACAACACACCAAGGUGGUCACCAAUUCAAUCAUGAUUCAUAUGCAACGAAAUUAAAUGACAUAUGACAUGCAUAAAACUGAUUUCAUAGUCAUGGUCAAAGGGUUGCUUGCCUAGUUGAUUAAAGUCUUCGAGGUCUUCUGACGCUUCUCGUCCAACUCUGAGCACUUUGUCUACUUUAUCAACUAUCGCCGGAAACAACCACAAUAAGACACACAACAAGCAGAGAAACAGAAGUGCUCUAUAAAUAUGAGUUUUAUUUUUCUUGGACAUCUCUCAUCAUAAGAAAAAUUCCUAAAGUUUGUUCUAAUGGAUUUGGAUCAUCGGAGAAUUUCGAAUGGUGGAAAUGGAGGCAUGAGUGGCCCCACAAGAAGUCUUCAAACAAUAUUUUCCUAAAAAUGAGUGGAGGCACUCAUUUAAUAGGGCAUGAUUGUAGAGGAAUUUAGGAAGUGGUUUCACUGGAUUUGGGGUUGGGAUGAUUUUCCCGUGAUUUAUUUAAGAUGGAAAUAGUGAAAAGGGGAUCCAUUUAUUUGGCCUAGGAGAAACAAUACUAAGAAAAAUGUCACCUUGGUUGUACAAAUAAGGCUUGAUUUUUGAAGUAUGUGGAAAUUUGAAUCACUCCAUUUGGAGUUGAUUGGAAUGUUAUAGGAAAUUUCCAAGGUUGGGAUUUGAAAUAUUCAAUUUUGAAUUUGAAUAUGAACACUAUAGAUAAGUUCUUUGGAAAAAUGUGCAAUGCAUAUAUUUGGAUAGGCCAUGUUUUUAGGAGCACCUAGAAUUUUGAAUCAUCAAAUUUAGAGUUUAUAUGAAUUGAUUAGACUCUGUGGAAAAAAGACACGAGGAAGAAUUCUCACCAAAAUGGCUAAAAUGGCGCAAUAGGCGCCACAUAGAAAACGGGCCGGCCCAGUGGCCCGAUCGGGCGGCUGGGGAACACCGAAUGCUUAUUCCAGCAAAUACGCCUCCACCGUGAGGAGGCGGGUUCACACGGAGCAGUCUCCACUUUCUUGUGGGCCCGACCAUUGGAGUCGCUUAAUGGCGGGCCCUGUCGGUUCCUUCUCUCUCCUGCCCACCUUCUCCUACCUCCCGAUAGGAGGCAAAGGGGAUGCCUGCCGCCAUAGCUCCGGCCACUAUGCUGCACCAAUCGCCGAGUUGGGGGCAUGGGCGGACGCCCCGCUCCCUGCCACGCUCGGGGGUGGUCCUAUCAGUCGCGGGGAUCGCCUGAGCAAGUUGCCCACCGGGAGGGGUAGACAGCUGCUUUGGCUGAUGCUAGCUAGCGCAAUAUGGUGGUGGAGAUCAUAUCUUGGGGUGUCGGGGAGGAUGGAUUGACCACGGGGGUCUCAAAGGAGGUGAAAUUAGAGGAGAGGGAGGGCUCACUCGCUUGAAUUCGAGCGGAGAAAAAAGGUGGCAGCUGCAGUUAUGGGAGGGCCUUUCGUGAUCGAGAGCUCCAAUGUCUCAGGCACGGGAUGUGUGAGAGUGGGAGGAGUGGCCUGGGUGCGAGGGUGAGCUCGGAGGGGAGGUAAAUGGAGGGGGCGAUGAAGUGGGGUUCGGGCGCGCCUCGGAUGCCUUCAGGCAUGAAGAGCGCGCAUGCCAGAGCCACCUUGGAGCGUUCUGGCAUGGGGAGAGGCGUGGGAGGUCGAAUGGGAACCCCUGGCGCAUGUGGUCACCCUGCCAUGCCCUGCAGCGAGCUACAAGACAAGCACAAGUUACCCCUGGUAGCCACCAGCGGUUGAUAGGUUGGACCAACACUCACGAGGAGCACUGGUCCGAGCUGUUCAUUAAAUCCUCGGGGUAGCUAUUCCCUAUGAAUUUAAUUAUUAAGUUAUUAGUAGAUUAAAACUAAAGUUGGGUCCUGCCAGACCAGCCUUAACACUACACGAAUUAUCAAGGGGGUCCCCAUAACAACCCCGAACGUGUUAGGAGCGCUCAGUUAUGGAAUAAUACACCGGUAGCCGAAACUAAGGCGGCAACAACGGAACGAAUCACCUGGCAAAAGGCUAGGCCUUCCGUUAUUUACCAAGUAUAUAGGUGCAUUAAUUAAAUAGCAAUUUCAAACAUAAUGAUAUCAAAAUGCCCAUGUUAUCACAUGGACCAACUGGCACCUUCAACUAGCAAAGCUAUCCAUUAGAGGUUGAGCACGCCUACUUAGCCAAACAUUAUUUUCUAGGAUAGGGAAGUGUUUGGGGUUCAUGGCAAAGACAGGUGGCAUUUAUAUCAUGUGAUAGGCAGCGAGCAUGUAACUAAGGAAGCGUAUCUCUAAGCAUAACAAAGCUAGAAACGAUGUCAAGGUCACGGUCAUCUUGCAUGUGAUUUCUUCAGACUGGAACUGCUCUUGUUCUUCCUGCACGUACUCUCCAGAAUCCACGUACUCGCUCUUCAUUCCCGAUGCUACCCAAGAUAAUAUAACAUCAAACAAACACCGGCAAAACAUAAUGCAACAACCAAUAUGAUGCAUGUGUGAAGAAGGAAGCAUGCAUCACUAUUCUAGUCACUUUCAUAUGCAUUAGAUGAGUUAAAAAAAUUCUGGACAGAACCUCAUUUUAAGUUAUCUUGGCAUGCAUGAACAUGGAAUGAACAUGUGCAUCACGAGAAAACAAAGAAAAAACGUAUAAAGAACGUAGUGAACGGAGUCUCGGAUCAACCGGAAACUACGAAACAAGUUACAAAGCCCACGGGUUCAAAACAGCCACGAACACAACUAAAUGGGCACUCACUGGUGUAACCAGGAUGCCAAGUGAUCAAGCACCACAAUACAAGUGGUGGAAAUGGUGGAAAUGGAGGCAUGAGUGGCCCCACAAGAAGUCUUCAAAUAACAUUUUCCUAAAAAUGAGUGGAGGCACUCAUUUAAUAGGGCAUGAUUUUAGAGGAAUUUAGGAAGUAGUUUCACUGGAUUUGGGGUUGGGAUGAUUUUCCUGUGAUUUAUUUAAGAUGGAAAUAGUGAAAAGGGGAUCCAUUUAUUUGGCCUAGGAGAAACAAUACUAAGAAAAAUGUCACCUUGGUUGUACAAAUAAGGCUUGAUUUUUGAAGUAUGUGGAAAUUUGAAUCACUCCAUUUGGAGUUGAUUGGAAUGUUAUAGGAAAUUUCCAAGGUUGGGAUUUGAAAUAUUCAAUUUUGAAUUUGAAUAUGAACACUAUAGAUAAGUUCUUUGGAAAAAUGUGCAAUGCAUAUAUUUGGAUAGGCCAUGUUUUUAGGAGCACCUAGAAUUUUGAAUCAUCAAAUUUAGAGUUUAUAUGAAUUGAUUAGACUCUGUGGAAAAAAGACACGAGGAAGAAUUCUCACCAAAAUGGCUAAAAUGGCGCAAUAGGCGCCACAUAGAAAAUGGGCCGGCCCAAUGGCCCGAUUGAGCGGCUGGGGAGCACCGAAUGCUUAUUCCAGCAAAUACGCCUCCACCGUGAAGAGGCGGGUUCACGCGGAGCAGUCUCACCUUACGCGUGGGCCCAAUCGUUGGAGUCGCUUACAGGCGGGCACUGUUGGUUCCAUCUCUCUCCUUCCCACCUUCUCCUACCUCCCGACAAGAGGCAAAGGGGAUGCCAGCCACCAUAGCUCCGGCCACUUUGCUGCGCCAAUCGCCGAGUUGGGGGCAUGGGCGGACGCCCCGCUCCCUGCUGUGCUUGGGGUGGUCCUAUCGGUCGCGGGUAUUGCCCGAGCAAGUUGCCCACCGGGAGGGGUAGACAGCAGCGUUGGCCGAUGCUAGCUAGCGCAAUAUGGUGGUGGAGAUCACGUCUUGGGGUGUCGGGAAGGAUGGAGUGGCCACGAGGGUCUCAAAGGAGGUGGAAUUAGAGGAGAGGGAGGGCUCGCUCGCUUGAAUUCGAGCGGAGCCAAACGAUGGCAGCUGCGGUUAUAGGAGGGCCUUUCGAGCUCAAGAGGUCCAAUGUCUCGGGCAAGGGGCCUGUGAGAGUGGGAGGAGNNNNNNNNNNNNNNNNNNNNNNNNNNNNNNNNNNNNNNNNNNNNNNNNNNNNNNNNNNNNNNNNNNNNNNNNNNNNNNNNNNNNNNNNNNNNNNNNNNNNCGCAGGUUUAACGAGGAGCGGCGCAAGGCGAUCGAGGAAGAGGUCGCCCGUCUCUUAGCCGCCAGAUUCAUCGUGGAAGUUUUCCACCCCAAAUGGCUGGCUAACCCGGUUUUGGUACUCAAGAAGAACGGUACCUUCCGUAUGUGCAUUGAUUACACGGACUUCAACAGAGCUUGUCCGAAAGAUCCUUUCGGUCUUCCCCGCAUCGACCAGAUCAUUGACUCGGUGGUGGGAUGCGAAUGAUUGUGCUUUUUGGACGCCUACUCAGGAUAUCACCAGAUCAAGAUGGUNNNNNNNNNNNNNNNNNNNNNNNNNNNNNNNNNNNNNNNNNNNNNNNNNNNNNNNNNNNNNNNNNNNNNNNNNNNNNNNNNNNNNNNNNNNNNNNNNNNNNNNNNNNNNNNNNNNNNNNNNNNNNNNNNNNNNNNNNNNNNNNNNNNNNNNNNNNNNNNNNNNNNNNNNNNNNNNNNNNNNNNNNNNNNNNNNNNNNNNNNNNNNNNNNNNNNNCUCAAGAGUGCGGGGGCCACUUAUCAGGGCUGCAUCCAGAAUUGCCUCCGCAGCCAAAUCGGUCACAACGUCCACGCCUAUGUCGACGAUAUUGUGAUCAAAACCCGCCAGGGGGAGACGCUACUGGAGGAUCUCAAGAAAACUUUCGAUAAUCUACGGGUAUAUCAGAUGAAGUUGAAUCCCACCAAGUGUGUUUUUGGUGUUCCUGUAGNNNNNNNNNNNNNNNNNNNNNNNNNNNNNNNNNNNNNNNNNNNNNNNNNNNNNNNNNNNNNNNNNNNNNNNNNNNNNNNNNNNNNNNNNNNNNNNNNNNNNNNNNNNNNNNNNNNNNNNNNNNNNNNNNNNNNNNNNNNNNNNNNNNNNNNGAAAUUGUUGGGCUUCCUGGUGUCUGAGUGUGGCAUUGAAGCUAACCCGGACAAAAUCGAAGCAGUUACAUCCCUUGGAAGGCCGACAAAUGUUAAUCAAGUUCAACGACUAGCGGGUCGCAUUGCGGCUCUAAGUCGCUUUGUAAGUCGCCUGGGUGAAAAGGCGAUUCCUCUUUAUCAGUUACUAAAGAAAUCUGACCGGUUUGUUUGGACAAAUGAGGCAGACGAGGCGCUCGAAGCCUUGAAACGACAAUUGGUUAACCCGCCGGUCCUGGCCACCCCGACUGAGAAAGAUCUCAUGCUUCUGUAUAUUGCUGCAAAUUUCAAAGCAAUAAGUGUGGCAGUGGUCGUUGAAAGAAAGGAGGAAGGGAAGGAGUACCCAGUGCAACGCCCGGUGUAUUUUAUCAGCGAAGUGCUAACCCUUUCCAAGCAACGGUACCCACACUGGCAGAAGUUAGUGUAUGGGGUGUUUAUGGCGANNNNNNNNNNNNNNNNNNNNNNNNNNNNNNNNNNNNNNNNNNNNNNNNNNNNNNNNNNNNNNNNNNNNNNNNNNNNNNNNNNNNNNNNNNNNNNNNNNNNGGACACGGCUAUUCGAAUAGAUCAUAACCCUGCAGGGGGGGUACUUCGUCACACACGCUCUCGCCACUUAUCGCCAUGUGCACGUCAUGCACCUCGGUAACCUUCAAGCAGAAGCCCAGCGAGGGAGUCGGCCACGACCGUUAACCACACUGGUACCUAGUCCAGGUUUGUCGCCUAUCUGAGGGUAACCCGCACGGAAGUCCGGCCGAGGUUUCCGCCACGGCCUCAAACGAUGUGCGCAGGGUUCCCAAGCCCACCAUCCGGGUGCCACUUGGUACACCGUGCCACUGCCUACCGCAUCACAGCCCACCUCUCAGGUCAGCGCUAUGCACGGCCUCCAGCAUGACUAUAAACACCAAACACUACUUACAACUCCUGGACCGAGCACUAAGCGAUUAAUAAGUCGAGAGGUUCAAUUAAGUAUCCCAACGUGUGGUAGUAUCUAGUCUUGGAUUACAUACACGGAACUCAGUUCCUAAGGACGGUUCCAAUGAAACAACCCGCCAUGUACUCCUACACAGCCUUUCACCGGUACCUUUACCAAAUCAGGUUCGACACACAACCUUUGCUUACCGAACACAUUCUCACAAUUCUGUUCAUCUCCCAGAUGACAGACCAUACACAACUCUAAGCAUAGCAUUCAUAGCAGGAUAAGGCACAUCAUGGCUCAAGCAACGACCAGGUAUGCUAGGUUGCAAGGUUUGGCUAUUUACUGUGACAAGGAUAGGUCAUGCAAAGGAAGUGGGUUCAACUAACGUGGCAAAAGCAGUUGAAGCAUUUGAUCCUAAUGCAAUAAGUAAGUGCAGGAGCAAGAACAUGGGAUUUAUCGGGAUGAUCAAAAAUGGUUGCUUGCCUUGUUGCUCAGAGGAGUGACAAUAUCCGUCAGACGGAUAUUCGGUGGAAUCCGGGGGAGCGGAGCCUACCGGAAGGAAUGACAACAAUCAAUAUCAAGCAUAUGCAAUCAAGAUGAUGCAUGAGCAUGGCAUGAGAAUGCAAGGUGAUAUACUAUUAUAACUAACAUGUAUUAGGUUUGAAGUUGAUUUGAAUCACAUUCAAAUAUCACUUCAAACGAGGUAUUCUCGGAUACCAUUUUAAUUGAUUCGACCUGAUGCUCAGAUCAACUUGAUGUUAACAGGCAUGGGUUGACAUGUUAAGUUGCUGGUUUGUAAUUAGGACAGUAUUUGAUCAUGUCAAUCAUAGUGAAAAUCAAAUAUUUUCCAUAUUCCAUUUAUAAAGUAUUUAUAAGAAUUGACUUAUUCAUUAAUCUACAUGUUUGGGUUCUGUAACAUUUUCAAACAUGUUUGAAAAUGACAUAUUCAGAUUCCUUGAAUUUUUCUGAUACUUUUUCAUAUAUAGAUUAUUUUAAUUGGAGUUACAAAUUAAUUUCUAUGAAUUUUUGAAGUUUUAAACAUUUAUGGAAUUAUUUUUAUACUGGAAAAUCCCUUUACUGCAUCAACAUGACAUCAGCAGGUCCAACUGGCCGUUGAAAGUCAAACCUGACAAGUGGGACCCACUGGUCGGUGUCUUUGGUCAGUUUUAUAUUAAAAAUAAACUUAAUUUGCUGAUUAAUCUUACUGGAACCACAUGUGAGUGUCUUUUAAACUUAUUUGAUUUUAUUUUUAUUAUUCCUAAUCUCCCAGAGGCUGGCCCCACACGUCAAUGGCUCAGGCCAGCUGAGAUCCACCGGCGGCGAGGUCGUCCUCGCCGGCGGGGAGCCUCCGGCGAGCACCAGUACGGUGGAGGGCAUCGGAAACUCGCCUCCGACGGCCAAACUCACGGCAGAGACCACGGGGAGAACAACCACUCGACGACGCGCACGAUGGAACAAGCCCCACGGGCUGGGGUGGCCGGAAUCAACGCCGGCGACAAGUUUGGCGGCGACCAAGUUCGGCCAUCGUCGAAGCCAUCGAAUACAUGUUUGAAACGCGCAGGGCUGGGCACCUAAAGCAUCUACGUGAUGUCAUGAGGCUGCUGGUGGCCUCAGACGGACCAACCCUUCACCGGAGGGCUACCGGCGACGAGCUGCAGCGGCGGUCCUCGUCGGGCUCCGAUGGAACUAAGCCUAGAGGAGGGGAUCGACGGGGAGAGCUUAGGGAAAAGAUGCGCAAGCUCACGAGGACUGCAGAGAAGGGCUUAGACGGCUCCGGGAAGCACCGAGGGCGACGAAUCGAGCAGAGCUCGCCGGCGGCCGAAGGUUGAAGACGACGGUGCCGAGGGUGUUGCAGGGCUCGGGAAGGCUUCGGCUUCUGCAGGGAGGACUAGAUCGACGAGGCGGAGCUAACGGCACACUCAGAAUGAGGAUCCUAUGGCUAGGGGCACGGGCAGCUCGAGCUCGAGCUCCUGUCAAUGGCGGCAGAGGGGAUCGAGGGAACCGAGAGGAGAGGGGGAGGAAUGAGCUGGGGGAUGGAUAGCUACGAGCUCGGGGAGCUUAUCCCCGUGCUUGCCAGCGCAAAGCGGCGGCCAGGCAGGCGCACAGGUGCGUGGCCGCGCCGGAGCACGAGGCGGCCACCUCCUGCUGUCCACUGGCGGGGGAGGAAAACGACAGAAGAACAUGGGCCGGGCGAGGUGAGCGUCACGUAAGGUUUUCUCAUUUUCUUUCUGUUUUGUUUCUGUUUUAAAUACUGAAAUUGAUUUGCUAUUUAUUUCAGCUCCCAAAUAGUUUGUAAAAACUAUGUUGAGCACCUUAGAAUAUUUGUUGGAAUAUUUCCAAUCAUUCCUAAAGUUUUCAUCAUUUUUGAAAGUUUAAAGUUUCUGAUUUCAAAUUUAAAACUUGAAACUAGUAGCUUUUUGCAUUUAUUUGAAAUGCUUAAAGUGUCAAGGAAAAGGUUUUCUUCAUUGCUUAUAUACUUUCAUGAUUUAUCAGAAAGUUUGAACUUUUCUUGAGGCCAUUUUGGGUUCAUUGAUUUUAACUAGUUUGAGAUUUCCUUUAUUUAAAGAAGUGGCUAGGGUUUUGAGUUUUCCUUCACCACUUACUUUAUUCUUGUUGAAAUUUCCUAGAUGCAAUGCAAAGAAAACAUGAGCACAAAGCUAACUUGCUUAAAGUGUCAGGGAUGUGACAGAAGUGCAGUCAGAGUCUAGUGUGGCAAGUCUUGCACUUGCUACCACAUUCAUCAGCAAGUCCAUCUUCAACCUUGAAGAAAAUGACAACGUCAACAACACUGAUGAAUAUGAUGAUGACUUCGCUCCCACCUAUUGCUUCAAGGCAAAAGGUUCAAAGCUACCAAGCCACAUAUCCUCUUCUGAUUCUAGUGACUGUGAACCCGAUGAUUAUCAAAAACCCAGUUACUAUAAAUGUGCCAACAUUGCCACUAAGGAACGAAGUGCUAUUGAAAAGCAUCAGAAACUACUAGACAAAAGGGAUGAUCUCUUGAAUGAUGAAACGAAUCAUACUCAAAUCCUCACUAAAGAUGUUCAAAGUAUUCAGUCUAGAUUUCAUAGUCUUGAAGAUAGUUAUGGUACACUCUUGGCUGAUCAUGAGAAGCUUUCCUAUGAAUUUCUUCAAAGGGAACGUGAUCUUGAGAAGUUGAAAAUAUCCUAUGAUGAUCUUCAAAUGGAAAAUGAGUCAUUGCUUGCUCAACAGAUCAGUACCGCUCACGAAGAAUUCAUUCGACCAUGUGUGAAAUGCAUCGAACGUGAAACUGCAAAUUCUUCACCUGAAACUUCAAAUGCUUCUAUCGCUACAAAUUCUUGAACUGUUCCUAUGGUAUCUAAUUCUUCACUUGAGGAAACCACAAAUGCUACAGACAAAAAUGCAGGAUUGAAGGAAUUGUAUGUGACACGCAUAUACAAAAUUCUCCAAGGGCAUCAAACCCUUUCCGAUAUGCUCAAAUAGCAGAUUUUGAACAGGAAACCGAGGAAAGAGGGCAUUGCCUUUGAGAGGAAACUUAAUAUUGAUGGGUCAUACUGGAAACCUGAGCAGUACCCCAAAACCUCAUGGAUUGCUGCUAAAGGACCUUGCAUUGAUCCAUCCACUUUAACAGGCUUUGCAUUUCAAAUGUCUUAUUCCUCUGAUGAGUCAUUUGACUCUAACUAUAAAUUGUUCAAAAAUCGAGCUGGUGAAGUAUUUGCUCGAUAUGUUGGAACUAACUGCUGGAAUGGACCACCCCUGAGGAAAACCUGGGUUCCCAAAAGCUUCUUGGAAAGUCUUCACGUGAAUGUCCUCAUGAUACAACCAGUGAAGAACAAGAACCCCAGAUAAAAGUCCUGAGGUGGACCAAAGUCUUCACGAGGAUCAAAUUCCUCAAAUGGUCAAACUAUGAUCAACCUCGCACUAAUGCUUUUGAUAUGGAGGGAAACUACAAGGGACAUGAAGAUGUGUACUAUUCCUCAAAUCACUAUGUUCAUAAGUUCUCUAAGAAUUUCUCUGCCUAUUCAUUUGAAUACUCAAACCCCCCUACUGUGAAAAGAAGUGCAUUAGCUUCAAUGCAUCCAUUCUCAUAUGGUGCUCGCACGAUGAUGAACUCUUUACCACCCCUUUAGAUGUGGGUGGUGAAGAAAUCAAACUAAUCACUUCUACAGGUCAGGUCUCCAUAUGAAAGUCAUCAUCUGAAGAAUUUGCUGGAGAACUAAGGACAUUGCUUGAUAGGACGAAAGCUAAAUCACGAUCAAAUGAUCUAUCAUUUCAGACGUCCUCGUUAUAUCCUCAAAUUUAAUUUUGUGAUGAAAUUCAAGUUUGAUGAAAUUUAUAUCAUAUUCUUCAAUAUGAAGCAUAUGAGAUGGUAAAUAGUACUAAUUCAUCUGCAGGAUGAUCAACCAAGAACACAGAGUGGGUUCUUGAUAGUGGAUGUAAAAACACAUGAUUGGUGAUAANNNNNNNNNNNNNNNNNNNNNNNNNNNNNNNNNNNNNNNNNNNNNNNNNNNNNNNNNNNNNNNNNNNNNNNNNNNNNNNNNNNNNNNNNNNNNNNNNNNNCUAUGUGUUAUGAUCCGGCAACCCCGGAGUGACAAUAACCGGAACCACUCCCGAUGAUGACCAUAGUUUGAGGAGUUCAUGUGUUCACCAAGUGCUAAUGCGUUGGUCCAGUUCUUUAUUAAAAGGAGAACCUUAAUAUCCCGUAGUUUCCUUUUGGACCCCGCUACCACGGGAGGGAUGGACAAUAGAUGUCAUGCAAGUUCUUUUCCCUAAGCACGUAUGACGACACACGGAAUGCAUGCCUACAUCACAGUGACGAACGGGAGCUAGCCACAUAUCUCUCCGUGUUAUAGCUGUUGCAUGAUGAAUAUCAUCCAAACAAAUCACCGACCCAAUGCCUACAAGUUUGUCCUACUGUUGCCACUUUUGUUACUUGUCUUGCUCUGCUGUUGCUACUACUAUUGCUACUGCCGUUCCUUGUCUUGCUCUGCUGCUACUACUGUUGCUACUUCCAUUACUUGUCUUGCUCUGCUGCUACUGUUGCUACUAUUGUCGCUUGCUACUGUUGCUACUUGCUACUGCUGUCAAUAUAGUUGUUCCUUGCCACUGCUAUUGCUCGUUACACUGCCGAUACCCGCUACUUCGUUGUUACUACUUCGCUUCUACUAUUGUGCUUGCAGAUACUAAUCUUUCAGGUGUUGUUGAAUAUAACAAAUUCAGCUGCUAAUACUUGAGAGUAUACUCUCAUCUCCUGACUGGCGUACCUACAAAUUGGGUUAAAUACUCUACCCUCAAAAACUGCUGCGAACCCACGCGCUGGUGGGCCAUCAACAACAUUCUUCCAGUUUCAUUACCGGGGAGUGCUAUCAGCAUUCUUCUGGUGCUGUUGUAGGAGAAGGUUAGUUGUUCUAAGCAUUCAUCUAGCUAACACUAGAGAUUACAGGAUCAACACUUUUCUCGAGCCAUUGCCAGAGAAGCACAAUUGACGUCAGCGGUCUGGCUACGGCGACGACGGCGGAGGAGAUUGCAUCGACAGCGUCGAAUCCCAGAGGCGAUGGCGCUCGGGGAGACAAAGGCGAUGACCUGGGUUCUCAAGGGCAACGAGGGUUUGUCGAUUGAAAAGUUUUGACAAAAUGAAUUCAAAAGAUUCGGUCCACAGAUAUAUAUAUACCCGUGCGCUGUCGGUGUCACCGAGAUGGCAAAAUCGGUGACGCCGAGUUCCUCUACUGUCAGUUGAUACGUCUCAAACGUAUCUUUAAUUUUUGAUGGUUUCACGUUGUUAUCUUGUCAUCUUUGGACGUUUUGUGUACCUUUUAUAUCUUUUUUGGGACUAACUUAUUAAUUCAGUGCCAAGUGCCACUUCCUGUUUUUUCUGUGUUCUUGGCUCUUUUUAGAUCUGAUUUCGGAACGGAGUCCAAACGGAAUAAAAUCCCCGGAAUGAUUUUUUUCUCGAACGUAAGAAGAUCAGGGAGGCUAUGGACCAAGCCAGGACGGCUCCAGGGAGCCCACAAGCCCCCACUCCGCCACCAGGGGGAAGCGGCGGAGGCAGGGCUUGUGGCCUCCCUGAGCGCCCCCUGACCUAGAUCUUUGCCCUAUAUAUUCCCUAAAAUACUGCAAAAAAAUCACGGGAGCCUCGAAAAUACUUUUCCGCCACCGCAAGCUUCCGUUUCCGCGAGACCUCAUCUGGAGACCCUUCCUGGCGCCCUGCCGGAGGGGACUUUGGAGUUGGAGGGCUUUUUCAUCAUCAUCAUCGCCCCUCCAAUAACUCGUGAGUAGUUCACUUCAGACCUACGGGUCCGUAGUUAGUAGCUAGAUGGCUUCUUCUCUCUCUUGGAUCUUCAAUACAAAGUUCUCCAUGAUCUUCAUGGAGAUCUAUCCGAUGUAAUGUUUUUUGGCGGUGUGUUUGUCGAGAUCUGAUGAAUUGUGGAUUUGUGAUCAGAUUAUCUAUGAUAUAUAUUUGAGUCUUUGUGAUUUCUUAUAUGCAUGAUUUGAUAUCCUUGUAAGUCUCUCCGAGUUUUGGGUUUUGUUUGGCCAACUAGAUCUAUGAUUCUUGCAAUGGGAGAAGUGCUUGGUUUUGGGUUCUUACCAUGUGGUGACCUUUCCAAGUGACAGUAGGGGCAGCAAGUCACACAUUGAGUGGUUGCCAUCUAGGAUAACAAGGUGGGCUAUGUCGUUGAUAUGAGAUUGUACAUCUACAUCAUGUCAUCUUGCUUAAGGCGUUACUCUGUUCUUUUGGACUUAAUACACUAGAUGCAUGCUGGAUAGCGGUCGACGUGUGGAGUAAUAGUAGUAGAUGCAUAAAGUAUCGGUCUACUUGGUUUGGACGUGAUGCCUAUAGAUAUAAUCAUUGCCAUAGAUGACGUCACGACUUUGCGCGGUUCUAUCAAUUGCUCAACAGUAAUUUGUUCACCCAUCGUCUAUUUUCUCUCAUGAGAGAAGUCACUAGUAAACACUACGGCCCCCGGGUCUAUUAACAUCUAUCGUUUACACCUCCGCUUUUACUUUGCUUUGUUACUUUGUUGCUUUCAGUUCUCACUUGGCGAACAAUAUAUAAGGGAUUGACAACCCCUUCAUAGCAUUGGGAGCAGGUUCUUUGUGUUUGUGCAGGCUCUUGUGAUACUCCUUCACUGGAUCGAUACCUUGGUUCUCAAACUGAGGGAAAUACUUACCAUCGCUGUGCUACAUCACCCUUUCCGCUUCGAGGGAACACCACCGCAAGGCUCCAAGGCCACGGGGGAAAUCCUUUGCAUAUUUUCCUAGGAAGUCCCUUAAGGCGUAGCCGUAGCAGAAGGAUUCCUGGUACCGUCGACACACCUAUUUCUGGCACCAUUGGAAGGUCUUUUGUUGCAGUAGCAGAAGUAUUUCUGGCGCCAUUUCCGGGGAGGAGAGAUCUAUGCAAGUAGGUCUCACAAACUCAUCUCUUCCAUUUACUUUUUUGUCAGUUGCCUCUCGUUUUCCUCUCCCCCACUUCACAUUUGCCGUUUUCAUUUUCCUUUUUCCGUUCACCCUUCUUCCGCUCGCUUUCUGUUUGAUUGUGUUACCAUGUGCCUUCUUUUAGCUUGCAUCUUUGCUUGCUAAAAAUCUAUUGAUAUGGAUCCUCAUCCACUAGCUAAUCUCUUUAAGAGACCCACUUAUGUGGGACGAAUUUCUAGUGAGUUGAGUGCGCUUGACUAUCUUUAUGGAGUUUUGCUUGAGAUGCGUGAAUCUAAAAAUCAAGAUGAAGUUAUUCAUGAGGGCUCCUUGGAUGAAAAGCAUGAUUGCAAUGGUUUCACUAUAAAUUCUAUUAGUGACAAUCAUGCUAAAAUUAUGCAAAACCCUAAGCUUGGGGAUGCUAGUCUUGCUAUGACCACUACUUGUUGCAAAGAUCAUGAUUGGGGUGAUGAUUUUUCUUUUGAUCUUGAAAAAUUUUUCAAGCCUCAAGAUGAAUAUGAUAUUUGCAAUAUUAUUGAAAGUGGGUUUGGAGAAGUCAUGACUUUAGAUGAUAAUCCCACUAUUUUUGAAGAGUGUCAACUUUGCACGCAUGUGGAUCAUGAAAAGAAUAUCCUAUGUGAUAGCUAUAUCGUUGAAUUCGAAUACGAUCCCACAUGUAAUGAGAGAGGAAAAUAUUGUGGUAGAAACUUUCAUGUUACCAAAUUACCUCUCGUUAUGUGGAGAUUGCUAUUGUCUCUUUCUUCUUCCUUGCAUUCGGUAACUAUUGGUUGUCUUGCCACUUUGUUUCCCUUUAAAAUGCCUAUGCAUAGGAAGUAAGUUAGACUUAGAUGUGAUUUUCACAUGUUUUAGGAUGUUCUCGUUGUGCUUCAAUUCUUGUCUUUUGUGAGAGCAUCAUUGAAUGCCUAGCUAAGGGCGUUAAACAAUAGCCCUUGUUGGGAGGCAACCCAACGAAUCUAUCAUUUUUCUUUCUGUUUUGUGUUUUCCACACUUUCAUAAUUCUGUUAUGAUUGUGUUUUUUGUGUUUCUUUUUGCGUUUGUGCCAAGCAAAACCGUUAUGAUUAGUCUUGGGGACGAUCGUUUGGUCAUGGUGGAAAAGACAAAAACUUUGUGCUCACGAAAAGAAUUUUAGUAUUUUUUUUCUGUAAGAGCUUUUGAGUUGAUUCUUCUUGUUGCUGAUUGCUACGCAAAUUCUUCAGACUGCCGUAAUGUUUCAGAAUUUUUGAAGUACUAGAGGUAUACGAAAUAUACAGAUUGCUACAGACUGGUCUGCUGUUAACAAAUUCUGUUUUUGUUGUGUUGGUUGCUUAUUUUGAUGAAACUAUGGAUAGUAUCGGGGGGUAUUAGCCAUGGAAGAUUGAAAAUACAGUAACCCAAAAUCAGCAUAAGUAGAAUUUAAGUUUGCUACAGUACCUAAGGAAGUGGUGGUUUGCUUUCUCAUACUAAUGUUAUCACGAGUUUCUGUUUAAGUUUCGUGUUGUGAAGUUUUCAAGUUUUGGGUGAAGUUCUUAUGGACAAAAAGAUAAAGAGUGGCAACAGCUCAAGCUUGGGGAUAGCCAAGGCACCCCAAGAGAUUUAAGGAUGCCGUAAAAGCCUAAGCUUGGGGAUGCCUCGGGAAGACAUCCCCUCUCUCGUCUUCAGUCCAUCGGUAACGUUAAUUGGAGCUAUAUUUUUAUUCACUUAAUGUUAUGUGUUUUUGCUUGGAGCGUCUUGAAUCGUAUGAGUCUUUUAUUUUUGUUGUGUCACAAUCAUACUUGCUGCACACCUAGAGAGAGAGACAUGCACUCACCGUGAUUUUUUCGAGCUUCACUUAUAUCUUCUGGUAGACAAUUCAGCCCACAUGUGCUUCACUUAUAUCUUUUGAGCUAGAUACUUUUGCUCUAUGUGCUUCACUUAUAUCUUUUAGAGCACAGCAGUGCAUGGCUUGAUAGUUGAUCUAUGCUUUGAAAGUAGUCUUAAAAGGGGUAGUUAUCCAAAGGGAUACGAAAGCUUCCACCUUCAUGUGCAUUGAAUAGUUAGAGAAGUUUGAUUCCUCUCAAUUAGUUUUGAGUUGUGGUUAUGGUAACAUUGAAGUCAUGCUGGUAAGGUUUUGUGGAUCUAGAAAUACUUGUGUUGAAGUUAGUGAUUCCCGUAGCAUGCACGUAUGGUGAACCGCUAUGUUAUGAAAUCUGAGCAUGAUUACUCCAUUGAUUGUCAUCCUUUGCGUGGUGGUCGGGAUCGCGCGAUGGUUUAUACCUACCAACCCUUCCUCUAGGAGUAUGCGUUUAAUGCUUUGUUUCAAUUACUAAUAAAACUUUCGCAACAAGUAUAUGAGUUCUUCAUGACUAAUGUUGAGUCCAUGGUUUAGAUGUACUUUCAGCUUCCACCAUCACUAUCUUCUUAGUGCCGUGCAACUUUCGCCGGUGCACAAAACCCACCAUUAGCCUCCCUCAAAACAACCACCAUACCUACCUACUAUGGCUUUUUCAAAGUCAUUUCGAGAUAUAUUGCCAUGCAACUACCACCAUGACAUGUGCCACCACGUCUACAUUUCCAUUGCAUGAUCAUAAGAUAGCUAGCAUGAUGUUUCCAUUAAUGUCUAUGCCAUGCUAGAUCAUUGUCAUGGUACACUACCGAAGGCAUUCCAUAUAGAGUCAUCGUUGCUCUAAGUUUUCAGUUGAAAGUGUGAUGAUCAUCAUUGAUGGAGCAUUGUCCCAUGUGAGGAAAUAAAAGAGGCCAAAGAAGCCCACCAAAAAAAAGAUGCCAAAGAGCCCACCAAAAAAAAUUAAUAAUAAAAAAAUGAGAGAAAANNNNNNNNNNNNNNNNNNNNNNNNNNNNNNNNNNNNNNNNNNNNNNNNNNNNNNNNNNNNNNNNNNNNNNNNNNNNNNNNNNNNNNNNNNNNNNNNNNNNNNNNNNNNNNNNNNNNNNNNNNNNNNNNNNNNNNAAAAGAGAGAAGGGACAAUGUUACCACUUUUCCACACUUGUGCAUAUUAAGCACCAUGAUCUUCAUGAUUGAGAGUCUCUCAUUUUGUCACCACCAUAUAGCUAGUGGGGAAUUUUCAUUAUAUAACUUGGCUUGUAUAUUCCAAUGAUAGGCUUCCUCAAAAUUGCCUUAGGUCUUCGUGAGCAAGCAAGUUGGAUGCACACCCACUAGUUUUCUUUAAGAGCUUUCACUUACUCUUAGCUCUAGUGCAUCAUUUGUAUGGCAAUCCCUACUCAUUCGCAUUGGUAUCUAUUGAUGAGCAUCUCCACAGUUCAUUGAUAUGCCUAGUUAAUGUGACUAUCUUCUCCUUUUUUGUCUUGCAACCUCCACCACACUCCACAUCAUCUAUAGUGCUAAAACCANNNNNNNNNNNNNNNNNNNNNNNNNNNNNNNNNNNNNNNNNNNNNNNNNNNNNNNNNNNNNNNNNNNNNNNNNNNNNNNNNNNNNNNNNNNNNNNNNNNNCGGGAGGAGGGAGAGAGUCGACGCUGGGAAUGGAUAGGUGAGGCCUCGGGGACCUUAUCCCUGGCCUUGCCAGCACGAGGUGGCGGCCAGGCAGGCGCACAGGUGCGUGGCCGCGCGAGAGGAGGCGGCGGCCACCUCCUGCUCCUACUGGCGCGAGGGAGACGACAGGAGCUGGGAUGGGCCAGGCCAGGCUAGGCGACAGGUAAGAGUUUCCCAUUUUUUUCUAUUUUUGUUUCUGUUUUAGCUUCUUCAAUAUUUUGCUAUUUAUUUCAGCUCCAAAACAAAUUGCAAAAACUAUUUUAAACACACCUGAAUAUUUGUUAUAAUAUUCCCAACCAUUUCCAAAGUUUUCAACAUUUUUGAAAAUUUAUAGUUUCCGAUUUCAACUUUAAAGUUUGAAACCAGUGGCUUUUUGCAUUUAUUUAAAAUGCUUAAAUGUCAAGAAAAUAGUUUUCUCCAAUGCUUAUUUACUUUCAUGAUUUAUCAGAAAGUUUGAACAUUUCUUGAGGCCAUUUUGGUUUCAUUGAUUUUAACUAGUUUGAGAUUUUCAUUAUUUGAAGUAGUGGCUAGGGUUUUGAGUUUUUCCUUUGCCACUUUCUUGAUCUUGUUGGAAAAUCUUAGAUGCAAAUGCAAAGUAGACAUGAGCACAAGACUAACUUGCUUAAGGGUUAGGGAUGUGACACAGGUAUAAGACCUCAUACAAGAUUCUUUGCAUACAAAGUAAGGGAGAAAAGCUCAAUCGUUAAGCAUGUGUUCAUAUUGUGUGGAUACUACAAUCGAUUGAAUCGAGUGGGAGUUGAUCUUCCAGAUGAGAUAGUGAUGGUUCUCCAAAGUCACUGCCACCAAGCUACUAGAGCUUCGUGAUGAUCUUUAACAUAUCAGGGAUGGAUAUGAUGAUCCUUUAGCUAUUCGUGAAUUUGACACCAUGAAAAUAUAAAUAAAAAAGGAGCCUCAAUUGUUGAUGGGUAGUAAAACCACUAGUUUCAACAAGGGCAAGGGAAAGAAGGGAUACUUCUUGAAACAGCAAACGAGUUGUUGCUCUAGUGAAGACACCCAAGGUUGAACCCAAACCCAAGACUAAGUGCUUAUGUAAUGAGGGGAACAGUCAUUGAAGAGGAACUACCCUAGAUACUUGGUAGAUGACAAGUCCGGCAAAGCCGACAAAUUUAUAUUGGAUAUACAUGAUAUUGAUGUGCACUUUACUAGUACUCAUAGUAGCACGAGGGUAUUAGAUACCGGUUCAGUUGCUAAGGUUAGUAACUCGAAAUAAAAGCUAUGAAUAAAUGGAGACUAGCUAAAGGCGAGGUGAUGAUAUGUGUUGGAAGUGUUUCCAAGGUUGAUGUGAUCAAACAUCGCACGCUACCUCUAUCAUCGGGAUUAGUGUUAAACCUAUAUAAUUGUUAUUUGGUGUUUGCGUUGAGCAUAGACAUGAUUAAAUUUUGUUUAUCGCAAUACGGUUGUUCAAUUAAAGAGAAUAAUGGUUACUGUGUUUAUUCGAAUAAUACCUUCUAUGGUCUUGCACCUAAAAUGAAUGAUUUAUUGAAUCUCGAUCGUAGUGAUACACAUGUUCAUAAUAUUGAUGCCAAAAGAUAUAAAGUAGUAAUGAUAGUACCACUUACUUGUAGCACUGCCACUUGAGUCAUAUUGGUAUAAAAUGCAUGAAGAAGCUCCAUGCGGAUGGAUCUUUGGACUCACACGUUUUUGAAAAUUUUGAGACAUGCGAACCAUGUCUAUUGGUAUAAACGCAUGAAUAAACUCCAUGCAGAUGGAUCGUUUGGACUCACUUGAUUUUGAAUCACUUGAGACAUGCAAAUCAUACCACAUGGGCAAGAUGAGUGAAGGCCUCGUUUUCCAGUGAGAUGAAACAAUAAAGUAACUUGUUGGAAGUAAUGCAUUUUGAUGUGUGCAGUCCAAUGAGUGUUGAGGCAUGCAGUGGAUAUCGUUAUGUUCUUACUUCAAAGAUGAUCUGAGUAGAUUCUAGUAUAUUUACCCGAUGAAACACAAGUCUGAAUUAUUGAAAGCUCCAAGUAAUUUCACAGUGAAGUUGAAGAUCAUCGUGAGAAGAGGAUAAAAUGUCUAUGAUAUGAUCAUAGAGAUAAAUAUCUGAGUUGCAAGUUUGGUACACAAUUAAUACAUUGUGGAAAUUGUUUCACAACUAAUACCACCUAGAACACAAUAGUGUGAUGCAUACUAUGAUGUCUCUUAUGAAAUUACCACUAUAGUUUUUGGGUUAGGCAUUAGAUAUAACCACAUUCACUUUAAUUAGGGCACCACGUAAUUCUGUUGAGAUGACACCGCAUGAACUAUGGUUUGGAGAAACCUAAGCUGCCGUUCCUUAAAAGUUUGGGGUUGAGAUGCUUAUGUGAAAGAGUUUCAGCCUGAUAAUCUCGAACCCAAAGCGGAUAAAUGCAUAUUCAUAGGACACCCAAAACAGAUGGGUCUACCUCCUAUCUCAGAUCCAGAAGCUAAGUGUUUGUUUCUAGAAAUAGGUCCUUUCUCGAGGAAAAGUUUUUCUCGAAAGAAUUGAGUGGGAGGAUGGUGGAAACUUGAUGGGGUUAUUGAACCAUCACUUCAACCAGUGUCUAGCAGGGCGCAUGAAGUUAUUCUUGUGGCACCUACACCAAUUGAAGUGGAAGUUGAUGAUAGCAAUCAUGAAGCUUACCAAACCUCGUAGGUCGACAAGGACGCGUACUACUCCAGAGUGGUACGGUAAUCCUGUCUUGGAGGUCAUGUUGCUAGACAACAAUGAACCUACGAGCUAUGGAGAAGCGAUGGUGGUCCUGGAUUCUGAUAAAUGGCUGGAUGCCAUGAAAUCCGAGAGAGGAUCCAUGUAUGAAAACAAAGUGUAGACUUUGGAAAAACUAGUUGAUGGUCAUAAGACUGUUAACUACAGAUGGAUCUUUAAAAGGAAGACACACUUUGAUGGUGAAAAGUCACCAUUAAGAAAGCUCGACUUGUCGCGAAGAUGUUUCCGACAAGUUCAAAGAGUUGACUACAAUGAUACUUUCUCACUCGUAGCAAUGCUGAAAGUCUGUUGGAAUUAUGUUAGCAGUUGCUGCACCAUUUAUGAAAUCUUGCAAAUAGGAUGUCAAAAAUUGUUUCCUCGACGGUUUCCUUGAGGAAAGGUUGUAUAUGAUACAACGAGAAGGUUUUGUCGAUCCUAAAGGAUGCUAACAAGUAUGCAAAGCUCCUGCGAUCCUUCUAAGGACUGGAGCAAGCAUCUCGGAGCUGGAAUAUAUGCUUUGAUGAGGUGAUCAAAGAUUUUGGUUUUAUCGAAAGUUUAUGAGAAACUUGUAUUUCCGAAAAAGUGAGUGGGAGCACUAUAGAAUUUCCGAUGAGUUGAUCGGAAAUGAUGUAGAAUUUCUAGAAAGCAUAUAGGGUUGUUUAAAAAGUGUUUUUCAAAGUAAAACCUGGAUUGAGCUACAUGCACAUUGAGCAUCAAGAUCUAUAAAGAUAGAUCAAAACACUUAAUAGUACUUUCAAUGAAUACAUACCGUGACAAGAUUUUGAAGGGGUUCAAAAUAGAUCGGCGAAGAAAGAGUUCUUGGCUGUGUUAUAAGGUGUGAAUAUUGAGUAAGACUCAAAACCUGACCACGACAGAAGACAAAGAAAGGACGAAGGUCGUUGUCACGCCCAAGAUGCGACCCUAUCCUCAAUUUGGCACGAGGGCCUUGUCAGGGAUAGAAGCGCAUCUCGUCGUGUCGCAGGAAUGGAUAUCGUUACAAGUACAUGUACUGAAAAGAAGAGAUAUAUAUAUAUAUAUAUAUAUAUAUAUAGAAUUGGCUUACACUCGCCACAAGCUACAUCAGAUCACAGCAGUACAAUACAUAAUCAUCAAGAAGAAGAGCAGGGUCCAACUACGGACAAAAACAAAGGAGAAAAGAAGAACGACGUCCAUCCUUGCUAUCCCAGGCUGCCGGCCUGUAACCCAUCCUAGAUCGAAGAAGAAGAAGAAGAAGAAGAAGCAACUCCAAAUGAACAAUCAAUGUGCUCGCGUCGAGUAACCUUUACAUGUACCUGCAAUUGGUGUUGUAGUAAUCUGUGAGCCAUAGGGACUCAGCAAUCUCAUUUCCAAAGGUAUCAAGACUAGCAAAGCUUAAUGGGUGAGGUAUGGUUAAGUGGUGAGGUUGCAGCAGUGGCUAAGCAUAUAUUUGGUGGCUAAACUUACGAGUACAAGAAAUUAGAGGGGGAAGAUCUACGCAUAGCGGACGUGACUACUGAUGAUCAAAUGAAUGAUCCUGAACACCUACUUACGUCAAACAUAAACCCACAGUGUCCUCGAUCGGAGAAGGAGCUCAUGAAAGAGACAAUCACGGUUACACACUCAGUUGGCAAAUUUUAAUUAAGUUAACUUCAAGUUGUCUAGAACCAGUGUUAAACAAAGUUUCCAUGUGGCCACAUAACCGCGGGCACAGCUUUCUGAAAAGAUUUAACCCUGCAGGGGUGCUCCAACUAGUUCAUCACAAAUUACCACAAGCCGCAUAGAAAUCCUCGAUCACGAAGCUCGCGAUCUCGUCGGACUCCUUAGUGCAAAACCUCAACUCUGAGAUUACCAAAAGCAUCACCGGAAUCCUUAUGCACAAAAUAUUUCGUCAAAGAUAAAACUAAUCCAGCAAGGCCGCCCGACAUGUCGACGAUCCCGAUAGGAGCCGCGUAUCUCGUUCUCAGGACACGACGGAUGAGCGAUGGUUACCACGCCAAACGCCGAGUUGCCCCGGGUAGCUUUACUAAGCAGCUCUGUUUUGGACCAGUACCAUCAACACUGGCCCUCCCUGUAUUAUGUAGAAUUACUCCUCGGGUAGCGCUAACUCCCUAUGCAUUUCAGUAUUAACAGAAUUAUUAUGUUGGGCAAAUGUAGUACCAAUGUUGGGCCUUGCCAGACCAGCUUUAAUCUUAAACGAAAUAUCAAAGGGGUCCCCAUAACAACCCCGAUCGUGUUAGGAGCGCUCAAAUAUGGAACAUAACACCGGCAGCCGAAACCAAGGGGGGCAAAGGUGGAACAAAACACCAGGCUAGAAAGGCCAAGCCUUCCACCUUUUACUAAGUAUAUAGGUGCAUUAAAUUGAAUAGCAUGUAAUAUGGUGAUAUAACAAGGAACCCAUGUUUUCACAUGGAAGCGGCUGCACCUGCAACUAGCAACUCUAACACAUGGUUAAGCCAGCGGUAACAUAGCCAGUCAAUGGUUUGCUAGGUUGUGAACAUAUUGAAGGUUUUCAAGGCAUUGUUGAGAGGCUGAAUUUAACAUGUGGUAGGCAGCGAGACAUAAUCGAUAGGAACAUAAAACUAGCAUGGCAAUGAUAGUAAUGGUAUCUGGGGAAAUGGUCAUCUUGCCUGAGAUCCCGCUUGGAGGAAGAAUGACUCCGUGAAGCAGACGAACCGAUGUAGUCGAACGAGUCCUCACAAUCCGACACACUUGCGGAACUCUAUCGAGACGAAGCAAACCGGAAACAAGAAUCAACACAUGAUGUACACCACACGAUGCACAACACAAAUGAUGCAUGAGCAGCUGAACACAUACAAGACACGACAUGAUAAUUCAUGACAAACAAACACUACACAUUAAGUGAAGUUCAAUAUGCAACGAGUUGCAUAUUGACGAAACUCCACGUUUAAUUAUUUAUUUCUAUCCCGAUUUGAUACACGGAAAUAUUAGAUGUGGUUAAACAUGGCAAGAGUUGAAGCGUAAUUAAACUACCUAUCUAGACAUUUUAAAUGAGGUCUGAAAUGACAUAUAGCAUCUCCGAGACGACCUCACAUGUUAAUUUGCAAUUCUGUCCAGAUCUGAACUACCACGUUUAAUUAGUUGUUAAACAGAAAAACAAAUAGGUUCACGUGAAUCUAUGCGUCGUUACAAGCAAUUUACACAUAGAGAACAUCUCCAACGGAGCUACGGAUCAAAAGAUACAAGCACCGCAAGAUAUGAUGACAUGAAUGCAAUAUGUGUGCAACAACGGUCAUGAGCACUUCAAAACAUACAACCAGCAAGAUAAAAUGAAUCUACACGAUAUUCUAGGCAAGUUUCAUAUAGGACACGAUCAAAACGGAGCUACGGUUCAACAACUACGAGCAAAACAAGAUAUCACUACAAUCUGCCAAAAUCAGCCACGUAGCAUUUUCUACACCCCACAACUAUGAGCAACUCCACUCCAAUAUGCUCAACCAAGGCAUGAGACGAUAGAGGGCAAGAAGCACUACAACAUACAACUAAUAACACAUAUCAUGGAAGCAUGGAUCACUAGGAAAAGAAGUCAAAAAAUGGCUUCUCACACACUGUUUCAGACUUAGUGAAAAUAACAGUUUAUGAAACUGCAGUUUUCGAUCUGAAGGCAUCUUGACAGCAGCAAAACCAUAAGCUACAUGACUCAAAAUGGCAUGAAAAUUCACUGCAUGCUAGAUAAUCCUAAAGUAUACAACUAAUUCCAUUGCACCAAUCUCAAAAGAGCUACAGAUCACAAGAUAAACUCAUGCAAAGACAGCAACAAAAUAUAACAGAUUCAGACUUAGAAAUAUUUCAGCACCUCCAAAUCAGCACUAUUUCCUAGCAACUUGAGAGCAAGCAAACCACACCUAAACAUGGAUUUCUAUUGCAACCAAAAAUACCAGGGGCUAGACUAAACAUCAAAGGGAAACUCUCUAGUUGACAACUACCUCAUAUCACGCACGGAAUAAAUCACACAAAAGAGACAAGAGGGCAACAUAGCAAAAUAUCGCACGAACUAACUUGCUCAAAAGCUAAAACUAAAUACACAGUUAAAUCCUAUGAAUUUUUUUACCCCGAAAACAUAUAUAACAUGAGGGGUUGCAACAUAAGAACAACGCCAGACGUAUAUGCGGGAUUAAGUCAUAAACGCGGAAAAAUAAACUAGCGUCGGAAAAACACAUGCAAAAAUACCAAUGUCUAAUCUAAAAUACAUGGCAAAGGGGUUCCUAAAACAUGAACAUUUCUACUACAGAGUUCGAACAAUCCGGACACGCAUGAAAAAAAUAACACGAGACACAAACAUAAUAGACAACACACGUUUCUAGGCAUUCAGCAUGGUAAACUACGUCAAACAAUUAUGCAAGUUAUAAAAUAGUAAUCUACACGAGAUUCUACACAAAAACCAUAUGCUACACGUCGCGAUCCGACUUACAGAAUAAAAUAUUCAGACGUUCUAAAUAUACGUCUAUUCCCUGGAAUUAACUAAAUACUAAAACCAAAAAAAAACACUAUUGGGCUUCACACGGGGGCGCAGGAUAAAACCUAGCGCCUAGUGAGCGAUUUAGGCGAGAGAGGGGCCUCACCUGCGGGCUGGAUCUGAGAGGAGGAGCUGGGCCGGCGGAGGAGGAGGCCACCUCCAGCUAGGCCGGCUCAGGCAGAUCGGCCCACGCGGCCAUAGGCGAUGCGGCCAGGCGAAGCGAGGCUGGCGCUCGUCGUUUCCCUCCAGCACGAGCAGAGGCGGCCGCCGGCGGUCGAGGAGCACGGGGUCUGGUCGGGAUCCAGCGAGGUUGAACUCCAGGCAGCGGGAUCCGGCGAGGCAGGUCCUGGCGACGGGAUUCGACUGGGUACGGGCGCCCGCGGGCGGCGGCCUCCGGCCUGCUGCGGACGAGCUGCUGGCGGCGGGGAGCAGGCUGGUGCACGCGGCACGUGGCUCCGGCGAGGUUGAACUGCAGCAGCCGACGGUGACCGGCUCCGGCAGCUGGAGCACGGGAGGAACGGGCGUAGAGGCGGCGGUGGUUCGGGCCCGGGCGGGNNNNNNNNNNNNNNNNNNNNNNNNNNNNNNNNNNNNNNNNNNNNNNNNNNNNNNNNNNNNNNNNNNNNNNNNNNNNNNNNNNNNNNNNNNNNNNNNNNNNNNNNNNNNNNNNNNNNNNNNNNNNNNNNNNNCCUGCGAUGGGCUCGGAGGGCCCGGUAGUUGGUGGGAGGCUCAGGGGAGAGAGAGGCUGCGGGAGAAGGCUAGGGUUAGGGGUAGGUGGGUGCGGAAAAUGAGGAUGGAUUAGGGAGAGGCUGUCUAAAAUGCACAAGGGGUCUUUAUAUAGACAAUGGGGGGCUAGGUUUAUCGGAAUUUCGUUCCGGAUCCAACCGUGCGGUCGGAUUCAAAUAAUUCCGAACGAGGGAAAGUUUAAGUGGCCGUGUAGGGUAGUUUACCGGAGACGAGAGGGAAAACGGGCGGCGUGGCAACGAUUUUUAAAACACCAAAAGACGUCCGACGAUAGACAGAAUACGGUGCCACUAUGGUCGACCGUUCGGGUACCAGACNNNNNNNNNNNNNNNNNNNNNNNNNNNNNNNNNNNNNNNNNNNNNNNNNNNNNNNNNNNNNNNNNNNNNNNNNNNNNNNNNNNNNNNNNNNNNNNNNNNNNNNNNNNNNNNNNNNNNNNNNNNNNNNNNNNNNNNNNNNNNNNNNNNNNNNNNNNNNNNNNNNNNNNNNNNNNNNNNNNNNNNNNNNNNNNNNNNNNNNNNNNNNNNNNNNNNNNNNNNNNNNNNNNNNNNNNNNNNNNNNNNNNNNNNNNNNNNNNNNNNNNNNNNNNNNNNNNNNNNNNNNNNNNNNNNNNNNNNNNACCGGCAACUAACAACGGAUGCAAGUUUUGAAAACUGGCGGCAAUGGGAUGUCGAUGCAAUGUUGAUGAUGCGCAUGAUGCGACAAAACAAAAUAGACACACGACAAAAAUUAAAUAGAAGGGGGGAAUCUUUUGGAACGCCGGUCUCGGGCCGUCACUGUCGUCCCCUAUGCAUNNNNNNNNNNNNNNNNNNNNNNNNNNNNNNNNNNNNNNNNNNNNNNNNNNNNNNNNNNNNNNNNNNNNNNNNNNNNNNNNNNNNNNNNNNNNNNNNNNNNNNNNNNNNNNNNNNNNNNNNNNNNNNNNNNNNNNNNNNNNNNNNNNNNNNNNNNNNNNNNNNNNNNNNNNNNNNNNNNNNNNNNNNNNNNNNNNNNNNNNUCAAGGGGUACAAGAGUGAUCCAGGAAUGGAUCACUGGCCAGCAGUCAAAGUUAUCCUUAGUAACUAGUGGGCUAAGGAAUUUUUCUCAAUUAUGGAGGUGGUAAAAAGAGUACGCCGUAAAGGGUUACGACGAUGCAAGUUUUUUACUAAUUAGGAUUACUCUCAGUAGUAAACCGGAUUCGUAUAGUGGAGCAGUCAUUUGGAAUGGUUCCAAAUGACGCGUGGUAGCAACAUCUAUAGGAUAACAUGGAUAUUUGUAAAGUACACACGGAUCUGAAAGGUUCAGACCCGUUGACUAAAAACCUCUCUCACAAGCAAGAUAUGAUCAAACCCCAUGGGUGUUAAAUUCAUUACAAUCACAGAGCGAUGUGAACUAGAUUAUUGACUCUAGUGCAAGUGGGAGACUAUUGAAAAUAUGCCCUAGAGGCAAUAAUAAAUUGGUUAUUAUUAUAUUUCCUUGUUCAUGAUAAUUGUCUAUUGUUCACUCUAUAAUUGUAUUACCGGAAAUCGUAAUACAUGUGUGAAUACAUAGACCACACCAUGUCCCAAGUGAGCCUCUAGUUCACUAGCUCGUUGAUCAAUAGAUGGUCAUGGUUUCCUGACCAUGGACAUUGGAUGUCGUUGAUAACGGGAUCACAUCAUUAGGAGAAUGAUGUGAUGGACAAGACCCAAUCCUAAGCAUUGCACAAGAUCGUGUAGUUCGUUUGCUAGAGCUUUUCUAAUGUCAAGUAUUAUUUCCAUAGACCAUGAGAUUGUGCAACUCCCGGAUACCGUAGGAAUGCUUUGGGUGUAUCAAACAUCACAAUGAAACUGUGUGGCUCUAAAGGUGCACUACAGGUAUCUCCGAAAGUGUAUGUUGGGUUGGUAUGAAUCAAGACUCGCAUUUGUCACUCUGUGUGACAGAGAUGUAUCUCUGGGCCCACUCGGUAAUACAUCAUCAUAAUGAGCUCAAUGUGACUAAGGAGUUAGAUAAAAAAUCAAGUGUUACGGAACGAGUAAAGGGACUUGCCGGUUACAAGAUUGAACAAGGUAUAGGGAUAUAGAUGCUCGAAUCUCGGGCAAGUAAUAUACCAAUGGACAAAGGGAAUUGUAUAUGGGAUUAAGUGAAUCCUUGACAUAGUGGUUCAUCCGAUGAGAUUAUCAUAGAACAUGUGGGAGCCAAUAUGGGUAUCGAGAUCCUUCUAUUGGUUAUUGGCCGGAGAGGUGUCUUGGUCAUGUAUGCAUGGUUACCGAACCCGUAGGGUCUACACACUUAAGGUUCGGUUAUGCUAGAGUUGUAUUGGGAAAUUGUAUAUGCUUACCGAAAGUUCUUCGGAGUCCCGGAUGACAUCCCAAAUGUCGCGAGGAGUUCCGGAAUAGUCUGGAGGUGAAGAUUUAUAUAUGGGAAGUCCAGUUUCGUUCACCGGAAAGGUUUCGGGGGUCCACCGGGAGGGGUCACCUGUCCCAAAGGCCACAUGGGCCUAAAGUGGGAACCACGAGCUCCACCGCUACCACGCCAUCAUGCUGCCGGAGCUCUCCCUGAAACUUCUCCUCCACCUUGCUGGAUCAAGAAGGAGGAGACGUCACCGGGCUGUACGUGUGUUGAACGCGGAGGCACCGUUCGUUCAGUGCUUGGAUCGGAUCUUUCGCGAUUUGAAUCGCCGCGAGUACGACUCCAUCAACCGCGUUCAUAGUAACGCUUCCACUUAGUGAUUUUCAAUGGUAUGAAGAUGCUCUCCCUCUCUCUCGUUGCUAACAUCUUCUAGAUUGAUCUUGGUGACACAUAGGAAAACUUAGAAUUAUUACUAUGUUCCCUAACAGUUGCCGCCUCACGCUGUCGUCGUCGAGAACUAGCGCCGCCUCGCCCUAGCGUCCCCUUCGUUUGACAGGAGGUCGAGGAUGACAGCGCGAGCGCCUCGCCCAUUCGUGCCCUCGUGAGACUCCACCGCCCCCGGCCGGCCUGACAUCCAACGCGAAGCCCAAUCCAACGUCGCGCAGGCCUGCCCAUCUUCCCCAUGUAUGGGUCGAAGCCCAUGAGAUGAGCAACCCAGCCUUCGCCUAACCCUCGCCCAUGAGUGUUGUAUAACCAUUGUGUGCCUAGUUGUGUUAAUCCCAACAGUUAGUUUCGGCCUAUAUUUUUUCAGAUCCACGAAUUUAACCAAUUAUCGAGAGAAUUGCAAUUUUACAGAAUAGACCCUCAUGUUCAUGCAUUUAAUAACUUGAGAACUGUGCAUCGGAUUAAAACAAUUUAGAUAUGUAAAAUGUUAAGAAUUUAAUGUAGUUUCUAAAUAUCCCACUUUCAUGAAUGAUUAGAAUAUUGAACUUGUUGUUUUCAUUUAUUUUGCAUAAAUUCCAUGUUAAAAUGGUUUCUCUCAUAACUAGAUAACCAUAGCUCCAAUUUUAGUGAUCUACAUAUGUAAAUUGCCUAGAAAAAUGUGUAGGAUAAUAUGGUGAUAUUCGUUUUGCUGUUUAACGACUCAAAAAUUGUGUUAUAGGCAGAACAUUAGUGAAAUCUUAAUUGCCAUAUGGGACUUUCUGGAAUUGUUAUUCAUUGUUCCGAACUCAUUUAAACUUGCUUAGACUUUCUUGUAGUUCCAUAAUAUCUUGCUGCAUCCAUCAUUUAAAAUGCUUGUGCUUUUCAUUUGCAUACAUUUUGCAUUCAUGACAUAUUCGUCUUGUGUUCAUCAUAUCUUUUAGACCGUAGCUCCGUUUUAAAUGAUCUAUAUAUGUAAAUCGACUAGAAUGACGUGUAGAAUGACAUCGUGUAAUUUAUUUAGAUGUUUAAAAAAUAUUAAAUAUGAUUAGUUCAGAUAUGGAGAAAUUACGAAAUUAACAUAUCGGUCGUUUCCGAAAGGCUAUAAGUUGUUUCCGGCCUAAUUUAAAAUGCCUAGAUGAUGUAGUUAUUCAUGCUUCACCUCUUGCCAUGUUUAAGAACAUGAGAAAUUGUCGUAUACCUAAACGGGAGUGAUUUAAAUGAUUCAAAUGUGAAGUUUCAUCAAUAUGCAACUCAUUCAAUAUUAAACUUCACUUAUUGUGUAGUAUUUGAUUGUCUUCAUUGUCAUGCUUUGCAUAAUUAAACUGGACAUGCAUCAUAUGUGUUUGUGCAUCAUGCCAUGUAUGUGUUGUGGUGUUUUAUCGUGUGUUCAUUGUUUGUUUCCAGAUUGUUUCUUCUCAUUAUCGUUCUAAACCGCUUCGGUGUGUGAGGAUUCGUUUGACUACUUCAUGAAUUCGUUUUUGUUCCAAUUGGGAUCUGAGGCAAGAUGAUCAUUUCCCUAGAUACGAGUACUAUAAUUUCUAUGCUAGUUAUCUUGCUUCUAUCGCUAUGUCUCGCUGCCUACCACCUAUUAUGUCAAGCCUCCAAACAUUGCCAUGAAAAGCCUCUAACCCCCUCCACAUCCCAAGAAACCUUUGUUUGGCUAUGUUACCGCUUGUUCAGCCUUCUUAUAGUGUUGCUAGUUCCAAUUCCAGAUGCUUCCAUGUGACAACACGGAUAUUCUUUUGAAUGUCACCAUAUUAUUUCUAUUUAAUUUAAUGCACCUACAUACUUGGUAAAGGUUGGAAGGCUUAGCCUUCUAGCUAGGUGUUUUGUUCCACAUUUGUCGCCCUAGUUACUUGUGAACCGGUGUUAUGUUCCAUAUUGAGCGCUCCUAACAUGCUUGGGCUGUUAUGGGGACCCCUUGAUUUUUGUUUUGGGAUAAAAUCUCUUCUUGCAAGGCCUAACAUUGGUAAUACAUUUGCCUAAUAACUAAUAAAAUUGCAUAGGGACCUAUCGGCCCCCAUGAGUGUUGGCCCAAACUAGAGCCAUGUGCUUAUCUGUCGUGUCCUGAGAAUGAGAAAUGCGGCUCCUAUCGGGUCCCUCGCCACAUGGGGCGGUCUUUAUGGAUAAUUUUACAUUUAUCUAAUGUCUUGUGCGCGGGAUUCUGAGGAUACUUUGGGCUAUCUUGAGGUUGAGGUUUUCCGACGGGAUCUUGAGGAGACUACGGGUUUGUGGUUGAGGUUUUCCACGCAGCUUGUGGCUAGUUUGUGAUGGAUGAGUUGGAGCACCCCUGCAGGGUUAAAUCUUUUUGAGAAACGUGCCCGCGAUUAUGUGGCAACUUGGAAACUUUGUUUAACACCCGGUCAUAGAAACUUGAAGUAAACUCAAUUAAAAUAUGCAAAUUGUGUGCGUAACCGUGACUGACGCUUCUCGUGAGUUCUGAAUCUAAGAGAGGACAUGGUGGAGUUAUGUUUAUCUCGUAAGUAGGUGUUCAGGAUCACGUCGUGAUCAUUCUAGUUCAUGUCCGUUUAUGCGUAGAUCAUCUCCCCCUAUUAUGCGUGUACUCGUAAGUUAGUCACUCGGACAAAUGUUUAGUGUUUGUUGCGGCAUCACCACUUCACCAUGCCUCACCCAUUAAGCUUUGCUAGUCUUGCUACCGUCGGAAAUGAGAUUGUUGAGUCUGUGUGGAUCACACAUUACUACAACAACAACUGCAGGUACAGGUAAAGCAAUACUUUGACGUGAGCGCGAUGAUUGUUCUAUUUGGAGUUUCUUGUUGUUUUUCUCCAUCGAUCAUAGGAUGGGUUCCACACCAGCAGCCUGGGAUAACAAGGAUGGACAUCGUUUUAUUCAUUUGUUUUCGUCUGUAGUCAGACCUUGCUCUUCUGAAUGAUUAUUGAAUUUAUGUUUGUAUUGAGAUGAUCAUGAUUAGCUUCUUGCGAGUGUAAGCCAAUUCCAUAUACUCAUUUCUUCUUUACAUGUAGCUGUAACGAUAUCCAUUCCUGCGAAACUACGAGAUGCGCUUCUAUACAUGUUAGGCCCUCGUGCCAAAAUAAGGAAGAAUCACAUCUUUGGCGUUACAAAGGGGGGCCCAUGGAGGGGGAGGAAGAACAUGAAAAAUCUAUAGAGGUUUGUGUUGUUGGACCACCUUUAUGAGAAGCAUCUCAUUUAUAGGGAUCAAUACGAGCUAAGUCUCUUAACUCCUCACUGUUUGCACAAUAUUUAAUUUCUUUAGUGCCAACUGCACAAUCCUUAAGAUUAAGAUCCUCCUUCUCAAUUAUUACCUGAUGGAGCUUGAGAUUAUCAGAGGAGUAAGAAAUUGGGAGGAAUUCACAGAGCAGUUCAACCACAUUUGCAAAGUAAACAUCACCUUGUGGCAUCGGUAUGAAGGUGGUGAUUCCAAGAUCCUCAUGAUGCUCAUGAAUGUGGGAGCUAAAAACCCUAACUUGCGUUGGUUGAUCUUUAAUCUAAAGAGUCUGAUGACCUCUCUGCAAGAAUGGCGUGGGAUCAAAGGGGAAUGUCUCCAUCUCCUCACUGGUCUUUGCUGGCGAUGGCACAGAGGGGCAAGCAAAGGAAGGGUGAGCUGCGGGACGAACAGUGCUAGGUGGUAAAGCCGAAGAGGCAACUCCCCGAGUAGCCUUAUUUUUUCCCCAACACCUAUCGAUUUCUCUGGGCCCUUGACCGUGGUGACUUGAUUGCUUACCAACGUAGUCUUGGCAAUCAAAUCAGGUGAAGAUUUGGCAAUAGGAUCAAUUCCCGUGCUAAUUUACUGCUUAAUAAACUUCUUGACAGUCCCACUAACUUGCGAAUUACAAUAAUUGGCCUCAAUGUGGCCCAUCUUCUCCAAGGUGGAAAAUGGAUUCUGUUUUCACAUUGUGGCUUGAAUUAGCCCACAUCCAAGCAUGUCACACAGAAAGGCUUAUGAGGCAGAAUAUUGGGCUUAGGUCCCAUCAUUUUAAAAGUUGAAGAUCCCACCUGCUUUGAAAGAUUAGACGGUCCAUAAUUUCCCUCAUAAAUCAGGAAUUCAAACCUCUUGAAUAUCGAGAUUUUCUCUUUGUUUGAAUUUGAAACUUUUGAAUUAGUGUGAACAAAGAAUCAUGGGUAUUUAACCACAUCAGUAAAAGAUCUACUAGAUUUUUUGGAUCUUGAAACCAUGGUCCAAUCAUCUUCUUGCUCUUCAUAGUAAUCUGCAAACUCUUUUGCAGCAUUAGGACCUCAAUUGCCCCAUGGAAAGAAAUGCAGAUUUGUAAGUGCAUCUAGUGCCCCUUAGUGAUUUUGGUGGAUUGAAGACUUAUAGGUUAAGAGUUUGAUGUGUUUGUGAGUGUACACGGGCUCUAUAAGUCGCUGAGGAGUUUGAGCUAUUCGAUGAAUAUCGACCCCUAAAAAUGUAUGUCUUCAGGUGAAUACUUUGGUCAUUCCUUGAAGACUUUGAUCGUGAAGAAAUUGCAAAGAAAUUGAUAUUCCUCAUGAGUACAUUGAAGAUGAGGAAUUUGGUGUGUCCCAAAGAAAAUACUCUGAAGACUUUGAAGCUUAAAGAUUUAGUCUUUCUAUUUCAUUUUCUUCAUUCUUGAGGCAUAAGAACACCGUACUGUUAAAGGGGGUCGUGGUAAAACUAAGGAAAGAAUUUCCUCAUGAUACUCAACUCAAACCUACACCUACCAGAUCCUCAAAGUGAGGAACAUGAGAGACAUGAUGUAACAACUAAGAUGCGGCCCUUUCCUUAUUUGGGGGCGAUGCCUCAAAAGGGGAAAGGGUCGCAUCUAUGUGUUUUGCAAAUGGGAAAAUCAUCACAAUACAUAAUUAAAAGAGUAAAAAGUAGGGCAUACACUUGCAAUCUGUUAAGAUUAUAGCAUAUAGCUUACAGACACACUUUAUUCAGAGUAGCAGCAGGUCCAGCUACGGACUUAAACACAAAACAGAUGAUCUAACGCAUCCCGUAUGCUAGCCCACGAUCACGACCACGGCCUCAGUCUUCCGGAUAGUUCACAUACAUAUGGCCAGAGUCCUCAUCGAACUCCCACUUCAGCUGGUUGUCAUCAGGAUCUCCCGCGUCGAGCGUAUCUGUUCCUGUUGGGGUUUGUAGGAAUCUGUGAGCCACGGGGACUCAGCAAUCUAAUGACCUUGGUACUGAAUCUAGCCAAGUUAUUAGGUGAGGAAGGUUUAGUGUAUGGGUUUGCAGCAACCUAAGCAUAUAUGGUGGCUACCUUAUGUUGAUCAGAGUAUCAUAUGGUGGUCUACGCAAGCGAUCGAAGACUAGGUGACCACUAAGUGAUCCUGAACACCUACUUACGUCAAACAUAACCCCACCAUGUUCUCGAUCGGAGAACGAUCUCCGAAAGAGACGGUCACGGUUACGCACACAGUUGGCAGUUUUAUUAGAGUUACUUCAAGUUGUCCAGAACCAGAUGUUAACAAAAUAUCCACAUUUGCCACAUAACCACGGGCACGACUUUCCAAAAGAUUAAACCCUGCAGGGGUGCUCCAACUAGUUCAUCACAAACUGCCACGGGCCGCAAAGUAAUCCUCUAUCAUGAAACUCGUGAUCUCGUCGGAUUCCUUAGAGGAAAACCUCAACUUUGAGGAGACCCAGAAUCAAAUAAAACCUUGACAAUAAUAUCAUUAACUGAGUGAUUACCCAUAAUCACAUCUAAGGAGUUCUCUACUUCAGCUGCAUUCACCAUAUUGACUGUCGCAGACCUCGGGUUGAACUUCACUAUAGCAUUGCUUGGAGGCUUCCCUGGAGGAGGGGGCAGAAGACGCAGCUGAGAGGUGCACUUGUUGGCAUAGUGACCCUUCUGCCCACACUUGUGACAAGUAACCUCUGCCGGCUGAUGGAACUGCACCUGAGGAUUCCCUUGCUUCUACUGCUGAAACCUCUGCUGGAAAGCUGGGUUGGGUGGGUGGGAAGAACCACGACCACCAGACUACUUGAACUGCUGAUUCUGCCGAGGAGGAGGAGAAGACACCAAGUAUUUCUGCUGCUUCUGUACCACCUGAGUUGAGGGCGACGAACUGGACUCUCUAAAACGCUUUCUCGAAUUCUCCACCCUGAGCAAAGCUGCCUCAGCCCUGAGAGCCAAGUUAGAGAACUUAUCAAACUCAUCGGGGUCGUGCAAGGCAAGGGCCAGCUGCAAGUCCUCUCUCAGACCACCUCUGAACUAAUAGAUCUUGCUCUUCUGAUCUGGAUUGUCGUGUAAGGCAUAUCGAGCCAGCUCAUGGAACUCGACAAUGUACUUGUACACAGAGGAACCACCUUGCUUCAAGCGUCUGAACUUCUCACGCAUCUCUUCCAAAAAGCUAGACGGGAUAUAGUGAGAUCUGAAAUUUCUGCAGAACUCAUCCCAACUGAUCAUUCUGCCACCCCUGGAGUCGUUCAACUACUGCCACCAAACUGUUGCGUGUCCAUUGAGCUAAAACGUUGCAAACUUGACGAAGUCCUCUACACACGCACUUCCUAGGACAAGAACAACAUAUCUAGGCCUAGCAUGGAUCUAUUAACAUGGUCACACAAACAUAUGGAAAUGUGGUUAUCCACACACACACACACAUGUGCAUCUCACAUACACACCACCUACACCUACACAUGCACACACACAAUAACCAUACACACAACACCACCAACAUAGUGGAAAACAUGAGGGGUUAGGCCCUCAUGCACAAGUGCAUAUGCACCCAUGCACACACACACAUACAUGUGCUCACACACACACUCAAGUGCAUACACUCAUGAAUAGGUGCAACAUGAGGGGCUAGGCCCUCUUGCACAUGUGCAGGUGCACACUCAUGCACACACACUCACUCACAUGUGCACACACAUACACUCAUGUGCACACACACACACUCAUGUGCACAUACACACCACUAGGCCUCAAAACAACAACACAACAUCAACACACCAACUAGUUUUAAAAAGAAACAACUCCAAACAGUGAAAGAAAGAAAUGCAGCAAAAAAAUCAAAAGGGGGGUGGUUGUGGUUCGAACCCACAACCUCCUGUUGCCACCACAUGCACAACACCACUCUGCUACUACUUCGGCGCUUGAUAGAGAGGGGAAACCGACAGGCUAAGCUUCUCUGUGCUGCUCUCCUACUAGCGAAAAACAGGAAAACAAAAAGGGGCCUGCGGGGGAUCGAACCCAUGAUGCGCUGCGCGUGCCCAGGCUCGGUUGCCACUGUGCUACGUGGGAGAAACUUAACAGAGAGGGGGAGCAUGCUCUUUUGAGCAGCCCCUCUGCACUAUUCUACCACGCCGGCGGCCAAAACAGGGGAGGACGACGGCGACUACCCGGCGACCUACUAAAGACGGCAAGCUACAGCGCGGGACGCGGGAGCCUUGGGGGCUCCAUUCUCGUGCCAAACGCAACCGGAGGAGGCCCACGGCGGCGUCGCAAUGGUGCACCUAACUACGGCGACGACGGCAAUAGAAGAAGACUACGGUGACGGCUACGUGCAUCCGGAGACUCUACGCGAUGGGAAGAGGAAGGAGGGGGAGGAGGUGCUCGCCCUGGUGUGCUCGGAGAAGGGCUCGCUACCGAGAAGAGCAAGAAGGGGAGGACGUGUGCGACGACCCGAAGCUCCGCUCCGGCGAUGUCGUCGUGGAGGAGGCGCCAGGGAGGGGGAGCAUCCCCGCUAGCGUCGGAAAUGGAACGGGGGGAGAACCCCCAUCCUCGCGGACGCGUCGGACGCCGCAGGGGAGGCUGUGGGUUACGAGGAGGACGCGGGAUCGACGGCGGCGCUCAUUGAACUUCUCUGAAUCUCACUGGAGCUUACCUGCACAGGGAGAGGGAGAGAGAUGGGAACGAGGUGGCGGCGGAGAGAGGAACCCUAGAUGAGGCCCACACGUCGAGGGAAUAAAUAGCCGAAGGGGGGAUGGUCUCGACGUCCAUGAAGCCAUGGCGUCGGGAGCUCUCUCUCUCACAUGGCGACGCUUUCUCUGACGGAAAGGAGGGGAAAACGCAACGGCGUCAGGAGAAAGAAGAGGGACACCGAGCGGGCCAAGCACUAGCAAAGAAGGAAAGAAAAGGGACGAGGCCCGGUGGGAGAGGAGGGAGCUAGCCCACCUAGUCUUCUCUCUAGAGCCGGCUAAGCCAAAUAAGAAAGGGGUUUUUUCUUUUAAAAUAAACAUUACAGCAAAUCAAAAUACCCUGAGCAACACAUGGUUUUCAAAAUAAAAAUAAUAAUGCCUCAGGCAUGAGGAAAUUAUGCCCUAUUUAAAUAAAAUACAAAUCUGAUUUUUGGAACAAGUAAAUUAUAUUCAAAACAGGAUUUAUAAUGCUGUUUUGUUAAUAAAAACCCCAUAUGACUUAAGCUUAAAAACCAUAAGACAAUACCCCCUCAAUCACAAGUUAAUACUCUGAAUGUUUUACAUUUUUAAAACAGGUUCUAGCAAGGUUUGACACACAAGUUUAGAAAUAUCAAAAGGGGAUUUGCCUUGUUUGAAAAGCAUAGUUUGAGAAGCAUUGUUUUAAACCAAUGGUUUGAAAGCACCACAACAUCACAUUUCUACAACCAAGCUAUCAAACAAGAUGGAAUAACUAGCAACACCAGAGUGAAAGCAAAACAAAUGAAAUGGAUGAUGGCAUGAUGCAAAGAUGAUAACAUGAAAUGAUCCACAUGAAAUGAUGACUUUAUAACAUUCAAAACAUGGUUUCACAAAAGGAAAGGAUCCCAAAAUGGCAAGGAUUACAUCUGGGGCAUUACAAACUCUCCCACACUACAAGGAGAUAUCGACCCGGGAUCUAGGACUGAAAGAACUCUGGAAGUUCAAAACGGAAGUGAUCCUCGCGUGCCCAAGUGGCCUCUUUAUCGGAAUGAUGUGACCAUUGUACCUUGAGAAACUUGAUUGACUUAUUGCGGGUCUUGCACUCAGUCGUCUCUAGAACUGCAAUUGGAUGCUCACGGUAGGAUAGGUCGGGUUGAAGGUCGAUAUCCUAAAGAUCAACUAUGCGCUCGGGAGUCUUGAAUCAUCUCCGAAGGUGAGAGACAUGGAACACGUCAUGCACAUUUGCGAAGUUUGAAGGGUGCUCUAAAUGAUAUGCAAGGUCGCCUCUCUUGCCAACAAUUCUGAAAGGACGAACUAAUCGAGGAGCAAGUUUCCCUUUGAUGCCGAAGCGCUGAGUGCCCUUCAUAGGAUACACUUUAAGAUAGACGAAGUCAUCGAGCUCAUAAGACAUGUCACGAUGCUUGCUAUCGUAGUAGCUCUUCUGACGGGACUGCGCUGCUUUGAGAUUAUCCCAAAUGACACGACACAUCUCUUCUGCUUCAGCAAUCAUGUCAUUCCCAAGAAUCUGACGCUCACCAGUUUCUGACCAGUUGAGCGGGGUACGACACUUCCUGCCAUAAAGAAUCUCGAACGGAGCUUUUCCUGUACUUGCCUGAUAGCUGUUGUUAUAUGAAAACUCAGCAAAAGGUAGGCAGUCUUCCCAGUUCAUGCCAAAGGAAAUGACACAGGCUCUUAGCAUAUCCUCGAGGACAUGAUUGACUCUCUCAACUUGCCCACUAGUCUGAGGAUGGAAGGUUGUACUGAAUCGAAUCUUAGUACCCAUCGCAGACUGAAAUGAAUGCCAGAACUUGGGAGUAAAUAUGCUUCCUCGAUCCAAAGAAAUCAGCAUUGGAACACCAUGCAAUGAGACUACCCUUGACGUAUACAGCUCCGCAAGCUGAGCUGCCGAGAUAGACUCCUUGACUGGAAGGAAAUGAGCGACUUUGCUCAACUUGUCGAUAACGACGAAGAUGGCAUCGUUACCCUUCUUGGAGUUUGGAAACCCGGUGACGAAAUCCAUCUCAAUAUGUUCGAACUUCCACUCGGGAAUGGGCAAUGGAUGCAAAAGACCUGCUGGACGUUGAUGCUCUGCUUUCACCCUUAGACAUACAUCACAUUCAUUUACGAACUGAGCAAUCUCAUGCUUCAUGUGAGUCCACCAGAAGGUCUGUUUCAAAUCCUGAUACAUCUUGGAACUUCUUGGAUGUAUCGAGAGAAGAGAAUUAUGAGCUUCUUCCAUGAUAACCUUUCUAAGAUCCCCUUUCGGAACGACAAGACAAUCCUCAAAGAAUAAUGUAUCUCUGGUAUCAACACUGAAGCACUUAUAUUUGGGAACUCCCUUUGCCAAGCCAAUCUUAACUUUCUUCACCAUUGCAUCAAGAAAUUGAGCUUGUCGGACUUGGUCUUCCAAGGUAGGAGAAAUCUGAAGAUUAGCAAGAAAUCCCCGAGGUACUAACUGAAGGUUGAGCUUUCUGAAAGAUUCACGAAGGUCAGGCUGGAGAGGCUUCAGAAUGAGACUGUUGUAGUAAGCCUUCCUGCUCAAAGCAUCUGCCAUGGCAUUAGCUUUUGCCUGGAGUGUACUCAACACUCGGAUUAAAAUCUUGGAGCAUUUCCAUCCAAGGAGUUUGCCGAAGAUUAAGGUUAGGCUGGGUGAAGAUGUACUUGAGACUCUUGUGAUCGGUGAACACUUCAACCUUUCUCUCCAACAAGAGGUGUUUCCAAGUCAUCAGAGUAUGUACCACUGCCGCCAACUCAAGAUCAUGAGUGGGGUAAUUCUUCCCCCUUGGCUUCAACUGCGUGAAAGUAUAAGCUACCACUUUCUUGUCUUGCAUCAACACUGCACCAAGUCCUUGACGCGAGGCAUCGCAGAACACUUGAUAAGGUUUGGAGUCAUCAGGAGGAACCAAGACUAGAGUAGAAGUGAGCUUCUCUUUGAGUGUGUCGAAGCCCAACUAACACUGUGGAGACCAGACAUACUUCACACCCUUCUGAAGAAGACUUGAGAGAUGCUAAGCAAUCUUGGAGAAAUUCUCAACGAAUCUUCUGCAAUAGCUUGCAAGCCCAAGAAACCUUCGAAGUUGCUUCACAUUUUGCGGAGGUUCCCACUCAACAAUGGCCUGCACCUUCGACGGAUCAACUUUGAUGCCCUCGGCAGAGAUGAUGUGCCCAAGGUAGACAACUUAUUUCAACCAGAACACACAUUUGGAAAACUUAGCAUAGAACUUAUGCUCUCUUAGCUUAUCAAGCACAAGUCUGAGAUGUUCUUCAUGAUCUUCCUCAGUUUCCGAAAAGACCAGAAUAUCAUCAAGAUACAACAAGGCGAAUUCAUUCUUGAAUGGGGAGAAGAUAUAAUUCAUCAUCCGACAGAAGGUCGGUGGAGCAUUAGCCAGACCGAAAGACAUCACCGUGUACUCAUACGAGCCAAAGCUUGUUCUGAAUGCAGUCUUUGGAAUGUCCUCUUCGCGAAUGCGAAUCUGAUGAUAACCCAUCCUGAGAUUAAGCUUCGAGAAGAUCUUAGACCCUUUCAAUUGCUCAAACAACUCAUUAAUGUUAGGAAGUGGAUACUUGUCUUUGAUCGUCUUCUUAUUCAAUGGACGGUAAUCGACAUAGAGUCGUUCCGUACCAUCCUUCUUCUUGACAAAAAGAACUCCACAGCCCCAAGGAGAUGAGCUUGAUCUGAUCAAACCCAGACGCUCUUGCUCAUCAAGUUGUUUCUUCAGCUCCUUCAUCUCUUCUGGACCCAGUUUGUACGGCCAUUUACACACAGGCUCAGUACCCGGUUCAAGCUCAAUUACGAACUCAACUGCUCGGUGCGGAGGCAUUUCUGGCAGUUCUUCCGGAAAAACAUCUUCAUACUCGCAGAGCACUGGGACUUACGAAAUUGGAGAGAUCUCACCCUUCUCUUUCAAGGAAAACAGACGGACCGUGUCAUCACGCGCUACGAAGAUAAUCACGUCCUUCGAACAAUGGGUUAGCUUCACUUCUUUAGCUUCACAAUCAAUAUCAGAGUUGCCAAGGACAAUAGGAGAAGCCAAAAAGGCAUAAUCACCCAUCUUGAUAGAGACAUCCGAAAAUACCACAUUAGAACUCAUCAACAUACCCGGGGAAACCACACGGAAAGGUUUGUCCAAAGUCUUAGAAAAUAAAUCGUGCUUCCAUGCAAAUGGUCUAGACAUGAAUGAAUGAGAAGCACCAGAAUCAAAUAAAACCUUUACAGGAAUAUCAUUAACUGAGAGAUUACCCAUAAUCACAUCUGAGGAGUUCUCUCCUUCAGUUGCAUUCACCAUAUUGACUGUCGCAGACCUGGGGUUGAACUUCACUAUAACAUUGCUUGGAGGCUUCCCCAGAGGAGGGUGCGGAAGACGGAGCUAAGAGGUGCACUUGUUGGCAUAGUGACCCUUCUGCCCACACUUGUGACAAGUAACCUCUGCCGGCUGACGGAACUGCACCUGAGAAUUCCCUUGCUUCUGCUGCUGAAACAUCUGCUUGAAAGCUGGGUUGGGUGGGUGGGAAGAACCACGACCACCAGACUACUUGAAUUGUUGAAUCUGCCGAGGAGGAGGAGAGGACAUCCAGUAUUUCUGCUGCUUCUGGACCACUGAUUUGAGGGCGACGAACUGGACUCUCUAAAACGCUUCCUCGAAUUCUCCACCCUGAGCUAAGCUGCCUCAGCCCUGAGAGCCAAGUUAUAGAAAUUAUUGAACUCAUCGGGAUCGUGUAAGGGAAGGGCCAGCUGCAAGUCCGCUCUCAGACCACCUCUGAACAGAUAGAUCUUGCUCUUCUGAUCUGUAAUGUCCUGCAAGGCAUAUCGAGCCAGCUCAUGGAACUCGACGUUGUACUUGUACACAGAGGAACCACCUUGCUUCAAGCGUCUGAACUUCUCACGCAUCUCUUCCACAAAGCUGGACGAGAUAUAGUGAGACCUGAAAUCUCUGCAGAACUCAUCCCAACUGAUCAUUCUGCCACCCCUGGAGUCCUUCAACUGCUGCCACCAAACUGCUGCCUGCCCCUUGAGCUGAAAUGUUGCAAACUUGACGAAGUCCUCUAGACGGACAUUGCUGCACUCAAAGUGUUUGAUCAUGUCCCGAAUCCAGUCCUCAGCGUCGAACGGCUGGUCGCAAGACGUGAAAGACUUCGGCUGCUUCGCCAGGAAUUGAUUCAGAGAUGCAAACUGAUUACCACCAUGGUAGAAAUUGCCCUGCUGCUGAUUGGUCCUCUCUUGCAACAGCUGGAUUAACAUCUGGGUGUUAGCAUUUAUUGAAGUCAUCACCGCUUGCCAAGCCUGUGCAGGAGGAGGCGGCGGUGGAGGAGGAGGCGGAGGAGGUGGUGGCGGAGCAUCAGCACCCUUGCGACCCGGAUUCUGGCGAGUUGGUGGAGCCAUCCUGAAGACGAAAAACACAUUAGACCAGAGAAUAACAUUCAAGGUAAAGCUGAAUCAAAAGGCAGGAAUUUCUGAACAAGAAUAUUUAGCAAUUGCACUCGAACAAAAUAGUAAGAAUGCUUCCUCAAAGUGACUCUCGACAAAAUCUGAUUAAAAACCACUUGCAAACCAAGUAUGAGCUAGAACUACUCGGAACAAACGUAUGAUAGAGAUUCCAUCCGAUAUCUUCGUGGAUAUGAUCGCACGAGCUUGAAUUUAUAGUAGACAUCCUGUGCAAGGCAGUGCACACGACUUACGAAGCAUCCCCGAGUCGUAGCAAGCUACAAGGACUCUUUAAGACACAACGAGAACCACUGUAGACGAGUGUGAACAAACGUACCCACUGAAUGUCGAAUCCCAACCUCACAUCAUGCAUAUGUGGAAGAUUGUCCUAUAAGUCACUACUUGAUAUCCCACCCAUGAAUUCUCGAAAUAUCUGGUCAUGCAAUCUGGUACACGGAUACAAGGAGUAAUAUGUCACACAACUCGUAUACUAACCUGUCGAGUGUAUCACAUCCGUCAACACAUAACCAGAAUCUCGGAGCUUCAUCUACUACAGACCCUCGUAAUCACGACGAUACAAAGUGUGGCGAUACAUCCGGAACUCUCUGCACCAGUACUGGGGAAGUCGGACUCCUCUCGUCACAACUAGUAUUGAAGCAAUUACGAACAUCCUCCGUCCUGAGAUACUAAGAAAUCUGAAUGACGGUGAUGUGCACAAGAAUCCCCUGGAGGUCAACUCCCCGGAAGAAAUCAAGUGAGACAGGAGGCACCAAGAUAGAACUCCGUCACAUCGAUAUAAAAAGAUUUCAAAAUACCCGGGUGAUCCUGGAAAAAAGAUUGAGCGAGACGAGGAGUAGAAUUAAGAUUUCCUACGUCGAGAACCUCGCUAGAGCAUAGAAAGCGAGAAAAAAGAAACCUAUUAUCUGAUAUAACUAAAACUCAAAACAUUUUACUAGACUCGACUCGACCAAGUUCGAUCACACAAAGGCUCCUAUGGUCGUAAGGCUCUGAUUACCAACUUGUAACGACUAAGAUGCGAACCUUUCCUUAUUUGGGGGCGAGGCCUCAAAAGGGGAAAGGGUCGCAUCUAUGCGUUUCGCAAAUGGGAUAAUUAUCACAAUACAUAAUUAAAAGUGUAACAAGUAGGGCAUACACUUGCCAUCUGUUAAGAAUAUAGCAUAUAGCUUACAGACACAUUUUAUUCAAAGUAGCAACAGGUCCAGCUACGGACUUAAACAGAAAACAGAUGAUCUAACACAUCCCGUAUGCUAGCCCACGAUCAUGACCACGGCCUUAGUCUUCCGGAUAGUUCACAUACAGACGGCCAGAGUCCUCAUCGAACUCCCACUUCAGCUGGUUGUCAUGAGGGUCUCCCGCGUCGAGCGUACCUGUUCCUGUUGGCGUUUGUAGGAAUCUGUGAGCCACGGGGACUCAGCAAUCUAAUGACCUUGGUACUGAAUCUAGCCAAGUUAUUAGGUGAGCAAGCUUUAGUGUAUGGGUUUGCAGCAACCUAAGCAUAUAUGGUGGCUACCUUAUGUUGAUCAGAGUAUCAUAUGGUGGUCUAUGCAAGCGAUCGAAGACUAGGUGAGCACUAAGUGAUCCUGAACACCUACUUACGUCAAACAUAACCCCACAGUGUUCUCGAUCGGAGAAUGAUCUCCGAAGGAGACGGUCACGGUUACGCACACAGUUGGCAGUUUUAUUAGAGUUACUUCAAGUUGUCUAGAACCAGAUGUUAACAAAAUAUCCGCAUUUGCCACAUAACCGUGGGCACGUCUUUCUAAAAGAUUAUACCCUGCAGGGGUGCUCCAACUAGUCCAUCACAAACUGCCACAGGCCGCAAAGUAAUCCUCUAUCACGAAACUCGUGAUCUCGUCGGAUUCCUUAGAGGAAAACCUCAACUUUGAGGAGACCCAAAGUUUCAUCGGAAUCCCUAUACGCAAGAUAUAUCGGUAAGGUAAAACAAAUCUAGUAGGACCUCCCGACGUGUUGACAACCCAGAUAAGAGCCGCGUAUCUCAGUCUGAGGACACGACGGAUAAGCUGCACGCACGAUGCCUGAUAGAAAUCACUCAAGUUGCCCUGAGUUGGCCCCGCGCAGUGCUCUAAUUUGGACCAACACUGAUGAGGAGCACUGACCCGGGUUGUUGAUUAAUUCCUCGGGGUAGCUAUUCCCUAUGCAAAUUAUUAUUAGGUGAUUAGCAGAUUGAAACCAAUGUUGGGUCCUGCCGGACAAGCCUUAACACUAUACGAUUUAUCAAGGGGGUACCCAUAACAAUCCCGAACGUGUUAGGAGCGAUCAGUUUUGGAAUCAAACAUCGGUAACCGAAACUAAGGCGGCAACAACGGAACAAAUCACCCGGCAAAAGGCUAGGCCUUCUGUUAUUAACCAAGUAUAUAGGUGCAUUAAUUAAAUAGAAGUUUAAACAUAAUGAUAUCACAAUACUCAUGUUAUCACAUGAGACAGCUGGCACCUACAACUAGCAAAGCUACUCAUUAGUGGUUGAGCAAGCCUACUUAGCAAAACAACAUUUGCUAGGAGAGGGAAGUGUUUGGGGGUCAUGGCAAAGACAAGUGGCAUUUAUAUCAAGUGGGAGGCAGCGAGCAUAACGAAGGGACCAUGAUUCUAAGCAUAACAAAGCUAGAUACGGUGUCAAGGUCACGGUCAUCUUGCCUGAGAUGUCUUCAGCUUGGAACUGCUCUUGAUCUCCCUGCACGUACUCUCCAAAAUCCAUGUACUCGCUAUCCGUUCCCGAUGCUACCCAAGAUAAGAUAACAGCCAAUGAACACCAGCAAAACAUAAUGCAACAAUCAAUAUGAUGCAUGUGUGAAGAAGGAAACAUGCAUCACUAUUGUAGUCACUUUCAUAUGCAUUAGUUGAGUUAAUUGAAUUCUGGACAAAACCUAAUUUUAAGUUAUCUUGACAUGCAUGAAGAUCACAAGAAAAUGAUGCAAAAACAUAUAAAGAAAGUAGAGAACGGAGUCACGGGUCAACAGGAAACUACGAAACAAGUUAUGGAGACCUACGGUUCAAAUCAGCCACAAACAAACUCCAAUGGCACUCCCCUGGUGUUACUAGGUUGCCACAUGAUCAAGCAACAAAAUAUAAUUGGGGUGGUGCAUGGGAACACAACACACCAUCAACAAUGCCCACACAAGCUUCAAAUCAACACAAACAUGCAAUAUGUUUUCAACAGCAACAUAGAAGUUUGUCUUCAAUAUUUAAAGUAGCUACAACCAGCUAAUGCAAAGGAGUCACCCAUGAGAAGAUCUAUAGACCCUAACUUAGACAAAAUAUCACAGAUUCUGGGACUUAGUGAAAAUCACAGAUUUUCACGAGCUGCUUAUGCUCUGAAGCAUUUUGGCAGCCUCCAAAAUGAUAUCUACAGGAAGUGCAUAAGCAUGAAAUUUAACAGGGAGCUAAACAAACAUAAAAGCUCACAAACUUUAGUUAGUUGCAUGGGCUCAUUCCCAACACAGGAGCUAAUUCACAAAAGACAACAGGGGAAGAAAAUAACAUCAGAUUCUCAGACUUUGUGGAAAUCACAAGGUUUCACAAAUCUGUCAGAUUCAGCCAAGUGUCAACUUUGACAGGGCACAUUAGGUGCAUAAAAAUUCCUAAGAAUAAAACAAAGACCCCAUGAUGUAGAGGGGUUCACUCACUACCACUCCAUCAAGGAAUCAUCCUCAAAGGGUUAAGGCACCACCUAAUACAAAGCACUAAGCAUGGCACCAUGACAGAAAAUAACAGUUUUAUGAAGUUGUUGUAAAGUGAAAUCUGAUUGCACCAAUGGAUUCUUGGGAUGAUUCUACCCCAAAAUCAUAUAUAAUACAUGGGUACUUGCAUGUAAUAUCAAGGCACAAAGCUAGCUUGAAAAUGACACAUAGAAUCCUAUUACUACAAAUGACUAUCCUCACAUGUAAAACUAGCACAUAUUUCAUCAUCUACACAUGCACUUCCUAGGACAAGAACAACAUAUCUAUUCCUAGCAUGGAUCCAUUAACAUGGGCACACAAACAUAUGGAGAUGUGGUUAUCCACACACACACACACACACAUGUGCAUCUCACACCACCUACACCUACACAUGCACACACACAAGCACUAUACACAUAGCACCACCAACAUAGUGGCAAACAUGAGGGGUUAGGCCCUCAUGCACAAGUGCAUAUGCACCCAUGCACACACACUCACAUACAUGAGCACACACACACACAUACAUGUGCUCACAAACACACUCAAGUUUAUACACUCAUGAAUAGGUGCAACAUGAGGGGCUAGGCCCUCUUGCACAUGUGCACGUGCACACUCAUGCACACACACUCACUCACAUGUGCACAUACACUCAUGUGCACAAACACACACUCAUGUGCACAUAGACACCACUAGGCCUCAAAACAACAACACAACAUCAACACACCAACUAGUUUUAAAAAGAAACAACUCCAAAUAGUGAAAGAAAGAAAUGCAGCAAAAAAAUAAAAAGGGGGUGGUUGUGGUCCGAACCCACAACCUCCUGUUGCCACCACAUGCACAUCACCACUCUGCUACUGCUUCGGCGCUUGACAGAGAGGGGGAAAUUGACAGGCUAAGCUUCUCUGCACUACUCUGCUACUAGCGAAAAACAUGAAAAAAGGGCAUGCAGGGGAUCGAACCCACGACGCGUUGCCCGUGCCCAGGCUCGGUUGCCACUGCGCUACAAGGGAGAAACUUAAUAGAGAUGGGGAGCAUCCUCUUUUGAGCAGCCCCUCUGCACUAUUCUACCACGCCGGCGGCCGAAACAGGGGAGGACGGCGACGACUACCCAGCGAUCUACUAGAGACGGCAAACUACCAUGUGGGACGCGGGAGCCUUGGGGACUCCAUUCUUGUGCCAAACGCAACCGGAGGAGGCCCACGACGGCGUCGCAACGGUGCACCUAACUACGGCGACGACGGCGACAGUAGAGGACUACGACGAUGGCUACGCGCAUCCGGAGACUCUACGCGAUGGGAAGAGGAAGGAGGGGGAGGAGCUGCUCACCCUGGUGUGCUCGGAGAAGGGCUCGCUACUGAGAAGAGGAAGAUGGGGAGGACGCCUGCGACGACCCGAAGCUCCUCUCCGGCGAUGUUGUCGUGGAGGAGGAGCCAGGGAGGGGGAGCAGCCCCGCUAGCAUCAGAAAUGGAACGGGGGGAGAACCCCCAUACUCGUGGAUGCCUUGGACACCACGGGGGAGGCUGCCAGCGACGAGAGGAUGCGGGAUCGACGGCGACGCUCACUGAACUUCUCUGAAUCUCAUUGGAGCAUACCUGCAGAGGGAGAGGGAGAGAGAUGGGAACGAGGUGGCGGCGGAGAGAGGAACCCUAGAUGAGGCCCGCAUGUCGAGGGAAUAAAUAGGCGAUGGGGGGAUGGCCUCGACGUCCGUGAAGCCACGGCAUCGGGAGCUCUCUCUCACACGGCGACGCUCUCUCUGACGUAAAGGAGGGGAAAACGCAACGGCGUCAGGAGAAAGAAGAGGGACGCAGAGCGGGCCAAGCGCUAGCGAAGAAGGAAAAAAAGGGACGAUGCCCACGGGGAGAGGAGGGAGCCAGCCCACCUGGGCUUCUCUCUGGAGCCGGCUAAGACAAAUAUUAAAGGUUUUUUUAAAUAAACGUUAGAGCAAAUCAAAAUACCCAGACGAACACAGGGUUUUGAAAAUAAAACUAAUAACACCUAGGGCAUGAGGGAAUUAUGCCCUUUUUAAAUAAAAUACAAAGCUGAUUUUUAGAACAAGUAAAUUAUAUUCAAAACGGGAUUUAUAAUGUUGUUUUGUUAAUUAAAACGCCAUAUGACUUAAGCUUAAAAACCACAAGACGAUACCCCCUCAAUCACAAGUUAAUACUCUGAAUGCUUAACAUUUUUAAAACAGGUUCUAGCAAGGUUUGACACACAAGUUUAGAAAUAUCAAAAGGGGCUUUGCCUUGUUUGAAAAGCAUAGUUUGAGAAGCAUUGUUUUAAACCAAUGGUUUGAAAACACCAGAACAUCACAUGUCUACAAGCAAGCUAUCAAACAAGAGGGAACAACUAGCAACGCACGAGAGUGAAAGCAAAACAAAUGAAAUGCAUGAUGGCAUGAUGCAAAGAUGAUGACAUGAAAUGAUCCACAUGAAAUGAUGACUUUAUAACAUUCAAAACAUGGUUCCACAAAUGGAAAGGAUCCCAAAAUGGCAAGGAUUACAUCUGGGGCAUUACACAUGAGGACUUUCACAGUUGAAAGUUCAACCGUCGCCGCGCCGCAGAGCACCUUUCCCUAAUCUUAUCCACCCAAUGGUCAUAUCAUUAAGGGCAUUAAUGUCAUAUCAUGUCGGGAUGUUCCCAGGCUAUAAAUAGCCACCCCCUACAACCACUAGCUAGUUGGCUGCUCCGAGAGAAUGUGACACCUGUCAUUUAGAGCAACCCAAUUCCUCGAGGACUUUGACCAAAAAUCACCAAGUGAGGAAAUACCCCAAACACCCAAACCAAAACGGAAAACCCAAAGUGAUUGACCAUCACUAAAGAGAUUGUUCCUGUGUGGAACCGACACUUGUUACCUCUGAGGAUUGUGCAUCCUCGAGACAGUUAGGUGUCAUGGUCUAGAGCAUCGAGCAGUCAAUUAUGGAUCGUCGGGUGACCAAGUUUGUGAGGGUUUGGACGUCUCCCUUGAAGACUUACCACGAGUGUUGGGCAGGGACUGUGUGUCCUUAGCUCAAGGAGAAUACGGUAGGGACUAUGUGUCCUAGGACUGUGUGUCCUUUGGUUUCAAUACCAAGCCACUCCAAACUACACGUACAACUGUCACAGUAGUUGGAACUGGGUCAUCAACCAUUGUCUUCAUCGAGCUACCGGGUCUAUUUCUUCAACUCUUUUCAUUUCCUCAAUUGCAUGGUGAAGAUUUUCAUCUGUACUAUUUGAAGAAUUUGACUAAAGACUUUGUCCUAAUUCCUCGCCUCAAAUUCUUCACCUGAGUUAUUCAUCACCUCCUUAUCCUAUAUACGUGACCUGUGCAAACCGAACCUAUCAAUUCACUCUAGGUACUUUGCUGUAAUCACUUUUGCACAUCAGUCUUAGUACUAUUUCCGUGGCACUCAGUUCAUGACUGAAGACUUUCCUCACUAGAAAUUUCCUCAGUGAUGAAUUUUUCAAAUUCACCUAUUCAUCCCCCCUCUAGUUUAUAUAAUGCACUUUCAAUUGGUACCAGAGCAAGGUACUCCCUUGCUCUGUGUGAUUUUGGUUUAACCACGUGGAGUUUUAAUUAUGUCCACUGCAGGUAUGAUCAAGGUUAUUGUAGUGUGCCAUACCUUCAAAGGAAAGGACUCCCCCUACUAGAAGAACAAGAUGCAAAUGCAUCUUCAAGCAAUUGAUAUAGAUCUCUGGUAUAUCAUGGAAAAUGGUGUUCCCUGUGUCACUUCAACUAUCAUUGCUGGUGAUGUGAAGAAAUUCAAGCAACUCGACUCACAAGCGAAGAAUAUCAUCUAUGGCCAUCUGAGCAAAGGUAAGUAUGGCAUGGUGAGUGCUUUGGGCUCUGCGAAGAUAAUCUGGGAAAGGUCGACCAAAGUCAAUGAGGGAGUCUCCACACAACGUGACUCUCGAUUUGAUGUUCAUCGAAUCUCUUCAACCGCUUCAAGAGACUGGAUAAUGAAAGCUGCCAAGAUACCUUUGAUCGCCUCACUCACAUCUCAAAUGAGGUGCAAGCUCUGGAGCCAGAGACAUCACAUACCAUGAAGUCGUGAAGAACAAAGAGAUUUCUUGGUGACCUUGAUUUGGAACAUUGGUUCUGAUGAUCCAAGAACAAAGAGACUAGAAGAUGCUUGAUCCUGCUGAUAUACUUGAGAGACUCAAUACUCAUGAAUUCCAAAAAGAAGAAAAGAGAGACCUAUAUGGACCAAGCUACUCAAGACCUCGUGCGCUGAAGGCAAAGGUUGUUUCCUCAUCUGAAGAAGAAGAAUCUGACGACAGUCUUGGUGACCCUAAAUAACUUGCUCACGAACUUCCUAUGCUCGUGAGAAAAUUCUAGAAGUUCACAAAGCAUAGCCAGUUCGUAAAGUCUUCAAGAAGAGAUAUGAGGAAAUAAGAAUCUUCACCUGAGGAAUACAGGAAAAGAACCUGCCAUAAAUGCAAGAAAGCUAGUCACUACAUUGUUGAUUGUCCUUGUUGGGUGAAGGAAUCAGGGAAGAAGAAGUACAAGGAUGAAACUUCUGACGACUCGAAGAAAAAGAAGAAAUCUUCAAAGUCCUCAACGCACAAGAAGACCAGUUUUAGAAAGGCUCGGGCACUCAUUGGCAAGGAAAUGGAUUCUGAAGAAGAAUCUGAGAAAUGUGAUGAAGAGGAAGGUUAUGAAGUUUUCGGGACCCCGAUCCUAAGCCAUAGGAAUCCAGCCUGUAACACAUCGCAUCCCUUUGCAUUCGCACGCACGGUUAACUCCACGGCUGCAGCCUUACCUUAGCCGGGACCGUUUGCGUCUUUUGACUCACGUAUGCAAUAGUGUCACUAGCAUUCCGAUGUCAAAGAACCCGGAUCGACAAGUCCAGUGAUAAACCAAAGAGGCAGUACCGCACAAGGACAGGCAUACAUGACCCANNNNNNNNNNNNNNNNNNNNNNNNNNNNNNNNNNNNNNNNNNNNNNNNNNNNNNNNNNNNNNNNNNNNNNNNNNNNNNNNNNNNNNNNNNNNNNNNNNNNGGCCGAGAUGGUGGCUACGUGGGCCACUUGGCCCACUUGGCGAGCGUUUUUUUUCUUUUUUAAAAUUUUUAUUUUUAUUUUUUAUAUAGCUUAUGUUUUAAAUAUAUAGUGAUUAUAAAUAAUUUUUAAAAAAACUUGUUCACUUUUAUAAUUCAUUAGGGAAUUUUUAAUAACUUCCCCGACAAUUUUUAUUGUAAACAUUAUAAAACUUUUCCCGUUUGAUUUAUUUUUAAACUUCCAAUUUUGGCUCGGUUUCAACUAAGACGAGAUCAACGAUAUAAUUUAUGAUGACGUGUCAUUCAUUCCAUAGAUUUACUGUAGCUUAAUUACAUUGAACACUAUAACAAAAGCCGAGGAUGUCACAACUCUCCCCUACUAAUAAGAAUUCUCGUCCCGAGAAUUAAGAGGUAGAAGGAAAGAGCUCGGGGUAUUCAUCACGAAGAUGAUCCUCGCGUUCCUAAGUGGCUUCAUCUUCAGAAUGAUUUGACCACUGCACUUUAAGGAACUUGGUGGCUUUGCGACGAGUCUUACGUUCAUCUUGGUCGACAAUGCGGACCGGAUGCUCUUUAUAAGAGAGGUCUUAUUGCAGCUCAAGCAUAUCAUGAUCCACUGCUCGAAUAGGAUCCUUGAAGCAGCGGCGGAGCUGAGAAACAUGGAAGACAUCCUGAACCUGAGAAAGGUUCACCGGCAGUUCCAAUUGGUAAGCCACUCUUCCACACCUUUCGAGAACAGUGAAAGGACCAAUAUAGCGAGGAGCUAACUUGCCCUUGACCCCAAAACGAUGUGCACCUCUCAUUGGUGUGACACAAAGAUAAGCCUUUUCGCCAGGUUGAUAGAUCAUAUAUUGAUGAUGACGGUCAUACUGACUCUUCUGACGAGACUGAGCAGCCUUCGGAUUCUCAAGAAUAAUGCGGACUUGAUCUUCAGCAUGUUAAAUAACAUCCGGACCGAAGAGUGAUCGUUCCCCAGUUUCUGACCAAUGCAGAGGAGUUCAACACCUUCAUCCAUACAAUACUUCGAAAGGGGCCAUCUUCAGACUAGCUUGAUAGCUAUUGUUGUAGGAGAACUCAGCAUAUGGGAGAGAUUCCUCCCAUUUCUUACCGAAAGAAAUGGCACAAGCUCGAAGCAUGUCCUCGAGAAUUUGGUUGACUCGUUCAACUUGUCCCUGGGAUUGAGGAUGAAAUGUCGUGCUGAAGGACAGAUGAGUCCCCAUAGCCUUCUGAAAACUUUCCCAGAAUUUUGAAGUGAACAAGUUGCCAUGGUCCGAGUUGAUUAUCAAUGGAAUACCGUGAAGUGAAACAACUCUUGACAUAUAAAGAUCUGCCAGCUGACUACCAUUAAUUGUUUCUUUGACGGCCAAGAAAUGUGCAAGUUUGUACAGUCGGUCAAUGACGACAAGAAUAUCAUCAUUAACUUUCUGAGAUUUGGGAAAACCAGUGAUAAAGUCCAUUUCAACAUGGUCCCAUUUCCACUCAGGAAUAGAGAUAGGUUGCAGAGUUCCAGCAGGCUUUUGAUGUUCUGCUUUGAUACGCCGACAAAUAUCACAUUCUACCACAUAGCGUGCAAUGUCUUGUUUCAUAUUGGGCCACCAGAAUCUUUGCCGGAUGUCUUGGUACAUCUUGGUGCUACCCGGGUGAAUAGACAAUGGUGUGUCGUGAGCUUCUUUCAUCACCUCACCGGUCAUUCUAAGAUUUUCCUUCUUAUUUGGGACGAAUAGGAGACCCUUGAAGUACAAGGCGCCAUCUUCAGCAACAGUGAAAAAGGAGGGUUUACCCUUCGUAAUAUAGCUUAUAAUCCUGUGGACAUCAUCGUCAAAGCAUUGUAGAUUCUUGAUGGUGCUCACAAGAUCUGGUUCAACAACCAGGUUACCGAGGGAACCCUGAUUAACAACACGAAGUAUCAUUUUUCCACACUCUUCAGGAGGGGGAACAAGGUAACCCUGAGGAACAAUAUGGAGGUUCAGCUUACGAAAUUCCUCUUGUAGACGAUCGUGAACCUUAUGAACCUGGAGGUGGUUGCAGUAUGACUUGCGACUCAAGGCAUCAACCAUUACAUUAGCCUUGUCGGUGGUAUAUGAUAUACUACAGUCAAAAUCUGCUAUACGCUCCAUCCAUCUUCGUUGACGUAGAUUCAGCUCCGGUUGAGUGAACAAGUACUUCAGACUUUGAUGGUCGGUGAAGAUUUCACAGCGAUUACCGACAAGGUAUUGUCGCCAUUCUUUCAGUGCAUGAAUAACUGUGGCAAGUUCGAGAUCGUGAACUGGAUAGUUCUCUUCAUGAGCACACAGCUGACGUGAGGCAUAAGCAAUCACCUUGCGAUCCUGCAGCAGGAUAUAGCCUAUUCCUUGACGAGAAGCGUCACAAUAUAUGAUGAAAUCCCUUUACAUAUCCGGAGGAGCAAGUACUAGAGCGGAUGUCAGUUUGUCCUUGAGUGCCUGUAAACUUUCCUGACAUUUAUCAGUCCACUCAUACUUAACACCUUUGUGAAGAAGAUUGGUAAGGGCUUCGCAAUCUUGGAGAAGUUCUCGACGGAUCGACGACAAUUGCUGAUGAGUCCGAGAAAACUUCUGACUUGCUUGACAUUCUUCGGGGGAGUCCAGUCAAGAAUAACUUGAAUUCGUUCGGGGUUGACUGCAAUACCAUCCUUGGAAAUCACAUGACCAAGGUGUGUCACUUCGUCCAGCCAGAAUUCACAUUUAGAAUACUUCGCAUAGAGUUUAUGCUCUCGAAGCUUAUCCAAUACAAGACGAAGAUGUUCAGCAUGCUCUUCUUUAUUCUGAGAAAAUACCAGAAUAUCAUCCAGAUAUACCAUGACGAAUUUGUCGAGGUAGUCCAUGAAUAUAUAAUUCAUCAAUCGAGAGAAGGUUGCCGGUGCAUUGGUUAAGGCGAAGGACAUGACGGUGUACUCGUAUUAUCCAUAACGAUUAACAAAGGCAGUCUUUGGAAUAUCCUCUUUGCGAACACGGAUCUGGUGGUAUCCCAACCUCAAGUCGAGAUUAGAGAAGACGGUGGAACCAGCAAGUUUAUCAUACAGAUCAUUUAUCCGAGGGAGAGGACAUUUGUUUUGAAUAGUGGCCUGGUUGAUAGGACGAUAGUCUUGAACCAAUCAAUUUGUCCCAUCCUUCUUCUUAACAAAGAAAGAAGGUGCUCCCCAAGCAGAGAAACUCGAACGAAUGAAACCCAGACGAAGCGAGUUGUCAAUUUCUUGCUUAAGUUCAAGGAGUUCAUGUGGUGGCAUUUUAUAAGGACGCUUGGCAAUAGGAGUUGUACCGGGUGCCAAGUCAAAGACAAACUCGACAACUCGAGCAGGGGGAAUCCCCUGAAGUUCUUCUGGAAAGACAUAUUGAAACUCCUGGACAACUGGAAUGUUUUCAAUCCCUUCAAGAGGCGACUCAUUUAAUGCAUUCAAGGCAUAUAGCCGUGCCUCAGCAUCUCGGAUGAGAUGAGCAUGGUAGCUUAUUAAUUCAUCUCAAGGGUGUAGGAGGUGGACGGUCUUGGUGGCACAAACGAUCGAUGACGUAAGAGCUUUCAACCAGUUCAUCCCCAGUAUGAGAUCAAUGUUGGAAGAACUCAAUAACAUGGGAGCGGCAAGGAAUUCCAAUCCUUCAAUUUCAAUGUGGACAUUGCGGUAGACCACGGCAUUGGCCCGAGGGGGUGCUUACCACUAUUGGGACGUUCAUCUCUUCAUACUUAAUGCCAUGCAUGAAUGCAAAAUUUUCCGACAUAAAGGAAUGCGAUGCUCUUGUAUCAAACAAUACAGAAGCAGGUACUGAUUUAACGAGAAGUGUACCCAUCAUGGUAGCAGGAUGGUCUUGAGCUUGACCCAUAUCAAUGUUGUUGGUGUGACCACGAACAUAAGGAUGCUUAGCAUUGUAGUUGCGGUUCUGGUUGUUGCCACUGCCAGUUGAGGCAAGUACCAGUUGAUUCGGAUUCUGUCUGCAGUCUCUAGCAUGGUGACCUGCACGGCCACACUUGAAGCAUAGCCCAUCCUCAGGACGGGAAGGAGGAACUCGAGGCGGUGGAGCUGGAAGCCUCGGUUGCCUAGGUGGGGCAGGAGGCAGGCGAGGUGCACCGUAGGACGGCCUCGGAGCACGAGCCGGUGCAUGGUACAUGUUGAUGGGAAUCCAGAUCUUCCGCUUCUGUGCAUAUGAGCCCGAAGAUGAGCCCAUGUCACGGUUGUGCUUGCUGCUAUCCUUGUAUUCCUGUAGACCAGUCUCAACCUGAAUAGCCUUGUUCACCAGGGUGGCGAAAUCAGCAUAGUCCAGAGUGCCAGCUUGAUAUCAGGGUGAAGGCCGUCAUGGAAUUUCUCAUGACUCCGUGCAUGAGUUCCAAUGUCUUCUUCAGCAUAGCGAGAUAAGUCCACAAAUUCCCGCUGAUAAGCAUCCACAGUUUUAUUGCCCUGGAGAAGGUUGCGGAACUCACGCUUCUUCCGGUCCAUGAUUCCCUGAGGAAUGUAGCAAGCACGAAAAGCAGCCUUGAACUCCAUCCAAGUGAUGACAGUUCCAACGGGCUGAGAGCGCCUGUGACUGUCCCAUCAUUGAGCGGCGGGACCCUUCAGGAAGUAGGCGACAAAGUUGACAUAGCUCGCCAGGGGCACAUUGGCAGACUCCAGCUCAUAAGCAAUGUCACGGAGCCAGUCAUCAGCAUCAAGAGGCUGAGUUGAGCUGCGGUAGAUCGUAGGGUUGAGGUGGGAGAACGCUUGCAGUCUCACACCUUGCUGUUGGUUCAUGUUCGGCCUUUGGAACUGAUCCAUGAGCCCUUGCAUAAACUGGCGGUUNNNNNNNNNNNNNNNNNNNNNNNNNNNNNNNNNNNNNNNNNNNNNNNNNNNNNNNNNNNNNNNNNNNNNNNNNNNNNNNNNNNNNNNNNNNNNNNNNNNNNNNNNNNNNNNNNNNNNNNNNNNNNNNNNNUUCAGCUCAAAUUGUUGGAUCAUCCCCGCCAUAUACUCAGGAGGCGGGGGUGGUGCAUCAUUGGCAGGACCACGCGGGCGGCCAGCUGGUCUAACCAUCCUGCGAAAUAUUUAACACGGGUAGUUUAGCUUAAAGUAAUUGCAAAGGCAUCGCACGCAUUCAUGAAGUAAUUAAACAUUACGAAAGGGAAAUGCGAUAGAUACUACAUAGUAGUUGAGUUCGACAUAAAGACCCAUACAUAAGUUCGAUUACACACCAUCGAUUACAAAUUCGAAAUUUGGCGAUAAGCUGGACGCAUUAGACGAUACCCUGGACUCACUAGGCGGCACGCAGGCGCGCGGUGGAAGAGUACCACAACAAGACAUAGCGAUAAGGCUACAUCAACGUCGGAGAGGACGAACAAAUCCUGGUAGGUGGCGGUGAUAGAAGGUAGGAACACGACCCUGUGUCUCGUGGUGACUCUAGUGAGGGUACCACAUCCACUCGAGGAGCUGAGGUCCAAGUGCAGGGGUUCUACCCCCAACAUCAGUACACUCAAGACCUGAUGGUAGCUCUGUCCUGCUCGGCUCGCGGAUGUGCCCAGGGGGAACCCUCGGGCAGUGUGCUGGCUGCAGCUCUUUCAACGCGUCGUAAAGACGAGCAUGCGUAGCGUACAGCUCCACAGUCAGAGCUCGAAAAGCACGAUCCAGUGCCUCAGUGUACUGCACCACAACCCGCCCGUCGUAGCGACGCGUCGCGUAGGGGGCACAGACAGCGACGUAGGAUCGGUCGUUGCGCUCCCGAACGCUAGUAGUGUAGGCAGUGAGAUCAGACCCAGUCUGAUCCCCAGCAGGAGCAUGCGGGAUGUAUCGGGUAGCACUCUCCUCCAGGUGAGGGUACGCUCCACGAAGACGGGUGAUAGCGAUGUAGGCCGCAUCAUAGACGACCAUCUCGACUGACACUCCAAUACCGCAAAAGACGUGGCGCUCGAGGGUGGAGCCGCCCAUCUGGUCGAAGAUGCGAACCUCAGCCUGGUACUGGUACUGGUUGUACUCGCGGAAGGCCUCGUACACAGUGUACUCGGGGUACCAGCGAUAUCCUAGCCUGGUCAGGAGGUAGACCAAAAUGGCCGGAAAAACAGUCGUCUCGGUGGCCUGUGUCAGGCGCACGUGCUGUCUUGCGGGACGCAUCUGAAAAUAAGAUUGAGGAUGUCAAAUGACAGUGUGUGUAAUAUAUAUUCAGAAGAACAGAGUAGAUAGUCCAGCGCUCCAGGUUGAUGUGAUUACGAGAACCUAAUGUUAGAGUUAGUAAAAUCUUUAACCCGAAAGAAAAGAGAGAGUAGAACCCAGAGUAUAGAAAAGGAGUAAAAGAUACUAAUACCACCCAAUUGAGAUGUGGGUCUGUAAGCCACAUCAUCACUGUUACUAAAGUUUUUCAAACACUAGACUCAACUUCGGCCAAGGAGUUCGAAAGGUGGCUACCUACAGGCAGUCGGCUCUGAUACGAACUUGUGACGCCCUCAGUUUAAUCAUACGCUAAUCAUACACGCAAAUGCGUAUGAUCAAACUUAAGGACCCACGGGAAGAUAUCACAACACAACUCUAGACACAAAUAAAAUAAUACCAGCUUCAUAUUACAAGCCAAGGGCCUCGAGGACUAUAAUACGGAAGCUCGAUAAACACACGAGUCAAUGGAAGCAAAAAUAUCUGAGUACAGACAUAAACCAUGGGGUGCCUUAGAGAGGCUAGCACAAAAGAUACAACGAUCGAACGAGGCGAGGCCUCCUGCCUGGGAACCCUAACUACUCCUGGUCUUUAGAGGCCUCCACAUAGUAGUAGGCACCGUCGGGGUAGUAGUCGUCGAAGGCGGGAGCCUCCAUCUCCUGGGCUCCAUCAUCUGGUCGAAGCAACGGAUCAAGGGGAGAAAGGGGGAGCAAUGCAACGGUGAGUACUCAUCCAAAGUACGCGAAAGUAUUACAUCAAAACUAUUCUAAGUAUGCAUCAGUAUCAAAGAAGGGAGGGUGGUUAUAUGUGGACUGACUGCAGCAAUGCGAGAAAAGAGGGAGAAGGCCUAGUCCUAUCGAAGACUAGCAUCUUCAGGGUCUUGCAGUGAUAGACGAGAGCAGAACAGGCGUAACACAAUUAAAUAGUCAUAUUGUUGCAGCAAUAUUAAUAUGAGGUCACGCCGAGAGAUCCUCCCUCGAGUCCAUGCGAGGAAGCAAUCCCGGGGCAACUAAUUCUUGUUAAGUAACAAUUGUAGUUGUAUAAGAUGAGGGCACAACUCCAAGUCGUCCUCUAACCGUGGACACGACUAUUCAAAUAGAUAAGUUCUUCCCUGCGGGGGUGCACAACAUAUUCACCGACGCGCUCGAUAACACUCUGGCCGGACACACUUUUCUGAGUCAUUCCCGGCUUCGGAAUAUCGACACAUCGCAGCCCCACCUAAGCUCGGCAGAGAGGCCAGACCGCCCGUCUAACUCCUACGCACAAAGGGGUCAUGGGCCCACUUGCCCUCCGCGCUCCUGCACGAUGUGAGAGCGGCGGAUGUCAGUCCUAGCACCCCUUAAUACAAGAGCGAUGCAUCUUGGGACCACUCAGGCACACACCGCUACAUCGCUGACGUCCGAAGAGCUUCGGCUGAUACCGCGAUGUCGAGUACCCAGAAUUCUUCCCACACAGACGGUUAGUGCGUAAUAAGGCCUUUCGACCAACCCAGAUCAAAUACCCAAAUCCAUUAUCAUUUUUAUUAAGCCAUAGACACAAACACGCGGGAAUGCACCCGCCUAACAACUAUUCAUCAAAGAUCCCAGUAACAUGGUCAAGUAAUUGUGUGGUUGAAACAUCAGGGGGAAUCCAAGGUAUCACCCUCGUUGGAUUCCGAACGAUGUAUCCGUCAAGGUGGAGCUAGAGGAAUCACCCUCGAGGGUCCCACACUUGAGGGGUUGCACGGCACAGGCAUCGUCGGGAAUGGUGAAGGAGGAAUCACCCUCGAUAACCAUGACCGACUAGCUGUACUACAAAGAUAUCAUUAGGAGUACUUCGCGAGGUGUCACCCUCGGUACCCAAGAAUAUCUCUGUAGCGCCGCACAACUAAGGGGGUGUAGUUCUGUGCUGGGUCUGGCUCGUUGAUCAGGGAUCGAGACUUGAAAACAAAGCGGGGCAACUGGACUACGGGGUCAGAGGGGAUGACUGCUCCACCUAAACUAAACAGUUUAAAGGUACAGUACUGAAAGUAGUAGUUCAUCAAAAUUAGGCUAUGCAUCAGAUAUAGGAGCUAACUACAAUAGUAGCAAAAUUAUAAUGCAAGGAGUAGGAAGAAAGACAUAGGCGAUAUAGCAAUGAUCAAGGGGUGGUUUGCUUGCCUUGUUGCUCUGCGGCAAAGGGCUGGUCGUCAGGAGGGUAGGUGUACCCGACAACAGCGUCAGUCUCGGGGUCUACCGGUAAGAAGAGGGGGGAGGAAACUAAAUAAUAGCAAUAGGUGCAAUAUACAGACUAGGCAUGAACUAACGCAACAACAUCCGUCAUAGACGGGUCGGGAAAAUAUCACAUGAUAUUUCUCGGGUCUGUGGCUACUACCGGUCUGACUGAAAACGAUGGAAAGUUCCACGUCUGCUAUGCUAGGGACGCGUGACACACGAAUGGACUGUGUAUCCGGGUUCGUCUCGUUCUGUUGAUCAACUUUCAUGUUGAAAAUAUUUUGAUCUGACUUAUGGAUUAUUUUAUAUUAAUUUUUAAAGUUUUAUUCAAUAUUUAGGAAUUAAAAACAGAUUUAAUUAAUUUGACUAAUUCAAUUAUAACAUCAGCAUGAUGUCACGCUAACAUCAGUAGUUGACUGGUCAACUGACCAGUGGGUCUCGUGCGUCAUAGACUCAGUUUUUAAUUAGGUUUAAUAUUAAUUAAUCAGAUUAAUUUAGUGGGGGACCCACAUGUCAUACUGUAAUAGGAUAAUUUAAUUAUCCUAAUUAACAUAUUAUCUAAAUAAUCUAUUUAAUUAGUUAACUAAUUAAUUAAAUAAUAUAUCUAAUUAUUUAUCUUUUAUUUAUAUAAUAAAAAUAUGUAUUUUAUUUUUAUAUUUUAACAGUGCGUGUGAGGCCUCCCUGUCAGUGGGAGUGGGGGUGUUGGCCCCACCGGUAAGUGGCAUUGGCCACAUACACACAAAACACACAUACACAUAUGCAUACACAUAAUGUAUUCUUUUUUACAUUCAUGCAUAUAUACCCAAUACAUACACACAUACAUACAUACGUAUAAUACAUUCAUAAUACAUACUUCAUUUUUUUCUUUUUUUCUUUCUCUCAUCUCCGACCUCUCUCUUUGUGAAUAUCUUUGUGUGUUAACUCUCUUUCAACAAAGAAAGAGAAACUCCACCUCCACCUCCCGGAGCUCAACGGGGCCGGAACGCGGCGGUGAUCUCCGGAAUGGAACCGGGAGAGGGAGGAAGAGAGGAUGGCCGGGUGCCGGAGCUCACCGGCGUUGAUGGAAAGGACCGGAGUAGCCGGAGUGCACGGGGAGUCGGCGCGGUUCCGACGAGGAGGAGUUCCCGGUGGUGGUGGCGACGUUGAAGGAGGAGUCCCGGCCGAGGUGAAGGUCGGGGCCGGCCGGAUCCGGCCCAGAGGAGGCGAGGCGGCCGCCGGAGGGAGGGGAUGGGGCGAUGGGGACCGGGCCAGCGCGCGGGGAGCGCUGGGAGGAGAGGGAGGUGGGGUGAGGUGGAUAUGGGCCAGGGAGGGAUCUGGGGCGGUAGCGAGGUGGGGUGGGGAUCGGGAGGAGGAGCUCUCGUGAGGAGAGGCAGCGAGGGAGAGGUGGUGGUGCGAGGGGCGCUAUGGGGUGGGUGGCGGCGGCUCCAGGAGGAAAGGGAGCGCUGGAGGGUGGUCUAGGGUUACGGUGUGGGGGAUUUAUACCCCACCCACAAGGUGGGCCGAGAUGGUGGCUAGCUGGGCCACUUGGCCGAGUUGGCUAGGUUUUUUUUCCUUUUUUUUAAAUUACUUUCUUUUAUUUUUUGAUUUUUUGUAUAGCUUCUGUUUUAAAUAUAUAGUGAUUAUAAAUAAUCUUUAAAAAGACAUGUUCACUUUUAUAAUUCAUUUGGGAAUUUUUAAUAACUUCCCGACAAUUUUUAUUUUAAACAUUAUAAAACUUUUCCUGUUUGAUUUAUUUUUAAACUUUGAAUUUUGACUCGGUUUCAACUAACACGAGAUCAACGAUAUAAUUUAGGAUGACGUGGCAUUCAUUGCAUAGAUUUACUGUAGCUUAAUUACAUCCAACACUGUAACAAAAGCUGAGGAUGUCACAUGAUGCUUCUCUUUUGUGAGGUGGAAACAACUAAAGAAGAUAGACAACCUUUUAACUUCAAAACUAUGGAGCAAGAAAACAUAAUAGCUGAUUCUACGCCUAAAGGGAAUUCUGUUUCAGUAAACAAUACAAGUGAGUGCGAAAUUAAUCGUAUUAUCCCUGUGCAGCCUUUUCUGAAAGAUAUAAAAAAUCAUGAUGAUCUUCUCAAAUUGCUAUGAAUCGUGAUAUUUCAGUUUCAGAACACACGUUAUUGGCAGAUCAGUGGUCUCUGACAUUGCCAGCUAGUGUUAGUCAUGAAGCUAAGUCUGACCAGAAUGCCCACAGACAAAAUAUUGUGAGGAAUGAUCCAAUGGAUGAUACUAUGGUCUUUUGACACGAACUUCUCCCAAUGUCCGACACCUCUGAUAAUCUCAAGCUCCAUGAGGUGAUAAUUGAGAAGGACUAGAUUACUCUUAAGGAUUCUGCAACUGGCACUGAAGGAAAUAAAUCUGCUGAAAUAGUGAGGAGUUAAGAGACUUAGCUCCUACUGAUCCCUAUAAAAGAGAUGCUUCUCGUAAAGGUGGUCCUACGACACAACCUUGUGCAGAUUUUUCAUGUUCUUCCUCCUCCAUGGGUCCUCCCCCUAGAUUUACUAAAAAAGGAAAAUUUUCUAUGGCUAUGAAUUCUGAUGCAGUAUCUCUGCGUGGAUUUUAGUUAAUGUUGCUAGGAGAAUAUCUGGAUAACUAGGAACUUCAAGGAAUGGGACAAGAAAGUGUUGAGAUGAGGAUCAUGCACUUUGCUCCAAAAGGAAUAGAAGUUAAAGUAAUCCAUGUACCUCUAGACUGGGUAAACUUUCUUAUAAUGGCCUUAUUAUCUCCUGGUAAAUUUGAUUGGGAAAAAGGAUUUAUGACCUCUCACAUAUGGGAUAUUGUUAUUCAAGGAUCCUCAAAAAAAAUUAUGAUUCCUUUUGUAAUACAAGAUAAAUGUUUCCCUAAUCGGAAAGCUAUUUGUGAGCACCUUUUGGAACAUUCUAAUAGUUCUGAUUAUGAAGUCUGUUUUAAUACCCCACAGAUUAAAUUAACUCACCCAAAGAAAGUGGAGGAUGAGCAAGCCUAUACUACAAGUGUGGUACAUCUCAAGAGAAAGAGGCUAGAUAAAGCUCCAACAAUGGAAACUCUGGUAAGGAGAAACUCCAGACUAAUGGAUCUUAAUAAAGGCUUUAAGAGAAAAAAAUGCACCAAACAGAACUGCUUGACAUUUCAUUCUGACCCCCCCCCCAACCUUAAUGGAAAAAUGGUAAAACUCUCAGCUGUGCUUUUUGCAAGGUUCCAAGCCAGGAAGCCACUGAUGAAAUCCUCAAGACUAAAACAAAGAAUAACAAGGUGUCAGAGGAGGGAGGAAAUAAAGACGAGGGGGGGAGCAAGGAUGAUGCAGCUUAGAAGGAUUCUAGAAAGUGUCCACCUUUGGUGUGGAGAAUCUAUCAAGUGUAUCUUUUGGAGAAUAGUGAUAAGAUACUUCAUCUUUGGUCACCUAUGUUUGAUAUGAAGAACUAUAUGAAGUAUGAUGUAGCUACCUUCCUGGCCCUUAGCUCAGUUAGAAUGUUGAUUGUUGUAACAAUAUGUGUUCAGAUAUGCAGUACUUAAUUUAUAGCACAAAUGGAGAAACAACAGAAAAUCAUAAUCUGGAACAUCGGAUGUAUAAACAAAGUAAAAAUUGGUUGACUCUUGCUAAUAAAGUUCAGAAAACUAGAUUUGACAUCAUGUGUUUACAAGAAAUAAGGAAGGAAAACUUUGAUUCUAGUUUCUUAAAAAAAAUCUGUCCUAGAAGGCUUAAUAAAUUUGACUUUGUCCCCUUAAUUGGAGCUUCUGGAGGAUUUCUUGUGGUAUGGAAUGGGCGAUGUUUCUGGGAGAGAAAGUGUUUGGCAAGAAAUAUGGAAUUUCAAUACAUUUCACCUCUAGAUCCAAUAGAAAUUGCUGGAUUUUAUCUAAUAUUUUUGGACCCUGUCAACGAGACGAAAGAUCUAAAUUUAUUAACUCGUUUGAGAACAUCCAGAUGAAUGAUGAAGUAGAUUUGGUGGUUCUGGAAGAUUUUAACUUUAUUAGAUACCCUCAAAACAGAAAUGUUGGGGGUGCAAAUAUCAAUGAUAUGAUNNNNNNNNNNNNNNNNNNNNNNNNNNNNNNNNNNNNNNNNNNNNNNNNNNNNNNNNNNNNNNNNNNNNNNNNNNNNNNNNNNNNNNNNNNNNNNNNNNNNUAGCCACCAUCUCGGCCCACCUUGUGGGUGGGGUAUAAAUCCCCCACACCGUAACCCUAGACCACCCUCCAGCGCUCCCUUUCCUCCUGGAGCCGCCGCCACCCACCCCAUAGCGCCCCUCGCACCACCACCUCUCCCUCGCUGCCUCUCCUCACGAGAGCUCCUCCUCCCGAUCCCGCCCCACCUCGCUACCGCCCCAGAUCCCUCCCUAGCCCAGAUCCACCUCACCCCCAUCUCCCUCUCCUCCCAGCGCUAGCUCGGUCCCCAACGCCGCAUCCCCUCCCUCCUGCGGCCCUCCAGCGGCCUCCUCGCCUCCGCCAUGACGGAUCCGGCCGGCCCCGGCCUUAACCUCGGCCGGGACUCCUCCUCCAACGUCGCCACCACCACAAGGAACUCCUCCUCGACGGAACCGCGCCGACUCCCUGUGCACUCUGGCUACUCCGGGCCUUCCCGUCAACGCCGGUGAGCUCCGGGCCCCAGCCAUCCUCUCCUCCUCCUUGUCCCGGUUCCAUUUCGGAGAGCACCGCCGCGUUCCGGCGCCGUUAAGCUCCGGGAGGUGGAGGUGGAGUUUCUCUUUCUUUGUUGAAAUAGAGUUAACAAAGAGAGAUGUUCAGAAAGAGAGAGGUUCGAGAUGAGAGAAAGAAGAAAAGAAAAAUGAAAUAUGUAUUAUGAAUGUAUUAUACGUAUAUAUGUAUCAUGUAUGUAUGUGUGUAUGUAUUGGGUAUAUAUGCAUGCACCCCCACUCCCACUGACAUGGAGGUCCCACACGCAUUUUUAAAAUAUAAAAAAUAAAAUAUAUGUUUUUAUUAACUAAAUAAAUAAAUAAAUAAAUAGAUAUAUUAUUUAAUUAAUUAGUUAGUUAAUUAAAUAGAUUAUUUAGAUAAUCUGUUAAUUAGGAUAAUUAAAUUAUCCUAUUAGAGUAUGACACGUGGGUCCCCCACUAAUUAAUCUGAUUAAUUAAUAUUAAACCUAAUUAAAAACUGAGUCUAUGACGCACGGGACCCACUGGUCAGUUGACCAGUCAACUGCUGAUGUGAGCGUGACAUUAUGCUGAUGUCAUAAUUUCAUUUAAUAAAAUUAAUUUAAUCUGUUUUUAAUUCCUAAAUAUGCAAUAAAACUUUAAAAAUUAAUAUAAAAUAAUCCAUAAGUCAGAUCAAAAUAUUUUCAACAUGAAAGUUGAUCAGUAGAACGAGACGAACUCGAAUACACGGUCCAUUCGUGUGUCACACUUCCUUAGCAUAGCAAACGUGGAACUUUCCAUCGUUUUCCGUCUGACCAGUAGUAGCUAGAGACCCGAGAAAUAUCAUAUGAUAUUUUCCCGACCCGUCUAUUACGGAUGUUGCUCCGUUAGCUCAUGCCUAGUCUGCAUAUUGCCAUUCCAUGCUUAGUGUUGCACCUGUUGCUAUUAUUUAUUGUUUCUCCCCCUCUUCUUACCGGUACACCUACCCUCCUGGCGACCAGCCCUUUGCCGCACAACAACAAGUCAAGCAAACCCCCCUUGAUCAUUCCUAUAUCGCCUAUGUCUUUCUUCCUACUGCUUGCAUUAGAAUUUUGCUACUGUUGUAGUUAGCUCCUAUAUCUGAUUCAUAGCCUAAUUUUAAUGAACUGCUACUUUCAGUACUGUACCUUUAAACUCUUUAGUUUAGGUGGAGUAGUCAUCCCCUCUGACCCCGUAGUCCAGUUGCCCCGCUUUGUUUUCAAGUCUCGAUCCCUGAUCGACGAGCCAGACCCGGCACAACACUUACACCUCCUUAGUUGUGCGGCGCUACACAGAUACUAUCGGGUACCGAGGGUGACACCUCGCGAAGUACUCUUGAUGAUAUCACUGUAGUACAACUAGUCGGUCUUUCACCAUUCCCAACGAUGCCUCUGUCGUGCAACCCCUCAAGUGUGGGACCCUCGAGGGUGAUUCCUCUAGGUCCACGUUGACGGAUACAUCGUUCCGAAUCCAACGAGGGUGAUACCUCGGAUUCCCCCUAAUGUUUCAACCACACAAUUACUUGACCAUGUUACUGGGAUCUUUGAUGAAUAGAUGUUAGGCGGGUGGAUUCCCGCGUGUUUGUGUCAAUGGCUUAAUUCAAAUGAUAAUGGAUUUGGGUAUUUGAUUUGGGUUGGUCGAAAGGCCUUAUUACGCACUAACCGUCUGCAUGCGAAGAAUUAUGGGUACUCGACGUCGCGGUAUGAGCCGAAGUUCUUUAGACGUUAGCAAUGUAGCGGUGCGCGCCCGAGUGGUCCCGAGAUGCAUCGCUCUUGUAUUAAGGGGUGCUAGGACUGACAUCGGCCAACCUCACAUCAUGCAGGAGCACGGAGGGCAAGUGGUCCCAUGACCUCUUUGUGCUUAGGAGUUAGACCGGCGGGGUGGCCUCUCUGCUGAGCUUAGGUGGGGUUGCGACGUGUCGAUAUUCCGAGGUCGGACAUGACCCAGAAAAGUGUGUCCGGCUAGAGUGUUAUCGAGCGCGUCGGGGAAUAUGUUGUGCACCCGUAUAGGUAAGAACUUAUCUAUUCGAAUAGCCGUGUCCACGGUUACAGGACGACUUGGAUUUGUGCCCUUAUCUUAUACAACUACAAAUGUUACUUAACUGGAAUUAGUUGCCCCGUGAAUGCUUCCUCGCAGGGAGUCGAGGGAGGAUCUCUGGGCGUGACCUCAUAUUAAUAUUGCUACAACAAUAUGACUAUUUAAUUGUGUUAUACCUGUUCUACUCUCGUCUAUCGUUGCAAGAUCCUGAAGAUGCUAGUCUUCGAUAUGACUAGGCCUUCUCCCUCUUUUCUCGCAUUGCUGCAGUCAGUCCACAUAUAACGACCCCCCUUCUUUGAUACUGAUGCAUACUUAGAAUAGUUCUGAUGUAAGACUUGCGAGUACUUUGGAUGAGUACUCACCGUUUCUUUGCUCCCCCUUUGUCCCCUUGAUCCGUUGUUGCGACCAGAUGAUGGAGCCUAGGAGAUGAAGGUUCCCGCCGCCGACGACUGCUACCCCGACGGUGCCUACUACUACGUGGAGGCCGCUGAAGACUAGGAGUAGUUAGGAGGUUCCGAGGCAGGAGGCCUCGCCUCAUUCGAUUGUUGUAUCUUUUGUGCUAGCCUUCUCUAAGGCACCCCAUGUUUUAUGUUUGUACUCAAAUAUUGUUGCUUCCAUUGACUCGUGUGUUUAUCGAGCUUCCGUAUUCUAGCCCUCGAGGCCCCUGGCUUGUAAUAUGAAGCUGGUAUUGUUUUAUUUGUGUCUAGAGUUGUGUUGUGAUAUCUUCCCGUGGGUCCUUGAGUUUGAUCAUACGCAUUUGCGUGUAUGAUUAGCGUACGAUUAAACGGAGGGCGUCACACAUCGCUACUUCUUGGGCCAUAUGUGUAACUGGCAUAUGUGGCCCAAAAUGUUAACAAGAAGGAGGCCCACCUGGAGGGCCCAACAUCAAAGGCCCAGGAGCCAAUUCUUAAGGUGGGAGACUGAAAUCUAAUACAGAUAUGCCUCCUUCAAUGGAACACUAGCAUUCUCUAAAAUAGUAAUGACAUUGUUAGAGUGAGAAGUUUCUUGUGGUACUUGAAUGUCCAUGUUAUCCUGAAGAGGUUGAAGCGGGUCAUUUAACUGCAGAAAUUCUCCAUCCUCAAUUUCAACAUCAACCAAUUCAUUUUGUUGAGGUACACACAUGGCCCAAUGCCCAAAACCUUCUUCAUUUUCCACUCGAUCUUCCUGAAGAUCAUUGUCAUCCAUCAAUAAGCGUUGAGGAAUGGGACCCACCAUAUGGUUGUUCUCAUUAGGAUGGAAGUGCUCUACAUUUGGCAAAAUGUGGAGUAGUGAGGUCAUAUUAACAUCUGGCUCUAUAGAGUGCCUCUCUUAUAUGUAGGUACAUCCAUGCCAUUUUUUUGAGCUGAAACCAUAUAACAAUAGUUCUACAUUGUUUUUCCAUUAAUAUAAUAUAAUAUGUACAAAAUAUCAAUAAAGGUAAAGGACAAUCCUUUAGGUAUCUAACCAAUUCCUGCUCUUGCAAUCGUGGUAACUGUUUUAAUGUAAGUUUAUUCUAAAUAUUAGAUGCAAUCCAAUCUCUUAGAUGAACUAGAUUGUUUUUCUUCACUCCAUGUUCAUGAAAAAAUAACUAUUUUUUCAUAAGAAAUUUCCAAGACUCCAUACUUUGUGCUUCUCUUGUGAAUAUAUUACUAUUUCUCUGUAUCCAAAUGUUCCAGCAUCCUGUGAUGAUGAUGUCAAGAGAAACUGACUGCGGAAAAGCUUCCAUUGCCACAAAAGUGUCAUCACAGAAUGAAGUUCCUCUUUUUCGGCCAGGGCUGAUUCUUUGCCAGCAAUCUUGUGCAUGGCUGCAGUCCCAGAGUAGGUGAUAAGUGGUCUCUCCAGGCCCUUCAUUACAAAAUACACAUUUAUAGCAAUCUAGGUGCAUAUUUAUUCUCUUGAGAAGGUUUCUUGUGUUAGGUCUAUCAUGAAGAAAUAACCAAAACUACAUUUGGUGUCUUCUUCCUACAGCUCCGUUCCAUAGCUGAGCAUAAAUAUGAGGAGCCAUUGGAUCCGUGGCUAGAGCCUGAUAAAUAUUUGUGGAAGAGUAUUUUUCUCUUUCUCCAGUUGCCUUCCAUUUGUUAGGAUUAUUUGGGUUACUAUGUUCCAUGACGAGGUCUUGUAGCUCAUGAACUUGUUGAAAGGUUAUAGUUGAUAGAGGUGUGGAAAUGAUCACUGAUGUUGUUGUUAUUGAGAAUAGAGGCCAAUCACUAAUUUUUAUAUUUGGCAAAUGGGUGCACUUCUGGGAACUUCAUUGCAGGUGGAAGAGUGAGCCAUUUAUCAUGCUAUAACUGAAUACAAUCUCCUAGACCAGUAGUGCCGAUUGCAGUUGUUUUGAAAGCUGGCAACAGCUUGAGAUUGGCUUUCCACCAUGAGGAUCCAGUCAUUCUUGUACCUGGGAGUUGCUGGGUGUAAUAAGAGUUCCAUAUGAGUUGUACCCAAGGCAGAUGUUUCUUGUUUAAAAACCUAUGGGUAUUCUUCAUUAGCAGGGAUUUAUUAUGGUUUUCCACAUCAAGAAUUCCUAUCCCUCCUUGUUUAUUGGCUUUGCACGCUUUUUCCCAUGUAAUUAGCACAGACUCAUAUUCUUCCUGUCCAUAAUUCCUCGAGAAUAAAUGUGUCAUGUAUUUGUUAAUUUGUUCCACAAUGCCCAUGGGCAUGGUCAAGGUGCUCAUGAAGAAUAUGGGAAGAGNNNNNNNNNNNNNNNNNNNNNNNNNNNNNNNNNNNNNNNNNNNNNNNNNNNNNNNNNNNNNNNNNNNNNNNNNNNNNNNNNNNNNNNNNNNNNNNNNNNNNNNNNNNNNNNNNNNNNNNNNNNNNNNNNNNCAAGAGCGGAGAAGAUAAGUCUUAUAAGCUACAUUUUUCCAUCAAUGUUUAGCAUUGUAUAGCAUCCAUAUAAUCUUCUUUCAAUGGUUUAACAAAUUGAUGGAAGUCUUCAAUUCUUAGUCUAUGAGGUGUAACUCGCAGUCAAAGAUAUGUAAAGGGGAAUUUCCCCAAUUUACAGCCCACGAGAGCAAUAAUUCUGUUCAGAUCUUCUAUAUGCACAUGAAGAGGGACCAGAACGGAUUUGUGAUAGUUGAUCUUGAGGUCAGUGUCUGUGGAGAAAUGUGAGAGCAAAUUGGUGAGCUGUUGUAGCUGCCUGAGAUCUGUUGGCAUACCAAGAUUGUGUCAUUAGCAUACUGUAUCACAAGGAAAUCUUGAUUUGUGUGGUCACUAAUAGGAUCUUGAAUUAAUUGAGCUUGCAUUUCUUUGUUCAGAAUGGAAUGUAGAAAUUUAGCAGCUAGCACAAAUAAUGAUGGAGAAAAAGGGUCUCCUUAUAUUACCCCUCUUUUGCAUUUGAAAUUUUCCUUAGCACCCCAUAUAGUAAAACAUAAGAAUACCUUCUUUCAGAACUCAUUUUUACCCAGGAAAUCCAUUUUUCUCCAAAUCCCUUAGCCUUCAAUAAUUUAUAGGAUGGUUUCAUGCUCUAUCAUGUCAAAAUCUCUUUCAAACUACACUUUUAGAAUCACUAUUUGUUUUUUCAUUGUUUACAUUGAUGUAUAUAUUCAAAGGCCCAAGUGAGACAGUCUUGAAUGGAUCUAGACUUGAAAAAACCAUAUUGAUUGGUAUGGAUCAGUAUCUUGAUGACUUUUUGUAAUAUUUUUGCCAAUAGCUUAGUGAUGAUCUCGAUUGUGCAGUUCAAAAGGGAGAUAGGCGUGAAAUCAUUGGGAGCUUGUGCAUUAUCUUUCUUUGGGAUAAGAGUAGUGAAUGAAUUGUUUAUUUAUUGCAGAUUCACUAUUCUAGAGUACAAAUCUUCAAUGAGCUUAUAGAAAUCUUCCUCUAUAAUAUUUCAACAAUUCUUAAUGAAACCUCCAUUAAAACCAUGUGGACUAGGGUCUUUGUCACUAGGCAUAUUUUUUACCACCUCAUAAAUUUCUUCCUUGAGGAAAGGAGUCUCAAGCUUUGUGAGAUCUAAAUCUUUUUCCAAUAUCUCAUAAAACUCAAAGAAAUUUGUAGUUGGUGCAAAAUUUACUAACCUUUCCUUGAAAGAUUUCCAUAACAUGUGUAUUUUUUCCUAGUGAUCAAAAUGUAUAUACAUGUUAUCAUCCAAGAUCAUUGGAAUUUGAUUAUUCCUGUAUUCUACAUUUACUUUAGCUUCGAAGAAUUUUUUAUAGUGGCUCUUUGCUUCCAGUAGAUACUCUGAUAUUCCAAGAGUUUUAAGAUGGGUCUUUUAACAAUUUAUCUCACAUUCCAUUCUUCAAUAGUGAGUGCUCUUGCUUCCUCAAUGAUAUCCAACAUGGUGAUCAUCUCAUUGGAGUUCUUAAUGGCCAAAGCUAGACUUAAGAUUUUUCUUGGCCAGAUUUUCAAACCAUUCUCUAUCUUUUAAAUUUUGCUCUAAUGAUCUUUGCACUACUGUUCACAUGCAUAUUUUGAUCCCACGUAUUUUUUGACUACUUCCUCAAAAUCAUGCAAUUCCAUCCAGUAGUUCUCAAAUCUGGAAAUAUUUGAUUUGGGUAUGUUUGUGCCCACUUGAAUAAUGCAGGGAACAUGAUGUGAUAUGGGUUUUGAAAGAUAAGAGGCUGUUGUAUUUGAGUAGUUUAGAGACCAAGAUUUUUAGGAGAAACACCAAUCAAUAUUUUCCAAUAGAGGGGCCUCUUGCAUGUUACUCCAAGUGAAAUUCAUUCCAGUCAUAGGUAUUUCUAGCAAUCCAAGCCCACUUAUGGCUGCAUUAAAAUUCAUCAUAUCAUUGAAAUUUCCACCCCCUGUCAUUUCUAUUUUUAGGGUAUCUAAUAAAGUUGAAAUCUUCGAGAAACAACCAAUCCUUUUCAUCAUUCAUUUGGAUGUUCUCAAAUCAGUUAAUAAAUAUAGAUAUUUCAUUUGGUUGACAGGGUCCAUAAAUAUUAGAUAAAAUCCAACCAUUUCCAUUCGGUCUAGAGGUGAAGUGUGUUGAAAUUGCAUAUUUGUUUUCAAACACUUUCUCUCCCAGAAAGAUGGAUCAAUUACAUACCACAAGCAAUCCUCGAGAAGCUCUAAUUAAGGAGAGAAACUCAAAUUUAUUGAGCCUUCUAGGACGGAAUUGUUUUAAGAAACUAGAAUCAAAGUUUUCCUUCUUUGCUUCUUGUAAACACAUGAUGUCACAUCUUGUUUCCUGAACUAUAUUAGCAAGAUCCGAUCACUUUUUACUCCUCUUUAAACCUCUGAUAUUCUAGUUUAGGAUUGUCUACUGUUUGUGCAUUUGUGGCAUAAAUUAAGUACUACAUAUCUGAACACAUACUCUCAUAACAAUCAACAUUCUAGCUAAGAUAAGGGCCAAGAAGGUAGCUACAUCAUAGUUCAUAUAGUUCUGCAUAUAUCAAACAUUUGGGACCAAAAGAUGAAGUGUCUUAUUACAAUUCUCCAAUAGAUACACGUGAUAGAUUAUCCACACCUAAGGUGGACGCUUUCUACAAUCCUUCUAGGUUGCAUAAUCCUUGCUCCCCCCCUCUUUCUUUCCUACCUCUUUUGACUCCUUAUUCUUUUCAUCAGUGGCUUCAUGGCUUGGAACCUUGCGAAAAGGAGUGUUGAGAUCUUUAACAAUUAUUCCAUUAAGGGUGAGAGCAUCAGCAUGACAUGAAAAGUAGUUCUGUUUGGUGCAUUCUUUCCUCUUAAAGCCUUUAUUAAGAUCCGCUAAUGUGAAGCUUAUCCUUACCAGAGUUUCCACUAUUGGAGCUUUAUCCAGCCUCUUUCUCUUGAGAUGUACCACACUUGUAGUAGAGGCUUUCUCAUCCACCACUUAGUUUUCCUAGCAUGAUUUACUCUAUCGAGUAUUAAAAGAGACUUCAUAACGAGAACUACCAGAAUGUUGUGAACGGUGCUGACAAAUAUGUUUAUGAUUAGGAAACAUUUAUCUCGUAUUACAAAAGGAAUCAUAAUUUUUGCUUGAGUAUCCUUUAAUAAUAAUAUCCCACAUCUAAGAGGUCAUAAAUCCUUUUUNNNNNNNNNNNNNNNNNNNNNNNNNNNNNNNNNNNNNNNNNNNNNNNNNNNNNNNNNNNNNNNNNNNNNNNNNNNNNNNNNNNNNNNNNNNNNNNNNNNNNNNNNNNNNNNNNNNNNNNNNNNNNNNNNNNNNNNNNNNNNNNNNNNNNNNNNGAGAUAAUAAGGCCAUUGUAGGAAAGUUAACCCAGUCCAGAGAUACGUGGAUUACUUUAGCUCUUUUCCUUUCGGAUCAAAGUUCAUGUUCCACAUCCCAACACUUUCCUGUCUCAUUCCUUGAAGUCCCUAGUUAUAUAGAUGUUCUCAUGGCAACGUUAAUUGGAAUUCACGUAGAGAUACAACAUCAGAAUUCAAAGCCAUAGAAUAUUUUCGUUUUUCAUUUAAUCCAGGAGAGUGCAGUAGCAAGGAACCGAUGCUCCAGAAGAUUCCCCUUUCAUUCCAUUGUCAUUGUUUGAUUUAUUUGGUUGUCACAUUCAUCAUCGCAUCAUGUUCAGCAUCCGGAUCGCAUCGGCACUCUGUUGUUGUCAAUUUUAAAAAGCUUGCAUUCGUUGUUAGUUGCCGGUNNNNNNNNNNNNNNNNNNNNNNNNNNNNNNNNNNNNNNNNNNNNNNNNNNNNNNNNNNNNNNNNNNNNNNNNNNNNNNNNNNNNNNNNNNNNNNNNNNNNNNNNNNNNNNNNNNNNNNNNNUGUUAGUUGCCGGUUCUCUUUGUUUUUGUUGUUGACCAUUUCAGGACCAACCACACACGCACGCGCUCGGGGCAUUGUUAAAAUCUUGUUUUUAAAAGUAUGUAUAACACUUUCUCGGAUUGGGUUGAAAGUUGGCACACGGUCUUAUUAUAGUGUAGGUAGGCCGCCUGCCUGAUUUCGUCACAAUCGGAGUUCAUUUGAUACCUGAACCGUUAAAUGAAUAGUGGCACUAUAGCCAGUUUAAUUGUCAGAUGUUUGUGUGUUUAAAAUCCUAUGUAGGUCCAUACAACUUCCCUCUUUUCUCAGCCCAAACCUAUCUACACAGACCACUAGACCACCUACCCUACCCCCUUUGUUUUGGACCACCCAUUCGAGAUCCGACGGUCCGAAAAAGGAUGAAAUUAGCUAAACCUAGCCCCCAUACUAUAAAUAGNNNNNNNNNNNNNNNNNNNNNNNNNNNNNNNNNNNNNNNNNNNNNNNNNNNNNNNNNNNNNNNNNNNNNNNNNNNNNNNNNNNNNNNNNNNNNNNNNNNNNNNNNNNNNNNNNNNNNNNNNNNNNNNNNNNNNNNNNNNNNNCCCCCCCGUGUAUGUUUUCAAACCAUAGCAACCCUAGCCUCAUUUUCUGCGUUCAGCCGCCAGCCUCCCACCACUCAGCCGCCUCCCUCCUCUAGCCACGGCCCGCCACGCCCAACUGGGGCCCGCCCGGGCCCGGAGUCAUGCCGUUGCCCGCAGCCGCAAGGGAGCUGAAGGUUGGUCCUCCGAUGCCAUGGAGCCGAGGCUCCCAAUCUCACCGUUGCCCAUCUUCCUCGCCAGCCCCGACAGCCAUCAAACCUUGCCGGACAAGCUGCCGCCGGUGACCAGGAAUGAGACCGGACCUCCGCCCCUCGCCUCUCUGUCCUGUUCUCACUCUCUAUCCCUCUCCUAACCAAAUCUCUCUCUCCCUUCUUUGUACAUGGGCCAUGGAGGAACAUUGGAUGUUUUUGCUAACGGGAUCACAUCAUNNNNNNNNNNNNNNNNNNNNNNNNNNNNNNNNNNNNNNNNNNNNNNNNNNNNNNNNNNNNNNNNNNNNNNNNNNNNNNNNNNNNNNNNNNNNNNNNNNNNCGGGAGGAGGGAGAGAGCCGACGCUGGGAAUGGAUAGGUGAGGCCUCGGGGAGCUUAUCCCUGGCCUUGCCAGCACGAGGCGGAGGCCAGGCAGGCGCACAGGUGCGUGGCCGCGCCGGAGGAGGCGGCGGCCACCUCCUGCUCCUACUGGCGCGAGGGAGACGACAGGAGCUGGGAUGGGCCGGGCCAGGCUAGGCGACAGGUAAGAGUUUCCCAUUUUUUUUUCUAUUUUUGUUUCUGUUUUAGCUUCUUCAAUAUUUUGCUAUUUAUUUCAGCUCCAAAAAAAUUGCAAAAACUAUUUUAAACACACCUGAAUAUUUGUUAUAAUAUUCCCAACCAUUUCCAAAGUUUUCAACAUUUUUGAAAAUUUAUAGUUUCUGAUUUCAACUUUAAAGUUUGAAACCAGUGGCUUUUUGCAUUUAUUUAAAAUGCUUAAAGUGUCAAGAAAAUAGUUUUCUCCAAUGCUUAUUUACUUUCAUGAUUUAUCAGAAAGUUUGAACAUUUCUUGAGGCCAUUUUGGUUUCAUUGAUUUUAACUAGUUUGAGAUUUUCAUUAUUUGAAGUAGUGGCUAGGGUUUUGAGUUUUUCCUUUGCCACUUUCUUGAUCUUGUUGGAAAAUCUUAGAUGCAAAUGCAAAGUAGACAUGAGCACAAGACUAACUUGCUUAAGGGUUAGGGAUGUGACAACUCACCCCCACUCAAAAGAAUCUCGUCCCGAGAUUUAGAAGUCGUCGGGAAUAACGCAGGAUAUUCAAGUCGGAGACGAUCCUCUCUUUCCCAAGUUGCCUCCUUUUCAGAAUGGUUUGACCAUUGAACUUUAAGAAACUUGAGGUUUCGACGUCGAGUGGUACGCUCAGCUUGAUCAAGAAUACGCACGGGGUAUUCUCGGUAUGAAAGGUUAUCCUGGAGAUCAAGCGUUUCGUGGUCCACUUCACGGAUAGGAUCCGAAAAGCAACGCCUGAGUUGCGAGACGUGGAAAACAUCAUGAACCUUGGAAAGAUACGGAGGAAGUUCCAACUGGUAGGCAACUUCUCCUCGUUUGGCAAGAAUGCGAAAAGGACCAAUGUAACGAGGAGCCAAUUUGCCCUUGAUACCGAAUCGAUGGGUACCCUUCAAAGGUGUAACCCGAAGGUAAGCCUUCUCGUCAACUUCAAAGGUCACAACCUUAUGAUGACGAUCAUAUUGGCUCUUUUGACGAGACUGGGCUGUUUUCAACUUUUCACGAAUAACGCGAACCUGCUCUUCUGCAUCCUGGAUCAUAUCCGGGCCAAAGAGUUGCCUCUCUCCGGUUUCUGACCAAUUAAGAGGUGUCCGACAUCUUCGUCCAUAGAGAACUUCAAAAGGGGCUUUGCCCAAGCUUGAUUGGUAACUAUUGUUAUAAGCGAAUUCGGCGAAUGGAAGACACUUCUCCCAAUUCAUACCGAACGAAAUAACACAAGCUCGGAGCAUAUCUUCUAGGAUUUGAUUCACUCUUUCUACUUGACCACUUGAUUGAGGAUGGAAAGCAGUGCUAAAAGAUAGGUGAGUCCCCAUGGCAUUCUGAAAACUUUCCCAGAAGCGAGAAGUAAAGAUACUUCCGCGGUCCGAGUUAAUCUCCAGGGAAACACCAUGAAGAGACACUAUUCGGGAGAUAUAUAACUCUGCUAGCUGGCUAGCUGUUAUACUCUCACGAACCGGAAGAAAAUGAGCCACUUUGGAAAGACGGUCAAUGACCACAAAGAUAGCAUUAUUUCCUUUCUUGGUCUUGGGAAAUCCGGUAAUGAAAUCCAUGCUAACUUUAUCCCAUUUCCAUUCAGGAAUAGCUAAAGGCUGAAGGGUGCCAGCAGGCCUUUGAUGUUCUGCCUUAACUCCACGACAAACGUCGCAGUUAGCAACGAACUCAGCAAUUUCUCUCUUCAUCCUAGUCCACCAGAACCUUUGGUAUAGGUCCUGAUACAUCUUAGUACUACCGGGAUGAAUGGUGAGAGGAAAAUCAUGAGCCUCCUUAAGGAUUAACUGCCUUAGAUGUGGGUUCUUAGGAACCACUAAACGAUUCUGGAAGAACACCACACCUUGAUCGUUCAUGGAAAAUUCUUUAGCGUUUCCGCUAAAAAUAUUCUCCUUGAUCCGUGAUAUACCCUUGUCACGCUUUUGGCCAGCUAUAAUUUGAUCCUUAAGAGUAGGCUUCGCCACCAGGGUAGAAAGGAAUCCUUGAGGAACAAUAUGAAGAUUCAACUUCUGAAAGUCCUCAUGGAGAUGUGGUUGACCUUGUUGUAGCAUCAAAUUGUUACAAUAAGAUUUACGACUUAGUGCAUCAGCCAUAACAUUGGCCUUCCCCGGGGUGUAAGUUAUCCCUAAGUCGUAAUCCGAGAUCAACUCAACCCACCGUCUUUGCCUGAGAUUCAAAUCCGGCUGGGUGAAGAUAUAUUUCAGACUUUGGUGAUCAGUGAAUAUUUCGCAACGAUUACCCAGAAGGUAAUGUCGCCAGGUUUUAGUGCAUGGACCGCAGCUGCAAGCUCAAGGUCAUGUGUGGGAUAGUUAUCCUCAUGUGGACGCAACUUUCGAGAUGCGUAUGCGAUCACAUGACGAUCUUGCAUGAGAAUGCAACCUAAUCCUUGUCGCGAGGCGUCGCAAUAGAUAACAAAGUCCUUAGAAAAAUCUGGUGGUAGCAACACAGGUGCAGAAGUCAGGCGUCUUUUCAGUUCCUGAAAACUAUGCUCACACUUUGGUGUCCACUCGAACUUUUUGUCCUUCUUGAGGAGUUCAGUUAGAGGCUUUGCAACCUUGGAGAAAUUCUCGACAAAGCGGCGACAAUAGCUCGCUAGACCAAGAAAACUCCUAACUUGCUUAACCGAUUCAGGUUGAGUCCAAUCAAGGACAACUUGAACUCUCUCGGGAUUGACAGCAAUACCCUUACCAGAGAUUACGUGGCCUAGAUAGGUCACUUCUGGUAACCAGAAUUCACAUUUUGAAAAUUUGGAAUAAAGGCGAUGCUCUCGAAGUUUCAUCAAUACCAACCUUAGAUGCUCGGCAUGUUCUUGUUUAUUCUUCGAGUAGAUGAGAAUAUCAUCGAGGUAUAAUACGACGAAUUUAUCCAAAUACUCCAUGAAGAUUGAAUUCAUCAGACGAGAGAAGGUGGCUGGGGCAUUGGUUAAACCGAAGGACAUAACGGUGUACUCAUAUUCGCCAUAACGAGUAACAAAAGCCGUUUUUGGAAUGUCCCCGUUCUUAAUCUUGAUUGGAUGGUAUCCCAACCUCAAAUCCAUUUUGGAGAAGACUGAGGAUCCAGCGAGCUGAUCGUACAGAUCGUUGAUCCUGGGGAGCCGAUACUUGUUCUUUAUGGUGACCAGAUUAACUGGUCGGUAAUCUACAACCAUCCGAUCCGUUCCGUCUUUCUUCUUGACGAAGAGGACGGGGCAAGCCCAAGGAGAAGAGCUAGGACGAAUGAAACCCUUGUUAAAGGCCUCAUCUAAUUGCUUCUUAAGUUCGGCUAGCUCCAGGGGUGCCAUCUUAUAUGGUCUUCUGGCUAUUGGGACAGUUCCCGGAACAAGAUCUAUCACGAACUCUACAUCUCUGUCAUGUGGAAUUCCUGGCAGUUCCUCUGGAAAGACAUCCGGGAAGUCACGGACUACCAGAAUGUCUUCGAGUUCCGGAAGAGGGUUGGCAUUUAAGGAAUAGAGUUGGCAUUUGGCAACUCGAGUGGAGACAUUUACUAUCUCACCCGAGGGAUGGGUAAGCUGGACAUUUCUAGAAUGAGUAUCAAUCUUGGCAUACUGAGCUGACAUCCAAUCCAUGCCCAAGAUGAUAUUAAUAUCCGAAGAUUUCAAGGCUAUCAAUGAGGCUAGAAAAACUAGCCUAUCUACUAGAAUUUCAUUGUCAUAGGUUAUCCUAGAGGUUUGCCAUUUACUACCAGGGGUUUGGACAACCAAUGGGAUUGGCAUAUCACAAAAAGACAUGUUAUGCAACUGUGCAUAACUUUCUGAAAUGAAGGAAUGAGAAGACCCAGUGUCAAAGAGAACGGACGCUGGGUGAUGAUUAACAAGAAGCAUACCCAGCAUGACGUCGGGAUCCUCUGCAGCUUCUUCUGCUGACACAUAGUUCACACGGCCACGUGCAGGAAUUGGCUUCACAUAAUAAGCUUUGCCCGACUUGGCUUGCCCGACGGACUUUCCGGGUUGCUUGGCACCCACAUUCUAAGGACACUCACGGGAAUAGUGCCUUGGUUCUCCACACUUGUAGCAUAUCACCUGGUUGGCACGUGGUGCAGCAUUGCUAGCUGGACCACCAUAAGCUUUUGAUGGAGGGUUGGCCUGAUUCGUCUGAGGCGCCACGUAGGAUGGCCUCGGAGUGUAUCUUGGCGGCAGAGAACUGUUUGGAACCCACAGCCUGUGUUUUGGAAACGCGUAACCAGAAGAUGAGCCAAAGUCACGGGAGUGCUUCCUUGUGGCCUCGAAAUCAGUAUGACCAGUCUCGGCACUGAUCGCUUUGUUGACCAGGGCUUGAAAGCUUGCACACUCAUGGAGGCGCAGGUCACGACAGAGCUCAGGGCUCAGACCCUUACGAAACCUUGCUUGCUUCUUGGCGUUAGUAGACACCUCCUCUGUUGCAUAGCGGACGAGGUUACCGAACUCGCGGCUAUAGGCAUCCACAGACAACUUGCCCUGAGUGAAGGCACAUAACUCCUCUCUCUUUCUGUCCAUCAGGCCCUCUGGAAUAUGGUGCAGACAAAAAGCUGCACUGAAGUCUGCCCAUGUGGCCACUGGUUCAGCGGGACGCAUAGCUUCAAAAUUCUCCCACCACAGAUUGGUGGGUCCUUCCAGGAAAUACGCUGCAAAGGUGACCUUGUCGGCCUCAGACACAUUCACAGAGCGAAUCUUGCGUGAGAUGCUGCACAGCCAGUCAUCAGCGUCGAGGGGAUCGACGGAAUGAUGAAACUGUGGAGGAUUCAGCUUCACAAAGUCAUUGAGGGACACUACGGCAUUCCUAGGCUGUCAAGCCGUAUUCUAUUCAAUACGCUCUAGCAGUCGAUUGGUCUCCCUUUUGUUUCUUUCUACCUCAAGCAUCACUUCCACCAGAGAAGGCGGGUGAGGCAGGUCUUCCUGCGACGCUUGACUACCCUCACCUUGCUCAUGAGCAGGGGCACGGUUCAACCUGGUGAACACCAUCCUGACAAACAAACUCAUAGCUUAGACCAAUAUCAUAUCAAUACUAACUAUGGAGUAAGAAUGUACUGAACACACGGAAUGCGGAAAUGAAUAUCCAAACAGCAUGGUAACAAGCAACUGCUAUAUAUACACCAUGGUUCAUACACACCCUUACAUAGUUCAGUACACCCUUAACCGAGGGGCAAACUACUGAAAUUGUGAAACUACUCAUCAGAGGCUUACAAGCUUCCUAUACAUUAUUUAUCUAGGCCUCCGGAAAUCAUUUCACUUUACAUGCAUACUUCACAAGUCAUGCAGGACUGUGAACGUACGGCUACUACCAUACUAUCCUUCCGCUCACAGCUCAGGCAUCCGCAUAGAACAUCUCAUAGAGAUUACCAGCUCAACCUGCUGAUCAGGAAACACUCUAGCCUGAGAUCCCUGGGAUCCAUAAGGACACGGAUGUGGCCUUGGUCCCCUGACUGGUGGUAAGAGGGGUCCCCGAAGAGGUGUGACUCCUCCUAUAGCUGGCCAGUCAACGUGAGCCGGAAGAUGGGUCCUAACAGGGUUCAGCAUCUCCAUCUCUCCAUACCCUGUCUGGACUACCGGUGCCAGCUGCGUCAAAGCUGUCCACAGACGGGCACGGGUAGCAUAAAGCUCCAUACGGAGAGCACGAGCAUCCCUGUCUCCGUUCUCUAGCAUCUCAACAGUGGACUGCAGAAGUGGAUCCUCCAUAGAAGAAUCAAAAUAGACUCCACUGAGGUAUCCCUCUUCACCAGGCUGAGAGGCCGGAACAUAGCAGAACUCUGAAUUCUGCAGUAGUGCAUGUCUCGCUCUCAUAAUGGUCAGCAUUGAAUAGGCAGCAUCUUGUACUGCCAUGUCAACAGUGACCCCCAACCCAUAGGACCAAUGGAUUGGCUUCUCCGCUCCAGGGUAAUCUGGAAAUACCCUAACAGUGCAGAUGUACUGGCUCUGGUUGAAGUCUCGGUACUGUUCCUCCACUGUGUACUCGGGGUACCAGCGCUAACCGCACACCGAAAUCACCCUGACCAGCAUGGCCGUAUGACCCGACACAUCAAUGCACCUGGUCAGACGUACCACCUAACGAGAAGGACGGCCAGGCAUCUGUAAAUAGAGAGUAAUGCAAAAGCAUUAGAGCUCUGAAUACAAAAUUGGGCAGUAUAACGACUGUAAAUGCUCAAAAACAAAUUUUGAGACAACCCAAAAUGGAAUAGCGUAACCACUCAACUAUCAAGUUCAACUCUAUGAUCAUCAAACUUACUUCCUGCUUCCUAGGAAUAAAAGAAACCAAUAUCCCUUGACCUGUAGUCCUAUAAUCUACCGAUCAGAAACACGAGCCUAGGAGAAGAUGAGUAACCUAGUCCUUAAUUCCCGGAGAAAAGACGAGAAUGACCAGAAUAGAAUAACUUGAGAAGAGAACAAGAGUCUUACGUUCCCUUCCACAAACAAUUCCCUUAUAUAUAACUAAAGCAAUUCUAGACUCAACUUCGACCAGUUUGGCUUAGUAAUCCUACAGUCAGUCAGGCUCUGAUACCAACGCUGUCGGGACCCCGAUCCUAAGCCAUAGGAAUCCAGCCUGUAACACAUCGCAUCGCUUUGUGGUCUCACGCACGGUUAACUCCACGGCUGCAGCCUUACCUUAGCCGGGACCGUUUGCGUCUUUUGACUCACGUAUGCGAUAGUGUCUCUAGCAAUCCAAUGUCAAAGAACCCGGAUCGACAUGUCUAGUCAUAANNNNNNNNNNNNNNNNNNNNNNNNNNNNNNNNNNNNNNNNNNNNNNNNNNNNNNNNNNNNNNNNNNNNNNNNNNNNNNNNNNNNNNNNNNNNNNNNNNNNGGAUCGGGGUCCCGACAACCUCUCAACAACGGCACGAGCCUGAAAUCCCUAUUUCAUCACUUGGAACAUCUCGUAUGUCCCGCGACAUUUGAAACGUCUUUAGCGCCUCAAUUCUAAGACGUUUAAGCAUUAUGCACUGAACUAUCAUGUAGUCAUCGAAAAUGUGUAUGCCAGAUGUUCGCAACAUCUACAGAUGCCGUUCGGGGUUUAGCACACCGAGCGAUGCAUUACGGACAUAUGCCUUCUAUGCAGCAAUGGGGACAAUCCUCAGUUUAAGGACCUAGUCCGCAUGAUUGCUACUAUCAUCUUUCAACUAAAUUUUCUCAAGGAACAUAUUAAAGACAGUAGAGCUACAACGAAAACUAGAACUAAACGGACUAUGUUCAUGAUAAUGAGGUCAAUUAAUCAUAUUACNNNNNNNNNNNNNNNNNNNNNNNNNNNNNNNNNNNNNNNNNNNNNNNNNNNNNNNNNNNNNNNNNNNNNNNNNNNNNNNNNNNNNNNNNNNNNNNNNNNNNNNNNNNNNNNNNNNNNNNNNNNNNNNNUUAAUCAUAUUACUUAAUAACUCCCACUCAAAUUGACAUCCCUCUAGCCAUUCGAGUGUCGCAUGACCAGAAUCUACUAACUCAAGUCCGAUCAUGACGUGAGUUGAGUUUAGCUUCAAUGGUGAACAUCUCCAUGUUGAUCAUAUCAACUAUAUGNNNNNNNNNNNNNNNNNNNNNNNNNNNNNNNNNNNNNNNNNAUGCUAGGCUCGUCAAGUCAACCUAAGUGUUUCGCGUGUGUAAAUCUGGCUUACACCCGUUGUAUGCAAACUUUAGAAUCUAUCACACCUGAUCAUCACGUGGUGCUUCGAAACAACAAUCCUCAUAAUGGUGCACACUUAGGGGGAACACGUUUCUUGAAAUUUUAGUGANNNNNNNNNNNNNNNNNNNNNNNNNNNNNNNNNNNNNNNNNNNNNNNNNNNNNNNNNNNNNNNNNNNNNNNNNNNNNNNNNNNNNNNNNNNNNNNNNNNNNNNNNNNNNNNNNNNNNNNNNNNNNNNNNNNNNNNNNNNNNNNNNNNNNNNNNNNNNNNNNNNNNNNNNNNNNNNNNNNNNNNNNNNNNNNNNNNNNNNNNNNNNNNNNNNNNNNNNNNNNNNNNNNNNNNNNNNNNNNNNNNNNNNNNNNNNNNNNNNNNNNNNNNNNNNNNNNNNNNNNNNNNNNNNNNNNNNNNCACCAUGAUCUCCAUCAUCACGAUCUCCAUCAUCGUGUCUUCAUGAAGUUGUCUUGCCAACUAUUACUUCCACUACUAUGGCUAACAGUUAGCAAUAAAGUAAAGUAAUUAUAUGGCAUUUUUGAUUGACACACAGGUCAUACAAUAAAUUAGGACAACUCCUAUGGCUCAUGCCAGUUGUGAUACUCAUCGACAUGCAAGUCGUGAUUCCUAUUACAAGAACAUGAUCAAUCCCAUACAUCACAUAUAUUUCAUCACAUUGUUUUGGCCAUAUCACAUUACAUAGCAUACCCUGCAAAAANNNNNNNNNNNNNNNNNNNNNNNNNNNNNNNNNNNNNNNNNNNNNNNNNNNNNNNNNNNNNNNNNNNNNNNNNNNNNNNNNNNNNNNNNNNNNNNNNNNNNNNNNNNNNNNNNNNNNNNNNNNNNNNNNNNNNNNNNNNNNNNNNNNNNNNNNNNGUUGUUGCAAGUUUUACAUGGCUGCUAUGGGUUUCUAGCAAGAACGUUUCUCACCUAUGUUACAGCCACAACGGUGAUAUGCCAAUUGCUAUUUACCCUGCAUAAAGACCCUCUUCAUCAAAUCCGAUACGACUAAAGUGGGAGAGACAGACACCCGCUAGACACCUUAUGCAACAAGUGCAUGUCAGGCCGUGGAACCAGUCUCACAUAAUCGUACGUGUAAAGUCGGUCUGGGCUGCUUCAUCCCACAAUGCGGCCGAAUCAAGAUAGGACUAGUAACAGUAAGCAAAUUGACCAAAUCAUCGCCCACAACUUACUUGUGUUCUACUCGUGCAUAGAAUCUACGCAUAGACCUAGCUCAUGAUGCAACCGUUGGGGAAUGUAGUAAUAAUUCAAAAUUUUCCUANNNNNNNNNNNNNNNNNNNNNNNNNNNNNNNNNNNNNNNNNNNNNNNNNNNNNNNNNNNNNNNNNNNNNNNNNNNNNNNNNNNNNNNNNNNNNNNNNNNNNNNNNNNNNNNNNNNNNNNNNNNNNNNNNNNNNNNNNNNNNNNNNNNNNNNNNNNNNNNNNNNNNNNNNNNNNNNNNNNNNNNNNNNNNNNNNNNNNNNNNNNNNNNNNNNNNNNNNNNNNNNNNNNNNNNNNNNNNNNNNNNNNNNUCGCGGCGAUUCAAAUCACGGAAGAUAUGAUCCAAGCACCGAACGAAUGGUGCCUCCGUGUUCAACACAUGUAUAGCCCGAGGACUUUUCCUCCUUGAUCCAGCAAGGGGGGAGAAGUUUGAGGUACAGCUCCGGCAACGACGACGGCGUGGUGGUUGUGGAGCUUGUGGUUCUCCAGCAGGGCUUCGCCAAGCGCUGUGGAGGAGGAAAUGUAGGAGGUGUAGGGCUGCGCCAGGUGGAGAGAAUUCAGGUGUGUCUGCAGCCCUCUCAGCCCUCCUGUAUUUAUAGGAGAAAGGGGAGAGGGGGUCGGCCACCCCUAGAUGACCUUGGAGGGGGCGGCGGCGGACAAGGGGGAGGCUUGCCUCCCAAGUUGGUGGGAGGGAGCCCCCACGCCCUAGGGUUUCUAACCCUAGGCUCCUUGGGCCCUUGGGUGGUGCGCACCAGCCCACCACGAAGCUGGUUCCCUCCCUCUUUCGGCCCAUGUGGCCCUCAGGGACAGGUGUCCCCUCCCGGUGGACCCNNNNNNNNNNNNNNNNNNNNNNNNNNNNNNNNNNNNNNNNNNNNNNNNNNNNNNNNNNNNNNNNNNNNNNNNNNNNNNNNNNNNNNNNNNNNNNNNNNNNCUCUCUCCCUCCUCCCGGAUCUCUUCCUCCUCCCUGCUGCCGCCAUUGGAGCCGAGCAAAGCUCGAGCUGCCCGUGCCCCUUGCCUUAGCCUCCUCUUGCUGAGCACGCCGUUAGCUCCACCUCGUCGCGCCGGUCCUCUCUGCAGAAGCCGAAGCUUCCCCGAGCUCUGCAUCGCCCCAACGCCAUCGUCUUCCACCUCCGGCCGCCGGACCUCUCCCGUCGAUUCGCUCCCUCCGGCGCACCCCCGAGCCCCUCAACAACACCAUCGGAACCGCGGUGAGCUCGUCAUCGUUUCCCCUCUCGCCCCACGCUCUUACGUGCAUCGUAGCCCCGUUCCCCACCAAGGCCGAGAGCUCCUCGCCGCCGGUCAUGUCGUCGCCGUCGCUGUGGUGUCUGAUCCACGCGCUUGAGCUAUGGUUCGAGCUCCUGGAGCCUCCAGGAGUGCGAUGAGCCCUCCAGCUGCCCUCCCCGUGCCCUAGAGCCGUCUCUCAUAGAAGGCCGAGCUUCGGCCGCCGCUUCGGCUCAUCGUCGGCGCCCCUUCCGGCGACCCUAGCUUCCCCUGAUGCCCCCGCUAGAUGCGGCGUUGCACCAGCUAUCCGUAGCUGCUUUCUGCGCCCAAAGCCGACGACCGAUGCGCAGUCUAGCUUCCUCCGGCGAGCCCUCCGCCACGCCCGUGGUCGCCGCCGGCCAUGCUCCGGUGGGGGUCGACAUGGCAAAGCUAACCCAGUAGAUUAGGAGCUUAAUCUCUCGCUGACAGUGGGCCCAAGGCCAAGUCAACUCGGUUUAGGGACUGGUCAGCGCGGGAUUAGUCCUAGAGAGGCUGACCAGUGGGUCCCCCCUGUCAGGUUUGACCUGAACAGGUCGGCUGACCUGCUGACGUCAGUCUGGUGCAAUAAAAAGAAUUUCCAGUAUAGAAAUAAUUCCAGUAAAUUGCUAAAACUUGUAAAAAUCAUAGAAAUUAAUCUGUAACUCCAAUGAAAAUAAUUUAUAUAUGAAAAAGUAUCAGAAAAAUUCAAGGAUUCUGAUUAUGCUAUUUUCAACCAUGUUUGAAAAAGUUACAGAACCCUAAAAUGUGGAAUAAGGAAUAAUUCAAUUCUUAUAUUUACUUUUUAAAUGGAAUUUGGAAAAUUAUUCAAAUUUCAUUAUGAAUGCAAUGAUCACACACUGUCCUAGUUACAAAUCAGUACCUUAACAUGACAACUCAUGCAUGCUAACAUCAAAUUGAUCUGAGCAUCAGGUCGAAUCAAUUAAACCGGUAUCCGAGACUACCUCGUUCGAAUUGAUUUUGAAUGUGAUUCAAGUCAACUUCAAACCUAACACAUGUUGAUUAUAAUAAUACCACCUUGCAUUCUCAUGCCAUGCUCAUGCAUCAUUUUGAUUGCAUAUGAUUGUUAUUAAUUGUUGCCAUUCAUCUCGGUAGGCUCCGCACCCUCGGAUUCCACCGAAUAUCCGUCUGACGGAUAUCGUUCCUCCUCUGAGCAACAAGGCAAGCAACCCUUUUGAUCAUCCCGAUAAUUCCCAUGUUCUUGCUCCUGCACUUAUUUAUUGCAUUNNNNNNNNNNNNNNNNNNNNNNNNNNNNNNNNNNNNNNNNNNNNNNNNNNNNNNNNNNNNNNNNNNNNNNNNNNNNNNNNNNNNNNNNNNNNNNNNNNNNNNNNNNNNNNNNNNNNNNNNNNNNNNNNNNNNNNNNNNNNNNNNNNNNNNNNNNNNNNNNNNNNNNNNNNNNNNNNNNNNNNNNNNNNNNNNNNNNNNNNNNNNNNNNNNNNNNNNNNNNNNNNNNNNNNNNNNNNNNNNNNNNNNNNNNNNNNNNNNNNNNNNNNNNNNNNNNNNNNNNNNNNNNNNNNNNNNNNNNNNNNNNNNNNNNNNUUGUGUAUGGUCUGUCAUCUGGGAGAUGAACAGAAUUGUGAGAAUGCGUUCGGUGAGCAAAGGUUGUGUGUUGAACUUGAUUUGGUAAAGGUACCGGUGAAAGGCUGUGUAGGAGUACAUGGCGGGUUGUUUCAUUGGAACCGUCCUUAGGAACUGAGUUUCGUGUAUGUAAUCCAAGACUAGAUACUACCACAUGCUGGGCCCUGAAAUAUGACCCCGCUCGGCAUAUUAACCGCGUAGUACUCGGUCGAGGAGUUGCAAGUAGUUUCUGGUGUUUAUAGUAAUGCUGGAGGCCGUGCAUGGUGCUGACCUGAGAGGUGGACCGUGAUGCGGUAGGCAGUNNNNNNNNNNNNNNNNNNNNNNNNNNNNNNNNNNNNNNNNNNNNNNNNNNNNNNNNNNNNNNNNNNNNNNNNNNNNNNNNNNNNNNNNNNNNNNNNNNNNGAAUUCCAAUGCAGCCAUAAGUGAGAUUGGAUCGGUAGAAAUACUCAUGAAGGGAAGGAAUUUCACAUGGAGUAACAUGUAACAGGUCCCUCUAUUGAAAAAAAAAAUCAUUUGUGUUUUUCCUCUAAAUUGUGGACUCUAAACUACCCAAACACAAUAGCCUCUUGUCUUUCAAUACCCGUAUGAGAUCAUGUUCUAUGCAUUAUUCAAGUGGGCACAAACAUACCCAAAUAAAAUAAUUUUAGAUUUGAGAACUACUGGAUGGAAUUGCCUGAUUUUAAGGAAGUAGUCAAAAAUAUCCGGGAUCAUAAUCUGCAUAUGAAGAGUAUUGUAAAGAUCAUUACAACAAAACUUAAAAGAUUGUGAAAAGCUUUGAAAAUAUGGUCUAGCUUUGACCACUAAGAACUCCAAUGAGAUGAUCACCUUGUUGGAUAUCAUAGACGAAGCAAGAGCACUCACUACUCAAGAAUGGAUUUUUUUUUGGAAAAGGAGGUUAAACCUCCGGCCUCUGCAUCAAUUGAUGCAUGCAGCCAUCUUUAUUAAUUAUUUCACAAAGGUCUAACAAGAGUAUACAUCAAUCCACCCAAAGCCACCACUCACACCUACAAACUCGAUAAUGUGGAGUGCUCGCACUCCACAUAUCUAAGACCGGUGUUGUCGCCAAUCCAUCCACAUAACGUAUCGGGAGCAACAGCCGGUGCAGCACACCUAAAAUGCACACCUCACGCACACGUUUUACAAGCCGCCAUCAUCAUUAAACCACUGACCCAUCUUCAGGAAAGAGAUCCGCAUCAUCCAUGCCAGUCCAAACAUCCGUCGACGCCACCACGGCGCCCAACGGCGCCACCACCCUGCGCUCAUCCGUCCAGAUGCGAAGACUCCGGGAGAUCUGUCGUGCGUAGCACCUGCCAACCAGGCAUGACUCAGCGUAGCACCUGUCGGCCAGGCAUGACUUGAUAGCUCCACCGAAAUUCCAUGCAAGACGAAGCCGCUCCACCUCCUGCCUCAGUCUGCCAGCGCUGCUCCACAAACGAUGCUCCCAAGAGAGAAACGACACCGCAAUACCGCCAUCGUCCGAUCUGGAAGACCAGAUCCUAGGGUUUCCCCCGAAGCAGUGCCCACCACCAGCAACCGUUCAGGACCCACAUAGUGCCCACCACCACUCAGCCCUCUAGGCGACGCCUUCAGGAAGGUCACGACGUCAAGGACGCCGCCGCCGCCCACCGGAGUUAGGGUUUUCACCCGAGAGGCAAGCAAGGGGAGCAGAGGAGCAGAUGUAUACCGACGUCUCCAAAAAGAAUAACGGCACCCUCGAGCGUCGUCGGCGGCGCGGCUGGCCUGGGCCAACCAAGGGGUUUCCCCCAAUCCGAAUCUCCUCCACCGGCUUCACCCGCAGGUAGGGCCCCGGCAACCACGCCGGCACCGCCAAGAAUCCGCACUAUCUUAAAUCUAUUGGAAUAUCAGAGUGCGAUAUGGCGGCGACUAAUGUGUGCUAUUGAUUAUCACAAAAUAAUAGCAGAUGAUAUAAUGGGUUAACGGAAAUAUUUUCUAUUACAUGAAAACAAGAUGUUGCAUCAUUCGAUUAUUAUGCCAACGAGAAGGAAAAGAAGUCCCUAGGAGUGCAUGUAUUGAAGGGGAAUAAUUUCAUGCAAGGUAAAUUACCAACUCAAGACAAAGGAUAUGCGUGCAAUAUUGACCAGGCGUGGUUUGGCAAGGAAAUAUCGACGUGCACUAAUUCCUUGGAAGAAAAGGCAACAUAUGCUAAUGUGAGGAAUCAUCCCAGAUCUGAUUUAUUUGCAUCGGUCAACAAGAUAAAAGGAAGAGACAUCUUUCUUUUUAUCCCACUCCCACGCAAGUUAAGGUCUAUUAAUUGCAAUAAAUGUACAUGAAGAAUUAGAGACAUGCUAAUCUUGAGAGGGUUUGGUUGGAGUCCUGGGUUGUUAUACGGAAGGGACGACUAAGGCUGCUGGAUACUUUAUUACUUAAAUUUUGAUUAGUUAAAAUAGGAGAGAAAGAGAGUCCGUUUCAAUAUAGAGUAAUUAGGUCGGUUUUGUUGUUUGUGUGUUGCUUAUAAAAUGGGCUGGCGAGGACCAAUGUACACAUGUUACUUUUUAUGAUACUAGCACAAAUGCCCGUGCGUUGCAACGGGACAAAAUUUUAAACUAUAUUUCAAUUUUAAGCAAAUACAUAUUCAAAUCUAAUCAAUUGCAUCAUUCAAAUAAAAGUAUAUAUUUGGAUAAAAAUAUCCCUUUAUGCUCUAUGAAUUUUAUUUCAGAAACAUACGAAUUUUGAAGGAGCAAACAUUUUUGUGGAUGCAUGAACUUUAUUUGAAAUUGUAGAAUAAUGGUGGCAAAGCGACGAGAGAGAUGGUAAAACAGAGUGGAGUGCUCCCCCUCCCAGCUCGCGUGCCGGGCUGAAACAGGACGCGGACAACAUGCUCUCUCUUCAUCCCUCCAUCUCUUCUCCGUAUCUCAUCAACAACAUCAAUGACAUCCCGAGUUAAGGGGUAUCUUAAUUGUCAGCAAAUCCUAAUGAGCUUCAAUUAUCUUCUUCGUUAAAAAAUAAAAUAUAGAAAAAAUAAUGAAUAUAAAAACAUACCCAUUUUUUUUGUUUUUGCAACCGGUAGUACACAUAGCAUGCAACAUCUAGCAACUUGUGAUAGGUGUAACCAUUUAACCUUUAAAAAAAAAAGCAAAGCAAAUAGACCAAAAAUCCCCACCUAGAGAGCUCCCUUAUCCACAUAGCGCUGCUCAUUCUGAACUUUGAUUGUGAUUGGUAGCACAUAACAGAUCCAACAGCGAUGCAACCAUCAAAAAAGCGAAUAGACCAAAAAAUCUCCCUUAUCCAAACAUAGUUGCUUGUCAUCAACCCACCACCGCAAGGAGAGCUUCUCCAACCCGCCCCAGUUCUUCCCUUCGUGCUCUCUCCAGCCACACACGCGCCCGUGCUCCAGCCACGCUCUCUCCAGCCACGCACGCGCCCGUGCUCCAGCCACACCCCCACUGUGCCGCGUACUUUCUAUUCCCUCCUCCAUUCCACAUGCAUCCUCAGGGACCAUGGCGCCAGAUCGAGCGAGCAAAGAUGCGCGCGGUAAGGAUCCCCCUCCCGCCCCUGAUUCCCCCCUUGGUGGCCUCGCACCUCUCCGCGCCUAUGAUACACUACGCCUCCUGGAGUGCACCAGGGCCGGCGAGGGGCGGGGUUGAGACGGUGUGGGGAAGGGGGGCCACACGAUCCAGCCGGUGGCGGUGUGUUUGUCGAGUGCACGCCGUGCGCUCCCGACUCUGCUCUGCUCCAACGCCCGACCUUGUGUGUCUGCCGAAUGCACGCCGCCCUACAUCACCAGCACCUACAGCCCCGAGCAUCGUCGCCGUUUCAUCGAGCAACAUCGAGGAAGGAGACCUGCUUCCCCUGAAUCGAGACGAAGCUGCGAGGCCAGCUCGCGUCCUCCAUCCUCCCACGCCGCCGAACCGUAGCCGUAUCCGCAGAGGAAGGGGAUGAAUACGGUCUGGAUCUGGGUUGGAUAGGGGGUUAUCCUGUAAAAAGGAAAUGUUAUCUCAGUAAAAACAGGACUGCAGGUUAAUUAUCAAAAAAUAGGAGGGCUUUUUUGCAAAACUGACACGGCGGGUUUUCCGACAGAAGCAAUAGCCUCUUUAUUAUUAGGUAAAGAUGGACACAAUGUAUUUUUUACGGUUGACACCCGUAUCAAUUUUUGGAGGGAUCUUUAGAAAACCUCCAUGUUGCGAUUUCUUUGUAGAAAUUGUUUUGCAUGUGAGUACCAUCAUUGAGAUUGGUUUUCCCGUAUUCAGCCACAAGGUUCAAACCCUCUAUUUGGUGUACAUCUCGUGCACUAGUAGACAAAAGGGUCUUUUGGCCGAGGACCGAAAGACCAUUAGUCCCGGUUCAAACGAAAACCGGGUCCCUCGCAUUGGUCCCGGUUCGGUGCCGGGGCAUUGGUCCCUGUUCGGUUCACCUCAUUAGUCCUGUUUCGGGGCAAAACCCGGGACUAAAGAUCCAGCGACUGCCACGUGGCGUGCCGCGGAGCAUUAGUCCCGGUUUGUGGCAAGAACCGAGACUAAAGGGUAGGCUUUUAGUUACGGUUUUUGACAAAAACCGGACUAAAGUGUUGCAUAUAUAAACCCUCGCCCCUAGCCACCCUCUUCUCUGUUUUUUGGCAGUUGAAGUGUGCUCAUGCCAUGCUCUUGCCACUCUAGUUCAUGCACAUGAGGUGUUCGAUGAAAUGUCCGAGCCACACUACUUAAGCUUUCUCCUCUCCAAGCUCGACCUCCAAGCUCCAUUUUCCUCAAUAUUUGUCUAGGUUUGGCCGUCCACCAACUGCACAAGUGUUUUAAAAUGUUAGCUAGUACAUCAUUUCAUCUGUCACUGCUAGUUUAGCUCAUUUCAAAUGCUCAAAUUAACUUCUUAGAGUCUGCACAUGUGUAGGGUGCCGGCUCGUGCCCGUCCUCACCGUUGUCGAUCGCCCUGCGCCGAUCUUGUCGCGAGCACCACCGUGGUGAGCACCUUAUUCUUAUCUUCUUUUUAAAAGAAAAAAUCUUACUUGUAUGAUUUAGAUACAUACUUGUAUAAAUUACUUACUUUCAUUAUUUUUUGUUAUUAUAUAGUGCGAUGAUUUUGGUAUCCGCCUCCGUCGGCCCUCGUCCUGUUUAUGAUUCGGAUGUGGUAUAUAUUAUCUUUUAUAACUAUUUAUUUUAUUUAUUGUUCAUGACAAUUAUGACGACCAACUUGACAUAUAUUUUUUAAUCUAGGAGGUAUGUGAACCGGAAAUUCCAACCCACAUAGAAAUUCUUGUCGAGAAGUUAAAUUUGGUUGAAAAAGAAAACAAAUACUUGAAGGAAAAAUUGAAAAUAAUUGAGGAUAAGAAUAUGGAACUGGAGUUGCAUGUCGCCGAUGUCAUCGAUGAUCGCAAGAUGAAGAUCGAUGCGAUGCGGUUGAAGAUGGAUGCAAUACGCUUGAAGAUUAGGAAUAUUAGAAAAUAUGUCAUGGAUAAAGAGGCUCGGUAUCAUUAUGUUGUUGGGUCAAUUGUUACCUUAGUUGCGAUUUUGAUCGCAUUUGUUGUUGCAUUUAAAUGUUUAACAUAGUUGUAUGUUGUUUUAUGACAGAACUUUGUGUCUUUUUUUGCAAUAAUAACAUUUGAUCCCUACUGUGCUUUGGUUUUAAUGUGAUGAUGAACUUGUAUUAAUUUGGUCAUACGUUCUGCAAUGGUUUUUUGAUAUACUUAAUUUCAUAAUAGAGAUAAACCGCCAAUGGAUGUAUGGUGACCGACACACUUCGGAGUACAUUACGAACCGGGAAUAAUGCCCGAGUCACACUUAAGUUCACAAAAAAUGGUAUCCUCGACCGAGGUUAGCAACCUUACCCUUUUCAUCUGUAAUUGAUACAAAAAUAUUGCAUGUGUCAAUGUACGGUGGCCAUUUCAAUAUUCAUCUAUGAUGCCAGAUCAAUGCACAGAAGCGAUGGAUGUGGCUGAGGCAAACAAAGUGGAUAAUUUUAUGCCUUGUCCAUGUGUUGUCUGUCGAAACGUGAAGGAGUACUCUAGCUCAAAAAACAUUCAUCUCCACUUGCUUCAGAGAGGUUUCAUGCCCACAUAUUAUUGUUGGACCAUGCACGAAGAAAGAGGGGUUAGGAUGGAAGACAAUGAAGAAGAAGAUGAUGAUGACAACUAUCCUAUGUUCACUGCAAAAUACGGUGAUACUACAAUGGAAGACAAUGAAGAAGAAGNNNNNNNNNNNNNNNNNNNNNNNNNNNNNNNNNNNNNNNNNNNNNNNNNNNNNNNNNNNNNNNNNNNNNNNNNNNNNNNNNNNNNNNNNNNNNNNNNNNNNNNNNNNNNNNNNNNNNNNNNNNNNAGACAAUGAAGAAGAAGGAGGUGAAGAACAACCGGCAUCUGAUGAGCCUGCUGAUGGUCUUGGUCGGGUCAUUUAUGAUGCAAAGAGAGAAUGCGAUACAGAAAAGGAGAAGCUGAAAUUGGAGGCCAUGCUAAAGGAUCAUAAAAAGUUGUUGUACCCAAAUUGCAAAGAUGGCAGCACAAAGUUCGGUACUGUAGAAAUGGAAGGCACAAACUGGUUUAUCUGACAAGGAAUUUGAGAAGUUACUGAAAAUAUUGAAGCCGAAGCUUCCAAAGGAUAAUGAAUUGCCCGAGACUAUGUACGAAGCAAAGAAGGCUAUCUGCCCUCUUAGAUUAGAUGUGCAGAAGAUACAUGCAUGCAUUAAUGAAUGCAUCCUGUACCACGGUGAGAAUUACGAGAAUAUGGAUAAAAGCCCGGUAUGCACUGCAUGUCGGUACAAUAUCAGACAGGAUGACCCUGGUGAUGUUGAGGGCGAUGACGAGCCCUCUAGGAAGAAGGUUCCUACUAAGGUUAUGUGGUAUGCUCCUAUNNNNNNNNNNNNNNNNNNNNNNNNNNNNNNNNNNNNNNNNNNNNNNNNNNNNNNNNNNNNNNNNNNNNNNNNNNNNNNNNNNNNNNNNNNNNNNNNNNNNNNNNNNNNNNNNNNNNNNNNNNNNNNAUGUGGUAUGCUCCUAUAAUACCACAGUUGAAACGUCUGUUCAGAAACAAUGAGCAUGCCAAGUUGAUGCGAUGGCACAAAGACGAGCGUAAGAAAGACGGGAAAAAGUUGAGAAACCUUGCAGAUUGGUCGCAGUGGAGGAAAAUCGAGAGGGAGUGGCCGGACUUUGUAGAUGACCCAAGGAACUUAUGGCUUGGUCUAAGUACAUACGACAUGAAUCCUUUUGGGGAGCAGAGCUAUAGUUACAGCACCUGGCCCGGGACUCUAUGUAUCUACAAACUUCCUCCUUGGUUGUGCAUGAAGCGUAAGGUCAUUAUGAUGGCAGUGCUCAUCCAAGGACCGAAGCAACCCGGCAAUGACAUUGAUGUGUACCUAAGGCCAUUAGUUGAUGAACUUUUGCAGUUGUGGGCCAAACCAGGUGUACGCGUGUGGGAUGAGCACAAACAGCAGGANNNNNNNNNNNNNNNNNNNNNNNNNNNNNNNNNNNNNNNNNNNNNNNNNNNNNNNNNNNNNNNNNNNNNNNNNNNNNNNNNNNNNNNNNNNNNNNNNNNNNNNNNNNNNNNNNNNNNNNNNNNNNNNNNNNNNAGCAGGAAUUUGACCUACGAGCAUUGUUGUUCGUAAGCAUCAAUGAUUGGCCUGCUCUUAGUAACACUUCAGGACAGUCAAACAAGGGAUACAAUGCAUGCACACACUGUUUAGCUAAGACUAAAGGUACAUAUUUGGAAAAAUCUAAGAAGGUUGUCUACCUAUGGUGUCGUCAAUUUCUUCCGACCAAUCAUCCCUUAAGGAAGAAAGGCAAGCAUUUCAAUGGUGAGGCAGAUAACCAAAAGAAGCCUAACCUCCCUACUCGUGAUGAGUUAUUGGCUAUGGUCAAGGAUUUGGAUCAAAUAGUAAUCUUUGGAAAGGGUCCUAGUGGUUAAUCUGUUCCGAAAGACGACGUUACCGGACACGUGUCCAUGUGGAAAAAGGAAUCUUUAUUUUGGGAGCUACCCUAUCGGAAACACCUAGAGGUCCGGUCUUCAAUCAACGUGAUGCACGUGACGAGGAAUCUUUGCGUGAACCUACUAGGCUUCCUGGGAGUGUAUGGAAAGACAAUAGAUACAACAGAAGCACGGGAGGAGCAGCAACGUAUGAAAGACCCAUACGACAAGAAGGCUGAUAAAGUGCGUCAAUACUUAAGCAGCUAUGCUCUUACCAAAGCAGAGAAGGAAAUCUUUUUUGAAUGCCUGAGCAGUAUGAAGGUCCCCCGCUGGCUUCUCAUCUAAUAUAAAGGGAAUAAUAAAUAUGGCAGAGAAAAAAAUCCAGAACCUAAAGUCUCAUGAUUCACACGUGAUUAUGACAUAGUUGCUUCCGGUUGCAUUGAGGGGGAUUCUACCGGAAAAUGUUCGAUUACCCAUUGUGAAGCUAUGUGCAUUUCUCAAUGCAAUAUCUGGAAAGGUAAUCGAUCGAGAACGUAUGGAAAGGCUAUAGAAGGAUGUGGUCCAAUGUCUUGUCAGUUUUGAGUUGGUGUUCCCCCCGUCCUUCUUCAAUAUUAUGACGCAUCUCCUGGUUCAACUAGUCGACGAGAUUUCCAUUCUCGGUCCUGUAUUUCUACACAAUAUGUUCCCCUUCGAGAGUUUCAUGGGAGUCUUAAAAAAAUAUGUGCAUAACCGUGCUAGGCCAGAAGGAAGCAUCUCCAAGGGCUAUGGAACACAGGAGGUCAUUGGGUUCUGUGUAGACUUUCUUCCUCACCUUAAGCCGAUUGGUGUUCCUGAAUCGCGGCAUGAGGGGAGACUGAGUGGAAAAGGCACACCAGGAAAGAAAGUAAUGAUAUGUAGGGACGGGCAUUCUUUCACUCAAUCUAACGACUAAGAUGCGGCCCUUUCCGAUUUGGGAAACAAGGCCCGAAUUGGAAAGAAGCGCAUCUAAGCAUUUCGCAAGCACGGUAACAUAGCACAUACAUAAUAAUAGUAGAAUGACAAUAAGGGAUUCAACUGCCAUCUCAUAAAUAUAUCAGAGUUACAUCACGCAUCCAACCAAGGUAGUUCCACUACGGACUACAAAACAUGAGAAAUGACUAUGCUAUCCUGCAUGCUUGCCCACGAUCACGACCACACCUUAGUCUUCUGGAUAGUUCACGUACAUGCGGCCGUUCUCCUCAUUGUACUGCCACACCAGCUGCGUGCCGUCGGGUUCACCUGUCUCAAGGGUACCUGAACCUGUUGGUGUUGUGAAGGAAUCUGUGAGCCACGAGGACUCAGCAAUCUAUGACCUUGGUGCCAGAACUAGUCAAGUUAUUAGGUAAGGAGGGUGGAGUGUUUAGGUUGCAGCAUCCUAAGCUUUAUGGUGGCUAACUUACGUAGAACAUAUAUUGAAGGUGGUCUAUACUAGCGAUCAUUGAUUAUCUGAUCACUAAGUGAUCCUGAACACCUACUUACGUCAAUCAUAACCCCCACCAUGUUCCCGACCGAAGAGAGAUCUUUGGAGGGGACAGUCACGGUUACGCACACAGUAGGCAAUUUUAUUAGAGUUACGUUUAAGUUAUUUAUAACCGGUGUUAACAAUUAUUCCAAGUUGCCACAUAACCGCGGGCACGGCUUUCCGAAAGAUUAAACCCUGCAGGGAUGCUCCAACUAGUCCAUCACAAACGGUCACGGGCCGCAAAGUAAUCCGCUAUCACGAAUCUCGUGAUCUCGUCGGAUUCCUUAGAGGAAAACCUCAACUCUGGGGAGAACCAAAGCUUCACCGGGAUUCCUAUACGCAAGAUAUAUCGCUAAGGUAAGACAAGACUAGCAGGACCUCCCGUUGUGUCGACAACCCUGAUAAGAGCCGGGUAUUUGAGUCUCACGACACGACGGAUGAGCUAGACGUCGGGAUGGCUAAACCUCUGGGUGACCAGUGGGGCCCCAGACAUCGCUCAGGUGGGACCAACACUCAUGAGGAGCACUGGCCUGGGUUGUUGAUUAAAUUCCUCGGCGUAGCUAUUCCCUAUGCAGAUUAUUAUUAAGUGAUUAGCAAAUUAACACCAAUAUUGGGUCCUGCCAGACAAGUCUUAACACUACACGAUUUAUCAAGGGGGUCCCCAUAACAACCCCGAACGUGUUAGGAGCGAUCAUUAUGGAAUCAAACACCGGUAGCCCAUAACUAUGGCGUCAAUAACGGAACAAAACACCCAGCAAAAGGCUAGGCCUUCCGUUAUUCACCAAGUAUAUAGGUGCAUUAAUUAAAUAUCAGAUUUAACAUAAUGAUAUCAAGCUCAUGUUAACACAUGAGACAAAGCACCUGCAACUAGCAACGCUAACAUUAGAAGCUUAGCAAAGCCUACUUAGCCAAACAAGAUUUGCUAGGAAGGGUUACGUGUUUGGGUUUCAUGGCAAUAUCAGGAGGCAAUUAUUUCAGUGGUAGGCAGUGAGCAUAUGACGGAAGAAACGUAAUCUAGCAUAACAAGUCUAGAGAUGGAAUCAAGGUCAUGUCAUCUUGCAUGUGACGUCCUCAUCUUGGAACUGCUCUUGUUCGUCCUGCACGUACUCUCCCGUAUCCACGUACUCGUUCUCCGAUCCCGGUGCUACCCAACAUAAAAAUAGCAUCCAAUGAACAAUAGCACCUCAAGAUGCAACAAGCACAUGAUGCAUGAGAUGGAAAUGAACAUGCAUCUCUAUUCUACUCACUUGCACAUGCAUGAGAUGUAAAUGUAAGUUCCUAGACAGAACUGCACUCUAAGCUAUUUUGACAUGCAUGAUAAUGACAUGAUCAAAUGCGUCAUGUGAAAAUGAUGCAAAAACAUAUAAAGAACGUAACGAUCGGAGCUACGGAUCAACGGGAAACAACGAAACAAGAAAUGACAUCCUACGUAUCAAAAUCAUCACAACAUACACCAAUGGCAUACUUCUGGUAUUUCUAGGUUGCCAAGGCAUAAAACAAACCAACAUGGAAGGGGUGGUGCAAAGAAUAUCACCACACCAUCAACUAUGCACUCACAAGCAUCAAAACAUCAAAACUAUACAAUCUGCCAUAAACAGCAUCAUAGCCUUUUCAGACCUACAUGCAAAGCACCUACAUCCACCCAAACAUGCCAAAUAGGAUAUGUGGCAGAAGCUAUUCAAAAGUACUACAAGCACAAGCAAAAAGAUAAUGCAAAGGAGUUUCACACAGAAAGUUACACAACUGCUAACUUAGCCAAAAUAUCAGUUUUCAGGGACUUAGUGAAAAUUCAAGAUUCUCACUAGCUGUUUAUGCUCUGAAGCAUUUUGACAGCAUCCAAAACAAUAUCUACAGGACUCCAAAUGGAAUGAAAAAUUCCAUAGAGUUAGAAAAACACAAAAGCUACAACUUCCCAGUUGAAAGCUAAGGCUCAUUCCCAACACAUGGAUCUCUACAAGCUCAACAAUAGGAGAAGAAAAUAUAAACACACUUAGGGAAAAUCACAGAUUUUCACUAAACUGGAAUUUCAGCCACAUGCCUACUUUGACUAAGCACCACUUGCACAUAUGAGCUACUAAGCGUGAAACAAAACCAACAUGUCAUAGAGGGGGUCACCCUCUAAUGCCACAACAAGGAGUCAACCUCUUGGGCUCACCACAACUCAUGGAACCAAGCUCCAAACAUAGACCAAAUCUGAAAAAUGCCAUCUCCAGAAAAUGUUCCAAAGGCAAAACUGACUUCACCAAUGGAUUCCUGGGAUGAUUCUACCCCAAAAACAUAUAUAAAACCUAUGUGCUUGCAUAGAACAAAUGGGCACAAACUAGAAAAUAAAUCCUACAUGGAAUCACAUAUAGUGAAUAGUGCAUCAUCACAUGUGCUAUUCACUAGAACUACACCUACACAAGCUAUUGCACACUCUCACAAGGCCAAUGGUGACAUGAGGGUUUAGACCUCAUGCAUGUGUGCCAUAGCACAUCACCAUUCCCAAACAAAUACCACAAGCACCACAAGCACCACAACACCUACACAUGCUAAAUAGAAUUCACUUCUACAUUGCACUCACAUAAGCACUUCUACACCUACACAUAAUCUUCUCAUGUGCUCUCCAAGGCACUUCAUGCCUUGGGCAUGUGUGAAACUCACACACACAAACACACCAAAAAGAUAUGAUCAACUAUCUACCCACACACACAUAAGGUAUGUGGGGAGGGGGAAAACCCAUCCACACACACACACACACUUGCACAAGAUCAUCACCAUGAGGAUGAUCAGCAAUCCCACAUAAUCACUAGCCUAAGCAAAACACACAAGUUUUACACACACACAUGCAUGGCAACUAGCUCACAUACACACACACUAUAUAAGAACUAGCACAUACAUCAUAUAUAUGCCACAAGCCUACACCACACUACUCUAAAAAUACCACAUGCUAUCAAAAAUAAUAGACACCACAAGCUGUUGAGAGCUGAAAUAAUAACACAUAGUGUAGAUCACACCAUAGCAACACACAUAAGCACAAAAAAGGAAAAAACAGCAAGAAAGGAAAAAUAAAAAUUAAAAUGGGGUGGUAGGUUUCGAACCCAGGACCUCCUGGAACCACCACAGAAACAACAACAACUACACCACCCUGCUAGACGCCACUUUCUCGGCAGUAUAGGGGGUGCAUCCCAGGUAACUAGUCCCUGUGCCACUGUGCCAAACAAAUAAAAUGCAAAAGGGGUGCCGAGGGGGGAAUCGAACGACCAGCUACUAGCACCAAAACCACCACUACCACUACGCUACUAGAAGGGAUCUUAACAGGGGAGGGGAUUUACUCUUUUGAGUAACCCCUCUCAGCAAUUCCUCUGCCCGACGGUGGCCGGAACAGGGGACGGUGCUCGCUGGUGAUAUACUACAAAUCCAGCUACGGCUCCUAGAUGGAAGGGAAAAGGAGUUCCCACGGUUCCAUUUCAACUCCGAGCUCCGCUCGAGAGGACCUACAACGACGGCUCGACGUGAUGCAACGGCUUCGGUGACAGAGAAGGAACGCCGUCGAGCCUACGACCUACUGCUCGUGAUCUGAGACAGGGAGGAAGGGGAGAUGGAUCUACCUCACCUACUGGACGAGGUGGAUGCUUCGGCUGGAGAGGAAGUAGAGGAAGAAAGAGGAAGUAGCCGCUCGGGGAAGUUCGUCAGGGAAGAAAGCCGCCGUCAUGGAGGAGAGGUAGCAGAGCAGAUCUUUACGUCCUAGCCGCGGGAAUGGAUUCCUGGAGGAUCCCGCGUGCUCGCCGAGGCGUCGGAGGGGAAGAAGAGGUACGGGCGCGACGACGAGGAGCUCCUCAUCUCGCGGCCAUGGCGGCGGAGCUGAUCCCCUUACCUGGAGUCGUCGACACAGAGGGAGAUGGCGACGGGAUGGAGGUGGCGGCGCGAGAGGGAAACCCUAAGCGGCACGGACACCAAGGGGGGCCUUUUUAUGGAGGAGGAGGGCGAGGGACGCGCCUCGACGUCCGUGACGGCAUCUGUUGUCGUCGCUCUGCUCCUGUCUGUGAAGAAGAACUGACGGAGGAAGGAGAACAGGACGGCGUCUACAGGAGAAGGAGGCAGCUGGGCUGCGAAGGAAAAGAGAGGAGGGGGAGAUGGGCCUGCUAGUGGGAGGAAGGCCACUAGUGGAGCCAGAUAGAAGGAAAAUAAUUCCCUGGGGUUUUCCAAAUACAAAAAUACCAGAGAAAGGAAAUAAAGCAUAGACAAAUCUGUUGGGGUUAAAAACAAAACAAAAAUGCCCCUGGUCAUAAGAAUUCAUGACCUAUUUGAAUAAAUUAUAAGAGGAAUAUUUGGAGCAACUAAAUAUUUACAAAACAGUAUUAUUGGAUCUGUUUUGUAAUUAUUUGCACCUUUGGAACACCUUUUCAAAACAGCAAAACCACAUCUCCAAUCCACCACAAAACAAUGCUAACACAUGGGCAUUUUAGAAAUACGAUUGGAACAAGAGGAACUUGACCUUGAGAUAAAUAAGAGGAAGAUGGUUUGAAGCCUAUGCAAAACAGAAGGUUAUUCCUACUAUCCAACCACAACUAUAUCACUCCAAUAAUCACACACAACAUCACAUGACAACUCAUGUCAACACAUCACCACAUAUGGUCACAAGGCGACAAACCAAGACAAGGAUGAAAUGAUAUGGAAUGCAUGCAUGCAAAGGAAGAAUAAACAAGGUGACAUCACAUGAAAUCAUAUGCAUAGGAUAGCUCUCAUAUCAAUGACAAGGUGGACCCAUAUAGACAAGGUUCCAAAAAUGGAAAGAUACACUCUUGGGGCAUUACACUCAAGCACACUACACAGUUCUAAAAAGUUCCACCUUCGUGGCUUCGUAUAUCGAGGAACACAAGAAUUUUGUACGCUCCGAGUUCCCAGGGAAGGCUAUCUCCUAGAUUGAAGAAAAACACAUGGAUACUUUCGUCAGUUGGUUGCGAGCACGUCUCAUGAAUGACAACAGUGUUGGAGAUCAACUCUACUUGUUAGCCACGUCACCUUCUUCGACUGUAUUACAUUUCCAAGGGUACGAGAUAAUGGGAAUACAUUUUACACGACCGCCCAAGAUAGAAAGAUCACGAACCAAAACAAUGGUGUCUGCUAUGAUGCAACAGACGAGAAUGGGAAAAAUGACACAUACUAUGGUUACAUAGAGGAGAUAUGGGAACUUGACUACGGACCUACUUUUAAGGUCCCUUUGUUUUGGUGUAGUUGGGUGAACAUGAAUGGAGAAGGGAUAAAGGUAGACCAGUUGUAUGAAAUGACAUGUCCUCCAGACUAAAAAAAAGAAAAAAAAAGCAAAUGAAUACAUCGGACGAUGAGCCAAAGUGUCGGAUAGUUGUUUCAGGGAAAAGAAACAUCAUGGGAUCGAGGACAAGAUAGACAUCUCAGCACAUUAUAAUAAGCUUGAUGAAAUUCUGCCCUUCAUACUGAGCAUUGACACAAGCAUCCCGUUAAAUAAUGAAGAUGCUCCAUGGUUACGGCCAAAGCCAUCAUAGGCAAGGCCUCAAAAUAUAAAUCUAUGUAAUGUAUUAAACUUUAUAUGAUGUGUACUAAUGUAUUAAACUGUAUGUGAUGUGUACUAAUGUAUUAAACUUUAUGUGAUGUGUACUAAUGAUACUUUGUGAUGUGCCUUUGAAUGGUGCAUUUUAAACACACAGAAAGUAUGGAGUUCAAAUAAGUUCAAAAAUUGAAAUCCUUUUGUAACACAUGAGUUCUCGUUCGAAACCCUGAUACUUCGAGAGAGAUUGUCCGUUUUGUACACCAAGUGCAUCCAGUUUUUGUCGUAACCCUCUCAACUUUUUAGCACAUGCUAUGUGGGUGAAAUGAUUAUACCAUGCCAACGUUCAACAUUUUCAGAGUUCAUUUGUAGUGCUUUUCAAUUUCAGGGUUAACUAGCUCAAAAAAAAUAAGUAAAUGCACGGAAAAUACCACAUGAAGUAAGAAAUUGUUGAAAAUUUGUGAUGUGCCUUUGAAUGGUGCAUUUCCAACACACAAAAAGUAUGGAGUUAAAAUAAGUUAAAAAAAUGAAAUCCCUUUGUAACACAUGAGUUCUCGUUCGAAACCCUCGUACUUCGAGAGAGAUUGUCCGUUUUGUACACGAAGUGCAUCCAGUUUUUCUCGUAACCCUCUCAACCUUUUAGCACAUGCUAUGUGGGUGAAAUGAUGAUACCAUGCCAACUUUCAACAUUUUUAGAGUACAUUUGUAGUGCUUUUCAAUUUUAGGGUCAACUAGCUCAAAAAAAGUAAAUGCAUGGAAAAUACCAAAUGAAGUGAGAAAAUUGUUGAAAAUUUGUUAAAAUAUUUAAUAGAAAACAAAAAACAGCCAACUAAAAAGAAUCAACUAAAACAUUAACUAAAAUGAAUGAAUUAAAAAUAAUCAACUAAAAUUAUCAAAGUGCUUAUUUGUUAAAAAGAAUCAAGUAAAACAUUCUAAAAAGAAACAAAAAAGAUCAACUCAAAAGAAUUUUCAUAAAGUUUUUUGGUAAAAAUCUUUAAUAGAAAACUAAAAUAGAAGAGAAAAAAAAAAUCUUUAAUAGCAAAAAAUGAAAGUAAAGUUAUUAACAAAUUUCAAAAUUUCAAAUUUGAAAAGUAAAUAUUUAGCUCUAAGUAGAAAAAAAGAAAAUAAAUAAAGCAAAGAACAAAUCAAAAAUAAUGGAAACAAAUUGAAAAUAUAUGAGAAUUUAUAGAGAAAAUUCAACCUAAAUUCAAAGUGAGCUCACUUUAAAUUUAGGUUGAAGUUUGUCUUUAAUUUCACAUAUAUUUUCAAUUUUUAAAUUUAGAGUGUGUUUAGGCCUGUAAGCCUGCUUUAGAGAGGAGCUCGAUACGGUUGGGGACAGCGGGCCUUCUAUACCAGUCGCAUCUCCUCUCGACAAGUGAGGUGGGACUAAACUUCGAACUGCCGCCAGCCCCAGGUCUUUAGUCCCGGGUNNNNNNNNNNNNNNNNNNNNNNNNNNNNNNNNNNNNNNNNNNNNNNNNNNNNNNNNNNNNNNNNNNNNNNNNNNNNNNNNNNNNNNNNNNNNNNNNNNNNNNNNNNNNNNNNNNNNNNNNNNNNNNNNNNNNNNNNNNNNNNNNNNNNNNNNNNNNNNNNNNNNNNNNNNNNNNNNNNNNNNNNNNNNNNNNNNNNNNNNACCCGGGACUAAAGACCCUCUCUUCCGGCCCCUCCGCCCGCCGAAAAACUGCCUUUAGCCCUAGGUCGUGGCUCGACUCGGGACCAAAGGGGGUCUUUAGUCCCGGUUCGAGCUACGAACCGGGACUAAUGCUCCGCCUAUAUAAGCGGGAGUUGGAAAUUUUUUAUGUCCAAAUCGCCAGUUUUGAUUUUCUUCCUCCCCGCGACGGACGAACCCUCGACGCCGCUAGGCUACGCAACUCUUCCCCGACACCGUCGCCGCGCUCCUCCCCGCCACCGUCGCCGCUCUCCUCCUUGCUGUCGCCCUCUUCCCCGUCGCCGGUGCCGCCUUUGCCUCGAGCCCUUCUCCCCAUCGAUCACCCGUGCCGCGCGCGCUCCUCCCCCCCUCGGGCUUCCUCCUCCCUGCCGCCGGUGAGCAUCCUCUCGAUGGAUCGUCAAAAAUAUGCCAGUUUAAGUGAUAUUUGUAUAGAUUAUAUAUAGAACAUUUGUAGAUAUUGUACAUUGGUGAAUUUUCUUGUAUAUUGUAGAAUAUUUGUAGUGCAUAUAUGCAGAUGAUUCAAUUUGUAGAAUAUUUGUGGAAUAUUUGGUGAACUCCGUGAAUAUUUGUAGAAUAUUUGUAGUUUAAGUGAUAUUCAAAUAUGUCACAGUUUAAGUGAUAUUUGUAGGUUAAAUGAAUUCCGUGAAUAUUUGUAGAAUAUUUGUAGUUUAAGUGAUAUUCAAAUAUUUGUAGAUGAUUCAAAAAAAAAUUGUGGAAUUUUAAAAAGAUAAAACAAUGUAAUAAAAUGUUCACGGAAUUUGGAUUCAGAACCUAACGAAUAAAAAAGGUGUAUAUUCAAAAAAUAUAAUAAAAUGUUUAUAAAGUGCAUAAUUAAAAGUCAAGUUUAGUUACAUUCAUGUGAUUUCUCAAAACAUUGUUAGUGUUAAAAAAGUGCAUAAUUAAAAGUCAAGUUUAGUUACAUUCAUAUAAUAAAAACUUUAUACAAUAUCAUAAUAUAUAUCCCUUAAAUUAAGGUUAAGAGAAUCCGUUAGACAUAUUUUAGAGUAUAGAUUCACUCAUUUUGCUCCGUAUGUAGUUUUCUAAUGAAAUCUUUAAAAGUUCUUAUAUUUUGCAACGGAGGUAGUACAAGUUUAGAAAAGUUUAUUAAAUAGUAGGAAUUUAAAUAGUAGGACAUACAAUGCCCGGACCGCAUCCUCAUCGUCGACUCGGUGUCGGCCACGUGCUUGAUAGGCGCCAACAUGUGCGGGGCUGGGCUCCGCAGGGCUGGCACUGGGGAGAGUUACCUUCCGGGGCGCGCAACUUGGUGAGGAACGAGGCUCCCGUCGUCGACCCGGAGCUUCUUUGGUGGCGGUCGCGGGGGCCACUUUUGGUGCCUAAGUUGCCGGCCCCCGAGGAGGACGUAUGUCGCCGUGUCAGGGAGGAGGACGAGCACGUCCGUCGGUACAUGGAAGCGUUGGAUGCCAGAUUCUCCAGUACCUGGGAGGUUCUUCAGGGAUCUCACCCGAGCUAUGAUCCGGUGAUGGUCCCUGCUCUUUGGUUGUCCACCGCCCGCGCCUUAGUACAACAACGACUCUUUGUUGGUUGAUCAGUUAUAUAUUAUUCGAUGUAUUACUGUAUUCGAGAGAUGUAUUAUUUAUGUAUUCCACAUUAUAUAUUCGAUAAUAUUAAGUGGAUUAUUUGACGAUGCAUUUAUUAAGUGGAUUAUGCGAUGAUGUUUAAUUAAUUUGUAGAUACUAUGGAUCCAAUACACGGCAGAGACGAAUAGCAGGAGGACGUGAUGGAUGGUGUCAUCCGCGGGGAUGCUAUUUUAGUUCACGAUGUCGAUGUCCCCAAUCAGUUUCUGAACGAGUCCGGCGAGGGAGAUGAGUCUCUCAACACACGAGGUAGAAGCUCCGGUGAGGUAGAUGCCCACGCCUCGGGCUAGGGAGGAAUCGGCGGCUCCAAUGAGGAAGAAGCCGACGAGGGAUAAGCCGACCGCUCCGGCGAGGUGCAUAUAUAUAUAUAUAUUAUUAAAUUAAUCAUCUGAUGUCUAUAUACAUAUAUUAACGCUCUUUCUUUUAGCCCUCCGGAUCGAGCAAAUCUUCAGUACGGACGAAACGAGGCCCAACCAAGAAGCAUGAUGACUGUGAGAGAUACAAGAUUGAAACAGUCUCAAAUGCUGGGCAACCAAUUGCUACCACACAUGUAAAGCAGAAGUUUGUUUAGGCAUGCGGAGUUGUUGCUAGGGACCACAUCCCUAUCACCACUCGAGAAUGGAUUAAGCCAAGGGAGGAAGGAGUCUCAUAUGUCAGCACAGCAGCCAAAGAAAACCUUUGGAGAAAGCUCAUGCUUCAUUUCACCCUGCCGGCGCUAGAGGUGGAUCCAAAUGAGGAGGAAAUGAAUAGGCGAAAAGAGACCCUAGAGAAGAAGUCAAGGAGUGGGCUCUUAAGAAGAUGGCCGAUCUAUUCAGGGGUUGGAAAAAAAGAUUGCACCAGGAUUUUAUCUUGAAAGACAAGACUCCAGAUUUCGAUCAUGGCUAUGAUAAGAUUAAAGACUACUGGGCCGAAUUUGUGGCAUACAAGAAAACGAAGGACGCCUUGAAAAAGUCAGCAACAAAUAAGACGAAUGCAGGUAAGAAGAAGUACCACCAUAUUAUGGGGCCUGGUGGCUACAGGGGUAAGAUGGCUAAGUGGGAAGAACUUGAGGCAUCAUUUCUGGACAAAAAUGUCACUCCAGAACCCUUAAGACGGCUCGAACGGGCAAGAAAUUGGUUUUACGGGCAUGGGGGCUUGUUGGACGCAGAAGGGAAGGUAAUAUAUAACCAAAGAGACAAAGGUAUUCCCCUACCCAUCGAGGAGAUUAGACAUGUAGUACAUGAUGUUGAAGAGGGACGGUUCUUACCCGAUAGAGAGAACGACGAGCUCACACACGCCCUUGGGAAUAAGGAACACAAAGGGCGAGCACGAGGCUUACCAGGCUCCCCGCCGUGGAUUCUUGCUUUCUCCGAGGAAAGGAAGAGAUUUCCUGAUAGAAGCCAUCAGAGGAGAAAGGAAAAGGAGGCACGUGAUAAAGCGGCUGAGGUAGACCGGAUGCAUAAUCUAGAAGAAGCAGUAAAGCGGCAGCAGCAGGAUCAAAUCGACAGACAACAAGGUAGCGGCCAAUCUCAGCGGCUCAUGAUAGAAGUUGCAUCGAAUCGGAAAAGCAGUGUCUCUUCCACUCAGCUCCAGAAUGAGGGUGAUGAUGCAUUGACGACGGAUCCUCCUCGUCGCUACCCAGUGGAUGAUAUCACACAGAGCACACCUUGUGAGCUAAAGGUGAAUCUUGCUAACUUAAGGUUGACGGUGGCGGUCGGCAUGGCCAUACCAAUUGGACGUAAUCCAACUUGGCAUUUCUCUCCGGUUCCACAAGGGUACGCUGUCAUCGCGGUCGAUGAAGUGAUGCAAGAUUAUGAGGAGUUGAAGCUCGACCACCCUGCAGGUGAAGAUAGGGAUUUGACUCAACUUGGAGAAGUCAAGAAACAAACCGUUGUAUGGCCAAAGGUGGACAUCUUGCUUCCAAAUUGGACGCCAAGGCCACCGACUCCUCAUAGCAGCAAUCCUUCUUCGCCUCCACCUCACCAGUCACCAGCGCAACCGUUGUCUUCGCCGCCUCACCCAUGUCCAGCGCAACCGUCGUCUACGCCGCCUCACCAGUCUCCAGCGCAGCCGUCUCCACCGCCGCAUCAGCCGUCUCCACCGCCUCGUCAGCCAUCUCCAUCCACUGAGGAGUAGAGCAAAAAGCGGAAACGUACCCCCGCUAAUAGUGGCGGCAGAAAGGGGAUCCGAUCACCAAAACAUAAGUUGUCGCCCCUCCCAAAAGUACCUCAUCCGAAUAUGGAGAAGAGACCUUGGGACUAUACUCAAGAGGACAAUAUUAAGACGGCAGACGCCCAACAUGAACAGUGGAAGGCUCAAGUGGCUAACAAGAAGAAAGCGAAAGAGCCAAAGUUCCCGGACACCCCAGAAGAACACGCCACAUGCGUGAAAAUGCUGAAAAACCUUGCAGAUCCCCCGCCACCGUUGCCACCAGACUAUGAACGCUCUAUUCUCAAGUCACCUCACGCAAAAAAGCAGCGGUUGAAGAGUAGUACGUCUAGCGAGAAAUCAGUUGCCCAGCUCGGACAACAAAAAAACCAAUCGUGCCCCCUACUCAAAGUGUAUUCCGAUACAGAUGUGUGCUCGAGCGGAGCUGUGGUCCAGCACAGGAAUGAUGAAACAACUGACAUCGAUCCGGAUUUUCUUGAACAAUACGGAGAAGUGUCCAAGGCUCAAGGCAUGUCUAUUGAUGAGUACUUAAACCAUUUGGAGGUAUUCACUGACAUAGCAUACACGUACCGGUACGGGGCUCCUCUCAUCAAACCCGAGUUAGUCAACGAGCUACCAACAAAAAUGCAAAGAUUGCAUGACUGGUACAUGCAAGCAUGUGUUCAACACGCAAACUGGAUAUACCUUGAAUUUAAAAACGAGCAUUUCGGGGAUGGAGAUGGCGUGGUAAUGAUUGAAUUCGACGAAUUAUUUCAAUUAUACCAACAAGACGCCCUCGACAAAUCUAUCAUCAGUGCCUAUUGUUUGUAAGUAUUAUUAAUUUAUGUCAUUGAGUCUUACUCAGUUCAUUCUUUCAUGUAUAAUCUUACUCAUCACUAUAUUAAUUUUGUAGAAUGAAGAUUCUCGAAUGCAAAAGAGGACAAAUCUAUGACAUUGGGUUCAUUGACCCAUAUUUCAUUCAUCACCAAAGUCUCGCAACGAGUCCCCGCGAUACAGAGAAUAACUUGAUACAAGGGUUAAGGUUUUUCGGUACCAAAAGGGAAAUACUAUUUCCUUACAACUUCAAGUGAGUGUUACUACACACAUUCUAUUUUCGCUUACUUGAUGUUAUUAUAAGUGUAUAAUUGACUCGUUAUGCGUGCGCAAGUUUCAUUUUAUUUUGUUAAUCAUUGUACCUGACAAGGGACAAGUAAUAGUCAUGGACCCGAAAUGCACAUCCCUCGAUGAAUGGACGAACAUGCAGGAAUGNNNNNNNNNNNNNNNNNNNNNNNNNNNNNNNNNNNNNNNNNNNNNNNNNNNNNNNNNNNNNNNNNNNNNNNNNNNNNNNNNNNNNNNNNNNNNNNNNNNNNNNNNNNNNNNNNNNNNNNNNNNNNNNNNNNNNNNAGGAAUGCCUCCAGAGGUAAUUUCAAACAUUAUGGCACUAUAUCGGCAACUUCUCUUUCAUUUCCUGAUAGCAAGGAAUUAAUAUAGAACUCUUUUAUUCAUUUUCUUUUCUUGGUAGGGCUUGGAAAUGGUUCAGCGCCAAGGCUUGGGGUGAUUGAAAGCCAGAGCUUACAUUUAAACAAAUAGAUGUAAGUAACUACUAGCUAGAUCCGCGUAUUUCUUUAUUCUAGUUUCAGUAUCAUUAUAAUUCUUGAUUAUGUUUUUGAUUGAACUCACUUCUCGUAAAGUGCUUGAGGCAGGAACAUGGGAACAAUUUAUGUGGAUACUAUGUUUGCGAGUUCAUUCGCCAGACGACCCAUGAGAAAGGGAAAAACUGGAAUAUAAAAAAAAUCUAAGUACGACAAACAAUACUCACAACUUUAUUUUAUUACUGUGAAUUGUGUUCGGUUUCAUUGAUAUAUAUAUUGACCCAUUCUUUAAAUUAGAUCGAACGGUUGUGGGACGUUCUUCUACCACAGAAACGUGUACGAGCAAUUCAAGAGGAAAUUGCAGGAUUCUUAAAUGCAGAGGUCCUAGUUGUGAAGGGAGUAUAUUAUUGUCCGUCGAUGAGAAUGAUAUGAAAUGUUAUAGUGUAAAAGAGACAUAUGUGCAUUUGUGUAACUCGUCUCUACAUUUUGUAGUAUGUUCGACAAAGCACGACGGGUGAGAUGGUGUAAUAUAUUCGUGACGAUGAUGUGCAAUAUAGUUGUUCUUUAUUGUUAUGUAUGUACCAUCCAAUUUAGUAAAAGGGAAAAUUGGGGGCAGCAAAAUAGCUCUAUCCAAUUUAAUGCAAAAUAAAAAUUUAAAAGUGCCCAAAACAAAUAAAUGGAAAAAUUAGGGGCAGCAAAAUAGCCCAAAACAAAUAAACCCUAAAAAUUGCUAAAAAACAGAAGAAAUAGCCCCGGUUCGUAAUACGAAUCGGGACUAAUACUCCUCCCCCCUCGCUCCCAGCCCCGCCACGUGGAAGGCCAUUAGCCCCGGUACGGGAUCAAACCGGAUCUAGCAUUAGUCCCGGUUUACGAACCGGGACUAAUGGCCCAACCGAACCGGGGCUAAAGACCUUUUUUCUACUAGUGGUGGGCAGACCAGAGGUUGCUACUGCUGGUGGUGUAGUGGCGUGAAAGAUCGGACGGAAUGACAGAUCGAAUCUCACAUCAAGGUUUGGUGUACAUCAGAUGGUAUUCAGAGAAAAGGUUGUCCACGACACUAUAUUUUUCUUUGAGUUACUAUUUAAGUUUUUAUCAUGAGAAGAGAUUGUAGCUAGUAAAUGAUGAUGGCGAUGGAGAAGGAUCCAUUACGUACCUUGCCGUGGUACCAAGGCUUUAGGCGUGUGCGUGUAGGGCCGACAAGUUGAGCAACCUUGAUGAAAUGCUAUUCUAGGAUGAACAUAGUGAGAGAGACUAUGGUUGAUGAUUUGAACCUUCCGUUGACUGAACAUUCAGAACCAUACGACAUCUGGUGGAAGGACAAGUUUCUCAAGAUCAUGCAUCCUGUAGAGGUAUUGUUUAUUCUAUGUGGACAUGGUGACCUUGUCAUGGGUGAUGUGUUUCCUAUGCACAUGCAUACAUGUUCAAUACUGCUAGGAAAACGAUGGAUAGAUAAAAUUUAUUUGACAUAUCAUUCGGUUGGCCAAUUUUCUUUUGUUCGUGGAGGCCAAUGCAUACCACUUGAUUCGUACACAUGACAGAACUAUAUGGCUGAUCGCGAAAAGCGGGAUAUUGAUCAAGCUUAUUUAGAAGUAAAGAAUAAGAAGGUUAAGAUCAAAAUUUUCCAAGCGUUGUGCAAACCGCAAAUAAAAUUAUUGUUCAAGACAUUGAUUCAAAACCGAGGAUGGUUUGGAUGCAUGGAUGGAUGAGGUGGAUGCGCACGCGCAUAUGCCUACCCCGAACGUGGUGCCGGGCAUGCUGGUGCAGCUAGGCGCAGCAGCUGCGUUGCAGGCAAACGUGGCAACGAUGUGUGAAGAGCUACGGGUCUCGCUCUCGCCGAUCCUCUCCAGGCCAGAGAGCCGAGCUCCGGCGUGCAAACGAGACAACCCAAGGAAGAAACGGAAGGUUGAGGCGACACCUUCAAGACGAAGCGCAAGGAUUGCGAAGCACGUGACUACGAGGCAACAACAGGUGCUCAUCAGGAGAUUAUGCUUGGCGCAUGAGGGCGAGGUGAUUUCGGAGGAGGCACUCCGCACGUACGUGGACUUGUUCUCCCGACCACUUUCAGACGCACAUAUUGUUGCCGUGUUGGCCCUGUUUGGAUGAGAGUCACCGCCAAUGCCAUUGGCGGAGGGGGUCGCGGUGGUCUAGCGGUUUUGUGGCGUUUCGGUGGUCCUCCGCAGGCUUUCAAAAUGAAUUAACAUCCUUUGAAAGUACAUUGUGUGGAAAGUGCGUGGUCUAAAUGCCCCGGCUAGGAGGAGUGCAGUGUAUCAAGUAGUGGUGGCGGCGAGACCGGCCAUUGUGUGCUUGUAGGAAACAAAACUCCAGGACGUGUCUUUCGCUCUUGUGUAUCAAUGUUUGGGCAAUAGAUUUGGGAAGUUCUUCUACUUGCCGGCUGAUAGGACACGUGGUGGUAUUUUGGUGGCGUGGGAUGAUACGGUCUGUCAUGGUUUUGUCACGACAGAUGUCCUCGUGAAAGGACUUAGUACUGGAGCCAACGCACCUUGGUGGCGACUCAAAGGGGUUGAGGAGGAGAGACACGACGAUUUACCCAGGUUCGGCCCCUCGUGAGGAGGUAAAGGCCUACGUCCUGCUUUGAGUUGUAUUGAUGUGGUUUCGAUUACAAGGAGGGCGUAACUCGCCAAACCUAGCAUUCCAUGAUUUCUAACCUGCCCUCUGCUUCCCUGGGACUCGCCUUUAUAUACAGGUCGAAUCCCUAGGGUUUACAAGGGUACUUUCCUUCCUACAAAUCGUGACUUCUACGGUCUCCAAGUCGCCAUCUUCCAAAGCUUGGAGACCUUCCGGAGAUUAUAAACCGCCACACAACUUUCGGCCUUACCAGGCCAAGGCCCGAAUCACGCUCAGAUGAAUCGGCUGAUUCGGUGACCCGGCCCAACUAGGGCGGGUUAUUAACAGGUAAUAUCCCCAACAUUAGGCCCCAGAUUGACUUGAAUUCUCUUCACGCCAGUAUUUUCGCUCAGUUAAAGGCGAUUCAUCCUUCAUCCUUCUCUACACGUCAGAAACUUUAACCCGCCAUCUGUCACGGAAGAACUUAAAUCGCCAAACCAUUUCUCGUUGGCAUCUUCUUAUCCCUUGGAUUUCGGGAAGACUGACACAAUCCUAAGGGAUCCUUUGAUAUCGUCAUCCCAAAAUUUUUGGAGCGCCAUUAUAGCGAAUCUUUUUAUCCUUCGGCGGUUCCCGCUCACGGCGCCUCGAUUCCAGCGCCUGCCCCGUUAAAUAGGUGGGGGGGACAGGACUGGUGCUUUCCACCUACCAGUCUCGUCAAUCUCCUCCCCAUUAUCACAGCGAGGAAACCUUACUGCCUUCCGAGGGAUCCGCCGCCGACCGCAGUUCCUGUCGUCGCCCGAAAGCUUUGGCGCCGCCCACAUAUCUUUGUCGCCGUCAAGCUCCGUACCGCGGCCGAGCUGCUCGCCACCAUCGACCAUCUCACCGCCGCCGACCACCUCGCUGUUGCUAGGCACUCCGUCGCCGCCGAAGAUCUCCGCGCCCGAGCAAGACUUUCCUGCUCCGCCAAAAGCCUCUGUCGCCGUCGACCACUUCCGACCGAACUCAUCAGGUUAGGUCACCCCUUAUUUAAGAACAGAUCCCCAUCCAUGUUUGAAGUUUCAUCAUCACCAUGUUCUUGAUGCCUUCGCGAAUAUCUAUUGCCUGUCCUUGACUGAUUAGUAUUAAUGACGAUGAGAUAGCUAACGUUUUUAAUACCUAAACUUGUCCACCCUUGAUUUGCGUCUUUAGAGCAAUAUUUCAUCAAACGAACAACAUCAUCUUAUCCUGGUAGUAAGUUUCCAUGUCCAGUCAUUUUUCUCAUGUUUUUUCUGCUGUCCAGUAAAUCCAUAGUUUACCGUUCAUUGCGUAAAAGCUGUUUGUAGUCUUCAUACUUCACCAUUUUGAACAAAUGUCUCCGACGCCUUAAGACACAACUCUUGUGAGUAGCCAAACUUCGUAAGUCGCCAUAGCAACCCGACCCGGAUCUUUAUAUGGCGGGUCAAAAAAUUUCCUCAGUCCAUGAACAAAUUACUUGGCGAGUCAAAUGAACUUAUUUCACCUCUUACGGUAGAUGUUCAAGCGUGUAAAUUCACCCGUACUUUACUCCUUUGUAGCAUGGGCACCGUCUUCAAAAGUGACUGGCUCCCUACCAAAGUCGACGAUACCAUACUAGCAGAUUAUGUGAAAACGGGCAAUUUGGACCCUCAGGAUGUUAUCGGUUGGAGUACCGUGUUCGGAGAGGAUCUCCCCAACCCCAAAGAAGGGGAGAUAGUCGUUUUCGUCGAACACCUUGAACGAGGUUUUAAGCCGCCCGGAUCAAAGUUCCUUAGAGACACCAUGGCUUUCAUGAAUGUCCGCCGCCAGGAUCUGGGACCUAAUUCGAUAAGUAACCUAUGCCAGUUCCAAGUGUUCUGUGAAGCUUACUUGCGGAUGCAACCCUCAGUUCCCUUAUUCUGGUACUUUUUCCACAUAAAUCGCCAAACGGAAUUUCACAAUGGCCCCAGCCUGGAACUUGGCGGUGUAAAUGUUCAGCGCCGCAGGGAUAGCCCGUUUCCCUCACUCGCCAUGCCAAGCCAUCCCAAAGGCUGGGGCGGGUCUUGGUUCUAUUGUCAAGAGACCUCGCCUGCAGGCGAAAACAAGCUUCUGGGCUAUAGGAAAGAUCGCCUUCCAACGAAUUUCAAGCUUCCGGACAAGCUCACCGAAGAGGAGGAAUCAGAUUUUAUCCCAGUAUUGUGUGAGUUAAGAUUUUUGACAAACAACGGCCUUACUGGGGUCGACUUGAUCCGCUGCUGGGUCGAAUGGCGCAUCCUCCCUUUGAGUCGCCGGGACGGGCUAAUGUGCGAAUUUGAUGGCACCUUAGAUCAUCCUCAAUGUUAUUUCCAUAUGGCUUUAACGGAAAAGGAUAUUGUCACCAUCAUCAAGAAGCUAACCGCCGAGCCUGCGGGAAAAUGUGGCCAAAUCGGCCUCAAACCCUUCCGCAAAAUUAAUCCGGCACCCAAGGUAAGCAAUUUUAACCCGCCUUUUGUAUUUACUUCUUAUGUUUCAUUCGAAUUGUGGCCCUUUAUAACAUAUGCAAUUCCAGAAAGGUGAUAGGUUUUGGUCCAAGAAACCCAAAAGGCCAGCCAUGAAGCAAGCUAAGCCGCCCCCAAAGAAAACCAAGGGCAAGGGCAAAGCUGCUGUGGCCGAGCCAUCCGAAGCCGAUGAAUCUCAAGUCGGCGACACACCUUCAGAGGUAAAAACCUAUCCUCUUUUCACUCGCCAUCCGCUACAGUUAACUUUGUAUUUAUGUCUCUGCCUCUCUUGAAUAGAAUGAAGACAACGAAAGCCAGGAGGAUUCUGUAGAGGUAAUUUCUGUUUCCUCCGAUUCAUCUCCUUCUCCACCUAAGCCGGCCACGCGAAUUUGUGGCAAAGUUCCCUUCUCACAACCAAAUGCUUGUUUGGACCCAAAUUUUCUACUGAAGAAAGCACAACAUACUUCAAACCGGAAGACCCGAAGUCAUUCCGGUGAUCUGGUGUCCGGCUUACCAGCAAGGAACAAGAGGAAACCAAAUGAGGUACCCAUGAACAACACUUCUUCAUGUUUCUUUGGAUCACAUCUGUAACCCGCCUAUAUCUUUGACGUAUAAGUCUUGCAGAAUUCUCCUCCUACAUCUGGCGACUCAGUAAUGUCGACACUUCAGCCAAUGAUUCGAGUCCCUGGGUAAGUCCUUUGAUAAUUUUGCUUUGAAUCUGAGGGUGAUAAAUUCUCAGUCCUUUAAUGCGCCUCGCCCCUCUUUUAGGGCACAGGCGAAGAAGAGGAAGACCAGCGGGUCAACUCCUAUCAUAAUUUCAGAGCCCAUCAAAGAGUCAGCGCCGAUCCAAGAUAACCCGGAUCAAGACGAGCCUGAGGGUCAAAUGGAUCUUCCUAGCUCACCCAAGGAAACAAUGGAUGCCCCUAAGCCGCCAAGUCCAUUGAAAACAGCAGAAGACCCAGAUGCUGUAAUUAUCACUGGUACGAGCUUCUCUAAACCGAUCACAACGGUUUUGUCAAAGCAUGUGCCAUCAUCCUCUCAAACCAUUCAUGAGUCUGGACUCUCCAAGGCUAAGCUUUCUGAAUAUGAACAUCUGGAAUUGAAAGGACUCUGCUCUGGUUUUGCAAGUCGCCUGGAGGCGAGUUAUGAGAUGGAGAAAAGCCUGCUUCGGAUGCUAAAAAAUAAACAUGAGGUAAGCUUUGUUAUAUAUUAUAUUAUCCCCAUUAACCCCCAAGGGCAGGGUCAUCAGUAAAAAGAUGAGUCGGGUCUUGAUUUUUUAGAAAAACUUUCGACCAGUAACCCCCAAGGGUUGGGUCAUUAGUAAAAAGAUGAGCCGGGUCUUGAUCAUUUAGAAAAACUUUCGACCAGUAACCCCCAAGGGCCGGGUCAUCAGUAAAAAGAUGAGCCGGGUCUUGAUCACUUAGAGAUUGUUUUGUCUAGUAACCCCCAAGGGCCGGGUCAUCAGUAAAAAGAUGAGCCGGGUCUUGAUUUUUUAGAAAAACUUUUGACCAGUAACCUCCAAGGGCCGGGUCAUCAGUAAAAAGAUGAGCCGGGUCUUGAUGCUGUAUAAUUUUAUCUGAAAAAAUUAUACAUUAGCCCCCAAGUGUCAGGGAUAUUGCUUGCAAUAGUUCUGAGACUUGCCCCUUAUCAUGUACUUCAACAGGAAACUCUUAUUCAGACUGAAUCAUCACUUGGCGAUUUAAAGAAAAACUUAUCUGAUCAACAAGAUGCCCGAACCAAGUAGGAGGAAAAGUAUCAAUUGGUCUUAGCUGAGAUGGAAAAACUAAAAGCCGAUUUAAAAAGGGCUCAAGCUGACCAAGAUGCUGCAACAAAAAGAGCAGAGAAACCUGAAGCCAAGAUGGCUACUGUGCAACAAGACCUAUCUCGCUUGAAAUGUCAUAUCUCAAACAUGGCGCAAGCCGUCUUUGGUAAAAUACUCAAAACUUUGAUCUUUGUUUAAACCAAUAACUCUUAUCCAGAGUCACUGAUUAUCAUUACCCCUUGGAUAGGUCCUAGAGCCGCCAAUCUUCAGGAUGAUUGCAUGCUGAUGCUGAAGGCGAUUUACACGCUAACAGAGCAGCUAUAUACCGGCAGUGUACUAACUGUUAAAGCAGUGAUGGGCGCCAAGGAGCCUAUAACCUCCAUAAAGAAGAUGCUUGGCUGCCUAUCCAUGCUUCCUCCCUAGAUUGGCGAGUUGACACGGUCAGCCGCCCGGAAGGGAGUGUUGACUACAUUAAGUCGCUGCUUAGCUUAUUGCUCCAGAGAUCAACCCGGAAGAAGUAGCAGCGGGCUUCCCUCAACUCAAGGAUGACGGGUCAGAAUUCGUCGAAGAGGACUAUCGGCGUGUCGUCAAGGACUCCCGGCUGGCGGCGACUCAACUUGCUGCAAGUCUGGACUUAUCAAAGUAUCAGGCUCCUUAUGAUAGCAAGAACAAGAAGGUCAACCCGCCAACCUUUGUGACAACCAGCUUAACUCCACGGCGACCCAAGAACCCUUUUGACUUGGACGCAGAUCUUUCAUCAAUCCUGACCGAUGAGAAUGACUUCGCGGAUCUGGCCAAGUGCAACUGGGUACUGGGCGACUUGCAAAUUGAGGUCGGCCAAAGCUCGCAGCAAAACGAUCCAAGGGCGCCAGCAGAAUAAACUUCAUUGAUUUGGCCCUAAGAGCCAUGUAAUAGGUCUCCAUUAGGAAUCGGUACUGCUUUUGUUAUACUUUCGAAAAGAAUCCUUAUGUCGCCCUUAAGGCGAUUUGAAAUACUGGAUCCGCCAUUUCAUUGGCUCAUAAGUUCGCGACAGGAUGGGGCGAGUCAGAAAACUCAAGCGCCACCCUAGAUGAUGAUUUCGUCGGCUCAUAAGGUCGCGACAGGAUGGGGCGAGUCAGAAAGCUCAAGCGCGCACCCUAAAUGAUAGUUUCGUCGGCUCAUAAGGUCGCGACAGGAUGGGGCGAGUCAGAAAGCUCAAGCACACACCCUAAAUGAUGGUUUCGUCGGCUCAUAAGGUUGCGACAGGAUGGGGCGAGUCAGAAAGCUCAAGCACACACCCUAAAUGAUAGUUUUGUCGGCUCAUAAGGUCGCGACAGGAUGGGGCGAGUCAGAAAGCUCAAGCACACACCCUAAAUGAUGGUUUCGUCGGCUCAUAAGGUCGCGAGAGGAUGGGGCGAGUCAGAAAGCUCAAGCACACACCCUAAAUGAUGGUUUCGUCGGCUCAUAAGGCCGCGACAGGAUGGGGCGAGUCAGAAAGCUCAAGCGCCACCCUAAGAUGAUAAUUCUGUCGGCUCAUAAGGUCGCAACACGAUGACAAAAUUGAUCUCAAUGAGGAAGCCCCCAAGCCGGGGAGCAUUUUAAUUUUAUUACUUCAUAAUGAAACUAAAAAACUUACAAAAUGCAGAGCUUAUGAGCUCAAGUGUAAUAAGGCCGCAAGUGGGCAAUAUUCUAGGGGCGAGUUGACUCAGCCUCCGUGGUUGGCCGGUUAGGCCGAAGAUCCACCAGAUAAUAAGAGCCGUUGCGAAGAUUCUUGCUGACGACGAACGGUCCUUCCCAUGGUGGUGACAACUUAUGCAUGCCAGCACGAUCUUGUAUCAACCGAAGAACUAAGUCGCCUUCCUGAAAGGCCCGGCUCUUAACCCGGCGGUUGUGAUAGCGCCGUAGAUCCCGCUGAUAGAUGGCCGAACGGGCCGCAGCCAAGUCACGUGCCUCUUCUAAGGCGUCCAAGGAGUCUUGACGCGCCAACUCAUUGUCUUGCUCCACAUAUGCGGCGACUCUAGGUGAGUCAUGCCUUAUGUCAGUAGGAAGAACAACUUCUGCUCCGUAGACCAAAAAGAAAGGGGUGAAACCCGUGGACCGGUUCGGGGUGGUCCGGAUACUCCACAACACUGAAGGCAAUUCUUCGACCCAACAUCCUGGGGUUUUCUCCAGGGGAACCAUGAGUCGGGGCUUAAUUCCUCUUAAAACCUCCUGAUUCGCCCGUUCCGCCAGCCCAUUAGAUUGUGGGUGAGCGACCGCACAAACAUCAAGCCGGAUAUGUUCUCGACGGCAAAACUCCUGCAUCGCCCCUUGGGACAGGUUAGUACCAUUAUCAGUAAUGAUACUGUGUGGAUAUCCAAACCGGAAGAUUAGCUUCUUCAAGAAUUUGACCGCUGUCUCCGCAUCGCAAGCUCCAAUAGGUUCCGCCUCAACCCACUUGGUGAACUUAUCAACCGCCACCAGCAAAUGGGUUUUCUUGUUGGAUGACAUUUUAAAGGGGCCGACCAUGUCUAACCCCCAGACCGCAAAAGGCCAAGUGAUGGGAAUCAUUCUUAAUUCUUGAGCUGGCACAUGAGCCUGUCGUCCAUAACGCUGGCAUCCCUCGCACCGACGAACUAUAUCUUCUGCAUCUGCAUGGCCGUCAACCAAAAGAAACCAUGACGGAAUGCUUUUGACACCAAAGAGCGUGACCCGACAUGAUGCCCACAGUCUCCGGAAUGAAUGUCAUUUAAGAUUGUGCAUCCUUCUUCGGAGGAAACACAUCGUUGAAAAACUCCAGAGGCCCUCCGCUUAUAUAACUCGCCAUUGAUGAUCACCAUGGAUUUGCUGCGCCGAGCGAUUUGACGAGCCGAAACAUCGUCUGUUGGUAACUCGCCUCGGGCGAGAUAAGCCAAAUAGGGAAGAGCCCAAUCCGGCGUGACGUGGAGAGCCGCCACGAGAUGAGACUCAGGAUCUGGUUUUGCCAACUCCUCCUCCGAUGGUAAAAUCACGGAUGGUUUAUGCAAAAUAUCCAAAAAAACAUUGGGAGGAACUCGCUUUCGCUGGGAACCAAGACGCGAAAGGGCGUCAGCCGCCUCGUUGAGGCGCCGAUCAAUGUGGUCAACGUGAUAACCAUGAAAAUGACCCACCACGUCAGACACAGCUCUUCUGUAAGCCGCCAUCAUGGGGUCCCGAGAAUCCCAGGUACCUGAAACUUGCUGCGCCACCAAAUCAGAAUCGCCAAAACACCUGACUCGCGUUAGAUUCAUUUCCUUGGCGAGUCGCAAGCCAUGAAGCAAAGCUUCGUAUUCCGCAGCAUUGUUAGUGCACGAAAACAUGACUCGGAGUACAUAACAGAAUUUAUCUCCUUGAGGGGAUACCAAUACCACACCGGCCCUCGAGCCUUCCAGCUGUCUAGAUCCAUCAAAAUAAAUAGUCCAGUAAGUAAGAUCAGGCCUGUCUUCCGAAGCCUGCAACUCCGUCCAGUCAUUGACGAAAUCAACUAAGGCCUGAGACUUGACGGCUGUGCGGGGGGUGUACUGCACGUGAUGCGGCCCAAGUUCAAUCGCCCACUUGGCAAUCCGCCCUGUUGCCUCCCGAUUCUGGAUGAUGUCCCCAAGGGAGGCAGAGCUAACCACUGUGAUAGGGUGUUCUUGGAAAUAAUGCUUAAGUUUCCGACUCGCCAUAAACACCCCANNNNNNNNNNNNNNNNNNNNNNNNNNNNNNNNNNNNNNNNNNNNNNNNNNNNNNNNNNNNNNNNNNNNNNNNNNNNNNNNNNNNNNNNNNNNNNNNNNNNNNNNNNNNNNNNNNNNNNUCGCCAUAAACACCCCAUACACUAACUUCUGCCAGUGUGGGUACCGUUGCUUGGAAAGGGUUAGCACUUCGCUGAUAAAAUACACCGGGCGUUGCACUGGGUACUCCUUCCCUUCCUCCUUUCUUUCAACGACCACUGCCACACUUAUUGCUUUGAAAUUUGCAGCAAUAUACAGAAGCAUGAGAUCUUUCUCAGUCGGGGUGGCCAGGACCGGCGGGUUAACCAAUUGUCGUUUCAAGGCUUCGAGCGCCUCGUCUGCCUCAUUUGUCCAAACAAACCGGUCAGAUUUCUUUAGUAACUGAUAAAGAGGAAUCGCCUUUUCACCCAGGCGACUUACAAAGCGACUUAGAGCCGCAAUGCGACCCGCUAGUCGUUGAACUUGAUUAACAUUUGUCGGCCUUCCAAGGGAUGUAACUGCUUCGAUUUUGUCCGGGUUAGCUUCAAUGCCACACUCAGACACCAGGAAGCCCAACAAUUUCCCUNNNNNNNNNNNNNNNNNNNNNNNNNNNNNNNNNNNNNNNNNNNNNNNNNNNNNNNNNNNNNNNNNNNNNNNNNNNNNNNNNNNNNNNNNNNNNNNNNNNNNNNNNNNNNNNNNNNNNNNNNNNNNNNNNNNNNNNNNNNNNNNNNNNCCUACAGGAACACCAAAAACACACUUGGUGGGAUUCAACUUCAUCUGAUAUACCCGUAGAUUAUCGAAAGUUUUCUUGAGAUCCUCCAGUAGCGUCUCCCCCUGGCGGGUUUUGAUCACAAUAUCGUCGACAUAGGCGUGGACGUUGUGACCGAUUUGGCUGCGGAGGCAAUUCUGGAUGCANNNNNNNNNNNNNNNNNNNNNNNNNNNNNNNNNNNNNNNNNNNNNNNNNNNNNNNNNNNNNNNNNNNNNNNNNNNNNNNNNNNNNNNNNNNNNNNNNNNNNNNNNNNNNNNNNNNNNNNNNNNNNNAGGCAAUUCUGGAUGCAGCCCUGAUAAGUGGCCCCCGCACUCUUGAGUCCAAAAGGCAUGGACACAUAGCAAAAGGCCCCAAAGGGGGUUAGAAAAGCUGUUUUCUCUUGAUCCUCCACGACCAUCUUGAUCUGGUGAUAUCCUGAGUAGGCGUCCAAAAAGCACAAUCAUUCGCAUCCCACCACCGAGUCAAUGAUCUGGUCGAUGCGGGGAAGACCGAAAGGAUCUUUCGGACAAGCUCUGUUGAAGUCCGUGUAAUCAAUGCACAUACGGAAGGUACCGUUCUUCUUGAGUACCAAAACCGGGUUAGCCAGCCAUUUGGGGUGGAAAACUUCCACGAUGAAUCUGGCGGCUAAGAGACGGGCGACCUCUUCCUCGAUCGCCUUGCGCCGCUCCUCGUUAAACCUGCGAAGAUACUGCUGGAUGGGUUUUGCCUUUGGGUCAACAUUAAGAUGGUGCUCAUCGAAUUCUCUUGGCACACCAGGCAUGUCAGAAGGUUUCCAUGCGAAGGUGUCCCGAUACUCACGGAUGAAUUCGAUGAGCGUGCUUUCCUAUUUGGGAUCCACACCCGUCCCGAUGGUGAACAGCUUGGAUGAGUCGCCGGGAACGAAAUCGAUUGUUUUAGUGUCAUCCGUUGGUUUGAACUUGAGGGGCGACUCAACAUCUGUCGUUGGCUUCUUUAGGGGUGACAUGUCUGCCGGGGCAACAUUGGCUCGAUGGUGUUUGAGCUCCUCUGCAGCGCAGGCGACUUCCGCAUAAGCCGCGUCCCCUUCUUCACAUUCCUUUGCAAUCCUUCUAUCCCCAUCAACCGUGAUGGGUCCCUUAGGACCGGGCAUCUUGAGCUUAAGGUAAACAUAACACGGGCGAGCCAUGAAACGGGCAUAAGCUGGUCACCCAAAUAAUGCAUGGUAGGGGCUUUUCAAUUUGACCACCUCGAAUAUCAGUGACUUGGACCUGUAAUUCUGCGCCGUUCCAAACGCCACCGUGAGUCUGACUCGGCCUAUGGGGUACGCCGACUUGCCCGGGACGAUUCCGUGGAAAACCGUGGUUGAAGGCAUCAGGUCCUUUUCCAAUAGGUUCAUCCUUUGGAAAGUGUCAAAAUACAAGAUAUUAAUGCUGCUGCCACCAUCCAUUAGCACUUUGGGCAGGGUGUAGCCCCCAACUUGGGGAGCCACGACCAACGCUAAAUUGCCAGGAUUGUCAACUCUUGGCGGGUGGUCCUCCCUACUCCACGAUAUGAUCUGUUCAGACCAGGGGAGGUACUUGGGAAGCGCCGGCUCACACACACUGUAUGCCCGGUGACUUACCUUUUUAUCACGUCUGCAAGCAUUGGUGGUGAAAACGUGAUACUGCCCAUUGCUUAACUGUUUGGGAUUGUUGCGGAAACCUCCGUUGUCAUCCUGACCCUGCGGAGCCCCUUGUGGGGGCGACUGCAGAAAGGCCCCUGGCGGGUUAUACCGCCGCUGGUGGUGCACCGGAUACUGGCCGCUGCUUGGUUGCGGGCCUCCCUGAGCCCCCUCUUCGGGAAAACCGCUAAAGGGGUUCUGUCGUUGGUUAGGUGCAGCAAACUGCUCCUGCCGUUGGUCCAGGUCAUCAUUUUGGCUUUUCUUGAUCGCCUCCGCCCGAAACUCCCGCAUUACGAAACAGUUCUCCCAGGAGUGAGUCGCCGGACCGUCUACCAUGGCAUGGUGUGGGCAAGGGCCCUUGAGUAACUCUUCAUAGUUACGCGACCUCUUCCCACUAAUCCCUUGUUUUUCUUCUGGCGUUGGUUGCCACUGUUGGUGUAGGUGUUGGCGACUAAGUCCGAGGGUUCCUCUUGCUGCCUUCGCUUGCCAUUGGCUCCUUGAUUGUGGCGGUUACGUCCCUGGAACCGGGUAUGAUUUUUGGAUGACUCGCCUUUCUUGGGCGAAUUAGCUUUACCGUCCUCACCAGGGUCUUUGGUGUCAUCCGCUUCAGCAUACCUAGUGAGGGUGUCCAUCAGCUCUCCCAUGUCUUGGACCUUUCGCUUGAGUCGCCCCAGUUUCUGUACCAAGGGUUCAUAAUGCCAAUUCUGCUCGAGGAUCAACACAGCCUGAGCCGCCGUAAUACCAUCUGACGAAUGGAUAAUUUCCGCAACCCGCCGUGACCAAUGGUGGGCCGACUCAUCAGGGCGCUCAACGCAGUGCUGCAGAUCGACGAUCGUCAUUGGUCGUUUGCAGGUUCCUCGGAAGUUUUUGAUGAAUCGCUCUUUCAACUCGGCCCAGGUCUGGAUGGAGUUGGGAGGUAAGUUUUUCAACCAAGUGCGUGCUGACCCCUCGAGCAUCAUCAUGAAGUAUCUGGCGCAAACUGCCUCGUUCACGUCGAGCAUGUCCAUNNNNNNNNNNNNNNNNNNNNNNNNNNNNNNNNNNNNNNNNNNNNNNNNNNNNNNNNNNNNNNNNNNNNNNNNNNNNNNNNNNNNNNNNNNNNNNNNNNNNNNNNNNNNNNNNNNNNNNNNACGUCGAGCAUGUCCAUGGUGAUUUCAUAACUCUCGACCCACGAUGCCGGCUCAAGGUCCGGGGUGUAGUUAGGCACCUUUCUUGUCCCUUAAAAUCUUUGGGCAUUCUUUUGUUGCGAAGGGCGGGGGCCAAGCAUGGCACCCCCACUCUCCCACCGCUCCCGACGAGAGGGGCCGGGGCGAUUUGGAUGUUUGGGAGAUCCCGGCCAGGCGGGUUCUGAUGAUCAGGCGGGUUGUCCUGAGGGACGGGUCGCGGCCCGCUAUUUAUGGCGGGCUGAUCCUCUGGCCGAGUCCUGGUGUAACUCGCCUGGGGAGUGUAAUGCAGCCUAUCUAGGCUAUGUGAGAACUGGGCGUUUUGAACGACCGCUGUCUUCAACAUCUCAAUGGUGUUCCUUGCUUCUAUCUCGGCAGGGGUGUUGCCGUGAAUCGNNNNNNNNNNNNNNNNNNNNNNNNNNNNNNNNNNNNNNNNNNNNNNNNNNNNNNNNNNNNNNNNNNNNNNNNNNNNNNNNNNNNNNNNNNNNNNNNNNNNNNNNNNNNNNNNNNNNNNNNNNNNNNNNNNNNNNNNGGAAGAGAUUCCAGAUGGCGAGUUGCAGCCAGGACGUUGUCCACCAGGUUGGAAAAGUGGCCUCGAGGCGUCCGGAAUCGGGGAAUGCGAUCCUCAAUUGUCUGAUCCGGCGGGUUAGGCGGUUGNNNNNNNNNNNNNNNNNNNNNNNNNNNNNNNNNNNNNNNNNNNNNNNNNNNNNNNNNNNNNNNNNNNNNNNNNNNNNNNNNNNNNNNNNNNNNNNNNNNNNNNNNNNNNNNNNNNNNNNGCGGGUUAGGCGGUUGACCCGGUCCUCCCCCUGGGGCGGCUCCCGCCCUCGGGGUUCGCGAAGUAUCGAACAGGCGGGUCGGGUUGAGAUCAUGAGGCACGCGACCUGGGUGUCUCCGUUGAUGGACAGCUUCGGAUGCGCGUUGGUGUAUUUUGAGCCGCCAGUUGUCAGUAUUUAAGCGAAUCCUCUCGGCCGCAAUUUGAGCUUGCCGAGUCUCGAUCCUGGCGGACUCCACCUCGGCAUCCCGAUGAGCAUUUGCCACUGCCUCUCUGAGUUUCGCCAGCUCCGCGUUUAUCUCCACCUGAUUUUCUGGCGUGAGGGGAGUCGCGAUCAGCCUUGUGAUUUCCGCCGCUAAUUCCAGCAGGACAGCGGCCGGGCUUCUAGACGUCUCACCGGUUCCAUCGCCUCUUGUAGGGUUUUGCAAGGGUUGAGUCGCCCCCGCCAUAUAAAUGGCGAUCUGGCGGCGGGUUCGGUCAAGGACUUAGGGGUCCAUGGCCAGCGACAAGCCCCCAAGACAAUCCCCAUGUCGAGACCGGAUUGAAUCUGAAUCGCUCAUGGAUGAUUCGUCAUCAGUGUUGACUGGUGUGGUUUCCUGGGACGCCGAGCGUUCUGGCUCCUCCGAUCCCUGCGUGAACCCAACAAAGACCGGGCGAGUCAGAUUUGGCGUCACUACUGGGCGGACGUACCUGGCCGGCUCGACNNNNNNNNNNNNNNNNNNNNNNNNNNNNNNNNNNNNNNNNNNNNNNNNNNNNNNNNNNNNNNNNNNNNNNNNNNNNNNNNNNNNNNNNNNNNNNNNNNNNNNNNNNNNNNNNNNNNNNNNNNNNNNNNNNNNNNNNNNNNNNNNNNNNNNNNNNNNNNNNNNNNNNNNNNNNNNNNNNNNNAUGCCGAUGAAGAUGUUGAUCUUGCCGAAGGGGACCCUGUAGCCAGAUUCGAUCGAAUCCACCUCGGGCCCCCAUUGCCGAUUGUCGAUGUAGGUCUUCCCGCGGCGGCUCCGGGUCAUGAGCCCCGUCGCGUAACUCCCAAACCCUGGUAGGGAUCCCUUUGAGAACUCAACUCCACCGUGCGUAGGCCCCACGGUGGGCGCCAACUGUCGCGGUUUUGUCACGGCAGAUGUCCUCAUGAAAGGACUUAGUACUAGAGCCAUCGCACCUUGGUGGAGACUCAAAUGGGUUGAGCAGGAGAGACACGGCGAUUUACCCAGGUUCGGCCCCUCAUGAGGAGGUAAAGGCCUACGUCCUGCUUUGAGUUGUAUUGAUGUGGUUUCAAUUACAAGGAGGACGUAACUCGCCAAACCUAGCACUCGAUGAUUUCUAACCUACCCUCUGCUUCCCUGAGACUCGCAUUUAUAUACAAGUCGAAUCCCUAGGGUUUACAAGGGUACUUUCCUUCCUACAAAUCGUGACUUCUAUGGUCUCCAAGUCGCCAUCUUCCAAAGCUUGGAGACCUUCCAGAGAUUAGAAACUGCCACACAACUUUCGGCCUUNNNNNNNNNNNNNNNNNNNNNNNNNNNNNNNNNNNNNNNNNNNNNNNNNNNNNNNNNNNNNNNNNNNNNNNNNNNNNNNNNNNNNNNNNNNNNNNNNNNNNNNNNNNNNNNNNNNNNNNNNNNNNNNNNNNNNNNNNNNNNNNNNNNNNNNNNNNNNNNNNNNNNNNNNNNNNNNNNNNNNNNNNNNNNNNNNNNNNNNNNNNNNNNNNNNNNNNNNNNNNNNNNNNNNNNNNNNNNNNNNNNNNNNNNNNNNNNNNNNNNNNNNNNNNNNNNNNNNNNNNNNNNNNNNNNNNNNNNNNNNNNGCAGGAAUGGUGGUUAACCUAUGUGUACGGACCUCAGGAUGAGCGGGAUAAGGUUGCAUUCUUGCAAGAGUCGGUGGAUAUUCGUGACUUGCAUGCUGGGCCAUGGCUCAUGGCAGGUGAUUUCAACCUUUUGGUGAACGAAGAGGAUAAGAACAACACAUUGAUUAAUUAGAGAAUGAUGGGCAGAUUUCAUGCGAAGCUAAAUGCACUUGAACUUAAGGAGCUAUAUCUAAAUGGGCGGCGAUACACUUAGUCGAAUGAGAGGCAGCAUGCAACACUUGAGAAGAUUGACCAUGUCUUUGUCUCAAAUGAGUGGGAUGAGGCGUGCCAUACUUGUUUUCUACCAGCUCUAGGGACGGCCAUAUCGGAUCAUUGUCCACUGAUGCUAGACUUGAACAUGGAAGUGUCCACGCGGAAGAGGUUCAAGUUUGAGUCUUUUUGGGUCAAGGUGGAGGGCUUUAUGGAGACGGUGCAGACGGAGUGGAACUCAACUCUGCUCGCUUCCAAUGUAUAUCUUACAUUACACAAUAAGCUGAAGGCAACGGCUAAAGCCCUACAGAAAUGGAGUGAUCGGUGGAUAGGCAAUGUGAAGCUGUAGAUUUGCAUUGCUCUGGAGGUGAUCAACAGGCUAGAUAUCGCCAUGGAUUCCCGAGAAUUAUUAGCUGCGGAAGUGGAGCUUCGUAGAUGUUUGAAGAGAAAAAUCUUGGGGCUAUGCUAUCUGGAGUGGACCAUUGCGAGGCAACGAUCGCACUUAUUGCAACUGAAGGAAGGGGAUGGGAGCACGCGCCUAUUCCACCAGCACGCGAGCCACCAACAAAGGAAGAACAUGCUAAGAACGGUGCGUCAUAAUGAGAAUCUAUUCUCAGGCCAAGAGGAGGUAGCGUCGGCUGUGGAUGAUUACUAUUCCAUGGCUUUCGGGUCGUGUGAGGUGCGGACCCAUGCGCUCAACCUGGAGGCGCUUGGGCUGCCGCGUCGGGAUCUAGCUCAUUUGGAGGAGCCGUUCUUGCAAGAGGAAGUGGAGAAGGUGAUCAAGGCUAUGCCCCCGGAUAAAGUACCUGGGCCGGACGGGUUUACGAGUCGGUUCUAUGCAGUUUGCUCGCAUAUCAUACAAGAUGACUUCAUGGCUGCGAUGAACUGCUUCUAUGUUAGAGGCAUGGCGGCGAUCAAUAGGUCUCUAGUGACCCUUCUGCCGAAGAAAGAAGGGGCGCUGGACGUGGGGGAUUUUAGGCCUAUCAACCUGGUGCAUGGGGCUGUCAAGAUCAUUGAAAAAGUGCUUGCAUCGAGGCUUGUGGUGGAGCUGCCAAACCUGGUUGGGAAUCAUCAAAGUGCCUUUGUCAAAGGACGAUCACUCCACGAUAAUUUCAUGCUAGUCCAGAGUAUGGUGAGGCGAUUUCAUGCGCUCAAAAACCAUACGGCGCUCCUGAAGUUGGACAGUUCAAAAGCUUUUAUCUCAGUUCAGUGGCUGUUUCUCCUCGAGGUCAUGGAGCAACUCGGUUUUGGACCAAGAUGGAGAGCUGGCGUGUGUGGGAUUCUAGCCACAUCGACCACUAAGGUCAUGGUGAAUGGUGACCCCGGAAACAUAAUUUACAACCGCAAAGGCUUGCAGCAAGGCGACCCUGUCUCACCGAUGUUGUUCUUACUUACUAUGGAGCCACAACAAUGUUUGUUUGAUUGGGCAGUGGAUAGAGGGCUCUUGCACCGCCUGGUGACGACCGGAUUGAGGAAGAGGAUCUCUAUCUUCACGGAUGAUGUGGUUCUCUUUGUCAAGCCAGAGCCCAUGGACCUUGCGGUUUGCAAGUGCAUUUUUGAUCAGUUUGGAGAGGCGUCGGGGCUGCAUAUCAACAUGAGCAAAUCGGUGGCUCUGCCGAUACACUACUCUGACCAUAGUAUCAACAUGGCUAGCGCGGAGCUUGGGUGUCGAGUGGGAUUGUUUCCAGUUCGUUAUCUUGGACUCCCACUGUAUUUGAAGAAACUUUCAUCUACACAACUUCAAUAUCUCGUGGACUAGAUGGCAAACAGGCUGCCAAAGUGGAAGGCCGGUCUCAUGCCAAGGAGUGGUAGGCUGACUCUGGUGCAUUCUGUCAUGUGUGCUAUGCCCAUUCACGCUAUGAUGGUCUUCGAUCUUCUGAUCAAGACGAUUGCCGCCAUGAAUAAGUUGUGUCGGGGAUUUCUGUGGUGUCGCAAGGCCGAAGCAAAUGGUGGGAACUGCGCUGUGGCAUGGGAGGCUGUGUGCGCUCCAAAAUGGGCACGAGGUUUAGGCCUACCAAAUUUGAGAUGGCUCAACUUAGCUAUGCAGGCCAGGUGGCCUUGGUUACAACGAACUGAUGGGACAGGACUGUGGAGUGAGUUUUCUAUCAAGGUGCCAGACGAAUCAAUGAAGUUAUUCCAAGGAGGCAAUAGAUGGACUAUUCGGGAUGGAAUGAACACGCUCUUCUGGUAGGAUCGGUGGCUCGACGAAAUAAGCUUACAUGAGAUCGCACCGGACAUCUAUGAUCUGGUGCCAAGUCGUGUGCGAAAUGCAUGCAUGCUCGGGCAUGUCCGGGAGACGUGGGCGACAAGUGUUGACCCCAACUUGGGGGAGGAAGCCUUGCAUCAGUUCCUACAAUUGUGGCAAAGGAUUCAGAAUAGGGAACCAAUGAAAAAUGCCCCAUAACAUCUCUUGGUCUUGGGACAAAAGCGGGCAAUUCACAGUCCAGUCGGCCUAUGCCGCCUGGUUUUGGGGUAGAGAGAUCAUACCCACCGCAGACCUCGUUUGGAAAUCGAGAGCUCCGGCAACAUGCAAGUUCUUUAGCUAGCUAGCCCUACGCAAAUAGAUGUUGGACAUCGAAUCGACUGUCUAGGAGGGGAUUACCACACCAAGACAAGUGCCCACUUUGUAUUCAAGAGGAAGAAAGAUCGAGCAUGUGCUCUUAACAUGCGCUUUCGCUAGAACGGUGUGGGCAGGACUAUUCGAGGCUAUGGGGAAGAUUGAUUGGAUGCCCACUUCAAAUGAGUCCCUCCGGACUUGGUUAUGCAGCAAACAAGGACUCCCAACCAUUUCCAACAAAGACCUACACACACUACUUGUGCUGACGAUGUGGGAAGCGUGGAAGCAUAGGAACGCGGUCGUGUUUGAUGGGGCAGCGCCUUCGGUAGCUCAUCUUUUGCACAAAACCUCCUCGGAAGGUAGAACGUGGUCGUUGGCCGGGCUCAUUAAAGGAAAUGUAGAUUCUGUGUUUUCCUAUCACGGUGGAGCAUUGGGGAUGAGUAGACUAUAUUAGUGUGGAGUGGAGUUGUUUGUGUUUUCGUGUGGUGUAUCACCAUGUGAUGUAAAUAACUGGUGGAGGCAUUCUUCGCCUUUCUUCUAUCUCGCCUUUCUUCUAUCAAUAUAUGAUAUGCACACUCGCACAUUCGAGAAAAAAAAAAGAUAUGAUCACGACUAAUGUUAGUGUUAUUGAUGAUCGCAAAAUGAUAGUAGAUGUUGGUGGGCUAAAGGAAAUAUUUUCUGUCACAAGAAAACAAGAUGUUGCUUCAUUCAAUCAUUACGCCAACGAGAAGGAAAAUAAUUUACUAGACGUGCAUGUAUUGAAGGAAAAUAAUUGCACGCAAGGUAAAUUACCAAGUCAAGAUAGGAGAUAUGCAUGCAAUAUUGACCAGGCGCGGUUUGGCAAGGAAAUACCAACAACUAAUUCCUUGGAGGAAAAGGCAACCUAUGCUAAUGUGAGGAAUCAUGCGAGAUCUGAUUUAUUUGCAUCGAUCAACAAGAUAAAAAGAAGAGAUAUCUUCCUUUUCAUCCCACUCCCACGCAAGCUAAGGUCUAUCAAUUGCAUGACAUGCACAUGCAGAAUUAGAGAUAUGCUAAGCUUGAGAGGGUGCAGGUGGGGUCCACUUUUCCUUGCAGAAGACCCACCAAGCAAAAUUAGGAGUCGUGGAUUGUUAUACGGUACGAGGCGAUCAAGGCCGCCACAUACUUUAUUAGUUAAAUUUUUGAUUAGUUCGAAUAAGAGAGAGAGAGUCUAUUUCAAUCUAGAAUAAUUAGACUGGUUUUGUAUUUGUGCGUUGCUUAUAAAUGAGGCUGGCGAUGGCCAAUGUACACAGAUUAUUUUUUAUGAAAUGGACACAAUGUUUCUUGGGGUAUACACGAGUAGACACAAUUUAGUUUUGAAGGUUUCUUUAAAAAAAUUCAUGUUCGAAUUUAUUUGUGGAAAUUGUUUUGCGCGUGAGUACCGUUGAUACGUCUCCAACGUAUUGAUAAUUUAUAAAGUAUUCAUGUCAUAUUUUUUUAUGUUUAGAAUACUUCUAUAUAAUUUAUUUAGAACUAACCCGGACUAAUGCUAUUUUCAGCAGAAUUACCAUGGUGUUGUUUUUUGAGAAGAAAAUAGAAGUUUACGGAAUUGCCAGGAACUUUUUUAUUAUUUUUUGGGGAAAAGUAGAAAUACCAGAGCGAAGAACCACCAGAGAAGAGCAACCUAUGGGCCAUGAGGCAACAAGGCACGACCACCCCUUGGUCGCGCCCUGUUGUGUAGUGGGGCCCACGUGGUUGUGUCUGGCAUAAUUCCAACACUAAAACUUCCUAUAUGUGCAGAAACCUCCAAAAGUUAACCUAGAACUGCCACCCGCCGCUGUAACUCUUUGUAUCAAUGAAAACCCAUCUAGAACAUUUCCAGUACCCUACCGGACAGGCGAAGUCAUCACCGCUAGCCAUAUCCAUCAUCCCGACAGUGUCCAUGAUAAGGAGAUUGUAGUUUACCGUUGGGGAUGAGGGUACUUACCAGUAGCUAUGUGUUUGAUCUCUCUCUCAUGUUGUUGAGAUGACAUAAUCUUGAUGUAUCACGGGAUUUGUUAAUAUAGUUGGAUCAUAUGGUGUUCUUUCCUUGCUAUCUUGUUGUGAUUAAUUGAGUCUUUCCCUUUGAGAUCUCGUUAUGUUCGAUUGAAUAUUGGAUUUGAGAACAUCUGAUGUAUGUCUUGCAUGUGAAUACUCGUGGUGUCAUUGAGAGUUUUCUAUUGAUCCACUUGAUAUAUGUUAUGCCAUCAACUUGCAGAUUCCAUUGACCUUGGGGAUAUAUGCAUAGGGCUUGAGUGCACGUUUUCAUACUACGUUCUCCAAUAGAAAUCUGGUGGUAUGCUUUGAAGUUCUUUGUGUUGGAUUGAACAUGUUGAAUCUAAAAUUGUUUGAUGCAAGUCAUAUAAUUAACCCAUAGAUACUUGAGGUGACAUUAGAGUAUUUAGGUGACAUUAGGGUUGAUUGAUAUGUAUCAUAGGUGUUAUUUUACUACGAAUUCUAGGGCAUUUUGUGACACGUAUAGGAGUAGCCCAAAAGAUUGAUUGGAAAGAAUAACUUUGAGGUGGUUCUACUACGCACAACAAUUUCAUCUUAUGUUCUCUGCUAGAUAUUAAUUUUGAAGUGAUUCUUUAUUGCACAUUGAGGGAUGAUCAUAUGAUUCUAAUAUGUUAGCAUUGUUUCGAGAUUGCACUAGUGAAAAUAUGAGCCCUAGGCCUUAUUUCCAAGCAUUAAUAUACCAUUUUGUUCAUUGUUUGCCACUUGCUACUUGGCUGUUUUUAUAAUUUCAGAUUAUAAAAACCUAUUUCUACUAUCCAUACUACACUUGUAUCACCAUCUCUUCACUGAACUAGUGAACCUAUACAAUUUGCCAUCGUAUUGGGUGUGUUGGGGACACAAGUGAUUUUUUGUAUUUGAUUGCAGGUUGUUUGAGCGAGACCAUCUUCAUCCUACACUUCCCACGGAUUGAUAAACCUUAGGUCAUCCACUUGAGGGAAAUUUGCUGUUGUCCUAUAAAAUAUGCACUUGGAGGCCCAACAACGUCUACAAGAAUAAAGUUGCAUAGUAGACAUCAAUGGUCAUCGAGAUUGGUUUUCUUGUGUUGAGCCCCAAGGUUCGAACCCUCUAUUUCGUGUACAUCACACACGUGGGCGAGAGGUUGAUACUUCUGGUGGUGGAGUGUUAUGAAAGAUCGCGUCGCAAUGACACAUCAGAUCUCACAUCGAGAUUCGGUUUACAUCAGGUGGUAUUCAUGGAAAAGAUUGUUCACGACACUCUAUUUUUCUUCGAGCUACUAUUGAUGGUUUUAUCAUGAGGAAAGAUUGUAGCUCGUAAGUGAUGAUAGCGGUGGAGAAGUUUCACAGCCUGUGUUUUUCCUCUCCUGACUUAGUCAACAUAGCUCAAAAAUUAGGACCAAUUAAAACUUGUGUGUGUGCUUGUGAUGCUUGACUUGGUUGUGAUUCCUUACUUGUUUGAUUGUGUUUUAAAAUCACAAAACUUCCUCCUACUUUCUAGACUCAUCUUCUUGAUCCAAAUCCUUUCCCAAUCACCAUACCAUGUGUACAAUACCUAAAACUAUUUUUAGAAAAUAAUAUUUUAACCAGAAAGCAUUUAUUUGAUUUAGCUUUUCAAAAACCCAUGAAUUGAGGUUUGUACUACAAGUCCUCAAAUUAGGGAAGAUGUUUUGCCCGAGGUAAUUUAUUUAAAUCAUAUUAUAGAAAAGACUUCCCGAAACCACAAAAUUAUAAUUUUAAAAGUUAUUUUCCUAUUUUAUUUAAAUAACAUUUUCUAAGGCCAGAAAUGGUCUUUUAUAAGGAAAACAUUAUUUUUAUGCUUUCAAAAUAUUUGAGAAAAUUUAGGGAAACCCAAUGGACAUGUAUGGUGCAUAUAUAAGAGUUUCAGCACAUGGUCAUGUUCAAAAUAUUGGAUAAAACCCUCCAAAACCCUUUCUGCCUGUUUCAAGAUUUUGAAAUAUUUCUAAAAGAAAUAUUCUCAAUAAAAUCCAGGAACAUUCUAGCAAGUCACACAUGAUAUAUGUGUUGAUAUUGCCAAGUUUUAUCUCAGUCCAAGUUGACUUGGUUCACCAAAAUAUUACAAAACCCUCUUUGUCCAGAACGACAUUUGAGAAACUUUACAUUUCCAAGUGUCUCCAAAUGUUCUCAAAUUUCAUGGACUUGUGCUAAUACCCUAAUAAUGAAAAUACACCAAGUGGUGCAUCAUGGAGAACAAAUCCACUUGUCCAAAUACCCUCAAAACCACUUUUGCUAAUUUCUAGAAUUGGGAAUAUUUGCAUUGUCAAGUUUCUCCAUUGGAUCCGAAAUUGUUUGGGCAUGCUCUAAUCCUCAAAUAAUGCCACCACUCCAAGUGGUGCAUUAGGGGGAAUUAAGUUGCAUGUAUUUGUCUAGAUAAAAUCAGUUUUUGCCCAUUUCUACGAUUUAUAAAGCUUACAUUGUGAACUUUCACGAUAUAACGUCAAAAAUGGGGAUUAUGUCCAAAUGUUCUUACCAUUUACCCCUCGUAAUUAUUAGGGCCAUUGGAUACCCCUAGAUGCCCUAAGACAUCAUGAAACACCUUCAGCCAUAAGCUUGGGGACAAACAAAGUUGACCCGAAAAGAUUCCCUUGCCUCUAACCUUUUACCAAAGUAUGUUGUAACCUUGUAUUCCCUCGAGUAACUUUGCCAUAGCCUCAAUUAAAUUAUCGAGGGGGGGGGGGGAACUCCCUAACUUACCCUCUCUUGUUACCAUGGCAUCACCUCUUUUACCCCUCUCUCAUUAUUCUAUACAUGCAAAUGCAUCCAAAAUUUACCGCAACCUCAUUUGCAUACUGAUACAUCAAUUCAAGCCCAAAGAUCACAUGCUCAUGUGGAAAAUAUGAGCAAACCACCUAAAACUAGCUUAUGGCAGCAAAUGUGCCUUUGUACUACGACUACCGUGUAUACUUGUCUCCCACGAGUGAAAAAUGGUGUACAUAUAGUCUUCCCAUACCUAAGCCUCUGAGAAAACCUUUUACCUCUUAAGCCCCUCAUAUAAAUACCCUAAACUAGCCCCCAAGUUUACUACUACAAACUGAACCUGAGUAGAAAACCACCCCACCUAGGUCCAUAGGCAGGGAAACUCCACGAGAGCUCUCGUGCAUGAGUGCCUUACAUGUUACACAACUUAUCCUAACAAAUAGGUUGUCCUGGACACAAGUUGGCAUGGUGACCACGUUGUUGUCAUGUAGAAACGAUGCUCUGCCACUUGUGCUUGUCUUGUAGCUCGCUGCAGGGCAUGGCAGGGUGACCACUCGCGCCAGGGGCUCCCAUUCGACCUCCCACGCCUCUCCCCAUGCCAGAACGCUCCAAGGUGGCUCUGCCAUGCGCGCUCUUCAUGCUCGAAGGCACCCGAGGCGCGUCCGAACCCCACUUCGUCGCCCCCUCCAUUUACCUCCCCUCCGAGCUCACCCUCGCACCCAGGCCACUCCUCCCACUCUCACAGGCCCCUUGCCCGAGACAUUGGACCUCUUGAGCUCGAAAGGCCCUCCUAUAACCGCAGCUGCCAUCGUUUGGCUCCGCUCGAAUUCAAGCGAGCGAGCCCUCCCUCUCCUCUAAUUCCACCUCCUUUGAGACCCUCGUGGCCACUCCAUCCUUCCCGACACCCCAAGACGUGAUCUCCACCACCAUAUUGCGCUAGCUAGCAUCGGCCAACGCUGCUGUCUACCCCUCCCGGUGGGCAACUUGCUCGGGCAAUACCCGCGACCGAUAGGACCACCCCAAGCACAGCAGGGAGCGGGGCGUCCGCCCAUGCCCCCAACUCGGCGAUUGGCGCAGCAAAGUGGCCGGAGCUAUGGUGGCUGGCAUCCCCUUUGCCUCUUGUCGGGAGGUAGGAGAAGGUGGGAAGGAGAGAGAUGGAACCAACAGUGCCCGCCUGUAAGCGACUCCAACGAUUGGGCCCACGCGUAAGGUGAGACUGCUCCGCGUGAACCCGCCUCUUCACGGUGGAGGCGUAUUUGCUGGAAUAAGCAUUCGGUGCUCCCCAGCCGCUCAAUCGGGCCAUUGGGCCGGCCCAUUUUCUAUGUGGCGCCUAUUGCGCCAUUUUAGCCAUUUUGGUGAGAAUUCUUCCUCGUGUCUUUUUUCCACAGAGUCUAAUCAAUUCAUAUAAACUCUAAAUUUGAUGAUUCAAAAUCCUAGGUGCUCCUAAAAACAUGGCCUAUCCAAAUAUAUGCAUUGCACAUUUUUCCAAAGAACUUAUCUAUAGUGUUCAUAUUCAAAUUCAAAAUUGAAUAUUUCAAAUCCCAACCUUGGAAAUUUCCUAUAACAUUCCAAUCAACUCCAAAUGGAGUGAUUCAAAUUUCCACAUACUUCAAAAAUCAAGCCUUAUUUGUACAGCCAAGGUGACAUUUUUCUUAGUAUUGUUUCUCCUAGGCCAAAUAAAUGGAUCCCCUUUUCACUAUUUCCAUCUUAAAUAAAUCACGGGAAAAUCAUCCCAACCCCAAAUCCAGUGAAACCACUUCCUAAAUUCCUCUACAAUCAUGCCCUAUUAAAUGAGUGCCUCCACUCAUUUUUAGGAAAAUAUUGUUUGAAGACUUCUUGUGGGGCCACUCAUGCCUCCAUUUCCACCAUUCGAAAUUCUCCGAUGAUCCAAAUCCAUUAGAACAAACUUUAGGAAUUUUUCUUAUGAUGAGAGAUGUCCAAGAAAAAUAAAACUCAUAUUUAUAGAGCACUUCUGUUUCUCUGCUUGUUGUGUGUCUUAUUGUGGUUGUUUCCGGCGAUAGUUGAUAAAGUAGACAAAGUGCUCAGAGUUGGACGAGAAGCGUCAGAAGACCUCGAAGACUUUAAUCAACUAGGCAAGCAACCCUUUGACCAUGACUAUGAAAUCAGUUUUAUGCAUGUCAUAUGUCAUUUAAUUUCGUUGCAUAUGAAUCAUGAUUGAAUUGGUGACCACCUUGGUGUGUUGUCUCCGAUAUUUCCUCUUUGAUACUUGCAAUGAGCAUGACCCAACCAUCCAAUGAGGGCUGUGUGGGUGGGGAGUAGUUAGGAUGCUAAAGUAGAUGCUACGCAAGUUGGAUUGGAAUAUGCAUGGUGACAAAAAAGAAAUGAUUUCAAAGACUUCUCGAAAACCCCGUCGAGUGCCACUAUUUCCCGAGGGAGAUGGUGUUGAUCUAGGUAACCACUUGAGAAAGAGGUGGUUCUUUCGAAAACAGAUUGGUUUAAGUUGCGACCAUUACUCCAACCUUACAUGUUCGACCACGACACCCCUUCAUGGGACCGGACUUUGUUGAUUACUCUGGUUGAUUCUAGCAGAGAGCCCGCAUUACUAGUGGCGGGAGGGCCAGAGUUACCCUCUCAAUACACGGUCGUGCCAGGUAGGGAGACCAUGGAAUGUUUUUAUGAACACCGGGCACACCCUUGUGUCAACUCAAGGAUGGUACAAUCUUGAGUGAGGCUCGUAUGAUGUACGUCAUGAGGACGUGGGCCAACGAGUGAAUUCGUUGUUUAGUGUCUCCGGGGGAAAGGCAUUGUUCUGGUGCUUACCUCGGGUAUGUAAUAUACCGCGAGUCUUGGAUGACACGGAAGUUCUCGGAGUCUUGUGGGUACAACGCGCAAAUCAGAGUAUAAAAAUAUUCGAAUAGCCAUGUCCAUGGUCAAGGAUAGUUGGAUGACCGCUCUUGGGCUACGUCCAUUGUUGCAAACUUGGCAUGUAUGUACGAGAAAGAUGAUACUUGAGCGUACUCACAUGACUGGACAUGGUGAUUGAACAUGAGAUGUUUAACCCUGCAUAUGAUGAUAUCUAUGACUUGUUCGUAUGGAUAUCGGCAACCUGUUGAUGCAUGCUUUUACAAGUUGAUUGAUCAUGACAUUCCACUGUAAACUAGAUUUCUACAAAUUACCUACUUAGUGCUAUAUCAUGCAUUCUUAUUGCCUUGUUCCAAACAUGGGUUGCUAGCGAGUACAUUCAAAGCACUCACUAGCUUGCCACUAGUUAUUUUAUUGACCAGGCAUGAGAGAACAUGAUAAGAUGAAGAAUACCUUGGUGACUUAAGUGCGAGCUAGGACGCUUCCCUUUGAGAAUGCCUAUGGGGUUAAGGCAGAUGGCAUGGGUUAAUGCUAUCGAUGAAGAUUUCCACUACAAAUAUAUGAAGACUUGCCCAUGGAAGCCAUUUCCGAGUAAAACGGUACGUAAAGGAUGUAAGUGUUGAAAAUAUGCCGUGGAGGCAAUAAUAAAGUGGUUAUUAUUAUAUUUCCUAGUUCAUGAUAAUUGUCUAUUAUUCAUUCUAUAAUUGUAUUAACCGGAAACCGUAAUACAUGUGUGAAUAUAUAGAUCACAAUGUGUCCCUAGUGAGCCUCUAGUUGGCUAGCUUGUUGAUCAAUAUAUGAUCAUGGUUUCCCGAUCAUGGACAUUGUAUGUCAUUGUUAACGGGAUCACAUCAUUGGGAAAUGAUGUGAUGGACAAGACCCAAUCCUAAGCAUAGCACAAGAUCGUAUUGUUCGUCUGCUAAAGCUUUUCUAAUGUCAAGUAUCGUUUCCUUAGACCAUGAGAUUGUGCAACUCCCGGAUACCGUAGAAGUUAUUUGGGUGUACCAAACGUCACAAUGUAACUGGUGAUUAUAAAGGUGCACUACAGGUAUCUCCGAAAGCGUUUGUUGGGUUGUACGAAUCGAGACUGGGAUUUGUCACUCCGUGUGAUGAAGAGGUAUCUCUUGGCCCACUUGGUAAUCUAUCAUCAUAAUGAGCUCAAUGUGACUAAGGAGUUAGCCAUGGGGUGAUGUGUUACAAAACGAGUAAAGAGACUUGCCGGUAACGAGAUUGAACAAGGUAUAGGGAUACUGACGAUCGAAUCUUGGGAAAGUAUCAUACCGGUAGACAAAGGGAAUUGCAUACAUGAUUGAUUGAAUCCCUGACAUCGUGGUUCAUCCGAUGAGAUCAUCAUGGAACAUGUGGGAGCCAACAUGGAUAUCCAGACCCCUCAUUUGGUUAUUGACCGGAGAGGUAUCUCGGUCAUGUCUGCAUGCUUUCCGAACCCGUAUGGUCUACACACUUAAGGUUCGAUGACGUUAGGGUUAUAUGGGAAUAGUGUACGUGGUUACCGAAGGUUGUUCAGAGUCCCGGAUGAGAUCUCAGACGGCACGAGGAGUUCCAUAAUGGUACGUAGGUAAAGAUUCAUAUAUAGGAAAUGAAGAUUUCAUCGCCAGAAGUGUUACGGGCGUCACCUGUAAUGUACCGGGACCACCGGAAGGGUUCCGGGGGUCCACCGAGAAGGGCCACCAGCCCCAAACUACUACAUGGGCCAAAAGUGGAUGGGAACCAGCCCCUAGGUGGACUGGUGCGCCACCACUAAAGGCCCAAGGCGCAGCAAGUGGUGGAGGGGGGCAAACCCUAGGCGUGGAGGGGCUGCCUUGGGCCUCAAGGCCCACUCUAGGGCGCCUCCACCCUUGGCUGCCGCCCUCCUUGCCCAUCUGGGGCCGCCGCACCUCUUAGGGUGGGAAAUCCUAAGGGUGGUGUUGGGGAUAUUACCUGCGGUAUGACCCGCCCUAUUGGGCCGGGCCAGGUAAGCGGCGAUUCAACAUUCAUGAUAAAAGAUUGGCCUUGGCGCAGGGUUUGAGAUGCGUCAGGAGAACUUCAACGAAAAGCCGGCCAGGGCCCAUGAGCCUAGAUGGCGGUUCAAGAUUAAUGGAGAAGAUAAGUCGCCGAGGAGAUUUCCUAGCAUGGAAUACACGACGGUUAGAGAUAUGGAAGGCCACGAUUUGUAAUGUGGCCAGGACUUUGUAAACCCUAGGGCCUCGAUGUGUAUAUAAAGGCGAGUCUGUAGGGAAGAUAGGUUAAGUGAGAAUCCAUCGAGAGCUAGGCCAGGCGAGUUACUCCCUCCUUGUAAUCGAAUCCACCGUCAAUAUACACAAAGGAGGACGUAGCUUUUACCUCCAUAGGAGGGGCCAAACCUGGGUAAACCUAAGUCUCGCUUCCGCUCACCCCCUUUGAGUCGCCACCAAGGUGCGAUGGCUCCAUCACUAAGUCCUUUCACGAGGACACCUGCCGUGAAAAAACCACGACAGUUGGCGCCCAAUGUGGGGCUUGCACACGGUGGAGUUGAGUUUUCAAAGGGAUCCCUUCCAGGGUUUGGAAGCUACGCUGUCAGCAUCAUGACUAAGAGUCGUCGUGGGGAGUACUACAUCGACAACUCUCAAUGGGGGUCUGAGGCCGAUUCAAUCGAAUCUGGAUACAGGGUCCCCUUCGGCAAGAUUCACAUCUUCAUUGGAAAGUUUGGGGCUCCCGUACCUGAGCCGGACACCUUCACCGACACCGUCGAGCCGGCCCGGUACGCCCAUCCUGCCAAGCAUCAGGUCAGGAAACGCCAUGCUUUUGUUGGUUUUACACAAGGAACCGACCUACCGGAUGAGACAGUAAUCCAGGAGAACACACCUGUCAACUCGGACGACGAGUCGUCCAUAGGCGACACAGAUUCAAUCUAUCCUCUCCACGAAGGAUAGCCGAGGGGCUUGCCUGAGGCAGCAAUUUCCGAGGACGUUGAAGGCCCCCAUCGUCAGGUCACCAUUUACAUGGCAGGAGCAGCGGUCCCUCAGCCAAACGCGGCUGGCAACAACAAAGCCAGCGAAUCAGGGAAGACCCCAGCUCAAGCCAUGGCGUAUUUAGUAGCCGAGGUGGCCAAACUCACGUCAAUCACUGUGACGGCGGAGAAUCAGGAACAAGUCAACGCCAAGUUAGGAAAACUAAGGGAGGAGAUGGCCAAAAUCCAGCGCGACAUUGAAGGUGAAGCCGUGUAAGAGCCCAGAUGUUUCCCUUUCCUUAAUUGUAAUUCCUUUCCUCUUGUGGCACAUUGUUGAGCCUAUGUAUGGAAGUUAUGAGGAGGUUAUCAUUUCAUGUGGCCAUCAUUCCCUGUCAUCAUCUUGCAUCAUGGCAUUCUUUUGCAUCCUUUGCACCCCCUUACUUGUGUUGCUAGUGUUUGGUCCAUCAUGGAAGUGCUAGUGCUCAUAUAAGUGUUUGGGUUGAGUGUGGUGUUUUCAAACCUUGCAAAACACUCAUCCCAUUAUUUAUUCUAACUUGUGCUUUAAACUUUGCUUGAACCUGUUAUAAAAAAUGUUAAUGCCUUAGAGGUCUUAUUUGUGAAUGUAGGGGUUGCUCUCAUUGUUAUUUUAGACUUUGGUUUAAUGAGGGUUUUAAAAGAAAACAACAUCUAAUUUCUGUUUUAAGUGUGAAUUAUCUUGUCCUAAAAAUAUGUUAAUUAUUUUUGUAAAAUAGGGCAUAAUUCCCACAUGGCUUGUCUAUUUUUACUUUUUACCAAAUCCUUUUGCUUGCCUCUAUUUGAAUUCAGGUGUAAAACCAUAUUUCGAAAAGGGAAAAGCCUUUUCUUUCCUGCUAGUUUUGUUGUGUGAUACGUCUCCAUUGUAUAUACUUUUCCAAACUCUUUUGCCCUUGUUUUGGACUCUAAUUUGCAUGAUUGGAAUGGAACUAACCAGGACUAACGCUGUUUUUAGCAGAAUUGCCAUGAUGUUGUUUUUGCGCAGAAUUAAAAGUUCUCGGAAUGACCUGGAAAUGUACGAGGAUUUUUUGUGAAAUAUAUAAAAAAUACUGGCGCAAGAAUCAACCGGAGACGUGGAGCGAGGUGCCCACAAGCCCAGGAGGCGUGGCCCCCAUGGCCAUAUUUAGUCCCUUUCGUCCGGAAUAAGAUCAAGGAGAAGAGUUCAUUGCAUUUUACGAUACGGAGGCGCCGCCACCACCUGUUCUUCCUCUGGAGCGCAGAUCUCGAGUCCGUUCUGGGCUCCGGAGAGGGGAUAUCGUCACCAGCGUCAUCACCAACCUUCCUUCAUCGCCAAUUCCAUGAUGCUCUUCACCGUUCGUGAGUAAUCUCAUCGUAGGCUUGCUGGACGGUGAUGGGUUGGAUGAGAUCUAUCAUGUAAUCGAGUUAGUUUUGAUGGGGAUUGAUCCCUAGUAUCCACUAUGUUCUGAGAUUGAUGUUGCUACUACUUUGCCAUGCUUAAUUCUUGUCACUAGGGCCCGAGUGCCAUGAUUUCAGAUCUGAACCUAUUAUGUUCUCGUCAAUAUAUGUGUGUUCUUGAUCCUAUCUUGCAAGUUGUAGUCACCUACUAUGUGUUAUGACCCGACAACCCCGGAGUGACAAUAGCCGGAACCACUCCCGGAGAUGAUCAUAGUAUGAGGAGUUCAUGUAUUCACUAAGUGCUAAUGCUUUGUUCCGGUUCUCUAUUAAAAGGAGAACCUUAAUAUCCCGUAGUUUCCGUUAGGUCCCCGCUGCCACGGGAGGGAUGGACAAUAGAUGUCAUGCAAGUUCUUUUCCCUAAGGACGUAUGUCUGUAUGCGGAAUGCAUGCCUACAUUACAUUGACGAAGCGGAGCUAGUUACAUAUCUGCCCAUGUUAUAACUGUAGCAUGAUGAAUGUCAUCCGACAUAAUUAUGCAUCACCGAUCCAGUGCCUACGAGUCUUUUCCGACUGGUUCUUGCUAUGUUACUUUGCUUCUACUGCUUUCACUUCUGCUACUGUUACCGCUACUGCUGUCACUGUUGCUACUGUUACCGUUGCUACUGUUGCCAUCACACUACAUUACUACUGAAAGUUUGCUGUAGAUACUAAGUCUUUCAGGUGUGGUUGAAUUGACAACUCAACUGCUAAUACUCGAGAAUAUUCUUUUGCUUCCCCUUGUGUCGAAUCAACAAAUUUGGGCCGAAUACUCUACCCUCGNAUUGCGGGGGGGGGGGGGCAUAGCUAUAGUCUCUGAGUCACUUGGGAUUUACAUCUGUUGAUCACGAUGAGGAAUCCGAGAGAUCCAAAAACUAAAGUCUUGCCCUCAACUACGAGGACGGGUAAGGAACUACCAUCUAGCUCUACACUUAAUUCACCUUCAGUUAUGAGUAAGUUUGCGACACCACCUCGUGCUAGAAAUUCUGAUAUGUCGUAUGUGCUUGAUGAUGCUACUUCCGUUAUCCAUGAUGGUUGUGAUGAUGCUUUGCUUGAUACUGCUUUUCCACUAGGUGCAUUCCUUGAUGCACAAAUUGCUAGAGUUGCUGCUGAAUGUGAUGAUACUUCUGAAACUGCUGAGAUUAUUGAAGUAUAACCUGCUAUUUCACCUGUUCGAACUAGCUCUCCUAGAUAUGAAUUGCCUGAUAUACCUGAGGGUUAUGUUAUGGAGGGAGAGAUAGCUGAGGACUUUCUUGCUUGUAAGGAUAUCUAUGAUCUUGAGAAAUUAUUGAGCAAGUGGAAAGAAAAAUCUCUGAACGCUAGGAUGAAAAACGAUCCUAAGUUUGCUAAUUCGCCUAUCUUUGUGACCGAUAAGGAUUAUGAAUUCUCUGUCGACCCUGAGUUAAUCACUUUGGUCGAAUCUGAUCCUUUUCAUGGUUAUGAGUCUAAAAUGGUUGUAGCACAUCUUACUAAGCUGUACGAUAUAGCCACCCUAUUCACGAGUGAGGAAAAGAUUCGCCACUACUAUAUCCUUAAGCUGUUUCCUUUCUCGCUAAAGGAUGAUGCUAAGACUUGGUUUACGUCUCUUGCUCCUGGUUGUGUGUGUAGUCCCCAGGAUAUGAUCUACUAAUUCUUUGAGAAAUAUUUUCCUGCCCAUAAGAAACAAGCUGCCUUCCAGGAAAUAUAUAACUUUGUGCAAGUUGAAGAAGAGAGUCUCCCACAAGUUUGGGUGAGGCUUGUCCAGCUACUGAAUAUUUUGCCUGAUCACCCUCUUGAGAAGAAUCAAAUACUUGAUAUUUUUAUAAUGGACUAACCGAUGCUUCUAGGGACCACUUAGAUUGCUGUGUGAUACGUCUCCAUCGUAUCUACUUUUCCAAACUCUUUUGCCCUUGUUUUGGACUCUAAUUUCCACGAUUUGAAUGGAACUAACUUGGACUGACGCUGUUUUCAGCAGAAUUGCCUUGGUGUUAUUUUUGUGCAGAAAUCAAAGUUCUCCAAACGUCCUAGAAAUUUACGGAGAUCAUUUUUCGAAAUUAUGAAAAAAUAUCUGCGCCAAGUUCCACCAGAGGGGGUGGGCCAGUGGGCCAGAAGCCCUGGCUCCGCCACCCCCCUGGUGGCGGUGGGCAGGCUUGUGGGGCCCACACGGCUCUGCCGCCCCCAAUCUCAGAUCUAUAAGUUCCCUUUUAUCCUAGAAAAAAUAAAAAGAGAAGUUUUCGUCGCGUUUGCGAUACAGAGCCGCCGCCACCACCUGUUCUUCAUCUGGAGGGCAGAUCUGGAGUCCGUCUUGGGCUCCGGAGAGGGGGAAUCGUCGCCUUCGUCGUCAUCAACCUUCUUCCCUCUCCAAUUCCAUGAAGCUCUUCGUCGUUCGUGAGUAAUCUAUUCGUAGGCUCGCUGGGCGGUGAUGAGUAGGAUGAGAUCUAUCAUGUAAUCGAGUUAGUUUUGAUGGGGAUUUAUCCCUAGUAUCCACUAUGUUCUGAUAUUGAUGUUGCUACUACUUUGCCAUGUUUAAUGCUUGUCACUAGGGCCCGAGUGCCAUGAUUUCAGAUCUGAAAUUAUUAUGUUGUCACCAAUAUAUGUGUGUUUUAGAUCCGAUCUUGCAAGUUGUAGUUACCUACUAUGUGUUAUGAUCCGUCAACCCCGGAGUGACAAUAACCAGAACCACUCCUGGUGAUGACCAUAGUUUGAGGAGUUCAUGUGUUCACCAAGUGCUAAUGCAUUGGUCCGGUUCUUUAUUAAAAGGAGAACCUUAAUAUCCCGUAGUUUCCUUUUGGACCCUGCUGCCACGGGAGGGAUGGACAAUAGAUGUCAUGCAAGUUCUUUUCCCUAAGCACGUAUGACGACACACGGAAUGCAUGCCUACAUCACAUUGACGAAUGGGAGCUAGCCACAUAUCUCUCCAUCUACGAGUUUGUCCUACAGCUACUGUUACUUGUUUUGCUCUGCUGCUGUUACUACUGUUGCUGCUACUGUUACUUGUUUUGCUCUACUGCUGUUACUACUGUUGCUACUGCUACUACUUGUCUUGCUCUGCUGCUACUGUUGCUACUACUAUCGCUUGCUACUGUUGCUACUUGCUACUACUGUCACUACUGCUUUUCCUUGCCGCUGCUAUUUGCUCAUUACACUGCUGCUAUCUGCUACAAUUUUGGUUCGCUGGUCAUUGAUGGGAACUGAUAAUUUCCGUCAACGAGGCAACUUGGCGCCAUUGAUACAAUCGUUAGGAAUAGUCUGCCGUGUCAACAGAUCGUUUCUAACACCGUUGUUAUCAUACUACUUUGUUGUUACUACUUUGCUUGCAGAUACUAAUCUUUCAGGUGUGGUUGAAUCUGACAUAUUCAGCUGCUAAUACUCGAGAGUAUUCUCUCACCUCCUGUUUGGCAAUCAACAAAUUUGGGUCGAAUACUCUACCCUCGAAAACUGCUACGAUCCCACGCGCUGGUGUGCCGUCAACAACAUUCUUCUAGUUUCGAUUGCCGGAGAGUGCUAGCAGCAUUCUUCUGGUGCCGUUGCAAGGGGAAGCAUAGCUGACAUCAUUGUGCUGCUUGUGUUUUCAGGGAACGAAUUGUGGAACAAGCUGAGAUUCUAUUGAAUAAUAUCUUGUGCAAUGAGAAUGCUUGGACUAUUCCCGAACCACCUCCGAAGCCAACUCCAAAGAAAAGAGGUAUCCUAUUCCUCAGUCCUGAAGAUAUGCAAGACGCUAAGAAAUCUAUGAAAGAGAAGGGCAUUAAAUCUGAAGAUGUCAAGAAUCUACCACCUAUCAAAGAGAUCCAUGGUCUUGAUAACCCGACACAUGUAGUAGAGGUAAAUUCUCUUUGUAGAUUCAAUGAGAGUGAUAUUCCUUUUGAUAAACCUGCUAGCUUAUGCUUAGAUGAAUUUGAUAACUUUGUUGCCAAACAACAGAGUUUCAAUGAUUAUGUUAGCAGACAAUUGGAACAUAAUGCUCGUAUGCUUAGUCAUUUAAGUGCUUGGGUGGAUAGAAAUGUCAAUGGCCUUAAGCUUUUGAGUAAACAUGCCUCUAUGGUCACCACUCAAGUAGAACAAGUAUUUAAGGCUCAAAAUGACUUGCUCAAUGAGUUGAAUGAAAAUUCUGUUAGAGUCGUCACUAGAGGUGGUAGAAUGACCCAAGAACCUUUGUAUCCUCAGGGUCAUCGUAAGAGAAUUGAACAAGAUUAUCAAGGAGUUAGCACCGAGGCACCUAGUCAUCCUAGGAAGAAGAAGAAAGAUGAUAGGAACUUACAUGCUAGCAACCCCGUUGCUGUUACACCCGAGAAUCCAAAUGAUAUCUCUGUUUCUGAUGCCGAAACACAAUCUGGUGAUGAACAUGAGCCUAAUGAUGAUAUCGAAAGUGAUGUUCGUGUUGAUGCUCAACCUAGCAAUGAUAAGGAUGUGGAGAUUGAACAAGUUGAUCUAGAUAACCCACAACCUAAGAAUAAGAGAUACGAUAAGAAUGACUUUAUUGGUAGGAAGCAUGGUAAAGAAAGGGAUCCAUGGGUUCGGAAACACAUGCCUUUUCCUCCCAAACCAUCCAAGAAAAAGGAUGAUGAGGAUUUUGAGCGAUUUGUUGAAAUGAUUAGCCAUGUCUUUCUGCAAAUGCGUUUGACAGAUUUUCUCAAAAUGUCUCCUUAUGCUAAGUACAUGAAGGAUAUUGUGACUAACAAGAGGAGGAUACCUGAGGUUGAGAUUUCCACCAUGCUCGCUAAUUACACCUUCAAGGGUGGAACUCCUAAGAAACUAGGUGAUCCCAGAGUGCCCACUAUACCUUGCUCCAUUAAACGAAACUAUGUUAAAACUGCUUUAUGCGACCUUGGAGCCGGUGUUAGUGUUAUGCCUCUCUCUCUUUAUCGUAGACUUGAAUUGGAUAAGUUGACACCCACUGAAAUCUCCUUGCAAAUGGUCAACAAAUCAACUGCUUUCCCUAUCGGCAUUUGUGAGGAUGUGCCUAUUGUGGUUGCUAACGUUACUAUCUUAACAGACUUUGUUAUUCUGGAUAUUCCCGAGGAUGAUGCCAUGGCGGUCAUCCUUGGAAGACCCUUUUUAAAUAUUGCAGGGGUUGUUAUUGAUUGCAUCAAAGGCAAUGUCACUUUGUAUGUCAAUGGUAAUGAGCAUACGGUGCACUUUCCAAAGAAACAAUAUCGAGUACAUUGCAUCAAUGCUAUUGAGAAAAAUUCAUCGAUUCUUUUUGGAGCUUUGAAUGCCCUAUACCUACUGUUAAGAUGAAGUAUGAUUUGCUUGUUGGGGAUAUGCACAUCCCCAUUGAGGUAACCUAGUGACUAUUCGAAAAUUCUCUGUUUUUAUUCGAUGAAAAAAAGCUUGUCAAGGAGACUUGAUCAACCUCAUUGACGGAUUUCUGUUGAUGACCAUGAGAUGAAUGAAUUUAAGAGUCACAACAUUCUGCCCCAACUUUUACAUUCGGUUGUUUAGAAGGAAAAUGAUAAAUUUAGCUUUAGUUUUUCCUGUUUUCUGCUUCUUGCGUCUCGUAGAAAAGUGUCCCAAAAAUAAAAGUUCUCUGAAUACCCUGAAAAUCAAGUAUAAUUUUUUCUAGAAUUUUUGAAAAAUUCUUAGACGGAGAGCUAGUCAGGGGGAUGCACUAGUGGGCCACAAGCCCAAGAGGCGCGGACACCCCCCUGGUUGCGCUUACCAGGCUUGUGGGGCCCACAUGUCCCCCCUCCACUUAUUCCUUCUCCUACCUCCAGAAACAUUCAUUCCGCAGCUCAAACCCGUGUUCUUGCUCUUCUUGCUGCGAUUUUCGAUCUCCUUGUGCAAAACCCCAUUCACCAAACUGUUCUGGGGAAAUUGUUCCUUGGUAUGUGACUCCUCCAUUGGUCCAAUUAGUUUUUGCUCGAGUGCUUUAUUCGUUGCGUAUUAUUGCUGCCUUGGUGACCCUGUUCUUGAGCUUUGGAUGUUAAUUUUAGUUGGUCCCAAGUAGUUUUGAUGCAUGAUAUGGCCUCUAGGAACUUGUAGGAGUAGUUCCUUUGAGCUUCGUUGAGCCUUGUUCACUUUUCCUUUGAGUCACUAAAAAUUUCAGAAAAAGGAAGAUGUUCAGGAAAAACUAUCAUGGUGGUUCUUCAAGCAAGAGGGGUCCCCGUCUCGCGAUUCGUGAGCCCGAUCCUUACCAACCGAGGAGCGCACAGGUACAACCGUUUGAAUGGCCUUCUGAUGAAUUCAUGAUUGAUGCAGGUUUCAAAGACGAGUUUGAUACACUUGUUCACAAGUUGGACUUGAAGAGUUCAUCUCCAAUAAAUAUGAACAAUAUACUUCUCUCACUACCUCUUUUGUUUGUAGAUUCAAAUUUUUAGCUAGCCGUGACACAUCCAUACUGUUUGAUCUCUAUGACAAAUCGUACACCAUGGAUUUAGAGGAUUUCAAUAGAAUUUGCAAGAUACCUGACUGGGAUAGUCUCAAUGAUCCUCCUAAGUCUCCGGUUAGAAUUUUAUCUCUAGUAUAACUGUCGGAGAAACUAGAGAUAUUACGCAGGCUACCAUGGGGAGCAUUCAUUUUCCUGCCUUCCAUUACUUUGCCCUCUUCAUAGGUAGAUGCAUUAACGGCAAGAUCGAGCAUUGUCACCUCUUUGCACCCGACCUUAGCAUUCUUAAGAGCGCAGUAACGGGUGAUAGAAGUUUCAACAUGGGAGCUAUAAUCGCGAGGAGUAUCUUGCGCUAGAGUUGAUAGCAUACAUUUUCCCGUGCUUCGGUACUUCUCAUUAUUCGUGGGAAAAUGUUUGAUUGGCCGUGGGAAAGCUGUAGCCCUUAGCUCCCCAGAUAUUGCGGUCUUGCACGAAGCUCUUUAUAAUGAUAAAACUUAUAGCUUGGGCGCUAUAGUGGCUCAACGGUUGAACACGAACCGUACUAAAGGUGCUGUUUAUGGAGGUAUCUAUGCUACCCGUCUUGCUAGACAAUUAGAGAUACCUAUUAGACUUCACGAGGAAGAAGAGAUUCUUCUUCCUGAGAGAUAUCUAGAUUAUGAUAGUAUGGUUCGCCAUGACUUUCUUGAUAAAGAUAUAAAUAAUAGGAUGCUUUAUAACCUGGUGUUUAGUCAGGGUACUCGUGAGACUAUUACUUUGCCUGAUUCUUCUUUGUCAAUCUUCAUCUAGGAAGGUACAUUAUUAUGCCCUCGGACAUCUACGCAUAUUGGGGCAUAGCGCCACCACAGGCGCCCGUGCCCGAGCUACUAGUCGAGUACCAGAUGCCAGUUUAUCAGUGGGAGCCAGAGGAGCUCACCCAGCAGUGGCACCCUGAGUACACUCCGGAGUACCCCGGAGACGGUUACUUCCCACCUUGGUAGUAGACCAACUUAGGCCAAAAGCCUAAGCUUGGGGGAGUACGUGUUUCUCAUCGACUUUAUAUUCUUGCUCACGCUUUCACUUUGUUAGUCGGUAUUCGCACCUUACCACUUUAUCAUCCAUGCUAGUUUUUUUAUUUUUCUCGCUUUCUCCUCGUGUGUUUGUCUAGUUUGAGAAAACCCAAAAAGAUUUCUCAUUCUAAUUUUUCUUGUUGGGAGCUUUCCCAUGUAAAUAGUUUUCUUUUCUUUGGGUCAAGGUAGAAGACCAUGGUUACAAUGUUUAGUGGCUCUCGCAUGCAUAUCUGUUUAUCUCUCAAAGAGCCAUAUUACUUUGUCUUCUCCUUUGUGUUUGCUUGCAGAUUGUAGCUUAGUCCAAUGCACGAACACUUUAUUUUUCUUCUCAUCAUUCAGUCGUGCAAGUGAAAGGCAAUAAUGACGAUAUAUGAUGAAGUGACUGGGCCUGGAAAAGCUGGUAUGAACUCGAUCUAUUUUUUUUUUGUAAAUAUGACUAGCUCAUCGUUCUUAAUUCAGCUUUGUUGUGAGAGAAACAUGUUUGCAAUGACAACUUAGAGAUCAUAGUUUCUGAUGCCAUGCUUAAUUAGGUAGGAGCUUAUAAUGGUUUGUCUUGGAUGCCAACACGAAUCUCAAGAUGAUUAUGAUGUAGUAUGAUAGGAUGGUAUCCUCCUUUGGAUGAUUCAAGUGGCUUGACUUGGCGCAUGUUUACGCAUGUAGUUGAAACAAAAUCAACAUAGCCUCUAUGAUAUUCAUGUUUAUGGUGAUUUAUGUCCUACUCACACUUGCACUCAAUGUUGGUUAAUAUCAAUCCAUAUUGAUGACAGUUGUCGCUCUCUAGUUGGUCGCUUCCCAGUCUUUUGCUAGCUUUCACUUGUACUAAGAAGGAAUACUGCUUGUGCAUCCACUUCCAUAAACCCUAAGUGGUUCCAUAUGAGUCCACCAUACCUACCUAUAUGCGGUAUCUACCUACCGUUCCAAGUAAAUUUGCAUGUGCCACUCUCUAAACCUUCAAGUAAUAAUCUGUUUUGCAUCCCCGAACCGCUCAUGUGGUGACAAGGGGCGGUCAGUAUCUUCCAUGCUAGGCGUGUUAUCCUCGAUAUGUGUUUAUUUACUAUCAUUCACGAGAAAGGGGCCGGUAAUUGGAAUGCCCAGUUCCAUGCUCAAAUCGAAAAGAUAAUUGCAAACAAAACUCCCCGUGGAUUGUUGUUGGUAUGGACGGCACCCGAGUAUUCGGCUAGUCGCGGAGUGUGAUUGAUCGGUGGUGGGGGAGUCAAAACUUUACUUUUCUAUUUGGGAACCGCCUAUAGCAUGUGUAGCAUGGAAGAUGGUGAAAACUCUUGGUCAUUGCAUUGACAAUGAACGCAUGCCACCCAAAAUUAUUUAUCUUUGUCUUCCAAGCUUGAGCUUUGGCACCUCUGCAAAUCAAUGCUUCCCUCUGUGAAGGGCCUAUCUAUUUAUGUUUCUAUUGAGUCAUCCUCUUCUUUCCAAAGGCACCAAUUAGAGAGCACCUCCGUCAUGUUUAUGCUUUGCUUUUAAUUCAUAUUGAGUAUGACUGUGACUGGAUCUUCUUUGCGAUGAAUUACAAUGUUCAGUCAGCCCUUGGUCUUUGAAGGUGCUCUGUAUUUAUGUUUUGCGGUCUCAGAAAGAGCUAGCGAGAUACCAUCUGUUCAUAUUGCUUCAUGAUAGUUUUGCUUGAAGUGUUAAUGUUUGAAACUUAUUAUUAUUGCUCGCUAGUCGAUUAUGCCAUUGAUAUGAGUACGCCAUGAGACCUAAAUGUCAUUGCUUAUGUGGUUAGCUUGUGAUCUUGCUGAAAAUCUGAAUAUGAGUUAGACAUAAUUACAACAACAAGAUCAAACAGAGUUCGUAAAAGUUUUUCUUUUGUCUCUUUCAGUUUGUCAACUCAAUUGCUUGAGGACAAGCAAGGCUUUAAGCUUGGGGGAGUUGAUAUGUCUCCAUCGUAUCUACUUUUCCAAACUAUUUUGCCCAUGUUUUGGACUCUAAUUUGCAUGAUUUGAAUGGAACUAACCCAGACUAAUGCUGUUUUCAGCACAAUAGCCAUGGUGUUGUUUUUGCACAGAACUAAAAGUUCUCGGAAUGACCUGGAAAUUUACGAGGAUUUUUUAUAGAAUAUAUAAAAAAUACUGGUGCAAGAAUCAACCAGAGACAUGGAGCGAUGAUCCCACAAGCCGAGGAGGCGCCCCCCUGGCCGCGCCUAGCAGGCUUGUGGGGCCCUCAGGGCUCCGCCGCCUCCAACUCUAGCUCUAUUUAGUCCCUUUCGUCCGAAAAAAAAUCAAGGAGAAGAGUUCAUCGCGUUUUACGAUACGGAGGCGUCGCCACCACCUGUUCUUCCUCUGGAGGGCAGAUCUCGAGUCCGUUCUGGGCUCCGGAGAGGGGAGAUUGUCGCCAUCGUCAUCACCAACCUUCCUUCAUCGCCAAUUCCAUGAUGCUCUUCACCGUUCGUGAGUAAUCUCAUCGUAGGCUUGCUGGACGGUGAUGGGUUGGAUGAGAUCUAUCAUGUAAUCGAGUUAGUUUUGAUGGGGAUUGAUCCCUAGUAUCCACUAUGUUCUGAGAUUGAUGUUGCUAAUACUUUGCCAUGCUUAAUGAUUGUCACUAGGGCCCGAGUGCCAUGAUUUCAGAUCUGAACUUAUUAUGUUCUCGUCAAUAUAUGUGUGUUCUUGAUCCUAUCUUGCAAGUUGUGGUCACCUACUAUGUGUUAUGACCCGGCAACCUCGGAGUGACAAUAGCCGGAACCACUCCCGGAGAUGACCAUAGUAUGAGGAGUUCAUGUAUUCACUAAGUGCUAAUGCUUUGUUCCGGUUCUCUAUUAAAAGGAGAACCUUAAUAUCCCGUAGUUUCCAUUAGGACCUGAUACAUCUCAAACGUAUCUAUAAUUUUUGAUGGUUUCACGAUGUUAUCUUGUCAUCUUUGGAUGUUUUAUGUAGCUUUUAUAUCUUUUUUGGGACUAAUUUAUUAAUUCAGUGCCAAGUGCCAUUUCCUGUUUUUUCUGUGUUUUUGGCUCUUUUCAUAUCUGAUUUUGGAACGGAGUCCAAAUGGAAUAAAAUCCCCGAAAUGAUUUUUUCCCGAACGGAAGAAGAUCAAGGGGCCUGUGGGCCAAGCCAGGAGGGCUCCAGGGAGCCCACAAGCCCCCACUCCUCCACCAGGGGGGAGGCGGCGGUGGCAGGGCUUGUGGCCUCCCUGGCGCCCCCCUGAACUAGAUUUUUGGCCUAUAUAUUCCCUAAAAUACAGCAAAAAAUCAGGGGAGCCUCGAAAAUACUUUUCUGCCGCCGCAAGCUUCCGUUUCCGCGAGAUCUCAUCUGGAGACCAUUCCCGGUGCCCUUCCGGAGGGGACUUUGGAGUUGGAGGGCUUCUUCAUCAUCAUCAUCGCCCAUCCAAUGACUCGUGAGUAGUUCACUUCAGACUGACGGGUCCGUAGUUAGUAGCUAGAUGGCUUCUUCUCUCUCUUGGAUCUACAAUACAAAGUUCUCCAUGAUCUUCAUGGAGAUCUAUCCGAUGUAAUCUUCUUUGGCGGUGUGUUUGUCGAGAUCCGAUGAAUUGUGGAUUUGUGAUCAGAUUGUCUAUGAUAUAUAUUUGAGUCUUUGCUGAUUUGUUAUAUGCAUGAUUUGAUAUCCUUGUAAGUCUCUCCGAGUCUUGGGUUUUGUUUGGCCAACUAGAUCUAUGAUUCUUGCAAUGGGAGUAGUGCUUGGUUUUGGGUUCUUACCAUGUGGUGACCUUUCCCAGUGACAGUAGGGGCAGCAAGGCACACAUUGAGUGGUUGCCAUCAAGGGUAACAAGGUGGUCUCUGUCGUUGAUAUGAGAUUGUCCAUCUACAUCAUGUCACCUUGCUUAAGGCGUUACUCUGGUUUUUUGGACUUAAUACACUAGAUGCAUGCUGGAUAGCGCUCGACGUGUGGAGUAAUAGUAGUAGAUGCAGAAAGUAUCGCUCUACUUGUUUUGGACGUGAUGCCUAUAGAUAUAAUCAUUGCCAUAGAUGACGUCACGACUUUGCGCGGUUCUAUCAAUUGCUCGACAGUAAUUUGUUCACCCACCGUCUACAUGCUUUCAUGAGACAAGCCACUAGUAAACACUACGGCCCCCGGGUCUAUUCACAUCUAUAGUUUACACCUCCGAUUUUACUUUGCUUUGUUACUUUGCUGCUUUCAAUUCUCACUUGGCGAACAAUCUAUAAGGGAUUGAAAACCCCUUCAUAGCGUUGGGAGCAGGUUAUUUGUGUUUGUGCAGGCUCUUGUGACACUCCUUCACUGGAUCGAUACCUUGGUUCUCAAACUGAGGGAAAUACUUACCAUCACUGCGCUACAUCACCCUUUCCGCUUUGAGGGAACACCAACGCAAGGCUCCAAGGCCACGGGGGAAAUCCUUUGCAUAUUUGCCUAGGAAGUCCCUUAAGGCGUAACCGUAGUAGAAGGAUUCCUGGUGCCGUCGACACACCUAUUUGUAGCGCCAUUGGAAUGUCUUUUGUUGCAGUAGCAGAAGUAUUUCUGGCGCCGUUGCCGGGGAAGGAGAGAUCUAUCCAAGUAGGUCUCACAAACUCAUCUCUUGCAUUUACUUUUUUGCGAGUUACCUCUCGUUUUCCUCUCCCCCACUUCACAUUUGCCAUUUUCGUUUGCCUUUUCGUUCGCCCUUCUUCCGCUCGGUUUCUGUUUGCUUGUGUUACCAUGUGCCUUCUUUUAGCUUGCAUCUUUGCUUGCUAAAAAUCUAUUGAUAUGGAUACUCAUCCACUAGCUAAUCUCUUUAAGAGACCCACUUAUGUGGAACGAAUUGCUAGUGAGUUGAGUGCGCUUGACUAUGUUUAUGGAGUUUUGCUUGAGUUGCGUGAAUCUAAAAAUCGUGAUGAAGAAACUGAUGAAGUGAUUCACGAGGUCUCCUUGGAUGAAAAGCAUGAUUGCAAUGGUUUCACUAUAAACUCUAUUAGUGACAAUCAUGCUAAAAACAUGCAAAACCCUAAGCUUGGGGAUGCUAGUUUUGCUAUGUCCACUACUUGCUGCAAUAAUCAUGAUUGGGGUGAUGAUCUUUCUUAUGAUCUUGAAAAUUUGUUCAAACCUCAUGAUGAAUAUGAUAUUUGCAGCAAUAUUGAAAGUGGGAUUGGAGAAGUCAUGACUUUAAUUGAUGAUAAUCCCACUAUUUUUGAAGAGCAUUCAACUUUGCAUGCAUGUGNNNNNNNNNNNNNNNNNNNNNNNNNNNNNNNNNNNNNNNNNNNNNNNNNNNNNNNNNNNNNNNNNNNNNNNNNNNNNNNNNNNNNNNNNNNNNNNNNNNNNNNNNNNNNNNNNNNNNNNNNNNNNNNNNNNNNNNNNNNNNNNNNNNNNNNNNNNNNNNNNNNNNNNNNNNNNNNNNNNNNNNNNNNNNUAUGAUCCCACAUGUAAUUUCUAUGAGACAGGAAAAUAUUUUGGUAGAAACUUUCAUGUUACCAAAUUACGUCUCGUUAUGUUGAGAUUGGUCUUGUCUCUUUCUUCUUCCUUGCAUUUGGUAGCUAUUGGUUGUCUUGCCAAUUUGUUUCCCUUUAAAAUGCCUAUGCAUAGGAAGUAUGUUAGACUUAGAUGUGAUUUCCACAUGCUUUAGGAUGUUCUCGUUGUGUUUCAAUUCUUGUCUUUUGUGAGAGCAUCAUUGAAUGCCUAGCUAAUGGCGUUAAACAAUAGCGCUUGUUGGGAGGCAACCCAACGAAUUUUAUUUCUGUUUUGUGUUUUCCACACUUUCAUAAUUCUGUUAUGAUUGUGUUUUUUGUGUUUCUUUUUGCGUUUGUGCCAAGCAAAACCGUUAUGAUUAGUCUUGGGGACGAUCGUUUGGUCAUGGUGGAAAAGACAAAAACUUUGUGCUCACGAAAAGAAUUUUAGUAUUUUUUUUCUGUAAGAGCUUUUGAGUUGAUUCUUCUUGUUGCUGAUUGCUACGCAAAUUCUUCAGACUGCCGUAAUGUUUCAGAAUUUUUGAAGUACUAGAGGUAUACGAAAUAUACAGAUUGCUACAGACUGGUCUGCUGUUAACAAAUUCUGUUUUUGUUGUGUUGGUUGCUUAUUUUGAUGAAACUAUGGAUAGUAUCGGGGGGUAUUAGCCAUGGAAGAUUGAAAAUACAGUAACCCAAAAUCAGCAUAAGUAGAAUUUAAGUUUGCUACAGUACCUAAGGAAGUGGUGGUUUGCUUUCUCAUACUAAUGUUAUCACGAGUUUCUGUUUAAGUUUCGUGUUGUGAAGUUUUCAAGUUUUGGGUGAAGUUCUUAUGGACAAAAAGAUAAAGAGUGGCAACAGCUCAAGCUUGGGGAUAGCCAAGGCACCCCAAGAGAUUUAAGGAUGCCGUAAAAGCCUAAGCUUGGGGAUGCCUCGGGAAGACAUCCCCUCUCUCGUCUUCAGUCCAUCGGUAACGUUAAUUGGAGCUAUAUUUUUAUUCACUUAAUGUUAUGUGUUUUUGCUUGGAGCGUCUUGAAUCGUAUGAGUCUUUUAUUUUUGUUGUGUCACAAUCAUACUUGCUGCACACCUAGAGAGAGAGACAUGCACUCACCGUGAUUUUUUCGAGCUUCACUUAUAUCUUCUGGUAGACAAUUCAGCCCACAUGUGCUUCACUUAUAUCUUUUGAGCUAGAUACUUUUGCUCUAUGUGCUUCACUUAUAUCUUUUAGAGCACAGCAGUGCAUGGCUUGAUAGUUGAUCUAUGCUUUGAAAGUAGUCUUAAAAGGGGUAGUUAUCCAAAGGGAUACGAAAGCUUCCACCUUCAUGUGCAUUGAAUAGUUAGAGAAGUUUGAUUCCUCUCAAUUAGUUUUGAGUUGUGGUUAUGGUAACAUUGAAGUCAUGCUGGUAAGGUUUUGUGGAUCUAGAAAUACUUGUGUUGAAGUUAGUGAUUCCCGUAGCAUGCACGUAUGGUGAACCGCUAUGUUAUGAAAUCUGAGCAUGAUUACUCCAUUGAUUGUCAUCCUUUGCGUGGUGGUCGGGAUCGCGCGAUGGUUUAUACCUACCAACCCUUCCUCUAGGAGUAUGCGUUUAAUGCUUUGUUUCAAUUACUAAUAAAACUUUCGCAACAAGUAUAUGAGUUCUUCAUGACUAAUGUUGAGUCCAUGGUUUAGAUGUACUUUCAGCUUCCACCAUCACUAUCUUCUUAGUGCCGUGCAACUUUCGCCGGUGCACAAAACCCACCAUUAGCCUCCCUCAAAACAACCACCAUACCUACCUACUAUGGCUUUUUCAAAGUCAUUUCGAGAUAUAUUGCCAUGCAACUACCACCAUGACAUGUGCCACCACGUCUACAUUUCCAUUGCAUGAUCAUAAGAUAGCUAGCAUGAUGUUUCCAUUAAUGUCUAUGCCAUGCUAGAUCAUUGUCAUGGUACACUACCGAAGGCAUUCCAUAUAGAGUCAUCGUUGCUCUAAGUUUUCAGUUGAAAGUGUGAUGAUCAUCAUUGAUGGAGCAUUGUCCCAUGUGAGGAAAUAAAAGAGGCCAAAGAAGCCCACCAAAAAAAAGAUGCCAAAGAGCCCACCAAAAAAAAUUAAUAAUAAAAAAAUGAGAGAAAAAGAGAGAAGGGACAAUGUUACCACUUUUCCACACUUGUGCAUAUUAAGCACCAUGAUCUUCAUGAUUGAGAGUCUCUCAUUUUGUCACCACCAUAUAGCUAGUGGGGAAUUUUCAUUAUAUAACUUGGCUUGUAUAUUCCAAUGAUAGGCUUCCUCAAAAUUGCCUUAGGUCUUCGUGAGCAAGCAAGUUGGAUGCACACCCACUAGUUUUCUUUAAGAGCUUUCACUUACUCUUAGCUCUAGUGCAUCAUUUGUAUGGCAAUCCCUACUCAUUCGCAUUGGUAUCUAUUGAUGAGCAUCUCCACAGUUCAUUGAUAUGCCUAGUUAAUGUGACUAUCUUCUCCUUUUUUGUCUUGCAACCUCCACCACACUCCACAUCAUCUAUAGUGCUAAAACCAUGGCUCACGCUCAUGUAUUGCGUGAGAGUUGAAAAGGUUUGAGAAAGUAAAGGUGUGAAACAAUUACUUGGCCAAUACCGGGGUUGUGCAUGAUUUAAAUUCAUUGUGCAAGAUGAUAGAGCAUAGCCAUACUAUAUGCUUUUGUAGGGAUAACUUUCUUUUGGCCUUGUUAUGUUGAAAGUUCAUGAUUACCUUGCUAGUUUGCUUGAAUUACUAUUGUUUCCACGUCAAUAGCAAACUAUUGUUUUGAAUCAAAUGGAUCUGAACAUUCACGUCACAUCAGAGGAGUUACAAACGACAUCUAUGCUAGGUAGCAUGAAAGCAUCAAAAAAUCAUUCUUUAUCACUUCCCUACUCGAGGACGAGCAGGAGUUAAGCUUGGGGAUGCUUGAUACGUCUCAAACGUAUCUAUAAUUUUUGAUGGUUUCAUGCCGUUAUCUUGUCAUCUUUGGAUGUUUUAUGUACCUUUUAUAUAUUUUUUGGGACUAACUUAUUAAUUCAGUGCCAAGUGCGAGUUCUUGUUUUUCUGUGUUUUUGGCUCUUUUCAGAUCUGAUUUUGGAACGGAGUCCAAACAGAAUAAAAUCCCCGAAAUGAUUUUUUCCCGAACGGAAGAAGAUGAGGGGGCCUGUGGCCAAGCCAGGAGGGCUCGAGGGAGCCCAGAAGCCCCCAGUCCGCCACCAGGGGGAGGCGGCGGUGGCCGGUCUUGUGGCCUCCCUGGCGCCCCCUGACCUAGAUCUUUGGCCUAUAUAUUCCCUAAAAUACAGCAAAAAAUCAGGGGAGCCUCGAAAAUACUUUGCCGCGUCGCAAGCUUCCGUUUCCGCGAGAUCUCAUCUAGAGACCCUUCUUGGUGCCCUGCCGGAGGGGACUUUGGAGUUGGAGGGCUUCUUCAUCAUCAUCAUCGCCCCUCCAAUGACUCGUGAGUAGUUCACUUCAGACCUACGGGUCCUUAGUUAGUAGCUAGAUGGCUUCUUCUCUUUCUUGGAUCUUCAAUACAAAGUUCUCCAUGAUCUUCAUGGAGAUCUAUCAGAUGUAAUCUUCUUUGGCGGUGUGUUUUUCGAGAUCCGAUGAAUUGUGGAUUUGUGAUCAGAUUAUCUAUGAUAUAUAUUUGAGUCUUUGAUGAUUUUUUAUAUGCAUGAUUUGAUAUCCUUGUAAGUCUAUCCGAGUCUUGGAUUUUGUUAGGCCAACUAGAUCUAUGAUUCUUGCAAUGGGAGAAGUGCUUGGUUUUGGGUUCUUACCAUGUGGUGACCUUUCCCAGUGACAGUAGGGGAAGCAAGGCACACAUUGAGUGGUUUCCAUCAGGGGUAAGAAGGUGGGCUCUAUUGUUGAUAUGAGAUUGUCCAUCUACAUCAUGUCAUCUUGCUUAAGGCGUUACUCUGUUCUUUUGGACUUAAUACACUAGAUGCAUGCUGGAUAGCGGUCAAUGUGUGGAGUAAUAGUAGUAGAUGCAGAAAGUAUCGGUCUACUUGUUUUGGACGUGAUGCCUAUAGAUAUAAUCAUUGCCAUAGAUGACGUCACGACUUUGCGCGGUUCUAUCAAUUGCUCGACAGUAAUUUUUUCACCCACCGUCUACUUGCUUUCAUGAGAGAAGCCACUAGUAAACACUAUGACCCCCGGGUCUAUUCACAUCUAUCGUUUACACCUCCGCUUAUACUUUGCUUUGUUACUUUGUUGCUUUCAGUUCUCACUUGGCGAACAAUCUAUAAGGGAUUGACAAACCCUUCAUAGCGUUGGGAGCAGGUUCUUUGUGUUUGUGCAGGCUCUUGUGAUACUCCUUCACUGGAUCGAUAGCUUGGUUCUCAAACUGAGGGAAAUACUUACCAUCGCUGCGCUACAUCACCCUUUCCACUUUGAGGGAACACCAACGCAAGGCUCCAAGGCCACGGGGGAAAUCCUUUGCAUAUUUGCCUAGGAAGUCCAUUAAAGCGUAGCCGUAGCAGAAGGAUUCCUGGUGCCGUCGACACACCUAUUUCUGGCGCCAUUGGAAGGUCUUUUGUUGCAGUAGCAGGACCCCGCUACCACGGGAGGGAUGGAGAAUAGAUGUCAUGCAAGUUCUUUUCCCUAAGCACGUAUGACUAUAUAUGGAAUGCAUGCCUACAUUACAUUGACGAGCUGGAGCUAGUUACAUAUCUCCCCAUGUUAUAACUGUUGCAUGAUGAAUGUCAUCUGGCAUAAUUAUCCAUCACCGAUCCAAUGCCUACGAGUCUUUUCCUACUGGUUCUUGCUACGUUAAUUUGCUUCUACUGCUUUCACUGAUGCUACUGUUACCGCUACUGCUGUCACUGCUGCUACUGUUACCAUAGCUACUGUUGCUAUCACACUACUUUGCUACUUAAACUUUGCUGCAAAUACUAAGUCUUUCAAGUGUGGUUGAAUUGAUAACUCAACUGCUGAUACUCGAGAAUAUUCUUUUGCUUCCCCUUGUGUCGAAUCAACAAAUUUGGGUUGAAUACUCUACCCUCGAAAACUGUUGCGAUCCCCUAUACUUGUGGGUUAUCACUUUGCAUGAGAGAACUGCGGGCUUGGCCCAUGGCCUCGAGCCCAGGGAGACACCGCGUCUCAUUCCCCUUUACAGCGAGGCGCCGAGGACCCACGCGCCAGUGGCUCUCCUCGCAGCCACCUUUUCCCUCCCGCGCAUCCCUCCUCCUUUGCUCGUGCGCGCACAUGGGCGCCGGACGCCGUUCCUCCCUCCUCCUCCUUUAUAACCCGCCUUGGCGUCCGUGCCUAGGGUUCCUCCCUCUCGCCGCCACCCUCUCCUCCUUGUCCUCCAUUUCUGCCCCCAGGUAAGCUCCUCUAGGUAGAUCAGAGAGCAGCUUUGAGAGAGAGAGGAAGAUCGCCGUCGUCCCUGGCAUCGGCGAGGAUGUCCAGGAGCUCGGGGUUGUUCCCCGCAUUCCAUUCCUGGUGUUAGUAGCCCUGGGGAACCACCACGUCGACGGGCCCUUCCCCGUCUACGUUGUCGUCGUUCUGCUCUGCGCGGGCCGCUCUGCUUCAUCGCUGGCUGCUUCUCCGACCUCUUCUUGCCCUGCGUUGAUUCCCUUGACCUCCAGGCUGAGCAUCGCUGGUUCCUUCCACUCUACCUUCUCCCGUAUGCUCGCCGAAGGAUGCUCGCCGUGCUGCUGUUGCUGCCGUAGCACAUAGAUUCCGCGCCUCCAGGCUGUCGUUGCAGGCUCCCUCCCGUAGUUCCAAGCACGGGAAUGGAACCCCCAGUGAUCCCGCGUCAAGCGCCGAGGCUUGCCGUGUCGAAUAGAUCAUCGGAGUGUCGGCGGAGACGUCCCCUGUUUCGGUCGCCUGAGUUGCAGUUAGAGAAGAGGGGUCUGCUCAAAAGAGUAACACCCCUGUUGGGGAUAUUACCUGUGGUGUAACUCGCCCUAACUGGUCUGGGUCACUGAAGGGGCGACUCAUCCUUUGGUAAUACAAGCCUUGGCCCAGGGGGCCCAGGAGCCAGAUGGUGGUUCAGGAGCUAUGCAGAGGAUAGGCCGCCAAGGAGGUUUCCAGUCUUGGAAAGCACGACGACUUAGAGAUAUGGAAAACCGUGACCUGUAGUGUGGCUAGGACUCUUGUAAAUCCUAGGGCCUCAACCUGUAUAUCAAGGCAAGUCCCUAGGGAAGAUAGGGUAAGUUAGAAAUCAUCGAGAGCCAGGCUAGGCGAGCUACGCCCUCCUUGUAAUCGAAACCAUCAUCAAUCUACAUAAAGCAUGACGUAGGCUUUUACCUCCACACAAGGGGCCGAACCUGGAUAAAUCUGAGUCUCGCUUUCGCUCACCCCCUUUGAGUCACCACCAAGGUACGAUGGCUCCUUCAUUAAGUCCUUUCACGAGGACAUCUGCCGUGAAAAACCACGACAGUUGGCGCCCACCGUGGGGAUUGCGCAUGGUGGAGUUUAGUUCUCAAAGGGAGCCCUACCAGGGUCAGAAAGCUAUGCGGUCGACAUCAUGACGAAGAGCCGCCGCGGAAGGUACUAGAUCGAUAACUCGUUGUGUGGGCCUGAAGCCGAUUCAAUCGAAUCCGGUUACAGAGCCCCCUUCGGCAAGGUCAACAUCUUCAUCGGCAUCAUUGGAACACCCGUGCCUGAGUCGGACACCUCCACCGACAUCGUCGAGCCGGCCAGGUAUGUCCUCCCCAUCACACGUGAGGACAGGAGACGCCAUGUUUUCGUCGGUUUUACGCAGGGAGCCAGUGUACAAGACGAACCAGCGGUCCAGGAGAUAAAUCCCAUCAACUCUGAUGACAAAUCAUCCAUGGGUGACAAAGAUUCAAUUCGCCCUCUAUACGAAGGACAACUCGAAGAUUUGCCAUUGGCGAUGGACCCCGAGGUCUUCGAAAGAUCCCAUCGACAAAUGGCCAUCUACAUGGCGGGGGCGACACAACCUAAGCCAAACCCGGCCCGCAACAAUGAGACUAGCGAAUCGUCGAAAACCCCGGCUCAAGCCAUGGCGGACAUGACGACGGAGGUCACCAGACUCAUGACAACCGCUGUGACGGCACAAAAUCAGGAAGCGAUCAACACCGAGUUGGCGAAGCUACGGGAGGAGAUGGCGAAAGCCCAGCGGGACAUGGAAGAGGAAGCCGCCAGGAUGGCGGCACAGCAGGCUCGGAUCAUCGCGGAGACGGAGCGGCUGAACACCUAAGGCUGGCGGCUCGAGACACAACAGCGCAUGUCCGAUGCUAUUCAUCAGAGAAGGCACCACGAGCGCCUCCCGGCCGAUCUACGUCCAACUCGCCUCUUCGACACCCCACGCACUCCUGGGGUGGGACCCAAUCAACCCUUGCAGGCCGCUCCAGGGGGGUCCAUUUCAACCGCCUAACCCGCCACCACCUCAACCAACGGAUGCCCCCACACCUCGCUUCCAGAUACCACGAGGCCACUCCUCAAAUCCCGUGGAUAACAUGCUGGCGGCAACCCUCUAGUUGGAGUCCCUCCCGAUCUAUGGAAACUCCCCGGCCUAGGUGGAGGGGAGAAACGCCAUCGAGAUGCUGAAGAUAGCAGUGGUCCAACACGCACAAUACUCGCACAGCCUUGACCGGUUCCACUCCACACCCCAGGCGAGUCACACCAGGAGUCGCCAUGAGGACCAACCCGCGGUGACCGGUGGGCAACGACGUUUGCCUUAGACUAACCUGCCCGGGGUCCAUGACACUCGAGCCCAAGACAUUGUGGAUGCAGCACGCGCCGCGGCGGGUCAGGGCUAUCCGGCUUAUACCCAGACACCUCCUGCACCGCUCGAUGCCGGAGGCAGGCACAUUGGGGUGUCGUGUCUCAUGCCCUCUCUACGCAAUGAGUGGAUGCCGAAGGAUUUCAAAGGACCAAGGAAGGUACCCAAUUACACACCAGAUCUCGAGACGGGGUCAUGGAUCGAGAGUUACGAACUUGCGAUGGACAUGCUCGACGUGAACGAGGCGGUUUGCACCAAGUAUUUCACUAUGAUGCUUGAGGGAACGGCGCGUGCAUGGUUGAAAAACCUGUUACCUAACUCCAUCAACACUUGGGCAGAGUUAAAGGAGCACUCCAUCAAAAAUUUCCGAGGGACUUGCAAAUGCCCGAUGACCAUCGUCGACUUACAACACUGCGUUCAUCGACCGGAUGAGUCGGCCCAUCAUUAGACAUGGUGAGUUGUGGAGGUCAUUCAUUCGUCGGACGACAUCUCGGCGGCUCAGGCAGUGCUGAUUUUGGAGAAAAAUUGCCAUUACGAGCCUCUGGUGCUGAAGCUGGGGCGAAUUAAGCGUAAGGUGCAGGACAUGGGCGAGUUAAUGGACACCCUCACCACAUACGCCGAGUCAGAUGACACCAAGGAUCCCAGGGAGGACGACGACAAGGUUAGCACCGCCAGGAGAGGUGAGUCAUCAAAAGGUCACUCCCAGUUUCAAGGACGUGGUAACCACAACCAUGGUGGGCAAGGUAAAAGAAAAUAGCAGGAAGGUCCCACAGACUUCGUCGGCAACACCAAUGCCGGCAACGGAAACUAGUGCUAGAGGAAGCGGGAUUUCAGUGGGAAGAAGCCGCGCAACUAUCAUGAAAUGUUCAAGGGCCCCUGGCCACAGCACGCUAGAGCCGUAGACCCACUCCUGGGAGGAUUGCUAUGUGAUGCAGGAGUUCCGAGCUGAUGCACUCAAGAAAGGCCAAGCAGGUGAUCAGGGCCAGCGACAGGAGCAGUUCGGCGCGCCUGGGUCAUGCCAAAGCCCGUUCGGUGGUUUCCCUAACCCGGCUCCACACGGCGGGUCAAAUCCUAAUAGAGGACUGUACCAAGUUCACAACCAACAACAGUAUAACCCGCCGGGAGUGUUUCAGCAACCACCCCCGCAAGACGAUCUCUAGCUACAAGAUGAUCAUAGCGGUUUUCAGAAUAAACCUAAGCAGCUGAACAGUGGGCAAUAUCACGUGUUCACCACUAGCACCUGCAAACGGGACCACAAGGUGAAACAUAGAACUUUCAGCGUGGCUGAGCUGGCGCUCCCUAGGUACCUACAUUGGUCCGAACAACCCAUAACCUAGAGUAGGGAGGAUCACCCGCCCCGAGUUGAUAACCCUGGCAACUUGGCUUUGGUCGUGGCUCCCUAAGUCGGAGGAUACACCCUUUCCAAAGUCCUUAUGGAUGGAGGCAGCAACAUUAACAUCCUAUACUUCGAUACCUUUCGAAGGAUGAAUCUCUUGGAGAAAGACUUGAUGUCGUCGUCCACGGUUUUCCAUGGCAUUGUUCCUGGUAAGUCGGUGUAUCCAAUUGGGAGGAAUAAAUUUAACGUGGCUUUUGGCACAGAGUCCAAUUACAGGAGCGAGCCACUCGUGUUUGAGGUGGUCAAAAUCAAGAGCCCUUACCACGCAUUGUUUGGAAGGCCGUCUUACGCUCGAUUCAUGGCUCGCCCAUGCUAUGUUUAUCUCAAGCUCAAGAUGCCUGGACCUAAGGGGCCUAUUACGGUCUGCGAGACACGAAGAUAGCCCAGGAUUGCCAAGAAGGAGACGCAGCUUAUGCCGACACGGCUUGAGCGGCCGAGGAGCUCAAAUUUCACCAAGGCAAUGUUGCCCCGAUGGAUAUGACGCCGCUCAAGAGGCCGACAAUUGACUCUGAGCCGCCCCUCAAAUUCAAACCAACAGAAGACACGAAGGUGAUAGACUUCACGCCUCGCGACUCAACCAAGCACUUCACUAUUGGGACGGCUCUGGACCCCAAAUAGGAAAGCGAAUCGGGACAUCUUUGCGUGGAAACCUUCUGACACGCCAGGUGUACCAAGAGACUUCGCUGAGCACCAUCUUAAUACUGACCCCAAAGUAAAGCCAGUUCGGCAGUAUCUUCGCAGGUUUAACGAGGAACGUCGCAAGGCAAUUGGACAGGAAGUCGCCUGGCUUUUGGUCGCCGGAUUCAUCAUCGAGGUUUUUCAUCCUGAAUGGUUGGCUAACCCGGUCUUGGUGCUAAAAAAGAAUGGCACUUUCCGCAUGUGCAUCGACUACACCGACCUCAACAGAGCCUGUCCAAAGGAUCCCUUUGCCCUUCCCCGCAUUGAUCAAAUCAUUGACUCGACGGCGGAUUGCGAGCAUUUAUGCUUUUUGGAUGCUUACUCAGGAUACCACCAGAUCAAGAUGGUUGUGGCAGACCAGGAGCAAACGUCCUCCAUAUCCCCCUUCGGAGCCUUCUGCGACGUGUCGAUGCCGUUCGGGCUCAAGAGUGCGGGGGCGACUUACCAGCGUUGCAUCCAGAAUUGUUUGCAUAACCAGAUCAGACGCAAUGUCCACGCUUAUAUUGAUGAUAUCGUAGUCAGAUCUCAGAAGAAAGAGUCGCUCUUGGAGGAUCUCAAGGAGACUUUUGACAAUUUGCGCAUAUACCAGAUGCGGCUUAACCCCACCAAUUGUGUGUUUGGUGUUCCCGCGGGAAAGUUAUUCGGUUUUCUGGUGUCAGAACGCGGCAUUGAAGCUAACUCGGACAAAAUUGAAGCAAUCACUUCUUUGGGAAAGCCGGUUGAUAUCAAUCAAGUCCAAUGCAUGGCGGGUCGUAUCACGGCUCUAUGUCGCUUUAUAAGUCGCCUUGGGGAGAAAGCCAUCCCUCUUUAUCAGUUGCUCAAGAAAACUGAUAGUUUUGUUUGGACGGAUGAAGCAAACGAAGCCUUUGAAGCCUUGAAGCAACAACCGGCUAAGCCGCGGGUAUUGGCCGCUCCGACGGACAAGGAGCCUAUGCUCUUGUACAUUGCAGCUAAUUCCAAGGCGGUAAGCAUGGCAGUGGUCGUCGAGCGGAAGGAAGAAGGGAAGGAAUAUCCGGUUCAGAGACCAAUGUAUUUUUAUCAGCGAGGUCCUGACCCUCUCCAAACAAUGCUACCCGCAUUGGCAGAAGCUGGUCUUUGGGGUGUUUAUGGCGAGUCAGAAGCUGAAGCACUACUUCCAGGAGCAUCCCAUCACGGUGGUCAGUUCUGCUCCCCUUGGUGACAUUAUACAAAAUCGAAAAGCGACUAGAUGGAUUGCUAAGUGGGCCACCGAGUUAGGACCGCAUCAUGUGCAAUAUACUCCCCGUGAAGCCAUUAAGUCUCAAGCACUAGUGGAUUUCAUCAACAACUGGACCGAGUUGCAGAUUUCAGAAGAUAGGCCCGAUCACACAUACUGGACCAUCUAUUUUGAUGGAUCUAGGCAGUUGGAAGGCUCGGGGGCUGGUGUGGUGUUAACUUCGCCUCAGGGUGACAAAUUCUGCUAGGUCCUCUGACUCAUGUUUCCAUGCACCAACAAUGCAGCAGAGUAUGAAGCUCUGCUCCACGGGUUGCGACUCGCCAAAGAGAUGAACCUCACCCGAGUCAGAUGCUUGGGCGACUCAGAUCUAGUGGCACAACAGGUUUUAGGCACCUCGGAUUCUAGAGAUCCCUUGAUGGAGGCUUACACGCGAGCUGUGUCGGACGUGGCAGGUCACUUUCAUGGUUAUCAAGUGGAUCACAUUGAUCGGCGACUCAACGAAGCAACAGAUGUUGUUUCUCGUCUCGGUUCACAGCGUAAGCUCGUUCCCCCCAAUGUCUUUUUAAAUGUGUUACAUAACCCCUCGGUGAGGCUACCUUCAGAGGAAGAUUUGGCGGUGCCGGACCCUCAGUGUCAGCUUGUGGCGGCUCUUCGUGCUACCCCGGAUUGGGCGAUUCCCUACAUGGCGUAUCUCACAUGAGGCGAGCUACCCACGGAUGAGUUAUUGGCUCGCCAAUUCGUCCUUCGAUGCAAAUCCAUGGUUAUACAUAACGGCGAGUUGCAUAAACGAAGCACUUCAGGGUUAUUUCAACGGUGUGUCUCUUCCGAGGAAGGAUGUAUGAUUCUCAACGAAAUUCAUGCAGGCGACUGUGGUCAUCAUGUCGGGUCAUGCUCCCUGGUUUUGAAAGCUUUUCGGCUUGGAUUUUAUUGGCUGAUGGCUCAUGCAGAUGCGGAAGAAAUAGUUCGCCAAUGUGAUGGUUGCCAAAAAUUUGGACGCCAGAUGCACGUGCCAGCUCAAGAAUUACGAAUGAUUCCAAUCACUUGGCCGUUUGCGGUCUGGGGGCUGGACAUGGUUGGCCCUUUUAAAAUGUCAUCCAAUAAAAAGACUCACCUAUUGGUGGUGGUUGACAAGUUCACUAAGUUGGUUUAAGCAGAACCCGUUAGUAGUUGUGAUGCAGACACGACUGUCAAGUUCUUGAAAAAGUUGAUCUUCCGGUUCGGAUACCCUCAUAGUAUCAUUACUGACAAUGGUACUAAUCUAUCAAAGGGCGCAAUGCAAGAGUUUUGCGGACGAGAGCAUAUACGGCUUGACGUUUCUACAGUCGCACACCCCCAGUCUAACGGACAGGCAGAAAGGGCGAAUCAAGAAAUAUUGCGAGGAAUCAAGCCCCGACUUAUGGUACCUCUAGAGUGUACUCCAGGAUGUUGGGUGGAAGAAUUUCUCUCAGUGUUAUGGAGUAUCAGGACCACCCCAAAUCGCUCCACGGGUUUUACUCCUUUCUUUCUGAUCUACGGGGCAGAGGCAGUUUUACCAAGUGGCAUCAGACACGAUUCACCACGAGUCGCCGCGUAUGUGGAACAAGACAACGAGUUGGCACGACAAGAUUCGUUGGAUGCUUUGGAGGAAGAGCUAGAUUCGGCUGCAUCGCGAUCGGCGAUCUAUCAACAGGACCUGCGACGCUAUCCCAACCGCCGCGUCAAGAGCCAGACUUUUCAAGAGGGCGACUUAGUGCUCCGGUUGAUUCAAGACCACACUGGUAUGCAUAAGCUAUCACCUCCAUGUGCAAGGACCGUUUGUCAUCAGCAAGAAUCUUCGGAACAGCUCAUACUACUUGGUGGAUCUACGCCCUGCUCGGCCAUCUACAGAGAUUGAAACAACUCGCCCCUGGAAUAUAGCCCACCUAAGGCCUUACUACACCUAGAGCCAUUGGCUCCUUUCUUUUCUGCAAAUCUCAGAACUUGUAGUCUUUUACUUAUAAAGCAAUAAAGCCGGCACCCACGAACUUCGGGGUCCUUUGCUGUUUCAGCUUCUGGAAAGCAUGAGUCUUUAUUGUUCUAUGAGUCAUCCAAGCAUGGACGCUAUCAGUACCAAAGAGCAUAAGUCGCCACGCUGCACUUAUUUCAAAACUGGGUACUGAUAAGCCAAAGAGGACCAAAGUUGCCACGCUGCACGGUUCAAACGUGGGCGCCUUAUAUGGUUUUGAGAAUUAAGCCGGCUUACUUGGGGGCUACUAGUUCCCAAGUCGUUUUGCAGUAAGAGCGUAAAACGCUUCUGCAAUCCUAUGUCCGACUUUUCCCUAAUCACAGGUCACUUGGGGGCUUCCACUCACUGAGUUCAGCCUGAAUACCCUCUUGGCUAGCGAAAAAUUACCGCAUUACAAAUGGUUAUACUGGACUAUGUAUUGGACGAGUUGCCCUAUGGACCCAUGUACUCUUGGCGAGUCAAUCCGCUUUUUGGGACCCUGAACUCGCCUUGGUUAAAACAUGAAAGGUACUGGCCAGAGCCACACACGGAAAAUAGAGAAACCAUUGGUUCGCUGAACCUGCUUCACUGAAGCCUGACUCGCGCCUGAUCAGCCGGUCUAAAAACUUGGGCUAUUGCAAAAGCCUUCUUAGGGUAGCACUAGAGUUUUGCAAACUCAUCCUAUCCCGUCGUAGGUCAUCGAGCCGACAGUAUUUUUAUGAUUAUCCUCAUGGCACUACCGCAAGGUUUCGUAAACCUUUUAUAUGACUCGCCGCGACUCACUGAGCCGGCUCCUUGCUUAUAACUCGCCAUGACUCACUCGGCUGGUUUUGUUUCUUGCCACAACUCAUUGAGUCGGCCUAUGGUGUUUUUUCCCUGACAAACGGGUUGAAGAAGAUAUUCGACAAGAACACUUUCAAGCAUCAGGAUUGGUAAAGGCAAUUCAUGAUCCGCAAAAAGGAUAAACGGUUCAGUAAUGUCAAGGAAAAGAUAUGGAUGGAAGAUUGUUUCCCUGAAUCCUAAUAACUAAUACAUAGCUCACACGGCCAUACCGGGCGUCAUCCCCCGGUCAAGGAAAGAUCAUUUUUUUCCAGCAGUGAUUACACCCUGGUUAGACUUAAGCCGCCUCCGGGUCGCAUUGCUUUGAGCUCUCUCCAUCUUCAAUUUGUAAGUCGCCCAGUUUCCAGUUGCACUUGGACAAGGCGAUGAAUUCAUCUUCGUCGUUCAAAAAGACAGAUAGGUCUGCUUCAAAGUAGAAGGGAUUCUUGGGCCGGCGAGGAAUCAGGCUGGUAAUUCCAAACGAAGGAGGAGUCACCUUUUUGUUGUUGUCGUCAUAUGCAACCUGGUACUUGUUCAAGUCCAAACAGGCCGCCAGCCGAGUCGCCGCGGCACGGGACUCUUUCACAAGCCAGUGGUAAUCGCCUUCAGCAAACUCCAACUCGUCGUCCUUUAGUUUAGGGUAACCAGUGUUGGGGAACGUCGCAUGGGAAACAAAAAUUUUCCUACGCGCACGAAGACCUAUCAUGGUGAUGUCCAUCUACGAGAGGGGAUUUCCGAUCUACAUACCCUUGUAGAUCGCACAGCAGAAGCGUUAAGAAACGCGGUUGAUGUAGUGGAACGUCCUCACGUCCCUCGAUCCUCCCCGCGAACCGUCCCACGAACCGUCCCGCGAUCCGUCCCACGAUCCGCUCCGAUCUAGUGCCGAACGGACGGCACCUCCGUGUUCAGCACACGUACAGCUCGACGAUGAUCUCGGCCUUCUUGAUCCAGCAAUAGAGACGGAGAGGUAGAUGAGUUCUCCGGUAGCGUGACGGCGCUCCGGAGGUUGGUGGUGAUCUAAUCUCAGCACGGCUCCGCCCGAGCUCCGCAGAAACGCGAUCUAGAGGUAAAACCGUGGAGGUAUGUGGUCGGGCUGCCGUGGCAAAAGUUGUCUCAAAUCAGCCCUAAAACCCCACUAUAUAUAGGAGGGAGGGAGGGGAGGAGGCAGCCUCAAACCCUCAAGGUUUGGCCAAAAUUUGAGGUGGAGGAGUCCUACUCCAAUCCUACUUGGAGUAGGAUUCCACCUUCCCACUUGGAAACUCUUUCCACCUUGUGUUUUUCCCUUCUCAAACCUUAUGGGCCUUAGUGGGAACUUAUUCCAGCCCACUAGGGGCUGGUUUAUCUCUUCCCAUAGCCCAUGAGACCCCUUGGGGCGUGACACCCCUCUCGAUGGUCCCCGUCACCCCUCCCGGCACUCCUGGUACACUAUCGAUGAGCCCGAAACCUUUCCGGUAAUGCCCGAAAACUUUCCGGUAACCAAAUAAGGUCAUCCUAUAUUUCAAUCUUCGUCUCCGGACCAUUUUGGAAACCCUCGUGACGUUCGUGAUCCCAUACGGGACUGCGAACAACAUUCGGUAACCAACCAUAUAACUCAAAUACGCAUAAAACAANNNNNNNNNNNNNNNNNNNNNNNNNNNNNNNNNNNNNNNNNNNNNNNNNNNNNNNNNNNNNNNNNNNNNNNNNNNNNNNNNNNNNNNNNNNNNNNNNNNNUGCUUGAUAACUGGAUCACGUCAUUAGGAGAAUCACGUGAUGGACUAGACCCAAACUAAUAGACGUAGCAUGUUGAUCGUGUCAUUUUAUUGCUACUGUUUUCUGUGUGUCAAGUAUUUAAUCCUAUGACCAUGAGAUCAUAUAACUUACUAACACCGGAGGAAUACUUUGUGUGUAUCAAACGUCGCAACGUAACUGGGUGACUAUAAAGAUGCUCUACAGGUAUCUCUGAAGGUGUUCGUUAAGUUAGUAUGGAUCGAGACUGGGAUUUGUCACUCCGUGUGACGGAGAGGUAUCUCGGGCCCCACUCGGUAAUACAACAUCACACACAAGCCUUGCAAGCAAUGUGACUUAGUGUAAGUUGCGGGAUCUUGUAUUAUGGAACGAGUAAAGAGACUUGCCGGUAAACGAGAUUGAAAUAGGUAUACGGAUACUGACAAUCGAAUCUCGGGCAAGNNNNNNNNNNNNNNNNNNNNNNNNNNNNNNNNNNNNNNNNNNNNNNNNNNNNNNNNNNNNNNNNNNNNNNNNNNNNNNNNNNNNNNNNNNNNNNNNNNNNNNNNNNNNNNNNNNNNNNNNNNNNNNNNNNNNNNNNNNNNNNNNNNNNNNNNNNNNNNNNNNNNNNNNNNNNNNNNNNNNNNNNNNNNNNNNNNNNNNNNNNNNNNNNNNNNNNNNNNNNNNNNNNNNNNNNNNNNNNNNNNNNNNNNNNNNNNNNNNNNNNNNNNNNNNNNNNNNNNNNNNNNNNNNNNNNNNNNNNNNNNNNNNNNNNNNNNNNNNNNNNNNNNNNNNNNNNNNNNNNNNNNNNNNNNNNNNNNNNNNNNNNNNNNNNNNNNNNNNNNNNNNNNNNNNNNNNNNNNNNNNNNNNNNNNNNNNNNNNNNNNNNNNNNNNNNNNNNNNNNNNNNNNNNNNNNNNNNNUAUAUAGGAUGACCUCAUUUGAUUACCGGAAGGUUUUCGGAGUUACCGGGAAUGACGAAUGGGUUCCGGGAGUUCACCGGGGGGGGCACCCACCCCGGGGAAGCCCAUUGGUGUUAGGGGUGCCGCACCAGCCCUUAGUGGGUUGGUGGGACAGCCCAAAAGAGGCCUAUGAGCAUUGGGAAGAAAAUCNNNNNNNNNNNNNNNNNNNNNNNNNNNNNNNNNNNNNNNNNNNNNNNNNNNNNNNNNNNNNNNNNNNNNNNNNNNNNNNNNNNNNNNNNNNNNNNNNNNNUGCCACCCUAGCGGCCGGAGCCCACCCCACCCCACCCACCCCUUUGCCGUGUGCCACCCAGCCUUUGCAGAUGGCAAAGGGGGCUCCCUCUCUAACGGUGCAUAGCCCCCCACCCCAUCCGCUAACGGCUCUCGCGCCCACUGCCCGCUCUCUCUCUCUAGCCCUGCCCUCUCUCUCUCUCGCCUGGCCACCUCCCGCCACCGCCGUCNCUCUUUGGACUCUUGUUGAUCGAAAAGACCCCAACCCCCGAUGCUAGUGACCCUCGCCCCCGACGACACUGACCCCCAACCAUCGACGCAUUUAACCCGACUCCCGACCACCGACACCCGACACCACCGACCCUCGACGGCACUGACUCCUGACGCCACUGAGCCCCGACCCCCGACACCCCUUCUACCUUCUUUUGAACGAGAAGGUGCUUUUCGGCCUUCGAGAGGCCCACGAGGUCAUAGUUUUGUAAAUUAUGAGUUAGGUCACAUAUUUUCCGAUUAUGUUAAUUAUAAAAACAUCGUAUUUGUGUUGAUCGUGUGAAUUUCAAUGUGCAGUUGUUCGACGACCUCCACGUGCGUUGGACGAGCUUCGCCCUUGCGUUUGUUGGUGAGCACAAAUGACUUCUGCUCCUACCUCCUUAAUUUUCUCUGUCCCGGUCUUCGUGCCGAUGAAACUUGCUAGCUAUAGGUUUCUUCGAUCAUGAGUAUGCGUGACCAGUAUGUGUAUCCCGUUCGAAAGGGCGACAUCUAUAAAUAUGCAUNNNNNNNNNNNNNNNNNNNNNNNNNNNNNNNNNNNNNNNNNNNNNNNNNNNNNNNNNNNNNNNNNNNNNNNNNNNNNNNNNNNNNNNNNNNNNNNNNNNNNNNNNNNNNNNNNNNNNNNNNNNNNNNNNNNNNNNNNNNNNNNNNNNNNNNNNNNNNNNNNNNNNNNNNNNNNNNNNNNNNNNNNNNNNNNNNNNNNNNNNNNNNNNNNNCUUCUUCUCUUUCUCUUCUUCUACGUAGCUUAGACUCAUCGAAGAAAGGCUAAAUUGGCUAAUUAUCCUACGAAAUGACAUAAUUGGCUUAGUUAGAUCCAAAAUGACCUAUUUAAUAAAAAAUGACCUACAGUUAGCUAAGUUCUCUCCUAAAUGACAUAAUAAAGCUUACGUAGCUGCAAGAUGACCUAUUCCCCCUAACUUAGGUAUUAAAUGGCCUAUAAUUAGCCUAGCUAGAUCCAAAAUGGCUUAAUAAGCAUAGUUUGCUCCGGAAUGAUCUAUUUUACCCAAGUUAGCUUCGAAGCGACGUAUAGUUAGCUAGGGUUCCACCUAGAUGACAUAAUUAGCUUAGUUAGCUCCUAAAUGGUCUAUUUAAUAAAACAUGACCUAUACUUAGCUAAUUAUCCUCGAAAUGACAUAAUUAGCUCCAAAAAGGCAUUCUUAGCGAAUUUAGCCCGAAGAAGGGGACAAGAGGAGAAGAAAGAGGAAAAAUGAAAGGAAGGAAGAUGAAGAAGAAGAGAAAAAGAAGAAGGAGAGGGAGGAGGAGCUCCUUCUCCUUCUUCUCCUCCUUCUUCUCCUUAUCCCUCCUUCCUCCUUUUCCUUCUCCUUCUUCUUUUCUUCUUAUUCUCCUCUUCCUUCUCCUUCUCCUCCUCCUCCUUCUUUUACUUCUUCUCUUUCUCUUCUUCUACGUAGCUUAGACUCAUCCAAGAAUGGCUAAAUUGGCUAAUUAUCCUACGAAAUGACAUAAUUAGCUUAGUUAGCUCCUCAAUGGUCUAUACUUCGCUAAUUUCUCUCCGAAAUAACAGAUAUAUACACUUCUUAAUCUAGUAUUAUUCUUCUAACUUUCUUAUUUGUCAUUUUGCAGAUUACCUUCACUUCACGGGAAGCUUGGAUUAUAUUGAUGGAAUGCUUGAAGAUGAUUUCUUGUACCAUGGCUUGUAUUGAAACUAAUGUAGUAUAUGGAUAUAUAUGAAACUUUGUAUGCAUGUGGAUGAAACUGGUGUAAUAUAUGGUUUGGUACGGAUGCAACUUGCAUAAUAUGUAUGCACUAUGGAUGAGAGUUAUUUUAAUAUGGUUAUGAGUACGGAAAGAAAUUUAUUUAUGUCAAAUAUAUAUAUAUAUAUAUAUAUAUAUAUAUAUCCUGAUUAUUGUUAAAAAUGUUGGAUAUAAUAAAAAAAUUAAUUAAAAUGGGGCAGGUUCCCCUCUUUGCCGUCUGCCCCCACAUGGCAAACGGGGGUGGGCAAACGACAAAGGGGGGAAUCUGCCCCCUCUGUUUCCCCUCUUUGUCGUCUGCCCCCACAUGGGAAUGGGGGGGGUGGGCAGACGACAAAGGAGAGAAUCUGCCCCCUCUGUUUCCCNNNNNNNNNNNNNNNNNNNNNNNNNNNNNNNNNNNNNNNNNNNNNNNNNNNNNNNNNNNNNNNNNNNNNNNNNNNNNNNNNNNNNNNNNNNNNNNNNNNNCGACGUUUGAUACACACGAAGUAUUCCUCCGGUAUUAGUAAGUUAUAUGAUCUCAUGGUCAUAGGAAUAAAUACUUGACAGGCAGAAAACAGUAGCAAUAAAAUGACACGAUCAACAUGCUACGUCUAUUAGUUUGGGUCUAGUCCAUCACGUGAUUCUCCUAAUGACGUGAUCCAGUUAUCAAGCAACAACACCUUGUUCAUAAUCACAAGACACUAACUAUCGUUGAUCAACUGGCUAGCCAACUAGAGGCUUGCUAGGGACAGUGUUUUGUCUAUGUAUCCACACAUGUAAAUGAGUCUUCAUUCAAUACAAUUAUAGCAUGGAUAAUAAAUGAUUAUCUUGAUACAGGAAUUAUAAUAAUAACUAUAUUUAUUAUUGCCUCUAGGGCAUAAUUCCAACAGUUUCUCCAACUUUANNNNNNNNNNNNNNNNNNNNNNNNNNNNNNNNNNNNNNNNNNNNNNNNNNNNNNNNNNNNNNNNNNNNNNNNNNNNNNNNNNNNNNNNNNNNNNNNNNNNNNNNNNNNNNNNNNNNNNNNNNNNNNNNNNNNNNNNNNNNNNNNNNNNNNNNNNNNNNNNNNNNNNNNNNNNNNNNNNNNNNNNNNNNNNNNNNNNNNNNNNNNNNNNNNNNNNNNNNNNNNNNNNNNNNNNNNNNNNNNNNNNNNNNNNNNNNNNNNNNNNNNNNNNNNNNNNNNNNNNNNNNNNNNNNNNNNNNNNNNNNNNNNNNNNNNNNNNNNNNNNUGAUGUGAUAUGGCCAACGAUGUGAUGUGAUAUAUUGGAUGUAUGAGAUGAUCAUGUUGUAAUAGUUAAUAUCGACUUGCACGUCGAUGGUACGGCAACCGGCAGGAGCCAUAGGGUUGUCUUUAAACUAACAUUUGUGCUUGCAGAUGCGUUUACUAUAUUGCUAGGACGUAGCUUUAGUAGUAAUAGCAUGGAUAGCACGACAACCCCAAUGGCGACACGUUGAUGGAGAUCUUGGUGUGACGCCGGUGACAAGAAGAUCGUGCCGGUGCUUUGGUGAUGGAGAUCAAGAAGCACAUGAUGAUGGCCAUAUCAUGUCACUUAUGAAUUGCAUGUGAUGUUAAUCCUUUAUGCACCUUAUCUUGCUUAGAACGACGGUAGCANNNNNNNNNNNNNNNNNNNNNNNNNNNNNNNNNNNNNNNNNNNNNNNNNNNNNNNNNNNNNNNNNNNNNNNNNNNNNNNNNNNNNNNNNNNNNNNNNNNNGAGCCGGGUCUUGAUCACUUAGAGAUUGUUUUGUCUAGUAACCCCCAAGGGCCGGGUCAUCAGUAAAAAGAUGAGCCGGGUCUUGAUUUUUUAGAAAAACUUUUGACCAGUAACCUCCAAGGGCCGGGUCAUCNNNNNNNNNNNNNNNNNNNNNNNNNNNNNNNNNNNNNNNNNNNNNNNNNNNNNNNNNNNNNNNNNNNNNNNNNNNNNNNNNNNNNNNNNNNNNNNNNNNNNNNNNNNNNNNNNNNNNNNNNNNNNNNNNNNNNNNNNNNNNNNNNNNNNNNNNNNNNNNNNNNNNNNNNNNNNNNNNNNNNNNNNNNNNNNNNNNNAUGAGCCGGGUCUUGAUGCUGUAUAAUUUUAUCUGAAAAAAUUAUACAUUAGCCCCCAAGUGUCAGGGAUAUUGCUUGCAAUAGUUCUGAGACUUGCCCCUUAUCAUGUACUUCAACAGGAAACUCUUAUUCAGACUGAAUCAUCACUUGGCGAUUUAAAGAAAAACUUAUCUGAUCAACAAGAUGCCCGAACCAAGUAGGAGGAAAAGUAUCAAUUGGUCUUAGCUGAGAUGGAAAAACUAAAAGCCGAUUUAAAAAGGGCUCAAGCUGACCAAGAUGCUGCAACAAAAAGAGCAGAGAAACCUGAAGCCAAGAUGGCUACUGUGCAACAAGACCUAUCUCGCUUGAAAUGUCAUAUCUCAAACAUGGCGCAAGCCGUCUUUGGUAAAAUACUCAAAACUUUGAUCUUUGUUUAAACCAAUAACUCUUAUCCAGAGUCACUGAUUAUCAUUACCCCUUGGAUAGGUCCUAGAGCCGCCAAUCUUCAGGAUGAUUGCAUGCUGAUGCUGAAGGCGAUUUACACGCUAACAGAGCAGCUAUAUACCGGCAGUGUACUAACUGUUAAAGCAGUGAUGGGCGCCAAGGAGCCUAUAACCUCCAUAAAGAAGAUGCUUGGCUGCCUAUCCAUGCUUCCUCCCUAGAUUGGCGAGUUGACACGGUCAGCCGCCCGGAAGGGAGUGUUGACUACAUUAAGUCGCUGCUUAGCUUAUUGCUCCAGAGAUCAACCCGGAAGAAGUAGCAGCGGGCUUCCCUCAACUCAAGGAUGACGGGUCAGAAUUCGUCGAAGAGGACUAUCGGCGUGUCGUCAAGGACUCCCGGCUGGCGGCGACUCAACUUGCUGCAAGUCUGGACUUAUCAAAGUAUCAGGCUCCUUAUGAUAGCAAGAACAAGAAGGUCAACCCGCCAACCUUUGUGACAACCAGCUUAACUCCACGGCGACCCAAGAACCCUUUUGACUUGGACGCAGAUCUUUCAUCAAUCCUGACCGAUGAGAAUGACUUCGCGGAUCUGGCCAAGUGCAACUGGGUACUGGGCGACUUGCAAAUUGAGGUCGGCCAAAGCUCGCAGCAAAACGAUCCAAGGGCGCCAGCAGAAUAAACUUCAUUGAUUUGGCCCUAAGAGCCAUGUAAUAGGUCUCCAUUAGGAAUCGGUACUGCUUUUGUUAUACUUUCGAAAAGAAUCCUUAUGUCGCCCUUAAGGCGAUUUGAAAUACUGGAUCCGCCANNNNNNNNNNNNNNNNNNNNNNNNNNNNNNNNNNNNNNNNNNNNNNNNNNNNNNNNNNNNNNNNNNNNNNNNNNNNNNNNNNNNNNNNNNNNNNNNNNNNUACACUAACUUCUGCCAGUGUGGGUACCGUUGCUUGGAAAGGGUUAGCACUUCGCUGAUAAAAUACACCGGGCGUUGCACUGGGUACUCCUUCCCUUCCUCCUUUCUUUCAACGACCACUGCCACACUUAUUGCUUUGAAAUUUGCAGCAAUAUACAGAAGCAUGAGAUCUUUCUCAGUCGGGGUGGCCAGGACCGGCGGGUUAACCAAUUGUCGUUUCAAGGCUUCGAGCGCCUCGUCUGCCUCAUUUGUCCAAACAAACCGGUCAGAUUUCUUUAGUAACUGAUAAAGAGGAAUCGCCUUUUCACCCAGGCGACUUACAAAGCGACUUAGAGCCGCAAUGCGACCCGCUAGUCGUUGAACUUGAUUAACAUUUGUCGGCCUUCCAAGGGAUGUAACUGCUUCGAUUUUGUCCGGGUUAGCUUCAAUGCCACACUCAGACACCAGGAAGCCCAACAAUUUCCCUACAGGAACACCAAAAACACACUUGGUGGGAUUCAACUUCAUCUGAUAUACCCGUAGAUUAUCGAAAGUUUUCUUGAGAUCCUCCAGUAGCGUCUCCCCCUGGCGGGUUUUGAUCACAAUAUCGUCGACAUAGGCGUGGACGUUGUGACCGAUUUGGCUGCGGNNNNNNNNNNNNNNNNNNNNNNNNNNNNNNNNNNNNNNNNNNNNNNNNNNNNNNNNNNNNNNNNNNNNNNNNNNNNNNNNNNNNNNNNNNNNNNNNNNNNCGUCGAACCUUAAGUGUGCAGACCCUGCGGGCUCGAGAACUAUGUAGACAUGACCCGAGUGACUCCUCGGUCAAUAUCCAAUAGCGGGACCUGGAUGCCCAUAUUGGAUCCGACAUAUUCUACGAAGAUCUUAUCGUUUGAACCUCAGUGCCAAGGAUGCAUAUAAUCCCGUAUGUCAUUCCCUUUGUCCUUCGGUAUGUUACUUGCCCGAGAUUCGAUCGUCAGUAUCCGCAUACCUAUUUCAAUCUCGUUUACCGGCAAGUCUCUUUACUCAUUCCGUAAUACAAGAUCCCGCAACUUACACUAAGUCACAUUGCUUGCAAGGCUUGUGUGUGAUGUUGUAUUACCGAGUGGGCCACGAGAUACCUCUCCGUCAUAGGGAGUGACAAAUCCCGGUCUUGAUCCAUACUAACUCAACUAACACCUUCGGAGAUACCUGUAGAGCAUCUUUAUAGUCACCCAGUUUCAUUGAAACGUUUGAUACACACANNNNNNNNNNNNNNNNNNNNNNNNNNNNNNNNNNNNNNNNNNNNNNNNNNNNNNNNNNNNNNNNNNNNNNNNNNNNNNNNNNNNNNNNNNNNNNNNNNNNNNNNNNNNNNNNNNNNNNNNNNNNNNNNNNNNNNNNNNNNNNNNNNNNNNNNNNNNNNNNNNNNNNNNNNNNNNNNNNNNNNNNNNNNNNNNNNNNNNNNNNNNNNNNNNNNNNNNNNNNNNNNNNNNNNNNNNNNNNNNNNNNNNNNNNNNNNNNNNNNNNNNNNNNNNNCGUCUAUUAAUUUGGGUGUAGUCCAUCACAUGAUUCUCCUAAUGAUGUGAUCUCGUUAUCAAGUGACAACACUUGCCUAUGGUCAGGAAACCUUGACCAUCUUUGAUCAACGAGCUAGUCAACUAGAGGCUUACUAGGGAUAGUGUUUUGUCUAUGUAUCCACACAUGCACUGUGUUUCCAAUCAAUACAACUAUAGCAUGGAUAAUAAACGAUUAUCAUGAACAAAGAAAUAUAAUAAUAACUAAUUUAUUAUUGCCUCUAGGGCAUAUUUCCAACAGUCUCCCACUUGCACUAGAGUCAAUAAUCUAGUUCACAUCACCAUGUGAUUCCAACGAAUCCAACACCCAUAUAGUUAUGGGGUCUGAUCACGUCUUGCUCAUGAGAGAGGUUUUAGUCAACGGUUCUCAAACUUUCAGAUCCGUGUGUUCUUUACAAAUCUUUAUGUCAUCUUAUAGAUGCUGCUACUAUGUGCUAUUUGGAAAUACUCCAAAUAUCUACUCUACUAUACGAAUCCGUUUCACUACUCAUAGUUAUUCGGAUUAGUGUCAAAGCUUGCAUCGACGUAACCCUUUACGACGAACUCUUUAACCACCUCCAUAAUCGAGAAAAAUUCCUUAGUCCAUCAUGUACUAAGGAUAAAUUUUGACCGCUGCUAGUGAUUCAAUCAUGGAUCACUCUCUGUACCUCUCAACAGACUUUGAGUCAAGGCACACAUCAGGUGCGGUACCCAGCAUGGCAUACUUCAGAUUCUACGGCCAAGGCAUAGAAGACGACCUUCGUCUAUUCUCUUUAUUCUGCCGUGGUCGGGUUUUGAGUCUUACUCAAAUCCACACCUUACAACACAACCAAGAACUCCUUCUUUGCUGAUCUAUUUUGAACUCCUUCAGAAACUUGUCAAGGCAUGCAUCUUGUUGAAACUUCCAUUAAGCGCUUUCGAUCUAUCUCCAUAGAUCUUUGAUGCUCAACGUUCAAGUAGCGCAAUCCAGAUACUCCUUUGAAAACUCCUUUCAAACAACCUUGUAUGCUUUAUAGAAAUUCUACAUUACUUCUGAUCCACAAUAUGUCAACCACAUAUACUCAUCAGAAAUUCUAUAGUGCUCCCACUCACUUCUUUGGAAAUACAAGUUUCUCAUAAACCUUGUACAAACCCAAAAUCUUUGAUCAUCUCAUCAAAGUGUAUAUUCCAACUCCGAGAUGCUUGCACCAGUCCAUUGAAGGAUCGCUGGAGCUUGCAUACUUGCUAGUAUCUUUAGGAUCGACAAAACCUCCUGGUUGUAUCACAUACAAUGUUUGCUCAAGGAAACCAUCGAGGAAACAAUGUUUUGACAUCCUAUGUGCAAUAUUUCGUAAAUAAUGCAGCAACUACUAACAUAAUUCUAACAGACUUUUAGCAUCGCUACGAGUGAGAAAGUCUCAUCAUAGUCAACUGUUUGAUCUUGUCGGAAACAUCUUUGCGACAAGUCGAGCUUUUCUUAAUAGUGACUUAUCACCAUCAUCGUCUGUCUUCCUUUUAAAGAUCCAUCGUUAGUCAAUAGUCCUAUGACCAUCAAGUAGUUCUUCCAAAGUCUACACUUUGUUUUCAUACAUGGAUCCUCUCUCGGAUUUCAUGGCCUCCAGCCAUUUGUCGGAAUCCGGGCCCACCAUUGCUUUCUUCAUAACUCGUAGGUUCACUGUUGCUCAACAACAUGACCUCCAAGACAGGGUUACCGUACCACUCUGCAGUAGUACGCGACCUUGUGAACCUACGAGGUUUGUAGUAACUUGAUCCGAUGCUCGAUGAUCACCAUCAUCAGCUUUCACUUCAAUUGGUGUAGGCGCCACAGGAACAACUUCCUGCGCCCUGCUACACACUGGUUGAAGUGAUGGUUCAAUAACCUCAUCAAGUUCUACCACCCUCCCACUCAAUUCUUUUGAGAGAAACCUUUCCUCGAGAAAGGAUCUGUUUCUAGAAACAAACACUUUGCUUUCGGAACUGAGAUAGGAGAUGUACCCAACUGUUUUGGAUAUCCUAUGAAGAUGCAUUUAUCCGCUUUGGGUUCGAGCUUAUCAGGCUGAAACUUUUUCACAUAAGUGUCGAAGCCCCAAACUUUCAAGAAACGACAGUUUAGAUUUCUCUAAACCUCAGUCUAUACUGUGUCAUCUCAACGGAAAUACGCGGUGCCCUAUUUAAAGUGAUUGCGGUUGUCUCUAAUGCAUAACCCAUAAACGAUAGUGGUAAUUCGAUAAGAGACAUCAUAGCAUGCACCAUACCAAAUAGUGCGUGGCUAUGACAUUCAGACACAUCAUCACACUAUGAUGUUCCAGAUGGCAUGAACUGCGAAACAAUUUCCACAUUGUCUUAACUGCGUACCAAAACUCGUAACUCAGAUAUUCAUUUCUAUGAUCAUAUCGUAGAUCGUUUAUCCUCUUGUUACGACGAACUUCACUCUGAAACAGAAUUGAACUUUUCAAUAUUUCAGACUUGUGAUUCAUUAAGUAAAUACUCUUGUAUCUACUCAAAUCGUCACUGAAGUAAGAACAUAAUGAUAUCCACUGCGUGCCUCAGCACCCAUUGGACUGCAUACAUCAAAAUGUAUCACUUCCAACAAGUUACUAUCUUGUUUCAUCUCAAUGAAAACAAGGCUUUGCUCAUGUGGUAUGAUUUGCAUGUCACUAGUGAUUCAAAAUCAUGUGAGUAUAAAGAUCCAUCAGCAUGGAGCCUCUUCAUGCAAUUUAUACCAACAUGACUCAAGCGGCAGUGGCACAAGUAAGUGGUACUAUCAUCAUUACCUCGUAUCUUUUGGCACCAAUGUCAUGAACACGUGUAACACUACAAUCGAGAUUCAAUAAACCAUUAAAGGUGAUUAUUCAAGAAAAUAGAGUAACCAUUAUUCUCUUUAAAUGAAUAAUCGUAUUGCAAUAAACCCGAUCCAAUCAUGUUCAUGCUUAACGCAAGCACCAAAUAACAAUUAUUUAGGUUUAACACCAAUCCCGAUGGUAGAGGGAGCGUGCGACGUUUGAUCAUAUCAACCUUGGAAACACUUCCAACACGUAUCGUCACCUCACCUUUAGCUAGUCUCGGUUUAUGCCGUAGCUUUCAUUUCGUGUUACUAAUCACUUAGCAACCGAACCGGUAUCCAAUACCCUCGUGCUACUAGGAGUACUAGUAAAGUACACAUCAACAUCAUGUAUAUCAAAUAUACUUCUUUCGACUUUUGCCAGCCUUCUUAUCUACCAAGUAUCUAGAGUUGCUCCGCCUCAGUGACUGUUCCCCUCAUUACAGAAGCACUAAGUCUCGGGUUUGGGUUUAAUCUUGGGUCUCUUCAUUAGUGCAGCAAUAGUUUUGCCGUUUCACGAAGUAUCCCUUCUAGCCCUUGCCUUUCUUGAAACUUAGUGGUUUUACUAACCAUCAACUAUUGAUGAUCCUUCUUGAUUUCUACUUUCGCAGUGUCAAACAUCGCGAAUUGCUCAAGGAUCAUUGUAUCAAUCCUUGAUAUGUUAUAGUUCAUCACGAAGCUCUCACAGCUUGGUGGCAGUGACUUUGGAGAACCAUCACUAUCUCAUCUGGAAGAUUAACUCCCACUUGAUUCAAGCGAUUGUCGUACUCAGAUAAUCUGAGCACACGCUCAACGAUUGAGCUUUUCUCCCUUAAUUUGUGGACAAAGAAUCUUGUCAGAGGUCCCGAACCUCUUAACAAGGGCACAAGCAUGAAAUCACAAUUUCAUCUCUUUAGAACAUCUCUUAUGUUUCGUGACGUUUGAAAACGUCUUCGGCGCCUUGCUUCUAAGCCAUUAAGUAUUUUGUACUGAACUAUCGUGUAGUCAUGAGAAACGUGUAUGUCGUAUGUUCACAACAUCCACAGACGACGCUCGAGGUGCAGCACACCGAGUGGUGCAUUAAGGACAUAAGCCUUCUGCGCAGCAACGUGGACAAUCCUCUGCAAAGUUUGCUACUAUCAACUUUCAACUAAAUUUUCUCUAGGAACAUAUAAAAAUAGUAGAGCUAUAGCGCAAGCUACAUCGUAAUUCGCAAAGACCAUUAGACUAUGUUCAUGACAAUUAGUUCAAUUAAUCAUAUUACUUGAGAACUCCCACUCAAAAAGUACAUCUCUCUAGUCAUUUGAGUGGUACAUGAUCCAAAUCCACUAUCUCAAGUCCGAUCAUCACGUGAGUCGAGAUUAGUUUCAGUGGUAAGCAUCUCUAUGCUAAUCAUAUCAACUAUACGAUUCAUGCUCGACCUUUCGGUCUCAUGUGUUCCGAGGCCAUGUCUGCACAUGCUAGGCUCGUCAAGCUUAACCCGAGUGUUCCGCGUGUGCAACUGUUUUGCACCCGUUGUAUGUGAACGUCGAGUCUAUCACACCCGAUCAUGACGUGGUGUCUCGAAACGAAGAACUGUCGCAACAGUGCACAGUCGGGGAGAACACAAUUUCGUCUUGAAAUUUUAGUGAGAGAUCACCUCAUAAUGCUACCGUCGUUCUAAGCAAGAUAAGGUGCAUAAAGGAUUAACAUCACAUGCAAUUCAUAAGUGACAUGAUAUGGCCAUCAUCAUGUGCUUCUUGAUCUCCAUCACCAAAGCACCGGCACGAUCUUCUUGUCACCGGCGUCACACCAAGAUCUCCAUCAACGUGUCGCCAUUGGGGUUGUCGUGCUAUCCAUGCUAUUACUACUAAAGCUACGUCCUAGCAAUAUAGUAAACGCAUCUGCAAGCACAAAUGUUAGUUUAAAGACAACCCUAUGGCUCCUGCCGGUUGCCGUACCAUCGACGUGCAAGUCGAUAUUAACUAUUACAACAUGAUCAUCUCAUACAUCCAAUAUAUCACAUCACAUCGUUGGCCAUAUCACAUCACAAGCAUACCCUGCAAAAACAAGUUAGACGUCCUCUAAUUGUUGUUGCAUGUUUUACGUGGUGACCAUGGGUAUCUAGUAGGAUCGCAUCUUACUUACGCAAACACCACAACGGAGAUGUAUGAAUUGAUAUUUAACCUCAUCCAAGGACCUCCUCGGUCAAAUCCGAUUCAACUAAAGUUGGAGAAACUGUUGGAAUUAUGCCCUAGAGGCAAUAAUAAAUAUAGUUAUUAUUAUAAUUCCUGUAUCAAGAUAAUCAUUUAUUAUCCAUGCUAUAAUUGUAUUGAAUGAAGACUCAUUUACAUGUGUGGAUACAUAGACAAAACACUGUCCCUAGCAAGCCUCUAGUUGGCUAGCCAGUUGAUCAACGAUAGUUAGUGUCUUGUGAUUAUGAACAAGGUGUUGUUGCUUGAUAACUGGAUCACGUCAUUAGGAGAAUCACGUGAUGGACUAGACCCAAACUAAUAGACGUAGCAUGUUGAUCGUGUCAUUUUAUUGCUACUGUUUUCUGNNNNNNNNNNNNNNNNNNNNNNNNNNNNNNNNNNNNNNNNNNNNNNNNNNNNNNNNNNNNNNNNNNNNNNNNNNNNNNNNNNNNNNNNNNNNNNNNNNNNCGGAGACCAUGGGUUAGUACACAAACACGUAAUGGACAAUGCUUACCAUACCAUGGGAUCACUUGAUCCCUCUCGAUACAUCUUGUACGCUUUGUGUGUUGAUCAUAUCUUGAUUCAUUCUUUGUCUGAGAUCUUGAUCAACCUUGUGUCUCUAUGACCAUUCUUUGGAUAAUACCUUGAAUACCAUCUUGUUCAUCAUAUAAACUCCUUGAACCCAACAAAUGGACUUCAAGAGGUGCCUAUGGACAAAUGCUAUAAAUAUAACUUAAGGCAACCAUUAGUCCAUAGGAAUUGUCAUCAAUUACCAAAACCACAUAUGGAGAUAUAUGCUCUAACACUCCUCAACCGCCAUCCAGCUCCUGCCCCCCUUGGGCCAAGGCUUGUAUUACCAAAGGAUGAGUCACCCCUUCAGUGACCCGACCCAGUUAGGGAGGGUUACACCGCAGGUAAUAUCCCCAACAUUAGGCCCCAGAUUGUCUUGAAUUUAUUCAUGCCAAUAAACUUCCACUCAUUUUGGGGCGACUUGUAUCAUUCCUAUCUUUCAAACGAAUGACAAGCCGCCAUCCAUCAUGAAUUGUUUGAGCCGCCAAGCAAAUUUUGAUGACAUCACCUUUUCCCUCAAAUUUCGGGACUUAAUGACACAACCACCUGACGGAUCUUUCUCACCACCAUUUUGUUAUCCCAAAAAUCCAAGCGCCAUCAUUGCAAAUUUUUAGUUUGUCGCCUCUAUUCCCGCGCCUGCCACCUCAAUUCCAGCACCCGUCCUUCCAAUAACCGAAGGGGGGAGUGGGGGCACCGUCACCUACCCCCACUUCAGCUUCCUCGUCAAUCUUCGUCUUCCUCGCACUAACGCCCCUAUCUCUUCGCCGUCGCCGAAGCUUCCAGCCAGCCGUCGCGGUCUGGACGACUCCAGGCAAACCGAACGCGCAGGAUCCGCUGCAAACAUUCCGCAUCUUCCUCCGGGGGCCGCCAUUCUUUCUCACGUAAGCACCUUUCCCCCACUAGGGUUAGACUUCGCUGCCAUGUUUAGUCUAGGUCAGCUUCGGAAUGCAGCAAUGAUCCCUCUCCUAUUUUAGAUCCAUUAGUCACACUUCUAAUGGACCCUCCAUAGUAUUGAAGCACGAUAGCAUCACCGCAUCUGCUGGCCAUUUUGACGUUUACACUUCAUAGAAUCAUACGGUACUCCCGUCGCGUUCUUUGCGUUCAUAGUCUUGGCAGCUUCGUUUAAGCAUUAUCUCCUUAAUUUGAUCCACCCGUAGAUCCAUAUUUCAUUGCUUGCUUUUAGAAACUUGUUUAUCCCACUCCGAGAAUAUCCCUAAGGAAAGAAUCUUUUCUGAAUCGCCACUCGCCAUCUUCCACCACAGCGAGUUAGAACAUGGCCAAGGCUACGCUUUUGAUGGCCGAAGGGCGACUCAUAACACCUUCGUAGACAUACUAUAAAUAGCUCAACUGGCGAGUUAGAAUAUCCUCAUAUCCAGGUUUUUAGUUACCUAAUGUCGAGUCAUAGGGCCUUUACACACAUAUCAUAGGUCUCCAACUGGCGAGUUGCCACGUUUUAUGGUCCUUAAUGAGCCGCCUUGUUUCUUAUUUUUUGUAGUCAUGGUUAGCAUCUCGAAAUGCGAUUGGCUACCAACCAAGAUUAAUGGCGCCUUUGUCGAGAAAUUUGUCAAGUCGGGUCAUCUUGAUUGUAAGGAAGUCAUUCGUUGGCGGACCGCUCCAGGCGAGGUGAUUCCCAAUCCCGCCGAGGGGGAAGUCGUUGUUUCCAUUGAUCAUCUUGAACGAGGCUUCAAACCGCCCGGGUCAAAGUUCUUUAGAGACGCUCUGCAUUUCCUCAACGUUCACCCUCGGGAUCUGGGACCCAACUCCAUUAGUAAUCUUUGUCAAUUCCAAGUAUUUUGUGAAGCAUACCUACAGAUAGAGCCCACAGUUCCAUUAUUUUGGAACUUAUUUCAUCUGAACCGCCAGACCGAAUUUUCCAGUGGGCCCAACUUGGAACUCGGGGGGUCAACAUCCAGCGGCGCCGCGAAUGUGGGUUUCCGUCCGUCCUCCUGCCCAGCCAUCCCAAAGGCUGGGCCGAGUCUUGGUUUUAUUGUCAUGACACUUCUCCUCCCGGUGAGAACCCACUUCCGGGUUAUAGAGAAGAUAGCUUACCCAUGGACUUCAAGCUGCCAGAGAAACUUACCGAAGAAGAAGAAUCGGAAUUCAUCCCCAUCUUCUCCAAGCUACGGUCUUUGACCAAUAAUGGGCUCAUCGGGGUUGACCUAUUCCGUUGCUGGGUGGAGUGGAAUAUCCUUCCUCUGAGUCGCCGGAAUGGUCUGAUGUGCGAAUACGACGGCAGCGUGAACCAUCCGCAAUGCUUUCAUCAUAAAAGACUCCCCGAGAAAGACAUUGUUGACAUAAUCAAGAAAUUAACCGGCGAGUCCUUGGAAAAUUGUGCCAAGGUCGGGCUCAAGCCUUUCUGCCUCACCAACCCGGAUCCACCGGUAGCAAUCUAAGUCGCCACCUUCUACCUUUUUGAAUAUAUGUGCCAGCAUUCCAGGUUUGAAUUUUGAUUCUAUCCACCAGAAAGGUGAUCCAUUUUGGUCUCGAAGGCCAAAGGUGACUGUCCAGAAAACAACUAAACCGCCGCCGAAGAAGAAGAAAAAGACGAGCAAAGGCAAAGCCGCCGUCAAGGUGUCAUCCUUCGUCGGCGAGUCCCAAGCCGGCAAAGAACAGUCAGAGGUAAAAAUUUACCCUUUUCUUUGUCAUCAUUAUGUUCCGACUUAUGCUGAUGUCCGGUUACCUUUGUACGUAGGACGAUCGCUAUGAGAGCCAAGAUGACGUGGUCGAGGUAAUUUCUAUUUCUUCUGACUCAACUUCCUCUUCUCCUAGGCCAGCCAGGCGGAUUUGUGGAAAAGAUCCCAUGUCUCACCCAAAUGCUUGUCUGGACCCUGAUUUCCUUUUGAAGAAGGCGAAACAUACUCCCAAACGAAAAACCUGAAGCCGUUCUGGUGACUUAGUUUCCGGGUUACCUGAAAAGACAACCGGUCGGAAGCGCACAAUUGAGGUAUACUCCUAUUGAACACUCUCCUCCUUGUAGAAAAUGUGAUUCAUAAGUCAUUCACUCCUUGAACUUUUAUUCUUUCAGGUCUCUCCUCCUUCAUCUCGCGACUCAGUGAUAUCAGCUCUUCCGCCAAUGAUUCGUGUACAGGGGUAAGUUCUUUUAUUAACCUUUUUCCUUCCCAAUAAUGAUAUUUGUUCUAACUUUGAUGUCUUUAUCUCAGAGCACAAUCAAAGAAUAUAAAAACUGGCGACUUGUCUUCUGCUCCUAAGAUGACUGAGGAGUUAGGCAUGAGCACCAAUGCCCCAGGGCUUGAUGAGGACCAAGCGGCGGUUCAUGAUGAUCCCGCGGAUGACAUUACUGACGUCCGGAACGACUCUCCAGGCUCUUUAAAGGAAACCAUUGACAAAGUUAACCCGCCGAGCUCUUCCAAGGUGACUGAAGAUCCAGAUACCUUAAUUAUUACUGGUACUGGCUACUCCAAACCUGCAGCGGCGGUGUUAUCCAAACACACCUCAAAAGAAUCCCAUCCUUCCGCAGAACAAGAUAUCACUAAGCUGAAGCUUCCCCAUUAUAAGAAGCUCGAAUUUGACCAACUUUGCUCUGGCUUCAUAAGUCGCCUGGAGAUGAGUUAUGAAAUGGAGAAGAGCUUGAUCUACAUGAUAAGAGUUAAACAUGAGGUACGUCCUUUAUUAUGUGUUCUUCCACCCAUUAGCCUUCGAGGAGACUAGUCUUGCUUGAUGAAAUAAUGUUUGUUGCAAUAUUUGGUAGACCCAUAUCUGUCCUUAGCCCCCAAGGGCCGGUUCAUAUUUUGAAAGAUGAGACGGGUCUUGAAUUGAUAGAAAAACUUCAACCUGUAGCCCCCAAGGGCCGGGUCAUCUUUUGAAAGAUGAGUCGGGUCUUGCAUUAGAUAAAAACUUCAACCUGUAGCCCCCAAGGUUCGGGUCAUCUUUUGAAAGAUGAGACGGGUCUUGCUUUAGAUAAAAACUUCAACCUCUAGCCCGCAAGGGUCGGGUCAUCUUUUGAAAGAUGAGCCGGGUCUUUCUUUAGAUUAGAACUUCAACCUGUAGCCCCCAAGGACCGGGUCAUCUUUUGAAAGAUGAGUCGGGUCUUGCUUUAGAUAAAAACUUCAACAUGUAGCCCCCAAGGACCAGGUCAUAUUUUGAAAGAUGAGCCGGGUCUUGCAUUAGAUAAAAACUUCAACCUCUAGCCCCCAAGGGCCGGGUCAUCUUUUGAAAGAUGAGUCGGGUCUUGUAUUUUGUACGACUUCACAUAGAAUCAUACAUUAGCCCCCAAGUGUCAGGGAUGUUGCUUGCAACAUUUCUGAAUCUUGUCUCCCCAAAAUUUGUUUGCAGGAAUCUAUGACCCGGGCCGAGUCAUCUCUUGCUGACGUGAAGAAAAGCUUAGCCGAACAACACGAUGCUCGGACUGCGUCUGAAGAAAAAUAUCAGUUGGCUUUGGCUGACAUGGAGAAGAUGAAAGCCGGCCAUAAAAAAUUGAGAAGAAAGCUAAUGCUGAUCAAGCCGAAUCCUCAAUCGGGUAGAACAAGGCGAGGCAAAGUUAGAAGCCGCCCUACAGGAACUCUCCGGGCUAAAAAAGCAUGUCUCCAACAUGACCCAAGCCAUCUUUGGUAAGGACCAAUUCCCUCGUUCGGAAAGAGAAGUCAUAAUUUUAGUUUGCAAAUACUGUUUGUCAUUAUUUUAUCCUUUGUUGGUCCACGAGCAGCCAAUCUCCAAGACGACUGCUUCCUAAAGCUUAAGGCAAUUUACACCUUUACGGAGCAGCUGUAUACAGGGAGCAUGCUUACAAUGAAGGCAGUAAUGGGCAACAAGGAACCAAUCAAGUGCAUCAAGAAUAUGUUGGGUUUCUUGUCAACGUUGCCACCACAAGUAGAGGAGCUAAAGAGGUCAGCCGCCCGCAAGGGAGCUCUGACCACCCUAAAUCGGUGCCUGGCGUAUGCCCCUGAACUCAAGCCAUAGGAAGUAGCAGAUGGUUGUUGGAAAUAUGCCCUAGAGGCAAUAAUAAAUUAGUUAUUAUUAUAUUUCUUUCUUCAUGAUAAUCGUUUAUUAUCCAUGCUAUAAUUGUAUUGAUUGGAAACACAGUGCAUGUGUGGAUACAUAGACAAAACACUAUCCCUAGUAAGCCUCUAGUUGACUAGCUCGUUGAUCGAAGAUGGUCAAGGUUUCCUGACCAUAGGCAAGUGUUGUCACUUGAUAACGGGAUCACAUCAUUAGGAGAAUCAUGUGAUGGACUAGACCCAAAUUAAUAGACGNNNNNNNNNNNNNNNNNNNNNNNNNNNNNNNNNNNNNNNNNNNNNNNNNNNNNNNNNNNNNNNNNNNNNNNNNNNNNNNNNNNNNNNNNNNNNNNNNNNNNNNNNNNNNNNNNNNNNNNNNNNNNNNNNNNNNNNNNNNNNNNNNNNNNNNNNNNNNNNNNNNNNNNNNNNNNNNNNNNNNNNNNNNNNNNNNNNNNNNNNNNNNNNNNNNNNNNNNNNNNNNNNNNNNNNNNNNNNNNNNNNNNNNNNNNNNNNNNNNNNNNNNNUGUGUGUAUCAAACGUUGCAACAUAACUGGGUGACUAUGAAGAUGCUCUACAGGUAUCUCCGAAGGUGUUAGUUGAGUUAGUAUGGAUCAAGACUGGGAUUUGUCAUUCCGUAUGACGGAGAGGUAUCUCNNNNNNNNNNNNNNNNNNNNNNNNNNNNNNNNNNNNNNNNNNNNNNNNNNNNNNNNNNNNNNNNNNNNNNNNNNNNNNNNNNNNNNNNNNNNNNNNNNNNNNNNNNNNNNNNNNNNNNNNNNNNNNNNNNNNNNNNNNNNNNNNNNNNNNNNNNNNNNNNNNNNNNNNNNNNNNNNNNNNNNNNNNNNNNNNNNNNNNNNNNNNNNNNNNNNNNNNNNNNNNNNNNNNNNNNNNNNNNNNNNNNNNNNNNNNNNNNNNNNNNNNNNNNNNNNNNNNNNNNNNNNNNNNNNNNNNNNNNNNNNNNNNNNNNNNNNNNNNNNNNNNNNNNNNNNNNNNNNNNNNNNNNNNNNNNNNNNNNNNNNNNNNNNGGGAUUAUAUGAAUCCUCGGCACUGAGGUUCAAACGAUAAGAUCUUCAUACAAUAUGUAGGAUCCAAUAUGGGCAUCCAGGUCCCGCUAUUGGAUAUUGACCGAGGAGUCACUCGGGUCAUGUCUACAUAGUUCUCGAACCCGCAGGGUCUAAACACUUAAGGUUCGACGUUGUUUUAUGCGUAUUUGAGUUAUAUGGUUGGUUACCGAGUGUUGUUCGGAGUCCCUGAUGGGAUCACGGACGUCAUGAGGGUUUCCGGAAUGGUCCGGAGACGAAGAUUGAUAUAUAGGAUGACCUCAUUUGGUUACCGGAAAGUUUUCGGGCAUUACCGGAAAGGUUUCGGGCUCAUCGGUAGUGUACCGGGAGUGCCGGGAGGUGUGACGGGGACCAUCGAGAGGGGUGUCAUGCACCAAGGGGUCUCAUGGGCUAUGGGAAGAGAUAAACUAGCCCCUAGUGGGCUGGAAUAAGUUCCCACUAAGGCCCAUAAGGUUUGAGAAGGGAAAAACACAAGGUGGAAAGAGUUUCCAAGUGGGAAGGUGGAAUCCUACUCCAAGUAGGAUUGGAGUAGGACUCCUCCACCUCAAAUUUUGGCCAAACCUUGAGGGUUUGAGGCUGCCUCCUCCCCUCCCUCCCUCCUAUAUAUAGUGGGGUUUUAGGGCUGAUUUGAGACAACUUUUUCCACGGCAGCCCGACCACAUACCUCCACGGUUUUACCUCUAGAUCGCGUUUCUGCGGAGCUCGGGCGGAGCCCUGCUGAGAUUAGAUCACCACCAACCUCCGGAGCGCCGUCACGCUGCCGGAGAACUCAUCUACCUCUCCGUCUCUCUUGCUGGAUCAAGAAGGCCGAGAACAUCGUCGAGCUGUACGUGUGCUGAACGCGGAGCUGCCGUCCGUUCGGCACUAGAUCGGAGCGGAUCGUGGGACGGAUCGCGGGACGGUUCGUGGGAUGGUUCGUGGGGCGGAUCGAGGGACGUGAGGACGUUCCACUACAUCAACCGCGUUUCUUAACGCUUCUGCUGUGCGAUCUACAAGGGUAGUAGAUCGGAAAUCCCCUCUCGUAGAUGGACAUCACCAUGAUAGGUCUUCGUGCGCGUAGGAAAAUUUUUGUUUCCCAUGCGACGUUCCCCAACAGUGGCAUCAUGAGCUAGGUUCAUGCGUAGAUGUAAUCUCGAGUAGAACACAAAAGUUCUUGUGGGCGGUGAUGUGCGUUUUGCUGCCUUCAUUAGUCUUUUCUUGAUUCAGCGGUAUUGUUGGAUCGAAGCGGCUCGGACCGACAUUACUCGUACGCUUACGAGAGACUGGUUUCAUCGCUACGAGUAACUCCGUUGCUCAAAGAUGACCGGCGAGUGUCGGUUUCUGUUGGGGAACAUCGCAUGGGAAACAAAAAAAAUUCCUACGCGCACGAAGACCUAUCAUGGUGAUGUCCAUCUACGAGAGGGGAUGUGUGAUCUACGUACCCUUGUAGACCGUACAGCAGAAGCGUUAGUGAACGCGAUUGAUGUAGUGGAACGUCCUCACGUCCCUCGAUCCGCCCCGCGAACCGUCCCGCGAUCAGUCCCACGAUUUAGUGCCGAACGAACGGCACCUCCGCGUUCAGCACACGUACAGCUCGACGAUGAUCUCGGCCUUCUUGAUCCAGCAAGAGAGACGGAGAGUUAGAAGAGUUCUCCGGCAGCGUGACGACGCUCCGGAGGUUGGUGAUGAUCUCGUCUCAGCAGGGCUCCGCCCGAGCUCCGCAGAAACGCGAUCUAGAGGUAAAACCGUGGAGAUAUGUGGUCGGGCUACCGUGGCAAAGUUGUGUCAAAUCAGCCCUAAAANNNNNNNNNNNNNNNNNNNNNNNNNNNNNNNNNNNNNNNNNNNNNNNNNNNNNNNNNNNNNNNNNNNNNNNNNNNNNNNNNNNNNNNNNNNNNNNNNNNNNNNNNNNNNNNNNNNNNNNNNNNNNNNNNNNNNNNNNNNNNNNNNNNNNNNNNNNNNNNNNNNNNNNNNNNNNNNNNNNNNNNNNNNNNNNNNNNNNNNNNNNNNNNNNNNNNNNNNNNNNNNNNNNNNNNNNNNNNNNNNNNNNNNNNNNNNNNNNNNNNNNNNNNNNNNNNNNNNNNNNNNNNNNNNNNNNNNNNNNNNNNNNNNNNNNNNNNNNNNNNNNNNNNNNNNNNNNNNNNNNNNNNNNNNNNNNNNNGAUUUUCUUCCCAAUGCUCAUAGGCCUCUUUUGGGCUGUCCCACCAACCCACUAAGGGCUGGUGCGGCACCCCUAACACCAAUGGGCUUCCCCGGGGUGGGUGCCCCCCCCGGUGAACUCCCGGAACCCAUUCGUCAUUCCCGGUAACUCCGAAAACCUUCCGGUAAUCAAAUGAGGUCAUCCUAUAUAUCAAUCUUCGUUUCCGAACCAUUCCGGAAACCCUCGUGACGUCCGUGAUCUCAUCCGGGACUCCGAACAACAUUCGGUAACCAACCAUAUAACCUAAAUACGCAUAAAACAACGUCGAACCUUAAGUGUGCAGACCCUGCGGGUUCGAGAACUAUACAGACAUGACCCGAGAGACUCCUCGGUCAAUAUCCAAUAGCGGGACCUGGAUGCCCAUAUUGGAUCCUACAUAUUCUACGAAGAUCUUAUCGUUUGAACCUCAGUGCCAAGGAUUCAUAUAAUCCCGUAUGUCAUUCCCUUUGUCCUUCGGUAUGUUACUUGCCCGAGAUUCGAUUGUCAGUAUCCGUAUACCUAUUUCAAUCUCGUUUACCGGCAAGUCUCUUUACUCGUUCCAUAAUACAAGAUCCCGCAACUUACACUAAGUCACAUUGCUUGCAAGGCUUGUGUGUGAUGUUGUAUUACCGAGUGGGGCCCGAGAUACCUCUCCGNNNNNNNNNNNNNNNNNNNNNNNNNNNNNNNNNNNNNNNNNNNNNNNNNNNNNNNNNNNNNNNNNNNNNNNNNNNNNNNNNNNNNNNNNNNNNNNNNNNNNNNNNNNNNNNNNNNNNNNNNNNNNNNNNNNNNNNNNNNNNNNNNNNNNNNNNNNNNNNNNNNNNNNNNNNNNNNNNNNNNNNNNNNNNNNNNNNNNNNNNNNNNNNNNNNNNNNNNNNNNNNNNNNNNNNNNNNNNNNNNNNNNNNNNNNNNNNNNNNNNNNNNNNNNNNNNNNNNNNNNNNNNNNNNNNNNNNNNNNNNNNNNNNNNNNNNNNNNNNNNNNNNNNNNNNNNNNNNNNNNNNNNNNNNNNNNNNNNNNNNNNNNNNNNNNNNNNNNNNNNNNNNNNNNNNNNNNNNNNNNNNNNNNNNNNNNNNNNNNNNNNNNNNNNNNNNNNNNNNNNNNNNNNNNNNNNACAACACCUUGUUCAUAUUCAGAAGACACUGACUACCGUUGUUCAACUGGCUAGCCAACUAGAGGCUUGCUAGGGACAGUUUUUUUUGUCUAUGUAUCCACACAUGUAAAUGAGUCUUCAUUCAAUACAAUUAUAGCAUGGAUAAUAAACGAUUAUCUUGAUACAGGAAUUAUAAUAAUAACUAUAUUUAUUAUUGCCUCUAGGGCAUAAUUCCAACAGUCUCCCACUUGCACUAGAGUCAAUAAUCUAGCCCUCACAACAUCAUGUGAAUUACAUUGUAAUAAAUCUAACACGCAUACAGUUCUGGUGUUGAUCAUGCUUUGGCCGUGGAAGAGGUUUAGUCAGCGGGUCUACUAUAUUCAGAUCCGUGUGCACUUUGGAUAUAUUUACGUCCUCACCUUCGACGUAGUCGCUGAUGAGGUUGAAGCGUCGUUUGAUGUGUCUGGACUUCUUGUGAAACCGUGGUUCCUUUGCUAAGGCAAUGGCACCCGCGUUGUCAUAGAACAAGGUUAUUGGAUUCAGUGCGCUUGGCACCACUCCAAGAUCCGUCAUGAACUGCUUCAUCCAGACACCCUCCUUAGCCGCCUCCGAGGCAGCCAUGUACUCCGCUUCACAUGUAGAAUCUGCUACGACGCUUUGCUUGGAACUGCACCAGCUUACCGCACCCCCAUUAAGAAUAAAUACGUAUCCGGUUUGCGACUUAGAGACGUCCGGAUCUGUGUCAAAGCUUGCAUCAACGUAACCUUUUACGGCGAGCUCUUCGUCACUUCCAUACACGAGAAACAUCUCCUUAGUCCUUUUUAUGUACUUCAGGAUAUUCUUGACCGCUGUCCAGUGAUCCACUCGUGGAUUACUCUGGAACCUGCCUGCCAUACUUAUGGCCAGGCUAACGUCCGGUCUAGUGCACAUCAUUGCAUACAUGAUAGAGCCUAUGGCUGAAGCAUAGGGGACGGAGCGCAUAUGCUCUCUAUCCUCAUAAGUUGCUGGGCACUGAGUCUUACUCAAUCUCGUACCUUGUAAAACUGGCAAGGACCCCUUCUUGGAUUGUUCCAUUUUGAACCUCUUCAAAACUUUAUCAAGGUAUGUGCUUUGUGAAAGUCCUAUCAGGCGUUUUGAUCUAUCCCUAUAGAUCUUAAUGCCUAUAAUGUAAGCAGCUUCUCCUAGGUCCUUCAUAGAGAAAUUUUAUUCAAGUAAUCCUUUAUGCUCUCCAAAAACUCUACGUUGUUUCCAAUCAACAAUAUGUCAUCCACAUAUAAUAUUAGAAACGCCACAGAGCUCCCACUCACUUUCUUGUAAAUACAAGAUUCUCCAACCACUUGUAUAAACCCAAAUGCUUUGAUCACCUCAUCAAAGCGUUUGUUCCAACUCCGAGAUGCUUGCACCAGUCCAUAAAUGGAUCGCUGGAGCUUGCACACCUUGUUAGCAUCCUUAGGAUCGACAAAACCUUCAGGUUGCAUCAUAUACAAUUCUUCCUUAAGGAAACCGUUAAGGAACGCCAUUUUGAUAUCCAUCUGCCAGAUUUGAUAAUCGAAAAAUCCAGCUAUUGCUUACAUGAUUCUGACGGACUUAAGCAUCGCUACAGGUGAGAAUGUCUCAUCGUAGUCAACUCCUUGAACUUGUGAAAAACCCUUUGCCACAAGUCGAGCUUUAUAAACUGUCACAUUGCCGUCAGCGUCCGUCUUCCUCUUAAAGAUCCAUUUGUUCUGAAUAGCCUUGCGGCCCUCAGGCAGUACCUCCAAAGUCCACACUUUGUUCUCAUACAUGGAUCCUAUAUCGGACUUCAUGGCUUCUAGCCAUUUGUUGGAAUCUGGGACCACCAUUGCUUCUUCAUAAUUUGCAGGUUCAUUGUUGUCUAACAACAUGAUCGAUAAGACGGGAUUGCCAUACCACUCUGGAGCUGCACGUGGUCUCGUCGACCUGCGUGGUUCGACAGAAACUUGAACUGGAGUUUCAUGAUCAUCAUCAUUAACUUCCUCCUCAACCGGCGUCGCAACGACAGAGGUUUCCCCUUGCCCUGCGCCACCAUCCAGAGGGAUGAGAGGUUCGACAACCUCGUCAAGUUCUAUCUUCCUCCCACUCAAUUCUAUCGAGAGAAACUCCUUCUCGAGAAAAGCUCCGUUUUUAGCAACAAACACUUUGCCCUCGGAUUUGAGAUAGAAGGUGUACCCAACUGUCUCUUUUGGGUAACCUACGAAGACACACUUUUCCGCUUUGGGUUCCAGCUUUUCAGGUUGAAGCUUUUUGACAUAAGCAUCACAUCCCCAAACUUUAAGAAACGACAACUUUGGCCUUUUGCCAAACCACAGUUCGUAUGGUGUCGUCUCAACGGAUUUUGAUGGUGCCCUAUUUAAAGUGAAUGCAGCUGUUUCUAAUGCAUAACCCCAAAAUGAUAAUGGCAAAUCGGUAAGAGACAUCAUAGAUCGCACCAUCUCUAAUAAAGUACGAUUACAACGUUCGGACACACCAUUACGCUGUGGUGUUCCAGGCGGUGUCAACUGUGAAACAAUUCCACAUUGUCUUAAGUGAGCACCAAACUCGAAACUCAUAUAUUCACCCCCACGAUCAGACUGUAGGAACUUGAUCUUCUUGUUACGAUGAUUUUCGAAUUCACUCUGAAAUUGCUUGAACUUCUCAAAUGUUUCAGACUUGUGCUUCAUCAAGUAGACAUAACCAUAUCUACUCAAAUCGUCAGUGAAGGUGAGAAAAUAACGAUAUCCGCCGCGUGCCUCUACGCUCAUCGGACCACACACAUCGGUAUGUAUGAUUUCCGACAAGUCACUUGCACGCUCCAUUGUUCCGGAGAACGGAAUUUUAGUCAUCUUGCCCAUGAGGCAUCGUUCGCACGUGUCAAGUGAAUCAAAGUCAAGUGACUCCAAAAGUCCAUCGGCAUGGAGUUUCUUCAUGCGCUUUACUCCAAUAUGACCUAAGCGGCAGUGCCACCAAAAUAUGGCGCUAUCAUUGUUAACUCUAACUCUUUUGGUCUCAAUGUUAUGUAUGUGUGUAUCGCUAUCAAGAUUCAAUAUGAACAAUCCUCUCACAUUGGGUGCAUGACCAUAAAACAUGUUACUCAUAGAAAUAGAACAACCAUUAUUCUCUGACUUAAAAGAGUAACCGUCUCGCAAUAAACAAGAUCCAGAUAUAAUGUUCAUGCUCAACGCAGGCACUAAAUAACAAUGAUUUAAGUUCAUAACUAAUCCUGACGGUAACUGAAGUGAGACUGUGCCGACGGCGAUUGCAUCAACCUUGGAACCAUUUCCCACGCGCAUCGUCACUUCAUCUUUCGCCAGCCUUCGUCUAUUCCGCAGUUCCUGUUUCGAGUUGCAAAUAUGAGCAACAGAACCGGUAUCGAAUACCCAGGCACUACUACUAGAGCCGGUUAAUUACACAUCAAUAACAUGUAUAUCAAAUAUACCUGAUUUUUCUUUGGCCGCCUUCUUAUCAGCCAGAUACUUGGGGCAAUUGCGCUUCGAGUGACCCAUACCCUUGCAAUAGUAACACUCUGUUUCAGGCUUAGGUCCAGCUUUGGGUUUCUUCGUCGGAUUGGCAACAGGCUUGCCGCUCUUCUUCGAAUUACCCUUCUUGCCUUUGUCGUUUCUCUUGAAACUAGUGGUCUUAUUCACCAUCAACACUUGAUGCUCUUUACGGAGUUCAGACUCUGCGACUUUCAGCAUCGCAAACAACUCGCCGGGAGACUUGUUCAUCCCUUGCAUGUUGUAGUUCAACACAAAGCCUUUAUAGCUUGGCGGCAGUGAUUGAAGGAUUCUGUCAGUGAUAGCUUCUUGCGGGAGUUCAAUCCCCAGCUCAGCUAGACGGUUUGAGUACCCAGACAUUUUGAGCACAUGUUCACUGACAGACGAGUUCUCCUCCAUCUUGCAAGCAUAGAAUUUAUCGGAGGUCUCAUACCUCUCGAUCCGGGCGUUCUUCUGAAAGAUAGACUUCAACUCCUGGAACAUCUCAAAUGCUCCAUGACGCUCAAAGCGACGUUGAAGUCUCGGUUCUAAGCCAUACAAGACUGCACAUUGAACUACUGAGUAGUCCUCCUUACGUGCUAACCAAGCGUUCUUAACAUCCUGAUCAGCCGUAGCGGGUGGUUCAUCUCCUAGCGCAACAUUAAGGACAUAAUCCUUCUUCCCAGCUUGUAAGAUUAGCUUAAGAUUACGAGCCGAGUCUACAAAGUUGCUUCCAUCAUCUUUCAACUUAGCUUUCUCUAGGAACGUAUUAAAAUUCAGGGUGACUGUCGCGUGAGCCAUGAUCUACAACACAAAUAUAUUCAAAGUGGACUUAGACUAUGUUCAAGAUAAUUAGAGUUUAACUUAAUCAAAUUAUUUGCUAAACUCCCACUCAAAAUGUACAUCUCUCUAGUCAUUUGAGUGGUUCAUGAUCCACUUACACUAGCUCAAGUCCGGUCAUCACGUGAGUUGAGUAUAGUUUCAGUGGUAAGCAUCCCUAUGCUAAUCAUAUCAUCUAUAUGAUUCAUGAUCGACCUUUCGGUCUCAUGUGUUCCGAGGCCAUGUCUGCACAUGCUAGGCUCGUCAAGCUUAACCCGAGUGUUCCGCGUGCGCAACUCUUUUGCACCCGUUGUAUGUGAAUGUUGAGUCUAUCACACCCGAUCAUCAUGUGGUGUCUCGAAACGACGAACUGUAUCAACGGUGCACAGUCGGGGAGAACACAGUUUCCUCUUGAAAUUUUAGUGAGAGAUCACCUCAUAAUGCUACCGUCGUUCUACGCAAAAUAAGGUGCAUUAAAGGAUUAACAUCACAUGCAAUUCAUAAGUGACAUGAUAUGGCCAUCAUCACGUGCUCCUUGAUCUCCAUCACCAAGCACCGGCACGAUCUUCUUGUCACCGGCGCCACACCAUGAUCUCCAUCAAUGUGUCGCCAUUGGGGUUGUCGUGCUACUCAUGCUAUUACUACUAAAGCUACAUACUAGCAAAAUAGUAAACGCAUCUGCAAGCACAAACAUUAGUAUAAAGACAACCCUAUGGCUCCUGCCGGUUGCCGUACCAUCGACGUGCAAGUCGAUAUCAUCUAUUACAACAUGAUCAUCUCAUACAUCCAAUAUAUAACAUCACAUCAUUGGCCAUAUCACAUCACAAGCAUACCCUGCAAAAACAAGUUAGACGUCCUCUAAUUUUGUUGUUGCAUGUUUUACGUGGUGACCAUGGGUAUCUAGUAGGAUCGCAUCUUACUUACGCAAACACCACAACGGAGAUAUAUGAGUUGCUAUUUAACCUCAUCCAAGGACCUCCUCGGUCAAAUCCGAUUCAACUAAAGUUGGAGAAACUGACACCCGCCAGUCAUCUUUGAGCAACGGAGUUACUCGUAGCGAUGAAACCAGUCUCUCGUAAGCGUACGAGUAAUGUCGGUCCGAGCCGCUUCGAUCCAAAAAUACCGCGGAAUCAAGAAAAGACUAAGGAGGGCAGCAAAACGCACAUCACCGCCCACAAAAACUUUUGUGUUCUACUCGAGAAGACAUCUACGCAUGAACCUAGCUCAUGAUGCCACUGUUGGGGAACGUCGCAUGGGAAACAAAAAAAAUUCCUACGCGCACGAAGACCUAUCAUGGUGAUGUCCAUCUACGAGAGGGGAUGUGUGAUCUACGUACCAUUGUAGACCGUACAGCAGAAGUGUUAGUGAACGCGGUUGAUGUAGUGGAACGUCCUCACGUCCCUCGAUCCGCCCCGCGAACCGUCCCGCGAUCAGUCCCACGAUCUAGUGCCGAACGGACGCCACCUCCGCGUUCAGCACACGUACAGCUCGACGAUGAUCUCGGCCUUCUUGAUCCAGCAAGAGAGACGGAGAGGAAGAAGAGUUCUCCGGCAGCGUGACGGCGCUCCGGAGGUUGGUGAUGAUCUUGUCUCAGCAGGGCUCCGCCCGAGCUCCGCAGAAACGCGAUCUAGAGGUAAAACCGUGGAGAUAUGUGGUCGGGCUGCCGUGGCAAAGUUGUCUCAAAUCAGCCCUAAAANNNNNNNNNNNNNNNNNNNNNNNNNNNNNNNNNNNNNNNNNNNNNNNNNNNNNNNNNNNNNNNNNNNNNNNNNNNNNNNNNNNNNNNNNNNNNNNNNNNNNNNNNNNNNNNNNNNNNNNNNNNNNNNNNNNNNNNNNNNNNNNNNNNNNNNNNNNNNNNNNNNNNNNNNNNNNNNNNNNNNNNNNNNNNNNNNNNNNNNNNNNNNNNNNNNNNNNNNNNNNNNNNNNNNNNNNNNNNNNNNNNNNNNNNNNNNNNNNNNNNNNNNNNNNNNNNNNNNNNNNNNNNNNNNNNNNNNNNNNNNNNNNNNNNNNNNNNNNNNNGAUUUUCUUCCCAAUGCGCAUAGGCCUAUUUUGGGCUGUCCCACCAGCCCACUAAGGGCUGGUGCGGCCCCCCAACACCUAAGGGCUUCCCCGGGGUGGGUGCCCCCCCCGGUGAACUCCUGGAACCCAUUCGUCAUUCCGGGUACAUUCCCGGUAACUCCGAAAACCUUCCGGUAAUCUAUUGAGGUCAUCCUAUAUAUCAAUCUUCGUUUCCGGACCAUUCCAGAAACCCUCGUGACGUCCGUGAUCUCAUCCGGGACUCCGAACAACAUUCGGUAACCAACCAUAUAACUCAAAUACGCAUAAAACAACGUCGAACUUUAAGUGUGCAGACCCUGCGGGUUCGAGAACUAUGCAGACAUGACCCGAGAGACUCCUCGGUCAAUAUCCAAUAGCGGGACCUGGAUGCCCAUAUUGGAUCCUACAUAUUCUACGAAGAUCUUAUCGUUUGAACCUCAGUGCCAAGGAUUCAUAUAAUCCCGUAUGUCAUUCCCUUUGUCCUUCGGUAUGUUACUUGCCCGAGAUUCGAUCGUCAGUAUCCGCAUACCUAUUUCAAUCUCGUUUACCGGCAAGUCUCUUUACUCGUUCCGUAAUACAAGAUCCCGCAACUUAUACUAAGUCACAUUGCUUGCAAGGCUUGUGUGUGAUGUUGUAUUACCGAGUCGGCCCCGAGAUACCUCUNNNNNNNNNNNNNNNNNNNNNNNNNNNNNNNNNNNNNNNNNNNNNNNNNNNNNNNNNNNNNNNNNNNNNNNNNNNNNNNNNNNNNNNNNNNNNNNNNNNNAGGAUCAUGCCAUGUGAAUAGAACCAGAAAAUCAUUUUUGUAAAUUAUUAUUUUAACAAAAGGCAUUUAUUUAUUUUAUGUUUUCCAAAACCCCUCAUUUGAGAUUUGCGCUGCAAGUCCCCAAUUUAGGAGAGAUGCGUUACCCCAAUGUAUUUAAUUUGGAACCUAUUAUUAAAAAGUUUUCCCAAAACCAUAAAACAAUUAUUUUAAAAGUUAUUUUACCAUUUUUUAAACACAUCUUUUUGGAGCCAGAAAUGAUAUUCCAUAAGGAAAAAUUACUUUAUCACUUCAAUAAUAUUUGAGAAAAUUUAGGGAAACUCAUUGGCCAUACAUUUUCCAUACGUAAGAGUUUCAAUACAUGGUCAGGCUAAAAAUAUUGGAAAAAACCCCUCAAAACCCUUUCUGCCUAUUUCAAGAUUUUGAAAUAUUUCCAUAGGGGAUAUUCUCAAAAAAUUCCAGGAAAGUUCAAGCAAAUCACACAUGAUAAAUUUGGUGAUCCUACAAAGUUUAAUCUCAAUCCAAGUUGAUUUGAUCCACCCAACAAUCCGAAAACCAUUUCUGUCCAGAACAAAAUUUGAGAAACUUUACAUUGUCAACUUUAUAGAAUUGAUGCCAAAUUUUACAAGAGUGAUCCAUCCCCCGAAUAAGGAUGCUACACCAAGUUGUGCAUUUGUGGGAGUUGAUCUGAUGCCAAAUUUUACAAGAGUGAAAUCUAAUUAUGUCCAUUUCUAGGGGUUUUCAUGUUUACAUUGUCAACUUUGCUCAAAUGAGGUAAAACCUGGUGAAUCCUACUGAUUUUACCCAUGAAAUAAUGUUGGUAAAUCUCACUGCAAGUGGUGAGUUUUAUCUUGCUCAAUCCAGCAUCAAACACCUUCGGGUGAUUUGGUAAAACUGGUGCUUUCACUCCUACCAUGCCCCUUCACUCCAAAUUCUUACCACAAGCCGAAAUUGUUACCCUUCACCUCCAGCAAAAAGAUCCAGCUUUGGUUCAAUGGUUGGGGUGGGUAAAAACUCCAUUUACCUCUCUGAUUCAUCACGACAGGAGCUUUCUCCCACUCUCUCUUUGACCUCGACCUCUCUCCUCAAUUACAAAGCUUCCAAGGAGCAUCUCCACUGCCCCCAGGCACUGCUGGACAAGAUGGGAUGCGCUAGAGCGCGCUAACAUGUCGUGGCAUGCCCAAACUGCGCUUUGGACGUGCUAUAGUGCGCUCGUGCACUCAAGCGUGGCCAACCCCGACCAUCUCGUGCCCCCUCUGGGCGUCACCCGAGUUGCCCUCGACAACCGAUACCUUGCGCCUUCUCGGGCCCCUCCUCUCUCUCCCUUUGCCCUCUGAGAUGCGUGCCCGUGGCUGCCCGAUUUCGCUAGUAGGCGCCCGCCAUCGUGACAAGCCAUCAGCAUUCCCCCGCUCCUCCUCACCCUCUUCCCGACCCCAAACCGUGUCCACAAAGACCACAGACACGUCCCUAAGUCCCCUCUCUACCUCUGGCAGUCGCCACGGUCUCGCUGGCGCACGAGCUCUCGGUGGACCCUGGUCUCCUUCUCCCUCCCUUCGACCUCCUGUUGCUCCUAAUCGAGCUCCUAGACUACCCACUCCUAAUCAAGCUCCUGAGAUCGAGAUCCAGCUCAAGAUCCACCACAUCAGGACUCUAGAAAUCCUCGAAUACAAGGCUGCUCCGGCCCUCCUUUCUUCCCCUUUGUAACCGCGACAACCUCCUCAUGCUUCUCCUCCUUCACCCCAUUCUUUUUCGGCAACAAUCGGCCCCGGCGACCACCCUCCCGAAAUGCCUCCGCCAGGGGAUGUCGCUGGCGGCGGCUCACUCCACCACAUCCCCUUCCUCCACCACCAACCAAACGUCACGAUGGCUCUGGUCUCAUUCCCGUCACAGACGAGCCCAACCUUGCGCCAUCUCGUCGGUGGUGUGGUCUCCCUUUCUCCUGUCAGGAAGUUGAAGUUGACUCCGGAGGGCCCGCGUGUCUUCCUCCUUUCCCAUCCCUCUUUCACUAAUAGCUGGGGACGAGCCGUCAGGUUUGAACAAGCAGGCCGCAUGCACUGUGUCGGCUGAAGGCAUAAAAUGCCUUUGCGCCUUCGAAGUAGCUGCCUUGCACGGGCUGGUUUCCCUAUGGGCUGGCUCUACCGAGGCGGUUUGGCCCAUGGGGAAUAGUGGCCCUUCCUUUUAGUCCUUUUCCAGAAUCUUUCAAAAAUCUCCUAAGUUUAAAUAUUUGUUCAAAUUCAAAUAUUCCUCCACCAAAAAUCUUGUCAUCUUGUGUAGUAUUUUAGGGUCCCACUUGUGUAAUUUUUACAAUAGGUUGCAUGCACAGUUGUAUUUUAAAACCCUAUUUAGGGUAUUUUAACAAUCUAUUAAAAUAAUUUUUAGAACUUCUUACAGUCCAAAAAUAAAAUUAGCUAAUUUUUAGAGUACCUAUAGUCACCCUAGUAUUUUACAAAAAUGGUGUGACAUUUUUCUGAGUUGAUUAUUUUGCACUUCAAGUCCCUGAACAAAGAGGGAUGUUUUACACCAAAUAUUUUAUUUGAAUCCUAUUUUCCAAAAGACUUCCCAAAACCACAAAAUAAAUAUUUUCAAAGCUAUUUUCCUAAUUUAUUGAAAUACCUUUUUUGAGGCCAGAAAUGGUAUUACUUAAGGAAAAAAUAUAUUUCUUGCUUCAAAAAUAUUUGAGAAAAUUUCGGGAAAUUCAGUGGACAUAUAUUUUCCGUACAUAAGAGUUCAAACACAUGGUCAUGUUCAAAAUAUUGGACAAAACCCUCAAAACCCUUUAUGCCUAGUUCAAACCUUUGAAAUAUUUCCAAAGGAAAUAUUCUCAAUAAAUCCCAGGAAAAGUUUUGCAAGUCACACAUGAUAAUUGUGGUGAUCCUGCAAAGUUUCAUCUCAAUUGAAGAUGAUUUGAUCCACCUGUUAAUUCCAAAACCCUUCUUUACGAGAACCAAAUUUGGGAAAUUCUACAUUGCCAAGUUUACCCAAUUUCUCUCAAACUUUGCAGGAGUGAUCCAGGCCCCAAAUAAGGAUACCACACCAAGUUGUGCAUUUGUGGGAGCUGAUUUGAUCACCUUGGUCAACAAAAAUCUGAUUCUGUCCAUUUCUAGAUUUUUCAUGUCUACAUUGUCAACUUUGCUCAAAUGAGCUCAAACUUGGUGAAUCAUAUUGGUUUUACUCAUAAUCCAAUCGUGUUAAAUAUCACUGCAAGUGAUGAGGUUUAUCUUUCUCAAACCAGCAUGAAACAUCUUCUGGUGAAUUGCUAAAAUUGCUACUUUCAACCCCUACACUGUUCUACUUCACUCCAAAUUUUUACAACAAGCUCACGGAGUCACUCUUCAUAUGCAGUAGCAAGAUCUAGCUCUAGUUAAACCGGGAGUUAGAAUAAAACCCCAAUUAUCCCUCUGGUCCACCCUAGCAGAAGCUUUUCACCCACUCCCUUUGACCACACUCCUCCCACUCGGCUCCAAGGCAUCCCAGGAGCAUCUCCGCAUACCCGAGACACUAGAGGAGAAGAUGGGGUGCGCCAGAGCACGCCAGCAUGUCGUGGCAUGCCAAAACUACGUCUGGCCAUGCUACAGUGCGCACCCGCAUACUGGGAGGCCAGCCUCGACGGCAGGAGACCUAUGCCACCUCCAACCCCUCUCUCCUCUUCUAAUCCCCCUACGACGCAUGCCCUUGGCGGCCGAUUCGGUCAGAUGGCGCCCGCCACCACGUCAAGCCGGGAGCCAGCUCCCCACUGCUCCUCGACCCUGUUCCAACACCAGACCACAUCCACGAAGACAACAUAUGCGCUCCCAAGCCCUCUAUCCUCCCCUGGCCGUCGACAUGGUCUCGUCAAUACACGAACAUUCGGUGCAUCAUGCCCCCUCUAUAUAAUGCCACCCGAGCCUCCCUCUCCCUCCCUUCGACCUCGUGCUACACCUAAUCACUCCACUGAGCCACCCAUUCAUCUUCGGGAGCCUCGAGCUCGAGACCGAGCUCCGGAUCGGGUUCAUCGGGAUUCCGGCAAUCCCCGGGUACAAGGCCGCUCCGUCUCUCAUUUCAUUCCCAAUUGGACCACAACAACUUCAUGAUGCUUUCCCAUAUCUCCCCUAUUCUUUUGCUACAGUUUUGGCACCGACAACCACUCUCCCGAAGCUCUUCCGCCGUAGUACCUCUUCACCGGCGACUCCUUGCACCCCUGGUCCUCUGUCCUCCACUAGUUGAAUGGUGGCUUAUCCUUGGAUCCAUUUCCAUCCCUAGCCGCACUCUCGUGCCCUUUGUCGUCACCGGUGAGCUUGCUGCCCUCUCUAUCCAUAGGUUGAAGAUGAGAGGUGGAGGCUACCUGUCAUCCUCACCUAUCCCUCAGCUCCCCUCUCUACCACUGGCGGCUGGGCCCCACCUGUUGGGUUUAAACCCUGGCAGGUGCACACACCUAGUCUACAUGCGCUGGUUCGCUAGCUGGGCCGAUUCGGCCAACACCUCCAUGUUGAGGAACGUUGCAUGGGAAACAAAAAAUUCGUAUGCACAUACAAGAUCUAUCCAUGGUGAUGACCAUCUAUGAGAGGAGAUAUCGGAUCCACAUAUCAUUGUAGAUUGCUAUGUGGGAAGCGUUAAGAAAUGCGGUUGAUGUAGUCGAACGUCUUUGCAAUCCAAAUCACAAGCCGUCCUGCGAUCCAAUCACGAUCUAGCACCGAACGGACUGCACCUCCGCGUUCAGCACAUCUACAACUUGAUAAAGAUCUCCACCUUCUUGAUCCAGCAAGAGGGGAUGGAGAAGUAGAUGAUUUCUUCAGCAGCACGACGACCAGGUGGCGGUGGUGGUGGACUAAUCCGACAGGGCUUCGCCGAGCUCUACCAAACCAAUCUAGAUGAAGAAGACGAUCUAUGGAGGAUAGGGCAGCACGUGGCUUUUCAGGUGGCGGCUGCCAUCAAAACCUCCGUUAUAUAUAGGAUAGAGGGGUAGGUGGGCUUGCGUUGGCUUCAUUGUUCUUGAUAUAGAAUGCAAUCCUACAUGUCCUAUUAAUCCUGGUAGACAUUUCCUUAGAACAAUUGGUGCCAUUAUUGAUAUGAAGGAAGGUAAUAUUAGAUUCCAAUUCCCAUUAAGGAAAUGCAUGGAUCACUUUCCUAGAAAAAAAUAAGAUUACCUUAUGAAUCUAUUAUUAGAGCUACCUAUGGAUUGCAUACCAAAGAUGAUAAUACUUAGAUCUAUUGCAUUAUGCCUAGCUAGGGGCGUUAAACAAUAGCGCUUGUUGGGAGGCAACCUAAUUUUAUUUUUUCAUUUUCUUUUUGUUUUUGUUUCUGUUUUUGUGUGCUGCACAUAUUAUUACUUCUGUAAUAAUUGUGUUUUCUUGUUUUAGUUAGUGUUUGAGCCAAGUAAUACUUUUGGGAUGGUCCGCGGUGUUUGCAAGUUGAUUCUGCUCAAAAACACAAACUUUCGCUCAGAGUCCAGGAAUUUUAUAAAUUCACUGGAACAUGCUCACGAUCUAAAUUGUUUACACAAUAUUGGUUUACAAAUUGUGCAAACCUUCCUAAGUUUUCAGAUUUUUUUGAGUGACACAAGUAUUCGAAGUAAACAGAUUGCUACAGAAUGUUCUGUUUUUGACAGAUUCCGUUUUCUUUGUGUUGUUUGCUUAUUUUGAUGAAUCUAUGGGUUGUAUCGGGGGGUAUGAACCAUGGAGAAGUUGGAAUACAGUAAAUAUUAAAUAAAUAUAAAAAACAAUGAGUUCACAACAGUACCUAAUUGGUGAUUUAUUUUUCUUAUACUAACGGAUGUCAUGAGUUUUCUGUUGAGUUUUCUGUUGUGAAGUUUUCAUGUUUUGGGUAAAGAUUUGCUGGACUACAGAAUAAGGAGUGGAAAGAACCAAAGCUUGGGUAUACCCAAGGCACCCCAAUACAUAUUCAAGGAUACCAAAGAGCCUAAGCUUGGGGAUGCCCCGGAAGGCAUCCCCUCUUACGUCUUCAAUCGGUAAAUUAACUUGAGGCUAUAUUUUUAUUCACCACAUGAUAUGUGUUUUGGUUGGAGCGUAUUGUACGAUAUGAGUCUUUAAUAUCUAGUUUUCAACAAUCAUCCUUGCUGCACAUGCCUUUUGAGAGAGAGAGAGACGCUGAAUCGUGAGUUUAUUACAAUACUCUUUGUGCUUCACUUAUAUAUUUUGAGCUAGGCAAUGUUGCUCUAGUACUUCACUUAUAUCUUUUAGAGGACAUCGGUGUUUUGUUUUGUAAAAAAUAUUAAACUCACAUACUUCACUUAUAUUAUUUUGGGAGUUCUUUAAACAACAUGGUAAUUUGUUUAGGUUAUGAAUUUAGUCCUAAUAUAAUAGGCAUCCAAGAGGAAUGUAAUAAAAACAUUCAUAUUAAGUGCAUUGAAUAUGAUGAGAAGUUUGAUUCCUUGCAUAUAGUUUUGAGAUGUGAAGAUGGUAAUAUGAGAGUCAUGCUAGUAAGUAAUUGUGAAUUAUAAGAAAUACUUGUGUUGAAGCUUGUGAUUCUCGUAGCAUGCACGUAUGGUGAGCCGUUAUGUGAUGAACUCCGAGCAUGAUUUGAUUAAUGAUCGUCAACCUUUGUGUGGAGGUUGGGAUUGCAUGAUGGUUAACUCCUAUCAACCUUUCCCCUAGGAUCUUGCGUCUAAUACUUUGCUUUGAUAACUAAUAGGCUUUUGUAAUAAGUAUGUGAGUUCUUUAUGACUAAUGUUGAGUUCAUGGAUUUUACGCACUCUCACCCUUCCACCUUUGCUAGCCUCUCUAGCACCACGCAAUUUUUGCGAGUACAUUAAACCCACGUUCCUCAAAACAGCCACCUUAUAUUUUCCUCAAAACAGCCACUUACCUAUUAUGGCAUUUUCGUAGCCAUUCCGAGAUAUAUUACCAUGCAACACCACCGUCUAGUUUUUAUGACACGGGCCAUCACUUCCUUAUUGCUUAUAAAGUCAUACUUUGUUCCAUAUAUCGAGUUGUAAUCUUUGAGUUGUAAGUAAAUAAAAGUGUGAUGAUUUGCAUUACUAGAGCAUUGUCCCGUGUGAGAAAAAGGAUGAUGGAAGCUAUGGUUCCCUCACAAGUUGGGAUGAGUCUCCGGACAUUACAAAAAAAUAAAAGAGGCCAGUGAAGCCCAAAAAAAAUAAAAGAGGCCAAAGAAGCCCAUUCAAAAGAAGAAAAAAAAUAAAAAACAGAAGAAAAGAAAAGAAAAAUGAGAGAAAGAGAGAAGGGACAAUGCUACUAGCUUUUUACACACUUGUGCUCCCAAAAUAGCACCACGUUCUUCAUGGAGGUUCUCCUAUGUUGUCCCUUUCAUAUAACUAGUGGGAUUACAUCAUUUGCACAACCACUUAGUUUUCUUUUUGAGCUUUCAUAUACUUAUAACUCUACUGCAUUUGUUGCAUGGCAAUCCCUACUCACUCACAUUGAUAUCUAUUCACGGGCAUCUCCAUAGCCCAUUUAUAUGCCUAGUUGAUGUGAGACUAUCUUCUUCCUUUCUUUUUGCAACCUCCACCACAUUCUAUUCCACCUAUAGUGCUAUAUCCAUGGCUCAUGCUCAUGUAUUACGUGAGAGUUGAAAAGGUUUGAGAACAUAAAAAGUGUGAAACAAUAGCUUGAUUUUCAUCGGGGUUGUGCAUGAUUUAGAUACGUUGUGUGGUGAAGAUGGAGCACAGCCAGACCAUAUGAUUUUGUACGGAUAACUUUCUAAGACCAUGUUAUUUUGAAAGGAAGCAAUUGCCUUAUUAGUAUGCUUGAAAUAUUAUUGUUUUUGUCUAAAUAUUGGAAUUUUUUUUGAGUCUUAUGGAUCUCAAUAUUCAUGCCACAUUAGAGAAUAUUACAUGGAUAAAUAUGUUAGGUAGCAUUCCACAUCAAAAACUCUGUUUUUAUCAAUUACCUACUUGAGGACAAGCAGGAAUUAAGCUUGGUGAUGCUAAUACAUCUCCAACGCAUCUAUAAUUUUUUAUUGUUCCAAGCUAUUAUAUUAUAUGUUUUGGAUGUUUUAUAUGCAUUUCUAUGUUGUUUUUUAUUAUUUUUGGUUACUAACCUAUUAAUCUAGAGCCUAGUGGGCAUUUGUAUUUUUUCCACGUUUUUUAAUAUUGCGGAUAAGGAAUAUUCAACGGAGUCCAAACAGAAUAAAAUCUCCCGAAAUAUUUUUCGUGGACGAGAAGACACACAACAGACUUGGAGUACGGGGCAAGGCAGUUGCAGGGAGGCCACAAGCCUCCAGGGCGCGCCCUAGGGGGUGGUCGCGCCCCCUGGCUUGUGGUCCCCAUGCAGGUGUCCUCGCCCUAAUUCUUGUGCUAUAAAUUCUCAAAUAUUCGCGUAUCGCCAAAGGGUGCCACAAAAAUAAUUUUAUGCCACCGGAAGCCUAUGUUUCCUAGAUAUCCAAUCUGGGGGCAUUUCCGGUAAUCCGUCGGAGAGGGAAUUGAUCACGAGGGCAUCUACAUCAACUCCAUUGCCCCUCCAAUGAAGCGUGCGUAGUUCACCAUAGACCUAUGGUUCUAUAGCUAGUAGCUAGAUGGCUUGUUCUCUCUCUAUGAUCUUAAAUACCAUGUCUUCAUGAUCUUCAUGGAGAUCUAUCCGAUGUAAUACUCUUUUGCAGUGUGUUUGUCGAGAUCCAAUGAAUUGUGAGUUUAUGUUCAGAUUUUCUAUGAGUAUUAUUUGAGUCUCUUCUGAAUUCUUAUAUGCAUGAUUUCAUAUCUUUGCAAGUCGCUUCGAAUUAUUUGUUUGGUUUGGCCAACUAGAUUGGUAAUUCUUGCAAUGGAAGAAGUGCUUAGAUUGUAUUGUCGCCAUCGAGGAUAAAAAGAUGGGGUUUUCAUCAUAUUGCUUGAGUUUAUCCCUCUACAUCAUGUCAUCUUACUUAAUGCGUUACUCAGUUCUUCAUGAACUUAAUACUCCAGAUGUGAGUCGGUCGUGGAGUAAAAGUAGUAGAAGCAGAAUCGUUUUGGUCUACUUGAUACAGAUGUGAUGCCUAUAUGCAUAAUCAUUUCCUUAGAUAUCUUCAUGAAUAUUUACUUUUCUAUCAACUGCUCGAGAGUAAUUUGUUCAUCUACCACAUUAUUUUCCUUUAUGAGAGAAGCCUCUAGUCAAACCUAUGCCCACAGGGUCUAUUUUCCAUAAUAUAUUUUCAGAUCUAUAAACCAAAAAUACCAAAAAUACUUUCCUGCAAUUUAUUUUCUUUUCCCGCAAUAUUUUAUAUCUAUUUCUAUCAGAUCUCAUCAUUGAAAAUAACUCUGAAGGGAUUGACAACCCCUUUUAUAGCGUUGGGUGCUAGUGUUUGAUUAUUUGUGUAGGUACUACUAUGGGAGCCUUGCUUGUUCCUCCUACUAGAUUGAUACCUUGGUUAUCAACAAACUGAGGGAAAUACUUAUCUACUUCGCUGCAUCACCCUUUCCUCUUCAAGGGAAAACCAACGCAAGCUCAAGAGCUAGCAAUCACAUUAAUGAAUGAACUAUUUAUUGAUUGCAGAUCCAUUGUUCCUAUGUAGAAAUCUUCAAUGAUCUUAUAGAAAUCUUCCAUUAUAUUAACCCAAUAGUUCUAAAUGAAACAUCCAUUAAAACCAUCUGGAACAAGGGAUUUGUCACUAGGCAUAUUUUUUACUACCUCACCAAUUUGUUCCUUGAGGAAAUGUGUCUCAAGCUCUGUGAGAUAUAAAUCUGUUUGCAAUAGCUCAUGAAAGUCACAAAACUUUGUAGUUAUUGUAGAAGUUCCUAACCUUUCCUUGAAACAUUUCCAUAGCACAUGUGCUUUUGCCUAGUGAUGAAAAUGUUCAUACAUGUCACCAUCCAAGAUCAUUGCAAUUUCAUUAUUCAUAUAUUUUAUAGUGGCUUUAGCUUGGAAGAAUUUUGUAUUACCAUCUCCAUAUUUCACCCAUCUAAUGGUGGCUCUUUGCUUCUAGUCUGAUGUACAUUGAACAUUGAUGUGAGAUUCAAUUUGUCGUUGCGGCGCGAUCUUUCAUGACAUUCCACCACGAGAAGUACCAACCUCUCACCCACGCACACAAUGUACACAAAAUAGAAGGUUUUAACCUUGCGUAUCAACACGGGGAAACAAAUAUCGAUGAUGGUACUUGAUUACCCACAAGUAUAGGGGGUCAAUCAUAGUCCUUUUGAUAAGUAAGAGUGUUGAACCCAAUGAGUAGCAGAAUGAAAUGACAAGCGGUUUUCAGCAAGGUAAUUUCUGCAAGCACUGAAAUAGCGAUAACAAGUUGUUUGAUAGGAAGAUAAUUGGAACAAGUAAUGAGUAGAAAUAGUAACAAUACGUGUAGCAAGUUAGCCCAAUUACUUUGUGGCAAAGGACACGGCAGAACAGUUUCUUAUAAUAGACAAAGCAUUCUUGAGGGCCCAUGGGAAUUUAAUCUAGUCACUUUCAUCAUGUCGGGUUAAUUCGUGUUGGGUACUUUGAUAAUUUGAUAUAUGUGUGGAUCGGUGUUUGCGUGUUGUUUGUACUUGAACAAGCCUCCCACUUAUGAUUAACCAUCCCGCAAGCAUCCGCAACUAUGAGAAAAUGAAUAAUAAUAAUCUCUAACCAUAGCAUUAAACAUAGGGAUCCAAAUCAGCCCCUUACGGAAUAUCACAGAAACUUGGGUUGAACUUUCUGUCACUCUCGAACCCACCAUCUAAUUACUACUCCAUAAUGCAUUUCCUUAGGCCCAAAGAUGGUGAAGUGUUAUAUAGUCGACGUUCACAUAACAUCACUAAGGGAAUCACAACACUCAUAUCAUCAAAAUAUCAAACGAAUAUCAGCUUCACAUGACUACUUGCAACAUGACUUCUCCCAUGGCCUCAAGAAAAAAAGUAACUACUCACAAGUGAUAAACAUGCUCAUGAUUUGAGAGGUAUUAAAUAGCAUAUUGGAUCUGAAAAUAUGAUCUUCCACCAAAUAAACCGUAAAACAUAAACUACAAGAUGUAAUCAAUACUACUAGUCACACCCCAGGUACCAAUCUGAGGAUCCGGUACAAGAUUGAGCACAAGACAUGAACUAUGGUUUUGAGAGGACAUGGUGUUGAUGAAGAUGUUGAUGAAUAUUGGCCUCCCCAAGAUGAGAUGGUUGUUGGUGAUGAUGAUGGCCUAGAUUUCCCCCUCCCGGAGGGAAGUUCCUCCGGCAAAAUCGAUCUACCGAAGGGAAGAUGUGCUCCUGCCCAAAUUCCACUUUGAGACGGUGGCACUUCCUCCCGAAAGUCCUCUCUCGAUUUUUUACAGCUCAAAAGAGAGUAUAUACAAGAAGAUUGUCGCUAGAGGUGGGCUGGGUAGCCCACUAGCCACCAGGCCAUGCUAGGGGGGUUGGGGCGCCCUGGUGCCUAGGGUGCACCUGGCAGCCCCCUCGAGUACUUGUUUCCUCCAAUAUUUCUUAUAUAUUCCAUAAAAAAUCAUCAUGAAGUUUCAGCCCAUUUGGAGAUAUGCACAAUAGGUAUCUCUGACGUAGCUUUUUCAGGUCCAGAAUUCCAUUUGUGGACAUUCUCCCUCUAGGUGUAAACCUUGCAUAUUAUGAGAGAAAAGAUAUUAGAAUUACUCCAUAAAGUGGUUAUGCAUGAAAACACUAUAAAUAACAGUAACAAAACAUGAUGCAAAAUGGACGUAUCAACUCCCCAAAGCUUAGACCUUGCUUGUCCUCAAGCGAAAGCCGAUAACGAAAAUCAUGACCACAUGCUUUCAGAGAGAGGUAUCGAUUGACGGGGUUGUACAUUAGGGGUAGUCCUACGAAUCUGCAUUCCUAGGCCUCCCUAAGACCCGACAUGGACAUCAGCAUCCCAAAAGCCACCGGUGGGGUCACGAGCUCACUCGGGUGAGUAUAUCUUCACUCAUCCAGCACAAGGUCACUCGGAUCGUCUCGUGUCAGUCGGGUGUACCCAGACACUAGACCGCUGUAAGGCGUGGGCAACGAAGGGACUGCAACGGCUACAGACUUAAACUAUGACAUGAAGUGCAGUGAAGACAUGUGUUACUAGUAGGGUUGGAGUUAGAGUUGCCAUUACUAGUAACUUCUAUAGUUAUUAACAUUAACUCGCCCUUGUAAUGAGGUUUGGCCGGUCGUGGUGCACUCUAUAUAAGCCACACUUGAUCUCAUGACCAAGGUUUCAACAUAUGGUCUGAUCAUACACCCCACACGCAAACAUCAGCCUCAGGGCUCGAGACGUAAAGGUUGUUACCACUCCCGAGUGGGGCCCGAACUUGUACUUCCGAAUGUAUCCACUACGCCCUAGCUAGGCUCCGCGCACCCUUUUGUAUCAAGGGAAAAUCCUGGAUAAAGUAUUAUAGGAGGUAAAACGCUCCCCAGGACACAUGGGAAUUUCGGUCAAGCUAGUUUUCAUCAUGUUCAUAUGCUUCGCGUUCGUUAUUUUGAUAGUUUGAUAUGUGCGUGGACCGGCCCUUGGGUACUGCCCUUACUUGAAAAAGCAUCCCACUUAUGAUUAACCCCUCUCGCGAGCAUCCGCCACUACGAAAGAAGAAUUAACACAAAGUCUAACCACAACAUUAAACUAGUGGAUCCAAAUCAGCACCUUACGAAGCAACGCAUAAACUAGGGUUUAAGCUUCUGUCACUCUAGCAACCCAUCAUCUACUUACUAGUUCCCAAUGCCUUACUCUAGGCCCAAAUAAUGUUGAUGUGUUAUGUAGUCGACGUUCACAUAACACCACUAGAGGAAAAACAACAUACAACACAUCAAAUUACAGAACGAAUACCAAAUUCACACGACUACUUAUAGCAUGACUUAUCCCAUGUCCUCAAGAACAAAAGUAACUACUCACAAAGCAUAAUCAUAUUCAUGACCAGAUAGGUAAUGAGUAGCAUCAAAGAUAUGAACACAAACUCUUCCACCAAGUAACCCAACUAGCAUCAACUACAGAGAGUAAUUAACACUACUAGCAACCUUACAAGUACCAAUCGGAGUCGCGAGAUGGAUAUUGGUUACAAGAGAUGAACUAGGGUUUGGAGAUGAGAUGGUGCUGAUGAAGAUGUUGAUGGUGACGAGUCCCCUCCGAUGAGAGGAGUGCUGGUGAUGACGAUGGCGACGAUUUCCCCCUCCGGGAGGGAAGUUUCCCCGGCAGGAUCGUCCUGCGGGAGCUCUAGAUUGGUUAUGCUCAAGUUCCGCCUGGUAGCAGCGGUGAAUCCUCCGAAAAGCCUCCUCCUGAUUUUUUUUAGACCGAAACCCUUCUUGUAGCAAAAGGGGGAAGCCAGAGGGCCAAGUGGGAGCCCACAAGCCCCCUAGGCGUGGCUAGGGGGGAGGCCGCGCCUAGCAGGCUUGUGGCCUCCUGCUGGCACUCCUCUCAUACUUCUUCGGCCCAGUAUUUGUUAUAAAUCCCAAAAACAAUCCACGUUGAUUUUCACGGCUUUUGGAGUUGCGAAGAAUAAACAUCUGAAACUUGCUCCUUUUUCAGGCCAGAAUUCGAGCUGUCGGCAUUCUCCCUCUUCAUGUAACCCUUGCAAAAUAAGAGAGAAAAGGCGUAAGUAUUGUACCGUGAAGUGUAUAACAGGCCAAAAAGCGAUAAAUAUCAGCAUGAAAGCAUGAUGCAAAAUGGACGUAUCAACUCCCCCAAGCUUAGACCUCGCUUGUCCUCAAGCGAAAGCCGAGAUCAAUAAAUAUGUCCACAUGUUUAGAGAGAGAGGUGUCAACAAAACAAGAUACGAACAUGCAGGCAUCAUGAUCAUGAUCAGAACAACAAUACGAUCAUAUCAACUCUUAUGCUAAAGUGACAAUUCCUUCACAAAGUAAAGCAUGGAUCAAGAACCUUACCGAGAAUUAACAACCGAUAGCCUUUAGUCAUUAGAGCAAUUGCAUUUAUCACAACAUCGGAAACAGCAAAAUAAGAGCAUGUAAAGCAAAUCCACAUACUCAAUCAUCUUUUCGUUCUCUACAAUUGCUACAACUCACGUGGUACUCAUGAGAUCAAAGUUUCAGUUGGACACAGAGAAAGAGAGGGGCUUAUAGUUUCGCCUCCCAACCAUUUACCUCAAGGGUAANNNNNNNNNNNNNNNNNNNNNNNNNNNNNNNNNNNNNNNNNNNNNNNNNNNNNNNNNNNNNNNNNNNNNNNNNNNNNNNNNNNNNNNNNNNNNNNNNNNNNNNNNNNNNNNNNNNNNNNNNNNNNNNNNNNNNNNNNNNNNNNNNNNNNNNNNNNNNNNNNNNNNNNNNNNNNNNNNNNNNNNNNNNNNNNNNNNNNNNNNNNNNNNNNNNNNNNNNNNNNNNNNNNNNNNNNNNNNNNNNNNNNNNNNNNNNNNNNNNNNNNNNNNNNNNNNNNNNNNUUGAUGACCCACAAGUAUAGGGGAUCAAUCGUAGUCCUUUCGAUAAGUAAGAGUGUCGAACCCAACAAGGAGCAGAAGGCUCUGAUAAACGGAUUUCAGCAAGGUAAUAGCUGCAAGCACUGAAAGUACUGGUAACAAGUGAUUGUGUAGCGAGGUGAAACGUAGCAAGCAAAGAGUAACAAGUAACAAGUAGUAGCAAUGGUGCAGCAAGUGGCCCAAUCCCUUUUGUAGCAAGGGACAAGCCUGAAAAAAGUCUUAUAGGAGGAAAAACGCUCCCGAGGACACACGGGAAUUUCUGUCAUGCUAGUUUCAUCAUGUUCAUAUGAUCCGCGCUCGUUACAUUGAUAGUUUGAUAUGUGGGUGGACCGGCACUUGGGUACUGCCCUUACUUGGACAAGCAUCCCACUUAUGAUUAACCUCUCUCGCAAGCAUCCACAACUAAAAAGAAGAAUUAAGACAAAGUCUAACCAUAGCAUUAAACUAGUGGAUCCAAAUCAGCCCCUCACGAAGCAACGCAUAGACUGGGGUUUAAGCUUCUGUCACUCCAGCAACCCAUCAUCUACUUACUACUUACCAAUGCCUUCCACUAGGCCCAAAUAUGGUGAAGUGUUAUGUAGUCGACGUUCACAUAACACCACUAGAGGAAAAACAACAUACAACAUAUCAAAAUACCGAACGAAUAUCAAAUUCACCUGACUAUUAUCAGCAUGACUUAUCCCAUGUCCUCAGGAACAAAAGUAACUACUCACAAAACAUAAUAAUAAUCAUGAUCAUAGGUGUAAUGAAUAGCAACAAGGAUCUGAACAUAAACUCUUCCGCCAAGUAAUCCAACUAGCAUCAACUACAAAGAGUAAUCAACACUACUAGCAACCUUACAAGUACCAAUCGGAGUUGCGAGACGAAGAUUGGUUACAAGAGAUGAACUAGGGAUUGGAAAGGAGAUGGUGCUGAUGAAGAUGUUGAUGAAGAUGCCUCCCCUCCGACUAGAGGAGUGUUGGUGAUGACGAUGGCAACGAUUCCCCCCUCCGGGAGGGAAAUUUCCCCGCAGGAUCGUCCUGCCGAAGCUCUAGAUUGGAUCUGCUCAAGUUCCGCCUCGUGGCGGCUGCGAAACCAAGAAAAAGUUCCCUCUUGAUUUUUUCCAAACCAGGACGCUUCAUAUAGAAAAAGAGGGGGCUAGUGGGCCUUCAGGCAGCCUACAAGACUGCCCUGCGCCACCAGGGGGUGUGGUGGCGGUGGGUAAGCUUGUGGGGCCCUGGUGGCCCCCCUCUGGUAGUUCUUUCACCCAGUAUUUUUAAUAUAUUCCAGAAAAAAUCCACGUAAAUUUUCAGGGCAUUUGGAGAUGUGCAGAAUAGUGGACUAGGAUUUGCUCCUUUUCCAGUCCAGAAUUCCAGCUGCCUGAAUUCUCCCUCUUCAAAUAAUCCUUGCAAAAUAAGAGAGAAAAGGCAUAAAUAUGGUACCACAAGUAAUAUAACAGCCCAAAAAGCAACAAAUAUCAACAUGAAAGCAUGAUGCAAAAUGGACGUAUCAACUCCCCCAAGCUUAGACCUCGCUUGUCCUCAAGCGAAAACCAAGUUCCAUAAACAUGUCCACAUGUUGAGGGACGAAGGUGUCGAUAAAACAUAAUACGGACAUGAGGGCAUCAUGAUCACACAUAGGACAGCAAUAUAUCAUAAAGAUUCUUCUGGGAACGUAACAAUUCCUUCACAAAGCAAAGCAUGAAGCAAAAACCUUACCGAGAAGUAACCAACAAUAAUCCAUAGUCAUUGAAGCAAUUGCAAUUUAUCACAACAUCAGAAAGAGUCAAAUAAGAGCUUGUAAGGAAAACCCACAUACUCAAUCAUCUCUUUUGUUUUCCACAAUUGUUACAACUCACGUGGUACUCAUGGUGUCAAAGUUUCAGCUGGACACAGAGGAAGAUAGGGGCUUAUAGUAUUGCCUCCCAACCAUUUACCUCAAGGGUAAAGUCAACAACAAUAAAGCAUGAGUACUCAACUCCAAGUUGAUAUAUGAAUAUAGAUCUUUCCCAAGUAUGUGACGGUAGCCAAGACAAAGUGAAAAAAGGGAAUUGGUGAUGAUCACCAUGACUCUUACAAGGGCAAAAGUAAAGGUACAAGAUAGGCCCUUCGCAGAGGGAAGCAGAGGUUGUCAUGCGCUUUUGAGGUUUGAAUGUGUGUCCUCUUAGUGCGGAGGAACGUCACUUUAUAUUGCCUCCUGUGACAAAGAACUUUAUUAUGCAGUCUAUCGCUUUUAUGUCUUCCUCAUCACAGGUUCGAACAAAGCUUAUUUUCCACACACUAAUAGAUCAUACAUAUUGGAGAGCAAUUUUUAGUGCUUGCACCAAUGACAACUUACUUGAAGGGUCUUAUUCAAUCCAUAGGUAGGUAUGGUGGACUCUCAUGGCAAAACUGGGUUGGAGGUUUAUGGAUGCGCAAGUAUUAUCUCUACUUGGUGCGGGAGUUUUGGAUAAUAUGAGGUGGAAGCAAUCGUGACAUGCUAAGGGAUCUCUAAUCAUAUAAAAUUGUUUGGAACCAAGCAAACACAAUUCAUUAUGUUGUCUUCCUUGUCCAACAUCUACUCCUAGGCAUGUAAUAGUUUGGUGAGUGCUCACAAUUGUAAAAAGUGUCUAAGAUGAUAUAUUUAUAUGUGAACCUCUCUUUCCUUAUUACAUCUUAUUAAUUGCAACAAUGACUAAGGUCUAUGUUGAUUUAUUCUCAACAAGUUUCAAUCAUCAUACAUGCCAUAAGUGAAGUUAUCACUUUCCAUAAGAUCGUCUCAUGAUCUUUCAUGCUAUCGUUCUUUUCAUAAUUUUGAUCAUGGCACAAAGCAAAGCCCUUAACUAAUACACUCUUUAUUAUAUAGCUCGUAAGUUCGAAUACAUCGGGGGAGAGACAAAAGCAAAAGACUCAAACUAAAAACUAAAGACUUAUUCCUCUAAAAGAAGAAAUAAAAACUAAAAAGGAAAGAACUAAAACAAAGGUAAAAGCCAAAGAUAUAAAGGUGACACGAUACCAGGUCAACUCCCCCAAGCUUGGUAGAAGCCAAGGGGAUUGCCCAUACCAAUGCUUAGUUGUCUUCCUUUGGUGGUGAUGGUGGUGUUGUUGGAGUAGUCUGAUCCUCUGUCUUCCAAGGCAUAGGUGCUCCAUCAUGGCAGGAUGAACGAGUCGCCGGAAUCCUCAAAUCUGCAGCCAACCUUAUUGAUUUAAAUCUGUACUCAUACUCACAGUUUUGAUUUUGCGGGUCAUAGAUCUGGCCCUGAAGUUGGUCAACCCUAUCGUAGAGCCUGGAGAGGUGUUUCCCAAUAUCAAUGGCGUCCAUCUUGUGAUUGGUAGUGAACUCCAUGGUCAUUGUGUGGUUGGCGUUGAGUCCACGCUCCACCAUCCCUUAGCAUUUGAAGACUUGUUGCUCCAUUGCUUCGAGCCUCGUCUCCACGCUUCUGGUCUUCUUAGGCCCCUCAAUAUCAUGGAUGUGCAACAUCCCCUCUCUCAUCUUGAUAGAUUGAGGGUGUUUCAACACUUCCGUCAGGUAGGGAUUGAUGACCUUCUUGAAGAUCUUGUCCUUAGGAGCGUUUGGGGAAGCCAUGAUGAUCUAGAUUUGCGGCAGAAACAAGCUCGAAAUGAAAACAGAGGAAAACUGCGCGAUACGGAGAUCGAAACCUUCGGGCAACUAUACAUUGAUUUUUUUCUGGGCCAGAAGAAGUCCUCCGCAAUUAAACGGAGUCCGGGAGGCACACGAGGUGCCCACAAGCUUGCCCACCGCCACCAAGGGGUGGUGGCUGAGUGGGCCCUUGUGGCUGCCUCGUUCGCUCUCCGGACUGCUUUUUAUUUUUCUAAUUUUCCAAAAAUUCCGAAACGGAAGAAAUUUCUUAUUGGAAAAGUAUCAGAGUCCAACUUCUUACCGAAACAGAUACAUCUUCGUUUUCAAGGUCUGAAACAGGCUGAUAAACAUCCCUUAUGUACUCCUCUGGAGUUAUGACAUUGAUGAUAUUGGUCUCAACAUUUAUGGGAGUACCAGAGAUGUAAUGCUUGAUUCUUUGCCCAUUUACCACUCUAGGAAAAUUUCCUUCCGUGUUAUUGAUUUUGAUGGCACCGGAACGAUAUACUUCCUCGACAACAUAGGGACCUUCCCAUUUAGAGAGAAGCUUGCCUGCAAGGAAUCUCAAACGAGAAUUGUAUAGCAAGACAUAAUCACCUACAUUGAACUCUCGUUUCUGUAUUCGUUUGUCGUGCCAUCUCUUAACUUUUUCCUUGAACAACCUCGCAUUCUCAUAUGCCUGGGCUCUCCAUUCAUCUAACGAGCUGAUAUCAAACAACCGCUUCUCACUUGCAAGUUUGAAAUCAAAGUUGAGCUCUUUGAUUGCCUAAUAAGCUUUGUGUUCCAGCUCAAGAGGUAAAUGACAGGCCUUACCGUAAACCAUUUUAUACGGUGACAUGCCCAUGGGAUUCUUAUAAGCAGUCCUAUAAGCCCAUAGUGCAUCGUCAAGUUUGCUAGACCAAUUCUUUCGAGAUAUAUUGACGGUCUUUUGUAGGAUCAACUUGAUCUCCCUAUUACUCAAAUCCACUUGACCACUAGACUGAGGAUGAUAAGGAGAUGCAACUCUAUGGUUGACAUCAUACUUAGCUAGCAUCUUGCGGAAAACACCAUGAAUGAAGUGUGAACCGCCAUCAGUCAUCAAGUAUCUAGGGACUCCAAAUCUUGGGAAUAUGACUUCUUUAAGCAUCUUAAUAGAGGUGUGGUGAUCAGCAUUUUUAGUGGGAAUAGCAUCUACCCACUUAGUAACGUAAUCCACAGCAACUAAGAUGUGAGUAUACCCAUUGGAACUUGGGAAGGGUCCCAUAUAAUCAAAGCCCCAGACAUCAAAUGGUUCAAUGACAAGUGAAUAGUUCAUAGGCAUCUCUUGACGCUUAAUGAUGUUCCCUAUUCUUUGGCAUUCGUCACAAGACAAGACAAACUUACGAGCAUCCUUGAAGAGAGUGGGCCAAUAAAACCUGAUUGCAAUACCUUAUGGGCAGUUCUAUCUCCAGCAUGGUGUCCUCCAUAGGCUUCGGAAUGACACUUCUGCAAGAUCUGUCCCUGUUCAUGUUCAGGCACACAACGUCUAAUAACACCAUCUACUCCUUCCUUAUAAAGGUGAGGAUCAUCCCAAAAGUAGUGUCUCAAAUCAAAGAAGAAUUUCUUCUUUUGAUUGUAGGUGAAACUGGGUGGUAUGUAUUUGGCUACGAUAUAGUUUGCAUAAUCGGCAUACCACGGUGCACUACGUGAAGUGCAGAUGACAUUAAUUUGCUCAUCAGGAAAGUUGUCAUGAAUAGGUAGUGGGUCAUCAAGGACAUUCUCUAGCCUAGACAAGUUAUGUGCUACAGGGUUAUCAACACCCUUUCGGUCAACGUCUUUCUUCUCCAUGAGGUACUUAAUAGCAGCAUGAUCAGAGUGAAUAGUGACUUUGGAGUCAACUAUGUAAGAUCUGAACUUUUCACAUGCAAACACGACUGCUAAAAAUUCCUUCUCCGUAGUGGCAUAGUUUCUUUGGGCACUGUCUAGAGUUUUACUAGCAUAGUGAAUGACAUUCAACUUCUUGUCAACUGUUUGUCCUAGAACAUUACCAACAGCAUAAUCACUAGCAUCACACAUGAUGUCAAAGGGCAAGUUCCAGUCAGGUAGUUGAACAAUAGGUGCGGUUAUCAAAGCCUUCUUAAGUAUUUCGAAAGCUUCCUCACAAUCCUCAUCAAAAACAAAAGGAACAUCCUUCUGCAAGACGUUGGUAAGAGGCCUAGAAAUCUUAGAGAAGUCUUUAAUGAACCUUCUAUAGAAACCAGCAUGACCUAAGAAACUUCGUAUACCUGUGAUAUCUGUGGGGCAAGGCAUUUUCUCAAUUGCCUCAACCUUAGCCUUAUCAACUUCAAUGCCUCUCUCAGAAUUUUUGUGUCCUAAGACGAUACCUUCAUUAACCAUAAAGUGGCACUUCUCCCAAUUCAAGACGAGGUUGGUUUCUUCGCAUCUUUGUAAGACUCGAUCAAGAUUGUUGAGGCAAUCAUCAAAGGAAGACCCAUAAACGGAGAAGUCAUCCAUGAAAACCUCGACGAUCUUUUCACAAAAGUCAGAGAAUAUAGCCAUCAUACAUCUUUGGAAGGUGGCAGGUGCAUUACAUAAGCCAAAAGGCAUACGUCCAUAAACAAAGGUACCGAAGGGGCAGGUGAAAGUCGUUUUCUCCUGAUCAGAUUGUGCAACAGGUAUCUACGAGAAACCUGAAUAACCGUCUAGAAAGCAGAAGUGUGUGUGCUUUGAUAGCCUUUCUAGCAUUUGGUCAAUGAACGACACAGGAUAAUGAUCUUUCCUAGUUUCCUUGUUCAGUUUCUGGAAGACUAUCACCAUCCUAUAGCCGUUAAUAAUCCUUUGUGGGAUUAGUUCAUCCUUAUCAUUAGGAACGACGGUGAUACCUCCCUUCUUAGGUACACAAUGUACUGGACUUACCCAAUCACUAUGGGCAACAAGAUAAAUGAUUCCUGCUUCCUGAAGCUUUCAUAUUUCUUUUCUAAUGACCUCUUUCAUAUUGGGCUUCAAUCUCGUUUGAUGAUCAGCAACUGGUUUGAAGUCAGGAUCGGUUUUAAUCUUGUGCUGAUAUAGAGUGGGACUAAUACCCUUAAGAUCAUCGAGAGUAUAUCCAAUAGCAGCAUGGUGCUUCCUCAGAGUUUUUAGUAACUUCUUCUCUUCGCGCUCUGAGAGGAGAGCACUAAUAAUGACAGGAUAUAUCUCCUUCUCAUCAAGAUAGGCAUACUUAAGAGUAUCAGGCAACUAUUUAAGCUCGAACACAGGAUCACCCUUUGGUGGGGGAGGACCCCAAGCAGUUCAACAGGCAGAUUAUUCUUGAAAAUACGAUAUUGUUCUAAGACAAUUUUAUCUAUCUCAUCUCUCUCCUCCAUGUGCAUAUCAUUUUCAUGCUCAAGAAGAUAUUGCUCUAAAGGAUCCGUAGGAGGUACGGCAAUAGAGGCAAGAGCAAUGAUUUCAUCCCUACCAGACGAAUCUCUUUCAUGGGGUUGUCUUCCAAACUUGGAGAAGUUAAAUUCAUGAGACACACCCUUGAAACUUAUUGUGACAGUCUGCUUAAUGCAAUCAAUGUGAGCAUUGACAGUGUUGAGAAAGGGUCUACCGAAUAUGAUGGGACAAAAGCUAUCUUGUGAAGUACCAAGGACGAGGAAAUCAGUAGGAUACUUCGUCUUACCACAAAGGACUUCUACGUCUCUCACAAUUCCCAGAGGGCAGAUAGUGUCUCUAUUAGCUAGCGUAAUAGUGACAUCAAUGGGUUCUAACUCAGCAGGUGCAAUCUCAUCUUUGAUUUCAUCAUAUAGAGAACGGGGUAUUGCACUAACACUAGCUCCUAUAUCACAUAAACAAUGGUAAGAGUGAUCUCCUAUCUUAACAGAAACAACGGGCAGGCCAACUACAGGUCCGCGUUUGUCUUUCCCGUGAGGUUUAGCAAUUCUAGCGGAGUCCUCACAGAAUUUGAUAACAUGCCCGUCUAUGUCUUCGGCUAUGAGAUCUUUGAUAAUAGCAACACUAGGUUCAACUCUAAUCUCCUCAGGGGGUGCAAGUGGUCUAAUGUAACCACUACGUAUCACAGUUGGAGCUUUAGAAUAAUCCUUUAUCCUAGCAGGGUAUGGUGGUUUCUCAGUGUAAGCACAAGGAACAACAGGAUCACUAAAAGCUAUGAUUUUCUCCUCAACUAGAUUGGUUUUGGCUAUGUUGCUUUCUACAGGAGGAUGAUAUUUAAACCACUUCUCUUUGGGAAGAUCAACAUGAGCAGCAAAAGAUUCACAUAGUGAAGCUACUAUCUCAGAGUCAAGUCCAUACUUAGUGCUAAAAUCUCUAGAAGUGUUUGUCUCAACAAAAGAUUUAACGUUAUCAAACUGGAAAUUCAUACCUGGCUCCUUACCUUCCUCCAGCUCCCAAUCUUCAGAGUUGCGUUUGAUUCUCUAAAAAUAAAUUCCAUUUGUGAUCAAUAUCCUUCUUCAUAAAAGAACCGGCACAAGAAGUGUCAAGCAUGGUACGAUCUUCACGAGAAAGCCGACCAUAAAUGUUUUGAGUGAUGAUUUCUCUCGAGAGCUCAUGAUUGGGGCAUGAAUAUAGCAUUGAUUUAAGCCUCCCCCAAGUUUGAGCUAUGGUUUCCCUGUCACGAAGCCAAAAGUUAUAAAUAAAGUUCUGAUCCCGAUGUACUAAAUGCAUAGGAUAGAUCUUUUGAUGAAAUUCCAAUUUCAAUCGAUUGUAGCCCCAUGAUCCAGUAUCAUCACAUAGCCUAUACCAUGUCAACACCUUAUCCAUCAAACAUAAAGGAAAUACUUUUUUAUUUACCUCAUCCUCGGGCAAACCUGCAAGCUUAAAUAAACCACAAACUUCAUCUACAUAGAUUAGAUGCAAGUCUGGAUGUGAAGAUCCAUCUCCUGUGAAAGGACUAGCCAGCAGUUUCUCAAGCAUACCCGAAUGAAUUUCAUAAAAGAUAUUUUCAGUAGGUACCUCAGGUUGAGGAGAAACUCCGCGUGCUUCCAUUCGUGGUGAAGAUACCCCGAACAAAUUCCUGAAAGGAACAUUUUCCAUAGUGACAAGUGAUAAUAAAUUUUAGCACAAUAUAAAAAUGUUUCCUUACCAAUUUCCACUUACCAAAGGCACAUCACUCCCCGGCAACGACGCCAGAAAAGAGUCUUGAUGACCCACAAGUAUAGGGUAUCAAUCGUAGUCGUUUAGAUAAGUAAGAGUGUCGAACCCAAAGAGGAGCAGAAGGCUCUAAUAAACGGAUUUCAGCAAGGUAAUAACUGCAAACACUGAAAGUAGUGGUAACAAGUGAUUGUGUAGCGAGGUGAAACGUAGCAAGCAAAGAGUAACAAGUAACAAGUUGUAACAACGGUGCAGCAAGUGGCCCAAUCCCUUUUAUAUCAAGGGACAAGCCUGAACAAAGUCUUAUAGGAGGAAAAACGCUCAAGAGGACACACGGGAAUUUCUCUCAUGCUAGUUUCAUCAUGUUCAUAUGAUUCGCGCUCGUUACUUUGAUAGUUUGAUAUGUGGGUGGACCGGCGCUUGGGUACUGCCCUUACUUGGACAAGCAUCCCACUUAUGAUUAACCUCUCUCGCAAGCAUCGGCAACUACAAAACAAGAAUUAAGACAAAGUCUAACCAUAGCAUUAAACUAGUGGAUCCAAAUCAGCCCCUCACGAAGCAACGCAUAGACUCGGGUUUAAGCUUCUGUCACUCCAGCAACCCAUCAUCUACUUACUACUUACCAAUGCCUUCCUCUAGGCCCAAAUAUGGUGAAGUGUUAUGUAGUCGACAUUCACAUAACACCAUUAGAGGAAAAACAACAUACAAAAUAUCAAAAUACCGAACGAAUAUAAAAUUCACAUGACUAUUAUCAGCAUGACUUAACCCAUGUCCUCAGGAACAAAAGUAACUACUCACAAAACAUAAUCAUAAUCAUGAUCAGAGGUGUAAUGAAUAGCAUCAAGGAUCUGAACAUAAACUCUUCCGCCAAAUAAUCCAACUAGCAUCAACUACAAAGAGUAAUCAACACUACUAGCAACCUUACAAGUACCAAUCGGAGUUGCGAGACGAAGAUUGGUUACAAGAGAUGAACUAGGGAUUCGAGAGGAGAUGGUGCUGAUGAAGAUGUUGAUGAAGAUGACUCCCCUCCGACGAGAGGAGUGUUGGUGAUGAUGAUGGCGACGAUUCCCCCCUCUGCGAGGGAAAUUUCCCCGGCAGGAUCGUCUUGCCGGCGCUCUAGAUUGGAUCUGCUCAAGUUCCACCUCGUGGCGGCGGAGAAACCACAGAAAAGCUCCCUCUUGAUUUUUUCUAGACCAGGACGCUUCAUAUAGAAAAAGAUGGGGUCUAGUGGGCCUUCAGGCAGCCCACAAGCCUGCCCUGCGCAACUAGGGGGAUGGUGGCGGUGGGCAAGCUUGUGGGGCCCUAGUGGCCCCCCUUCGGUAGUUCUUUCGCCCUGUAUUUUUAAUAUAUUCCAGAAAAAAUCCACGUAAAUUUUUAGGGCAUUUGGAGAUGUGCAGAAUAGUGGACUAGGAUUGGCUCCUUUUCCAGUCCAGAAUUCCAGCUGCCUGAAUUCACCCUCUUCAAAUAAUCCUUGCAAAAUAAGAGAGAAAAGGCAUAAAUAUGGUACCACAAGUAAUAUAACAGCCCAAAAAGCAACAAGUAUCAACAUGAAAGCAUGAUGCAAAAUGGACGUAUCAAAGAUCACCAUGACUCUUUCAGGGGCAAAAAGUAAAGGUACAAGAUAGGCCCUUCGUAGAGGGAAGCAGAGGUUGUCAUGCGCUUUUGAGGUUUCGAUGUGUGUCCUCUUAGUGUGAAGGAACGUCACUUUAUAUUGCCUCCUGUGAUAAAGAACUUUAUUAUGCAGUUUGUCACUUUAAUGUCUUCCUCAUCACAGGUUCGUACAAAGUUUAUUUUCCACACACUAAUAGAUCAUACAUAUUAGGGAGGAAUUUUUAUUGCUUGCACCGAUGACAACUUACUUGAGGGAUCUUAUUCAAUCCAUACGUAGGUAUGGUGGACUCUCAUGGAAAAACUGGGUUGAAGGUUUUUGGAUGCACAAGUAGUAUCUCUACAUGGUGCGGGAGUUUUGGCUAAUAUGAGGUGGAAGCAAUCGUCACGUGCUAACGGAUCUCUAGUCAUAUAACAUUGUUCGGAAGCAAGCAAACACAAUUCAUUAUGUUGUCUUCCUUGUCCAACAUCUACUUCUACGCAUGUAAUAGUUUAGUGAGUGUUCACAAUCAUAGAUGGUGUCAAAGAAGAUAUAUUUAUAUGUGAACCUCUCCUUCUUUAUCAUUUAAUAGUAAUUGCAACAAUGACCAAGGUCUACGUUUGUCUAUCCUCAACAAGUUUCAAUCAUCAUUCUUUUUAUAUGUGAAGCCAUCACUUCCCAUAAGAUCAUUGCAUGAUCUUUUCAUGCUUUUGUUCUUUUCUCAUUCUUUUGAUCAUGGCAUGAGGCAAGGCCCUUAACUAAGACAGUCUUUAUUAUAUGGCUCGCGAGCUCGAAUACAUCGGGGGUGAUACAAAGCAAAAUCGAGCCAAAAACACAAAGACCUUUAAUUAACUAGAGAAAGAGAAAACUGAAAAGGAACAAACUAAAACAAAAAAUAAAGGCAAAAUAUGUGAUGGUGAUACGAUACCGGGGCAACUCCCCCAAGCUUGGCACAAGCCAAGGGGAUUGCCCAUACCCAUGCUUAGUUGUCUUCGUUUGGAGGUGAAGGUGCUGGAGUUGUUGCAGAGGUCUUGAACUUGUUUAAUAUCCACCUGAGCAUAAAAUUAUGCUCCCUCAGAUCAUCAUUUUCCUCUUCAAGCCUCAACACCCUUUGGCAUAAUUCUUGCUUACUCUCCUGCAAGAAACGAUAAGGGAUAAACAAAGUCUUAGGCUUCUUCCUUGAGUCACGGAGGCUCGAAUUCUUGAACUCCACAUGUGUGUGUCCAAGUAGAGGUAGAUGAGCCUCCUCCUCAUCGGAACCUUUUUGUUCCUUCCCCUUGGGAUCAUAAUGUUCUUCCUCAUCAGUGGUCCAACCAUAAGGAUCCAAGUCCCCAUAGACCUUGGGGUUAGCAAGGUAAUCGGCCACAUAGCUCUCCCCCUCUGAAUCUUGAGAAGACAUCUUGCCCUAAAUCUACGGCAGAAAACAGGCUCGAAAUGAAAACAGAGGAAAUUUGCGUGAGACCAUACGGGAGAAUAUAUAAUGAUUUUUUUCCGACCAGAAGGAGUACUCCGCAAGAAAAAGGAGUUCGGGGGGCACACGAGGUGGCCACAAGCCCCCCAGGCGUGGCCAGGGGGCUGGCCCGCGCCUGGCAGGCUAGUCGCCUCCUCGUGCGCUUUCCGGACUACUUCAAAUUUUUCUAUUUUUUUGAAAAAUUCCAAAACGGAGGAAAAAUCCUACUGGAAAAGUUUUGGAGUCUGUUUACUUACCGAAUCACAUACCUCUUCGUUUUCGGAGUCUAAAACUGGCUGAUAAAUAUCCCUUAGUUACUCCUCCGGAGUUAUGGUAUUGAUAAUAUUGCUUUCAACAUUUGUGGGAGUACCUAAGAUAUAAUGCUUGAUUCUAUGCCCAUUUACAACUCUCGGACAAUUACCUUCCGUGUUGUUGAUCUUGAUAGCACCGGAACGAUAUACCUCCUGAACAAUAUAGGGACCUUCCCAUUUAGAGAGAAGCUUGCCUGCAAAAACUCUUAAACGAGAAUUAUAUAGCAAGACAAAAUCACCUACAUUGUACUCACGCUUUUGUAUACUUUUAUCAUGCCAGCUCUUAACCUUUUCUUUGAACAACUUGGCAUUCCCAUAUGCCUGAGUUCGCCAUUCAUCAAGUGAGCUAAUAUCAAAUAACCUCUUCUCUCCAGAAAGUUUGAAAUCAAAGUUGAGCUCUUUGAUUGCCCAAUAAGCCUUAUGCUCUAGCUCAAGAGGUAAAUGACAUGCUUUACCGUACACCAUUUUGGGCGGAGAUAUGCCCAUGGGAUUCUUAUAGGCAGUUCUAUAAGCCCACACUGCAUCAUCGAGCUUCUUAGACUAAUUCUUUCUAGAACUAUUGACAGUCUUUUGCAGAAUUCGUUUAAUCUCUCUAUUGUUUAGCUCUACUUGACCACUGGACUGAGGGUGAUAGGGAGACACAAUUAUAUGGUUGACCUCGUACUUAGCAAGUGUUUUACGGAAAGCACCAUGAAUGAAAUGUGAACCACCGUCAGUCAUUAUAUAUCUAGGGACUCCAAAUCUAGGGAAAAUAAUUUCUUUAAACAUCCUGAUAGAGGUGUUGUGAUCAGCACUACUAGUUGGGAUAGCUUCUACCCACUUAGUGACGUAAUCAACACCAACUAGGAUAUGAGUAUACCCAUUGUAUUUUGCAAAAGGUCCCAUAUAAUCAAAGCCCCAAACAUCAAAUGGUUCAAUGACAAGUGAAUAGUUCAUAUGAAUUUCCUGACGUUUACCGAAAUUACCUAUUCUUUGACAUUCGUCACAAGACAAGACAAAUUUACGGGCAUCCUUGAAGAGAGUGGCCAAUAGAGACCUAAUUGCAAUACCUUGUGUGCAGUUAUAUCUCCCGCAUGGUGUCCUCCGUAGGCCUCGGAGUGACACUUCUGUAGGAUCUGUCCCUGUUCAUGUUCAGGUACACAACGUCUAAUAACACCAUCUACUCCUUCCUUAUAAAGGUGAGGAUCAUCCCGGAAGUAAUGUCUCAAGUCAAAGAAGAAUUUCUUCUUUUGCUGGUAUGUGAAACUAGGUGGUAUAUAUUUGGCAACGAUAUAAUUUGCAUAAUCAACGUACCAGGGUGCACUAUGUGAAGUAUUGAUGACUUUCAAUUGCUCAUCAAGAAAGCUAUCAUCAAUAGGUUGUGGGUCAUCAAGAACAUUCUCCAACCUAGACAAGUUAUCUUCUACUGGGUUAUCAGCACCCUUUCUGUCGACAACAUGCAAAUCAAAUUCUUGUAGCAAGAGAACCCAUCUGAUAAGUCUAGGUUUAGCGUCCUUCUUCUCCAUGAGGUACUUAAUAGCAGCGUGAUCAGUGUGAAUAGUGACUUUGGAAUCAACUAUGUAAGACCUGAACUUUUCACAUGCAAACACGACUGCUAAAAAUUCCUUUUCUGUAGUAGCAUAGUUUGUUUAGGCACUGUCUAGAGUUUUACUAGCAUAGUGAAUAACAUUCAACUUCUUAUCAACUCUUUGCCCUAGAACAGCACCGACAACAUAAUCACUAGUGAAAGUGCAGUCAUGCCCUUAAUCGUGUUUUGGUGUUGCUGACAACACACAUAUAGAUAACUAAUCACUAAUCCCAUUGAAGCUAUUGUGAAUGAUCAUGUGUUGAUAAGGACAAGCUCAUGUGCUAACAAGGACACGAUCAAGAUAAGCAUUCCUGAGCACUACAUGCUUGAUUCUUGUGGAUGUUCACAUGGUGGACAAAUGAAGAUGAAUACAUAAGCUAGGGUUUCCACAUUGUGUAUGAGAGAGUUACUUGAAGACUUCAUCAUGUCUUGCUUUCAACUUGAGCCAAGAAGGAACAACAACAUCAAGCCCAAGUGAAAGGCCUAACUCAAAGGCAUCAAUCCCUUUGACAUUAGUGGUGCGGAGUGAUGAUCAGCAAAUAAAAGUAUACACUCAAGUAUAGAUCAUCGGUACCCCUUUUAUAAUUCUUGAGUCUUUAGGGAUCCCGCACUAUUAAGAGGGGAUCACAGGUUCUGUGAUGAACUUUCUCAAAAUAGAUAUCCACUGUUCUGCUCAUACCACAUCUCCAGUGCUCUGUUGUUAUCAGAAAACAGGACCAGUGCCUCGGACAUCCGGCCUCCUCCGGACGUCCGAGGGCCGGACGUCCGACCUGCUUCAGAAAUCCAGAAUCCUUUACCAGAGAAAUCAGAGCCAUAUAACUCGGACUUAUGGCUCCCUCCGGACGUCCGAGGGCCGGUCGUCCGACCAGCAUCGGAAAUCCGGUGCUUUGCACGGGAAAAACUUGAGCCAUAUAACUCGGACUUCCGGCUCCCUCCGGACGUCCGAGGGCCGGACAUCCGUCCCCUUUCGGAAAUCCGGAAUCUUGCACCAGAGAAGUUUGAGUCGAAUAACUCGGACUUCCGGCCUUCUCCGGAUGUCCGGUCCCUGUUCAACUCCAUAGUGGUUCCAGAUAUAUUUACAGCCCUCGGACGUCCGACCCCUGUCGGACGUCCAACCCCUUGUAGAUGCCCGGACAUCCGUGAACUGCCGGAUGUCCGAGCCCUGUGUGACUUAAAGUGUCCCCAAUGGCUGUUUUACUCUCCCCACUAUAUAUACCCCCCUCCCACUUCGUGAGAGGGUUCCCAACACAGCCAUAUCCUCAUAAGAACUCAUUUCUACCUCACACACAUUUGCUUACAUCAAAUCUUAGAUCCCAAGAGCAUUUGUGAGCCCCUAUGAGAGUUGUUACAAUCAAAACAUAGAUCGUCUCCCUCUCCUUCUCUCAACCCAAGCUAUUUGAGAUUUGAGCAAGUUUUGAGCAUUCCCCGUGAUCUUGUUACUCUUGGAGGUUGGAGACUCCUAGGCGGUAGGAGUUCUUCGGAGAGGAAUCAAUCCGUGUGAUUACCCCCCGGAAAAGUUUGUGAGGGUUUGGAAGCCACCUCAAAGACUUACCACUAGUGGUUCGGAAACGCCUUCGUGUUAUCUCAAAGGGAGAAUAGGGUGAGCCUUCAUGGCGUUGGUGUGCCUUCGUGGUAACAUCCACCUCUAUAACGGUGACUAGCUUCCCUCCAAGGAAGUGAACAUCGGGAUACAUCUUCGUCUCAGUGACCUUGGUUAUCCUUAACCCUAACUCCUUACUUGUGGUUUACUUGUGUUACUUUAGCAUACAUACAUUGCAUAUUGUUUGUGCUCAUUAUAUUGUGUUGGCAAUUUCUUGUAUAAGAUUAAUCAUUCAAGCAUACCCUGUAUAUCCACAUGUUCACACUUGCAGCUUUUGAUAUAUCGUGUGCUAUAGUGUGAUCUAGUAUCUUGUGUCGUUCACCUACUUGUCGUGUGAUAUAGCUCAAGUAAAUUUGUGUAACUUACUUGUGCUUGUUAGUAACUGUAUUGUGUCAAUCUUGGUAGAUCGUGUUGUUGAUACACGUUGCAGUGCCUAGUGCAUUUAGGAUUUGUGCUUGACAAGUAUCCUCUUAGUUUAUUUCCGCAUUAGGUUUAAGCCAAAUCCGAAGAAGUUUUUAAAUAGCCUAUUCACCCCCCCUCUAGGCGUCAUCGAGGUCUUUUCAAUUGGUAUCAGAGCAAGAUCUGUCUUUAAUUAGGUUUCACGACCUAGAGAGUAUAGAUGUCGACUAUUGGACUAGUGUACAAUGACACCUUUGAGUUUGAUGGCACAAAUUAUACCCUAUGGAGAAUUCGUAUGCUUCAUCACUUUCGGGACAUGGGCCCAAAUACUUUACGAAUUGUUCUUGUAGGGAUUGCCGACAAAAAGGAUGAUGCAUCUUCAUCUACUAAUGAAAUGUAUCUUGAUUGUGAGGCUUUUCUUGCAAUUCAUCGAACCAUUAGUCCUGAAGUGUUUAAGUCUAUCUUGACUUGCAAGUCAGCUCAUGAAGUUUGGACUAAACUUGAAGAUAUAUAUGGUGGGUGCAAUCUUGAUGAAGAUGAUAUUAUGAUGAAGGAGUUGGUGCAUGAGCUCUUCACUCUUUUUGAUCAUAAGGAGUCCACCACUACUUCCAUAUCUGAUUGCUUGGACACCUCAGCGUCUUCAAUCUCAUAAGGUAAUGAUAUGGUGAGUGAAGAAAUAUAUGUUGAUGAAAAUGUCAUAGCCUCUAUGGACACGAGCAUAUCUAGCACCACAUGUGGUGUAAAUUAUUGUGCUGAUAGGUCAUGCAUUUCACCUAAAGAUCCCUCGACAAAUGUCUGUGGUGAUAUGUCUGCUUUCCCGUGUCCUCUUGAUCAAAAUAUCUUGUUUCUCCCUAGUUGUUCUAUGACUAAUCAUUUAGGGGAAAUCAAGAAAUAUGAAGUACCUUUGACUAAUGAAGAAUCUGAUUCACCAAAAGAAUCAUCAUCAACUCCUCAAGUUCACAUGUGCCUCAUGGCAAGAGGUAAUAAUGAGGUAUCAUCUUCCCUGUGCAAUAACGAUGAUAUUUGCGAUGAGGAUGAUGAUGAUGACUUGACUGAAAAUAUCUAUGUGAUCAGUAAAAUUCUUCAUCAAGCUAAAAAUAACGCUCUUCAAAGAUUCCAAUAUGUUCUUGCUUACUUUGAAAAUUGCAAUGAUUUACUUAAUCAUGAACAAGCUAAAAGUGAACAACUUGAACAUGAACUUGAGAAGAGUCAUCAAGCAUGUAGAGACUUAAGAUCUUCAAAAGGAGAGAUUGAAGUUGCUCAUGAUAAACUUCAAAAGGAUUUUGAGGUCCUUCUCCUUGAAUGCAAGAAUGUCAAGGGAGAGCUCAUCAAAACCUCUAAGAUCUAUGAGGAGCUUCAAUCUACUCAUCAGAAGUCUCUAAUCGCUACUUACUCCUGUCAUAUUGUUGAUGAUACUUGUACAUCUAACCCUAUCUCUUUUGAAGUAUCAACAUUGAAGGAGAAUGUUGAGCUACGUGCUCAACUUGAUUUACUAACUAGCGAUUAUGGGAAGUUGGAAGAAAACCAUGUAAUGCUCACAAGCUCUCAUGCCGAUCUUCUAACAUCCCAUAAUGUGCAAAAGUUAGCUCAUGAGGCUAUCAUCACCAAGGUAACAUCAAGUGAGCCUCAUGUGGACAAUGGCACCACUUCUAAUCAAAGUACUAUAUUUCCACGUGCUAGUCCUCGUAAUUCGUCUACUCAUAAUGUUGCUACCUCGUGUGAUGAAUUACUUUCCUUGCCUUGUUGCUCUAACAAUGAAGCUUACACUUCCUCUAGUACUUGCAUUGACACUAACCGUGCAGAGGAAAUCGAAGAGCUCAAGGCCCAAGUCACUUAUUUGAAGAAAGACUUGGAACAGUGUCAUGAAGGGAUGUCCACACUCAACAACGUCCUGUGUGAGCAAACAUCUCCGAAUGACAAACAUGAUGUUGGAGUAAACUCAAACAAGAACAAGAGUGGCCUAGAAUGAGUUAAGAAUUCGGCAAAAAUCAUUUGCUUCAAGUAUAAAGAUAAAGGGCACCAAGUUAGAUCUUUCCCUCUGAAGACAAAGUCUCGAAGUCACAAGCAACAAGGGAAGCGGCCACAAACUCAAUCACACACUCAGCUACAAGUUGAAGGAAGGCCUCUUCCCAAUAAGACCCAAGACUACACUCCCCGAGGUGAGAAAUCAACUGGGAAGAAAACAAAGGGUAGAUGGUGCUACUUAUGUCGUGAGAAGGGUCACGUUGCUUCGUAUUGCACGAGAGGUAACUUAUCCAACCCAAUCACUAUUGAUGAUAGCUAUUCCCUUGGGAAGGAUAAGGUUGGCAAUGUGUUUGCCAAUUUUGUUGGUACUCAAAAUGGUGUCAAGAAAAGAACCAUUUGGGUUGCCAAGCCUAUUGUGACUAACCUCUUAGGACCCAACGUAGUUGGGGACCAACAAGCUCAAACUUGAUAAAUAGGUGACUUUGGAGGACAUUGGAGACUUGGAUACACAAUGAAGAUUUGAGGACUCUUCAUCAUUCGUAUCAUCUCAAGCCAAGUCACUUGGAUUAUCGAGCCCAUAUCCCAUAUCCAAUGUGCCUCUUUGCGGUGACUUGUACUUAAAUUGUUUACAUUGAAAGUUGCCUGCCCCACUCCUUCUCAUGUCUAGGUUUGGUACCUAGCAUGUACUUUGACAUGUUGCGCCUACUAGUAUUAUUGUUAUAUGUAAUAUAUCAUAUGUAGGUCGUUAUGUAUGUCAUAUAGUUGUGUGUAGUCCUGAUCAUUACUUGCAUCCUAGUUGCACCGUUGUGUGGGUCUUUUCAGACGUUAAUAGCUCAUCACAUUAAGGGGGAGUGUUUCUUCUCUACGCACAUCACUAACCCAAAAUGUGUAUGUAUGUAUUGGACUCCAUCUAGUAUUCGGCGCAAGAUUAUCCAAUCAAUUCGUUUGAUGUCAAAGCCAUCCGAAGUUCAAAUUGUCAUCCACUUAUCAGCUUAGUUGGAUGAUUGAUUGCCUUGUAUGAUAAAUACAUGGAUUAUCACAUUAUGGGAGUGUGAUAUGCAUUGUGCACGUCACAUCCUCUAGUAAGAUAAAACAUCCGAUGUAUGCCACUCAGAAUCUACCACAUGGGGUUAUUCUAUAACUGUGUGGCAUGUCAUGCUCCACAUAUCUUAAUUCGCAUAAUAACCCUGUUGGUGUCUAAAUGCCUUAGAUGUGCGUGAGUAUGGCGUCCUACUACAACAAUACUCAUGGCUUAGCCACUAGAUCGUAUCUAAAAGAAGGGCAUUGUUGAUGCAUGCUUUUCGAAUUAUUUCUCCACACUAUGAUCUAACUAAUUGGGAUGUUAACGUAUGACAUCUAAACAUUAUGCUUAUGGUUGAACUCCCAUAUCACACUUGUGUGAGUAUAAAACGAUCUUUGUGCUCGUUUGGCACCUACCACCACUCAUAAUUCUAAAUGCCAUUGUGUUCUCUCACACAUGGUAUCUCUGGCUUGGUAGUGUUUUCCAUGGUCAUUUUAUUUCAGCCUUGUCUUCAUUUGACCUACUUAACUUGCCGAGAAAUUCAUGUCUCUCUCUCGGUAAUCUCCCAUGCAUGUCUUUGAGAUCGCACUAGUUAUUUCAUAAUGUUGUGGGAGUUAUAAUCAUAUUACCUACACCUAUACAUCUACUAGGGUGAGUCAUGCAUGUAAGGUUGUGCAAAAUGCAUACCUUACAUGGUUUGAUGCCUUGACCGGUUCAUGUGUUGAACUUGGGGUGCUACCAUAUGUUGAUUUUUCACCCUGGUCCAUUUUGGACGACAUGCAUGUUCUGUAAUAGAAAAUUAUGUGUUCAUUUGUCCAAAUUGUAUAUCCUUGGAUUUUGAUAGGCUUGUGUAGGCAUAUCUACAAUGUGUAGAUACACAUGCCAUGUCUAUCGUAUCUUUGAUCCAAUAUAUGUAUAUGGUAAAUCAGACAUAUCCAUUAAAAGGUUAAGGUGUGCUUGAAAGUAAAACUUAUAUCUAUAUGCACAUAAUUGAGUGAUCUUACCCUAUAUAUAUUGUAGUUGGACUAACUACUUUGGACCCAAUAAGUUUGGGCACCAUAUUGUGCUUAAUUGAUGGUUUAGGUACUUUGGAGAAGCAUUGCUAUCUUGACUUAUUCUCAGAAGAAGAUGGUGCUAGUCACGAAGAAAUUGGAAUCAAGACAGGACUCGGCUACUUCUACGCCAUACCAAUGCUUUUCCGGUAACAAGUAUUUACUUCAUGCAUGUACAACAUUAGAGUCAACACUGUGUAGGUUGCAUCAUGGCAUGAACAUAAUACUUUUUGCACUUUGUAAUUUCCUGCAUGUCCUUGUCAAUCACAUUCAUGAAAUGCUUUGUGUUCGUGUUCUCUUAGCACUUCAUGGUCAUAUGAAUGAGACAAAUUUGUGCCAUGACCCUUGUGUCAUGUGCCUUGCUCUUAUAAGAUGAUAACUUGUGCAUGAUUCUAUGCACUCAUGCGUUUGACGAUAUUUUGGACCCACACUUAUCAUAGUAAUCGUAUUAAAAGAUUUACAUCAUACCAUGUCCAAAAUAUGUUAGUUGAGUGCCCCCCCCCUUGGUUGCUACACAUGCGAGAAUACUCAUCAUCCAAAUCCCAGAAAUUGCCUCUUCCUUCUCUCUCUCGGUCGUCCGACGGAUCUCGGACGUCCGACGGCUAAACUCAUUCAAGACGUCCGGCCAGUGUCGGUCGUCCGACGGCUAAAUCCACUCCAGACGUCCGACGCCUGUCGGACGUCCGACACAUCGGGGCACUAUAAAUAGAAGGGCGUGGGCUGGGCCUUGCCCUAGCCCCCACGAGCCUCCUUUUCUCCCAGCCGCCGCCGCCGCCAGCUCCAGGGGAGCUCGCCCGCGCCGCCACCUCCGGGAUCUGACUGAUCUCCUCCGCGGGAUACGUCUCCCCUUCCUCUCCUCUCUUGAUCUGCAGGUAUCCCCUCCGCCCCCCUCGCGUUUGGUUCCCUUUUCUCCCACGUUCACGUGUUUGUUCAUAUGGUUUGACCGUGACCGUUCCCCAUUGGGUUUCCAACCGUGUAGGCUUUUGCUCAUCAUGCCCAAGAUUAAGCACUCCGCCCGGAAGGACACUGCUGGCUCAUCCGUUCGUGCCCCUACUGGCACGGGGUCGGACUCCGAAGGGCAACGUCGUCCCUUCAAACGGACUUCCCGGCGUCCUCCGCCUCAACAGCUCCCCUGGAGGAUGAGCUUGCAGCUGAGACCGUGCUGAACAGCCCGCCGUUCGGAAGUCUAUGCCAAAGCCUGGGACUCGCAGGCCCUCCUAUAUGCCACCACCUCCUCCUGAACAGCCCGAAGGUGAAGCUCGUUGCAUCUCACUUGAACCUCCUGCUACAUUAGGUGGUGAAGUCAAGAACUUCACCACGGUUGCUAAGUCUUCCUACCUCACUUUCCGCCACGACGUUGACCAAUUCUCUGUUGUACGUGACUCUAUGGACUCACGUUUCCACACAAACGUCCAGGCGGACAUCUUUACUACGGUCAUUGUACCUAAGGGUCUCUCUGUCCAUCACUUUAUUGAUCUUGAGCAUAUUCGCAUGCACCCGGUGAAAUACCCGGGUGCCAUUGAGCUCAUUGAUUCAUCGGGGCUUGCUGCCCCCUUUGCUUUUCGGCUCGAUUUUAACGCUGCUGCUAUUCACCAAUUUUAUGCCACAUGUUUCUUUGGUCCAAACAACACUAUUAGCUGGAUAACCUCUGACGUUCAGUUCAUAGCCUCUUAUGAUGAGUUUGUUGCCGCACUUGGUUUCCCCAACUCCGGCUUCAAAAUCCAUAAGAAUGAUCCUAACCAUGCACAUAAGCCAAUUGAGGCGUGUGGGUAUCUCCUCAAACCACUCCGUGAACUUGAUGCAGACUAACGAAUGAAGGAUCGUAACCAAGUAUCCAUCUGGCGCUCUCCCUACUUUAUCAUCUUUCAGUGUCUUAUCCGCUCCAUCUAUCCCAAGAUGGGUGAUAAGGGAUCCUGAAGUGGCUACUGUAUUGACAUCAUGUCACAUUUGUACGAGCACCCCAAGAGCAAAAUUAAUGUGCCUCACUUUCUAUGGCAUGAGAUUCGGCUUGGUAGUUUUCAAUACAAGCGAGCCUUCCCUCAUGCCCCCUUCAUCUAGGCUUUUAUUAACCAUGUUGAUGAAUUCACUGUUGCUGUCACUCACACGCAUCACAAGUGGGUCAUUCCCGCUCACAUGGCGGAUAACUAUGCUCCCAAGAAAACCCCACCAUCCACCUCCACUCGCCGCACUGCGUCCCGGUCAGCAACCCCUUCAUCUAGCUCAGCUCCUCUCGGUCGCUUUGCAAUAUUCAUUGGCAAGGAACAUUAUGCUAUGAUGAAGGCCUUCUCUUUCCAGUGCGUUCAAACUCAUGAUGUGGUUUCUCGCCUCGUCUCCUCCAAGAAUUCCCUCAAGGCUCGUCUGAGAGACUCGGGCACUCUUGAUGUGAGUGACGAUGAGGCCCUUCCUGCUGCUCCUCCUUCUGACUUUGGCUUCCCAUCUGUUCCUGAGUGGGCUGAUUUUCUUGAUGAGGCUGGGGGCAGUGGUUUGCCUGAGAAUGAGGAUGAGGAUGAUGAGGAUGAUGCAUGAUGAUGAUGAUUAUGAUGAGGGUGAUAUUUCAGUAUGUGGUAGCAUUGUCGGUUUCCCCUCCUUUUUGGUCCUUGAUGCCAAAGGGGGAGAACAUUCUCUUAUCUUAGUUUCAAUUUUAGUUUCGAUUUUAGUUUCUCUCAUAAUGUAUGGUAUGAUGUAUUAUGUCGAACUUAAUGAUGUGUCAUCAUGUAACGAUAUUUAUGGAUGAUGUGCUAUGCCAUCACUUAUGGAUGAUGUAUUGUUGAACUAUCAUGUGGUGAUGAGAUAUCAUGAUAUUAUCGCUGUGUCAUAUGAUGAUGAGUUUUAUGCUAUCCUAUUGAUUCAUAUGAUAUGCUAUGAAUUAUUGAUUCUUAUGAUAUGCUAUGUAUUCCUGAACUAUUAUGGUGUUAUAUCAUGCUAUUAUCUUCUUGCACACAUUAAGGGGAAGCUCCCGCACUUACCUAUUUUACAAUGCAUAUAAUAAGGUGGAGCUUCAUAAGCAUCAUAACAAAUCUCUCCUAAGCCGCACAUGUUUAUUACUAUUUUUGAGAGCUAUAUGUAUGUUGUCAUCAACUACCAAAAAGGGGGAGAUUGAAAGUGCGGUCAUGCCCUUAAUCAUGUUUUGGUGUUGCUGACAACACACAUAUAGAUAACUAAUCACUAAUCCCCUUUAAGCUAUUGUGAAUGAUCAUGUGUUGAUAAGGACAAGCUCAUGUGCUAACAAGGACAAGAUCAACAUAAGCAUUCCUGAGCACUACAUGCUUGAUUCUUGUGAAUGUUCACAUGGUGGACAAAUGAAGAUGAAUACAUAAGCUAGGCUUUCCACAUUGUGUAUGAGAGAAUUACUUGAAGACUUCAUCAUGUCUUGCUUUCUACUUGAGCCAAGAAGGAACAACAACAUCAAGCUCAAGUGAAAGGGCUAACAAAAAGGCACCAGUCCCUUUGACGUUAGUGGUGCGGAGUGAUGAUCAGCGAAUAAAAGUAUACACUCAAGUAUGGAUCAUCGGUACCCCUUUUAUAAUUCUUGAGUCUUUAGGGUACCCCUUUUAUAAUUCUUGAGUUAGGGUUUCGGAAAUCCGGAGCUUUGCACCAGAAGAACUUGAGCCAUAUAACUCAGACUUCCGGCUCCCUCCGGACGUCCGAGGGCCGGACGUCUGUCCCCUUUCGGAAAUCCGGAAUCUUGCACCAUAGAAGUUUGAGUCGAAUAACUCGGGCUUCCGGCCUUCGCCGGACGUCCGGUCCCUGUUCAACUCCACAGUGGUUCCAGAUAUAUUUACAGUCCUCGGACGUCCGACCCCUUGUGGAUGCCCGGACAUCCGUGAACUGCCGGAUGUCCGACCCCUGUGUGCUUAGAGUGUCCCCAACGGCUGUUUUACUCUCCCCACUAUAUAUACCCCCUCCCACUUUGUGAGAGGGUGCCCAACACAGCCAUAUCCUCAUAAGAACACAUUUCUACCUCACACACAUUUUCUUACAUCAAAUCUUAGAUCCCAAGAGCAUUUGUGAACCCCUUUGAGAUUUGUUCCAAUCAAAAGAUAGAUCGUCUCCCUCUCCUUCUCUCAACCCAAGCUAUUUGAGAUUUGAGCAAGUUUUGAGCAUUCCCCGUGAUCUUGUUACUCUUGGAGGUUGGAGACUCCUAGGCGGUAGGAGUUCUUCGGAGAGGAAUCAAUCCGUGUGAUUACCCCCCGGAAAAGUUUGUGAGGGUUUGGAAGCCACCUCAAAGGCUUACCACUAGUGGUUUGGAAACGCCUUCGUGGUGUUAUCUCAAAGGGAGAAUAGGGUGCGCCUUCGUGGUAACAUCCACCUCUCUAACGGUGACUAGCUUNUGUUGUUGAUACACGUUGCAGUGCCUAGUGCAUUUAGGAUUUGUGCUUGACAAGUAUCCUCUUAGUUUAUUUCCACAUUAGGUUUAAGCCAAAUCCGAAGAAGUUUUUAAAUAGCCUAUUCACCCCCCCCCUCUAGGCGUCAUCGAACUCUUUUCAACUAGCAUCACACAUGACUUCAAAAGGUAAGUUCCAACCAGGUGGUUGAACAAUAGGUGCAGUUAUCAAAGCCUUCUUAAGUAUUUUGAAGGCUUCCUCACAAUCAUCGUCAAAGACAAAACGAAUAUCCUUUUGCAAGAGAUUGGUAAGAGGCCUAGAAAUCUUAGAGAAGUCUUUAAUGAACCUCCUAUAGAAACCAGCAUGACCAAGGAAACUUCUUAUACCUUCGAUAUCUGUGGGUAUGGCAUUUUCUCGAUUGCAUCAACCUUAGACUUAUCGACUUCAAUACCUCUUUCUGAAAUUUUAUGUCCUAAGACGAUGCCCUCAUUAACCAUAAAGUGGCACUUCUCCCAAUUGAAGACAAGAUUGGUGUCUUUACAUCUCUGCAAGACCCGAUCAAGGUUGUUGAGCCAAUCAUCAAAAGAAAACCCGUAGACGGAGAAGUCAUCCAUGAAAACCUCAACAAUCUUUUCACAAAAGUCAGAGAAUAUAGCCAUCAUACAUCUUUGAAAGGUGGCAGGUGCAUUACAUAAGCCAAAAGGAAUACGUCUGUAAGCAAAGGUACCGAAAGGGCACGUGAAAGUGGUUUUCUCCUGAUCAAAUUGUGCAAUUGGUAUUUGGGAGAAACCAGAAUAACCGUCUAGAAAGCAUAAGUGUGUGUGUUUAGACAGUCUUUCUAGCAUUUGGUCAAUAAAAGGCAAAGGGUAAUGAUCUUUCCUAGUGGCUUUAUUCAAUUUCCUAAAAUCGAUCACCAUCCUAUAGCCAGUAAUAAUCCUCUGUGGGAUCAAUUCAUCCUUAUCAUUAGGGACAACGGUAAUACCUCCCUUCUUAGGGACGGAAUGCACCGGACUCACCUAAUCACUAUGAGCAACAAGAUAGAUAAUACCUGCUUCCAGGAGCUUUAGUAUUUCUUUUCUUACUACCUCUUUCAUCUUAGGAUUUAAUCUCCAUUGAUGAUCAUCAACUGGUUUGGAAUGAGGAUCGGUUUUAAUCUUGUGCUGGCAUAGAGUGGGAAUAAUACUCUUAAGAUCAUGAAGAGUAUAUCCAAUAGCAGCACGGUGCUUCCUCAGAGUUUUUAGUAACUUCUUUUCUUCAUGCUCUGAGAAGCUAGCAGUAAUGAUAACAGGAUAUAUCUCUUUUUCAUCAAGAUAAGCAUACUUAAGAGUAUCACGCAACUGUUUAAGCUCGAACACAUGAUCACCCUUUGGUGGGGGUGGAUCUCCAAGAAGUUCAACAGGAAAGUUAUUCUUAAGGAUAGGAUAUUGUUCUAAGACAACUCUAUCUAUCUCAUCCCUUUCAUCCAUAUGCAUAUCAUUUUCAUGCUCAAGCAAGUAUUGCUCUAAAGGAUCAGUAGGAGGCACGGCAAUAGAAGUUAGGGAAAUAGUUUAAUCCCUACUAGGCAACUCUUUUUCAUGAGGUUGUCUACCAAACUUGGAGAAAUUGAACUCAUGUGACACACCUUCAAAGCCAACAGUGACAGUUUGCUUCUCACAGUUAAUAUGAGCAUUGACAGUAUUGAGAAAAGGUCUGCCAAAUAUGAUGGGACAAAAGCUAUCUUGUGUGGUAUCAAGAACAAGGAAAUCAGUAGGAUAGUUCGUUUUACCACACAAGACUUCAACAUCCCUAAGAAUUCCCACAUGGUAGAUAGUAUCUCUAUUGUCAAGCUGAAUAGUGACAUCAAUAGGUUCCAUCUCAACAGGUGCAAUCUCGUUUUUGAUUUCAUCAUAUAAGGAUUGAGGUAUUGCACUAACACUAGCACCCACAUCACAUAAACCAUGAUAACAAUGAUCUCUUAUCUUAACAAAAACAAUAGGCGUGCCAAAAACAUGCCUAUGUUUGUCUCUAGCAUGUGGUUUAGCAAUUCUAGCAGCAUCUUCACAGAAGUGAAUAUUAUGGCCGUCAACAUUGUCGGACAGGAGAUCUCUGAUAAUAGCAAUGCUAGGUUCAACUAUAAUUUGCUCAGGGGGUGUAGGUGUUCUAAUGUAACCUCUACGUAUCACAGUUGAAGCUUUAGAAUGAUCCUUUAUCCUAACAGGAAAGGUGGUUUCUCAAUGUAAGCACUAGGAACAAUAGGAUCAUUAUAUGCAAUGACUUUCUCUUAAACUGGAUUAGGUUUAACUACAUUGACUUAUAAGGGAGGAUGAUAUUUAAAUCACUUCUCCUUGGGGAGAUCAAUAUGAGCAGCAAAAGAAUCACACAAUGAAGCUACCAUCUCAGAGUCAAGUCCAUACUUAGUGCUAAAAUCACAAAAAGUAUUUGUUUCAACAAAGGAUUUAACACAAUCAAACUUGAAAUUCAUAAUUGACUCGUUACCUUCAUCAAGCUACCAAUCUUCAGAGUUGUGUUUAAUUCUCUCCUAUAAAUUCCAUCUGAAGUCAAUAUCUCUCUUCAUAAAAGAACCGGUACAAGAAGUGUCAAGCAUGGUGCGAUCAUCAUGAGAAAGCCGAGCAUAGAAGUUCUGAAUGAUAAUUUCUCUCGAGAGCUAAUGGUUGGGGCAUGAAUAUAACAUUGAUUUAAACCUCCCCCAAGCUUGAGCGAUGCGUUCUCUGUCACGAGGCCAAAAAUUAUAAAUAUAAUUCCGAUCACGAUCUACUAGAUGCAUAGGAUAAAACUUUUGAUGAAAUUCCAAUUUCAACCGAUUGUAGUUCCAUGAUCCAGUAUCAUCACAUAUCCUGUACCAUGUCAACGCCUUAUCCUUCAAAGAUAAGGGCAAGAUAUUCUUCUUGACCUCAUCCUCGGGCAAACCUACUAGCUUAAAUAAACCACAAAAUUCAUCUACAUAGAUUAGAUGCAAGUCUGGAUCUGAUGUUCCAUCUCCUGUUAAAGGAUUAGCCAGCAGUUUCUCAAGCAUACCCGAAUGAAAUUCAAAGCAAAUAUUUUUAGUAGGUGCAGCAGUUUGAGGAGAUACACUUUGUGCUUCCGUUCGAGGUGAAGAUACCCCGAACAAGCCCCUCAAGGGAUUAGUUUCCAUAGUGACAAGUGACAAUAAAUUUCAGCACACUAUAUAAAUGUUUCCUUACCAAAUUCCACUUACCAAAGGCGCUUCACUCUCCGGCAACGGCACCAGAAAAGAUUCUUGAUGACCCACAAGUAUAGGGGAUCUAUCGUUGUCCUUUCGAUAAGUAAGAGUGUCAAACCCAAUGAGGAGCAGAAGGAUGUGACAAGUGGUUUUCACCAAGGUAAUAUCUCCAAGCACAGAAAUUAUCGGUAACAAGUAGUUGUGUGGUGAGAUGAUUCAUAGCAAGUAGCAAGUAACAAAAGUAACAACGGUGCAGAAAAGUGGCCCAAUUCCUUUUGUAGCAAGGGACAAGCCUGGACAAAGUCUUAUAGGAGGUAACGCUCCCGAGGACACGUGGGAAUUUCUGUCAAGCUAGUUUUCAUCAUGUUCAUAUGAUUCACGUUCGUUACUUUGAUAGUUUGAUAUGUGGGUGGACUGGUGCUUGGGUACUGCCCUUACUUGGACAAGCAUCCCACUCAUGAUUAACCCCUCUCGCAAGCAUCCUCAACUACGAAAGAAGAAUUAAGACAAAGUCUAACCAUAGCACUAAACUAGUGGAUCCAAAUCAGCCCCUUACGAAGCAAUGCAUAAACUAGGGUAUCAGCUUUUGUCACUCUACCAACCCAUCAUCUACUUACUACUUCCCAAUGCCUUCCUCUAGGCCCAGAUAAUGGUGAAGUGUUAUGUAGUCGACAUUCACAUAACACCACUAGAGGAAAAACAACACACAACACAUCAAAUUACCAAACGAAUACCAAAUUCACAUGACUACUUAUAGCAUGACUUAUCCCAUGUCCUCGGGAACAAAAGUAACUACUCACAAAGCAUAAUCAUAUUCAUGACCAGAGAGGUAAUGAGUAGCAUCAAAGAUCUGAACAUAAACUCUUCCACCGAGUAAUCCUACUAGAAUAAACUACACAGAGUAAUUAACACUACUAGCAACCUUACAAGUACCAAUCGGAGUCGCGAGACAGAGAUUGGUUACAAGAGAUGAACUAGGGUUUGGAGAUGAGAUGCUGCUGAUGAAGAUGUUGAUGGUGACGAGUCCCCUCCGAUGAGAGGAGUGUUGGUGAUGACGAUGGCGAUGAUUUCCCCCUCCUGGUGGGAAGUUUCCCCGGCAGGGUCGUCCUGCUGUAGCUCUAGAUUGGUUCUGCUCAUGUACCGCCUCGUGGCGGCAUCGAAUCCUCCGAAAAGCCUCCUCCUGUUUUUUUUCAGACCGAAACACUUCUUGUAGAGAAAGGGGGAAGCCAGAGGGCCAAGUGGGAGCCCACAAGCCCCUAGGCGCGACCAGGGGGGAGGCCGCGCCUAGCAGGCUUGUGGCCUCCUGCUGGCGCUCCUCUAGUACUUCUUCGGCCCAGUUUUUUUUAUAAAUCCCGAAAAAGUCCAUGUUGAUUUUCACGGCUUUUGGAGUUGCGCAGAAUAGUCAUCUCAAAGUUGCUCCUUUUUCAGGCCAGAAUUCCAGUUCCCGGCAUUCUCCCUCUUCAUGUAAACCUUGCAAAAUAAGAGAGAAAAGGCAUAAGUAUUAUACCGUGAAGUGUAAUAACAACCCAAAAAGAAAUAAAUAUCAACAUGAAAGCACCAUGAAAAAUGGACGUAUCAAUAUGUAGUUUCACGGGGUCAUCCCCGAGAAGAAGGCUGAAUCACUCGGUCAAAUCACCCUGAAUGUCAUAUUCGGUGGUGAGAAUAAUUAUAGGAAUGAAAGGCUGACCUUUGUGGUGGUCGACAUCUGAUGCGCGUUUCACACCAUCCUGGGUAGGGUCUGCGUACGUGUGUUUCAUGGCCCGUCCAUGUUACAUGCAUCCUAAAAUUAAGAUGCUAGGACUGAAAGGUGUGAUUACAGUGACCAGCUAUCAGAAAAUCGCUGAAGAAUGCCUACAUCACGGCUGUCGAAUCGCCAACGAGCAAGUCAUUGCAGCCGAGCUCAAAGGGUACAAGAAGGCGGUGAACUCUGCUGACAUGCUCAGGUCCAAACGGCUGGCUACUGAGUGUGCCUUUCAGUAGGCCGGUGAGACCAAGAUGAUUCACGUCCACCCUACCGACCUGAGUGCCUCCGAGAGAAACAUUUCCACUUCACUCGAGGAGAAAUAGGAAGUCGAGCUCAUCCAGUUCCUCCGUGAGAACUGGGACAUCUUCACAAGGAAGCCUUAUGACAUGCCGGGUGUUCCUAGGGAACUGGCUGAGCACCGCCUCCGAGUGGACUCCAAAGUCAAGCCCGUCAAGGAACACUUGCGCUGCUCCUCCAUGGAGAAGUGCAAGGCAAUCAACGAGGAGAUUGCUCCGCUCCUAGCUGUCGAGUUCACCGACGAGGUGUACCACUCCGAGUGGUUGGAGAACGUGGUCAUGGUGCCUAAGAAGAACAAUUCACUCCAAAUUUGUAUUGACUUCAAGCACCUCAAUCGGGCGUGCCUGAAGGAUCAUUUCCCUUUACCUCGCAUAGAUCAGAUUGUAGAUUCAACUACUCGAUGUGAACGCAUGUUGUUCCUGGAUGCAUACUCUGGGUACCACCAGAUCUGAAUGUAUGGACCAGAUGAAAUAAAAAUGGCCUUCAUCACCCCCAAUUGGGUGUUUUUGCUACAUCAUCAUGCCAUUCGGCCUCAAAAAUGCUAGAGCUACUUUUCAGCACAUGAUCCAGAAGUGUUUGCUGGAACACAUCAGUCGGAAUGUCGAAGCGGACAUGGAUGACAUCUUGAUCAAGUCCAGGAAAGGUUCCGACCUCAUGUUUGACCUCACCGAAACCUUCACGAACCUUCGGCGCUUCAGGAUGAAACUUAGUAUGGCCAAAUGCACUUUCGGGGUGCCGGCUGGUAAGUUACUCUGUUUCCUUGUUUUUGAACGAGGCAUUGACGCCAAUCCCGAUAAAAUGGUGCCAUAAUCCAAAUGAGACGUAGAGAGUGCAUCCAGGAUGUGCUUAUGGGUUCCCUUGUGGCCCUGAGCCGCUUCAUCUCAAGACUCGGCGAGAAGGCCCUACCUCUUUACCGACUGAUUAAAAAAUCCAAUAGAUUUGAAUGGACCAACGAACCACAAGUCGCUUUUGACCAACUCAAGCCUUUGCUAUUUCCCCAGCCGGUGUUAGCUGCCCCGAGUAGCCAGGAGCCCUUACUCUUGUAGAUUGCUGCCACUAGCCAAGUCGUUAGCAGCAUUCUCACCGUGGAGCGCAAAGAAGCGGGAAAGCAUACAAGGUGCAACGGCCCAUCUAUUACAUCUCACACGUAUUGACUCCCUCCAAGCAAAGGUAUCCACAUUACCAGAAGCUGGUUAACAUUAUCUAUCUGGUUGUGAAGAAGUUUGUCCAUUACUUCCAAGAUCACUCGGUCACUAUCAUCGAUGACGCUCCCUUGGCGGAAAUCCUACAAAACAGGGAUGCCACUGGCCGAGUGGCUAAAUGGACGAUUGAGCUCCUUUCGCUAGAGAUCAAGUUUGAAGCAAAAAUAGCGAUCAAGUCCGAGGAGAUGGUUGACUUCCUAGCCGAAUGGAUGGAGCAAGAGCAGCCGGCUCCUCGAGUUCCCGAGCAUUGGACCAUGUUCUUAGACGGGUCCAACAUGCUUCGCGGUUCAGGGGACUCGAGUGGUUCUCGUUUCCCAAGGGGGAGACCAAGUGAACUAUGUGCUUCGAAUCCACUACGACCCAUCCAACAAUGAGGCUGAGUACGAAGCCCUCUUGUACGGACUACACAUGGCCAUCUGACUCGGCGUGCGAUGCUUUAUGGUCUACGAUGACUCAGAACUCGUCGCAAAUCAGGUGAUGAAGGAAUGGGACAUUCAAAGCCCAGCCAUUACAUCCUACUCGAACGCGGUUAGAAAGCUAGAGAAAAACUUCGAAGGGUUGGAACUGCACCACUUGCCCCGAGCGAAGAAUCAAGCAGUUGAUGACUUGGCGAAGAUCGGUUCCACUCAGAAAAUCGUUCCGAAAGGUGUGCUCCUCGAACACCUGUGCACCCCCUCAGUCAAAGAAGAUCCUUUUAUGGAAGAACCUCCACAGGAAAUCGGUCCGUCAAUCUGACUGAAAUCAAUGUCUCGGCUGUGGACGACCUCAUCCACAAGAUGCUGGUCAUCACGCCCGAAUUGACUCAGCCUUAUCAGGCUUACUUGCUUCAGCAAGAGCUCGCUGAAGAUGAAUAGGAAGCUCAUCGAACCGUUCGACGGUCUAAAGUUUUCGGAAUCCUCGAAGACAAACUAUACAAGAAAUGUGCUACAGGAGUUAGUCAAAAGUUCAUUUCCCCAAAGGAAGGACUACAGAUCUUGCACGAGGUUCACUUGCGAACCUAUGGACAGCACACGACCUCUUAGACGCUUGUGGCCAAGGCCUUCCGAGCGGGAUUUUAUUGGCCCCGAGCCAAUGAGGCAGCACGAGACCUAGUCGAGCUUUGUGUAGGACGCGCGUUCUAUAAAAAUCAGUCCCACAAGCCUGCAUACGCGCUGAAAGCGAUUCCUCUCACCUGGCUAUUCACCGUGUGGGGUCUCAACAUGGUUGGCCCUUUACGGACUAGGAUGAGCUUAUUCACCAACCUGCUAGUUCUGGUGGAUAAGUUCACCAAGUGGGUCAAAGUGAAGCCCAUCAAAAGCCUGGAUUCGACGACUUCCGUCAGCUUCAUUCGGCAGAUUAUCUUCAGAUUCAGAAUUCCUCACGAUAUCAUCACCAACAAUGGGUCCAAUUUUGAAUAGGAAGAAUUAUGCAACUUUUGUCACUCUCAGGGCAGUCCAAUGGGCACGCAGAAUGAGCGAAUUGCAUGAUACUGCAGGGACUAAAGCCCCAACUGAUGAGAGAUCUCAAGUACGAUGUGGGUGCAUGGGUAGAAGAAUUACCAUCCGUCUUGUGGGGUAUGCUGGCGACUCAAGAUCGUUCAACCAAGCGUACUCCUUUCUUCAUGGUGUACGGGUCUGAAACUGUUCUGCCGAGUGACUUACAUCACAACUCCCCCGAGUGGAGCAGUACAAUGAAGCUGAAGCCGAAGCAGCACGACAAGAAAUUUUGGAUCUGUUGGAAGAGGAGAGAUAACUAGCUCUCAUUCGGUCCACACUGUACCAGCAAGACCUGAGGCGCUACCAUGACAAGCAAGUGAGGGGCCGAGCGUUUCAAGAAGGGGACUUCGUCCUCCGACUGGACCAACAAAACCCCCAUAAGCUCACACCUUUGUGGCAAGGGCCAUACGCCAUCUCCAAAGUCCUGCACAAUGGAGCUUAUCGAUUAUACAACUUGAGAAUGGAGUCGAAGAGCCCAUAACCUGGAAUACGGACCUGCUCCACAUGUUCUAUACUUAGAACAUGUCUUCUCAUUCCUGUAAUGAAUUCGAAUGGUUAGAGGAAUAAAGUACUUUCUUUCUUCAAGUAUGGUCAAACCUUUCACUCCGGUGAAACACACACGAGUGCGUGAAAAUCCUUAGCUACUAACCAUUUUCGCCUAAGGUAAAACUUGCUCCGAGCGUGGACAACUUCCACACACAGGGACUUAGCCACGAAUCAGCCUUGACCUAAGUUACAACGGUCCCGAAUGAGGGCACGAUCUUCGUUCAGGCACCAAGAUGGAUAGGACCAUCAUCAAGUUUGGAAGAACUAUCCUCUCAUCUUGGUAGUGGACCUAUUUUCGCCUAAGGGAAAAACCUGCCCCGAGUGUGGACAACCUCCACGCAUGGGGACUUAUCCAUGAACCAACCUUCACCUAAGUUAAAACAAUUCCGAAUGGAAGCAAGUUCUUCAUUCGGUCGCCAAGAUGAAUAGAACAAUCAUUCCUUAGCUACGAACAUGUUUUCGCCUAAGGUAAAAUCUGCCCCAAGUGUGGACAACCUCCACGCUCAGGGACUUAGCCGCAAACCAGCAUUCACCUAAGUUAAAAUGCUUCUAAAUGGAAGCAUGUUCUUUAAUUCGGCGGCCAACAUGAACAGAACAACCAUUCCUUAUCUAUGAACCUGUUUUCACCUAAGGUAAAACCUGCCCCGAGUAAGGACGGUCUCCACACUCGGGGACUUAGCGCGAACCAGCCUUCGCGUAAGUUAAAACAAUCCCGAGUGAGGACAACCUCCACACUCGAGGACUUAGCCAUCAACUAGCUUUCGCCUAAGUUAAAAACAAAUCCCCGAGUGAGGACAACCUCCACACUCGGGGGCUUAGCCGCAAACUAGCUUUUGCCUAAGUUAAAAACAAUCCCGAGUGAGGACAACCUNCACACUCGGGGGCUUAACCACGAACCAGCUUUCGCCUAAGUUAAAAACAAAUCCUGAGUGAGGGCAAUCUCCACACUCGGGGGCUUAGCCACAAACCAACUUUCGCCUAAGUGAAAAACAAAUCUCGAGUGAGGACAACCUCCACACACGGCGGCUUAUCUGGGAAUCAACUUUCGCCAAAGUUAAAAACAAAUCCCAAGUGAGGAUAACCUCCACACUCGGUGGCUUAGCUGUGAACUAGCUUUCGCAUAAGUUAGAAACAAAUCUCAAGUGAGGACAACCUCCACACUCGGGGUCUUAGCCACGAGUCAGAUUUCGCCUAAGUUAAAAAUAAAUCCCGAGUGAGGACAACCUCCACACUCGGGGGUUUAGCCACGAACCACCUUUCGCCGAAGUUAAAAACAAAUGCCAAGGGAGGAGAACCUCCACACUCGGGGGGCUUUUCCAUGAACCAGAUUUUGCCUAAGUUACAAAAAAUCCUGAGUGAGGAGAGCCUCCACACUCGGGGGCUUAGCCGCGAACCAGAUUUCUCCUAAGUUCAAAACUUCCCCGAGUAAAGAUAACCUUCACACUCGGGGGCUUAGCCGCGAACUACCUCAAGUUAGGACAACCUCCACACUCGGGGAUUAGUCGUGAACCAGCUUUCGCCUAAGUCAAAAAUAAUCUCGGGUGAGGAAAACCUCCACACUCGGGGUUUUGGCAACGGAUUAGUUUUCGCCUAAGUUAAAAACAAUCCCCACUAAGGACAACCUCCUCACAUGGGGACUCGGUCGCGAACUAGCUUUCGCCCGAGUAAAAGUGACCACGAAUAAGGAUAAUCAAGGAAAUAAGAUCCAAAUUAAAAGGGGGAUGAACAAAAUCGAGUUCUGGUUCAAGUAAAAGGUGUGCAUAAAAGGGAGCACAUGGCUCGCUUAAAGUUUGGUGGUUAGAUUAACCACUCGACAUCCCAUGGCAAAUUGGAACUUAUUGUUUUUUCUCAAAGAAUCACUCGGAGGCUGAAGACUCCACAGCUUGCACGAAGGGUUCAAGGUCGAUCCCAUCAGAGAUCUGAGUGGCGACCGCCAUGAACAUCUCCAUGAAGUCCUCAAACUUGGCGCUCUUCCUGUUGAUGACCCGAAGAUUCUUCAGCUUGUCUUCAUCGACUCCUUUACAAUGGAUGCAAACGAGUGAGAGGGUGAUGCCGGCUCUGGCCCAUGCCGCUGAUUUCUUCCAAUAUUGGAGCUCUUUGGGGAUUUCCUUCACUCAGUUCACAAUGGUCUCGGCGUCCUCAGGAAGUUCAACGUGAGCGGUGAUCCCUUGAUCUAUCUCCCCGAUGGCCGAUUGGAGUCCCUUGAAGCAACCAAACACAUAGUUGAUGCGAGCUUCCAACUUGAGAAGAGCUAAAGCGACAUUUUCCUUCAGGAGCCCUGUUUUAGGGUCCAACUCCUUCUCGAUUCGUGUUGUCUCCUCUUCGAUGCCGAUGCAGAAGGCUGGGUUCAGUCAAAAAACAAGAGGGUGAGAAAUAACAUUGGAAACUACAAGGCUACAACAACAGACCAUUCAGAUUCAUAACAUACCUUUAAGCUUCUCACAAUGUUCCUUGUUGAAGUCCUCAAAGAACUGCUCCAGUUUGGCUUUCUUUGCAACGAUCUCCCUGAAUCUGAUCUCCAUCUCGGUGUAGUGCCUUUUUAGCUCAGCGAGCUCCUCAACAGAAUUCACCGCGCCAGCCUUCAAAAGCUGGUUCUCUUCUUCAAGUGUCCCGACCUUCUUGAGCCUGGUUUCAACCACCUACAUUUUCUGUUUGGCCUCUAUGCAGGCUGAUGUGAGGUCUUCAUCCCUAUUUUCGAGGGCCUCCUUCAUGGUAACUAAAGAAAUGGAAUUCUUCAACCUCUCAGAAAGACGAUCUGACAAGAUAGCCUCAGUCGGAUGAGGAGGAAACUCGAAUCAAGAGACAGUCAGACAAUGAAGGCUUACCCUCAGCGAAAUGUUUCUCCUAUUCGAGAUGUUUGCUCUUGGCCUUGCAGCAUCAACGCUCAGUCAAAGGGCUUGCAACUCGCUAUCCACAAUAUCAUCACGGCCCCUAGGCUUGCACGUAGUCUAUCGUCAACAAACACAAGUCAAGCAGAAUGCAGAGAUGAUAAUUCGAAAAUUACCACCAACUGAUCUAGUAAACGGUAGCCUCGGGGACUACACCCAGUGGGUGUGCUCAGCACGCCCCCACUGGAAAGAUCAGAGGAGGAACAAAAGGCCCUCUACCCUAUCAACCUUUCUUGAAUCAACACAAGAACUAAGACUAUUGCCGACUGGUCCAGUCGACGGUAUCCUCGGGGACUACGACCAGUGGGUGUGCUUACCGCGCCCCCACUAAAAACUGACACCAAGUGGGUCUGACACAGAGAAAACCCACUCGGGAUUGAGUUCUUAUAAAAAAAAUAUGUGCACGCAAAUAACUCACCGAAUGUUCUUCGCCAUGGCUUCGCUAGCAUCGUAUGCUUCCUUCAGCCACCUAACCAUCACUUCCAGUUAGGCCAGGGCCUCCUUGCGUGCCCUUCUUGAUCUUCUGGGAUAUCGCGCAUCUGGAAAAGGGUAUGUUCCACAGGAGGAAGUGACGGAGUGAUAAACAGACCAAGUCUGAAUGAUGCUCUAGCCAAAACAGCCUCCCGAGCCACAGGAACAUGAACCUUGGCAGCCAAGGGCCCAAUCACUCGGUUGUGAGUCGCGGCUUCUUAGAUCCUUCGCCAACUACUUCAGGACUGAUAGGGUCGAGUUAGAUUAUGCUUGGUGACUCCGCACGCAUUAACAAACAUUCAAAAGGUCAUUUCAUGGCUAAGUCUCAAGUCCCGAAUGGAGCUUAAAUAAUCCCAAAGGUUACCUUUGGAGGAAUCGACGUUGGCAUCUGACUGCCCUUUAUCAGAGGCCUUUGGCUCCAGAGAAGCGGUCGAAGUAUCAGACCUGCAACAAAGACAAAAAGAAAGCCAACCAUCACUCGGCAAAAUUACUUACGCCGAAGCCAUUGGCACGUCGACGAUGAUGUGCAGUAGAACGGCCUUCCGGGGCUUGGAGGUCGUGGUCUUGGCAUGCUUGCCAGCCUUCUCCGAUGACACCUACGGCUCACUCCGGCCUCGUUUGGAACUACGGGUCGGCAUAGCCGACACAGUCGACUUAGCCACCUUUGGGGUCCUAGCGCCCCCAGUAUGGACCCCAGGGUCCUGGCGCGCCUUGGACAGAGUCUCAGGCGGGACUUCAUCGGACAGAGAAGACUUUGCCGUGUCCCCGUGUUCGUCACCACUCUCCUCCAUCUCCUCAUCGUCAUCUUUGUCCUCUUCACCUUUCGAGUCCUCCUGGUGCUCGGUGUCACUCGCCACAUCGAUAGGUGCACGACCAACCACCCAAAUGGAAAUCACUAGUCCUCUAAAAAACUGUCAAGUGGUGGAGUUAUAAUCCAUAAGUAUAGGGGAUCAAUCGUAGUCCUUUCAAUAAGUUAAGUGCAGCAAUGUAGCCCAAUCCUUUUGUGGCAAAGGCAGGACAAAGUGGUUUCUUUUAAUAGGCAAAGCGUUCUUUAGGGCACACGUGGAUUUCUUCUAGUCACUUUCAUCAUGAUAGCUUAAUUCGUUUUUGAUACUUUGAUAGUUUGAUAUGUGGGUGGACCGGUGCUUAGGUGAUGUUCUUACUUGAACAAACCUCCUACUUAUGAUUAACUCCCUCGCAAGCAUCCGCAACUAUGAGAAAAGUAUUAAGACAAAUACCUAAACAUAACAUUAAACUUCUGAAUCCAAAUCGGUCCCUUACGAAGUAGCGCAUAAACUAGGGUUUAAGCUUCCCUCACUCUAGCAACCCAUCCUCUAAUAACUACUCCAUAAUGCAUUCCCUUAGGCCCAAAUAUGGUGAAGUUUCUUGUAGUCGAUGUUCUUGUGACACAACUAAGGGAAUCACAACAUACAUACUAUCAAAAUAUUAAACACAUAUCAAGUUCACAUGAUUAAUUGCAAGAUGAUUUCUCCCGUGGCCUCAAGAACAAAAAUAACUACUCAAAAAUGAUAAACAUUCUCAAGAUCAGAGGAGUAUUAAUUUGUAUAAAGGAUAUGAACAUUUUGUCUUCCACCAAAUAAACCAUAUAGUAACCAACUACAAUAUGUAAUCAACACUACUAGCCCUUCAUAAGCAACAAUCCAAGGUUCUGGUGCAAAGAUUGAACACAAGAGAUGAACUAGUGUUUGAGUGGAGAUGGUGUUGUUGAAUAUGUUGAUGAAGAUUUUCCUACCCAAGAUGAGAGGGUUGUUCUUCAGGACGAUGACGAGGAUUUCCCCCUCGGGAAGGUAAGUUCCCCCGGAGGAAUUUCUCCGCGGGAGGGCAAAAGUGCUCCUUCCCAAGUUCCGCCUCGAGACGAUGGUGCUUCGUCCCAAAAGCCUCCUCUAUAUUUAUUUAGGUCAAAACUAAAUAUAUACUAGAAGGGGGCAUUAGAGGUGGGCUGGGCUGAGCACCACCCACCAGGGCUCACCUGAGGGGCCUAGUGUGUCGUGCUGUCUUGUUCUCAGUUGGUGGUCCCCCGAUGGUAACUCUUUGCUCCAGUAGUUUUUUAUAAUCUCGGUGAAGUUUCAGCUCAUUUGGAGUUCUGCAGAAUAGGUAACUCGGUGUAGCUUUUUCAGGUCGAGACUUCCAGCUGUCGGUAUUACUCCCUUUUGUGCAAACCUUGCAUAUUAUUAGAUAAAAUGCAUUAGAAAUACUCCCAAAAGCAAUAUUAUGCAUAAAAAAUUAAAAAUAAUAGUAGGAAAACAUGAUGCAAAAUGGACGUAUCAACUCCCCCAAGCUUAGACCUCGUGUGUCCUCAAACGAAAAACCGGUAUCGAAAAACAUUUCCACAUGCUUAGAGAGAGAGGUGUCAAUAGAAACAAAAUACGGACACAGAAGCAUCAUGCAUAGUAUCAUAACACCAAUAAAUUUCUUAAUAACACUUCAUAAUAGGACUUUAUCUUAUGACUUCUCAUGAAAAGUAACAAUUCAUCACAAUAUCAAAGUAGAAGCAUAAACUUUAUUGAAAACCAACAAACUAUGUUCUUGAUCAACUUUGCAACUACAAUUCAUCAUCUUGUCAGGAAGGGUCUCAUGUCAGAGCUUUUUGGCAAGUACACAUGCUAAACCAUCAUAUAAUCUUCUAUGAUUGCUAACACUCACCGCAUACACAUGAGCAACAGGUUUCAACCAUACACAUAGAAGGAUAGGGGCUUUUAGUUUCGCCACCCAACGUAUUCACCUCAAGGGUGAUGUCAGUAAUAAUAACUCAUGCUCACCCAUAUUCAACUGGAUAUAUGUGCCUAGAUCUUUCCUCGCCACAUGAUGCUUGCAAAAAGAUAAGAAUAAAAAGAAGUAGAAGAAAAUAUUUGACUCUUUGCAUGAAAAUAAAAGAUAGGCCCUUCGUAGAGGGAAGCAGAGGUUGGCAUGCACUUAUUUGCUUGUAUGAUAAAUCCCAUAAUGUAAAAGAACAUCACAUUAUAUAGCCCCUUACGAUAGCAACCUUUAUUAUGCAGUCCAUCGCUUUUAUUACUUUGCCAUCACAAGUUCGUACAACACUCCAUUUUAUCUUACACUAAAUGGUCCAACACAUUUAGAAGCAAUUUUUAUUGCCUUAUUGCACCGAUGACAACUUACUUGAAGGAUCUUACUCAAUCCAUAGGUAGGUAUGGUGGACUCUUUGGAAUAAUGUUUGGGUUUAAGGCUUUUUUGGAUGCACAAAUAGUAUCUCUAUUUAGUAUGAAAUUUUUGGUCAGGAAAGAUACCGAGCAAGCACGACAUGUCAAAGGAUCCAUGACAAUAUAACUUCUAUGUGAAUAUAAGCAAGCAUAAUCAUUACGUUGUCUUCCUUGUCCAACGUCAACCGUUUUAGCAUAUAAUAUUUUGACGGGGACUCAUAAUCAUAAAAGAUGUCCAAGAUAGUAUAUUUGCAUGUGAAUCUUCUCUUCCCUUGUUAACUUUUUCAUGAGUUGCAUUACUGACCAAUAUUAUGUUUGUCAAUAUCCAACAGAUUUUACUACUUAUACUCUUCCUUAUGUAAUGUCAUUACUCGACAUAAGACUAGUAUAUGAUCUUAUUCAUUUAUUUCCUUUCCUUUAUUUUGAUUGCAACAUAGAACUAAAGAAAGAAAAACUUGAAGUAAGUUUAUUAUAUCUCGACACACGAUUACAAAGAUAGAUCACUAAGAAAACACUCGAAAAGAAAGGAUCGAACUAAACUUAUUAUUCAACUAAAUCAUAGGAAAAGUAAGGAUCAAACUUAAGUAGAUAAAAAUAAAGAUAGUGGUGUGGUAUGAUACCAGGGCACCUCCCCCAAGCUUGGAUCAAGCCAAUGUGAGUGACCAUACCCGAUACUCAAUCCUGCUUGGGUGGUGAAGAUGAUGAAAGUGGUGGUGAUGACGUAGUAGGUUUGUCCUCCGGUUUCCAUGGAAGUGGCUCACCGUCAUAAGAGGAAGCGAGGGUCAUGGGAGUCCUGCAGCUAGCACCCAAACUCAUACCUUUGAACCUUGUCUCAUAUUCAAAGACUUGGUUUUGGAGAUCAUAGAUUUGUCUUGCAGAAAGUUCAUUUUCUCAUCGAAAGUGAAGACAAUGUCCUACAUGGACUUUCCAUCCACCUUGAGAUCAUGGGUGAAGUCCGCGAUCAUGAGGUGAUUGGCGUCGAAUUCAUGUUCCACCAUCCCCUUGCACUUGAAGAUCUCUUGUUCCAUAGCUUCGAGUCUAUCCUCCAUGGUUCCCUUCCCCUGGGAUCCCUGGACGUCUCGGAGGUGGAGCACCCUCACACGCAUGUCGAUGGACUGAAUGGUGCUGCAUCACCCCCCGCAAAUAUGGGUUGACGACCUUGUCGGAGAACUUGUCCUUGGAGGAGCUUGAAGGAGCCAUGCCGAUCUAGAUCUGGAGAAAACAACAAAGAACAAGAACAAGAGAUUUCUCUGUGGUACGGUGGUCAAUACGGUCAGGGAGCAUAUAAAGAGUUUUUAUCUUGGGAAACAAGCACAACGAGGGGAAAACAGAGUCAGGAAGGUGUCCGAGGUGGGCACCACCCACCUGGGCGUGCGUGGGGUGCCUGGUGCGCCUUGGUGUCUUGUUCCCUCCAUGGGUACCUUCUGGGUUGUUUCUUAUUUUCCAAAUUUUUAUACAUCCAAAACUGAUAAAAAAUAUUUUUGUGGAUUUUUCAUAGUCUGUUUACUUACCGUAUCACAUACGUCCUAUUUUUCACGAUUCUAGAGUGUUUCAGAACGUUUCCCUUUUGUGUUCCUUCGGUGUCAUGGUUUGAAUAAUAUUGCUUUCAACAUUAUUGGGCGUACCUGCUAUGUAGUGCUUAAUUCUUUGAACAUUGACCAGCUUAGGGUUAGUACCUUCGGCAUUAUUUAUUUUGAUAGCUCGAGAACAAUAAACUUCUUCGAUGAUAUAAGGUCCUUCCCAUUUAGAGAGAAGUUUUCAUGGAAAGAAUCUUAAACGAGAGUUGUACAAAAGAAGAUAUUCUCCCAUUUAAAUUCCCACUUUUGAAUUCUUUUAUCAUGCCAUCUUUUAACUUUUAUUUUAAAUAGUUUGCCAUUUUCAUAAGCUUGGGUUCUCCAUUCAUCUAGCAAGCUAUAUGAAAUAACCUCUUUUCACUGGCAGGUUUGAAAUCAUAGUUGAGCUCUUUGAUUGCCCAAAAUGCUUUGUGUUCUAACUCAAGAGGCAAAUGACAAGCUUUUCCAUAGACCAUUUUAUAGGGAGGCAUACCCGUAGGACUUUUAUAGGAUGUUCUGUAGGCCCAAAGUUCAUCAUCUAAUUUCUUAGACCAAUUCUUUCGAGACCAAUUGACAGCAUUUUGUAAUAUCAAUUUUAUUUCUCUAUUGCUAAGUUCAACUUAUUCACUAGAUUGAGGAUGAUAGUGUGAUGCAAUUCUAUGGUUAACAUCAUACUUAGCAAGCAUUUUAUGGAAGGCACCAUGAAUAAAGUGUGAACCACCAUCAGUCAUUAGAUAUCUAGGGACUCCAAACCUAGGGAAAAUAAAUUCUUUAAGCAUUUUAAUGUAAGUGUUAUGAUCAGCACUACAAGUUGGAAUGGACUCUACCCACUUAGUAACAUAAUCAACAGCAAACAAAAUAUGAGUAUACCCAUUAGAGGAAGGAAACGGUCCCAUAUAAUCCAAACCCCAAACAUCAAAUGGUUCAACAACAAGUGAAUAAUUCAUAGGCAUUUCUUGACGCUUACCGAUAUUACCAAUUCUCUAACAUUCAUCACAAGAUAAAACAAACUUAUGUCCAUCCUUGAAGAGAGUAGGCCAAUAAACCAGAUUACAAUACCUUGUGAGUAGUUCUAUCUUUCGCAUGAUGUCCUCCAUAAGCUUCAGAGUGACAUUUUCGUAGGAUUUUUUCUUGUUCAUGCUCGGGUACACAAUGUGUAAUUAUACCAUCUACUCCUUCUUUAUAAAGAUGUGGGUCAUCCCGAAAGUAAUGUCUUCAAUCAUAGAAGAUUUUUUUCUUUUGUUGGUAUAUGAAACUAGGUGGUAUAUAUUUGGCAACAAUAAAUUUAGCAUAGUCAGCAUACCAAGGUGUGUUGUGAGAAAAAUUUAUUGCAACUAAUUGUUCAUGAGGGAAACAAUCAUGAAUAGGUAGUGGGUCAUCAAGAACAUUUUCGAACCUAGACAAGUUAUCAGCAACGGGGUUUUCAACUCCUUUCCUAUCAGUAAUGUAUAAAUUAAAUUCUUGUAGCAAGAAAACCACCUAAUGAGUCUAGGUUUAGCAUCUUCCUUUUCCAUCAGAUAUUUUAUAGCAGCAUGAUCAGUUUGAACAAUUACUUGGGAAUCAACAAUAUAAGGUCUGAAUUUAUCACAAGGAAACACAACUGCUAAAAAUUCCUUUUCAAUGGUAGCAUUAUUCCUUUGAGCAUUUUCUACAGUUUUACUAGCAUAAUGGAUGACGUUUAAUUUUUUACCAACUCUUUGUCCUAGACUAGCACCAACAGCAUAGUCACUGGUAUCACACAUAAUUUCAAAAGGCAAGUUCUAAUCAGGUGGUUAAACAAUGGGUGCAGUGAUCAAGGCUUUCUUAAGUGUUUCAAAGGCUUCUACACAAUCAUCAUCAAAAACAAAUGGAACAUCCUUUUGUAAAAGUGUUGUAAGAGGCCUAGAAAUUUUAGAGAAGUGUUUAAUAAAUAUCCUAUAGAAACCAGCAUGACCAAAGAAACUAUGAAUACCUUUGAUAUCUUUAGGACACGACAUUUUCUCAAUUGCAUGAACUUUAGCUUUAUCCACCUCAAUGCCUCACUCGGAAAUUUUAUGACGCAAGACAAUACCUUUAUUAACCAUAAAGUGGGACUUCUCCCAAUUCAAGACAAGAUUAGUUUGCCCACAUCUCUACAAAACUCGAUCAAGGUUGCUCAAGCAAUCAUCAAAAGAAGUUCCAUAAAUAGAAAAAUCAUCCAUGAAAACCUCAACAAUCUUUUCACAAAAAUCAGAGAAUAUAGCAGUCAUACAUCUUUGAAAGGUAGCAGGUGCAUUGCAUAAACCAAAAGGCACGCGUCUAUAAGCAUAAGUUCUAAAAGGACAGGUACAAGUGGUUUUCUCUUGAUCAGAUUAUGAAACAACUAUUUGAGAGAAACCUCAAUGUCCAUCUAAGAAGCAAAAAAUGUGUGUUCUUAGGGAGUCUUUCCUGCAUUUGAUCGAUAAAAGGUAAAGGGUAAUGAUCCUUUCUAGUUGCUGUCUUUAAUUUCCUGAAAUCAAUUACCAUUCUAUAGCCAAUGACAAUUCUUUGUGGGAUAAGUUCAUUCUAGUCAUUAGAAACAACAGUAAUACCUCCUUUCUUAGGGACACAAUGAAUGGGGCUUACCCAUCUACUAUCAGCUAUGGGAUAGAUUAUACCUGCUUCCAGAAGCUUUAAUAUUUCAAUUCUUACCACUUCUUUAAUUUUGGGAUUCAACUAACGUUGAUGAUCAACAACGGGUUUAGCAUCAGGUUCCAUAUUAAUCUUGUGCUGACAUAGAGUGGGACUAAUGCCCUUAAGGUCAUCAAGAGUAUAUCCAAUAGCAGCUCGGUGCUUCUUCAGAACUUUCAAUAAUCUUUCUUCUUCAUGUUCUGAAAGGUUAGCACUAAUAAUGACAUGAUAUAUCUUCGUUUCAUUAAGAUAAGCACAUUUCAAAGUUUGAGGCAAUUGUUUCAAUUCAUACACAUGAUCAGCUUUAGGUGGAGGAGAAUAUCCUAGAGUUUCAAUAGGUAAAUUGUGUUUAAGUAGAGGUUGUUGUUCAAAUAAGGUGUCUCUAUUUCACUUCUUUCAUGCAUAUGCAUAUUAUUUUCAUGGUCUAGCAAAUAUUGUUUCAAAGGAUCAGUAAGAGGCACGGCAAUAGAAGCAAGACCAAUUAUCCCAUUUUUAUUAGGAAAUUCUUCCUUGUAAAGUUUUCUGUUAAACUUGGAAAAAAUAAACUCAUGAGAAUCACCACCAAAAUUAACACCGACAAUUCGGUUAUGACAAUCUAUAGUAGCAUUAACGAUGUUCAAGAAAGGUCUACCAAAGAUAAUUGGAAAACGUCAUCUUGUGCAGAACCAAGGACAAGAAAAUCAGUAGGAUAUUUUGUUUUCCCAUACAAGAAUUCAACAUCUACAACAAUCCCAAGUGGUGUGAUGCUGUCUCUAUUAGCAAGUUUAACAGUAACAUCUAUGUGUUCUAUUUCAGCAGGUGCUAUUUCAUCCAUAAUUUCUUGAUACAAAGAAAAGGUAAUAGCACUUAUGCUAGCACCUAUAUCACAUAAACCAUGGUAACAAUGAUCUCCUAUUUUAACUGAAAUGACACGCAUGCCAACAACUGGUCUAUGUUUAUCUUUCCCAUCAGGGUCAGCAAUUCUAGUAGUUUGACCACGGAAGUAGAUAGCAUUCCCAUAAAUAUUUUAUUCCAAGAUAUAUUUACCAUAUCAACAUUACAUCUACCUUAAGUUAUUCAGAAGUUUUAGGUGCUUUAAUAUCACUUUUGUGAAUCACAGUUGAAACCUUAGCAUGUUCUUUUAUCUUAACAGGAAAAGGAGGUUUUUCGAUGUAAGCAGUAGGGACAACGGGGUCAACAUUAUAAAUGAUAGUUUAUUAUUUGGCUAUUAUUGGUCAUUUAAUUUCUUAUUUAAUAGGGGGAUGAUAUUUAAACCACUUCUCCUUAGGGAGAUCAAUAUGACUAGAAAAUGAUUCACAAAAAGAGGCUAGUAUCUCAGAGUCAAGUCCAUAUUUAGUGCUAAACUUUUGUAAAGCAUGGGUAUUCAUAAAAGAUUUAACACAAUCAUACUUAAGCUUAAUACCUGACUCUUUACCUUUGGCAAGUUCCCAAUCUUCAGAGUCGCGUUUAAUUCUUUCUAAGAGAUCCCACCUCAAUUCAAUAGUCUUCUUCAUAAAAGAACCAGUACAAAACGCGUCAAGCAUGGUUUGACUAUUACGAGAAAGACGAGCAUAAAAGUUUUCAAUAAUAUUUUCUCUCAAGAGCUCAUGAUUGGGGCAUGAAUAUAACAUUUACUUAAGUUUCCCCCAAGCUAGAGCGAUAAUUUCUCCUUCACGAGGCCAAAAAUUAUUUGUAUAAUUCUGGUUACGAUAAACUAGAUGCAUAGGAUAAAAUAUUUGAUGAAAUUCCAUUUGCAAUCGAUUCCAGUUCCAUGAUCCAAUAUCAUCACAUAGCCUAUACCAUGCCAUGCUGUUACCUUCAAAUAUAAAGGGAAAAUCUUCCUUUUAACAUCACCUUCGGGUAAACCUGCAAGCUUAAAUAAUCCAUAAAUUUCAUCUACAUAUAUCAAGUGCUUAUGAGGAUGUUCAGUUCCAUCUCGUGCAUAAGGAUUAGCUAGCAGUUGUUCUAUCAUACCCGAAGGAAUUUCAUAACUAAUAUUUUCAGUAGGUGAAGUAGGUUGAGGGGCAAAUAAUUGUGCUUCCAGUCAAGGUGAAGAUACCCCGAACAAACCCCUCAAAUGAUUGUUUUGCAUAGUAUCAAGUGACAAUAAAUUUCAGCACAUACCAAUAAAUUUUCCUUACCAAUUUCCACUUACCAAGAGCGCUUCACUCCCCGGCAACGGGGUGAGAAAAGCGUCUUGAUGACCCACAAGUAUAGACAAUCAAUUGUAGUCCUUUUGAUAAGUAAGAGUGUCGAACCCAACGAGAAGAAGAAGGAAAUGACAAGUGGUUUUCAACGAGAUUAUUUCUGCAAGCACUAAAACAGCGGUAGCAAGUUGUUUCGUAGCAAGAUAGUUGUAACAAGUAACUGGUAGCAAGAGUACACUACAGGAAUCACCUUCUUUGCCGUCUGCCAUCACAAACGGCAAAGACAGUAUCCCUGACGGCAAAGACAAUACCACAAACGGCAAAGAUUGUCACGGCCGGCAAAAUUUCUGCGUCAGCCUACGACGGCAUAGGACCUUCUUUGCCGUCUGCCCCCCCAAAGAGGACGGCAAAGUUCUUUGCCGUCAGCUUUCAUUAGGAGCAGUCGGCAAAACUUUUGAGACGGCAGCCGACAGGCGUUGCCUCCAUUAGGGGUUAACAGAGCCUUCGCCGUCUGCCUGCCCGUCAAUCUUUGCCGUCUGCCUCCCCGUCAAUCUUUGUCGUCUGCCUUCUACUCCCCUCCCCUCUCCUCCAUCUUUGCCGUCUGCCUCCAGGACAAUCUUUGCCGUCUGCCCGGUCGUCCCCUCCCCCCUCUCUGCACUCUUUGCCGUCUGCCUUCUGUGCCCUCUUCUUUGCCGUCUGCCCCCCAGGAAGCGGACGGCAAAGAGACUAUAUGACCAGCAGCUACUGCCCAGGUUGUACAGCUGGGCGCCACGUGGCACCUUUGUUGUCGGCUGGCUGACGGCAAAGGCCUUUGCCAUCAGCUGGCAGACGGCGAAGAGCCUAUAUUGUCACAUAUUUAUUUAUUUUUUCUAUUUCACAGCACAUAUACAUAUAAUUCAUAGCACAUAUAUCAUAAAUAAAUCACAACACAUAUAUGAUAUACAUAUAAAGCUCAUCAAUGCCAUUUGUUCAUCAACGUACAUCCCAUAUGUCAAAAGAACCAACACAUACAAAGUUUCAUCCAUAUAUACAUACAUAUAGUUGCACAUAUAUUGUUAUCAACACAUUGUUCAUCAACACAUACAAAGAACCAACACAUUUUUCAUCAAAUCAAAUAAAAACAGAAACUAAAGCACACCAACGCCAGCUUCCAUGCAUGUAGUACAUCCAAUCUGCAAAAUGGGAAUAAGAAAGUCAAAAGAAGAAGAAGAAGAACAUAUAUAUUACAAAUAAGCUAAAUUGAAGAAGAAAGAGAAGAAGCAAGAAGAGAACAAGGAGAAGAAAAACAAGAAGGAGGAGGAGGAGUAGGGGAAGGGGAAGGAGAAGGAGAAGGAGAAGGAGGAGGAGAAGAAGAAAAAAGAAGAGAAGAAGAAGGAGAAGAAGGAGGAGAAGAAGGAGAAGAAGGAGGGCUCCUUCUCCUUCUUAUUCUCCUCCUUCUCCUUCUUCUUCUCUUCUUCUCCUCCUCCUCCUUCUUCUUAUUCUCCUUCUCCUUCUCUUCUUCUUCUCUUCUUCUUCUUCUUCUUCCUUCUCCUUCUUUUUGAGAUAAAUAUUCCAAUUAUGUCAUUUUAGAGGAAAACAAGCUAACUAUAUAAUAUUCAUGAGCUAACCAAGGUUCUUAUGCCAUUUUGAGCUUANNNNNNNNNNNNNNNNNNNNNNNNNNNNNNNNNNNNNNNNNNNNNNNNNNNNNNNNNNNNNNNNNNNNNNNNNNNNNNNNNNNNNNNNNNNNNNNNNNNNNNNNNNNNNNNNNNNNNNNNNNNNNNNNNNNNNNNNNNNNNNNNNNNNNNNNNNNNNNNNNNNNNNNNNNNNNNNNNNNNNNNNNNNNNNNNNNNNNNNNNNNNNNNNNNNNNNNNNNNNNNNNNNNNNNNNNNNNNNNNNNNNNNNNNNNNNNNNNNNNNNNNNNNNNNNNNNNNNNNNNNNNNNNNNNNNNNNNNNNNNNNNNNNNNNNNNNNNNNNNNNNNNNNNNNNNNNNNNNNNNNNNNNNNNNNNNNNNNNCUCCUCCUCCUUCUUCUUCAUCUCUUCUUCUUCUUCUAUCUUUUCAUUUUUCUUAUUUCUUCUCCUCUUCUCCUAUUGUUGGAGCUAAAUUACCUAAUUAUGUCUUUUUCGAGCUAAAUAUUCCAAUUAUGUCAUUUUAGAGGAAAACAAGCUAAGUAUAUAAUAUUCAUGAGCUAACCAAGGUUCUUGUGCCAUUUUGAGCNGGAAAACAAGCUAAGUUUGGAGGAGAAACUUACCGUAGUGGUCAUCAAGGAGGCGAAGCACCACGGUUGCUCGCGCCGGCUUCGUUUGGAGACGGUUGCCCUCGAGAAGGGUCGUGCGAUGCCGCUCGGGAGUUAUUCUGCAGAAAAGAUAUUUUGCAAUGUCUCAGUUAGCAUGAUGACACUUAAUUAUUAAUACUAGUUUAUAAUAAUUCUCACCGUGCCAAUCAAAGAGAAGACGGGCAUCGGCNNNNNNNNNNNNNNNNNNNNNNNNNNNNNNNNNNNNNNNNNNNNNNNNNNNNNNNNNNNNNNNNNNNNNNNNNNNNNNNNNNNNNNNNNNNNNNNNNNNNNNNNNNNNNNNNNNNNNNNNNNNNNNNNNNNNNNNNNNNNNNNNNNNNNNNNNNNNNNNNNNNNNNNNNNNNNNNNNNNNNNNNNNNNNNNNCUCUUCUCACACAGACCCUGAAGAAUGGGUCGUAUUAGUUAGUAUUGAAACAGGCAUUACACACAUGAUUUGGCUAAUGUGAAAAAAAACAUACCACAAAAAGCUAGUACAGGGCCCGUUGACCCGCCUCAUUCCGGGCCCUCUCCUCCUCAAGCAAUCGUGUCGUGGUCUGGUCCCUCUCAUCAAGAGCAGCCUGAAGAGUAGCCUGGCUUGCCAAUCUCUCUUUCUCAAGAGCAGCCUGGUUUGCCGCUCUCUCUUUCUGAAGAGCAGCCUGAAAAACAAUUCCUCGUUACCACAGUAAUGAUCUAUGGUGACACACAUAAUGAAAAGGAUGAAAGUGUUCUUAGUCCGUACAACUAACCUCGAUGGCAAGUUCGGCUGACCGUGGACGAGGCGUUAUCUCAGGACAUUUGCUCGACUGGCGCGCCUUGAUCUCCGGAAGAGUGAGUGGACAACGUAUUAUCCCAUCUCCAAUGGCUAUCGAGCCAUGGGGCCUCCCGCCACCAGAUAUCAUCACCAGCUCUGGAUACAAAGGUUCCUGGCUAGGGUUAAAGUCAUCCCCUUUCGUAGCCUUCCCCGCGUCCCUGUAUGCCACGAGCUUCUGGUGGGAUGAUAUGUUGGUGAAGUUACUGGGAUCAUCCAGGUCAGACUCAGAGAAUGCCUUCGCCUUCUUGUACGAGGCAGUAUGGGCCAUGCCAUGAAGGUCGUACAAGUGUGGCAUCUCAGUCUUAUUGUGAUGCGCCUAAAAGAGAGGAACAAAAUGUUAGCAUCAAGAAUGAGUUGCAUGAAUCAUGAAGCAAAUCACAUACCCAGUUUCGUCCAAACUGAAGUCAAUUGGCGCUGCCUUGAUGGUGUGGCACACCAACCAUUUGUCUACGCCGAUCCUUCGCAUUCUCGUGGACGGCUCGCCAGCUGCCUGUGCACCACUCAUCAACCAAUGCCUCCCAACAAUCCAUCUUAUCCGCACACCAUCUCGGGGGCACCUGUAAGUUAUUAGAAAGAAUUUUCAGUGCUACGCCUAUGAAUGAAAUCAAGAAAACUACGUAGAAGGACUUAAUAAUAGGUAAUUACCUUCAUGUAUUGCUCCUUCUUCAGAAACUUUCCACGGCAAUCCUUCUUCUCCUUCUUAAUACCACGCGUGGCAUAGUAAUCUCGAAUAGCCUGCGGCCUAGCGUCGUGGCGCAAGUUCUGUAGUAACCGCCUACACUCGACCUCGAGAACCCUGGCUGCCUCCUCCUCAUAUCCAUCCUCACACCUAUAGAAGGUCUGCAAUCAAACGUGAAAACACCGAUUAGUACAAUAAUUAGGUAUAUUGUUAAUUUUAGAUUCUGUAAAAGGAUAAUUUACCCAAAAGCUCCUAAUCACCAUCUCAGCCCUCGUGUGGCACAAGACACCAUCUAUAAUCUCCUCCGGCUGGGCCUGCGCAGCCUGGUAGUGCUCCCAGGUAAAUCCUAGUGUAGGAACCUGACCCUCACCAGGCAACGUGACAAACCCCGGGAAAUUUGUCCGGCAAAGCACACCAAGGACGGAGUUCGGCCUGCGGACUCCAACAGGGUGUACCCAUCCCCUGCAGUAUGAUAAGGUCAGCGCAUUAGAUAUUUGAACAAACUUGAAGGCAAAAGCUAAAAAAAGGGUAAAUGUACUUACCUAUCUCCUUCAGGUUUAAUCACCGGCCUCUGCUCGCGGGUAGCCGGGGCGACCGGGAGACGUGUACUACCACGCCUGUACACGGUGUCCCCGUCCACCUACACAUCGCCCUCACUAUCCGUAAGCUCAUCCCCGCCAUCCCCGCCCCCUGAGCCACCCGGACCCUCGGUCCAAUCCGGCAACUCGGUACGAUCCGGCCAAGGCUCCCAUCCGGCCCUGUCCACGUCGGGUGAAGCCUCCGGAACCGUAGUCUCCUCCGGCUGCUCCUGGGCCGAAUGCACCUCGACCCGAGGCUGCUCCUGGACCGGAGUCUCAUGGGACGAAUGCCCGUGAACACCAGGCUCCUGGACCGGAGUCCCCGUAGCCUCCUCCGCAAACGGGUCGACCAUACUAGUCCUAUGCUCGGGUGAAUGAGCCGCUGGUGGUGGCGAGGACGGCUCAACAGUCCUCUUGGAUCUUCCACGGCCACCACCUCUCCCUGUACCCUUCCCCUUCCUCCCUACCCGACCAGCACCUCUCCCAGUGGGCAAGGCCGCCGACGAAGAAGAACCCCCGGCUGGUGUCGAAAGACUGUCUGCCAAGGCUAUACGGAGAGAUAGGGGUGGAAGGGAAGUACCACCCCUCGUGCGGGUCGCCUGGGAAGAACCCGUCGAGCGCUCUGGACCCGCGCCCACCAUCUUUCAACACCUGCCAUGAUAAAGAUUAAAAGAAAUUAGUACAACAUAAAAAAAUUGAAUGACUGACAUGAAUAAUAAUAUGUACAUGAAUAAUAAAGAUUAAAAUAUAUAUAAUUUAAGUUGUGAAUCUUACAAACUAAUAAUCAUCAUCAAUAAAUGCAUCAUCAUCAUCACUAUCACGCAUGUCUUCAUGAAUGACGUGCUCAUCGCGUUCAACGGCGUGAAGUUGUGAAAGGCCUUCCUUUAAUCAUUGAAGCAUUGACAGGUCAUCCGCAUCAGUAACCUCUACGAGUUCCAGGUCUUCUGGUUCCAGCUUAGGGCUGGAGUCGGAUUCAUUGUCGCUGUCUACUUCCAUGUUCUUGCAUGAAGCAUGGCGGUUCUUGAAAUGUUUCUUGGAAAGACAUGCUUCUUGGAAGAAUUCUCCAUCAUAUGUGUCUGGGUUAAUGUGAGGUUCAUAAUCCUGUUCAUUUGGGAGAGGUGGUCUGACAUGUCGCGGCACUUCAUAAACAACAUACCAACCUUCCAGAUUCUUAUCCGUUUGGCAUGCCCACGGUAGAUAGAAAACUUGGGUCGCCUGUUGAGCCGUAAUAUAGACAUCAGGAACAUCUAAAUGGGUGUUUGGAUUGAUUUCGACUAGUCCUAUAUGUUCAUGAGUCCUUCUAUUCUUUUUCAGCUGGAACCAAUAACAUUUGAAGACUACGACGUUCGGUGGGUUAUCACCAUAGAAUUGAAGUUCAUAAAUUGCUUCAACUCUUCCAUAAUACUCGAUAACACCUUCGCCGAUAGCAGAGACACCACAAUUUGUAGAUUUCCGGUCGGGCAUAGAUAGCUCUUUGCCAAAGGUACGAAAGAGAUACCCGUUGAUGUUGUAUUUCUCAAAUGAACGGACCUUAUAGUCAAAACCAUUAGCGACUUGUCUCAAUUCGGCGUCCAUAGACUCUGAAUUAGCCUACAAGUUUAAUACGAAACGGUUGUUGCAUUAGCCGCAAGUUAGACCAAGAAUGAAAUGGUCCGUUAUUGAUAAUUACCGUUUGUUUGAACAAAGAGAUGAAACCGGGAUAGCCGCCUCCUAUCUUUGACAGAAGCUCAUACUCUUCGACGGAAUCAUUUUCGAUCACCGCUCCAUCCGAGAAUUUGACGAUGUAAUGACUGUUUGAAAUAUCCGGGAAUAAGAGUAGUUCAAAUGAAUUAGAAGUUACGGGAAAAUGUGCCGAGAACUCACUCGAUGUACGGCCGCACUUCUGUUAGGUUGUUGGAGAUAUACAACGAAAUGUUCCGCCAUUCUUCGAUAUCCAACGUUAUUGGUUUCGAAGCACCGGCUGGUGCGAGCUUCCCUUUGAAUAGACUGAGGUUGGACCCACCUUUUUUAGGGUCUCCAUCAUUGUGCCGAGGCUUCGGGUUAUGCAAAUGAUGAUUUUUGGCUUCGUAGUGUGCUGUCACAAAGUUUGCCACCUCCUCAGUAAUGAAUGCCUCAGCCAUCGAUGCUUCAGUUCUACGCUUAUUUUUACAUUUAGCUCGAAGGGUCUUCUGCAUCCUCUCAGUUGCAUAGCACCAACGAUCUUGCAUGGGCCCACCCAAUCUUGCCUCGGUCGGUAGAUGUAAAAUCAAAUGCUGCAUUGGAUUAAAGAAGCCCGGUGGAAAGAUCUUCUCUAACUUGCACAACAACUCCGGUGCAAACUCCUCCAUGUCUUCUACCACGCCAGGCGACAAUUCUUUCACACAAAGUACAUGGAAGAAAUAGCUCAGCUCCGCCAGUACUAGCCAUUCAUCCUCAGGAAUAAAUCCACGUAACAUCACCGGCAUUACCUGCUCUAGCCAUAUGUGCCAAUCAUGACUCUUGAGACCAAAGAUUUUUAUUUUUUCAAGACUCGCUCCCCUCUUUAGAUUCGCUGCAUACCCAUCGGGGAACAUCAAGUGCAUUUUGACCCACAAGAUAAUUUCCCUCAUAGCUGGCCUUCCAAGAUUGAACCAGGCCUUUGGCUUCGACCACUUCUGCUUUCCUUUGCCUUCUCGCAUGUUCUGUAACGGUCGAUGACAUAGUGUCUCUUGAUCGACUCUAGCCUUAAUAUUAUCCUUUGUCUUCCCAUCUAUGUCGAACAAUGUACCAAAAAUAGCCUCUCCGAUAUUCUUUUCAGUGUGCAUCAUGUCGAUAUUGUGCGGAAGAAGGAGGUCUUUGAAGUAAGGCAGAUCCCACAAGCAUGGCUUGUGAGUCCAGGCAUGUUUUGAAUUAUACCCCUUGAAAUACCCUGGACGCUCUGGAUCAGGCUCAAGGGCGUUUUACUGAUCCAGGAUCUGUUGGCCUGUGAACGCAGGUGGUGACAAGUUUUUGACAACUUUACCUUUGGUAAAGUUCUUCUUGUCUUUUCUGAACUGAUGGUCAGGAUCCAGGAACUGUCUAUGCAAGUCAAAGCAAGAAUACUUCCGACCCUCCUGCAACCAAUGAAACUGAAGAGGUGCCUUGCAUUGGGGGCACGGGAACCUUCCAUGCACACACCAUCCAGAGAAUAGCGCAUACGCUGGCAAGUCAUGCAUAGAGUACAUGUACCACACAUGCAUUUUGAAGUUUUAUUUUCUAGUGGCAUUGUAUGUCUUGACCCCAUUUUCCCAAGCUUCUUCCAAUUCAUCCUUAAGCGGUUGCAGGUACACAUUCAUAUUCUUCCCCGGAUAAUUGGGCCCUGGAAUUAUCAACGUCAGAAAUAUGUUCUUUCUUUGCAUAAUCUGCCCGGGGGGGAGAUUGAGUGGAAUGACAAAUACAGGCCAACAACUGUAUUGGGUUGCCGUCAUGCCGAAGGGAUUAAAACCAUCCGUGGCGGCGCAGACUCGAGGAUUCCUUGGAUCUGCCGCUUUAUCCGGAUGCAAUCCAUCGAAAUGUUUCCACGCUUCCCCAUUCGAUAUGUGUACCAUCAUCUUCUUCCCAUCCGCAUCUAGUUCGAUUCUUUUGCCCAAUUUGUGCCAUGUCAUCUGUCUGGCAGUCUCUUCGACCAUGAAAAGACGUUGAAGUCUUGGUACGAUUGGCAUAUACCGAAGAACACUAACUGCGAUUUUGGUCUGCCUCUUCUCACCCAUACCAUUGUCUACCAGAAGAUACCUGCAAGACUCGCAAUUGGGACAAUAGUCCAAGUGUGCAUACUCCUUCCUAAAUAAGACACAUCCUUUCUCACAUGCAUCUAUCUUCUCAUAGGGCAUCUUAAGUACACGAACUAUUUUGUCCGACUGGUACAGGUUUGCAGGCAUGACAUGGCCUUUGGGUAGGAAACGUCCAAAUAGUGUCAUCAUCGCGUCGUAGCAUUCUCUUCCCAAGUUGAACUGAGCCUUCAGAGCCAUUACUUGUGCAAUUGCAUCCAGCUGACAGAGCUCAGUGUGCUCAUGGAGAGGACAUUUUGAAGACUCCAACAUUUCAUAAAAGGCCUUUGCAGAUUCCUCCAUCUUAUCUUCCGAAUCCCGAGCAUCAUGAAAGUCUUGCACCAUGUCUUCGAUCCCAGUACCAUGCUCGUCCGUGUGACGACGGACCACCUCAUCUCUUGUGCGUUGUAUAGACUCACCAUGAAAUGUCCACACCGUAUAAUUAGGCAUAAAACCCCUCCUCUGCAUGUGUUUAAUCAUUACAGCCUCUGUCGUCUUUUUAUAGUUGUCGCAUCCAGGACAGGGGCAAUAGUUUCUUUCCUAGCCAUUUGCGAAUGCGGCUUUCAAAAAUUCCUUUGUUUUUAAAAACCAUUCUUUCGUCAUCUCUUUCUGACUAGGGUGACCGGUAUACAUCCACGCACGAUCACUCAUCUUGCAUAGCUACUAAAGAGAGAAGAAAUAUAUUUAUAUAUAAUUUAGCAUUUAUAUUCAUCGGUUAAUCAGGUUCGUCAUUUUUAUUACGUCUAGGCAACCUACACGCUAAUAGGUAAAGAUAGGUCCUAAUCCCACCCGAGUAUGUGUAGAUUGGGUUCGUUUUCCCAUGCUCUGCUCCGGAUCCAACGCAAAAUUUUGGCAGCACCUCCCCGCUGUUAUCCUGAUACACGUCUCCGCAAUAAACAGAGAGGAUGUGCAUCCGGAGAACAACAGGGAGGCACUGACGAAAUUCCGCAUCGGAUCCAGAGCAUAGCAUACGGGAAAACGAACCCAAUCUACACAUACUCGAGUUGUCCCUGGAUAAUGUUGGACAAUUCAAAAGGAUGGCGGUUAUAAAUAUGCAAAGACAUGCAUAUUUAUAGAUGUCACCCUUUCGAACGGGAGACGCAUACUGGUCACGCAUACUGAUAAAUUAAUUGAAUUACCUAAAUCUAGAAAGUUUCAUCCGGAAACCGAGCCACGGUAAAUGAAGGGGGGCGGGGAGGAGAUGAAAUUUGUACUGACCCACGAAUGCAGGGGCGGAGCUCGUACAACGCACGGGCAGGUCUUCGCACAGCAGACCUCACAACGACGAGACAACUAUCACAUGUAAAUCCUUUGAUCAACACAAAUAUUCCAAUUAUGUCAUUUUAGAGGAAAACAAGCAAAGUAUAUAAUAUUCAUGAGCUAACCAAGNNNNNNNNNNNNNNNNNNNNNNNNNNNNNNNNNNNNNNNNNNNNNNNNNNNNNNNNNNNNNNNNNNNNNNNNNNNNNNNNNNNNNNNNNNNNNNNNNNNNNNNNNNNNNNNNNNNNNNNNNNNNNNNNNNNNNNNNNNNNNNNNNNNNNNNNNNNNNNNNNNNNNNNNNNNNNNNNNNNNNNNNNNNNNNNNNNNNNNNNNNNNNNNNNNNNNNNNNNNNNNNNNNNNNNNNNNNNNNNNNNNNNNNNNNNNNNNNNNNNNNNNNNNNNNNNNNNNNNNNNNNNNNNNNNNNNNNNNNNNNNNNNNNNNNNNNNNNNNNNNNNNNNNNNNNNNNNNNNNNNNNNNNNNNNNNNNNNNNNNNNNNNNNNNNNNNCUCCUCCUCCUUCUCCUUCUUCUCUUCUUCUUCGUCUUCUUCUUCUUUCUUUUCAUUUUGCCUAUUUCUUCUCCUCUUCUCCUCUUGUUGGAGCUAAAUUACCUAAUUAUGUCUUUUUUGAGCUAAAUGGGCUAAUUANNNNNNNNNNNNNNNNNNNNNNNNNNNNNNNNNNNNNNNNNNNNNNNNNNNNNNNNNNNNNNNNNNNNNNNNNNNNNNNNNNNNNNNNNNNNNNNNNNNNNNNNNNNNNNNNNNNNNNNNNNNNNNNNNNNNNNNNNNNNNNNNNNNNNNNNNNNNNNNNNNNNNNNNNNNNNNNNNNNNNNNNNNNNNNNNNNNNNNNNNNNNNNNNNNNNNNNNNNNNNNNNNNNNNNNNNNNNNNNNNNNNNNNNNNNNNNNNNNNNNNNNUUCUUAUGCCAUUUUGAGCUUAUUAUGGUAUUUUGGAGCUAAAUGGACUAAUUAUGUCAUUGUUGGGGAAAUUAAAGCAAUUGCAAGGAUAAUAUGAAAUAGGAGAAGAAAGAUGAGGAGGAGGAGAAGAAGAAAUCAAGGAGGAGGAGGAGGAGAAGGACUAGAAGGUCCUUGGCCUUCUCCUCCUCCUCCUCCUCCUCCUCCUUCUCCUUCUUCUCUUCUUCUUCUUCUCUUCUUCUUCUUCUAUAUUUUCAUUUUGCCUAUNGCAGACGGCAAAGAAGCUCAUCUGGCCGGGGGAACCUUAGGUCAACCUACUCCCUUCUUUGCCGUCUGCUGGCGCCUUCUUUGCUGUCUGCCGCAGGCGGCAAAGAGCUGACUGCUGGCAAAGACCUUCUUUGCCAUCAGCUAGUUCUUUGCCGUCAGUUUUGCUGAAACUGAUGGCAAAGAGAGUCUUUGCCGUCCGCUAGCUGACGGCAAAGAAUAGGCAGACGGCAAAAUCUCUGAUUCCAGUAGUGAGUAACAAUAAGUGAACCAAGGUAGCCCAAUCCUUUUCUGGGAAAGGACAAGCCAAAGUGGUUUAUUGUAAUAGGCAAAGCGUUCUUCAGGGCACACGGGAAUUUCAUCUAGUCACUUUCACCAUGAUAGCUUAAUUCGUGUUCGAUAGUUUGAUAGUCUGAUAUGUGGGUGGACGAGUGCUUAGUUUUUGUUCUUACUUGAAAAAACCUCCUACUUAUGAUUAACUCCGUUGCAAGCAUCCGCAUCUACCAGGAAAGUAUUAAGAUAAAUAAAUAACCAUAGCAUUAAAGUUUUCGGUCCAAAUCGGUCCCUUAUGAAGUAGCGCAUAAACUAGUGUUUAAGCUUUUAUCACUCUAGCAACCCAUCAUAUAAUAACUACUCCACAAUGCAUUCACUUAGCCCCAAAUAUGUUGAAGAGUGAUGUAGUUGACGUUCACAUGACACCACUAAGGGAAUCACAACAUACAUACCAUAAAAUUAUUGAACACAUACCAAGUUCGCAUGAUUACUUGCAACAUGAUUUUUCCCGUGGCCUGAAGAACAAAAGUGACUUCUAACAAAUGAUAAACAUGCUCAAGAUCAGAGGAGCAUUAAUUUGCAUAAAGGAUCUGAACAUUUUGUCUUUCACCAAAUAAAACAUAUAGUAAUCAACUACAUGAUGUAAUGAACACUACUAGCCCUUGACAAGCAACAAUCUAAGGUUCCGGUGCAAAGAUUGAACACAAGAGAUGAACUAGGGUUUGAGAGGAGAUGGUGCUACUGAAGAUGUUGAUGAAGAUUGUCCUUCCCAAGAUGAGAGGGUUGUUGGUGAUGAUGAUGACGAUGAUUUCCCCCUCCGGGUGGAAGUUGCCCCGACGGAAUUUCUCUACCGGAGGGCAAAAGUACUCCUGCCCAAGUUCCGCCUCGAGACGGCGGCGCUUCAUCCCGAAGUUCCUCCUCUAUAUUUGUUAGGUCAAAACCAAAUAUAUACCAGAAGGGGGGUACCGGAGGUGGGCCGGGAUGAGCACCACCCACGAGGGCACACCUGAGUGCUCUGGUACGCCCUGGUGACUUGUGCUCACUAGGUGUCCCCCUCCGCUAAACCUUUGCUCCAGUAUUUUUUAUAUAUUCCACACAAAUUCUCUGUGAAGUUUCAGCUCAUUUGGAAUUCUGCAGAAUAGGUAACUUGACAUAGCUUUUUUAGGUCCAAAUUUCCAUCUGUCGGUAUUCCUCCCUUUUGUGAAAACCUUGCAUAUUAUGAGAGAAAAUGCAUUAGAAAUACUCCCAAAAGCAUUAUUAUGCAUAAAACAUUAUAAGUAAUAAUAGGAUAACAUGAUGCAAAAUAUAUGCAUAAUGGAGUCCGAAUUAGAAAUGGAAACUACAACCGACAAAGAAGUUCACUCGGUCCAAGCGCAUGAAGCCUUACCUCGUUCGGCGGCUGCUUCGCCGAGAAAGGAGGCACCAACCUGGUACCCCUGGGAUUGUAUCAGACGGAUGUAAUGGCCUUGAGCUUUUCUUCUAGCUGCUACGGCCCAAUCUCCUCCGAGUGAACGAGAGUUGGGUCAUUCGGACCGCUAUACAUCCACAUGGGGUGAGCCCUGACGUGUAGAGGCUGGAUCCUCCGCUGGAAAAAAUACUUCUAGAAGGUCCAUCCCAUUGAUAUUCUUCCGCAAUAGAGAAAACAAUGCUAGCACAAGGAUAUCUACGCCCGUCCUCUCUUCCUUCGACAUAGUCAGUGAGGGAGCCGACAUAAUUCCCUCAGGCGAAUAAGGUGCUAAGCCUGACUGACCCUUGCCGACUGGAACAUCCUGGCAAUAGAACCCAGAGUCGUGCCAACCCUUCACAAAGUCCGGGAAGGACAUCUAAGGAAAACUACUUUUACCCCUAAGUUGUACUCCUAAACCCACGCAGAGUAGCACUACAUGCGUCUUCCCCCAACCGAGAAGACUUAUUCACUCUCAUCAUUCGGCAUGUGAACAAAUGCCUACACAAUCCCCAGUGCGGACAACACCCGAGGAAGUUCUCGCACAAGGAUACGAAAGCGGCUAAGUAUGAGUCGACAUUGUGGGGGAAGACGGUGAAGUUGCGUGCCAAAAAAGUCAAGGAACACGCAGACGAACGGAUGCGGGGGCAAAGAAUAACCUCUUUCCGCAUGGGUGACCAAAAACACUCAAUCGUCGCCCCUCGGCGCAGGCUCCAGCUCUCCCUCAUCCGGCAGCCGCCAGCUCCCCGGAGUAACCAGGCCCUUGCUCUCCAGCUCCUGCAGUCGCUCCUUGGAGACUCGGAAUGACAACUAGUCGCCCUGAAUCUAGCCCGGUGGGAGCGCCCCGUUACUCGAAGAAGAUCCACGUGAACCCUUCUUGCCCCGCACGGCUUUAGUGAUCGCUCCUUUCCCCACUCUGUGUGGUGGGGAAGGCAUCAUGGGAGGACGUCGGAGGUGGCAAGGAACUCUGAGCCGCAACCACAAGGUUCGAGAGACGGGAUGAGAAUGACUGAAAUCUGGGUACGUGGUUCCCUCCCCUCGCUGCCUCAGCCAAUUUCUAGGCUACAGGAAGAUACCCCAUUGAAUACUUCAUUUGCACAAGGAAGAUCCACCGGAUCCCGGUGAUAGCGCUCCUGUAGCACGAAAGCGACAUUUCAGGCACGGGAAUCAAGGCGUCUCUCCACUACCUCCACUACCCAAGUCAUUGCUGAUUCUGCCACCCCUGUGUCCUCCAUUAAUUCAAAAAUCACGGAGAAACCACCUACCUCAUAGCCCGAAUGGAUUUAGUAUCCGCAGCGCAUAAUGAGAGAUCUGAAUACUCUGUCACUCGUCCUUCCGUGGGACCCCAAAGCUUUCGGACAACAAAAGAAGGCGACCAGAUCGCCCGCACCAUAGCGCGAGUGGGACCCGUCCUACCUUGCCAAUUGGACAAUCGGAGCCUUGAGUUUGUGAUUGUCCGAAUCAUUGAAUUUAUCUUCCCGAAAGGUAUUUAAUUAUUACUGAUUGGAAAUGUGUCAACAUGCUCCAGCGUUCGGUAUCUUUUGCUCUUGAAUUCGCAGUGGUUUAUUGAGAGCCCAAGUGAUUAAAUCCUGAGCUACAACCUCGGUGUCCCUGAGACACCGAGGGCACCACAAAAUGCCUUCCACUCAGCCAGUAAAAUCUCAAUUGAUUCGUGGGCUACUAACGGGGUUAUACAUUAUGGGUAGUUCUACGGACUUGGAUCCCCAGGCCUGCCUAAGACCCUACAUGGAUAUCAGCGUCCCAAAAGCCACCAGUGCAGUCAUGACCUCACACGGGUGAGUAUAUCUUCACUCGACCCACACAAGGUCACUUGGAUCGUCUCGCGUAAGUCGGAUGUACCAGACACUCGGACCACAGCAAGGCGUGGGCAACGAAGGGACUGCAAUGGCUACAGACUUAAACUAUCACAUGAAGUGUAGUGAAGAUGUGCGCUACCAAUAACGUAGGAGUUAGAGGUGUCGUUACUUGUAACUUCAAUAGUUAUCAGCAUAAACUCGCCCUUGUAAUGAGGCUCAGCCGGUCGUGGCGCACUCUAUAUAAGCCACUCCCGAGCUCCGGACGAAGGGUUCAACAUCUUGUAUUAUCAUACACCCAUAAGUAAAUAUGAGCCUCAGGGCUCGACACGUAGGGUUGUUACCACUCCCAAGUGGGACCCGAACUUGUACAUCCAAGUGUACCCACUAUGCCCUAGCUAGGAUCCUCCCCCCCAUUCGUACCCGUGGUAUUAUUGUCAGGAUCAUUCCCAUGACAUCGAUAAAAACAAAAUACAUACAUAGUAGCAUCAUGCUCAUUAUUAUAAAAACAAAUAAAACUUUAUAAAAUAUUUCAUCACAACAUUUUCAUCAUAUAACUUUCACCAUAAAGUCUUCUUAUUAACAAGUAACAAUUCAUCACGACAUCGAAUUAUGUAACAUAAACUCUACUUGAAAACUAACAAACUAUGUUUUCAGCCAACUUUGCAACACAAUUCAUCACACUUUCAGGAAGGUCUCAUUGGAGCUUUUAAGCAAGUCUACAUAUUCAACCAUCAUUUAGUCUUCUAUGAAUGCUAACACUUACCGCAUACAUACGAGCAAAAGGUUUCAACCGGACACAUAGAAAUAUAGGGGCUUAAAGUGUCGCCUCCCAGCGUAUUCACGUCUAGGGUGAUGUCAACAAUAAUAACUCAUGACCACCCACAUUCAACUGGAUAUAUAUGUAUAGAUAUUUGCCCACCACAUGAUGCUUGCCAAAGAGAAGAUAAGGGGGAGUAGAGAAGAAUACUUUGACUCUGUCAUAAAAGUAAAUACAUAAAAGUAAAAGAUAGGCCCUUCGCAGAGGGAAGCAGAGGUUGACAUGCACCUUUUGAUUGUAUGCCAAAUGCCUUAGUACAAAGGAACGUUACAUUAUAUUGCCCCUUAUGAUGGCAGCCUUUGUUAUGUGGUUUAUCGCUUUUAUUAUUGCCAUCUCAAGUCCAUACAACGCUUAAUUUCCCUUACAAUAAAUGAUCGAACAUGUUAGAAGCAAUUUUUAUUGCCUUGUGCACCGAUGCCAACUUACUUGAAGUAUCUUAGUCAAUCCAUAGGUAGAUAUGGUGGAAUCUUAAAACAUGGAUUUGGGUUUAAGGUUUUGGAUGCACAAGUAGUAUGUUUACUUAGUGCGGAGUUUUGGCUAGCAAAGAUAUUGGGGAAUUACCACAUGUUAGAGGGUCUAUAGCAAUAUGUGAAUCCGAACAAACAUAAAUCAUUAGGUUUUCUUCCUUGUCCAAUGCCAAUAGUUUUGGCAUAUUAUAAUUAAUGGGGGCUCACAAUCUUAAAUGAUGGAAAGGAUAGUGUAUUUGCAUGUAAACCUUCUCUUCCCUUAUUAAUUAUUUCAUGUGUUGCAUCACCGACCAAUGCUAUGUUUGUCAACCUUCAAGAAAUUUUACCACUUAUACUUUUCCUUAUGUGAUUACACUACUACUAUAAGAUUAGCAUAUGAUAUUUUUCAUUGUCUUCCUUUAUUUUGAUUGCAGCAAGAAAGUAAAGAAACAAAAUUCAAACUUAACUUUAUUGCAUAACUCCCACUUGAUUGCAUAGAUAUAUAGAUAGAAAUAUCACGAAACUGGCACUCAAAAAGAUUGGUGAAAGUAAACUUUUGUAUUUGACUAGAUCACGAAAUAACUGAAGAUCGAACUAAGAUGGAUGAAGAUAAUAAGAGUGAUGGUGAUACGGUAUCCGGGCACCUCCCCCAAACUUGGGAUAAGCCAACGUGAGUGCCCAUACCUGUGUACUUAAGUCUCCUUCUUUGAUGAUGAAGAUGCAGGUGGUGGUGUAGAUGAUGAAGUAGAAGCAAACUUGUCCUCUGGUUUCCAUGACAGUGGCUCACUAUUAUAAGAGGAGGCAUGAGUCUCCAAAGUCCUGCAACUAGCAGCUGAACUCAUACCUUUAAACCUGGCUUCAUAUUCAAAGAUUUUAUUUUGAAGAUGAAAGUUUUAGCCUUGCAUAAAAUUUAUUUGCUCGUUGAGGGUGAAGACGAUAUCCUUCAAGGACGUGGCAUGCACCUUUUGAUCAUGGGUGAAUUCUGUGAUCAUGAGGUGAUUGGCACUAAGUCCACGCUCCACCAUCCCUUGGCAUCUGAAGAUCUCCUGCUCCAACUCCUCAAGCCUCGCCUCCACGGUUCCCAUCUUCUUGGGCCCUUGAACAUGCUAGAUGUGGAGCACCCCCUCAUCCAUCUCAAUGGUUUGAGGGUGCUUCAUCGCCUGCGGCAAGUACGGGUUGAUAACCCACUCUAAGAACUUGUCCUUGGAGGAGCUUGAUGAGGCCGUGCUGAUCUAAAUAUGUUAGAAAAAUAUCAGAAAACAAGAAGAGAGGAUUUCUCUGUGGUACUAGGGUCAAAUCAUUGGGAGGUAUGUAUAACGAAUUUUUAUACAGGGAUAUACUUGUCCUACAAGAAAAGGAAGCUGAGAAGCUGCCUGAGGGGCCCAGUACCUACCACGUCACGCCAUGGGGGGCUGGCGCGCCCUAGUUCCUAGUGGGCACCUGGGUUGCCUUCCCGUGUGUUUAUCAAUUUCCUAUUUUUUUCUAAUAAUCCAAAACUAAGAGAAGAUAUGUUUGCGGAUUUUUUGUAGUCCGUUUACUUACCGUAUCACAUACCUCUUCCUUUUAGGGUUCUGGAGUGUUCUGGAAGGUCUCCUCUAUGUGUUCCUCCGUUGUCAUGGUUUGAAUAAUAUUUGUUUCAACAUUAAUAGGUGUACCUGAAAUAUAGUGCUUUAUUGUUUGUUCAUUGACCACCUUCGGAUUAGUGCCUCUGGAGUUAUUUAUCUUAAUGGCUCCACACCGAUUAAAUUCUUUUAUGAUAUAUAGUCCUUCCCAUGUGGACAGAAGUUUUCCUGCAAAAAAUCUAAGACAAGAAUUGUACAAUAGAACAUAUUGAACGACUUUGAGUUCCCUCUUUUGGAUUCUUUUGUCAUGCCAUCUUUUAACUUUUUUGUUGAAUAGUUUGGCAUUUUCGUAAGCUUGGGUUCUCCAUUCAUCUAAUGAAUUAAUAUCAAAUAACUUCUUUCCACAAGGAAGUUUGAAAUCAUAGUUGAGUUACUUAAUUGCCCGAUAAGCUUUAUGUUCUAACUCAAGAGGUAAAUGACAUGCUUUUCCAUAAACCAUAUUGUAAGGAGAACUACCCAUAGGAUUUUGAUAAGUUGUUCUGUAGGCCCACAAUGCAUCGUAUAAUUUCUUAGACCAAUUCACUUGGGACCAAUUGACACUAUUUUGAAAUAUUAAUUUUAUUUCUCUAUUGAUUAAUUCUACUUGACCACUAGAUUGAGGGUGAUAGGGUGAUGCAAUUCUAUGGUUAACAUCAUAUCUAGCAAGAAACUCAAAAAAAACAACCAUGAAUAAAAUGUGAACCACCAUCACUCAUCAAGUAUCUAGGGACUCCAAAACAUGGGAAAAUAUAUUCCUUAAGCAUUUUAAUAGAGGUGUUAUGAUCAACACUAUUGGUUGGAAUAGCUUCUACCCAUUUAGUGACAUAAUAAACACCAACCAAAAUAUGUGUAUACACAUUAGAGGAAGGAAAAGGUCCAACAUAGUCAAAUCCCCAAACAUUAAAUGGUUCAAUAACAAGUGAAUAAUUCAUAGGCAUUUCCUGCGUCUACUAAUAUUAUCAAUUCUUUGACAUUCAUCACAAGAGAGGACAAACUUUCGAGCAUCUUUGAAAAUAGUAGGCCAAUAAAAUCACAGUGUAAUACCGUGUGUGCAAUUCUAUCUCCCACAUGGCGUCCUCCAUAAGCCUCAGAGUGACACUUCAGAAGGAUUUGUUCCUCUUCAUGCUCAGGUAUACAACAUCUAAUAAUACCAUCUACUCCCUCUUUAUAAAGAUGUGGGUCAUCCCAAAAGUAAUAUCUCAAACCAAAGAAGUUUUUUUUGCUGAUAGGUGAAACUAGAUGGUAUGUAUUUAGAUACAAUGUAAUUAGCAUAAUCAGCAAACCACAGUGUGUUAUGAGAAACAUUGACCAUAGCUAUUGUUCACCGGGGAAGCUAUCAUCAAUAGGUAGUAGGUCUUCAAGAACAUUUUCUAACCUAGACAAGUUAUCAGCUAUGGGGUUGUCACCUCCUUUCCUAUUAAUGAUAUGCAAAUCAAAUUCUUGUAGCAAAAGAAUCGACCUAAUAAGUGUAGGCUACUAUCAGCUAUGGGUUAAAUUAUACAUGCUUCCAGAAGCUUUAUUAUUUCAUUUCUUACAACUUCUUUCAUUUUGGGAUUCAGUCUCCAUUGGUGAUCAACAACUAGUUUAGCAUCUGGUUCCAUAUUAAUCUUGUGCUGAUAGAGAGUGGUACUAAUGCCCUUAAGAUCAUCAAGAGUAUACCUAAUAGCAGCACACUACUUGUUGGGGAUAUUAUCUAUUGAUAACCCACCCUAGUUGGGCCGGGUCACCAAAUCAGGCGAUUCAUCCAAGCAUGGUUCGGGCCUUGGCCUGGCAAGACCAAAGGUUGUAUGGCGUUUUACAACUUCCGGAAGGUUUCCAAGCUUUGGAAAGAUGGCGACUUAGAGAUCGUAAGAGUCACGGUUUGUAGAAAGGAAAGUACCCUUGUGAACCCUAGGGACUCGACCUGUAUAUAGAGGCGAGUCCCAGGGAAGAGGAGGGCAGGUUAGAAAUCAUCGAGUGCUAGGUCCGGCGAGUUACGCCCUCCUUGUAAUCGAAACUCCAUCAAUACAACUCAAAGCAGGAUGUAUGCCUUUACCUCCUCACGAGGGGCCGAACCUGGGUAAAUCGCCGUCUCACUCCCGUUCAACCCCUUUGAGUCGCCACCAAAGUGUGAUGGCUCCAAUACUAAGUCCUUUCACGAGGACAUCUCCCGUGACAAAACCACGACAGUUGGCACCCACCGUGGGGCCUGCGCACGGUGGAGUUGAGUUCUCAAAGGGAGCCCUACCAGGGUUUGGGAGCUACGCAACGGGGCUCAUGACCCGGAGCCGCCGUGGGAAGUACUACAUCAACAACCUGCUAUGGGGGCCCGAGGCAGAUUCAAUCGAAUCUGGUUACAGGGUCCCCUUCGACAAGAUCAACGUCUUCAUCGGCAUGAUCGGAUCAUCCGUGCUUGAGCCGGACAUCUCCACCGACAUCGUCGAGCCGGCCAGGUACGUCCGCCCAGUAAUGACACCGAAUCUAACUCGCCCGGUCUUUGUUGGAUUCACGCAGGGAUCGGAGGAACUAGAACACUUAGCGACCCAGGAAAACACACCAAUCAACCCCGAUGACGAAUCGUCCAUGGGCGAUUCAGAUUCAAUCCGGUCUCUACAUGGAGAUUGUCUUGGGGGCUUGUCGCUGGCCAUGGACCCCGAAGUUCUUGACCGAAUCCGCAGCCAGAUCGCCAUUUAUAUGGCUGGGGCGACUCAACCCUCGCAAAACCCGACAGGCGGGGAUGGAACUGGCGAGACAUCUAGAAGCCCGGUCGCUGUCUUGGUGGAAUUAGCAGCGGAAAUUACAAGGCUUAUGGCGACUCCCAUCACACCGGAAAACCAGGAGGCAGUAAACACGGAAUUGGCGAAACUAAGAGAAGCAGUGGCAAAAGCUCAUCGGGAUGCCGAGGUGGAGUCCGCCAGGAUCGAGACUCGGCAAGCUCAAAUUACCGUCGAGAGAACUCGCUUAAAUACUGACAACUGGCAGCUCGAAACACACCAGCCCGCAUCUGACGCCGUCCAUCAGCGGAGGCACCAGGGUCGCCUGCCCCCUGAUCUCAACCCGACCAGCCUGUUCGAUACUCCGCGAACUCCCGGGGCGGGAGCCGCCCUAGUGGGAGGACCGGGCCAACCACCUAACCCGCCGGUUCAGCCAAUUGAGGAUCGCAUUCCCCGACUCCGGACACCUCAAGGUCACUUUUCCAACCCAGUGGACAACGUCCUUGCCGCAACUCGCCAUUUGGAAUCACUUCCGAUUCAGGGCAAUACUCCUGCCGAGAUAGAGGCAAGGAACGCCAUUGAGAUGUUGAAAACGGCGGUGGUUCAAAACGCCCAGUUCUCACAUAGCCUAGAUAGGCUGCAUUCCACUCCCCAGGCGAGUCACACCAGGAGUCGGCCAGAGGACCAGCCCGCUGUAAACAGCGGACCGCGACUCAUCCCCCAGGACAACCCGCCUGAUCAUUAAAUCCCGUCGAGCUGGGAUCUCCCGAACAUCCAAGUCGCCCCAGCCCCUCUCGUCGGGAGCGGUGGACGAGUGGGGGUGCCGUGCUUGGCCCCCGCCCUUCGCAACGAACAAAUGCCCAAGGAUUUUAAAGGACCAAGAAAGGUGCCUAACUACACCCCGGAUCUUGAGUCGGCGGCGUGGGUCGAGAGUUAUGAAAUCACCAUGGACAUGCUCGACGCAAAGGAUGCAGUUUGCGCCAGAUACUUCACGAUGAUGCUCGAGGGGUCAGCAUGUACUUGGUUAAAAAACAUACCCCCCAACUCCAUCCAGACCUGGGCUGAAUUGAAAGAGCACUUCAUCAAAAACUUCCGAGGAACCUGCAAACGUCCAAUGAUGAUUUUCGAUCUGCAGCACUAUGUUCAACGCCCCGAUGAGUCGGCCCACCAUUGGUCACGGCGGGUCGCGGAAAUUAUUCAUUCAUCAGACGGUAUUACGGCGGCUCAGGCGGUGUUGAUCCUCGAGCAGAAUUGCCACUACGAACCUCUGGUGCAGAAGUUGGGGCGACUCAAGCGAAAGGUCCAAGACAUGGGGGAGCUAAUGGAUACCCUCACUAGAUACGCUGAAGCGGACGACACCAAAGAUCCUGGUGAGGAUGGUAAAGCUAACUCGCCAAGGAAGGGCGAGUCAUCCAAAAAUCAUACCCGUUUCCAGGGACGUAACCGCCACAAUCAGGGAGCUAACGGCAAGAGAAGGCAGCAGGAGGAAUCUUCGGAUUUAGUCGCCAAUACCAACACCAACAAUGGCAACCAACGCCAGAAGAAAAACACGGGGUACAGUGGUAAAAAGCCGCGUAACUAUGAAGAGUUACUCAAGGUCCCUUGCCCGCACCAUGCCAUGGCAGACGGACCGGCAACUCAUUCCUGGGAGAACUGUUACGUGAUGCGGGACUUUUGGGCAAAGGCGACCAAAAAGGACAAAACCCUGACCCGGACCAACGGCAUGAGCAGUUUGCUGCACCCAACCAACGUCAGAACCCCUUUGGCGGUUUUCCCGAGCCGGGGGCUCAGGGGGGCUCGCAGCCGAGCAGCGGCCAGUAUCCGGUGCAUCACCAGCGGUGGUAUAACCCGCCCGGAGUUUUUCAGCAACCACCCCCACAGGGGGCUUCGCAGGGCCAGGAUGACAACGGCGGUUUUUGCAACAACCCCAAACAGUUAAGCAACGGGCAGUACCACGUUUUCACCACCAAUGCCUGCAGGCGUGAUAAAAAGGUGAGUCAACGGGCGUACAGUGUGUCUAAGCCAGCACUUCCCAGGUACCUACACUGGUCCGAGCAGACCAUAUCAUGGAGUAGGGAGGAUCAUCCGCCAAGAGUUGACAAUCCUGGCGACUUAGCGUUGGUCGUAGCUCCGCAAGUUGGGGGGUACACCCUGUCGAAGGUUCUAAUGGAUGGUGGCAACAGCAUUAAUAUCUUGCAUUUUGACACUUUCCAAAGGAUGAACCUAUUGGAAAAGGAUUUGAUGCCUUCAACCACGGUAUUCCACAGAAUCGUCCCGGGCAAGUCGGCGUACCCCAUAGGCCGAGUCAGACUCACAGUUGCAUUUGGAACAGCAUAUAACUAUAGGAGUGAGUCGCUGGUGUUUGAAGUGGUCAAAUUGAAAAGCCCCUACCAUGCGCUAUUUGGGUGGCCGGCUUACGCCCGGUUCAUGGCUUGCCCAUGCUAUGUUUACCUUAAGCUCAAGAUGCCUGGUCCUAAGGGACCCAUCACGGUUGAUGGUGAUAGAAGGAUUGCAAAGGAAUGUGAAGAAGGGGACGCGGCUUAUGCGGAAGUCGCCUGCACUGAAGAGGAGCUCAAAUAUCAUCGGGCCAAUGUUGAUCCGGCUGACAUGUCACACCUAAAGAAGCCAACAACAGAUCCUGAGUCACCCCUCAAGUUCAAACCAACGGAUGACACUAAAACGGUUGAUUUCGUUCCUGGCGAUUCAUCCAAGCAGUUCACCAUUGGGACCGGUCUGGGUCCCAAAUAGGAAAGCGCGCUCAUCGAAUUCAUCCAUGAGAAUCGGGACAUCUUCGCAUGGAAACCUUCUGACAUGCCUGGUGUGCCGAGAGAAUUCGCUGAGCACCAUCUUAAUGUUGACCCAAAGGCAAAACCUAUUCAGCAGUAUCUUCGCAGGUUUAACGAGGAACGACGCAAUGCAAUCGGGGAAGAGGUUGCCCGUCUCUUAGCCGCCGGAUUCAUCGUAGAAGUUUUCCACCCCAAAUGGUUGGCUAACCCGGUCUUGGUACUAAAAAAGAAUGGUACUUUCCGUAUGUGCAUUGAUUACACGGACCUCAUCAGAGCUUGUCCAAAAGACCUUUUCGCUCUUCCCCGCAUCGACCAGAUUAUUGACUCGGUGGCGGGAUGCGAACGUUUGUGCUUUUUGGAUGCCUACUCUGGAUAUCACCAAAUCAAGAUGGUUGUGGAGGAUCAAGAGAAAAAAACUUUUAUAACCCCCUUUGGGGCCUUCUGCUAUGUGUCCAUGCCGUUUGGGCUUAAGAGUGCAGGGCGACUUAUCAGCGCUGCAUCCAGAAUUGCCUCUGCAGGCAAAUCAAACGCAACGUCCACGCCUACGUCGACGACAUUGUGAUUAAAACCCGCCAGGGGGAGACGCUACUAGAGGAUCUUAAGGAAACUUUCGAUAAUCUCCGGGUGUAUCAGAUGAAGUUGAAUCCCACCAAGUGUGUUUUUGGUGUUCCUGCAGGGAAAUCGUUGGGCUUCCUGGUGUCUGAGCGUGGCAUUGAAGCUAACCGAGACAAAAUCGAAGCAGUUACGUCCCCUGGAAAACUGGCAAAUGAUAACCAAGUCCAACCAAUGGUGGGUCGCAUUGCGGCUCUAAGUCGCUUCAUAAGCCGCUUGGGAGAAAAGGCGAUUCCCCUUUAUCAAUUACUAAAGAAAUCUGACCAUUUUGUUUGGACAGAUGAAGCAGACGAAGCUUACGAAGCCUUGAAACGGCAACUGGUCAACCCGCCGGUCUUGGCCGCCCCGACUGAGAAAGAACCCAUGCUUUUGUAUAUUUCGGCACACUCUAAAGCAGUAAGUGUGGCGGUGGUCGUUGAAAGGAAGGAGGAAGGGAAGGAAUACCCAGUGCGGCGCCCGGUGUAUUUUGUCAGCGAAGUGCUAACUCUUUCCGAGCAAUGGUACCCACAUUGGCAGAAGUUAGUGUAUGGGGUGUUUAUGGCGAGUCGGAAGCUUAAGCAUUAUUUCCAAGAGCAUCCUAUCACGAUGGUUAGUUCCGCCCCCUCGGGGACAUCAUCCAGAAUCGGGAGGCAACAGAGCGAUCGCCAAGUGGGCGAUUGAACUUGGGCCGCAUCACGUACGAUACACCCCUCGCACAGCCAUUAAAUCUCAAGCCUUAGUUGAUUUCGUCAAUGAUUGGACAAAGUUGCAGGCCCUGGAGGAUAGGCCUGAUCUUACAUACUGGACUAUUUAUUUUGAUGGAUCCAGACAGCUGGAAGGCUCGGGGGCUGGUGUGGUACUGGUUUCCCCUCAAGGAGAUAAAUUCUGUUAUGUCCUCCGACUCAUGUUUCCGUGCACUAACAAUGUUGCGGAAUAUGAAGCUUUGCUUCACGGCUUGCGACUCGCCAAGGAGAUGAGCCUUACGCGGGUCAGAUGUUUUGGCGACUCUGAUCUGGUGGCGCAGCAAGUUUCAGGCACUUGGGAUUCUCGGGACCCCGUGAUGGCGGCUUACAGAAGAGCUGUGUCCAAUGUGGCGGGUCAUUUCCAUGGCUAUCAGGUUGAUCACAUUGACCGACGCCUUAACGAGGCAGCUGACGCCCACGUCUUGGUUCCCAGCGAAAGCCGGUUCCCCCCAAUGUCUUUCUGGAUAUUUUGCGUAACCCCUCCGUAAGUUUGUCGUCAGAGGAGGAGUUGGCGAUACCAGACCCUGAGUCUCAAUUCAUGGCGGCUCUCCAGGGCACGCCGGAUUGGGUUCUUCCCUAUCUGGCCUAUCUCGCGUAGGGUGAGUUACCAACAGACGAAGUUUCACCCCGCCAAAUUGUUCGGCGAAGCAAAUCCAUGGUGAUCAUCAAUGGAGAAUUAUAUAAGCGGAGUGCCUCUGGGGUUUUUCAACGAUGUGUUUCCUCCGAAGAAGGAUGCAUAAUCCUAAAUGAAAUUCAUUCCGGAGAUUGUGGGCAUCACGCCGGGUCAUGCUCUUUGGUUUCAAAGGCAUUCCGUCAUGGUUUCUUUUGGUUGACGGCUCAUGCAGAUGCAGAAGAGAUAGUUCAUCGAUGCGAGGGAUGCCAGCGUUAUGGACGACAAGCUCAUGUGCCGGCUCAAGAACUAAGAAUGAUUCCCAUCACUUGGCCUUUCGCGGUCUGGGGGUUAGACAUGGUUGGCCCCUUUAAAAUGUCAUCCGACAAGAAAACCCAUUUCCUGGUGGCGGUUGAUAAGUUCACCAAGUGGGUUGAGGCAGAGCCUGUUGGAACUUGCGAUGCGGAGAUGGCGGUCAAAUUCUUGAAAAAGCUGAUCUUCCGGUUCAGAUAUACACACAGUAUCAUUACUGAUAAUGGCACUAAUUUGUCUCAAGGGUCGAUGCAGGAGUUUUGCCGUCGAGAGCAUAUCCGGCUUGAUGUUUCUGCGGUCGCUCACCCACAAUCUAAUAGGCACGCGGAACGGGCGAAUCAGGAAGUUUUAUGGGGAAUCAAGCCCCGGCUCAUGGUUCCCUUGGAAAAAACCCCGGGAUGUUGGGUUGAGGAGUUGCCUUCAGUAUUAUGGAGCAUCCGGACCACCCCGAACCGGUCCACGGGUUUUAUCGCUUUCUUUCUAGUCUAUGGAGCAGAAGCUGUUCUUCCCACUGACAUGAGGCAUGACUCGCCCAGAAUUGCCGCUUACGUGGAACAGGACAACGAACUGGCGCGUCAAGACUCUUUGGACGCCUUAGAGGAGGCGCGUGACUUGGCUGCAGUCCGAUCGGCCAUUUAUCAGCAGGAUUUACGGCGUUAUCAGAACCGCCGGGUCAAGAGCCGAACCUUUCAGGAAGGCGACUUAGUGCUUCGGCUGAUACAGGAUCGUGCUGGCAUGCAUAAGUUAUCACCACCAUGGCAAGGACCGUUCGUCGUCAGCAAAAAUAUUCACAACGGCUCUUACUAUCUGGUGGAUCUCCGGCCUAACCGGCCAACCACGGAGGCUGAGUCAACUCGCCCCUGGAAUAUUUCCCACUUGCGGCCUUACUACACUUGAGCUUUUUAGCUCUCCAUUUUGUAAGUUUUUUUAGUCCUUAUUAUAAAGCAAUAAAGUUAAAACGCCUCCCGACUUGAGGGCUUCCUCUCAUUGAGAUCAAUUUUAUUAUCCAUUUGGCAUAUGAAAUCAUUAUCUUGGGUGGCGCUUGAGCUUUUUGACUCGCCCUAUCCUGUCGCGACCUUAUGAGCCGACGAAAUCAUUAUCUUGGGUGGCGCUUGAGCUUUUUGACUCGCCCUAUCCUGUCGCGACCUUAUGAGCCGACAAAAUCGCUAUCUUGGGUGGCGNAUCCUGUCACGACCUUGUGAGCCGACGAAAUUGCUAUUUUUACCUUCCUGGCACUGCCGCAAGGUUUUUCAGACUUUUUUCUUAUUUGUCUCAAAAUAUUUUGGGGCGACUGCUAUUUGUUAUCACUUAUUAUUCAUUGAGAUGGUUUCACAUAUGUUUUUCAAGCUUAGAACAGGUUGAUGAUCGAAAUCACUCUAUCCAUGGUGGAUUAAGCAUCAUAAAAAAGCCUCAAACGGCGGAUCAAGAAUUUCAAAAUGCCUUAAGGGCGACAUAAGUUUUUUUUAAGGUAUCAAAAAAGCAGUGUCGAUUCCUAAAGGAGACCUAUUACAUGGCUCUCAUGGCCAAUUCAAUGAAAUUUUAUUCUGCUGACGCCCUUGGAUCAGCCUGCUGCGAGCUUUGGCCAACCUCAAUCUGCAAAUCACGCAGUACCCAGUUACACUUGGACAGAGCAGCAAAUUCAUCUUCAUCAGUCAGGAUUGAUGAGAGAUCCGCGUCCAAGUCAAAAGGAUUCUUGGGUCGACGCGGAGUUAAACUGGUCGUCACAAAGGUUGGCGGGUUGACCUUCUUGUUCUUAUUGUCAUAGGCGGCCUGGUAUUUCGAUAAGUCCAGGCUUGCAGCAAGCUGAGUCGCCGCCAGACGGGAGUCCUUGACAACACGCUGGUAGUCCUCUUCGGCGAAUUCUGACCAAUCAUCCUUGAGUUGAGGAAAGCCCGCCGCUACUUCUUCUGGGUUGAUCUCUGGAGAAUAUACUAAGCAUCGACUCAGUUUAGUCAACACUCCUUUUCGGGCGGCUGACCGAGUUAACUCGCCAAUCUGGGGAGGGAGCGUGGAUAGGCAGCCAAGCAUCUUCUUUAUUGAUGUUAUAGGCUCCUUGGCGCCCAUCACUGCUUUCACAGUCAGUACACUGUCGUUAUAUAGCUUCUCUUUCAACGUGUAUAUCGCCUUCAGCGUCAGGACGCAAUCAUCCUGAAGGUUGGCGGCUCUCGGACCUGUAUAAGGGGUAAUGAUAAUCAACGACUCAGAUAAGAGUUAUUUGUUUAAAAAGGUCAAGAGUUAGUAUUUUACCAAAGACGGCUUGUGCCAUGUUUGAGAUAUGUCGUUUUAAACCAGACAGUUCUUGUUGCACAGUAACCAGCUUGGCUUCAGCCUUGUCUGCUCGCUUUGUUGAAGCAUCUUGGUCAGCUUGAGCCCUUUUUAAAUCGGCUUUUAGCUUUUCCAUCUCAGUUAAGGCCAGUUGAUACUUCUCCUCUGAUUUGGCCCAGGCAUCCUGCUGAUCAGAUAAGAUUUUCUUCAAGUCGCCAAGUGGUGAUUCAGUCUGGAUAAGAGAUUCCUGUUAAAGCAUAUGGUUAAGGGGCAAGUCUCAGAACUAUUGCAAGCAACAUCCCUGACACUUGGGGGCUAAUGUAUAAUUUUUUCAGACAAAAUUUAUACAACAUCAAGGCCGGGCUCAUCUUUUUACUCAUGACCCGGACCUUGGGGGUUACUGGUCAAAAGUUUUUCAAGUCAUCAAGACCCGACUCAUAUUUUUACUGAUGACCCGGCCCUUGGGGGUUACUGGUUGAAAGUUUUUCAAGUCAUCAAGACCCGGCUCAUCUUUUUACUGAUGACCCGGCCCUUGGGGGUUACUAGUCGAAUGUUUUUCAAGUCAUCAAGACCCGGCUCAUCUUUUUACUGAUGACCCGGCCCUUGGGGGUUACUGGUCGAAAGUUUUACAAGUCAUCAAGACCCGACUCAUCUUUUUACUGAUGACCCGGCCCUUGGGGGUUAAUGGGGAUAAUAUAGUAUACAACAAAGCUUACCUCAUGUUUAUUUUUCAGCAUCCGAAGCAGGCUUUUCUCCAUCUCAUAACUCGCCUCCAGGCGACUUGCAAAACCAGAGCAAAGUUCUUUGAACUCCAGAUGUUCAUACUGAGAGAGCUUUGCCUUGGAGAGUUCAUACUCAGGAACAGUUUGAGCUGAUGAUGACGCAUGCUUCGAUAAAACCGCUGUGGCCGGUUCAGAGAAGCUGGUACCAGUGAUAAUUACAGCGUCCGGGUCUUCUGCUGUUGUCAAUGGACUUGGCGGCUUGGGGGCAUUCAUUGUUUCCUUGGGAGAGCUACGGUGAUCCACUUGAUCUUCAGGUUUGUCUUGGUCCGAGUUAUCUUGGAUCGGUGCUGACUUUUUGGUAGGCUCAGAGAUUAUGAUGGGAGUUGACCCGCCAAGUUUUCGUUUCUUCGCCUGUGCCCUGAAAGGAGAAGGGGGUGCAUUUAAAGGACUGGAAAUUUAUCACCAUCAGGUUAAAAGUAAAUAUUAUCAAAGACUUACCCAGGUACACGGAUCAUUGGCGGAAGUGCCGACAUUCUUGAGUCGCCAGAUGUAGGAGGAGAACACUACAAGAAUUGUACAUCGAAGAUAUAAGUGGGUUACAAAUGCGAUCCAAAAAGACAUGAAGAAGUGUUGUUAAAGGAUACCUCAUUUGGCCUUUUCUUGUUCCUUGUUGGUAGACCGGACACCAGAUCGCCGGAAUGACUUCGGGUCUUCCGAUUUGAAGUGUGUUGUGCUUUCUUCGGAAGAAAAUUUGGGUCCAGACAAGCAUUUGGGUGUGAGAGGGGAACUUUCCCACAAAUUCGUCUCGCCGGCUUAGGUGGAGAAGGAGAUGAAUCGGAGGAAACAGAAAUUACCUCUACGGAAUACUCCUGGCUUUCAUUGUCUUCAUUCUAUUCAAGAGAUGCAGAAGUAUAAAUACAAAGUUAUCAGUAAUGGAUGGCGAGUUAAGAGAAGAUAGGUUUUUACCUCUGAAGGUGCGUCGCCGACUUGGGAUUCAUCGGCCUCGGAUGGUUCGGUCACAGCAGCUUUGCCCUUGCCCUUGGUUUUCUUCUUUGGAGGCGGCCUAGCUUGCUUCAUGGCUGACUUUUUAGGCCUCUUGGACCAAAAUUUAUCACCUUUCUGAAAUGGCAUGUUUGAUAAGGGACCAUAGUUUGAAUGAGACGUAAGAAGUAAAAGACAAAAGGCGGGUUAAAGUUGCUUACCUUGGGUGCCGGAUUAAUCUUGCAGAAGGGUUUGAGACCUAUUUGGCCGCAUUUCCCGCAGGCUCGCCGGUCAGCUUCUUGAUGAUGGUGACAAUAUCACUUUCCGUUAGAGCCGUGUGGAAGUAGCAUUGAGGAUGAUCCAAAGUGCCGUCAAAUUCACACAUUAACCCGUCCUGGCGACUUAAAGGGAGGAUGCGCCAUUCGACCCAAUAACGGAUCAAGUCAACCCCAGUAAGGUCGUUGUGUGUCAAAGAUCUUAACUCGGACAAUACUGGGAUAAAAUCUGAUUCCUCCUCUUCGGUGAGCUUGUCCGGGAGCUUGAAAUUCGUUGGAAGGCGAUCUUCACUAUAACCCAGAAGCUUGUUUUCACCUACAGGCGAGGUCUCUUGACAAUAGAACCAAGACUCGCCCCAGCCUUUGGGGUGGCUUGGCAUGGCGAGUGACGGAAAUGGGCUAUCCCUGCAGCACUGAACAUUUACACCGCCGAGCUCCAGGCUGGGGCCAUUGUGAAAUUCUGUUUGGCGAUUUAAGUGGAAGAAAUACCAGAAUAAGGGAACUGAGGGUUCUAUCCGCAAGUAAGCCUCACAAAACACCUGGAACUGGCAUAGGUUGCUUAUCGAAUUGGGCCCUAGAUCCUAGAGGCGGACAUUCAUGAAAGCCAUGGCGUCUCUGAGGAACUUCGAUCCAGGCGGCUUAAAUCCCCGCUCAAGGUGUUCAACGAAAAAAAACUAUUUCCCCUUCUUUGGGAUUGGGGAUUUCCUCUCUGAACCCGGUACGCCAACCGAUAACAUCCCGAGGGUCCAAAUUUCCUGUUUUCACAUAAUCCUCUAGUAUGGCAUCAUUGACCUUGGUAGGGAGCCAGUCACUUUUGAAGACGGUGCCCAUGCUACAAAGGGAUAAAGUAAGGGUGAAUUGACAUGCCAAAACAUCUACUGUAAGAGGUGAAACGAUUUCAUUUGACUCGCCAAGUAAUUUGUCCGCGGGCUGCGGAAAUUUUUUGAUCCGCCAAUGAAGGCCCGAGUCAGGUUUCUAUGGCGACUUACGAAGCUUUGACUACUUAAAGGAGCGAUAUUUCAAGGCGUCAGAGGCAUUUAUCCAAAAAUGGCGAAGUAUGAAGACUACAAACAGUUUUCACAUAACAAGCGGUAGAUUAUGGAUCUACUGGACAUAUGAAAAUAAAUGCGGAAAAUGACCGGAUACGGCAACCUACGACUAAGAUGGGAUAAUGUUGUUUAUUUGGUGAAGUACUACUCUAAGUGUGCAAAUCGAGAGCGGACAAAUAAAGGUAUUAGAGACAUUGGUUUUCUCGUCGUCAUCACCAUCAACUAAUCAGGAACAAGUAACAACUAUUCGGUAAAGCGCCAAGAACAUGGCAGUGAUGAACUUUGAAAGAGAAUGGGGAUCUGCUCUUGAAUAAAUGGAAACCUAACCUGGUGGAUUCGGCUGGAGAUGGUCGACGGCGAUGAAGCCUUCAGGAUGGGCGCGAAAACCUCGGGCGGCGACGAAGUAUUCGGCGACGACAAAGUGUUCGGCGGUGACGAGGUGGUCGACGACGACGAGACGGUCGAUGACGGCGAACUUCUCGGCCGCGGUGAAGUGCUUGGCGGCAACAAGGUCCUCGGGCGGCACCAAAAGUUUUCGGACGACGGCGAGAACCACGGUUGGUGGCGGAGCUCUCGGAAGACAAUGAGGGUUUUCGCUGCGGUAAUGGGGAGAAAAGGCGACAAGACUGGUGGGUGGAAUGCGCCCAGUCCUGUCCCCUCACCUAUUUAACAUGGCAGGCGCUGGAAUCGAGGCGCCACGAGCGGGAACCGCCAAAGGAUAAAGAUUCGCCAUGAUGGCGCUCCGAAAAUUUUGGGAUAACGAAACCAAAGGAUCCGUUGGGAUUACGUCAUUAUCUUUUCCGGAAUUCAAGGGAUAAGAAGAUACCAACGAGAAAUGGUUUGGAGAUUUAAGUCUUUCCGCAACAGAUGGCGGGUUUAGUUCAUGGCGUAUGGAAGAGGAUGAAAAAUGAAUCGCUCUUAAUUGAGCAAGAAUAUUGGCGUGAAGAAAAUUCAAGUCAAUCUGGGGCCUAAUGUUGGGGAUAUUAUGUAUUGAUAACCCGCCCUAGUUGGGCCUAGUCACCAAAUCAGGCGAUUCAUCUAAGCAUGGUUCGGGCCUUGGCCUAGCAAGACUGAAGGUUGUAUGGCGGUUUACAACUUCCGGAAGGUUUCCAAGCUUUGGAAAGAUGGCGACUUAGAGAUCGUAAGAGUCACGGUUUGUAGAAAGGAAAGUACCCUUGUGAACCCUAGGGACUCGACCUGUAUAUAAAGGCGAGUCCCAGGGAAGAGGAGGGCAGGUUAGAAAUCAUCGAGUGCUAGGUCUGGCGAGUUACGCCCUCCUUGUAAUCGAAACUCCAUCAAUGCAACUCAAAGCAGGACGUAAGCCUUUACCUCCUCACGAGGGGCCGAACCUGGGUAAAUCGCCGUCUCACUCCCGUUCACCCCUUUGAGUCGCCACCAAAGUGCGAUGGCUCCAAUACUAAGUCCUUUCACGAGGACAUCUGCCAUGACAAAACCACGACACUACUUCCUUAAAGUUUUUGGCAAUCUUUCUUCUUCAUGCUUUGUAAGGUUAGCACUGGUAAUAAUAGGAUAUAUCUUCUUAUCAUCAAGAUAAGCAUAUUUUGAAGUUUCAAGUAAUUUAUUUAAUUUAAACACAUGAUCACCCUUGGGUGGAGGAGGACCACCUAGAGUUUCAACAUGCAAAUUGUAUUUAAGGAUAGGUUUUUGCUCGAACAACAUAUUAUCUAGUUCAUUUCUUUCACGCAUGUGCAUAUCAUUUUCAUUGUCUAGCAAAUAUUUUUCUAAUGGAUAAAUAGGAGGAAUGGAAAUAGAAGCGAGACCAAUUACUUCAUCUUUACUAGGCAAUUCUUUAUCAUGGGGUUGCUUACUCAACUUGGAGAAAUGAAACUCAUGAGAAAUACCACUAAAAUUAGCACUGACAGUUUCCCUUUUGCAAUAUAUUUGAGCAAUGGCAGUGUUCAAGAAUGGUCUACCAAAUAUUAUGGGACAAAAAUCAUCUUGUGGUUAGCCAAGGACUAGAAAAUCAGUAGGGUAUUUUACUUUUCCACACAAGACUUCAACAUCUCUAGCAAUCCCAAGUGCUCUGAUGGUGUCUCUAUUAGCAAGUUUAAUAGUAACAUCUAUGUCUUCUAUUUCAGCGAGUGCUAUAUCAUGCAUAAUUUCUUGAUAUAUGGUAAAAGGAAUAGCACUACCACUAGCACCCAUAUGACAUAAACCAUCAUAAAAAUGAUCUCCUAUUUUGACUGAGACGACACGCAUGCCAACAACGGGUCUAUUCUUAUCAUUAAUACCAGGUUUGGCAAUUCUAGUACCUUCAUCACAGAAAUAAAUAACAUGCCCAUCAAUAUUAUCGACCCAGAGAUCCUUAACCAUAGAAAUACUAGGUUCUACGUUGAUUUUGUCAGAGGUUUUGGUUGUUCUAACAUAACUUUUGUUAUACAUUGUUGAAGCUUUACCAUGUUCCUUUAUCCUAAUAGGGAAAGGUGACUUCUCAAUAUAAGUAGUAAGCACAACUGGGUCAACAUUGUAAAUGAUAGUUUCAUCCUCAACUUUAAUUGGUUCUUCAACUUUUUCUUUAAUAGGUGGAUGAUAUUUAAGCCAUUUCUCUUUAGGGAGAUCAACAUGAGCAGCAAAGGUUUCAUGAAAUGAGGCUACUAUCUCAGAGUCAAGUCCAUAUUUAGUGCUAAAAUCAUUGAAAGCAUCGGUAUUCAUAAGAGAUUUAGCACAAUCAAACUUAAGUUUUAUGCUUGACUCUUGACCUUCGUCGAGUUCCCAAUCUUAAAAGUUGCAUUUAAUUAUUGCCAUAAGAUUCCACUUGAAUUCAAUAGUCUUCUUCAUAAAAGAACCUGAACAAGAAGUGUCGAGCAUGGUUUGAUCAUUACAAGAAAGCCGAGCAUAAAAAUUAUGAAUAAUAAUUUCCCUCGGGAGCUCUCAUGAUUGGGGCAUGAAUAUAAAAUUGACUUCACCCUCCCCCAAGAUAGAGCGAUACUGUCUCCUUCACGAGGCCAAAAAUUAUAGAUAAAAUUCCGAUCACGAUGAACAAGAUGCAUAGGAUAGAAAUUCUGGUGAAACUCCAAUUAAAAUUGAUUCUAGUUUGAAGAUCCCGUAUCAUCACAUAGCCUAUACCAUGUCAAUGUACCCUUCACACAAAAGAUAAAGCUAAAAUGUUCUUCUUGACUUCAUCUCUGGAUAAACCUGCAAGCUUAAAUAAUCAACAAACUACAUCCACAUAGAUUAGGUGCAUAUCAUGAUGUUUUGUUCCAUCUCCUGCAUAAGGAUUACCUAGAAGUUUCUCUAUCAUACCCGAAGGAAUUUCGUAAUAAACAUGUUCAGUAGGUUCAUAAGUUUGAUGGAAAACUCUUGGUAUUUCCGAUCGAGGUGCAAAUACCCCGAACAAACCCCUCAAAGGAUUACUUUCCAUUGUGACAAGUAAUAUUAAAUUUGGCACGUAAUAUAAAUUUUCCCUUACCAAAUACCGCUUACCAAAGGCUUCACUCCCCGGAAACGACGCUCAAAAAGAGUCUUCAUAACCCACAAGUAUACGGGAUCAAUAUUAGUCCUUUCGAUAAGUAAGAGUGUCGAACCCAAUGAGGAGCAAAAGAAAAUGACAGGCGGUUCUUAGCAAGGUAAUUUCUGCAAGCACUAAAAUAGAGGUAACAAGUUUUUUGAUAGCAAGAUGAUUGAAACAAGUAACGAGUAGCAGUAGUAACAAUAGGUGCAACAAGGUAGCCCAAUCCUUUUGUGGCAAAGUACACGGUGAAACAGUUUCUUAUAAUAGGCAAAGCAUUCUUGAGGGCACACGAGAAUUCCAUCUAGUCACUUUCGUCAUGUCGGGUUAAUUCGCGUUCGGUACUUUGAUAAUUUGAUAUGUGGGUGGACCAGUGCUUGGGUUCUGUUCUUACUUGAACAAUCCUCCCACUUACGAUUAACCCUCCCACAAGCAUCCGCAACUACGAGAAAGUAAUUAAGAAUAAAUUCUAACCAUAGUAUUAAACAUAGGGAGCCAAAUCAGCCCCUUACGGAAUAGUGCAUAAACUCGUGUUUAAGUUUCUGUCACUCUCGCAACCGACCAUCUAAUUACUACUCCACAAUGCAUUCCCUUAGGCACAAAUAUGGUGAAGUGUUAUGUAAGUUGACGUUCACAUAACACCACUAAGGGGAUCACAACAUUGAUAUCAUAAAAUUAUCGAACAAAUAUCAACUUCACAUGACUACUUGCAACUUGAGUUCUCCCGUUGCCUCAAGGAAAAAAGUAACUACUCACAAGUGAUAAACAUGCUCAUGAUCAGAGAGGUAUUAAAUAGCAUAUUGGAUCUAAACAUAUGAUCUUCCACCAAAUAAACCAUAAAGAAUCAACUACAAGAAGUAAUCAACACUACUAGUCACACCCGAGGUACCAAUCUGAGGUUCCAGUACAAGAUUGAGCACAAGAUAUGAACUAGGGUAUUGAGAGUAGAUGGUCCUAAUGAAGAUGUUAAUCAAGAUUGGCCUCCCCAAGAUGAGAGGGUUGUUCAUGAUGACAAUAGCCUCGCUUUCCCCCUUCGGGAGGGAAGUUCCUCCGACGGAAUGGCUCCACUGGAGUGCAAAAGUGCUCGUGCCCAAGUUUCCCUCCACCGAAGUUCGUAAUUCACCUUGAAUGAAAGAAUUCCCCUUCAAUAAAUGCACGUCCAGGGAAUUAUUUUCCUUAUCAUUAGCAUAAUGAUUGAAUGACGCAACGUCUUCGUUUUCUUGUAACAGAAAAUAUUUCCUUUAACCCAAUACCAUCUGCUAUUAUUUUGUGAUCAUCAACAACACUAACAUUAGUCGUGACUAUACCAUCCUCUCCUCCUUGAAAAGAAACCGUCAUCGGUUUCGAAUCAAUCUCUUCAACAGUAUUUUUAUUUGCACUUUGAACAAUGCCUGGAAAAAUUUCAAUAGUCUCAACCUUCUUCUUCUUUACUUCUAAUAAAGCUUGAGCAAUAUCCCUCUUCUUGCAAUCAGCCAUAUAGUUCUCUGAUGUGUAUGAAUCAAAUGGUAUCCACUUUCCUCCAUGAACAAAACAAAAUUAGCCAGCCGAAUGAUAUGUCAAUUGUCUUUUAUCUGUCCAUGGUUUUCCUAGGAGUAUUGAACAUGUAUGCAUGUGCAUAGGUUGCACAUCACACAUGACGAGAUCACCAUGUCCACAUAGAAUAAACCGAACAUCGAUAGGAUCCAUGAUCUUCGCAAACUUGUCCUUCAACCAAAUCUCGUAUGGUUCUGAAUAUUAAAUCAACAGCGGGUUCAAAGCAUCAACCAUUGUCUGGCUCACUAAGUUCAUCCAAUAAUACCAAUUCAUCAAGGUUGCACAACUUGUCGACCCUACAAGCACACACAUAAUGCAUUGGUACCACCGUAAGGUACACAAUGGAUCCUUCUCCACCGCCAUCAUCAUUUGCGAGCUAUAAUAUCUUAUCAUGAUAAAAACUUAAAUAGUAACUCAAAGAAAUAUAUUUUUUGAACAACCUUUUCUAUUAAUACUGCCUAUUGUAAACGUAACCUUGAUAUGAGAUCUGAUCUAUCAUUGUGGCUCGAUCUUUCAUGACACUCCAUCUGCAGAAGUAGCAACCUCUCGCCCAUGCACACGCUGUAUAGGAAAUAGAGUGUUUCAACCUUGCGCCUCAACACGAGAAAACCAAUCUCGAUGGCGGUUCUCAUGCGCAAAACAAUUGCUACAAAAAAAAUGCAAUAGGAGAUUUUCUAAAGGUCCCUCCAAAACUUGAUCCGGGAGUUUACCGUGAAAAACACAUUGUGACUAUUUCAUAAAAAGAACCUAUGUACAUUGGUCGUUGUCGGCCCCUUUUAUAAGCAACACACAAAUAACAAAACCAACCUAAUUACUCUAGAUUGAAAUGGAAUCUAUCUCCUAUUUGAACUAAUCAAGAAUUUAACAAAUAGAGUAUCUCGCAACCUUGAUCGUCGUGUAACGCAUAACAAUCCCGACCUCUAAUUUUGCUUCGUGGGUCUUCUCCUAGGGAAGGUAAACCCUGAUACUUCUCCAAUGUACCUAUAAUUUAUGAAGUAUUCAUGCCAUGUUUAUCACAAUUCUAUAUGGUUUUGGCAUGAUUUGAUUAGAACUAACCCGGACUGAUGCUGUUUUCAGCAUAGCUACCGUGGUGUUGUUUUUUGUGCAGAAAUAAAAGCUCUCCAAAUGCAACAAAACCGUUUGACAAUUUUUAUAUAAGGAAAGAGCCCCAGGAGGCUUCGAGGAAGGACCAUAAGAUGCUCAGGGUCCCCACACCGCACCGGGCCCCCCUGGCGUGGGCUGAUUUUGUGUGGGCCCCCUAAGGCUCCCCUUCGUGUGAAACCAACGCCAAAAAUUCACAUAUAUAAAGAAACCUCCGAUGGAUAACCUAGAACUUGGACUCCUCCGCCGCAUGCCUCUGUAUCCUCCGAAAACCAAUCUGGACCCUGUUUUGACACCCUGUCGGAGGGGGGAAUCAUCACCGGAGGCCAUCUUCAUCAUCCUGGCGACCACCAUGAGAAGGAGGGAGUAGUCCACCCUCGAGGCUAGGGGUAUGUACUAGUAGCUAUGUGUUUAAUCUCUCUCUCUCUUGUGAUCUUGAGAUGUCACGAUCUUGAUGUUUCUUGGGCUUUGUUAAUAUAGAUGGAUCAUAUGAUGUUGCAAUGGGGUAUCAUAUUGAUCCACUUGAUGUGUAUCAUAUCUCUCCCUCUCUACAUUUGUUGUGAUGAAUUGAAUCUUUCCUCGUUGAAGUUUUGUCUUGUCGGAUUAAAUACUCGAUGUGACAAUGGGGUAUCAUAUUGAUCCACUUGAUGUAUGUUUUGGCACUCAACUAGCGGAUUCCCGAGGUGACAUUGGGGUAAUCUAUGCAUAGGGGUUGAUGCACGUUUUCAUUAUCUUUUCUUUGAUAGAAACUUUGGGGUCUCCUUUUGGUUCUUUGUGUGGAUUGAAUAUUAUGAUUGUGAAGUUGUUUGAUGCAUGUCAUAGGAUCAACUCACGGAAAUUUGUGGUGACAUUGCAGUAUCUAGGUGACAUUAGAGUUAGUUGAUGUGUGUCAUAUGGUGCUAUUUUAGUACGAGCUCUAGGGCUGUUUGUGACACUUAUUGGAAUAUCCCAAUAGAUCGAUCAGAAAGAAUAACUUUGAGGUGGUUUCGUACCCUACAAACAAUUUCUAUCUUAUGUUCUCUGCUAAUAGGAAUUUGGGAGUGACUCUUUUUUGCACUUUGAAGGGUAAUCAUAUGAUCCAACUAUGUUAGUAUUGUUGAGAGAUUGCACUAGUGAAAGUAUGUAUCAUAGGCCUCAUUUUCUAUCAUUGCAAUAUCGUUUGUUCUCCGUUUUAUUAUUUACUACCUUGCUAUUUUUUAUAGUUCGCACUACAAAAACUCAUAUCUACUAUCCAUACAAAACUUUUAUCGUCAUGUCUUCGCCGAACUAGUGCUUCGAUACAAUUUGCCAUUGUAUUGGCUGUGUUUGGGAGACAAUAGAUUUUUUGUAUUUAAUUACAUGGUUGCUUGAGAGAGACUACCUUCAUCCUACGCCUCCCACAGAUUGAUAAACCUUAGUUCAUCCACUUGAGGGAAAGUUGCUACUGUCCUACAAAACUCUGCGCUUGGAGGCCCAACACGUAUCUACAAGAAGAAGUUGUGUAGUAGACAUCAGACCCCACCACACCCUCUCAAUCUUAGCAUGUCUCUAAUUCUGCAUGUACAUCUCAUGCAAUUGAUAGACCUUAACUUGCGUGGUAGUUCGGCAGAAGGAAAGACAUCUCUUCUUUUUAUCUUGUUGACUAAUGCAAAUAAAUUAGAUCUCGCAUGAUUCCUCACGUUAGCAUAGGUUGCCUUUUCUUCCAAGUAAUUAGUGCACGUUGGUUUUCCCUGCCAAACCGGAGCUGGCCAAUAUUGUAUGCAUAUCUUCUGUCUUUAGUUGGUAUUUUACCUUGCAUGCAAUUAUCCCCCGUCAAUACAUGCACGUCCACCAAAUUAGUUUCCUUCUCAUUGGCAUAAUGAUCGAAUGAAGCAACAUCUUGUUUUCUUGUAAUAAAAAAUAUUUACUUUAACCAACUAACAUAUGUUAUCAUUUCGCAAUCAUCAACAACACUAACAUUAGUUGGGACCAUAUCAUACUAUCCUCCUUGCAAUGAAACUUUCAUUGAUUUCGAAUCAAUCUCUUCAAUAAUAUAUUUAUUAGCACUUUGAACAAUGCCUGGAAAAAAUUUAAUAGCCUCAACCUUCUUCUUCUUUACUUCUAAUAAUGCUUGAGAAAUAUCCUACUUCUUGCGAUCAGCCAUAUAGUUCUCUGAUGUGUAUGAAUCAAGUGGUAUCCAUUGUGCUCCAUGACCAAAAGAAAAUUGGCCAACCGAAUGAUCCAUCAAUUGAGUUUUAUCUGGACAUGGUUUUCCUAGAAGUAUUGAACAUGUAUGCAUGUGCAUGGAAAGCACAUCACACAUGAUGAGAUUACCAUGUUCAAAUAGAAAAAACCAUACCUCCAUACGAUGCAUGAUCUUGACAAACUUGUUCUUGACGUAAAUCUCGUAUGGUUCUGAAUGUUCAAUCAAUGGUAGAUUCAAAGCAUCAAUCAUAGCUUGGCUCACUAAGUUAAUCUUAGAAUAGCAAUUCACCAAGGUUACACAGGUUGGUGGGCCUUGAAAGUGCAUUAUAUCGACUAUAGGUGGGGUGAAUAGGCGAUUUUUCGAAUUUCAUCACUUAGGAAAUUCCUUUUGAAGAAAUUCCUCACCGAUGAAUCACGUACAACGGAAAUAGCACAGCAUCACAAGUGCAAAGACUACUACAGCAGAUUACUGGGUGAAUAUUAUGAGAAUUGGUUUGCUCAGUACGCAGGUAUAAAGAACGCAGAUGAAGAUUAACUCAAGUGAAGAAUUUGAGGUUGAGGAAAUUCAGAGAAAGUGUCCAUACAAAUUCUUCAAACAACACAGAUGAAAGUCUUCACUAUACAAUUCUAAGGAAAUGAAAGAGUUGAAGAAAUAGAACCUGUUUCACGAUGAAGACACUUGUUGAUGACCGAGUUCCAACUGUUGUGACAAUCGUACAUAUGGUUUGGAGCGGCAUGGCAUUGAAACCAAACGACACACGGUCCCUACCGUAUUCUCCUUGAGCUAAGGACACACAGUCCUCGCCCAACACUCGUGGUAAGUCUUCUGGGUAGACUUCCAAACCCUCACAAACUCGGUCACCCACCGAUCCACAAUUGACUGUUCGAUGCCUUAGACCAUGAUGCCUAACCAUCUGGAGAUGCAAAGUCCUCAAAGGUAAAAGGCUUCAGUUCCACACAGGAACAAAUUCUUUAGUGAUGCUCAAUUACUUGGUUUUUGGUUUGUGGUUUGGUGUUUGGGGGUAUUUCCUCACUUGAUGAUUUACUCUCGAAGACUCUGAGGAAUUUGGGUUGCUAUAAAUGACAAGUGUCAGUUUCUCUCGGAGCAGCCAACCAGCUAGUGGUUGUGGGGGCCGGAUAUUUAUAGCCUGGGAGCAUCCCGACAUGAUUUGACAUUAAUGCCCUUAAAUUAUGUGACCCUUGGGUGGAUAAGAUCAGUGAGGUGGCGUGUGUCGUGACAACGGUCGGGACUAUCAACUGUGAAAGUCCUCAUGUUUCUCAUAUGCCUCACUUGAGGCUUUGGUAGGUUUAGGCUUGGGUUGAGCAUCAUGAGGAAAUUCGUUCCAUAGUAUUACUUCGACCCCCUUUAACAGUACGGUGUCCCUAGUACUCAAGAGUAAAGAAAAAGAUAUAGAAAGAGUAAAUCUUCACGCUUCAAAGUCUUCAAACUGAUUUUCUUCAGGACACACUGAAUUCCUCAUCUUCAAUAUCUUCCUGAGGAAUAUCAAUUUCAUCGCGACCAAAGUCUUCAAAUUAAGACCAAUUACUUCAGCCGAAGACAUUCAUUUUUAGGAGUAGAUAUUCAUCGUAUAACUUAAACUCCUCAGCAACUUAUAGAGCAUGUGUACACUUACAAACACAUUAGUUCCUUAACCUAUAAGUCUUCAAACCACCAAAAUCACUAAGGGCACUAGAUGUACUUACAAUCUGCCCCUUUUUGGUGGUUGAUGAAAAUUAGCUUAAGUUUUCAACAGGGAUAAAAAUAUGAAGAGUAAGUACUGAGUUUGGAAUUUGAAAUCAAGAUACUGACAGACUCCCCCUGAAUAUGUGCAUAUUUUGAGGAAUUUGCUUUGCACGGUAGAUGCACAUUGAUGAUUUAUAUCAUGGAGAUCUCCCCCUGUAUCUUGUAAAUUAUGCAUAAAUUUGACAUAUAAUAUGAGGAAUUUGAAAAUGCAUGAUGAAAAAUGGUGUCUGAUGAAUUUUAGCAUGCCUGCAUUAAUAGACUUUGAGGAAUAAGCAUGCGAAGAAAAACGUUCAAAAGAGUCAGAGCACCAUCAGUCUUAAGUUACAACUCAUUACAUCAAAACACUUCAGAAGAACCACGAUUUUGUAACUUAAUAAUGUUAAUAAGCCCCAAAAUAGAUCCCGCUUGAAGACUAACUCUCAGAUUUCUCCCCCUUUGUCAUCAAGUGAUGAAAAGGGACAAAACUGAGGAUUAACGCCCUUUGAAGAAAUUCACUUUUUAGCUGAUGAAGAGUCAUGAGGAUUCUUCGAGACAGGCUUCUUCCUUGGACCAGGUGCGUUGUUUUCUGGUUCUUCAUCUGACUCAGUAGUGCGGAAUGAAUAUAGAGCUGUCCACCAAGUCAGGAACUGGAUUUGGCUUGAAUUUUUUCUUUGGAGGCCACGACCAGUCGAAGUCUUGAGUAAACUCCAAUUCCCUAAGUUGCUCUUGAGUAUUCAGAUGAGCCAAGGUGGCCCAGGUUCGAUCAAACACCUCAUGAAGAUAAUAGUGAUUUUUCUUCACUAAAUUCUGAGUUUCUUUGAGGGUUUUCACAAUGGCACUGAAGUGACGUUUAACCCACUUGUGAUUGCGAUUGACCUUUUGAUGAAAACUGAGGAGUAUAUCUCUAUUAUUCAUCACUCUAGGGGCAGUUGGGCUUGGUGGAUCUUGGGUAGCAGUGUCAUCAUAUGAAGAAUAUGAGUCUGCCUUGCGACAUUGGCCAUCAACGGGCCGAUUUCCGUCAUCAAUGACAAAUUUUCCUUUGCCUUCAACAGACUCAAAUGAUUUCAUGAUGACUCUGAUCGGCGGCAGAUAUCUGAGGUGAUUUUGAAAAUCAGCUUGGUAAUUGAUGCUUGACCUGUUUUUGAUGAAUCUCAUAAUCCAGGGCACAUAAAUAUUCAAUUCAAAUGGCGACAGGGCAUUGUCAGCCAAAGUCCUCAAGAAGAAAUCAUGAAGGUUCAUCGGUAUGCCAUGGAUGAUAUUGAACAAAAUAUUCUUCAUGAUGCCUACGACAUCUUCUUCAUCAUCAUGCCCUUUGAUAGGAGCAAUGGCAUAAGACCAGAUUUUGUAGACUAUUCUUGGUUCAUACUUCAAGUCUUGUACCAGAAAUGGAGUCCUUGGGGGUUGGUCCUUGGCCAAAGGCUUCAUGAGGACUUCCAUCAGUCCGUUGGGCAGUUCACAUUCAUCAUACAUCACAGCUGCAUCCUCUAAGGGAAUUGAGAUUGGAAGAGCUCUAAGCAAUUCAGUUGUAGGCGCUUUGUAGUGCAUGUGAUGAGUCAUCCAAUCCAAAACCAUAGUGUUGACAUCCUUUGGGUCACCAGAGAUGUGCAGAGUGGCGUAGAACUGAAGAAUGUUGUCAGUGUUCCAAUCGCCGAUGUCAGUGCAGAAAGGCAGUAAUCUAGCUUCUUAAAGAACGUUGAGGACUAGAGAAAAUCAAGGUAUUUCAUCCAUAUCACAGAGAGGAAUAUGGGUAUGCUGAAAUAUCUUGUUUCUCCCACAGAGCACUGAAGCAUAAUGGUUGAGUUUGUUCCUUGUCCAAAACUUCUUGUGCCUGAUGCGAAGCUUAUCGUGUGGAUUUUCGCCGGUGAAGUACAUGUGUUCUUCGUAAAAUUCCUCUUUUUGAAACUUUGGCAUUUUGGAGAAAGGUGGAUUUUGCUGUGGUUGAAGAUUAUGCUGCUGUUCUUGAGGAGUAGCUACUACCAUUCGUGUUUUUGUGUUUACCACAACAAUAGCGAUCUCAGUGUUGGGCACAGUAAUAUUUUCUUCAGUUUGAGGAUUUUCUGCAGCUUGUGGAAUUUGCUUGUUGGAGGAGGCAGUUGCAGUAUUUGUCGCUGCAUUGUCUUCAGCUGAGGCAGCUGAUUUUUGAGCAGAUUCCUCACGAAAGGUUUUCCCAUCAAAACAUGUGAGAAUUUCAGUUGCAGCAGGAGUCAGAGGAAUUUGAGUUGACCUGGGUGAGCGAGGAUGAGUCUCUUCUUAGAAAUCAUCAUGAAUCACUAGAGUGCUGCACCCAGUUUCAUCAUCACCCACUUGUUCUUCACUGGUCUUUGCAGGAAUGGUGGACUGAGGAAUAUCGUCUAUCUGUACUUCCUCAUCAAUGAUUUCUUCUUCUUUAGCAUCCUACAUUUCUUCGUCAUCUUCAGGAAUGACAUAGUCAACCCCGAAGGAAAUGAUCAAGUAAGAUGCAGCUACAUUCAGAGGAGUAACAUCCACCGGGGCAGUUGGUGACUCUGACUGAGGGACCUUUUAGGGUUUGGCCUCUGAGGUUUCUGAGAUCAUUGAAGCUUUUCUCUUCUUUGCUUCUUUCUCAACUGCUUUAGUCUUCUUCACGUCUGAUACAGACGGAGUCACUUUCUUCACCUUUGAUGGUUGUGGUGAAGGAACAGUUUCUUCAGGCACUGGUGGAGUGUCAGGCCUAGUAGUUUCAUCAGCUGGAGCAUUUUUUCAGCUGGAAUAUCUUUAGGAAUUUCCUCACCAGCUGGUUCAUCAGUUUCAUCUUUCUCGGGCAGCUGAAGAGUGUAGCUUGACUGAGGUGCUGCUUGCUGCUUUGGAUGGGCCGUUCUCUUGUAGUAUUCAUCAAUUGCGGCAGAUGCAACCUUGAUGAAAUUCACCUUGUCUCCUUCACGAUCAGUGUGAAGACUUGUAUACAUAUUUCUUAGGGUUCUGAGUUCAGCCUAAGUUGAUACAAGUGCUUCAGGCAUCAUCUUGAGGAGUUUCUGCUUGAGGAAUUUCUCUAUCUUGAUUUUUGCAGCCUUUGCUUGCUUGGCUUGCUGGUCUUUCCACUUUGCCUCAUUGAUGAAAGUGGCUACCAUGUGGCUUACACCUGGGGGAAGCUUUAAGUCAUCGACAGGAGUGUUUGCACCUUCAUACCAGAGGUCUAUGAAAUCCAGCAAAACCUUUGGGUCCAUUGCUAAAGGAAUGAAUCUGCCUGAGGCUUGAGCAACUCAUUCCUUCUUGUUUUUGUUGAUAGCUUGAAGUGUCUCCUCAUCAAAUUCUUCACUUCAGUCAACAGAAGGAACGUUGAUGACUUUGCUAGGACUUGGCCUGAUGCCUCUUCCAGCAGUCAUUUUAGUCUUCAAUAAAGGUGGUGAAGAUUUUGCAACAGAGCUCGUGGCAGACAGCACUGAGGAACUUGAUUGAGCAGGCUGAUGCUUAAUGAGAUGCUUCUGUUGAGGUUGUGAAGACUGUGGUGCUGUUGAAGAUUUUGCCACUGUUGCAGCCUUUUGAGGCAUUUGCUCUUUUGGCACUGAGACUUUGGGUUUCUUCAGCACAGUCUUCUUCUCAGGAAUUGCUGUAGCACAGGCCUCAGCAGCUAAAGAGGUGGCGGAAGUGUGUGCAGCAGCAGAGUCAUCAUUGAAUUUCUUCACAACUGCUUUUGCCUUCUUCUGUAGCUUAGAAAAAUAUUUUCUCUUCUCAUCAGGAUAAUCCUCCAUGGUUUCAACGCUCGAGGGAUGAGCAUCUUGUUGAUCACCCUGAGGGGUCCUCUUGCAAGGUGGCUUGAGGGCGAAUUUCUACGCAUACUUAGGAGUAACAUAUUUGUACUCAUUCCACUCCUUAGCCCACCUGCUUCAAUUUUCUGAAGCCUUAUCUUGCGCUUUGCCAUGGUUUCUUUGCCAUGAAUUUCCUCAUCUGGAGUGCCGUAAUCAGCAUAUAUGUCUUCAGGUAUGUCGAACGUUGUGUUCUGUUCAAGCUUCUUUCCUCCCUUCUGCUUCCGGUCAUCCUCCAAUUUCUUUAACUGAGGCUUUUGCUGAGGAAUAUGAACUCUUGAAUAUUUUGAUGACACGGGUAAAGUUUCUUCGAGAAAUGCUACAAAUGAGUUAAGUUGAUGAGAACCUAGAGAUUCAUCAACUGGCAUUUUUGUACCUGUGAACAGAGUAUAGGUGCGAAGAAUUUGGAGAGGUCAUAUGCGUUCUCAGAUUUGAAGAAAUUGAAAAUUUUAGUACUUCAGGAAUUUGAUGGGUUGAGGAAUUUGACUAAGCAUUCUGAUCUUGGGUUCCAGAGUUGUGCACAUUCAAGAAUUUACACAAUCGAGGAAUCUCAUGAAGAAUUUGAGUGGCUUAGUGAAAUUCAUAGAGUGUUUGAGGAAUGAGUGUGCGUGGCUGGCAGACACUCUGAGGAAAAACAAAUUUGGUGAGUCUAAAGUGAAAUAAUAGAUCAACAGAGGCAGCAAAAUAGGAUUUUAAUUACCGUGAGUGAAGAACACGAAGAACUGGAGCAGUAAAAGAGAGAAACUCUUUGGUUCAGAUCUUCCACACCCUAACUUGGCAACAGAGAUCAGCUACGGCAGCGGCGGAGGAAGAGAUUCCGUGUCCGGUGUGAGUUCCACGACGGUGAGGGCGAGGUAGCAAAGAUUUUCCUCACCGGCGACGAGAUUGCUAGCGGUGGCGCUAGGGUUGAGCUCGAGCGAAGAAGACGAGAGGACGAAGAGUUUUGACAGAGGGGGGUAAGAGCCAUUUUAUAGCUCUGGUGAAAAACUGUUCGGCUGAAAAUUUCAAACCAAACUGCCCUUGCCCAUUCGUCUCCGCAUGACACGUGGAGCCCACGACUGAAGCGGUGGACUUCGUGGUUAUCCGAUCAUGGGAAGUGGGUCCAAUUAUCGUGUAACAUUAUAAAAACAAUUUUUUAAGUUUUGAGGAUUUCGUUGCAAAGUCUUCAGCUGACAAUGACACAAUGAGGAUUUUGAACACGUCUCGGGUAGAACGCAUAUGAAGAAAUGAAUAGACUGGGUUGAGCUUAUCAUAGAGGGGAGUAGGGUCCGAUCACAUUCACUUAGAUGAAAUAUCAAAUUGAAAAGUGAGUUAUAAGUGAAUGUUGUUGAGGACUUUGAAAUUUUAGUCUAUAUGCAAAUGAAAAUAUUCAAAUGUUUUGAAGAAUUUGAAGAUUUUGAAAAACUUGAGAAUUUUGUGACAAAGUGCCAAAUUGAUGAAUUUCAACUUUGAAGAAAAACAGCUUGAAGAAUUUCAAAGUUGGGUGGUGGCGUGACCCACCAUAUAAGAAUGAUGAUUUCACGCGCCGCUUACAAUUGUUGUAGGGCCGUGAGAACCCAAUUCUUCAUUAAUUUCCUCACACUGAGAGUGAUAUUCCUCAUCAAUUGAAUAAAAUCGAUUCUUUGUGUGUUGCACAUCUAAGUCAUCAAUUUUGCAUAGGUGUUAGAAUGUGUGCAUAUUUUCACAAAACAUUUGAAGACUCCAAGAUAUUUAGCUCACACCGCAACUUGCAAAACCUUCUCUCAUCCAAGGGCUUAGUGAAAAUAUCUGCUAGCUGAUUGUCAGUCUUCACAUGAUCGAUGAUGAUAUUGCCCUUGAGGACAUGGUCCCCAAGAAAAUGAUGACGAAUCUGGAUGUGGUUAGUCUUCGAGUGUUGUACUAGGUUGUCGGCGAUCUUGAUUGCACUCUCACUGUCGUAGUAGAGGGGCACAUUCUUCAUAUUGAUGUCGUAGUCUCUGAGGGUUUGCUUCAUCCAUAGCUGUUGUGCACAGCAGGAUCCAACAGCAAUGUACUCAUCUUCGGCAGUGGAGAGAGAAACACAGUUGUGCUUCUUUGAGGGCUAGCAGACUAAAGAUCUUCCGAGGAAAUGGCACAUGCCAGAUGUUGACUUGCGAUCCACACGGUCACCAACAUAAUCAAAAUCAGAAUAUCCAACGAGAUGAAGAUUUGAGCCCUUGGGGUACCAUAAUCCUAGUAUUGGUAUGUGAGAUAAGUAUCGAAGAAUAUGCUUCAUAGCCUUAUUGUGUGAUUCCUUCGGUUUUGCAUGAAAACAAUCACACAUGCAAACACUAAGCAUUAUAUAUGGCCUAUAUGCACAUAGAUACAAUAAAGAGCCAAUCAUCGAGCGAUAUACCUGUUGAUCAAAAUCUUUACCACUUUCCUCAGUGCAGAGGUAGCCAUUGGUAGGCAUAGGAGUCUUGACUCCUUUGGAGUCAUGCAUGCCGAAUUUCCUCAGAACAUCCUUGAGGUAUUUCUCCUGUGAUAUGAAGAUGCCAUUGCGUUGUUGAUGAAUUUGAAAACCUAAGAAGAAUUUCAGCUCCCCCAUCAUAGACAUCUGAUAUUCUUCAGUCAUGAUGUAAGAAAAUUCAUCACUGUAACGUUUGUCAGUACAACCAAAGAUAAUGUAAUUGACAUAUAUUUGACACACAAAUAGUUCAUUAUCAUAGGAUUUUGUGAAAAGAGUAGGAUCGAGUAAACCAGGUUUGAAGCCUUUCUUCAUGAGGAAUCCCUUCAAUGUAUCAGACCACGCCCGAGGGGCUUGCUUGAGGCCAUAGAGUGCCUUUUUGAGUCUGAAGACUCUGGGGUCCUAGCAACAUAUACUUCUUCCUCAAGCUUACCAUUAAGGAAUGCACUUUUAACAUGCAUUUUAUAUAGAGUAAUAUUAUGAUGAUUAACAUAAGCAAGUAGUAUUAGAAUAGCUUCAAGUCUAGCAACAGGUGCAAAAGUUUCAUCGAAAUCAAUUCCUUCAACCUGUGUGUAGCCUUGGGCUACAAGCCGUGCCUUAUUCCUCACCCACUUGACCAUCCUCAUCUUGCUUGUUUCGGAAAAUCCACUUAGUGGCGAUGAUAUUGUGCUUGCGAUGAUCUGCUCGUUUGACGAGUUCCCAUACGUCAUUUAGCUUGAAUUAAAGAAGUUCAUCUUGCAUGGCUUGAAUCCACUCAGGAUCCAUGAAGGCUUUAGCAACUUUUGAGGGUUCUGUGAUAGACACAAAAGAGGAAUGCCCACAAAAGUUAACUAAAUGUGAAGCUUUUGAGCGAGUGAGAGGACAUGGCCCAUUGAUGUCAUCGAGGAUUUUCUCAAGUUCUACAUCAUUUGCGAUUCUUGGAUGAGCUGGUUGAGGAUUUUGUCUGGGCUGAGGAAUUUGAUCUGGAGCAAUUUCCUCAGGUGCACCUUCUUGAAUUUCAUCAGUGUUGGGGAUGAUUUUUUCAGCAAUUUCCUCAGUAGGAACGAUGUCUUCAGUAGCUUUGAACUUGAUAGCUUCCUCAGGAGAUAAUUUCUCUAGCACAACACGCAAUUGCUCUAUUGGGUUUCUUGUCAGUGAGGAGUUCAUAUGAGGUUUUCUUGAGGAAUUUGUGGAGAUAUACCCUGUUGAUGAUGUGGAAAGCAGUAUCGAUUGCUUCUGGCCAGAAACAACGAGGAGUCUGGUAUUCUUCAAGCAUGGUCCGUGCCAUUUCAACUAGAGUCCUGUUCUUGCGUUCAAUGACGCCAUUAUGUUGAGGAGUAUAAGGAGCAGAUAAUUCGUGAGUAAUACCAAGUUCAUCAAGAUAAUCAUCAAGAGCAAUGUUUCUGAAUUCUGUUCCAUUGCCACUCCUGAUGUGUUUGAUCUGCACGCCGAAGUUCGUCAAGGCCCUUGAGGAAAAUCGUUUGCAAACUUCCUGCACUUCAGUUUUAUACAGAAUGAUAUGUACCCAAGUGUAUCGAGAAUGGUCAUCAACGAUGAUAAAACCAUAUAAGGAUGCCGCAUUGGUUAGAGUAGCAUAAUGAGUAGGUCCAAACAAAUCCAUGUGAAGCAAUUCAAACGAACGAGUAGUGGUCAUGAUAGUCUUCGAGGGGUGUUUUGGUCUGGUCAUUUUUCCAAACUCACAAGCACCGCACAGAUGGUCCUUAAGGAAUUUGACUGAUUCGAUGACAAUGACAUGCUUCUUCUUCGCCAACGUGUGCAAAUUCCUCAUGCCUGCAUGACCAAGUCUUUGAUGCCAGAGCCAGCCUUCUGAGGUUUUUCCUAGUAAGCAUGUGGCUGGUUGAGGACCUCUCCUAAAGACUUCGAACACUUUGGAUCUGUCAGAUUCCAUGAUGACUACACAUCUGUAUUUUCCAAAGAUAACAACCAUAUCAAGAUCACAAAGCAUUAAGACUGACAUGACAUUAAACCCAAGGGAUUCGACAAGCAUCACUUUGUCCAUGUGCCUGUCCUUGGAAAUAGACACUUUGCCAAGUUCCAAUACCUUGCUUUUCCCUUUGUCAGCAUAAGUGAUUUGCUUCAGUGGUGAUGGAGUCAGUGGCAUAUUCAUCAGCAAGAUUUUAUCACCAGGAUUGUGGUUUGUGCAACCACUGUUAGGAACCCACUCAGUAUUCUUGGGCUUGUCAUCUUGCAGAUGAAUUAGUACAUCUUACCAUCUCAUAUGCUUCAGACUUGAAGAAUAUGAUUGCAAUUUCAUCAGAUAGGAAUUUCAUCAUAAACAGUAAAUUUGAGGACAUGUGAAAUGUUAUCAUUUCAUCAAUUUUAGCUUGCGCCCAAUCAAGCAUUUUCUUCACGUCUCCAGCAAAUUCUUCAGAAGAUGAUUUUCAUCUGGAGACCUAACCUGCAGAAGUGAUUAGUUCAAUUUAUUCACCACCCACAUCUGAAGGGUUGGCAAAGAGUUCGUCAUCCUGCGAGCACCAUAUGACAAAGGGGGCAUUGAAGCUAAUGCACUUCGUUUCACAAUAGGGGGGUUAGAGUACUUAAAUGAAUAGGCAGAGAAGUUGUUUGAGGAUUUACGAACAUAAUGAUUUGAGGAAUAAUGCUCAUAUUCAUAUCCCUUGUAAUUUCCCUGCAUAUAAGAAGCAUUAGCACACGUACGAGCAUAGUUUUGACCAGUUGAGGAUUUUAUACUCUUGAAGACUUUGGUCCUCCUGAGGAAUUUGAUCUGGGGUUCAGGUUCUUCACAUGUCGUGUCAUGAGGACAUUCACCUCAAUAUUUUUCAAGUAACUUUUGGGGACCCAGAUUUUCCUCAGGGUGGUCCAUUCCUGUAGUUAGUUCCAACAUAUCGAGCAAAUACUUCACCAGAUUGAUUGUUGAACAGUUUAGAUAAUUCACAUGCAAAGGCUGUUAGAGUUGAUGGAUCAACGGAAGGUCCUUUAGAAGAAACCCAUGAGGUUUUGGGGUACUACCCAGGUUUCCAGUAUGAUCCAUGAGCAUUCAAUUUCCUCUCGAAGGCAAUUCCUUCUUUCCUCGGGUUCCUGUUCAAAUCUUUUUUUGAGCACAUCGCAAAGGGUUUGAUGCCCUUUGAGACUUUUGUACAUGCCUGUCACAUACAAUUCCUUCAGCCCUGCAUUUGCAUUAGUAACAUUUGUGGUUUCCUCAAGUGAGGAAUUUGAUACCACAUGAGCAGUUGAAGAAUUUGUAGCAAUAUAAGCAUUUGAUGAUUCUGGUGAAGAGUUGGCAGUUUCACGCUCGAUGCAUUUGAGACAUGCUGGAGUGAAUUCAAACUGGGUGGCACUGAUCUGUUGAGCAAGCAAUGAAUCGUUUUCCAUUCAAAUAUCAUCAUCAGACAUCUUCAACUUCUCAAGAUCAAGUUUCCUUCGAAGAAAUUCAUAGGAAAGUUUCUCAUGAUCAGCCAGGAGUGUGCCAUAACGCUCUUGAAUACUAUCAAAUCUACACUAAAGACUUUUCACAUCUUCGGUGAGGAUUUGACUACGAUUGACUUCAUCAUUCAACACAUCAUCGCUUCUGUCUAGUAGUUUUUGAAGUUUUUCAAUGGCACUUUGUUGUUUAGUUGCAAUGUUGGCAAGUUUAUUGUAACUGGCUUUUUUAUAAUCAUCAAGUUCACAGUCACUUGAAUCAGAGGAGGAAGUGUUAUUCCGUACUUUGAACCUUUCCCCAUGAAGCAAUAGGUUGGAGCAAAGUCAUCAGCAUAGUCAUCAGUGUAGACAGCAUUUUCAUUUUCAUCAAAGUUGAAGAUUGACUUGCUGAUGAAUGUGGUAGUCAGUGCAAGACUUGCCGCACGAGACUCUGAGUCUUCUUCAGAACCUUCCUCUUCAUCACAUUCCUCUAAUUCUUCCUCAGAAUCCAUUUCCUUGCCAAUGAGUUCCCGAGCCUUUCUGAAACUAGUCGUCUUGUGCGAUGAGGACUUUGAGGAUGAGGAUUUUGAAGAUUUCUUCUUUUUCUUCUAGUCAUCAGAACUUUCAUCCUUGUAUUUCUUCUUCUUUCAUUCCUUCACCCAGCGAGGAAAAUUAGCAAUAUAGUGACCAGAUUUCUUCCAUUUAUGGCAACUUCUUUUCUUGUAGUCCUGAGAUGAAGAUUCUGAUUUUCUCAUAUCUCUUCUUGAAGAUUUACCAAACAGGCCACGCAUUGUAAACUUCUGGAAUUUCCUCACGAGCAUUGGAAGCUACUAUCCAAGUUCUUCAGGGUCACCAAUGUUGCAAUUUGAGUCUUCUUCUUCAGAUGAAGAAAUUGCUUUGGCCUUUAGCACACGAGGUCUUGAGUAGCUUGGUCCAUACAGAUCUCUCUUUUCAUCCUGUUGGAAUUCAUGAGUAUUUAGUAUUUCAAGUAUAUCAGUAGGAUCAAGCAUCUUAUAGUCUCCUCUUUCUAUAAUCAUCAGAACCAGUGUAUCAAAUGAUGGAUCAAGAGAUCUUAGCAGUCUCUUCACAACUUCAUGGUCAGUGAUGUCUCGAGCUCCGAGUGCUUGCAGUUCAUUUGAGAUGUCACUCAGGCUAUCAAAGGUAUCUUGGCAGCUUUUAUUAUCAAGCUUCUUGAAGCCAUUGAAGAGAUUGCGAAGAACAUCAACACGAGUGUCACGCUCAGUUGAAAUUCCUUCAUUGACUUUAGACAGCCUAUCCCAGAUAAGCUUAGUAGUGCCUAAAGCACUCACUCUGCCAUACUGGCCUUUGCUCAGAUGGCCAGGCUACCUCUUCAGCUUGCGUUGGUUUUUCCCUUGAAGAGGAAAGGGUGAUGCAACACAGUAGCAGUAAGUAUUUCCUUCAGUUUGAGAACCAAGGUGUCAAUCCUGUAGGAGUAUCAAGGCAAGUCUCCAAAGUACCUACGCAAAAACAAACAAACUUGCACCCAACGCUACAAAGGGGUUGUCAAUCCCUUCACGAUUGAUUGCCAGGUGAGAUCUGAAGGAGGAAAGUGCAACAAAGUGAAAGUGUAGAGCUGAAAAUAUGAAGUGAAGUAGACCCGGGGGCCAUAGUGUUCACUAUAGGCUUCUCUCAUGAUAGCAAGUAUUACGGUGGGUGAACAAAUUACUGACAAGCAAUUGAUAGAACCGCGCAAAUUUAUGAUGAUAUCUAAGGCAAUGAUCAUACAUAUAGGCAUCACGUCCGAGACAAGUAGACCGAUACUUUCUGCAUCUACUACUAUUACUCCACACAUCGACCGCUAUCCAGCAUGCAUCUAGUGUAUUGAGUUCAUAACAAACAGAGUAACGCCUUAAGCAAGAUGACAUGAUGUAGAGGGAUAAAUUCAUGCAAUAGAUAUAAACCCCAUCUUUUUACCCUUGAUGGCAACAACAUGAUACUUGCCUCGCUACCCCUUCGGUCACUGGGUGAGGACACCGCACGGUAUGAACCCAAAACCAAGCACUUCGCCCAUUGCAAGAAUUGUAGAUCAAGUUGGCCAAACGAAACCCACAACUCGAAGAGAAUUACAAGGAUACGAAAUCAUGCAUAUAAGAUAGAUCAGAGGAAACUCAAAUAACAUUCAUAGAUAAUCUGAUCAUAAAUCCACAAUUCAUCGGAUCUCGACAAACACAUCGCAAAAGAACAUUACAUCGGAUAGAUCUCCAUGAAGAUCAUGGAGAACUUUGUAUUGAAGAUCCAAGAGAAAGAAGAAGCCAUCUAGCUACUAGCUAUGGACCCGAAGGUGUGUGGUGAACUACUCGUGCAUCAUCAGAGAGGCAAUGGUGUUUAUGAAGAAGCCCUCCGUGUCCAAAUCCCCCUCCGACAGGGCACCAGAACGUGCUCCAGAUGGGAUCUUGCCAAGACAGAAGCUUGCGGCGGCGGAAAAGUAUUUUCGUGGUUUUCUCCCGUGGUUUCAGAUUUUUAGGGAAUUUAUAGGCGGAAGAAGUAGGGCAGGGGAGCCACAGGGGGCCCACAAGCCUGCUAGGCCCGCCCCCUCUAGGUUGGGCCUGGGUGGCUUGUUACCUUCUCCGAGGUCCCCUACCUUGGUUCUCAAGUUUCCUGCGUGUCUUCUGUUAUGGAAAAAAUCAUUCCGCAAUUUUUUUUCCGUUUGGACUCCGUUUAAUAUUCUCCUCUUAAAAAGGUCAAAAACACGGAAAAAACAGGAACUGGCACUUGGCACUGAGUUAAUAGGUUAGUCCCAAAAAAGGUAUAAAAUAGAAUAUUCGUGCAUACAAAACAUCCAAAGUUGACAAGAUAAUAGCAUGGAACCAUCAAAAAUUAUAGAUACGUUGGAGACGUAUCAAGCAUCCCCAAGCUUAACUCCUGCUCGUCCUCGAGUAGGAAAGUGAUAAAGAAUGAAUUUUUUAUGUGGAAUGCUACCUAAUCAUAUUUUUCCUUUGUAACUUCUUUUUCGUGGCAUGAAUGUUCAGAUCCGUAUGAUUCAAAACAAUAGUUUACUAUUGACAUGAAAACAAUAGUACUUCAAGCAUACUAGCAAAGUGAUCAUGAACUUUUGAAAUAACAAGGCCAAAGAAAGUUAUCCCUACAAAAUCAUAUAGUCUGGCUAUGCUCCAUCAUCCGCACACAACGAAUUUAAAUCAUGCACAACCCCGGUAUUGGCCAAGUAAUUGUUUUCGCACUCUUACUUUCUCAAACUUUUUCAACUCUCAUGCAAUACAUGAGCGUGAGCCAUGGAUAUAGCACUAUAGGUGGAAUAGACUGUGGUGGAGGUUGUGAGGCAAAAAGGAGGAGUUGCUCACAUCGACUCAGCGUAUUAAUGAGCUAUGGAGAUGCCCAUCAAUAGGUAUCAAUGUGAAUGAGUAGGGAUUACCAUGCAACGGAUGCAUGAGAGAUAUAAGUGCGUGAAAGCUCAAAAGGAGAACUAGUGGGUGUGCACCCAACUUGCUUGAUCAUGAAGACCUAGGGCAAUUUUGAGGAAGACCAUCAUUGGAAUAUACAAGGCAAGUUAUAUAAUGAAGAUUCCCACUAGUAUAUGGAAGUGUCAAAACAAGAGACUCUCUAUCAUGAAGAUCAUGGUGCUAUUUUGAUGCACAAGUGUGGAAAAAGAUACUAGCACUGUCCCUUCUCUCUUUUUCUCUCUUUCUUUCUUUUUUUGUUUGGGCUCUUUGGCCUCUUUUUUUCAUUUUUUGGUGGGCAUCUUUGGCCUCUCUUUUUUCCCUUUUUUCAUUUCUUCACAUGGGACAAUGCUCUAAUAAUGAUGAUCAUCACACUUUUAUUUACUCACAGUUCAACACUCAGAGCAAUGAUGACUCUAUAGGAAAUGCCUCCGGGAGUGUACUGGGAUGUGCAACGAUCUAGCUUAGCAUAUGACGUCAAAACAUCUCGCUAGCUAUCUUACGAUCAUGCAAUGGCAAUAUGAAAGUGACAGCACAAGUUAUGAGACAGAACGGUGGGAGUUGCAUGGCAAUAUAUCUCGGAAUGGCUAUGAAAAUGCCAUAGUAGGUAGGUAUGGUGGCUGUUUUGAGGAAGGUAUAUGGUGGGUUUGUGCACCGGCAAAAGUUGCACGGCACUAGAGAGGCUAGCAAUGGUGGAAGGUGAAAGUGCAUCUACACCAUCGACUCACGUUAGUCAUGAAGAACUCAUAUAAUUUUUGUGAAAGUUCUAUUAGUAAUCGAAACAGAGUGCUAAACGCAUACUCCUAGGGGAAGGGUUGGUAGGUUUUAACCAUCGCGCGAUCCCGACCGCAACACAAAGGAUGACAGUCAAUAAAUCAAUUAUGCUCCGACUUCCUAACAUCGCGGUUCACCAUACAUGCAUGCUACGGGAAUUACUAACUUCAACACAAGUAAUUCUAGAUUCACAACACCCUACUAACAUAAGUCUAAUAUCACCAAAUCCAUGUCUCAAAACUAAUUGAGAGGAAUCAGACUUCUCUUUACUAAUCAAUGCACAUGAAUAUGGAAGUUUUUAUUAUGUCCUCUUUGGAUGCCUGUCAUCUUUAGGACUCUUUCAUAGCACAAGCCAAUUACCAAGUUACUCAGAGAGAGCACUCUCAAAAAGAUAUAACUGAAGGUCGAGAGUUCUUAUUUCUCCAAAAUAUGACACCGCCGUGCUCUAAAAGGAUCUAAGUGAAGCACUAGAGCAAAGUUAUCUAGCUCAAAUGAUAUAAGUGAAGCUCAAUGAGUAUGCUAGCAAAUUCACGAUGAGUGCAUGUCUCUCUCAAAAGGGUGUGCAGCAAGGAUGAUUGUGACACAACAAAAGAAAAGACUCCUAUAAUACACGAUGCUCCAAGCAAAACACAUAUCAUGUGGUGAAUAAAAAUAUAGCUCCAAGUAAUGUUACCGAUGGAUUGAAGACAAAAGAGGCAAUACCUUCCCGGGGCAUCCCCAAGCUUAGGAUUUUUGGUGUCCUUGAAUUUUCUUGGGAUGCCUUGGGCAUCCCAAGCUUGAGCUCUUUCCACUCUUUAUCCCAUUUUCCAUGAGAACAUCACCCAACACUUGAAAACUUCACAACACAAAACUUAAACAGAAACUCGUGAUAUCAUUAGUAUAAGAAAACAAACCACCACCUCUUUAGGUACUUUAGCAAACUUGAUUUCUAGUUAUAUUGGUGUUAGAUUACUAUAUUCUCACUUUUCUAUGGCUAGUACCCCCCGACACUAUCCAUAGUUUCAUCAAAAUAAGCAAUCAACACAACAAAAACAGAAUCUGUCAAAGACAGACCAGUCUGUAGAAAUCUGUAUACUUCGUAUACUUAUGUUAUCCCAAAAAUUCUGAAAGCUUAUGACAAUGUGGGAAAUUUUCGUAUCAACCAGAAGCAAAAAAGAAUCACCAAAACUAGUCAUAAAGGUAUUACUUGGCUCAAACACAAAAAGAAACAUAAAAAAACAAUCAUAAAAGAAUUAUGAUGGUGUGGACACAACAAAACAGAAAGCAAAAAGCAAAGAUAAAUUCAUUGGGUUGCCACCCAACAAGCGCUAUUGUUUAACGCCCUUAGCUAGGCAUCGAUAAUUCAAUGAUGCUCACACAAAAGACAAUAAUUGAAGCACAACGAGAGCAUCAUAAAGCAUGUGAAAAUCACAUCUAAGUCUAACAUAAUUCCUAUUCAUAGGAAUUUUAUAGGAAAACAAAUUAUCAAGAAAAGCAAUAACGACCAUAUGCAUGGAAGAAGAAAGAGACAAUAGCAAUCUCAACAUAACGAGAGGUGAUUUAGUGAUAUGAAAGUUUCUACCACAAUAUUUUCCUCUCNNNNNNNNNNNNNNNNNNNNNNNNNNNNNNNNNNNNNNNNNNNNNNNNNNNNNNNNNNNNNNNNNNNNNNNNNNNNNNNNNNNNNNNNNNNNNNNNNNNNNNNNNNNNNNNNNNNNNNNNNNNNNNNNNNNNNNNNNNNNNNNNNNNNNNNNNNNNNNNNNNNNNNNNNNNNNNNNNNNNNNNNNNNNNNNNNNNNNNNNNNNNNNNNNNNNNNNNNNNNNNNNNNNNNNNNNNNNNNNNNNNNNNNNNNNNNNNNNNNNNNNNNNNNNNNNNNNNNNNNNNNNNNNNNNNNNCAACUAAAGUCAUGACUUCUCCAAACCCACUUUCAAUAUUAUUGCAAAUAUCAUAUUCAUCAUGAGGCUUAAUUUUUUUUCAAGAUCAUAAGAAAAAUCAUUACCCCAAUCAUUAUCAUUGCAACAAGUAGUGGACAUAGCGAAACUAGCAUCCCCAAGCUUAGGGUUUUGCAUAUUUUUAGCAUGAUUGACACUAAUAGGAUUUAUAGUGAACCCAUUGCAAUCAUGCUUUUCAUUCAAGGAGCCCUCGUGAAUCACUUCAUAAAUUUCUUCAUCACGAUUUUCCGAUUCACGCAUCUCAAGCAAAACUCCAUAGAGAAAGUCAAGUGCACUCAACUCACUAGCAAUCGGUUCAACAUAAUUGGAUCUCUUAAAGAGAUUAGCAAGUGGAUGAGGAUCCAUAUCAAUAGAUUUUCAGCAAGCGAAGAUGCAAGCAUAUUGAAGGAACAUAGCACACAAGCAAAGAAAAGACAUUUUUUUGUAAAUUUUGUUUUUUCAUAAGUGGGGGAGAGGAAAACGAGAGGCAAAAGGCAAAAAAAGUGAAUGCAAGAGAUGAGUUUGCGAAGGUUACUUGGAUAAGCUUCACUCAGUAUAGUCCCCGGUGCUAGAAAUUGACACGUUGAAGGGAUAGUAUUCUUGACUUGAUACUCCCCGGCAACGGCGCCAGAAAUUCUUCUUGCUACCUCUUGAGCUUGCGUUGGUUUUUACCUUGAAGAGGAAAGGGUGAUGCACCAGAGUAGUAGUAAGUAUUUCCCUCAGUUUGAGAACCAAGUUAUCAAUCCAGUAGAAGUACCAAGGCAAGUCUCCAAAGUACCUGCGCAAAAACAAACAAACUUGCACCCAACUCUACAAAGGGGUUGUAAAUCCCUUCACGAUUGAUUGCAAGGUGAGAUCUGAAGGCGGAAAGUGCAACAAAGUGAAAGUGUAGAGCUGAAAAUAUGAAGUGAAGUAGACCCGGGGGCCAUAGUGUUCACUAGAGGCUUCUCUCAUGAUAGCAAGUAUUACGGUGGGUGAACGUAUUACUGUCGAGCAAUUGAUAGAACCUCACAAAGUCAUGAUGAUAUCUAAGGCAAUGAUCAUACAUAUAGGCAUCACGUCCGACACAACUAGACCGAUAGUUUCUGCAUCUACUACUAUUACUCCACACAUCGACCGCUAUCCAGCAUGCAUCUAGUGUAUUGAGUUCAUAACAAACAGAGUAACGCCUUAAGAAAGAUGACAUGAUGUAGAGGGAUAAAUUCAUGCAAUAGAUAUAAACCCCAUCUUUUUACCCUUGAUGGCAACAACACGAUACAUGCCUCGCUACCCCUUCUGUCACUGGGUGAGGACACCACACGGUAUGAACUCAAAACCAAGCACUUCUCCCAUUGCAAGAAUUAUAGAUCAAGUUGGCCAAACGAAACCCACAACUCGAAGAGAAUUACAAGGAUACGAAAUCAUGCAUAUAAGAGAAAUCAGAGGAAACUCAAAUAACAUUCAUCGAUAAGAUGAUCAUAAAUCCACAAUUCAUUAGAUCUUGACAAACACACCACAAAAGAAGAUUACAUUGGAUAGAUCACUAAGAGCAUCAUGGAGAACUUUGUAUUGAAGAUCCAAGAGAGAGAAGAAGCCAUCUAGCUACUAGAUAUGGACCCGAAGGUAUGUGGUGAACUACUCACGCAUCAUCGGAGAGGCAAUGGUGUUGAUGAAGAAGCCCUCUGUGUUCGAAUCCCCCCUCAGGCAGGGCACCAGAACUUGACCCAGAUGGGAUCUUGCGGAGACAGAAGCUUGCGGCGGCUGAAAAGUAUUUUCAUGGCCCUCUCUCGUGGUUUCAGAUUUUUAGGUAAUUUAUAGGCGGAAGAAGUAGGGAAGGGGAGCCACAGGGGGCCCACAAGCCUGCUAGCCCCCCCCCCCAGGCCGGGCCUGGGUGGCUUGUGACCUCCUCCGAGGUCCCCUGCCUUGGUUCUCAAGUUUCCUGCGUGUCUUCUGUUAUGGAAAAAAUCAUCCCGCAGGUUUUUUGUCGUUUGGACUCCGUUUAAUAUUCUCCUUUGAAAAAGGUCAACAACACAGAAAAACAGGAACUGGCACUUGGCACUAAGUUAAUAGGUUAGUCCCAAAAAAUAUAUAAAAUAGCAUAUUCAUGCAUACAAAACAUCCAAAGUUGACAAGAUAAUAGCAUGGAACCAUCAAAAAUUAUAGAUACGUUGGAGACGUAUCAGGCCACAGAUAAUAUUCUUCGCUUGAGAAUCAAAUUGCUUGAAUUUCUUCACAUCAGCGGCAGAGAUAGUAGCAGUGAUGGAGGGAAUACGAUGUUCCACAAUGUACGAGAGAUCAUUGUCUAUAGCCUGGAGAUGUAACUGCAUCUUGGUCUUCCUGUUGGGAAAGUCCUUUCCUUCAAAGGUAGGACAUCCUGCAGUAACCAUACCUGCAGUUGACAUAACUAAAACUCCAGGUGGUUAAACCAAAAUCACACAGAACAAGGGAGUACCUUGCUCUGAUACCAAUUGAAAGUGCGUUAUAUCGACUAGAGGGGGGGGGGUGAAUAGGCAAUUUUUUGAAUUUGAUCUCUGAGGAAAUACCUUUUGAGGAAAUUCCUCACUAAUGAAUUACGUACAGUAGAAAUAGCAUAGGAUCAGAAGUGCAAAGACUGCUACAGCAGAUUACUUGGUGAAGAUUAUGAGAAUUGGUUUGCACAGUACGCAUGUAUAAAGAACACGAAUAAAGAUUAACUCAAGUGAAGAAUUUGAGGUUGAGGAUAUUCACGGAAAGUCAUCAUUUUUUUUUCAAACAACACAGAUGAAAGUCUUCAACAUACAAUUCUAAGGAAAUGAAAGAGUUGAAGAAAUAGAACCCCUUUCAUGAUGAAGACAGUUGUUGAUGACCCAGUUCAAACUGUUGUGAUAGUCGUACCUCUGGUUUGGAGCGUCUUGGUAUUGAAACCAAAGGACGCACAGUCCUGGGACACACAGUCCCUACCGUAUUCUCCUUGAGCUAAGGACACACAUUCCUCGCCCAACACUCGUUGUAAGUCUUCAGGGCAGACUUCCAAACCCUCUCAAACUUGGUCACCCGGUGAUCCACAAUUCACUGCUGGAUGCUCUAGACUAUGACACCUAACCGUCUGGAGGAUGCACAGUCCUCAAAGGUAAAAGGCUUCAGUUCCACACAGGAACAAAUUCUUCAGUGAUGCUCAGUCACUUGGUUUUUGGUUUGUGGUUUGGUGUUUGGGGUAUUUCCUCACUUGAUGAUUUACUCUCGAAGACUCUGAGGAAUUUGGGUUGCGCUAAAUGACAAGUGUCAGUUUCUCUCGGAGCAGCCAACCAGCUAGUAGUUGUGGGGCCGGCUAUUUAUAGCAUGGGAGCAUCCUCACAUGAUUUGACAUAAAUGCCCUUAAAUAAUGUGACCGUUGGGUGGAUAAGAUCAGUGAGGUGGCGCGUGUCGCGGCAAUGGUUGGAACUUUCAACUGUGAAUGUCCUCAUGUCUCUCAUAUUCCUCACUUGAGGCUUUGGUAGGUUUAGGCUUGGGUUGAGCAUCAUGAGGAAAUUCAUUACAUAGUAUUACUUCGACCCCCUUUAACAGUACAGUGUUCCUAUGACUCAAGAGUAAAGAAAAUGACACAGAAAGAGUAAAUCUUCAUGCUUCAAAUUCUCCAGACUUAUUUUCUUCAGGACACACCAACUCCUCAUCUUCAAUAUCUUCUUGAGGAAUAUCAAUUUCAUCACAAUUUCUUCACGAUCAAAGUCUUCAAAUUAAGACCAAUUCUUCAGCCGAAGACAUUCAUUUUUAGGGGUCGAUAUUCAUCGUACAACUCAAACUGCUUAGCGACUUAUAGAGCAUGUGUACACUUACAAACACAUUAGUUACUUAGCGUAGAAGUCUUCAAACCACAAAAAUCACUAAGGGCACUAGAUGCACUUACAGGUCUACACGCACACGCGUAAGUCAUUGGUAUCACGGCAAGGUACGCAAUGGAUCCUUCUCUACUGCCAUCCUCAUUUGUGAGCUACAAUAUUUUCUCAUGAUAAAAACUUCAAUAGUAACUCGAAGAAAAAAUAUAGUGUCAUGCUCAAACUUUUUUCUGGAUACCACCUUACGUAAACCGAACCUCGAUGUGAUAUCUGAUCUUUCGUUGUGGCCCGAUCUUUCAUGACACUCCACAACUAAAAGUAGCAACCUCUCCCCCACACAGGCGAUGUACAUGAAAUAGAGGGUUUGAUCCUUGCGGCUCAACACGAGGAAACCAAUCUCGAUGACACUACUCACGCGCAAAACAAUUUCUGUUAAUAAAUCACAAUAGAGAGGUUUUCUAAAGAUACCUCCAAAUCAUGAUACGAGUGUCUACCGUGAAAAUACAUUGUGUAUAUUUCAUAAAAAAUAACCUAUGUACAUUGGUCGUCGCGAGCCCCUUUUAUAAGCAACGCACAAAUAACAAAACUGACCUAAUUACUCUAGAUUGAAACAGACUCUCUCCCCCACCUAUUUAAACUAAUCAAAAAUUUAACUAAUAAAGUAUCUGUCAUCCUUCAUCACCUCGUACCGUAUAACAAUCCAAGACUCCUAAUUUUGCUCGGUGGGUCUUCUCCUUGGGAAGAUCGACCCCACCUGCACCCUCUCAAGCUUAGCAUGUCUCUAAUUCUGCAUGUACAUCUCAUGUAGUUGAUAGACCUUAACUUGUGUGGGAGUGGGAUAAAAAGGAAGAUAUCUCUUCUAUUUAUCUUAUUGACUGAUGCAAAUAAAUUAGAUGUGGCAUGAUUUCUCACAUUACCAUUGGUUGCCUUUUCUUACAAGUAAUUACUGCACGUUUGUAUUUCCUUGACAAACUGCUCCACGUCAAUAUUGCACGCACAUCUUCUGUCUUGAGUUGGUAAUUUACCUUGCGUGCAAAGUUGUCAGAAUCGCGACUCAAGUUUGGGAAUCUUUCGAUCUUACGGUCCAAACUAGGCUCUUUGAUUGUACGAUUUUGCUCAUGGAAUCUAACUUUCUGCGAUCCUGCUAGUUAUGAUUCUAUGAUUCACGAUCCUAGCAAUGGAGCUCCCAUCCGAUUUAGAAUAGCGAUUCUUGAAACUUUGCUUGCAUGCAAAUAUCCCCCUUCAAUACAUGGACGUCCAGCGAAUUCUUUUCCUUCUCCUUGGCAUAAUGAUCGAAUAAAGCAAUGUCUUGUUUUCUUGUAACAGGAAUAUUUCUUUUAACCCACUAACAUCUGCUAUUAUUUUGCGAUCAUCAACAACACUAACAUUAGUUGCGACCAUAUCAUCCUCUCCUCCUUGCAAUAAAACCAUCCUCGGUUUUGAAUCAAUCUCUUCAACAAUAUUAUUAUUUGAUGUUUGAACAAUACGUGGAGAAUUUCAAUAGCCUCUAUCUUCUUCUUCUUCACUUCUAAUAAACCUUGAGAAAUAUCCCUCUUCUUGCGAUCAACCAUAUAGUUCUCUGAUGAGUAUGAAUCAAGUGGUAUCCAUUGUCCUCCACGAACAAAAGAAAAUUGGGUAACCGAAUCAUAUGUCAAUUGUCCUAUAUCUGCCCAUGGUUUCCCUAGCAGUAUUGAACAUGUAUGCAUGUGAAUAGGACGCACAUCACACAUGACCAUGUCACCAUUACCACUUAGAAUAAAUCGUACCUUGACAGGAUGCAUGAUCUUGGCAAACUUUUCCUUGGACCAAAUCUUGUAUGGUUUUGAACGUUCAAUCAAUGGGAGGUUCAAAGCGCCAACCAUAGUCCGGCUCACUAAGUUCAUCCUAGAAUAGGAAUGCAUCAAGGUCGCACAACUUUUCAUCCCUACGGUUCUACCGCAAGGUACACAAUGGAUCGUUCUUGUGGGGCCUCAAAUCAUAAGUCGUGAUCACCGAAUGUACAUGCACAGUGAUUCCAGAUAUCAAUGGUCACUGAACACACAGAAACUGAAUAACAAGAGUCUUACUGUUGGGGAACGUAGUAAUUUCAAAAAAAUCCUACGCCACACAAGGAUCUAUCUAUGGAGAAACCAACAAUGAGCAAAGGAGUAGAGAAUCUUCGUACCUCUGAAGAUUGCUAAGCGGAAGCGUUCCUAGAACGCGGUUGAUGGAGUCGUACUCGUAAUGAUUCAGAUCGCGGUGGAUUCAGAUCUAUGCACCGAACAACGGCGCCUCCGCAUUCAACACACAUGCAGCCCGAUGACGUCUCGAACGCCUUGAUCUAGCAAGGAGGGAGGAGAUGUUUAGGGAGAGCUCCGGCAGCACGAUGGCGUGGUGACCGUGGAGCUACGUGAAACUCCGACAAGGCUUCGCCAAGCACUACGGAGGACGAGGAGGUGGAGGAGUAGGAAUGCGCCGAGAGAGAGAGAGCGAAGUUGUGUCUCAAAACAGACCCAAACCCUCCACUAUAUAUAGGAGGAGAGGGAGGCGGGUGCCCACCCUUAGGGUUUCCCACCCUAAGGGGUGCGGCAUCCCUAGAUGGGCAAGGAGGGUGGCGGCCAAGGGUGGAGGCGCCCAAGAGGGCCUUGAGGCCCAAGGCAGCCCCUCCACGCCUAUGGUUUGGCCCCCUCCACCCCUUGGUGCGCCUUGGGCCUUUAGUGGUGGCGGUCCAGCCCACCUCUGGGCUGGUUCCCAUCCACGUUUGGCCCAUGUAGUAGUUUGGGGCUGGUGGCCCUUCCCGGUGGUCCCAGUACAUUACCGGUGAUGCCCAAAACACUUCUGGCGAUCAAAUCCUCACUUCCUAUGUAGAAUCUUUACCUCCGGACCAUUCCGGAACUCCUCGUGACAUCUGCGAUAUCAUCUGGGACUCUGAACAACCUCCGGUAACCACGUAAUCGAACCUUAAGUGUGUAGACCCUACGGGUGCGGGAAGCAUGCAGACAUGACCAAGACACCUCUCCUGUCAAUAACCAACAGCGGGGUCUGGAUAUACAUGUUGGUUCCCACAUGUUCCACGAUGAUCUCAUCGGAUGAACCACGAUGUCGGGGAUUGAAGCAAUCCCUUAUGAAAAUCCGUUUGUCUACCGGUAUGAUACUUGCCAGAUAUUCGAUCGUCGGUAUCCCUAUACCUUAUUCAAUCUCGUUACCGGCAAGUCUCUUUACUCGUUCCGUAACACAUCAUCCUGUGGCUAACUCCUUAGUCACAUUAAGCUCAUUAUGAUGAUGGAUUAUCGAGUGGGCCAGACAUACGUCUCCGUCACACGGAGUGACAAAUCCAAGUCUCGAUUCGCACAACCCAACUGACACUUUCGGAGAUACCUGUAGAGCACCUUUAUAAUCACCCAGUUAAAUUGUGACGUUUGGUACACCCAAAGCACUCCUACAGUAUCCGGGAGUUGCACAAUCUCAUGGUCUAAGGAAACGAUACUUGACAUUACAAAGCUUUAGUAGACGAAAAAUAUGAUCUAGUGCUAUGCUUAGGAUGGGGUCUUGUCCAUCACAUCAUUCCCCAAUAAUGUGAUCCCGUUAUCAAUGACAUCCAAUGUCCAUAAUCAGGAAACCAUGAUCAUCUAUUGAUCAACGAGCUAGCUAACUAGAGGAUCACUAGGGACACAUUGUGAUCUAUAUAUUCACACAUGUAUUAUGGUUUCCGAUUAAUAGAAUUAUAGCAUGAAUAAUAGACAAUUAUAAUGAACUAGGAAAUAUAAUAAUAACCACUUUAUUAUUGCCUCUAGGGCAUAUUUCCAACAGCCUCCCAGUUGCACUAGAGUCAAUAAUCUAGUUACAUUGUGAUGAAUCGAACAUCCAUAGAGUUCUGGUGUUGAUCAUGUUUCACUCGUGGAAGUGGUUUAGUCAACGGAUCUGUGACAUUUGGAUGUGUAUGUACUUUACAAAUAUCUAUAUCUCCAUCCUGGAUGUGUCCACAAAUUUAGUUGAAGCGGCGCUUGAUGUGCUUGGUCUUCUUUUGAAACCUGGGCUCCUUUGCAAUAGCAAUAGCUCAAGUGUUGUCACAUAACAGAGUCAUCGGGCCCGACACACUGGGAAUCACUCCUAGGUCGGUGAUGAACUCCUUCAUCCAGACUCCUUCCUGUGCUGCUUCUGUAGCAGCUAUGUACUCCGCUUCACAAGUAGAUGCUGCCAUGACGCUUUGCUUGCAAGUGCACUAGCUAACUGCCCCAUUAUUCAAAUAUACACGUAUCAGGUUUGUGACUUGGAGUUAUCUGGAUUUGUGUCGAAGCUAGCAUUGACGUAACCCUUUACGACAAGCUCUUCGACACCUCCAUAAACGAGAAACAUAUCUUUAGUCCUUUUCAGGUACUUAACGAUGUUCUUGACCGCUGUCUAGUGAUCCACUCCUAGAUCACUUUGGUACCUCCCUACCAAACUUAUGGCAAGGUGCACAUAAGGUCUGGUACACAGCAUGCCAUACAUGAUGUAGCCUAUGGAUGAAGCAUAGGGGACGGUACUCAUCUUUUCUCUAUCUUCCGCCGUGGUCGGGAGUUGAGGCGUACUCAAGCUCACACCUUAUAAUACAGGCAAGAACCCCUUCUUGGCCUUAUCCAUAUUGAACUUCUUCAAUAUUUUGUCAAGGUAUGUGCUUUGUGAAAGACCUAUGGGGCGUCUCCAUCUAUCUCUCCAGAUCUUGAUGCCUAAUAUGUAAGCAGCUUCUCCAAGAUCCUUCAUUGAAAAACUCUUAUUCAAGUAGGCCUUGAUGUUUUCCAAUAGUUCUAUAUCAUUUCCCAUCAACAAUAUGUCAUCCACAUAUAAUAUGACAAAUGCUACACAACUCCCACUCACUUUCUUGUAAAUACAACCUUCUCCAUAAGUCUGUACACACCAAAAGUCUUUGAUCACCUCAUGAAAGCGAAUGUUCCAACUCCGAGAUGCUUGCACCAGCCCCUAGAUGGAGCUUUGGAGCUUGCAUACCUUGUUAGCAUUGCUAGGAUUGACAAAACCUUCCGAUUGUAUCAUAUACAAUUCUUCCUUAAGAAAGUCGUUCAUGACUGUCGUUUUGAUGUCCAUUUGCCAGAUUUCAUAAUCACAAAAUGCGGUAUUUGCUAACAUGAUUCGGACCGACUUUAGCAUCGCUAUGGGUGAGAAGGUCUCAUCGUAGUCAAUCCCUUGAACUUGUCGAUAACCCUUAGCAACAAGUCGAGCCUUAUAGAUGGUCACAUUACCAUCCGCGUCAGUCUUCUUCUUAAAGAUCCAUUUAUUUUCUAUGGCUCGCCGAUUGCUACGGUAACAAAAGUCCUUCCUUUUGUUCGCGUCGGUUUUUCCCUUGAAGAGGAAAGGGUGAUGCAGCACAGGAGCAGUAAGUAUUUCCCUCAGUUUGAGAACCAAGGUAUCAAUCCAGAAGGAGGUUCUCGUCAAGGCCAGUGUACCUGCGCAAACACAAACAAGCUUGCACCCAACGCAACAAAGGGGUUGUCAAUCCCUUCAAGAUUGUUUGCAAAAGUGAGAUCUGAAGGCGGAAAGUGCGACGAAGUAAAAAGUGUAAGGCUGAAAAUAUGGUGUGGAGUAGACCCGGAGGCCAUAGUGUUCACUAGAGGCUUCUCUCAAAAUAGCAAAUAUCAUCGUCAGUGAACAAAUUACUGUCGAGCAAUAGAUAGAACCGCGCAAAGUCAUGAUGAUAUCUAAGGCAAUGAUCAUACAUAUAGGAAUCACGUCCGAGACAAGUAGACCGAUACUUUCUGCAUCUACUACUAUUACUCCACACAUCGACCACUAUCCAGCAUGCAUCUAGUGUAUUGAGUUCAUGACGAACAGAGUAACGCCUUAAGCAAGAUGAAAUGAUCUAGAGGGAUAAUCUCAAACCAAUGAUGAAAACCCCAUCUUUUUACCCUUGAUGGCAACAACACGAUGCGUGCCUCGCUACCCUUUCUAUCACUGGGUGAGGUCACCGCACGGUAUGAACCCAAAACCAAGCACUUCUCCCACUGCAAGAAUCGUAGAUCUAGUUCACCAAACAAAACCCACAACUCGAAGAGAAUUACAAGGAUAUGAAAUCAUGCGUAAGAGAGAUCAUAAGAAACUCAAAUAAGAUUCAUAGAUAAUCUGAUUAUAAAUCCACAAUUCAUCGAAUCUCGACAAACACACCGCAAAAGAAGAUUACAUCAGAUAGAUCUCCAUGAAGAUCAUGGAGAACUUUGUAUUGAAGAUCCAAGAGAGAGAAGAAGCCAUCUAGUUACUAGCUAUGGACCCGUAGGUCUAUGGUGAACUACUCACGCAUCAUCGGAGAGGUCAUGGUGUUGAUGAAGAAGCCCUCCGUUUCCGAAUCCCCCCUCCGGCAGGGCACCAGAACGUGCCCCAGAUAGGAUCUUGCGGAGACAGAAGCUUGCGGCGGUGGAAAAGUGAUUUCGAUGAUCUCCUGAUUUUUUUUUGAUUUUGAGGGAAUAUAUAGGCGCAGCCCCUAGGUCAGAGGGCACCCAGGGGGCCCACAAGCUUGUGGGCCGCGGCUUCCCCCCUGGCCGGGUGGUGGGUGCUUGGGGGACCCCUGAGGCUCCCCUGCCUUGGCUCUCAAGCUUCCCGAUCUUCUUCUGUUACGGAAAAAAUAUUUUCAGGAUUUUCUUCCGUUUGGACUCUGUUUAAAAAUCUCCUCUAAAAGGGGUCAAAAACAUGGAAAAAAACAGGAACUGGCACUGAGUUCGUAAGUUAGUCCCAGAAAAUAUAUAAAAAGCAUGCAAAACAUCCAAAGUUUGACAAGAUAAUAGCAUGAAACCAUCAAAAAUUAUAGAUACGUUGGAGACGUAUCAAGCAUCCCCAAGCUUAACUCCUGCUCGUCCUCGAGUAGGGAAGUGAUAAAGAAUGAAUUUUUUAUGUGGAAUGCUACCUAGCAUAGUUGUCCUUUGCAGCUUCUUUCACGUGACACGAAUAUUCAGAUCCGUAAGAUUCGAAACAAUAGUUUGCUAUUGACAUGAAAACAGUAAUACUUCAAGCAAACUAGCAAGGUAAUCAUGAACUUUCAAAAGAACAAGGCCAAUGAAAGUUAUCCGUAUAAAAUCAUAUAGUCUGGCUAUGCUCCAUCAUCCUCACACAACUAAUGUAAAUCAUGCACAACCCCGGUAUUGGCCAAGUAAUUGUUUUCGCACUCUUACUUUCUAAAACUUUUAUAACUAUCACGCAAUACAUGAGCGCGAGCCAUGGAUAUAGCACUAUAGGUGGAAUAGAGUGUGGUGGUGGUUGUGAGACAAAAAUGAGGAGUGACAAAGCAAUGGAUAUAGCACUAUCAUUGGAAUAUACAAGCCAAGUUAUAUAAUGAAGAUUCCCACUAGAAUAUGGUAGUGACAAAGCAAGAAGCACUCAAUCAUGAAGAACAUGGUGCUAUUAUGAAGCACAAGUGUGGAAAAGGAUAGUAGCAUUGUCCCUUCUCUCUUUUUCUCUUUUUUAUAUUUGGGCUCAUAGGCCUCUUUUUUUCUUUUCUUUUUCUUUUCUUUUUGGGCUCUUUGGCCUAUUUUUUUAUUUCCUCACAUGGUACAAUGCUCUAAUAAUAAUGAUCAUCACACUUUUGUUUACUCAUAGCUCAAAGAUCACAAUGAUGAUGACUCCAUUGGAAAUGCCUCCGGCAGUGUACCGGGAUGUGCAACAAUCUAGCAUGGCAUAUGACGUUGAAACAUCUCACUAGCUAUCUUACGAUCAUGCAAUGGCAAUAUGAGAGUGACGGCACAAGUCAUGAGACGGAACGGUGGUAGUUGCAUGGCAAUAUAUCUCGGAAUGGCUAUGAAAAUGCCAUAGUAGGUAGGUAUGGUGGCUCUUUUGAGGAAGGAAUUUGGUGGGUUUGUGCACCGGCGAGACUUGCGCGGCACUAGAGAAGCUAGCAAUGGUGGAAGGUGAAAGUGCAUCUAAACCAUGGACUCACAUUAGUCAUGAAGAACUCACAUACUUGUUGGAAAAGUUUUUAUUAGUAAUCGAAACAAAGUGCUAAACGCAUACUCCGAGGGGAAAGGUUGGUAGGUGUUAACCAUCGGGCGAUCCCGACCUCAACACAAAGGAUGACAAUCAAUAGAUAAAUUAUGCUCCGACUUCCUAACAUAGCGGUUCACCAUACGUUCAUGCUACGGGAAUCACUAUCUUCAACACAAAUAUUUCUAUAUUCACAACACCCUACUAACAUAGCUCUUAAUAUUACCGAAUCCACGUCUCAAAACUAAUUGAGAGGAAUAAAGACUUCUCUUUCUACUAAAUGCACAUGAAGAUGGAGGUUUUUGCAUCUUCUUUGGGUGCCUAUCACAUUUGGGACUACUUUCAUAGCAUAAGCCAACUACCAAGUCACGCACCGCCGUGCUCUAAAAGAUAUAAGUGAAGCACAAGAGCAAAAGUAUCUAGCUCAAAAGAUAUAAGUGAAGCACUAUGAGCAUUCUAGCAAAAUCACGAUGAGUGCAUGUCUCUCUCUCUCAAAAGGUGUGCAGCAAGGAUGAUUGUGACACAACAAAAGGAAAAGACUCCUACGAUACAAGACGCUCCAAGCAAAACACAUAACAUGUGGUGAAUAAAAAUAUAGCUCCAAGUAAUGUUACCGAUGGAUUGAAAAAAGAGGGGAUGCCUUCCCCGGGCAUCUCCAAGCUUAGGAUUUUUGGUGUCCUUGAAUUUGGCUUGGGAUGCCUUGGGAAUCCCCAAGCUUGAGCUCUUUCCACUCCUUAUCUCUUUUUCCAUGAGAACAUCACCCAAAACUUGAGAACUUCACAACACAAAACUUAAACAGAAACUCAUGAUAACAUUAGCACAAGAAAAGAAACUACCACUUCUUUUGGUACUGUAGAAAACUUGAAUCCAUAUAUAUUGGUGUUGGGCUACUGUAUUCUCACUUUUCCAUGGCUAGUACCCCCCGAUACUAACCAUAGUUUCGUCAAAACAAGCAACCAACUCAACAAAAAACAGAAUCUGUCAAAAACAGACGAGUCUGUAGCAAUUUGUAUACUUAGUAUACUUGUGCUACCUAAACAAUUCUGAAAAAUUAUGAUGGCGUGGGAAAAAAGCAUAUCAACCAUCAGAAAAAAAGAAUCAACUCAAAAGAUUGUUCUUAAUAAAAACUAAAAAUCAUCUCGUGAGCGAAAAGUUUUUGUCUUUUUCCAGCAGGAUCAAACAACCAUUACCAAGACUAAUCAUAAAGGUUUUGCUUGGCUCAAACACAAAAGGAAACACAAAAAACACAAGCACAACAAAAUUAUGAUGGUGUGGACGCAACAAAACAGAAAGAAAAAAAGAUAAAUUCAUUGGGUUGCCUCCCAACAAGCGCUAUUGUUUAACGCCCUUAGCUAGGCAGUGAUAAUUCAAUGAUGCUCACACAAAAGAUAGCAAUCGGACACGAAGAGAGCAUCAUGAAACAUGUGAAAAUCACAUCUAAGUCUAACAUACUUCCUAUGCAUAGGCAUUUUAUAGGAAAACAGAUUGUCAAGACAACCAAUUGUUGCCAUAUGCAAGGAAGAAGAAAGAGACAAUAGCAAUCUCCACAUAACGAGAGGUAAUUUGGUAACAUGAAAGUUUCUACCACAAUAUUUUCCUCUCGCAUAGCAAUUACAUGUGGGAUCAUAGUCAAAUUCAACGAUAUAGCUAUCACAUAGGAUAUUCUUUUCAUGAUCCACAUGCAUGCAAAGUUGAAUGCUCUUCAAAAAUAGUGGGAUUAUCAUCAACUAAAGUCAUGACAUCUCUAAACCCACUUUCAAUAAUAUUGCAAAUAUCAUAUUUAUCAUGAUAAUUGCAACUAGUAGUGGACAUAGCAAAACUAGCAUCACCAAGCUUAGGGUUUUGCAUAUUUUUAGCAUGAUUGUCACUAAUAGAAUUUAUAGUGAAACCAUUGCAAUCAUGCUUUUCAUCCAAGGAGUCCUCGUGAAUCACUUCAUAAAUUUCGUCCUCACAAUUUUCAGAUUCACGCAUCUCAAGCAAAACUCUAUAAAGGUAGUCAAGUGAACUCAACUCACUAGCAAUUGGAUAAACAUAAUUGGAUCUCUUAAAGAUAUUACCAAGUGGAUGUGGAUCCAUAUCACUAGAUUUUCAGCAAGCGAAGAUGCAAGCAUAUUGAAGGCACAUGGCACACCAGCGAACAAAGAGCAAGCGAGAGAAAAGGGAGAACGAGAAAGGCAAACAAAAAAGGCAAACGAAAAAGGAAAAUUGGUGAAGUGGGGGAGAGGAAAACGGGAGGCAACUGACAAACAAAGUAAAUGCAAGAGAUGAGUUUGCGACACCUACUUGGAUGAGUUCUUGACUUGAUCUUCCUCCCCGGCAACGGCGCCAGAAAUUCUUCUGCUACGUUAACAAAAGUCCUUCCUUGGCGCUAGGAAUUCUUCUUGCUACUUCUCUUGUUCUCGUCAGUUUUUCCCUUGAAGAGGAAAGGGUGAUGUAGCACAGGAGCAGUAAGUAUUUCCCUGAGUUUGAGAACCAAGGUAUCAAUCCAGAAGCAGGGUCUCGUCAAGUCCAGAGUACCUGCGCAAACACAAACAAUCUUGCACCCAACGCUUCAAAGGGGUUGCCAAUCCCUUCAAGAUUGUUUGCAAAAGUGAGAUUUGAAGGCGGAAAGUGCAACGAAGUAAAAAGUGAAAGGCUGAAAAUAUGGUGUGGAGUAGACCCGGGGGCCAUAGUGUUCACUAGAGGCUUCUCUCAAAACAACAAAUAUCACGGUGGGUGAACAAAUUACUGUCGAGAAAUUGAUAGAACCGCACAAAGUCAUGACGAUAUCUAAGGAAAUGAUCAUACAUAUAGGCAUCACGUCUGAGACAAAUACACCGAUACUUUCUGCAUCUACUACUAUUACUCCACACAUCGACCGUUAUCCAGCAUGCAUCUAGUGUAUUGAGUUCAUGACGAACAGAGUAACGCCUUAAGCAAGAUGACAUGAUGUAGAGGGAUAUUCUCAAACCAAUGAUGAAAACCCCAUCUUUUUACCCUUGAUGGCAACAACAUGAUGCGUGCCUCGCUACCCCUUUUGUCACUGGGUGAGGUCACCACACGGUAUGACCCCAAAACCAAGCACUUCUCCCCUUGCAAGAAUCAUAGAUCUAGUUGGCCAAACAAAACCCACAACUCGAAGAGAAUUACAAGGAUAUGAAAUCAUGCAUAAGAUAGAUCAGAAGAAACUCAAAUAAGAUUCAAAGAUAAUCUGAUCAUAAAUCCGCAAUUCAUCGGAUCUCGACAAACACACCACAAAAGAAGAUUACAUCAGAUAGAUCUCCAUGAAGAUCAUGGAGAACUUUGUAUUGAAGAUCCAAGAGAGAGAAGAAGCCAUCUAGUUAAUAGCUAUGGACCCGUAGGUCUAUGGUGAACUAAUCACGCAUCAUCGGAGAGGUCAUGGUGUUGAUGAAGAAGCCCUUCGUAUCCGAAUCCCCCCUCCAGCAGGGCACCAGAACGUGCCCCAGAUGGGAUCUUGCGGAGACAGAAGCUUGCGGCGGCGGAAAAGUGAUUUCGAUGAUCUCCUGAUUUUUUUAGGAUUUUGAGGGAAUAUAUAGGCGCAACACCUAGGUCAGAGGGUGCCCAGGGGGCCCACAAGCCUGUGGGCCGCGGCCUACCCCCUGGCCACGGCGUGGGGGCUUGUGGGGCCCCUGAGGCUCCCAUGCCUUGGCUCUAAAGCUUCCCGAUCUUCUUCGAUUACGAAAAAAAACUUUUCGGGGAUUUUCUUCCGUUUGGACUGUGUUUCAAAAUCUCCUCUGAAAGGGGUCAAAAACAUGGAAAAAACAGGAACUGGCACUUGGCACUGAGUUAAUAAGUUAGUCCUAGAAAAUAUAUAAAAGGCAUGCAAAACAUCCAAAGUCAUGGAACCAUCAAAAAUUAUAGAUACGUUGGAGAUGUAUCACCGAUCAUCGGGCAAGUCCCCCAAAGUCCAUACUUUGUUCUCAUACGUGGAUCCUAUCUCAGAUUUCAUGGCCUCAAGCCAUUUGUUCGAAUCCAGGCCCGCCAUCGCUUCUUCAUAGUUUGAAGGUUCACUAUUGUCCAACAACAUGACUUCCAUGACAGGGUUGUCAUACCACUGGUGCGGAACAUACCCUUGUGGACCUUCGAGAUUCAAUAGCAAAUGGAUCUAAGGUUUCAUUAUCAUCAUCAUUAACUUCUUCUCUACCCGGUGCAGGCGCCUUAGAAACAUUUUCUUGUGCUGCGCUACUCUCUGGUUCAAGAGGAGGUACACUUACCUCAUCAAGUUCUAUUUUCCUCCCACUUACUUCUUUCGAGAGAAACUCUUUAUCUAGAAAGAAUCCGUUCUUGGCAACAAAGAUCUCGCCUUAGCAUCUUAGAUAGAAGGAGUACCCAAUAGUUUUCUUAGGGUAUCCUAUGAAGACGCAUUUUUCCGCUUUGGGUUUGAGCUUCUGUGGUUGAAGUUUCUUCACAUAAGCAUCGCAGCCCCAAACUUUGAGAAAUGAGAGCUUAGGUUUCUUGGCAAACCAUAAUUCAUACGGUAUCGUCUCAAUGGAUUUAGAUGGUGCCCUAUUUAAACUGAAUGCGGCAGUUUCCAAUGCAUUUCCCCGGAAUGAUAGAGGUAAAUCGGUAAGAGACAUCAUAGAUCGCACCAUAUCUAAUAAAGUGCGAUUACGACGUUCAGACGCACCGUUACACUGCGGUGUGCCAGGUGGCAUGAGUUGUGAAACAAUUCCACAUUUCCUUAGGUGCGCGCCAAACUCGUGACUCAAAUAUUCUCCUCCACGAUCAGAUCAUAGAAACUUUAUUUUCUUGUCACGUUGAUUCUCCACCUUACUCUGAAACUCCUUGAACCUUUCAAAGGUUUCAGACUUGUGCUUCAUUAAGUAGACAUACCCAUAUCUACUUAAAUCAUCAGUAAGGGUGAGAACAUAACGAUAGCCACCGCGAGCUUCAACACUCAUUGGACCGCAUACAUCGGUAUGUAUUAUUUCCAACAAGUCGGUUGCUCGCUCCAUUGUUCCGGAGAACGGAAUGUUGGUCAUCUUUCCCAUGAGUCAAGGUUCGCAUGUGUCAAAUGAUCCAAAAUCAAGUGAGUCCAAAAGUCCAUCUGUAUGGAGUUUCUUCAUGCGCUUUAUGUUGAUAUGACCAAGGCGGCAGUGCCACAAGUAUGUGGGACUAUCAUUAUCAACCUUCCAUCUUUUGGUACUCACACUACGACUAUGUGUAACAUCACGAUCGAGAUUUAUCAAGAAUAAACCAUUGACCAACGGGCAUGACCAUAAAACAUACCACUCAUAUAAAUAGAACAACCAUUAUUCUCAGAUUUAAAUAAGUAGCCAUCUUGCAUCAAGCGAGAUCCCGAUACAAUGUUCAUGCCCAAAGCUGGUUCUAAAUAACGAUUAUUAAGGUUUAAAACUAAUCCCGAAGGUAGAUGUAGAGGUAGCUUGCCGACGGCGAUCACAUCGACCAUGGAACCAUUCCCAACGCGCAUCUUCACCUCAUCCUUUGCCAGCCUACGCUUGUUCCGCUGUUCCUGUUUUGAGUUGCAAAUGUUACCAAAAGCACCAGUAUCAAAUACACAGGAGCUACUACGAGCGCAUAUACAUCUGACGUUGUUGGCCUUCUUGUCCGGUAAGUACUUAGGGCCAUUCCGCUUCCAGUGACAUGUUCCCUUGCAGUAAUAGCACUCAGUCUCACGCUUGGGUCCUUUCUUUGGCUUCUCCCCGGCAACUGGUUUAUCGAGCGCGGCAACUGCUUUGUCGUCUUUCUUGAAGUUCUUCUUAACCUUUCCCUUGUUGAAACUGGUGGUCUUAUUGACCAUCAACACUUGAUGUUCUUUCUUGAUUUCUACCUCUGCAGAUUACAGCAUUGAAUACAACUCCGGAAUAGUAUUUUCCAUCCCUUGCAUGUUGUAAUUCAUCACAAAGCCUUUAUAGCUAGGUGGUUGCGACUCGAGGAUUCUUUCAAUGACCGCAUCAUCCGGAAGUUCAACUCCCAACUGAGUCAAGCAGUUGUGCAACCCACACAUUCUGAGUAUGUGCUCAUUGACAGAACUAUUCUCCUCCAUCUUACAACUAAAGACCUUCUCAGAGACUUCAUAUCUCUCGACCCGGGCAUGAGCUUGAAAAACAAGUUUUAGCCCCUCGAACAUCUCAUAUGCUCUGUGUUGCUCAAAACGCCUUCGGAGCCCCGGUUCUAAACUGCAAAGCAUGCCGCACUGAACCAGAGAGUAGUCAUCACUCCGCGACUGCCAGGCGUUCCUUACGUCCUAGGUUGCCGCGGGAAUGGGAGGAUCACCUAGCGGUGCACUAAGGACAUAUGCCUUCUUGGAAGCACUGAGGAUGAGCUUUAAGUUACGAGCCCAAGCCGCAUAGUUGCUCCCAUCAUCUUUCAGCUUGGUUUUCUCUAGGAACGCGUUGAAGUUGAAUGAGACAUUUGCGUUGGCCAUUGGAUCUAUAAUAUUUAUAAAGACAAUUUUAGAGUAAGUUCAUGAUAAUUAAGUUCAUCUAAUAAAAUUACUAAUGAACUCCCACUUAGAUCGACAUCCCUCUAGUCAUCCAAGUGUUACAUGAUCCACAUUGACUAGCCCGUGUCCGAUCAUCACGUGAGGCGUACUAGUCAUCGAUGGUAGGCAUCUCCAUGCCAAUCGUAUCAACCAUACGACUCAUGUUCGACCUUUCGGUCUCCCGUAUUCGAGGCCAUGAAUGUACAUGCUAGGCUCGUUGAGUCAACCUAAGUGUUUUGCGUGUGUAAACUGGCUUACACCCGUUGUAUGCGAACGAUAGAAUCUAUCACACCCGAUCAUCACGUGGUGCUUCGAGACAACUUUGCAACGGUGCACACUUAGGGGAAUACAUAUCUUGAAAUUUUAAUGUGGGAUCAUCUUAUCUUUGCUACCGUCGUUCUAAGCAAUAAGAUGAAAACAUGAUAAACAUCAGAUGCAAUCAUAUAGUGACAUGAUAUGGCCAAUGUCAUCUUGCUGCUUUGAUCUUCAUCUUCGGGGCACCAUGCUCAUCAUUGUCGCCGACAUGACACCAUGAUCUGCAUCAUCAUGAUCUCCAUCAUUGUGUCUCCGUGAAGUCGUCACGCCAACUAUUACUUCUACUACUAUAGCUAAUGUUUAGGAAUAAAGUAAAGUAAUCACAUGGCGUUGCAUCUCAUACAAUAAAUUAAGACAAUUGCUAUGGCUCCUGCCGGUUGUCAUGCUCAUCGACAUGCAACUCGUGAAUCCUAUUACAAGAACAUGAUCAAUCUCAUAAAUCACAUAUGUAACAUCACAUCCUUUUGGCCAUAACACAUCACAUACCAUACCCUGCAAACACAAGUUAGACGUCCUCUAAUUGUUGUUGCAAGUUUUACGUGGCUGGUUAGGGUUUCUAGCAAGAACGCUUCUUACCUAUGUGACAGCCACAACGUUGAUAUGCCAAUGCUAUUGACCCUUCAUAAGGACCCUCUUCAUCGAAUCUGAUCUGACUAAAGUGGGAGAGAUAGACACCCGCUAGCCACCUUAUGCAACAAGUGCAUAUCGGUCGGUGGAACCAGUCUCACGUAAGAGUAGGUGUAAAGUCGAUUUGGGCCGCUUCAUCCCACGAUGUCACCGAAUCAGCGCCCACAACUUUUGUGUUCUACUCUUGCAUAGAAUCUAUGCAUAGAACCUUGGCUCGGAUGCCACUGUUGGGGAACAUAGUAACUUCAAAAAAAUUCCUACGCCACACAAGGAUCUAUCAAUGGAGAAACGAGCAACGAGCAAAGGAGUAGAGCAUAUUCAUACCUCUGAAGAUCGCUAAGCGGAAGCAUUGCUAGAACGCGGUUGACGGAAUCGUACUCGCAGUGAUUCAGAUCACGGUGGAUUCCGAUCUAUGCGCCGAACAACAGCGUCUGCGUGUUCAACACACGUGCAGCCCGGUGACGUCUCCAACUCCUUGAUCUAGCAAGGAGGGAGGAGAGGUUGAGGGAGAGCUCCGGCAGCACGACAUUGUGGCGACGGUAGAACUACGUGGCACUCCGACAUGGCUUCGCCAAGCAGUACGGAGAACGAGGAGGUGGAGGAGUAGGGCUGCGCUAAGAGAGAGAGAAGUUGUGUCUCAAAACAGCCCCAAACCCUCCACUAUAUAUAGGAGAAGAGGGAGGAGGGUGCCCAGCUGUCGUAGUUUUGUCACGACAGAUGUCCUCGUGAAAGGACUUAGUGAUGGAGCCAUCGCACCUUGGUGGCGACUCAAAGGGGGUGAGCGGAAGCAAGACGGAGGUUUACCCAGGUUCGGCCCCUCCUAUGGAGCUAAAAUCUUACGUCCUUCUUUGUGUAUAUUGAUGGUGGAUUCGAUUACAAGGAGGGCAUAACUCUCUUGACCUAGCUCUCGAUGGAUUCUAACUUAACCUAUCUGCCCUAGAGACUCCCCUUUAUAUAGAGGUCGAGGCCCUAGGGUUUACAAAGUCCUGGCCACAUUACAAAUCGUGGCUUUCCAUAUCUCUAAGCCGACGUGUCUUCCAAGCUAGGAAAUCUCCUCGGCGACUUAUCUUCUCCGUUAAUCUUGAACCGCCAUCGAGGCUCAUGGGCCCUGGCGAGCUUUACGUUGAAGUUCUCCUGAUGCAUCUCAAAUCCUGGGCCAAGGCCUAUCUUUGAUCAUGAAUGUUGAAUUGCCGCUUACCUGAUCCGAACUAAUAGGGCGGGUCAUACCGCAGGUAAUAUCCCCAACAUUAGGCCCCAGAUUGAGUUGAAUUUAUUCACGCCAAUAAACCUUCAUGUUUGUCUAUGGUUAUUCACACACGAUCUCUCACCUUUUUUCUUCAACGAGUAACGAGCCGUCAAUCACUACUGAAAUUCAGAAAUUUGCUGUCCGCCACGGCAUACGGCAAAGGGGGCUACCACGGACGGCAAAGGCUUUGCCGUCGGUCAGCAGACGGCAAACUAGAUGGUAAAAAAAAAUCCGGUGAAGAGGUUCUUUGCCGUCUGCUUUUGUAAAGCGGACGGCAAAGAUUCUUUGCCAUGAGGGGGCAGACGGCAAAUUAACUGGGACAACACAUAGUGCAACGUCCCCGUUAAGUGUUAACGCCAGGCGUCCUCUCUUUGGCGUCUGUUGGCCCCCCCCCUUUGCCAUGUGGGGGCAGACGACAAAGAGGGGAGAGGGAGGGGGCUGAUUCCCCCCUUUGCCGUCUGCCCGCCCCCCCAUGCCAUGUGGGGGCAGACNGAGAGAGAGAGAGGGCAGGGCUAGAGAGAGAGAGCGGGCAGUGGGCGCGAGAGCCGUUAGCGGAUGGGGUGGGGGGCUAUGCACCGUUAGAGAGGGAGCCCCCUUUGCCAUCUGCAAAGGCUGGGUGGCACACGGCAAAGGNNNNNNNNNNNNNNNNNNNNNNNNNNNNNNNNNNNNNNNNNNNNNNNNNNNNNNNNNNNNNNNNNNNNNNNNNNNNNNNNNNNNNNNNNNNNNNNNNNNNNNNNNNNNNNNNNNNNNNNNNNNNNNNNNNNNNNNNNNNNNNNNNNNNNNNNNNNNNNNNNNNNNNNNNNNNNNNNNNNNNNNNNNNNNNNNNNNNNNNNNNNNCCCCCUUUGCCGUCUGCCUUCCCUUUGUCGUCCGCAUGUGGUUCCUUUGUCGUUCGCUGGCCGACGGCAAAGGGAAGACCGACGCCAAAGAAAGCUUUUGCCUUAGGUGUUGUCUUUGCCGUCUGCUUUGUACCAGCUGAUGGCAAAGAAGCUCUUUGCCAUGUGUCAGCAGACGGAAAGGCAAAGCCAGACGGCAAAUUUAUAGUGAAUCUUCAUAAAUCGCCUCAGUCGCCAGGUCUUUAUUGAUGAAGUCAUCUUCUCCACUAUUUCAUGGAUCUUGAUGACAUCACUUCCAACGGAUCUUUUGUCUUAUCCUGUCAUCACGAGAAUCUAGGCGCCAUAAUUUCCGGUUUUCAAUGUGCCUCCUUGACUCCCGCGCCUGCCAUUUCGAUUUCUGCCCUAGGUCUUUAAAUAGCCGCACGGGGGAGAGGAGCAUUCCCACCUACCUCUAUUCCAUCGCCUCCACUACGUCUUGUUCCUCAAGCUCGCGUUACAAACACCGUGCCACCACCGAACCUCUGUUUCGGACCGGCUGCUUUUUGGGCUGAUCCAGGGAGUGGUCAUUGGGGCAAACCUCCGCGGCCUGCUUCCGUCAUCGCCUUCCCUCAUCAAGUAACUCUUUCUUCUCCAAUAGAUCUAAAUCUCGAACCUCCCUAGUUCUUGGAGUAGCACCGGAACUCCAUGAGCGUUGGCUCAUCACGCCAUCGACCCGUAUAGGUACGGGCUUUAGAUCCUUCUUCUUAGCAAUGAACUGCGGUAUUCCCGUCAACAAUCCUUAGUAAAUAUCUUGUUCCCCCCAUUGUUCCACAGGACCACCACACUGCUCCAAAGUGUCCCCGUGUUCUUAGCACUUUUAUUUCGGCAAGUUUAUUUUCCUCGAUAGAAUAACCCGUAGAUCCGUAUACCUUUGUCUUGGCAUUAGAAACGUUUUUGCCCUUGAUUAGAAAUAUUCUAAGGGAACUUUUUACAAUUGCAACCCUCCCUCAAUGCCGUGGCGAGUCACAAUUUCCCUUUAGACAUGAUCUCCGUUGUUGGCCGGCAAGUUACCAUUUAGUACGUCAUGAUGACCCACCAAUCCUUCUUAUGCAGAUCUCCGUCCCCCUCCUUUCAUGCUUGCAGUCAUGGGUUCCAUCUCUAAGUGCAACUGGUUGCCAAAAGAAGUUUAUGAUGCCUAUCUUGCGAAUUUUGUGAAAGUUGGCAAUCUUGCACCCAAAGAAAAGAUCGGCUGGCGAACCGCCCUAGGAAAGCAACGUUCGCAACCCAGCGAAGGGGAAGUAGUCGUUUUUGCUGAUCAUCUUGAGCGAGGCUUCACACCGCCCGGCUCAAAGUUUUUCAGGGACGCCUUGCAUUUCUUAAAACUCCAUCCCCAAGACUUAGGGCCAAACUCCAUCAGCAACCUUUGCUAAUUCCAAGUGUUCUGCGAGUCUUACCUGCAAAUAGAGCCUACCGUAAUUUUGUUCAUGAAGUUCUUUUAUCUGAACCGCCAAACAGAGUUUGCCAACAGGCCCUGCCUAGAGCUUGGGGGAGUCAACAUCCAGCAACGACGAGAAUGCUGGUUCCUGGCUAUUAUAUUGCCCAGACAUCCCAAGGGUUGGGCAAAAACUUGGUUUUACUGCCGCGACACUUCUCCACCCAACGAGAACCCCUUAGCAAGUUUCAGGGAGGAAUGUCUGCCCAAGGAUUUCAAGUUCCCUGAAAAGCUAACCGAAGAAGAAGAAGCUUCAUUUGUCUCUGUCUUUGCAAAGCUCACGGAACUUACCGUCAAUGGUCUUACCGGGAUCGAUCUGAUCUGCUUUUUGGUGGAGUGGAGAAUCAUGCCUUUGAGCUGCCAGAACGGCUUAAUGUGUGAAUUCAAUGGCCACUUAAACCACCCUCAAUGCUUUUAUAACGUGAGGCUUGAAGAAGAAGAUAUUGUUGAAAUUGUGAAGAGGCUAAGUGGCGAGCCUGUUGAGACCUGCUCCAAAAUCGGCCUAAAACCUUUCUGUGUUUCUAACCCGUCUCUAGAGGUAAAACAUAUCAACUCGCCCUUCUAGCUUUUUAAUAUACUCACGCUUGUUUCUGAUCUGGGCUUUAAUUAUGUCAAUCAGAGGGGUUCGACCUUCUAGAACCGAAGGCCCAAGACAGUUGUCAAGAAAAUGACCAAACCCGCCCCGAAGAAAAAGAAAAACAAAGGCAAGGCCACUGCAAAUGAGUCAUCCGUUGUGGGCGAGUCUUGGGUCGCCGAAGAACAAUCAGAGGUAAAUGCUCUUUGUCUUUAUUGCUUUAAUCUAACUUGUACUCAUGCUUUGCUGCUUAUAUUUAUAGGAUGAUGAGUUUGAAAGCCAAGAUGAAGAUGUCGAGGUAAUUUCCAUUUCUUCCGACUCAAACUCUUCUCCUCCCAAGCCGGCAAGGCAAAUCUGUAGGAAAGUUCCCCUGUCUCACCGGGAUGCUUAUCUGGAUCCCAAUUUCCUUUUGAAGAAGGCGAGUUUUACGCCCAAGUGUCAUACUCGAAGUCAUUCUGGAUACCUUUUGUCCGGCUUGCCCGAUAAAACGGCUGGUCGCAAGCGACAGAGCGAGGUACAUUUUUAUUAAGCAUCCUUUCCUCCUGUGCAAACCAUUCUCGCAAUUUACCCAUUCUUUCAAUCCUACAUCCAACAGGUUUCACCUCCUUCAUCUGGCGACUUAGCUGCCUCAGCUCUUCCCCCAUUGAUCUUCCUUCAGGGGUAAGUUCCUUCAUUAAAAUGUUUCCUUUGGAUGUCAAUGUUUCUAUUUUAACAUUUGUGCCACCAUUCCGUAGGGCUCAAGCAAAAAAGAGGAAAACCGGCGAGUCAUCUUCUGCUCCCAAGGCGCCUAAAAUAUUUGGAAUGAGUACCUCCAUCCCAGAAGAUCAAUAGGAACGAGCUGAAAAUCAUGUCGAGGCCUUUGAUGAUUUUCCUGACAUCCCGGGACAAGCUUCCAAGUCCUCAAUAGGAUUUAACUCAAGAGCUCAACCUGCCUGGUUCUCAUAAGGUGGCUGAAGAUAUGAUACCUGACCCGGAUGCAGUUGUCGUAACUGGUACUGGUUAUUCUAAGCCUGCAACUGCGAUUAUAACCAAGCAUGCAUCCAAACACGCCUUAGUCUUUGUAGAUAAAGACAUCACAAAACUGAAGCUUCCCAAUUAUGAGAAAUUGGAGUUUGAUGAACUAUACUCUGGUUUUGUGAGUCGCCUGGAGAUGAGCCACGGAAUGGAAAAAAGCUUGGUUAACAUGAUGCGAAGAAAACAUGAGGUAUGAUACAUGUUAACCUUCUUGACAUGUCCUCCCAAUAGCCCUCCAAAGGGCGAGUCAUCCAUGACGAAUCAUUCUUUGUGUAAUAUUCCAACGUGUAGCCCCCAAGGGUCGGGUCAUCCUAUUUCUUUUUUCAAGAUGAUCCGGGUCUUUAAUUUAUACUUGAAGAAGAGCUUCGACCUAUAGCCCCCAAGGGCUGGGUCAUAUUUUUGAAAUAUGAGUCGGGACUUUAGUUUAUACUUGAAGAAAAGCUUCAACCUGUAGCCCCCAAGGGUCGGGUCAAAUUUUUGAAAGAUGAGUCGGGUCUUUACUAUAUACUUAAGAAAAGCUUCAACUUGUAGCCCCCAAGGGCUGGGUUAUCUUUUGUAAAGAUGAGUCGGGUCUUGCUUGAAGGUAUUACCUUACAAAAAAUGAAUCAUACAUUAGCCCCCCAAGUGUUAGGGAUGUUGCUUGCAAUGGUCCUGAAACUUGCUUUCCCUGAUGUUUUUGUAGGAAUCAUUGACUCAGGCCGACUCAACUGUGGUCGGCUUGAAACAAAGCCUGGCUGAACAGCAGGAUGCUCGAGCUAAAUUCGAAGAGAGGCUUUUCCUUGCACUGUGUGACAUGGUAAAAAUGAAGGCAGAGCACAAAGAGUUUGAAAACAAGGCCCACACUAAGCAAGCUGCCUUCCUAAAAAGGGCGGAACAUGCCAAAGAAAAAAUGAAUGUCGCCAUGCAAGAGGUGUCCAGAUUAAAACAUCAUAUCUCAAAGAUGGCCCAUGUUGUGUUCGGUAAGUAUCGAUUAUUCGCUUCUAAAGACGUGUUGUACGACCUUCCGGCGACUUAUGAUGGUGCCUCUUUACUGCAGGUCCUCGAGCCGCCACUCUUCAUAAUGAUUUCAUUUUGAAGUUGAAGGCAAUAUAUACUUUGAAGGAGCAGCUGUACACUGGUGGCGUGAUUACUAUGAAGGUCUUUAUGGGUAACAAAGAGCCAAUAACAUCCAUCAAGCAUAUGUUGGGCUGUUUGUCCAUGCUGCCACCCCAGAUGGAGAAGCUGAAGAGGUCAGCCGCCCGCAAAGGAGAACUAACCGCCUUAAGCCGGUGCUUGGCCUAUGCUCUAGAUCUUAAGCCGAAAGAAAUAACUAGGGGAUUUCCAAAGCUGAAAGACGACGGGUCAGAGUUUACCGAAGAGGAUUACCAUCGCUGUCUAAAAGAAUCUCACUUCGAGGCGCCUCAACUGGCAGCCGACCUGUAUUUAGGCAAAUAUCAGGCGGCUUAUGAUGAGCACAGCAAACGGGUUACUCCUCCUUCAUAUGAAAUCACCGUCCUGACCCCGCAGCGCCGUAAGCAUCCUUUUGACUCCGAUGCCGAUCUAUCCACCAUCUUGACUGAAGAGGACGAGUUCCAUGCCUUGACCAAUUGCAAUUGGAAAUUCGGCGACUUACAGAUCCAAGAUGGCAAAAGCUCGAGGCAGGAUAAUUCGGAGGUGGCUUGAGUCAGGAGUGACGUGAAGAUCAGCCGCGGAAUUUAGUUUGAUUAUCCAAGGCCGGGUUAUGUCACCUGAUAUGGCCUUCUGAGCCAUGUAAUAGGCUAGAGAUUGAAACAAUAUUAUGAUAUAACGGUACCUUGUGCUGACUUUAAAGUCUCACCCUUUCAUUAAUAUGAAUCGCCUUGCUGGGUGCUUUUGCCAGGUCUGAUAGAUAAUACGUUUCAAUGUUUAUCAGAGAAGAAAAGAUAAGCCGGCUCAAUGAGUCGCUGCGGUUUAGAACGGAGUUUUUAUGAAAGUCUUUGGCUAUGCUACAAAGAUACUUUGUAGUCAUAAAGGUUGCCGGCUCAAUGACUCACGACAGGGUAGGACGAGUUUGCAAGAGUCUAGUGCUACCCCAGGAAGGCUUUUGCAACAACCUGAGUUGUUUAGACCGGUUGAUCACGUGCGAGUCAAGCUUCAGUGAAGCAGGUUCAGUGAACCCAUGGUUUGUCUAUUUUUCAUAUGUCGGCUCCCGCUAGCACCCUUCAUGUUUUAACCUAGGCAUGUCUAGGGUCCAAAAAGUGGAUUGACACGCCAAGAGUACAUGGGACCAUAGGGCGAGUCGCCAAACACACAGUCCAGUAUAACCAUUGUAAUGCGUUAAUUUUUCGCUAGCCAAGAGUGUAUUGAGGUGAACUUAAUGGGAAGAAGCCCUCAUGUGUCCUACGAUUAGGGAAAAGCCAGACAUAGGAUUAUAGAAGCGUUUACGCUCUUACUACAAAAUGACUUGGGAGCUAGUAGCCCCCAAGUAAGCCGGCUUAAUUCUCAAAACCAUAUAGGGUGCCUAUGUUUGAACCGUGCAACAUGGCAACUUUGGUUCUCUUUGGCGUACCAUCACCCAGUUUUGAAAUAAGCGCAGCAUGGCGAAUUUUGCUCUUUGAUGCUGAUAGCGUCCAUGCUUGGACGACUUAUUAAACAAUAAAGACUCAUGCUCUCAAGAAGCUGAAACGGAAGAGACCCGGAAGUUCGUGGGCGCCGGCUUUAUUGCUUUAUAUAUAUAGAAGGAGAUUACAAUGACUAAAUUUUGUACACAGAUAAGGAGCCAGGGCCUCUAAGUAUAGUAAGGUGGUAAGUGGGCAAUGUUCCAAGCCCGGGUUGUUUCAAUCUCUGUUGUUGACCUAUCUGGGCGAAGAUCCAUCAGGUAGUAGGAACCAUUGUGAAGACUCUUGCUGACAAAAAAAGGUCCUUCGCACGGAGGGGAUAACUUAUGCAUACGAGUAUGAUCCUGAAUCAACUGGAGCACUAAGUCGCCCUACUGAAUGACUCGGCUUUUGACUCGGCGGCUAUGAUAGCGUCGCAAGUCUUGUUGGUAAAUCGCUGAUCAUGAUGAUACCGAGUCGCGUUCCUCCUCCAAGGCAUCCAACGAAUCUUGACGCGCAAGCUCGUUGUCUUUCUCUACAUAAGUGGCGACUCAUGGUGAGUCGUGUCUGAUGUCACUUGGUAACACCGCCUCAGCUCCAUAGACCAAGAAAAAGGGCGUGUAACCAUUAGAUCAAUUAGGGGUGGUCCUCAUGCUCCAUAAAAACCGAAGGCAACUCUUCAACCCAACAUCCCGGAGUAUGUUGCAAAGGCAUCAUAAGUCGGGGCUUGAUUCCCCGCAAAAUUUAUAGAUUCGCCCUCUCCACCUGUCCGUUAUUUUGGGGGUGUGCAACUGCAAAGACAUCAAGCCGGAUGUGAUCUUUCUUGCAAAAUUCUUGCAUGGCGACUUUGGAUAGAUUAGUACCAUUAUCAGUAAUAAUACUAUGAGCAUACCUGAAGCAAAAAAUCAACUUCUUGAGGAACUUGAUGGCCGUGUCUGCAUCGCAACUACUAAUCGGCUCUGCUUCAACCCACUUGGUAAACUUGUCAACCACCACCAAUAGGUGAGUCUUUUUGUUAGAUGACAUCUUGAAGGGGGCAACCAUGUCCAUUUCCCAAACCGCAAAAGGCCAUGUAAUUGGUAUCAUCCGCAGUUCCUGAGCCGACACAUGCAUGUGACGCCCAAAUUUUUGGCAUCCAUCACAUCUGCGCACUAUGUCCUCAGCAUGUGCAUGAGCUGUCAACCAGUAAAAUCCAUGCUAAAGGCUUUGGAUACCAAAGAGGGCGACCCGGCAUGAUGACCACAAUCACCUACGUGAAUGUCGUUAAGAAUCGCAGACCCUUCUUCAAACGAGAUGCACCUUUGAAAGAUUCCAGAAGUGCUUCGCUUGUGCAACUCACCUUUAUGUAUAACCAUGUAUUUGCAUCGCCGGAUAAUUUGGCGGGCCAUCAACUCAUUAGGAGGUAACUCGCCUCAUGCCAGAUAUGCCAUGUAAGGAACCGCCCAAUCCGGAGUGGUACAGAGAGUCGCCACAAGUUGAGACUCGGGGUCGGGAACCGUUAUGUCCUCCUCCGAAGGCAAUUUCACCGACGGGUUAUGCAAAAUAUCCAAAAAGAUGUUAGGGCAACCGGCUUAUGUUGCGACCCAAGUCAUGAAAGAGCAUCAACUGCCUCAUUGAUUAGACGAUCAAUAUGAUCAACUUGAUAACCAUGAAAGUGACCCACCACGUCUCACACGGCAUGCCUGUAAGCCGCCAUCAAAGGAUCUCUCGAAUCCCACGUGCUAGAGACUUGCUGUGCCACCAGAUCUGAGUCGCCCAAGCAUUUGACUCGACUGAGAUUCAUCUCUUUGGAAAUUCUAAGCCCAUGGAGCAAAGAUUUGUAUUCCGGUGCAUUGUUAGUACACGGGAACAUGAUUCGGAGGACAUAGCAAAACUUGUCACCCUGAGGUGAAGUUAAUACCAUGCCAGCCCCCGAGCCUUCCAGCUGCCUAGACCCGUCAAAAUGGAUAGUCCAAUACGUGUGGUCAGGUCUAUCUUCGGGAAUUUGCAGCUCGGUCCAGUCGUUGAUGAAGUCCACUAAGGACUGAGACUUGAUGGCCGUGCGGGGUGUAUAUUUCACAUGAUGGGGACCAAGCUGAAUGGCCCACUCAGCAAUCCUCCCAGUUGCUUCAUGAUUUUGUAUAAUUUCACCGAGCGGCGCGGAUCUGACUACCAUGAUUGGAUGCUCCUGAAAAUAGUGCUUUAGUUUUCGACUCGCCAUGAAGAUCCUCAAAACCAACUUCGGCCAGUGUGGAUAAUGCUAUUUGGAGAGGGUCAAGACUUCGCUGACAAAGUAUACCGGCCUUUGGUUCGGAUAUUCCUUUCCUUCUUCCCUGUGCUCGACGACCACUGCUACGCUUACCGCCUUAGAGUUGGCAGCAAUGUACAGGAGCAUAGGCUCUCUGUUAACAGGAGCAGCUAAGAAAGGCGGCUCAGCCAGUUGUUUCUUCAAGGCCUCGAAAGCUUCAUUGCCUUCAUCCUUCCCGACAAAACGGUAUGUUUUCUUGAGCGAUUGAUAAAGAGGAAUGGCCUUCUCCCCAAGGCGACUUAUGAACUGGCUUAGAGCUGCAAUACGACCUGCCAUGCGAUGAAUUUGGUUGAUGUUGGCCGGCUUGCCAAGUGAAGUAAUCGCCUUGAUUUUGUUUGUUAGCUUCAAUGCCUCGUUCCGACACCAAGAAGCCCAAUAACAUCCCUGCAGGAACUCCGAAAACACAUUUGGUCAGGUUAAGCCUCAUCUGAUAUACGCACAAGUCGUCAAAAGUCUCCUUAAGGUCCUCCAAUAGUGAUUCUUUCUUCUGGGAUUUCACCACUAUGUCAUCAACAUAGGCAUGAACAUUGCCCUCAAUUUGACUGUGCAGGCAAUUCUGGAUGCAGCGUUGAAAAGUCCCCCCACGCUCUUGAGCCCGAAUGGCAUAGAUACAUAGCAAAAGGCUCCAAAGGGAGUUAUGAACGACGUCUUCUCAUGAUCCUCCAAAGCCAUUUUGAUCAGGUGAUAUCUUGAGUAAGCGUCCAAGAAACACACUUGCUCGCAACCCGCUGUAAGUCAAUGCUUUGAUCAAUCCGAGGGAGGGGGAAAGGAUCUUUCGGGCAAGACAUGUUGAGGUCGGUGUAGUCAAUGCACAUGCGGAAGGUACAAUUCUUCUUCAGUACCAGAACCGGAUUGGCCAACCACUCAGGAUGAAAAACCUCGACAAUGAAUCCGACGGCCAAAAGCUAGGCGACUUCCUCCCCAAUCCCUUUACGUCUUUCUUUGUUAAACCGGCAAAGAUACUGCCAAACCGGCUUCAUCUUAGGAUCAAUGUUAAGGUGGUGCUCGGCGAAUUCUCUCGGUACACCCGUCAUGUUAGAAGGUUUCCACGUGAAGAUGUCCCGAUUCUCANNNNNNNNNNNNNNNNNNNNNNNNNNNNNNNNNNNNNNNNNNNNNNNNNNNNNNNNNNNNNNNNNNNNNNNNNNNNNNNNNNNNNNNNNNNNNNNNNNNNNNNNNNNNNNNNNNNNNNNNNNNNNNNNNNNNNNNNNNNNNNNNNNNNNNNNNNNNNNNNNNNNNNNNNNNNNNNNNNNNNNNNNNNGCUUUCCUAUUUGGGAUCCAGACCCAUCCCAAUGGUGAAUUGCUUGGAGGAGUCGCUGGGCGUGAAAUCCACCAACUUAGUGUCAUCUCUCGGCUUGAAAUUGAGGGGCGGCUCUGAAUCAAUCGUGGGUUUCUUGAGUGGAGUCAUAUCCGCCGGGUUAACAUUGGCCUGAUGAAACUUAAGUUCCUCAGCUGCGCAAGCCGACUCAGCAUAAGUUGCGUCUCGCUCUUCACAUUCUUGAGCUAUCUUCCGANNNNNNNNNNNNNNNNNNNNNNNNNNNNNNNNNNNNNNNNNNNNNNNNNNNNNNNNNNNNNNNNNNNNNNNNNNNNNNNNNNNNNNNNNNNNNNNNNNNNNNNNNNNNNNNNNNNNNNNNNNNNNNNNNNNNNNNNNNNNNNNNNNNNNNNNNNNNNNNNNNNNNCCGAUCUCCACUGAUCGUGAUAGUUCCUAUAGGGCCCGGCAUCUUGAGCUUGAGGUAGACAUAGCAUGGGCGGGCCAUGAAACGGGCGUAAGCCGGCCGACCGAAGAGCGCGUGGUAAGGACUCUUGAUCUUGACCACCUCAAACAUUAGGUACUUGCUCCUGUAGUUAGACUCUGUGACAAAGGCCACAUUAAGCUUGAUCCGCCCAACAGGGUAUGCCGACUUACCCGGGACAAUGCCAUGGAGGACCGUGGAGGAUGGCAUCAAUCGCCUUUCGAGAAAUUCAUCUGUUGGUAAGUAUCGUAGUAUAAGAUGUUGAUGUUGUUGCCUCUCUCCAUGCGGACCUUGGAGAGGGUACAGCCCCCGCGCCACGACCAAAGCUAAGUCGCCAGGGUUGUCAACCCGGGGUGGGUGAUCCUCCCUACUCCAAACAAUGGGCUGCUUAGACCAGUUGAGGUACCUGGGGAGCGCUGGCUCAAUAACGUUGAAAGUUCUGUGCCUGACCUUUUGGUCCCUUUUGCAAGUGCUGGUGGUGAACACGUGAUACUGCCCACCAUUCAACUUCUUAGGAUUUUUCUGAAACCACCACUGUCAUUCUGCUGGUGGGAGCCGCCUUGUUGAAGUUGCUGCUGAAAACCGCCCAGCGCAUUAAAUUGUCGACCGUUCUGGACCUGAUACUGCCCAGCGUUGGCCUCUGACCCGCCAUGUGGGCCCGGGUUAGGAGAACCAUCAAACGGGCUUCUGUGUGAACCGCGCGGACAGAAGUGAUCUGGGUGUCCGCCAUGAUUGCCUCCUUGCCCAUUUUUGAGCGCUUCAGCACGAAACUCCUGCAUCACAUAACAGUCUUCGCAAGAAUGGGUUGAUGAACCUUCUACGGUGGUAUGCUGUGGGCAGGGGCCCUUGAGCAUCCCAUGAUAGUUACAAGGUUUUUUCCCGCUGAAGCCCCUUUUCUUCUGACGCUGGUUCCUGUCCCAGCGUUAGUAUUGGCAACGAAACCAGUGGCGCCUUCCUGCUACCUUUUCUUACCUUGUCGCGCGGGGUUGUAGUUGCCUCGCCCCUGGAACUGAGGGUGGCCUUUGGAUGACUCGCCCCUCAUGUCGGUGCUGAUUUUGUAUCAUCCUCCCCGGGAUCUUUGGUAUCGUCUGACUCGGCAUACCUAGUCAUAGUGUCCAUCAACUCCCCCAUGUCUUGCACCUUGCGCUUGAGUCGCCCGAGUUUCAACACCAAAGGCUCGUAGUGACAGUUUUUCUCCAAGAUCAGCAUCGCCUAAGCCGCGGAAAUGCCAUCUGAUGAGUGGAUCACCUCUGCAACCUGCCACAUCCAGUGAUGGGCCGACUCAUCCGGGCACUCGACAGAGUGCUCCAAGUCGAUGAUAGUCAUCGGGUGCUUGCAAGUCACUCUGAAGUGUUAAACGAAACGUUCAUUCAACUCGCCCCAGGUGUUGAUGGAGUUGGGCGGCAGGUUCUUCACCCAAGUGCGUGCCCUCCCUUCAAGCAUCAUUGUAAAAUACUUGGCCCACACUGCCCCAUUCACACCAAGCAUAUCCAUUGCAAGCUCGUAGCUUUCAAUCCAUGCCCCGACUCUAGAUCCGACGUGUAAUUGUGAACUUUGCGUGGGCCAUUGAAAUCCUACGGCAUACGCUCGUUGCGGAGGGCGUGUGAUAGAGAGGGUAUCCCAAUGUUCCUGCCACCUGACUCAGCCAGCGUGGGGGAAGGUAACACAUAAGCCGGAUAACCUUGACCCACCGCGGCCGCCGUCUCCAUCAGGCGGGCGGCUCGUGCUGCAUCUACGAGGUCUUGAGCCCGUGUGUCGGGUAUUCCGGGCUGGUUGAUCUGCGGAGGACGUCGUCGUUCACUACUGGAAACUGUGGGCGGGUCAUCAUGACGACUCCUGGUGUGACUUGCCUGGGGUGUGGAGUGUAGCCGCUCGCGGCUAUACGAAUACUGUGCAUGUUGGACCACCGCCGUUUUCAACAUCUCAAUGUCGCUCCUUGCCUCUACCUCAGCCAGAGAGUUUCCAUGGAUGGGGAGAGAUUCAAGGUUGCGGGUCGCUACUAGCACAUUGUCAACGGGUUUGAGAAGUGACCCCGCGGCGUCUGAAAGCCCGAUGCUUGAGCGGGCGCUGGCUGAGGUGCCUAUGGGUUGGGAGGUGGCUGAGCCGGGUCAACACGCUGGGCGACUUGCCAUGGCCGGUUAGGCUCCAUCCCAGGCAUAUGUGGGCUAUCGAAGAGUCAAGUUGGGUUCAGAUCGGCUGGCAGACGAUUGCGAUUCCUCCUCUGGUGAAUCGCAUUGGAAGCCCGUUAUUGUCAUUCAAGCCGCCAUCCCUCAACACUUCGUCGCUGUGUCUCCGCGAUGAUCUGGGCCCAUUUGGUUGCCAUCCUUGCGGCUUGUAACGAUUAAGAUGCGACCCUUUCCUUAUUUGGGGGCGAGGCCUCAAGAGGGAAAGGGACGCAUCUAAACGUUUCGCAAUCGAGAUAAUCAUAACAAUACAUAACUGAAGGAGUGGCAAGUAGGGCAUAUACUUGACAUCUGAUAAGAGUAUAGCAUAAAGCUUACAGACACACAUUAUUGAGAUCAUAGUUUAGUCCAACUACGGACAACAUGAAAACAGAUAAAGCUAUGAAAUCCCGCAUGCUCGCCCCACGAUCACGACCACAGCCUCUAGUCCUCCGGGUAAGUCACGUUCAAUCUGCCAGAGUCCUUAUCGAACUCCCACUUCAGCUCGCUGUCAUCAGGAUCUCCUGCAUCAGGCGUACCUAUACCUGUGGGUGUUUGUAGUAAAUCGUGAUCCACGAGGACUCAUCAAUCGAAUGACCUUGGUAUCGAAUCUAGCCGGGUUAAUGGGUGAGGAAGGUUUAGUGUAUGGGUUUGCAGCAACCUAAACAUAUAUGGUGGCUACCUUACGUUGAUGAGAGUAAACAUAUGGUGGUGUACGCAAGUCGGUCGAACACUAGAUUGAUCACUAAGUGAUCCUGAACACCUACUUACGUCAGACAUAACCCCACCGUGUUCUCGAUCAGAGAACAAUCUCCGAAAGAGACAGUCACGGUUACACACACAGUUGGCAGUUUUAUUAGAAUUACUUUAAGUUGUCUAGAACCGGAUGUCAACAAAAUAUCCAUAUUUGACACAUAACCGCGGGCACGGCUUUCCAAAAGAUCAAACCCUGCAGGGGUGCUCUAACUAGUCCAUUACAAAUUACCACAGGCCGCCUCGUAAUCUCGUCAGAUUCCUUGGAGGAAAACCUCAACUUUGAGGAGACCCAAAGUUUCACCGGAAUUCCAAUGCGCAAGAUAUAGCGAUAAGGUAAGACAAAUUUGGCAAGACCUCCUGACGUGUCGACGAUCCCAAUAGGAGCCGCGUAUCUCCUUCUCUGGACCCGACGGAUUGUCCAAACUUUCGGUAGGCCAAUCACAGAGUUGCCCCUGGUAGCCACCGGCGGUUGACAGGUUGGACCAACACUCAUGAGGAGCACUAGCCCAGGUUAUUGAUUAAAUCCUCGGGGUAGCUAUUCCCUAUGCAUUUAAUUAUUAAGUUAUUAGCAUAUUAAAACCAAAGUUGGGUCCUGCCAGACAAGCCUUAACACUACGCGAUUUAUCAAGGGGGUCCCAAUAACAACCCCGAACGUGUUAGGAACGCUCUGUUAUGGAAUAAAACACCGGUAGCCGAAACUAAGGCAGCAACAACGGAACAAAUCACCCGGCAAAAGGCUAGGCCUUCCGUUAUUUACCAAGUAUAUAGGUGCAUUAUUUAAAUAGCAGUUUAAAACAUAAUGAUAUCAAAAUGCCUAUGUUAUCACAUGGACCAACUCGCACCUGCAACUAGCCAAGGUAUCCAUUAGAGGUUGAGCACGCCUACUUAGCCACACAUUAUUUGCUAGGACAAGGAAGCGUUUGGGGUUCAUGGAAAAGGCAGGUGGCAUUUAUAUCAUGUGGUAGGCAACGAGCAUGUAACGGAGGAAACGUAUCUCUAAGCAUAACAAAGCUAGAAAUGGUGUCAAGGUCACGGUCAUCUUGCCUGUGAUUUCUUCAGACUGGAACUGCUCUUGUUCUUCCUGCACGUACUCUCCAGAAUCGACGUACUCGCUCUCCGUUCCCGAUGCUACCCAAGAUAAUAUGAAAGCAAAUAAACACCGGCAAAACAUAAUGCAACAAACAAUAUGAUGCAUGUGUGAAGAAGGAAGCAUGCAUCGCUAUUCUAGUCACUUUCAUAUGCAUUAGAUGAGUUAAUUAAAUUCUAGACAGAACCUCAUUUUAAGUUAUCUUGGCAUGCAUGAACAUGUGCAUCACGAGAAAAUGAAGCAAAAACAUAUAAAGAACAUAGUGAACGGAGUCUCAGAUCAACCGUAAACUAUGAAACAAGUUACAAAGGCCUACGGGUUCAAAACAGCCACAAACACAACUAAAUGGGCACUCACUGGUUCAACCAGGAUGCCAAGUGAUCAAGCUCCACAAUACAAGUGGGUUGGUGUCUAAGAACACAUCACACCAUCAACCAAUGCUCACACAAGCUCUAAAACCAUACAAGCAUACAAUUUGUUUUUAACAGCAACAUAGCAGUUUGACUACAAGAUCUACAACAGCUACAACCCUCUAAGUAAUUCAAUCAAGACAUGAACCCGAAGCCAUCCAAAAGCAUUACAACCCUUGACAAAAAUCUAAGGCAAAUGAAUCACCCAUGAGCAGACCUACAACCUCUAACUUGGACAAAAUAUCACAGAUUGCGACUUAGUGAAAAUUACAGAUUUUCACCAGCUGCUUAUGCUCUGAAGCAUUUUGGCAGCCUAAACAUGAAAUUUUUAUAGGGAGCUAGGCAAACAUAACAGAUAACAAGCAUUAGUUUGUUGCUUGGGCUAAUUCCCAACAUAGGAGCAAAUACACACAAGACAACAGGGGAAGCAAAUAACUCCAGAUUCCCGGACUUAGUGAAAUUCUCAGGGUUUCACAAAUCUGACAGAUUCAGUCAAGUGCCCACUUUGACAAAGUGCAAUAGGUACAUACAAAAAUCUAAGAACAAAAUAAAUGCCCCAUGUUGUAGAGGGGUUCACCCACUACCAUUCCAGCAAUGAAUUAUGCACAAAGGCUCAAAGCACCACCUGAUAUAAAGCACUAAACAGAGCAUGAAAAUAACAAGUGCAGCACUUAGUGAAAUUUAGAGCAUGCAGAAAACAGAUAUCAUAGCAAGUUUAGAGCAAGGUUUCCACUUAUAUGUUGCCUUAGAAAAACAAAGAAAAAUACCAGGACAUUCACAACAAGUUUAUCUAACACUUUCAUGUUGACAACAAGUUUUAAACAUGCAUAGAUAAAAUCAUGGAAAAUGGACAAAAGGGCAUCACAACAGAAAAUAGCAGUUUUAUGAAGUUGUUCUAAAGUGAAAACUGAUUGCACCAAUGGAUUCCUGGGAUGAGUCUACCCCAAAACUCAUAAUCAUACCCAUGUACUUGCAUGAAUCAUCAAUGCACAAAGUCAGCUUGAAAAUUAACACAUGGAUUCCUAUAAGCUACAAGUUACUUAUUGCCAUACAUGGAAGCUACCAUAUUUGGCAUGUCCACAUUUGAACACCUCCUAGAAAUGGGCUAGGCACAAGCUAGACUACCUAAGCAUGGCAUAGUAUCACAAACAAGGAUAAACUUACAUGGGGAGAUGUGUUCAUCCACACACACACACAUGAGCACACACACAUGCCCAAGGCAUAUGUGCUCACACAUGCACAUGUAUAUGUGAUCACACACACACAGAAUCACACCUAGAUCUACACAUGCACUUCACAUACAAGAAUCUACUCACACACACACAUAGUAGAUACACACACCACGCCAUAUGUAUAUAUACACAUAUGUAUAAAUAUGCCUACUUGCACACGUGUAGAUGUGCAUAUACACAUGCACACAUACACUCCACACACCUACACUCUCAACACACACACAAGGUAUAAGACCCUAGUGCAAACAGGAGAUCAAAACAUCAAGAAAAACCCUGGCAGCAAUUAAAACAAAAAAAAGGAAAAAAGUGGGGGGUGUGGGAGUCGAACCCACGACCUGGUGGUCGUCACCCCAAACGCACACACCACUUCGCUAUCGAUUUGGUGCAUAACACAGAGGGGGGUUGUCGUGGCUUUGUCAUGACAAAUGUUCUCGUGAAAGGACUUAAUGAAGGAGCCAUCGCACCUUGGUGGCGACUCAAAGGGGGUAAGCGAAAGCGAGACUCAGAUUUACCCAGGUUCGACCCCUCGUGUGGAGGUAAAAGCCUAAGUCCGGAUUUGUGUAGAUUGAUGAUGGUUUCGAUUACAAGGAGGGCGUAACUCGCUUGACCUGGCUCUCGAUGAUUUCUAACUUGCCCUAUCUUCCCCAGGGACUCGCCUUUAUAUACAGGUCGAGGCCCUAGGAUUUACAAGAGGCCUAGCCGCACUACAGGUCAUUGUUUUCCAUAUCUCUAAGUCGCCGUGCUUUCCAAGACUGGAAACCUCCUUGGCGGCCUAUCCUCUGCAUACCUCCUUGAAAGGACGUGGAUGUCGCCUAGAGGGGGGUGAAUAGGUGCUUUAAAAUAAUUACGGUUUAGGCUUGAACAAAUGCGGAAUAAAACUAACGUUUAAUUUGUCAAGCACAAAACCUAAAACAACUAGGCUCACCUAUGUGCACCAACAACUUAUGCUAAGCAAGAUAAACAACUAAGUGAUAGAAAGAUAUAUGACAAUAAACAAUAUGGCUAUCACAAAGUAAAGUGCAUAAGUAAAGGGUUCGGGUAAGAGAUAACCGAGGCACGGGGAGACGAUGAUGUAUCCCGAAGUUAACACCCUUGCAGAUGCUAAUCUCCGUUGGAGCGAUGUGGAGGCACAAUGCUCCCCAAGAUGCCACUAAGGCCACCGUAAUCUCCUCACGCCCUCACACAAUGCAAGAUGUCGUGAUGCCACUAAGGGACACUUGAGGGCGGUCACCGAACCCGUACAAAUGGCAAUCCUUGGGGGCGGUUACCGGUACCCAUACAAAUUGCUCGAGGCAAUCUCCACAACCUAAUUGGAGACCCCGACGCUUGCUGGAGCUUUACACCAUAAUAAUUGAGCUCCAAUACACCACCAAGCUUCUAGGACGCCAAAGCAUCCACGAAGAACAACCUCUAGGGUACUAAGUACCAAAAGGUAAUAUGGCUUCUCAAACUUCACUUCCACGUAUCACCGUGGAGAACUCAAACCGAUGCAACUCAUGCAAUGGCAAGAACACACAAAGUGGUCAAGUCCCUCACACUCAAAUCCCUCCACCACAACAAAAUCUAUGGAGAAAUAUGAGAGGAAGAACAAGGAGCUCACAAAGAACUCCAGGAUCAAGAUCCAAGUGGUUCCCCUCACAUAGAGGAGAAAGUGAUUGGUGGAGAUGUGGAUCUAGAUCUCCUCUCUCUUUUCCCUCAAGAACAAGCAAUAAUCAUUGGAGGGAUUGAGAGUUAGCAAGCUCUAAGAAGGUCAACAAUGGGGGAAGAACAUGAUCUCAACAGAUAGAUCAGGCCAAGGGGGAAGAAGACCCCCUUUAUAUAGUGGGGGAAGGAAUCAGACCGUUACCCCCACUUACAACCCGCGCAUUGCGGUACUGCCACUGCCCCCCAGCGGUACUACUGCUCAGGGAGGAGCGGUACUACCGCUAGCCCUGGCGGUACUACCGCUAAAGAAAGUCUUCGCAAAAAGUCCGACGAAGAACAACCGCUCAAAGAGAGGUACUACCGUCCCGAAGCGGUACUACCGCCCACCCGGAGCGGUACUACCGCUGCACCUGGCGGUACUACCGCGAGGCCCCUGGCGGUACUACCACCAGGCCCGUGGCGGUACUACCGCUAGGACUGGAGCAGUACUACGGCUCGCCACUGAAACAGCCAUAACUUUCGCAUACGAGCUCCGAAUUAAGCAAACCCAAGCUUGUUGGAUUCAGGAAAUCUUAAGACCAUGUAGAUAUGAAAAUGCCAAUGAUAUAGAGAUGUGAGAUCUCUAUGAAUGAAGAACCAGCAAAAACUCCAACAUCAAAAACAUCAUAGUAGAUGCAUAUGGAGUCCGUUUUCGAUGAACUCGAGCUUGUCAUGAAGAUGACCAUAAGCUCUAAAACUCACAACGAGAAACACCAAAUAAGAACCAAGAAAUAUGAUGCAAGGAUGGAAAUUCGUUUGAGCUCAAUGAUACGGUCGAUCUACUUACUUGAGAGCCCCCCUUGACAUAACGACAAUCUAUCCUAAAACAGAAAACCUAUCAAGGGCAAACCUAUACCUUGCACCUCGUCCUCUUGAGCUAGAUGACGAUGAUCUUGGCUUCCUCAAGAUGGACCACCUUCUUGAUUGUGUUGGCUUGAUGAAGACUAGUUGAUUUCUCCCCCAUACACAACAUGGGUGAGCCGCUCUUCAGUAUAUCUUCACAAGUCCAUUGCCACCACAAUGGACGGCAGGCUUCAAGCAUGAUAUCUUUGUGCUGAUCCACUUGAAAUUGCACAUCGUAAUCUUGAUGACGGUCACCACUUGACUUCAUCCUUCAUGGGUUGUAUGAGAUAUUCCUGUAGACGCAAGCCCAUGGAGACACACCUAACCCCACAUAGAACUCUCAUGAAGACCAUGAGUUAGUACACAAACACGUAAUGGACAAUGCUUACCAUACCAUGGGAUCACUUGAUCCCUCUCGGUACAUCUUGUACGCUUUGUAUGAGAUCUUCUUCUAGACGCAAGCCCAUGGAGACGCACCUAACCCCACAUAGAACUCUCANNNNNNNNNNNNNNNNNNNNNNNNNNNNNNNNNNNNNNNNNNNNNNNNNNNNNNNNNNNNNNNNNNNNNNNNNNNNNNNNNNNNNNNNNNNNNNNNNNNNNNNNNNNNNNNNNNNNNNNNNNNNNNNNNNNNNNNNNNNNNNNNNNNNNNNNNNNNNNNNNNNNNNNNNNNNNNNNNNNNNNNNNNNNNNNNNNNNNNNNNNNNNNNNNNNNNNNNNNNNNNNNNNNNNNNNNNNNNNAUCUUGUACGCUUUGUGUGUUGAUCCUCUCCCNNNNNNNNNNNNNNNNNNNNNNNNNNNNNNNNNNNNNNNNNNNNNNNNNNNNNNNNNNNNNNNNNNNNNNNNNNNNNNNNNNNNNNNNNNNNNNNNNNNNCCUCCGCCGAUGCCCGUCUUCUCUUUGAUUGGCACGGUGAGAAUUAUUAUAAACUAGUAUUAAUAAUUAAGUGUCAUCAUGCUAACUGAGACAUUGCAAAAUAUCUUUUCUGCAGAAUAACUCCCGAGCGGCAUCGCACGACCCUUCUCGAGGGCAACCGUCUCCAAACGAAGCCGGCGCGAGCAACCGUGGUGCUUCGCCUCCUUGAUGACCACUACGGUAAGUUUCUCCUCCAAACUUAGCUUGUUUUCCUCUAAAAUGAGAUAAUUAGCCCAUUUAGCUUGAAGAAGACAUAAUUAGGUAAUUUAGCUCCAUCAAGAGGAGAAUAAAUAGGAAAAAUGAAAAGAAAGAAGAAGAAGAAGAAGAAGAAGGAGGAGGAGGNAUAAUUGGAAUAUUUAGCUCGAAAAAGACAUAAUUAGGUAAUUUAGCUCCAACAAUAGGAGAAGAGGAGAAGAAAUAAGAAAAAUGAAAAGAUAGAAGAAGAAGAAGAGAUGAAGAAGAAGGAGGAGGAGGAGGAGGAGGAGGAGAAGGCCAAGGACCUUCUAUCCUUCUCCUCCUCCUCCUUCUCCUCCUCCUCCACCUUCUUCUUGAUUUCUUCUUCUUAUGCCAUUUUAUUUCUUAUCCUCUUUCAUAUUAUCCUUNNNNNNNNNNNNNNNNNNNNNNNNNNNNNNNNNNNNNNNNNNNNNNNNNNNNNNNNNNNNNNNNNNNNNNNNNNNNNNNNNNNNNNNNNNNNNNNNNNNNUCCCCCAACCUUCACCAAGACUGCCGAACCUUUCGAUGCUGAUGACUGGAUAUGCACCAUCGAGUACCUCCAUGCACUGGUCAACUUCAAUGCAUAUCGUGAGAAGGUUCUCUAUGCCUCUCACUACAUUGGAGGUACCUCCAGAGCUUGGUGGGACGGAUUCAAGGUCAUGCAAGGCGACCGUGUGAUCACCUGGGCUGAUUUCAAGCAAGGAUUCUGCACUGCACACAUCCUUCUUGGGUUAUGGCUAUCAAGAAGCGGGAAUUUCGAGCGCUAAAGCAAGGAAGUGGCUCUAUCAAGGAGUACCUACAUAAGUUAAACCUAUUAUCAAGGUAUGCACCUGAAGACGUGAGUAUUGAGGCAACCAAGAUAUAACACUUCAAGGAAGGGAUCCAGCAAGUCAUGUAGUAUCAACUCAUUGUCUGCAACUGCUAGACUUUCUUCGAGAUGGUAAACAAGCCCCCCAAGCUUGAAGACAAGCGUCAUGCCAUGGAAGACACUCACAACUGCAAGAUGAUCAACAAGGGCAGUUCCAGCAACUAGAAGCCUCGCCCGUGACAACCAACCCGAGCAAAGCUAAACUAUCAGCCUCGGCGGGUCAAGACUCGUGUACCUCGUCCGAGCUACCAGCCUCAGCAGUAUGCCAACCCCAGGCCAACAUACAACAACCCUAACAACAACAUUGGUGGCUAUACCAAAAUCUUCUGCGGUCACGUGCUUUGGGUGUCUUCAGCCUGUACACAUCUCAAAGCAGUGCCCCAGCAAGAAGCGAGAUGCAUCGCGCCCCAAUGCGCUAAAUCAUGGACAAGGCCAUGGAGAGCCACCCAGGAACCAAGCUCCCCGCAACCAUCCCAACAAUGGCAAUGGUCGUGUGAAUUGUGUCACCGCUGAGGAAUCCUAGGAAGACCCGAAUGUUAUACUUAGUACGUUCCUUGUCAAGUCAACACCAACAAUAGUUCUAUUUGAUUAUGGUGCUUCACAUUCUUUUGUUACCCAAAAGUUUGCAAUAGAGAGUGGUAUUAAGCCUACACCUUUGGGUAGUCAUAUGAUGGUACAAACCCCAGGUACAGUAUUAAGGACCAAGAAAGGAUUUAAAGGACUUGGGAUUAACAUCAAUAGGGUAAACUUCCUAGAAGAUCUUAUCAUCCUCAAGUCCCAAGGCUUGGAUGUGAUCCUUGGCAUGGAUUGGUUGAACAAGCACUCACGCUUGCUAGAAUGUGGCAAGCAGACUGUCACCAUGAACAAUAGCCAACAAGUAUGUUCCUAACCCUACCUCUGCUCAAGCCCCUUAGGUUAAUUGUUUGUCGGGAAUUGAGUUGGAUCAAGUGCCAGUGGUAUGUGAAUACUGAGAUGUCUUUCCUGAUGACCUCCUCAGAAUGCCUCCUGAUAGUGACAUCGACUUCAUCAUUGAGCUAAUGCCCGGAGCAGGACCCAUCUAUAAUAAGCCCUAUAGAAUGGGAUCCAAAGAGUUGGCUGAACUGAAGAAGAAACUAGCCGAACAACUCAGAAAAGGAUUUAUUUUCCCUAGUGCCUCUCCUUGGGGAUCACGUGUCCUAUUUGUUUCAAAGAGGGAUGGAACUAUCCGACUUUGUGUGGAUUACCGUUCUCUAAGUGAAGCCACAAUAAAGGACAAGUACCCACUCCCCAAGAUUGAAGACCUGUUCGAUCAACUGAAUGGUACCUAUGUAUUAUCCCAGAUCGAUCUCUGGUCUGGGUACAACCAGUUGAAGGUAACACCACAAGAUAUUCUAAGGAUGACAAUUGUGACCAGGUACGGCCUGUAUGAGUACACGACCAUUUCAUUUCGGUUAACCAAUGCCCAAACCUACUUCAUGUACCUCAUGAACAAAGUCUUCAUCCAGUAUUUGGACAAGUUUGUCAUUGUCUUCAUCGACGACAUACUUGUCUUCUCCAAGUCAGAGGAAGAGCAUGAGCAACAAUUGAGGAUGGUCCUGGAGAAGCUUCGAGAGCACCAGCUUUAUGCCAAAUUCAGUAAGUGUGAAUUCUGGCUGCAUGAAGUUGGAUUCUUGGGUUGUGUUGACAUAGAAGGAUUGUAAGUGGAUCCUGCCAAUAUUGAAGCCAUGAUUGAAUGGCAGUCCCCAAGCAAUGUGAAGGAAGUCCGAAGCUUCCUCUGACUCACGUGAUAUUAUCGCAAGUUCAUUUAAGGGUUCCCAAGCAUCGCCUGACCCAUGACCCAACUUUUGAAGAAGGACAAGCAGUUCGAAUGGAUGCCGAAGUGCAAAGAAAUCUUCCAAGAGCUCAAGAAGAGAUUGAUAACUUCCCCAGUUUUGGCCACCCACGAUAUUCACGAAGAGUUUGUGAUAUAUUGUGAUACAUCGAGAGUUGGGCUUGGUCGUGUUCUGAUGCAAGAAGGCAGAGUCGUAGCAUAUAUAUCCACACAGCUACAUCGUCAUGAAGAGAACUAGGCCCCAACACGAUCUUGAGUUGGUAGCUGUGGUUCAAGACUUGAAGACAUGGUGAAAUUACCUUCUCGGAAAAUGAUGUGAUAUAUACACAGACCAUAAGAGUUUGAAUUAUAUUUUUCACGGAAUUGAACAUGAUGCAAUGAAGAUGGUUGGAGUUGAUCAAAGACAAUGACCUCAGUGUUAAAUACUGCCCUGGAAAGGCCAAUGUGUUAGCUGAUGCCUUGAGUAGAAAGGUUUGUUCCUUGAAUGCUAUAACUCAGGAAAGGCUAUCCGCCUUGUAUGAAGAACUUGAAAGUUUUGGGUUGGAACUAGUUGCACCAGGAUUUGUGGCCAACCUCGAACUGAAGCCUACAUUGAUGGAUGAUAUCAAGGAAGCUUAGAAGGGACACGAGAGCAUCAAAGGCAUCAAGAAGAAGAUCAGGAAUGGCAAGGACCCAAGAUUAUCAUUGGAUGAACAAGGAGUAGUGUGGUUUGGGAAUCGCAUGUGCCUACCCAACAAAGUUGACCUCAAUAACUUGAUCUUGUAAGAAGCUUAUGUCACUAUGUAUUCCAUCCAUCCUGGAGGAACCAAGAUGUACCAAGACCUCAUGGCAAGAUUCUGGUGGCACGACAUGAAGAGGGAAAUAACAACUUAUGUUGCUAAGUGCAACAUAUGCCAGAGAGUCAAACCUGAGCAUCAGUGGCCUGUUGGAUUGCUACAACCUCUCAAAGUGCGUGAAUGGAAGUGGGACCAAGUUGGGAUGGACUUCAUCAUCGGAUUGCCCAUAUUAAGCAAGGUACAUGAUUCUAUUUGGGUCAUCGUCGACCACCUGACGAAGUUAGCCCACAUUAUCUAUGUCAAGACAACCUACAAUGGGAACCAACUGGCCAACCUUUACAUCAACCAGCUCGUGAUCCUCCACGGAGUUCCUAAGGAGAUAGUGUUAGAUCGAGGUACCCCAUUUACCUCAAGGUUAUGGAGCAGAUUCCAAGAAUACAUGGGAACCAAGCUAUCCUUCAGCACUACUUUUCACCCUCACACAGGCGGACAGACGGAACGAGUAAACCAUAUACUCGAAGACAUGCUUCAUGCUUGUGUUUUGGCAUAUGGAGCUAGAUGGGAAGAUUGGUUACACUUUGCUAAGUUAUCCUACAAUAAAAACUAUCAGUCUAGUCUUCAGAUGGCACCAUUUGAGGUGUUGUAUGGACGCAAGUUCCACACUCCCCUCAAUUGGUCGAAAACUAGAGAAGCACUAGUCUUUGGACCAAAUAUCCUCCGUAAAGCAGAAGAGCAAGUUCAACUUGUCAGAAAACGCGUCGAGACCACCAAGUCAAGGUAGAAGAGCUACGCUGACUCUCACCACCGAGACAUGAUUUCCCGCGUUUGAGACUACGUCUAUCUUUGAGUCACAUAUCUCAAGGGAACCAAGUGCUUCCACGUGAAGGUAAAGUUGCCUACCAGCUAGAGCCACCUUCCAAGCUUUCGGAUGUGCACAACGUUUUCCAUGGGUUUUAGCUCCAGAAGUGCCUCCAAGUUCCCAACCGACCCGAUCUCUACAAGGACAUCGAUCAUCAAACCAUUGACCUCCAUCCGGACCUCAAUUAUCGUGAGAGACCCAUUCGCAUCUUGUAUUAACCUCAGCGUUGCACCCGAAGCCGCACCAUCAAGUACUUCAAGAUCCAAUGGAGAAAUCACACUAAAGCAGAAGCAACCUAGGAGUGUGAAGAGUACCUUAGAUCUGAGUUCCCUUAUGUCACACCCUGUGUUUGUACCACUUUUGCUAGAUGAUGUUUUUACAAAAAAUGGAGUCAACUAAAACUUUUUGCAAGUUGUGAUGGUUGAUUUUGUUGCAACUUGCUCGUGUGACUGAUUGAGUUUUUAAUCACUAUAGUUGUUCUCCUCUCUAAAACCCACCUCCUUGACCCCAAACCCUUGCCCAAUUAUCAUGCCAUGUGAAUAGAACUAGAAAACUAUUUUUUAAAAUUAUUAUUUUAACAAAUGGCAUUUAUUUAUUUUAAGUUUUCCAAACCCCCACAUUUGAGAUUUGCACUACAAGUCCCCAAUUUAGGAGAGAUGCCUUACCCCAAAGUUUUUAUUUGGAACCUAUUAUGAAAAAGGUUUCCGAAAACUAUAAAAUAAUUAUUUUAAAAAUUAUUCUGCCAUUUUAUUGAAAUACAUAUUUUUGGAGCCAUAAAUGGUAUUUCAUAAGGAAAAUUUACUUUAUUACUUCAAUAAUAUUUGAGAAAAUUUAGGGAAACUCACUGGACAUAUAUUUUCCAUACAUAACAGUUUCAACACAUGGUCAAGCUCAAAAUAUUGGAAAAAACCCCUCAAAACCCUUUCUGCCUAUUUCAAGAUUUUGAAACAUUUCCACAGGGAAUAUCCUCAAUAAAUUACAGGAAAAUUCUAGCAAAUCACACAUGAUAAAUUUGGUGAUCCUGCAAAGUUUCAUGUCAAUCCAAGUUGAUAUGAUCUAGCCAAUAAUCCCCAAACCCUUUAUGUCCAGAACCAAAUUUGAGAAACUUUACAUUGCCAACAUUACACAAUUGAUGCCAAACUUUACAGUAGUGAUCCAUCCCCCAAAUAAGGAUGCUACACCAAGUUGUGCAUUUCUGGGAGUUAAUUUGAUCACCUAGGCCCACAGAAAUCUAAUUAAGUCCAUUUCUAUGGUUUUUCAUGUUUACAUUGUCAACUUUGCUCAAAUGAGCUCAGACUUGGUGAAUCCUUCUGAUUUUACCCAUCAAAUAAUCCUAUUAAAUCUCACUACAAGUGGUGAGUGUUAUCUUGCUCAAACCAGCGUCAAACACCUUUUGGUGAUUUGGUAAAAUUGCUGCUUUCACCCCUUCUACCAUUCCCCUUCACUCAAAAUUCUCACCACAAGCCCACAUUGUUACCCUUCACCUGCAGUAAAAAGAUCGAGCUCAGGUUCAAUGGUAGGGGUGGGUAAAAACCCAAAUUACUCCUCUGAAUCACCAUGGGAGGACUUUAUCCCACUCUCUCUUUGACCUCCGCCUCUCUCCUCAGCUCCAGAACAUCCAAGGAGAAUCUCACUACCCCAAUUGCUAGUGGACAAGAUGGGAUGCACCAGAGCAUGCUAACAUGCCAUGGCAUGCCAAAACUGCGCUCUCGACGCGCUAUAGUGCGCUCCUGCACCGAGGUCUGGCCAUCCCCGACCGCCUCGUGCCCCCUCCGGCUGUCUCCCGAGCUGCCCUUGACGCCCGACGCCCUGCGCCUUGUGCCCCCUUCCCCUCUCUCCCUCUCUCCCCCCGUGACGCGUGCCCAUGGCCGCCCAAUUUGGCGAGUAGGCCCUCUCCACCGUGAUAAGCAAGGUGUCAGAUUUUGGGCUCCGCAAAACACUAAAGAUUCGAACACAAGGGCGUGUGCGGAGGCCACUUGACAACUUUGGUUCCCCAGGCUCGCUAUUCGCUGGGGAUGAGAGAGAACUCACUCGAUGGUGAGGAAGACAAAGAAAACGGCAGUUUACCCAGGUUUGGGCCGCUGAGAAGCGUAAUACCCUACUCCUGCUUUGGUGGAUUGCCUCUCAUGGAGGUUGGUGGAUGAACUAGUACAGUGUUCUAGGGCCUCCGGAGGCUGGGUAGCCUCUGCGUGGUGCUUCUCUAUGAAGUAACCUAACCUCUAUAUAUGGUGGCGGCCCCGGUCCUCUUCCCUUAUCGUUUCGUCGGGAAGGGAUCCCACAAUGGCUAAUUUUAAAGGGGGACAAGGGAACGUGCUUCCACUGUCCAAAAGUAGUCUUCGCCUGCAAACUGUCUCUCAGCGUAGCAGGGAAGGGUCCAGGGAUGACGUCCAUCUAGACUCCACUUAGAAAAGCCCCGACUUUGAUUUCGUAAAUAUCAGCAAAUCCAAGCUAGAAAAAGCAAAUGAAAGCCACGUCCGGCGCCUAAUAUAUUCUCCGCCUCCCUCUCCCACAACGCGGAGCAUAGGGCUUCCACUAGGCAUGGGAGGGACCACUCCGUGUCCCUGGGGGACCCCGGGCGUAUAAAACAUCGCAUCGUUAUUACGUGAGAGUGUCACGGGGGAUGUAUCUGGGAGGUCGCGAGGACGCUUUGGCCUCGCGAGUGUCCCUAUCCCUGAGGCAUAGGCGCCUGAUUCCUUUUGGGUCAUUGGUGGACUGUGUUGAUUUCCUUGCCAGCUGUGGGCAUAGUCAUUUGCGGGCUGAGUUGAUUGCCUCCGUCUUCUCCCGAGCGAGGAGCGUAGGGCUGCCACUAGGCGUGGGAGGGCCCCCUCCGCGUCCUCGGGGGACCCAGGGCGUAUACAGCCUCGGCUCGUUAUUACGUGAGAGUGUUACAGGAUGAACUAGGUUCCGGAAGGAUUGAAGGACUAUGCAAAGGCGGUGCAGAGGCGUUACGGGGAGAACUUCCAGAGAUGUUGGAUGUUCCAGGCAUUCGGGAUGGGAACUCUGUCUUGAGUCUCCAGGCGCACGGCGCCAGGCCUGGAGACAUGGACGACCUUCAACGAGCCCUCCCACAUGGGCGACAGCUUAUGCAAGCCCUCCCUGGAUUGAACCCACCUCAGGACGAGGUCACUGACUUCAAGGGUCCUCGAGAAGAUGUUGCGCCGUAAGGCCUUCUGGUACCUUGCAGCUCGGAGGGAUGCCCGGCGGUGCACCUCAUCUCCAAGCACGACGUCCAUCCCCCGCGCAGCCUCCUCACGCUCCUCAUCGAAUGCCAUGACCCGCGAGGACCAGUGCUUGAUCUCGUGGGGAAGGACCGCCACGGCUCCAUAGACGAGGAAGAACGGGGUUUCACUGGUGGGCUUAGUAGCGAUGGUGCGGAUGGACCACAACACCGACGGGAGCUCAUCGACCCAACCCCGGACGCAAGCUUCGAGAUUCUUAUUAAAGCUCUUCACCUUGAGUCCUCGUAGGACCUCUGCGUUGGCGCGCUCCGCCUGGCCAUUGCUCCGUGGUUGGCCACCGAUGCGUAGCAUACCUGCAUCCCUAGGUUAGCACAAUAAAACUUGAAGAGCUGACUGGUGAACUGCGAACCAUUGUCGGUGAUGAUGCGGUUGGGGACGCCGGAGGGGCUCAUAAGGCACUUGAUGAAUUUGACGGCCGACCCUAUAGGGAUGGUGCGCACGGGCUCCACAUCCGCCCACUUGGUGAAUUUGUCGAUGGCAACGUAGAGGUAGCGGAAACCGCUCGCCGUCCACGGGAAGGGCCCCAGUAUGUCUAGCCCCCACACCGCGAGGAAAGCGGAGUGGUCUGGAGGCCCUGCGCAGGCUGGUGGAUCUGCUUAGCAUGGAACUGGCAGGCCUUGCAAAACCGGACCAACUCGGUGGCGCCGUCCAACGCUGUAGGCCAGUAGAAACCUGACCUGAACGCCUUACGUGCGAGCAUGCGCGAAGAGGAGUGAUGCUCGCAGUACCUUCCGUGGAUGUCGGCUAGUAGUUCAUGCCUUCUCCCUGGAAAUGCACCGUAGUGCGACGUUGUUCGGGCGCCUGCGUGACAAGUCGUCGUCCCAUAGGCAGUAGGCCAAGGCUUGUCGUGCUAUGCGCUCCGUGUCUUCCUCCUUCUCCGGCAAUGUGCCGUGGAUUAGGUAUGUCCCGAGUUCCUGCAUCCAAUCGUCGGCCCGUGCCUCCAGGGCCACGAGAAGUCGAGCCCCCGAGGCCUGUCCGCAAUCCGGAGCCCUCGAGGGUGGUGCAGGGGGAGCUCCCCCCCACAUGGCGCUAGGCCCUCGAGUGAUGGUGUCGCGGAAGGCCUUAAGAGUCGCUCGUCGAAGACGCCUGGCUCUUGAGCCUCGUGACGCGAAGCACUUUUGGCGAUGUUGUCUGCCCCCUUGUUCUUGCCACGCGGGACAUGCUGCAGCUCCACCCCAUGAAAAAGUUUCUCUAUCUUAAGUACCUCUUGCAAAUACGUUUCCAUGUGCUCGUCCUUGGGCGUGUACUCUUAGUUGGAGAAGUUGACAAGAAGAUGGGAGUCGCCCAUCACGACGAGGCGUCGGACCCCCAAUGCCACCGAUGAUUUGAGGCCAACGAUGAGGCCCUCGUACUCCGCUAUAGUGCUGGAGACCUUCUCCCCACGCUCAAAGCAGAGCUGCACGGUGUAGUGGAUCUUGUCUCCCACCGGGCAAGUGAGCACGUCUGCAACCCCUGCUCCUCUGCGUGUGAAGGCUCUAUCGAAGUGCAUGGUCCAUCCCUCGGGUGCCUCCACACCUGGGGCAAGGGAUUGGCUCCCUUCCAGCCCCCGGUCCGGUGAGUCCGUCCAUUCCACCACAAAGUCAGCAAAGGUCGCUCCCUUGAUGACCCUGGUCAUGCUGAAUUCGAUGUUGAAGGCCUGAAGCUCGAUGUUCCAUUCGGCAACCCUUCCCGCCGCGUUUGGGUUAUGCAGGAUCUUCUCCAAGGGGUAGGCAUAGACGACUCUGAUUGGGUUCCCCUGAAAGUGGUGGUGUAGCUUGCACGAAGGAACGACUAGCGCUAGAAGGAGUUUCUACUGCAUGGGAUAGCACGAGCGUGCAUCCCGCAUCACAGUGCUGACGAAGUACACCGGCUGCUCGACGAGGAUGCGCCCCCCCGGGGCGUCAUGCUCCUCGGAGUGCUCAGGAGGUUCGGGCGUCUCGCGAUUUGAAGGAGGGGCGGGGGCUUCAGGAGGGCUGAGCAUCUCAUGGCCCGACCCUACGGUCUGAGCCUCAGGUCGCUCUGGCUGCGGGGGAAUCGGAGCUCGAGAGUCGUGCGAUCCCCAGACUCCGCGGCUGGGGGCCCGCCGGGGUUCCCCGAAGUGGCACCCUUGCUAGUUCGCUCCUCCCUUACUGCCACCAACACGAUGCUGGUGGAGUGGGGGUGGCAGCAAGGUACAGAAGAGAGGCUCCUACGGGCGAGGCACCACCAUGACCGGCGGGCUCGUGAGGUAUCGCUUGAGUUCAUCAAAAUCUACGUCGGCCUUCGGGGGUCCAUACGAAGGGUCCCUUUCUUUUCAUGAUCUUGAGGAAAGGCAGGGCCUGCUCGCCGAUCUUGGAGAUGAAACGACCCAAGGAGGUAACACACCCUACUAGCUUCUGCAUUUCCUUGAGGGUUGUGGCCACGCUCAUCUUGUUUAUGGUAUUGAGAUUCACCGGAUUUUCCUUGAUCUCCCGGUGCGACACCAGGAAACCGAGCAGUUUGCCUGAUGGGACCCCGAAGACGCACUUCUCGGGGUUGAGCUUCAGGUUCACCACUCUUAGGUUGGCGAAGGUUUCCUCGAGGUCCUCCACUAGGGUUUUUGUCUUCCUUGACUUGACCACGAUGUCGUCGACGUAGGCCUCUGCGUUCCUCCCGAGCUGCGGUCCUAGAGCGAUAUGUAUCAAUGGCUGGAAGGUUGCCCCGACGUUCUGCAACCCGAAGGGCAUGCACUCGUAGCAAUAUACCCUNNNNNNNNNNNNNNNNNNNNNNNNNNNNNNNNNNNNNNNNNNNNNNNNNNNNNNNNNNNNNNNNNNNNNNNNNNNNNNNNNNNNNNNNNNNNNNNNNNNNNNNNNNNNNNNNNNNNNNNNNNNNNNNNNNNNNNNNNNNNNNNNNNNNNNCCUACACGAGGAGAGGAAGGCUGUCUUCUCGACGUCGUUCACCACCAUCUUGAUCUGGUGGUAGCCCGAGAAUGCAUCCAGGAAACACAGGAUAUCACACUCCACGGUGGAAUCCACGAUCUAUUCGAUGCGUGGUAGUGGGAACGGGUCUUGAGGGCAAGCCUUGUUGAGGCUCGUGAAGUCGACGCACAUGCGCUUCUUCUCGCAGUUCUUUGGGAUAACCACCGGGUUGGCCAGCCAUUCCGGGUAGCGAACCUCUCGAAUGACACUUGCCUCCUUCAGUUUGCGCACCUCCUGAGCGAUGAACGCCUGCUUCUCCGGGGCUUGCCUCCUUGCCUUCUGCUUCACCGGGCGCGCGUUCGGGCACACUAUGAGGUGGUUCUCAAUGACGUCCCUCGGAACCCCCACCAUGUCGGAGGUGCUCGAGGUGAACGUGUCCCUGUUCGCCUUGAGGAAACCCACCAAUGCCUUCUCUUGGUCUUGGGGGAGGUUUGCGCCGAUGGUGAAGGUGGGAGCCAAGAUUCCUUCAUCCACCGGUACUUGCUUUGUUUCCGCCCGGUCCUCGGAGAACAACUACUUCUUCUUCACGGGUGUGACAUAGGGGACAUCUGCAGGGUCCCCCAGGGCGUGCGCCGCGCCCUUGAUGUUGGCAUGUGCCACGACCGCGGCCUUGUGGGAGAUGUCGAGUGCCCGAGAUGCGUCCUUGACGUCCCCCACGACGGUGAGCACGCCGCCGCUCCCGGGCAUCUUGACGACGUUGUAGCAUGGGUGCAUUGCCUUCAAGAACUACGCGAGGGCGGGGUAGCCGAGUAUUGCAUUGUACAGAAGGUGCAUGCGGGCGACGUCGAAGUCGAUCUACUAGGUGCGGAAGUUGGAGCGGGUGCCGAAAGUGACGGGGAGGUGAAUCCGUCCCACAAGGGCGACAGAUCCUUCCACCACCCCGGAGAAGGGCUUUGAAGGCGCAAGAUGCUCUUGGGUCAUCUGCAGCGCAUCGAAGGCCUCUACUGAGAUGACGUUGAGGCCUGCACCGCCGUCGAUGAGGGUCUUGGAGAUGCCCAUGCCGCAUAUGGUCGGCGUGCAUAACAUAGGAAGUGCCCCGGAGGCCGUCAUGGCCGUGGGGAUAUCGUCGGGGCCAAAGGUGAUGUUGACCUCCGGCCAUACGCAGUGUUCCACGGGCUCGGGCCUUGGGUGAACCACCCCCUCACGCUGUAGGAAAUGCUUUACGUGACGGUCGGAAGGUGGCGCCUGCGAUCCGUCGAGAAUGCAGGCGACUUCAGGGGCGGCCCUGCUCGCCCGGACGCCAUCCACCGCUGGGGAUCAGCGUCUGUCGGUGGUCGUGCUUGCCAUGGAGUCGCCGAGUCGAGGUCUGGCUCUUGCUGUUGGCAUGGAGGCUCCGACACGGACCCCCUACCUGGCUUGCCAAAUGUCAGAUUUCGGGCUCCGCAAAACCCUAAAGAUUUGAACAGAGGGGCGCGUGCAGAGGUCAGUUCGCCUGACUCGCUACUCGCCGAGGAUGGAAGAGAACUCACUCGAUGGUGAGGAAGACACAAAACACGGCAGUUUACCCAGGUUUGGGCCGCGUCGAAGCGUAAUACCCUACUCCUGCUUUGGUGGAUUGCCUCUCGUGGAGGUUGGUGAUGAACUAGUACAGUCUUCUAGGGCCUCCGGAGGCUGGAUAGCCUUUGUGUGGUGCCAGUGGGCGAAUAAAUAGAUCGAGUCCCUCUCUACAAAGUAAGCUACUCUCUAUAUAUAGUGGCGGCCCCGAUCUACUUCCCUUAUCGUUUCGGCGGGAAGGGAUCCCACAACGACCAGUUUUAAAGGUGGACAGGGGAACGUGCUUUGAUACAUCUCCAUCGUAUCUACUUUUCCAAACUCUUUUGCCCUUGUUUUGGACUCUAAUUUGCAUGAUUUGCCCUUGCCUUGGAUAUUCCCGAGGACGAUGCCGUGGUUGUCAACCUGGGAAGACCCUUUUUAAACACUGCAGGAGCUGUUAUAGAUUGCAACAAAGGCAAUGUCACUUUCCAUGUCAACGGUAAUGAGCACACAGUGCACUUUCCCAAGAAAUGAUAUCAAGUACAUUGCAUCAAUGCUAUCGAGAAGACUUCAUUGAUUCUCAUUGGGAGCUUUGAAUGCCCUAUUCCUCAUGACAAGAUGAAGUAUGACUUGCUUGUUGGGGAGAUACAUAUCCCCAUUGAGGUGACUUAGUGGCUAUUCGAAAAUUCUCUGUUCUCUCUUGCGAUUCGAGAAAGUUUUGUCGUAAGGACUUGAUUGACGGAUUUCUUUCGAUGACCAUGAAACAGAUGAAUCAAAGACUCACAUACCUGUGUUUUUAGUGUUCCUUUUCUGUUGCUUAGAAGAAAAAUGAUAGCAUUAGUUUAGUUUUUCCCUGUUUUCUGUUUUAGCGCCUCGGAGAAAAAUACCUCAAAAAUAAAAGUUCUCCGAUGGUCCUGAAAAUUUAGUAUGAUUUUUUCUGGAAUUUUUAAAAAUUACUCGGCUUGAGAGCUGGCCUGGGAGCCGGACCAGUGGGCAACAAGCCCUGCCACCGCCACCUACCCCCCUGGUGGCGGGGUGCAAGCUUGUGGGGCCCACAUGCACCCCCUCCACUCAUUCCAGCUCUCAGCCUCUUCUUCCACCUCCAGAAAAAAUUGUUUCACACCUCAAACCCGUGUUCUUGCUCAUUUGGUUGUGAUUUUUGAUCUCCUUGCUCAAAGCACCGUUCUCCGAGCCGUUUUGGGGAAAUUACUCCUUGGUAAGUGACUCCUUCAUUGGUCCAAUUAGUUUUUGCUCUAGUGCUUUAUCCUUCGCGUAUUCUUGCUACCUUGGUCACCCUGUUCUUGAGCUAGAAAAGUUGAUUUUAGCUGGUUCCAAGUAGUUUUAGCGCAUGAUACGGUCUCUAGGCACUAGUAGGAGUAGUUUCUACAAGUUGGGUUAAUCCUUAUUCACUUUUCUUUUGAAGUCUUUAAAAAUUUCAGAAUUUUUCACAGCUCGAAACAGGAAAAGAUGAGGAGGUUCUUGAGAGGCUCUUCAAGACGUAACCCCAAGGAGGAUGAGAAGAACCACCCCAAGUACAUAGUCCCUCGAGCCACAGAAGUUCGAGCGUGCGAGUGGCCAAGUGAUGAAUUUUUGCUCGCCGCCGGACUUUAUGAAGACUUUUAUUACUUGGUGGAGAACGCAGGUCUUACUGCGUUCGUUGAAGAUAAGUGCCCACAAUACCUCCUCCUCACCAAUAUUUUCGUUCAAAGCUUCAACUUUUACCCAAGGAAGAAUCCUCCCAUGGUUGAGUUCAUGAUAUACGAUGUCCCCUAGUGCAUGACGCUGCAGGAUUUUUGCAAUGUAUGCAAAUUACCUUAUGUUGGGGAUAUCCGUGACCCUCGUCCACGGGACUUGGAGGAUUUCAUUAGUUCUAUUGCUGUUGGAGAGGAGAGAGGUGUGUCUCGCACUAGAAUUGCUAGCAUACAUUUUCCUGUGCUUCGGUACUUCUCAUUAUUUGUGGGAAAAUGUUUGAUUGGCCGUGUGGAGGCUGGAUCACCUAGUUCUCCAGACCUUGCGGUUUUGCGUGAAGGCCUUUAUAACGAUAAGACUUAUAGCUUGGGCGCUAUAGUAUCUCAACGGUUGAACUUCAACCGUUCCAAGGGUGUUGUCUAUGGAGGUAUCUAUGCUACCCGUCUUGCUAGACACUUUGAGAUACCCAUUAGACUGGGAGAGGAAGGAGAGAUGCUUCUCCCUGAGAGAUAUCUGGAUUCUGACAAUAUGUUUGCCAUCAUUUUCUGGAUAGAGAUGUUAGUAGACAGAUGAUCUAUAACCUGGUGUUUAGUCAGGGUACUCGAGAGACUAUUACUUUGCCUGCUCCUUCUUUGUUCGAUCUUCAUGUAGGCAGGUACACUAUUAUGCCCGUGGACAUCUACGCAUAUUGGGGCUUGGCCCAACCACAGGCGCCCGUCGAGUACCAGACGCCAGUUUAUCAGUGGGAGCCAGAGGACCUCACACAGCAGUGGCAUCCACAGUCUGCUCCGGAGUAUCCCGGAGCUGGUUAUUUCCCACCUUGGGAGUAUACCAAGCUAGGCCAAAAGCCUAAGCUUGGGGGAGUACGUGUUCUCACCGACUUUACAUUCAUGCUUAUGCUUUCACUUUGUUAGCCGGUGUUCACACUUUGCCACUGUAUUAUCCAUGCUAGUUUAUUUUUUUUGUUUUCUUGUUUUCUUGUUUUGUGUCCUUUUGAGAAAACCCAAAAAGAUUUUUCUUUCUUCUUUUGCUUGUUGGGAGCUUUCCCGUGUAAACAGUUUUCUUUUUUCUUUGGGUCAAGGUAGAAGAUAUUGGUUACAAUGUUUAUAGGUUCUUGCAUGCUUACCUGUUUAGCUUAUAAAGAGCCAUAUUACUUUGUCUUCUCCUUUGUGUUUGCCUGCAGAUUCAUCUUAGUCCAAUGCGCUUAUUAUUGUUCACAUCGUUCGAUUGUGCAAAUGAAAGGCAACAAUGAUGAUAUAUGAUGAAGUGACUGGGACUGAAAAGCUGGUAUGAACUCUAUCUAUUUUGUUUUUAUAAAUAUGACUAGCUUGUCGACCCAGAUUUAGCUUUGUUGUGAGAGAACCAUGUUUGCAAUGACAACUUAGAGAUCAUAGUUUCUGAUGCCAUGCUUAUUUAGCUCAGAGCUUAUAAUGGUUUGUCUUGAAUGCCAACAUAGUUUUUGAGAUGACUGUGAUAUAGUAUGAUGGGAUGGUAUUCUCCUUUGAAUGUUUCAAGUGGCUUGACUUGGCGCAUGUUCAUGCAUGUAGUUGAAAGAAAAUCAACAUAGCCUCUAUGAUGCUCGUAUUCAUGGUGAUUUAUAUCCUGUUCAUGCUUGCAUUCAAUAUUAGUCAAACUCAUUGCAUCUUGAUGAUUGUUGUCACUCUCUAGUUGGUCGCUUCCCAGUCUUUUGCUAGCCUUCACUUGUACUAAGCGGAAUACUGCUUGUGCAUCCACUUCCAUAAACCCAAAAGUUUUUCCAUGAGAGUCCACCAUACCUACCUAUUUGCGGUAUCUACCUGCCGUUCCAAGUAAAUUUGCAUGUGCCAUUCUCUAAACCUUCAAGAAAUAAUCUGUUUUGCAUGCCCGAACCGCUCAUGUGGUGACAGGGGGCUAUUGGUCUCUUUCAUGCUAGGAGUGUUAUCGUCGACACGUGUUUAUUCACUGUCAUUCACGAUAAAGGGGCCGGUAAUUGGAAUGCCCAGUUCCACUCUUAAAGCGAAAAUAUAACCGUAAAACAAGACUCCCCCCGUAUUGAUGUUAGUAUGGACGGUACCCGAGGAUUCGGCUAGCCGUGGAGUGUGAUUGAUUAGUGGUGGGGGAGUUAAAUUUUACUUUUUUGUUUGGGAACCGCCUAUAGCAUGAGUAGCAUGGAAGAUAUUGAGAACUCUUGGUCAUUGCGUUGACAAUGAAAGCAUGCCACCCAAAAUUAUUAUCUCUGUUUUCAAAGCUUGAGCUCUGGCACCUCUACAAAUCAAUGCUUCCCUCUGCGAAGAGCGUGUCUAUUUAUUUUCCUGUUGAGUCAUCCUCCUCUUAUAUAAGCACCAAUUAGAGAGCACCUCUGUCAUUUUUAUGCUUUGCUUUUGAUUGAUAUUGAGUAUGACUAUGACUGGAUCUUCGUUGCUAUGAAUUACAAUGUUUAGUCAGCCCUUGAUCUUUGAAAGUGCUCUGCAUUUAUGUUUUGCGGUCUCAGAAAGAGCUAGCGAGAUACCACCUAUUCAUAUUGCUUCAUGCUUGUUUUGAUUGAAGUGUUGGUAUUUCAAACUCAUUAUUAUUUGCUCGUUAGCUGAUUAUACCAUUGAUAUUACUUUACCGUGAGACCUUUGUGUCAUUUUCUUAUGUGGUUAACUUGUGAUCUUGUUGAAAUUCAAGUUAUGAGUUAGAUAUAGUUCCAACAACAAGAUCAAACAGAGUUUGUCAAAGUUUUUCUUUCUCUCUCGGUUUGUCAACUGAAUUGCUUGAGGACAAGCAAGGUUUUAAGCUUGGGGGAGUUGAUACGUCUCGAUCUAUCUACUUUUCCAAACUCUUUUGCCCUUAUUUUGGACUCUAAUUUGCAUGAUUUGAAUGGAACUAACCUGGACUGACGCUGUUAUUCUUGUGCAGAAAUCAAAGUUCUCCAAACGUCUUGAAAAUUUACGGGGAGUGGUUUUGGAAAAUAAGAAAAAUAUCUGCGCCAAGUUCCACCUCAGGGGGUGGGCCUGUGGGCCACAAGCCCUGGUUCCUCCACCACCCCCCUGGUGGCGGUGGGCAGGCUUGUGGGGCCCACACGGCUCUGCCGCCCCCAAUCUCAGGUCUAUAAGAUCCCUUUUGUGCCAGAAAAAAUAAGAAGAGAAGUUUUCGUCGCGUUUGCGAUACGGAGGCGCUGCCACCACCUGUUCUUCAUCUGGAGGGCAGAUCUGUAGUCCGUCUUGGGCUCCGGAAAGGGGAAAUUGUCGCCAUCGUCAUCAUCUACCUUCUUCCCUCUCCAAUUCCAUGAAGCUCUUCGUCGUUCGUGAGUAAUCUAUUCGUAGGCUCGCUCGGCGGUGAUGAGUAGGAUGAGAUCUAUCAUGUAAUCGAGUUAAUUUUGAUGGGGAUUGAUCCCUAGUAUCCACUAUGUUCUGAGAUUGAUGUUGCUACUACUUUGCCACGCUUAAUGCUUGUCACUAGGGCCCGAGUGCCAUGAUUUCAGAUCUGAAACCAAUAUAUGUGUGUUUUAGAUCCGAUUUCGCAAUUUGUAGUUACCUACUAUGUGUUAUGAUCCGGCAACCCCGGAGUGACAAUAACCGGAACCACUCCCGGUGAUGACCAUAGUUUGAGGAGUUCAUGUGUUCACCAAGUGGUAAUGCGUUGGUCCGGUUCUUUAUUAAAAGGAGAACCUUAAUAUCCCGUAGUUUCCUUUUGGACCCCGCUGCCACGGGAGGGAUGGACAAUAGAUGUCAUGCAAGUUCUUUUCCCUAAGCACGUAUGACGACACACGGAAUGCAUGCCUAUAUCACAUUGACGAACGGGAGCUAGCCACAUAUCUCUCCAUGUUAUAGUUGUUGCAUGAUGAAUAUCAUCCAAACAAAUCACCGACCCAUUGCCUACGAGUUUGUCCUAUUGCUGCUGUUACUUGUCUUGCUCUGCUGCUACUGUUGCUACUACUGUUACUUGUCUUGCUCUCCUGCUGUUACUACUGUUGCUACUAUUGCUACUUGUCUUGCUCUUCUGCUACUGUUGCUACUACUAUCGCUUGCUACUGUAGCUACUUGCUACUUCUGUCACUACCGAUGUUCCUUGCCACUGCCGGUACUCGCUACUUUGUUGUUACUACUUUGCUUGCAGAUACUAAUCUUUCAGGUGUGGUUGAAUCUGACAAUUCAACUGCUAAUACUUGAGAGUAUUCUCUCACCUCCCGUCGUGCGAAUCAACAAAUUUGGGUCGAAUACUCUACCCUCGAAAACUGCUGCGAUCCCAUGCGCUUGUGGGCCGUCAACAACAUUCUUCUAGUUUCGAUUGCCGGAGAGUGCUAGCAGCAUUCUUCUGGUGCCGUUGCAAAGGGGAAGAAUAGUUGGCAUCAUGCUUCCCCUGUCCAAAAGUAGUCUUCGCGUGCAAAGUGGCUAUCAAUGUAGCAGGGAUGGGUCCAAGGAUGACGUUCGUCCUGCUGGCCAGCGGUGGUAGCCUUGUUGCACCAGAACAAAAACCUUUGGGAGAUGCCUUAGAGACCUGCAUCCGUCCUCGCCCCUUUGCACUAAAGGGGGAACUACACUAUCCUGCUGUCUGCUGCUCGCCUAUCCUUCCCCUGCGUCAUCCUCGACUCCUGAGGCCGGGUCUCGCCUCAGAAUGUCCGCCGCUCUGGAGCGGUCCUGAGGAGGCCCCAUGCAGGUCUUGGUGCUGAUCCUCCUCGCGAGGCUUGGCCCCACGCGAGGACCUUGCCUUGAGUGGUGUCGGGCCUGUUGGUUUUGGUCGAUGGAGUGGGCCAACCCUGGGCCGCAGGCAGGUCUAGGUACCCCAUUCUCAGAACGCCGACACGAAGAGCCUACCCCCGCUCCUCCUCGCCCUCUUCCCGACCCUAGACCGCAUCCACAAAGACCAUAGACGCGUCCCCAAGCCCCCUUUGUGCCCGUAGCAGUCUCCACGGUCUUGCGAGCGCACAAGCUCUUGGUGGACCGUGCCCCUGCUAUAAAAUGUCACCCCGAGCCUCCUUCUCCCUCCCUUCGUCCUCCUACUGCUCCUAAUCGAGCUUCUAGACCACCCACUCCUUGAAAAAGGCUCCCAAGUUCUAGUUCAUGCUCAAGAUCCACCGCAAUGGGACUCCGGAAAUCCCCGGGUACAAGUCCGCUCCGUCCCUCCUCUCUUCCCCUUUGGAACCGCGACAACCUCCUAAUGCUGACCCGCCUUUCCCCCGUUCUUUUUCUGCAGUAAUUGGUCUCGGCAACCACCCACCCGAAGUGCCUCCGCCACGGGACCUCGCUGCCGGCGACUCGCUGCACCACAACCCCUUCCUCCACCACCAACCGAACGGCUGGACGAUGAUGGUCUCAUUCCCGUUACCCCCGAGCCCAGCCUUGCCCCAUCUCAUCGCCGUUGAGCUCUCCCUCUCUCUUGUCGGGAGGUUGAAGAUGACUUCGGUGGGGCCCGCCUAUCAUCCUCCUCUCCCCUCCCUCUUUGGCUGACCACUUGGGCCCAACGGUCAAUUUUGAACGCGCACGCCGCACAUGCGCCCUGUUGGUUGAAGGCGUACAACGCCUUUGCAGCUUCGACGUAGCAGCCUAGAGCGGGCUGGUUUCCCUAUGGGCCAUCUCUACCUAGCUGUUUUGGCCCAUGGGGAUCAGUGGCCCUUCGUUUUAUUACUUUUCCAGAAUUUUUAAAAAAUCCCCUAAGUUUAAAUAUUUGCCCAAAUUCAAAUAUUCGUCCACCAAAAAUCUUGUAAUAUUGUGUAGUAUUUUAGCGUGCCACUUGUGUAAUUUUUACAAUAGGUUUUGUGCAUUGUUUUAUUUUAAAACCCUAUUUUGUGCAUUUUAACACUGUGUUAAAAUAGUUUUUACAACUUUUUACAGUCCAAAAAUAAAACCCAACAAUUUUUACAGUACCUAUACUCACCAUAGUAUUUUACAAAAAUGGUCUCACAUUUUUCCGAGUAAAUUAUUUUCUUUGUUUUGGUUGAGUGCUUAAUUUUUCCCGUUGAUAUUAUGAUGAUAGAUUGUGUGCUGACGAGGGACUUGGACCAGAACACUUUCAAGAGCCCGAAGACUUUUUUGAGCAAGAAAGCAACCCCUUGGCCUUGUCUAAGAGAAUACUUUCAUGCAUGUCAUAUUUAGCAUUUCAUUUCGAUGCAUAAGAUCAUGUUGAUUUGGUAACUAUGUAAGUGGGAUGUUUGAGAUGGUUCCUCGUUGACACUUGCACUUGGGAAUAAGCCUACCUAUCUAUGAGGGUUGUGCAGGUGGGAUGUAGUUAGGUCUCUAGUAGUGCUACACAUGGGAUUGGCUACAUGCAUGGUGACGGUAAAGGAGGGUGGUUUCAAAGAUUUACGAAAACCCCGUUGGGUGCCACUAAUGCCAGAGGGAGAUGGCGUGAGCUAGGUAGCCACUUGAGAAAGAAGUGGUAUACUGAGGCUAGUGAGUGUGUGUGGUUUUCAAAAUCGGAUUGGUUUAAGUUGAGACCGUUACUCCAUCCUUACAUCCACAACCACUAUACCCCUUAUGGGACGGGGCUGUGCUCAUUACUAUGAUUGGUGCUACUAGAGAGCCCACAUUAUUAGUGGCGGGAGUGAUGUGGUCACUAUCGAGACGUGGUCGUGCCAAGAAAAGGGCUACCAUGGGCUGUUUUCACAGAUACUAGGCAGACCGUUGCGUGCCCUCAUGGAUGAUACGCGUGAUGUACAUCACGAGGAGUUGUCACCAACGCGCAGUCUCUUUGCUAGUAUCAUCAUGGGAAAGGUGAUGUUCAGGUACUUACCUAGGGUGUGACAAACACAGUGACUCGUGUCUUGACAUGGAAGUUUCUCGAGUCUUCUGGGUAAAGUGUGCAACCUCUACAGAGUGUAAAACUUUUCAAAUAGCCAUGUCCACAAUCAUGGGCAGUUGGAUGACUGCUCUUGGGCUAAUGGUGUGCGUGCGUGAGAAAGGUGGUAUAUGACAAAAAUGGUACCUGAGCUAAGUCAAAUGACUUGGCAUGUUGGGUGAACUCGGGUUGUUAAACUCUCAGUUGAUAUUGACAUGUGUAACCUAUUCACACGGAUAUCACUUACCUUAUGAUGCAUGCCCACGCGAUUCUUUGAUCAUGUCAUUGCACUAGGGAAAAAUCUGCUUUCCGCAAAAUACUUGUUAGUGCUAUAUCAUGCUUAAUUAUUGCCUUGUUCCACAUCAUGGGUUGCUUGCGAGUACAUUCAAAGUACUCACUGCCUUGCCACUUGUUAUUUAAUUGGCCAGGCAUGGAAGAGCAGGAACCUGGAGAAGAGUUCGUCGGCGAAGAACACACAAACUAGGAUGCUUCCUAGUCAGAAUACCUGUAGCUUAAGGCAGAUGGCAUGGGUUCAAGCUUUCGUUCAAGAUUUCCGAUGCUAAUUAUGUUUGGUGUGUCGGCCUUUGAGGCCCUAUCUAUGUAAGACAUGGCCUUAAGGGUCCUUAUUUGUAUCAAACGGUAUGUAUGGAUGUAAGACUCUUGUUAUUCAACUUUUGUGUGUUUAGUGAGCAUUGAUCUUUGGGAUCACUGUACAUGUGCAUUCGGUGAUCACGACUUAUGAGUUGGGGUCUGCAGAGAGUUGGUAUGAGAGUCAUCCUAAUUGUAGGAACCCUUAGCUAGCAUGAACGUCAGAUAGGACGACCCCCUUUCCAAAAACUAUACCUAUCAUAUAUAGUUAGGAGUUUCUCGAUUUCCUGCCUCUUCCACUCUAUUUUCAAAACUCUUUACUGACACCCUCUCCUUAAACCUUGUAGAUGGCCGUCAUACCUGAAACAUCCUAGCAUCUGGCUUCCCCUACUCCUUGAGGACAUCCUGGAGAAGUGCUAGAUCCGCAGAUCACCCAUUUUCCUCUACCACGAGCAUUGAGUCAAUGCCGCCAUGAAGGAAUACCACGUUGAUGUGGUCGUGAGGGAAAAUAACUCCGUUAGAAGGUGGUUUUUGAAGGACAAUAGAGGGAGACUCUCAUGUUAGUAGUCGAGACAACGACGCGAAAUGCGCUCAUCCACCUUCAUGACAUCCUCCCACAUAUGUCUGACGAGUCGGCUACUUGUCGGUGUUCUCGGAAUGGGGGUACCCAGACCUGCCUGCCUACGGCCCAGGGCUGGUCCACUUCAUCAAGCAAACUAACGGGCACGACAUCAGUCAAGGCAAGGCCCUCGUGAGGGGCCCAGACUCACGAGGAGGAACGACAUCAAGACCCGCAGGGGACAUCCCCAGGACCCCUACGGAGCGACGGAUAUUCCGAGGCGAGGCCCGGCCUCAGGAGUCAAGGAUGAUGCAAGGGAAGGAAAGGCGAGCAGCAGGCAGCAGGGCUGUGCAGUUUCCCCUUUAGUGCAAAGAGGGCAAGGACGUACCAGAGGUUCCUAAGGCAUCUCCAAAAUAUUUAUAUUCUGGUGCAACAAGAUGAUGGCCGCCCGCCGACAGGACGGACGUCAUCCCUCAUCCCGCCCGUGUAGUACUGGUAGCCACCUUGUAGGCGAAGACCACUUUUGGACAGGGGAAGCAUGUUCCCGUGUGCCCCUUCGAAAUCUGCCUUUGUGGGAUCCCUUCUCGCCGAAACGAUAAGGGAAGAGGUCCCGGGCCACCACUACAUAUAGGGGAUAGGUUGCUUCAUAGAGGGGGAUCCGACUCAUUCAUUCUCCCACGUUUACAACACCAAGCCUCCAUAGGCCAUCAUGAACACUCUACUAGUUCAUCCACCCACAUCCGAGAGAGGCAAUCCACCAAAGAAGGAGUAGGGUAUUACGCUUCUUAGCGGCCCGAAACUGGGUAAACUACCGUGUUUUAUGUCUUCCUCACCAUCGAGUGAGUUCCUCGUGCUGUCCAUUUUGUAGCGAGCUAGGCAAGGUUAGGUCGGGAGAGAUCUUCGUACACGCCCAUGAGUUCGAAUCUUCAGGGUUUUGUGGAAGCCGAAAUCCGACAUUGCGCGCCAGGUAGGGGGCGUCUUGAGGUCUUCCCCGAGCUUCAUCUUCCCUAAGCCCGCUACCAUGAUGACUGGCGCCAGCAAGCUUCUUCGAGCCUCGUCGAGCGGGCUUCCAACCGUCAUACCACAGCGGCGGCAACGUGUAUCGGCAUUGUGGUACCAGGCGGCUCGUACCAGAUCAUUAACGUGACCUCCACCGUCGAGAACACCCGCGCCAACCAGGCGCCCCGUGGCUGGACGGCGCCACUGGCAUCCCUGACGCGCCCCAUCAACUUGGUGGACCUCAACACGCACGACGCGUUGUAGAUGGUGAGCGAGAUGCUGCUCCAACGACCUAUGCAAGGGGGCUUCACGCCUGGGCAGACCACAUGAAGGAGCUGAUCGCCAUCGCCAAGAAGUCCAUCCAGCCCCACUCUCCUUCAAGGCCGCAGGUGCCAGUCAUCGGGGGCUCACACCUUGUGCCGGUCCCUGGGGUCUGCAAGCGACGGAGCCUCUCCUGUGCGGGGCGGGGUCGAGAGAGAUGCGUCGCACGCUACCCUUCUCCUCCUCCAGAUUCCGAAGGCCGGUCUCGAGGCGCAGCAUGCCAACAACCACCAGAGGCGCUACGAGAACGGCGGGACGUUCGAUGCACACACCAGCGUGCAUCGCCAAGACCAGGUCGGCCUCCGACAAUCCGAAGCGGCCAGACAAGAGCGAUCCCUCAGGCGCAGCCAGCAGCGGGCGGCGGAGGCACCGGCGCGGGCGAGCUACGGCAAUGGAGACAUGCUAGGGCACGAAGGGGGGAGUCCACACUGAGCGACACGGGGACCAACCAACGGCGGCAACAGGAACAAGCGGCUUCGUGCGGAAGCCCAUCACAUGAAGAUAUUUGAGCAACACGGCCGGGGGGACCCCCCUCCACCUCUGAGGGGGACCGCAACCAUCACAUUACUGAACGGCUUUGGAUGUCGAUCUAACGCCUACAUGGAGCCCUAUGUACCGGAGUAUGCGAUGCCGCCUGACCCUCCCGAUGAAGAAGAGCCUCAAGCGCCUCCCCGGGCGCCUACUCUCAUCAGGAGUAAGGAGCACCGUGGAGGCCCCCAGCGCCCCCAGGCCCUAGGGCGUGACACUAGCCGUCGCCCCUACGGAUAAACUGCGAAGAACGAGACCCCAGGCCUCAAGAGGACAAGUCAUAUGAAGCAACGAGACGCAAGUGGCGUGGGCCACCCACGGCAACCACGGAGAUGGAGUAGGAGCGGAGGGCCACGCCUCACGAGGCGCCCCUCAUACACGAAGAGGCUAUGCGAGGUAACUUUUUGGGUUCACUGCUCAAGAGAGUACCUGCUGACCGCAGGGACUUCACGUGUUCACGACAUGCCCUUGCCUAUCAUAUCAUUUACUCAUGUUUUCAUAACUCCUACUACAUCCAUUCGGUGACCUAAAAUCUUGCCUUGCUUGCAUCUUCGGUUGAUCUAUCCCCCCCCCCCCGCACGGGACUCCGACCGGUGUGCGUCGCCCCAACACGGGGACUGGGGAGGCCCCGUGGAUCCCGAGGGCCACAAUCAAUAGGCUAGAAUUGAGGCCACUUGAGUGUCGAAGCUCAGGGGCCUUACCGGUCACAAGGUCACUUGCCGCCCUUGAUAUCGUCCAUGGACAUUCGGUCCUUAUCAGGGGUGGCAGGGCUUGACCCCGUAGCUGAGAUCGUCCAUUCGGUCGCAAGCAACGGCGGUUGGGAAAUGUGUAGGACUUGGUCCUGGCGACGCAGAGUCGCUUGAGCGUCAAAGUGGGGCUCCUGAGCAUCGAGCCUCAGGGUCCUUACUAGUGAUAAGGCCACUUGCCGCCCUAGAUAUCGUCCACGCACAUUCGGUCGUUAUCAGGGGUGGCAGGCCUUGACCCUGUAGCUACAUCCAUUCACAUGGUCACACGCAACGGCGGUUUGGAAAUGUGCGGGACUGGAUCUUAGCGACGCAGAGCUGCUCGAACGUUAAAGGGGGCAUCUGAGCAUUGCGCCUCAGGAGCCUUACCGGUCACAAAGCCACUUGGCCACCCUGGUGCCGUCCCGGUACAUUUGGUCGGUAUCAGGGAGCCAGGGGCUUGCCACGUGAGGCGCCUUACGGCUACAGGGAAAUGCGAGGGACUGGGACGUGUCGACGUAGAGCAAUAUAAAAGCCCUCAACCGGCCUCAGGAGAAGGAGCACGUAGGACCUACAUCAACCCGUCGCACCUCUCCAUCGUCCUUCAAUCCUUCCGAAACCUACUCCAUCCCAUGAGACUCUCACAUAAUAACAAGCCGAGGCUGCAUACGCCCAGGGCUCCCCGAGGACACAGAAGGGGCCCACCCCAUGCCUAGUGGAAGACCUAUGCUCCAAGCUGGGUGCAGAUGGAGGAAAUCAACACAGUCCACCUAUGAAUUCUGGAAUGAGGCACCUAUGCCUCGGGGGUAGGGACACUCGCGAGGCCAAAGCGUCCUCGCUACCUCCCAUAUACACCCCUACCGUGACAAUCUCACGUAAUAAUGAGCGAAGGUUGUAUACGCCCAGGCCCACCCAAGGACGCGGAAGGGGUCCACCUCACGCCUAGUGGAAGACCUAUGCUCCGCGCUAGGUGCAGACGGAGGCAAUGAACUUAGUCCACCAAUGACUAUGCCCGUAGAUGGCAAGGAAACCCACAUAGUCCACCAAUGACUAUGCCAGCCUAGGUGCCAGACGCGGCGUUUGCUUGCUUUUCCUAGAUUUUGAACUAUCUUCUACAAGACUUACAUCUGUCAAUUUUAAAAGUUGAUGUUUGAAAAAAAGAGUGUUGGAAAUUUCUCUUGUGCUUUCUCGUAUUCGCCGGUUUUGUAGACUCUUUUCUCGUUGACAUUCUGUGAGGAGCUAAACGCUCUCCACCGCACCUAGGGGCCACGGAGCGAAAGCAAGGACUUACCGUCCCACGGCCAAACAGUUUCGGCGAUCAACCCCCGCUCGGGGGUCCGGAUCGAAGCACGAUAUCAUCACAAAGAGUCCCAGGAGGCCUUAGGGCAUCCUGGGGUGAUGACCAAAGGAACGGGGAGAGGAACCACUCAAGUGCCAAAGGGGGCUCCUGAGCAUCGAGCCUCAGGAGCCUCACCGGACACGGUGCAGGACCAGGGCCUGCAAACAUAGAGUGCCGAAAGGGUCUCCACCCCAUCCUGCAUGCAAAGCAGGAGCUACUCAGGAGGAGCUACGAAGGGACCAACGCAAACCCCACGAGCAAAGUACCCUGCGGGCCUAAACGGGGGUCAUUUGGUUUCACGCAAACUAACAAUAAAUUCAAAACACGCGUACUAACAGAGGGAUGCACGGCCUAAGGAUCCAACUGCGGCAAGGAAUGAAGCCGACGACAAAGCGUGCAGCGGCUCGAGCGGUGCCUCUGGAGGACGGGACCUCAUGAGGGCCCUAACCGCCGUUAUCCCCUAGCUAUGGCUGGGGCUGCGACGGGACCUGAGCUUCGAAGCCGAGCCGCAACGACCACCACCGAGGAAACCAUCAAUUCAAAAGCGAAAGGGAAAACGACGGACGACAAAGGUAAAAACGCAAAAGCUUAACGCCCGACAAGGCAUGGUUCUUGAUCAAACAUCGCAGGAGCAGGUAAACAGAAGUUGGGGGUGCCUAGGGGGAGAGGCCGCCGACGUCGCCAUUGGCGCCUGCAGGCUCGGUGUCCGAUCCCUCCUCCUCCCUAGAGACGAGCACCCGGACAUAACGCUCCACCAUGACGUCCACGUGAGGGCGGACUUCAUCCCGGAGGAGAUGACGAGACUCAGCGGGCGCCGGCUCGACGAUGCGCCGAAGGUUGAGCUGCAGGGCAAGGCGGCAUAGGUUGGAGAAGACGAGCGUCAAGGCAAGGCCCACAAGCUCGCGCGCGUCGGCCGUGUUGUCCCCCUCCACGUGGGAGGCGCCAGCCUCCAGCAUCUCCACCACCUUCUGGAUGAAGGCGAGGUAGCCCCCAUCGUUUCUCACGUUCGGUGGGGCUGGGGCGUCCCCCAUGAUCCGGCGCAUCGCGUCGGCCUCCCGGUCGGCGAUGCCCGCGAACUACUUGGCACGCUGGAAUGCCAUCGUCCGGGCGUGCGACACCUCAUCCUUGCCAGCUAGGACGGCGUUGGUCGCCUCCUGGACCUGCUGCCGCAGCGACGCGAGCUCCUCCUUGGCCUUGGCCUCGCCCUGGCGGGCAGCCUGGAGAGUGGCAUCGGCGCUCUCGAGAUGGGCCCGCAGCCCCUCCACCUCCUCCUGAAGCUUGCCAAGCUUAGGUUUCUUGGCGGAGGGCGUGCUGGGGAAGAGGAGAGAUCAACCACCAAGCAACUCAUGGGGCAAUCAGGAAAAGAGGCGCAGGCAAGGGACUUACUCGUCAGCCAGAGCCCAGCGGUGUCGGACGGCGGAGGCCCUUAGGUUCCUCCGUCGCUGCUCCCGGAGGCGUACGGGGGCACGGACGGAGCCGCGUGCUUCCCCCUGCCAAGUUCGCCUCCAAGAGACGCCAUGGAAGACACGGAAAUGAAGAGGAGAGGAGGUUUUCUCAAUGGAGCGAAGGUAAGCAGAGAGGAAGCUCAAGAUUGCAGUGCCCCCUUGAAGGGGUGGGGUAGAUUUAUAGGCGGACCACGGCCACCGAUCGUCAUGGGAGCGCGAGCGUCGCGCGCCCCACGUGGGUCGCGAGGUGGGACGAUGGGAGCACUGCUGCUCAUGUCGCUUCACCUGUCCACCGAGCGGUCAUGUCCAUGCGGGCCGUUGGAUGUGGUCAGGUCGCACCAAUGCCAUUCAAUGGGAACAAUGGUGGCCAGCACAGUUCUUGUAGAUCGUGCCAUCGUGGCCUGUUGUCGGUGUUCUAGGAAUGGGCAUACCCAGGCCUGCCUGCGUGCUUGCUCAGGGCUGGUCCACUCCAUCAACAAAAGAUCGACUAGAAACAACAAGCCUCACGAGGAAGAGCGACAUCAGACCCGCAGGGGGCCUCCUCAGGACCCCUCCGGAGCGGCGGAUAUUUCGAGGCAAGGCAGGGCCUCAGGAGUCAAGGGUGAUGCCAUGGAAGGACAGCGAGUAGCAGAUGGCAGGACGGGGCAGUUUCACCUUUAGUGCAAAAGAGGAAGGAGCGUACCACGACCCCAAAGGCAUCUUCCAAAGGUUUCCCUUCCGGUGCAACAAGACCACGGUCGCCCGCUGGCAGGAUGAGCGUCAUCCCUGCGCCCACCUCUACGGCACUGGCAGUUGCUUUGCAGGCAAACACCACUUUUGACAGGGGAAACAUGUUCCCUUGUCCCCCACCGAAAAUGGUUGUUGUGGGAUCCCUUCCCACCAACGAUAAAGGAAGAGGACUCGGGCCUCCACUAUAAAUAGAGAGAGUAGGAUACUUGGUAGGGGGAUCAGGUCAUUGAAACUCCACAGCAACACACAUAGCCACUUUGCCUCCGGAGGCUCGAGAGCACUGUACUAGUUCAUCUACCAACCCCCAUGAGGGGAAAUCCACCAAAAGCAGGAGUAGGGUUUUACGCCUCGCAGCGGCCCGAACCUGGGUAAAUUAUUAUGUUCUAUGUUUCAUCCAGUUGCAGGCUAGGUAAGGUCGAGGCGGGAGAGAUCACUGUACACGCCCCUAUGUUCGAAUCCUUAGGGUUUUGCCAAGCCCGAAAUCUGACAUUUGGCACGCCACGUAGGGGGGCGUGUGAAGGCCUUCUCGUAGCUUCCUCCUUUCCAGGCGGCUGGACCGAUGGCCGGGGACCAACCAGCUUCUCCGAGGCUCGUCGAGCUGGUCUCCGACCGCAACGUCACAGCUGCUGAAAGCUCCCAUGCCGGCGUCACGGGACCAAGCGGCUCGUACCACGUCGUCAACAUCAUCUCCACCGUGGCGGCCACUCGUACCACCCAGGCACAUGGUGGUUGGGCGGCGGCCCGGGCACCCGCAGUGCGCCGCAUCAACCUGGGAGACCUUAGCGCACACGGCGCGUUGCGGAUGUCAAGAGAGAUUCUCCGCUAACGACCGACAUCAGGGGGCUUCGACGCCUGGGCAAACCACAUCAUGGAACUGGUCGCCAUCGUAGAGGAAGACCAUCUAACCCGGUGCAUCCUCGAGGCCAUAGGCGCCGGGAGCCGGGGGCUCGCAUCGCGCGCCGGUCCCCGGACCUACAAGCUUUGGGCCCCUACCCGCCCUGGGCGGGGCCGAAAGAGACACGCUUUGCGCCGCCCUCCACCUUCUCCAGACCCCAGCGACCGGCCCCAAGGCGCACCAUUUUGACAAACACCGGGAACUUGAGGAGAACGGUGGGACGACCAGCGCACAUGCUAGCGUGCAUCACCAAGAAAAAGUCGGCCCUCGACAGCCUGGGGCGGCUCGAUAGGAGCGAUCCUUCCGGCGCUGCCAGCAGAGGGAGGAGGCGAUGUUGCAGAUGAACUACUAUAGCGGAGACAUGGCAGGACACCAAGGAGGGAGCCAGCACCGGGCGGCGCCGGGACAAGCUAGCGGAAGCAACGGGAACAAGCGACUUCGCGCAGAAGCUUAUCGCAUGAAGAUCUUCGAGCAGCACGGUCGAGGGGAUCCCCCUCCGCCGGCGAGAGGGACCGCCACCAUCGCGCUGCUGAACAGCCACGGGGGACGGUCGAGCGACUACAUGGAGCCGUACGUGCCAGAGUAUGGGGCACUACCUGAUCCUCGUUACGAAGAAGAGCUUCGGGCGUCCCCUCCGGGCGCCUAUCCUCCUCAGGAGUGAGGAACGUUUGGGGGCUCCUCAUGGAGCCGAUCCCAAGGGGCGCGGGCAGGGAGGCACCCUCAAGACGCGGGGCGCAGUGCUAGCCGCCCUCCUCACAGAAGGACUACGUAAGGCCAAACCCACGGGCCUCAGGAGGACGAGUCGAAUGCCGUGAUGAGACGCAAGUGGCAUGGAUCACCCGCGACAACCAUGAUGCUGGCGUGGGCAUCGGGUGCCAGGCCUCGGAGGCGCUCCUCAGGCGCUAGGGGGCUUCAACUAUUCGGCGAGGUAAUUCUUUGGAUUUACUGCCUUAAGGAGUGUUUGCGGACCGCUUGAACUUCAACUACUAGGGGCAUACUUCUGCAAGUCGUAUUCUUUAAAAUUCCCAUCACAUCCACUUGGCGAUCUAACACACUGCCCUGCUUGCAUCCUUCGGCGAUCCACCUUCCUCACUCGGGGGCACCGGCUGCUAUGCAUCACCCCAACGUGGGGAUGGGGGAUCCCCACGGCUCCACAGGGCCACAAUCGACAGGAUAAAAUCAGAGUUGCUUGAGCAUCCAAGGGGGCUCCAGAGCAUGGCGCUCGAGGGGUCUUACCGGUCACAAGGCCACCUGCCGCCCUUGAUAUCGUCCUUGGUGAUACUAUCGUUAUGAGGGGCGGCAGGGCUUGACCGCGUAGCUGAGAUCGCUGAUUUAGUCGCAAGGAGCGGUGGUCCAGAAAUGUGCGGGACCGGGUCCUAGCGACGCAGAGGUGCUUGAACGUCAAAACGAGGCUCCGGAGCAUGGCGCCUCAGGAGCCUUACUCGUCACAAGGCCACCAACCACCCCCAACAACGUCCUUGGUGAUCCGGUCAUUGUCGGGGGAGCCAGGGCCUGACCCCGUGGCUACAACUGUUCACUUGGUCCCACGCAACGGCGGUCAGGAACUGUGCGGGACUGGAUCCUGGUGAUGUAGAGCCGCUCGAAUGUUACAAAGGGGGGGAGGGUUCCUGAGCAUCGCACCUCAGGGACCUUACCGGUCACAAGGCCACCAACCACCCUUAAUAGCAUCCUUGAUCUGGUUGAUGUUAUGGGAGGCAGGGCCCGACCCCGUAGCUACGUCCGUUCACUCGGUCCCACGCAACGGCGGUCGGGAAAUGUGCGGGACUGGGGCCUGUCAACGUAGAGUCAUAAAAAGCCCUUAAUUGGCCUCCCGGGAGGGAGCACACAAGACAUGCAUCAACCGGUCGCACCUCUGCAUCGUCCUUCAAUCCUUCCGGAACCUACUUCAUCCCGUUACACUCUCACAUAAUAACAAGCCGAGGCUGUAUACGCCCAGACCCCCCCCCCCCAAGGACGUGGAAGGGGUCCACCCCACGCCUAGUGGAAGACCUAUGCUCCGCGCUGGGUACAACACAGUCCACCAAUGACUCUAGCAGCUCAGACCCCAAUGCCUCGGGGGUAGGGACACUCGCGAGGCCAAAGCGUCCUCGCGACCUCCCAUCUACACUCCCACCGUGACACUCUCAUGUAAUAAUGAGCCGAGGCUGUAUACGCCCAGGGUCCCCCAAGGACCCGGAAGGGGUCCACCUCACGCCUAGUGGAAGACCUAUGCUCCAUGCUGGGUAAAACACGAACGCAAUCAGCAUUGUCCACCAAUGACCAUGCACCCAGCUGGCAAGGAAACCCAUAUAGUCCGCGAAUUACUAUGCCAUCUUUAAUGCCGGACUUGGCGCUUGCUUGCUUUUUCUUGGAUUCGAACUACCUUCUACUGAGUUUAAACUGGCCAAUUUCAAAAUUUGGUUUUUCCUGUCACAAUGCCCGACGUUUGAAACAUAAAAGGGGGGACUUUCUUUGGCAUUUCUUAUUUCACUGGCUUUGAAACCUCCUGUACGGAGGACGUGUUUGGAUACAACCUCUCUGUGCCACCCCUAGGAGUCAAGGAGCAUGAAUGCAAGGACUUGCCACCUCAGGGGCAAUGUUCUUAAGUGGUCAACCCCCGCUCAGGGGUCCAGACCGAAAUUUGAUACCACCACCAAGAGUCUCGGGAUGCCUCAGGGCCCCCUGGGGCGAUGACCAAAGGAAUGAAGUGCGGAAUCACUCGGGCGCCAAAAAGGGGGCUCCUGGGAUUGCUUCAGGAGCCUUACCGGUCGUCAAAGCCGGGGCAUGACGAUGCAGAGUGGCUUGAGUUUCAAGUGAGUCUCCUGAGCAGUGCACCUGAGGAGCCUUACUGGUCGCAAAGCCACUCGGCACCCAGGGUGCCGAGGCUUUUCCCCGUAAGGAGCAGACUUGGUAACCGGUUGAGCCUCACGGCGGCAGGGAAAUGUGCAAGAUAGGGAGCUGCACACAUAGAGUGUCGAAAGGGUCUUCACCUCGUCCCGCUUACAAAACAGGAGCUGCACCGGAGGAACUACACAAGAGACCGACACAAACCCACGAGCUAAGUGCCUCACAGGCCCCAACCGGGACCCUCUCGCUUUACGACAAACUAAUGGUGAAUUAAAAACAUGCGCACUAACGAAAGUAUGCAGGGCCUAAGGAUUCAACGAUAGCAAAGAGCGAGUCCAACACCCAAGCACGCGGCGGCACGAGAGGUGCCUCGGGAGGACAUGACUUCCAGAAGGUCGCGCUUCCCUCGUCGUCCCAAGCCACAACAGGUGCAGCGAUGUGCCCUAAGCUUUGCAGCCCGGCUGCAGCGACCACCAACAUGCAAGCCAUCACCACAGGACCAAAAAGAAAAGAGGAGGACAACAAGGUAAUAAUGGCUAAAGCUUAACGCCUGACAGGGAAGAGUUCUUGAUCCACUAUUCUAGGAGCAGGCAAACAGAAGUUUGGGGCACUAAGGGGAGGGGCUGAUGACGUCACCCAUGGCACCAGCUGGCCCGACAUCUGGACCACCCUCCUCGCUCGAGGCGGGCGCCGGGACGUACCGCCUCACCAGGGCGUCCACAUGCGGGCGGACCUCGUCCCGGAGAAGACGACAUGACUCAAUAGGCGCUGGUUCGACGACGCGCCAGAGGUCGAGCUCGGGAGCAUGGCAGCGCAAGUUGGAGAAGACGAGCGUCAGGGCAAGGCUUAGGAGUCCGCGCGCGCUGGAUGCGGUGUCCUCCUCCAUGCAGUGGAUGCCAGCCUCCAGCGCCGCCACGACCUCCUGGAAGAAGACGAGGUAGCCCCCGUCGCUCCUCACGUUAGGGAGUGCUGCGGACUUCCCCGCAAACCAGCGCGUCACGGCGGUUGCCCGGUCGGUGAUCCCCGUCAAUUGUAGGGCGGUGGGACACCGUCAGCUGGGCAUACGAUGCAUCGUCCUGAGCGGCUUGCAUGGCGUUUGCAGCCUCCCGAACCUGCUGCUGCAGCGAUGCUAGCUCCUCCUUUGCCUCCGCCUCUCCUUGGCGGGCGGGACAGAGGGCGACCUGGGUGCUCUCGAGUCGGGCCUGAAGCUCUUCCUCCUCCUCUUAGAGCUUGCUGAGCUUUGGCUUCUUGGAGGAGUGCGCGCUGAAGAAGAAGUAAGAUCAACCAUGGGACAACAGGUGAAGCAACAAGCAAAGGAGACGCUACGAAGGACUUACUCGUCAGCCAUUACCCAGCGGCAGCGGACAUGCGUAAGGAGGGCCCUCUGUCGCUGCCUCCGGGGGUGGACGAAGGAGCAGGAGGCGUUGCGUGCUUCCCCCGACCAGAACUGUCUCCGGUAGAUCCCAUGAAGACGAAGGGCGAAGGAGAGGAGAGGUUUUCUCGCGGCAGACGGAUGAAGCAGAGAAGAAGCUCGAGGUUGUGGCCCCCCCGAAGGCGGCUGAGCGAACUUUUAGGCGAUCCCUAGCCACCAACCAUCGUGGGAGCGUGGGUGUCGCACGCCCCACGAGGGCCACGAGGUGGGCCGACGGAAGCGCUGUCGCCCACGUCGCCUCACAUGUCCACCGAUCGGUCACAUCCGCGAGGGACGUUGGGUGUGGUCACAUUCAAUGACCAACAUGAUGACCUGCACGAGUCUUGGGGAUUGCAUCAUCGUGGUCUGGCACCACCCGGGUGCCUCGAGGAGCGAGAGCGGCACCGCGCAUCUACGGGGAACGUGGGUCGCCUCACCCGCAGGCAAAUGGGGCCUGCGACGUUUCGGGCGGCCUUCAAGGCUUCACCGUGAAGCCAACCGAGGCGCGCCUUGGGCCCAGGGGCUAUUGUAGGCGUUAUGGGAAUGGGGGUACCCAGACCUGCCUGCCCGCGGCUCAGGGUUGGCCCACUUCAUCUACACAAGAUCGCAAGGCUUGGCUGUCGCGAGGGGCCAAGCCUCGCGAGUAAGAGUGACAUCAAGACCCGCAGGGGGCCUCCUCAGGAUCCCUCCGGAGCGGUGGAUAUUUCGAGGCAAGGCCGGGCCUCACGAGUCAAGUGUGACGCCAUGGAAGGACAGACGAGCAGCAGAUGGCAGGACGGGGCAGUUUCCCCUUUGGUGCAAAAAAGGAAGGAGCGUACCAAGGCCCCAAAGGCAACUUCCAAAGGUUUCCGUUCCCGUGCAACAAGACCACGACCGCUCACCGGCAGGAGGAGCGUCAUCCUUGCGCCCACCUCUUCGGCACUAGCAGCUGCUUUGUAGGCGAAGACCACUUUUGACAGGAGAAGCAUGUUCCCUUGCCCCCCACCGAAAAUGGCUGUUGUGGGAUCCCUUCCCGCCAACGAUAAGGAAGAGGACCCAGGCCUCCACUAUAAAUACAGACAGUAAGAUACUUGGUAGGGGGAUCAGAUCAUUGAAACCCCAGAGAAACACACCUAGCCACUUGGCCUCCGGAGGCUUGAGAGCACUGUACUAGUUCAUCCACGAACCUCCGUGAGGGUCAAUCCACCAAAAGCAGGAGUACGUUUUUACACCUCGUAGCGUCCAUAACCUGGGUAAAUUGUUGUGUUUUUUGCUCCCCUCACCAUCGAGUAAGUGGUUCUCCGUUUCCAUCGAGUUGGGGCUAGGUAAGGUCGAGCCGGGAGAGAUCACCGUACACGCCCUUGUAUUCGAAUCCUUAGGGUUUUGUGGAGCCCAAAAUCCGACACCUGGCGCACCCUGUACGCCUCGUGGAGCGAGAGCGUCACCACACAAUCGUUGGACACGUGUGCCACCUAGCCCGCAAGCAAUUAGGUCCCGCGACACUUCAGGCUUCCCUCAAGGCUUUGCCGUGAAGCCAACCCAGGUGCCCUUGGGUCCGGGGGCUACUGUCCGCGUUCUGGGAAUGGGGGUACCCAGACCUGCCUGCCUAAGGCCCAAGGCUGGCCCACUUUGUCAGAAAAUCUGACGGGCGCGACAUCACUCAAGGUAAGGCCCUCGUGAGUGGCCAAGCCUCACGACGAGGAACGACAUCAAGACCCACAGGGGAUCUCCCGAGGACCCCUCCGGAGUGGCGGAUAUUCCGAGGCGAGGCCCGGCCUGAGGAGUCAAGGAUGACAUAAGGGAAGGACAGGCGAGAAGAAGGAAGCAGGGCGGAGUAGUUUCCCCUUCAGUGCAAAGAGGGCAAGGUCGUACGAGAGGUUCCUAAGGCAUAUCCAAAAGAUUUCCAUUCUGGUAGAACAAGACCAUGGCGGCCCGCCGGUAGGACGGACGUCAUCCCUGAACCUGCCCCUGCAGUACUGGCAGACACUUUGCACGCGAAGACCAUUUUCGGACAGGGGAAGCAUGUUCCCCGGUCCCCCUUUGCAAUUGGCUGUUGUGGGAUCCCUUCCUGCCCAAACAAUAAGGGAAGAGGACCCGGGCUUCCACUACAUAUAGAGGAUCGGUUGCUUCAUAGAGGGGGAUCCAACUAAUUCAUUCUCCCCCGGGCACAACACCAAGCUUCCGGAGGCCCUCAAGAUCACUUUACUAGUUCAUCCACCCACCUCCGAGAGAGGCAAUCCACCAAAGCAGGAGUAGGGUAUUACGCUUCUCAGUGGAUCGAACCUGGGUAAACUGCCGUUUUCUGUGUCUUCUUAACCAUCGAGUGAUUUCCUUGUGAUGUCCAUCGAGUACCGAGCUAGGCGAGCUUAGUCCGGGAGAGAUCUUUGUACACGCCCCUGAGUUUGAAUCUUGAGGGUUUUGCGGAGCCCGAAAUCCGACACUACUCACCACUUCCCUUUCGGGAAGGAUGAUGAUGGUGGGAGUUGGACAUUUAUUCCAUCCCCAGAGGAUGGAACACCACUCAGGUUCCAUACAUACUUCAGCCUCUUUGCCGAUAGUGUGGCUCACAAACUGAUCAAGGAGUCCAUGAAGCUCCGCUAGGAACUUCACCACACCCGUGAGCUACUUCGUCAAGCUAAGACAAAGCCAGGAAAGAUCAAGAAGGAUGGAGCCCCCGAGGGACGACCUGUUGUCGCUUAUAGAGGAGGAGUACCCCCAGAUAGAGAUGCACCCGCACGACAUCAUCACAAGAGCGCGAAGGAUUAUUGUAAGAUCUUCACCGCUCCACCGAUGAAGCGUCAUGAGGAUGGAACUCCCCAUUCCCUGACUCCCUCAACGAGAGACAUUGCCCGUACAGCUGAUGACUAGGAGGAAGACCCAGGGGAGCGUGAGUACGAGACCGAACACUCCACUACUUGAAUCUGAGAACCGCUAGGGUAGGAUAAGCUAUGUAUCCCUCAUGUGAAGUCGAGUAUGUCUAAUGGUUGCACUGUACCAACCCCCUUAGGCGCGAUGCCCUCUUGUUGCUAUUUCUUUCAUCUAUUAUAGGUUUUUGACUUGGCUACUGCAAACAAGAUGGUGAGUGCUACUCUCACCAGUACUUUUGGCAACCCCAGCACCUGCGACUCUAGCCAGGAGCCAGGAGCCGGUGAGUCUGCUCAGACUGAAGGUCACCUGGAGCAGCCACGUGGUGAUCUUCCCCCGCCACCGCCCAGCGGAGAACAUGACUCUAAGCUCCUUGGGAGGAAUGCCAAGCCAACACUACCGCUAUCCAGCAGAUGACUUAGGUUCUCGUGAACAUCCAGGAGCAAGGUGGGAAUGACAACUGAAUCCUUGGACGCUGAUUCCAGCAGCAAGGAGUGAGAAUUCAUCAAGACUUCGCCCCGACCUUCACCUAGACAACUGAAUCCUUGGACGCUGAUGACUGGAUUCGCACCAUUGAGGACCUCCUUGCAUUGGUUAACUGCAAUGAGGACUAUGAGAAGGUUCUCUAUGCCUCUCACUGCCUCGGAGGUACAGCCAGAGCCUGGUGAGAUGGAUUCAAGGGCAUGCAAGGCAAGCGUGUGAUCACCUCGGAUGAUUUCAAGCAAGGAUUUUCCAUAGCCCAUAUCCCUUCUGGGAUUAUGGCCAUCAAGAAGCGGGAAUUUCAAGCGCUGAAGCAAGGAAGUGGCUCUGUCAAGGAGUACCGGCAUAAGUUCAGUGUCUUGUCAAGGUAUCUACUUGAUGAUGUCAGCACCGAGGCAUCCAAGAUAGAACGCUUCAUGGAAGGACUUCGGCAAUCACUUGAGAAUCUACUUAUUGUGUGUGACUACCGAACCUUCUUCGAGCUGGUAAACAAGGCCCUCAUGCUUGAAGAUAAGCGUCAUGCCAUGGAAGAAACAUGCAAACAUAAGAUGAUCAACAUCGGUGGUUCCAACAACCAGAAGACUCACCCGUGGCAAUCAGCCCCAGCAAAGAAAAACUAUCAACCUCAUCAAUCCAAGACUCCUACACCUUUCGAGCCACCAGCGUCAGCAGUAUGCCAACCCCAGGCCGGCAUACAACAAUCCCAAUGAAAACACUGGUGGCAAGACCAACAACUUAGGGCAGGUCACAUGCUUUGGGUAUGGUCAGCCUGGACACAUGUCAAAGCAGUGCCCCAACAAGAAGCCACCGCGCCCCAAUGCGCUAAACUAGGGACAAGGCCGUGGAGCGCCACCCAGGAAGCAAGCUCCCCGCAACUUUCCCAACAAUGGAAAGGGUUGGGUGAAUCACGUCUCCACCGAGGAAUUCCAGGAGGACCUCGAUGUUAUACUGGGUACGUUCCUUGUCGACUCAACCCGAUCGACAAUUGUUUUUGAUUGUGGUGCUUCACAUUCUUCUGUUACCCAAAAGUUUGUGCUAGAGAGUGGCAUGGAUAUUACGCCUUUGAGUAGUCACAUGAUGGUACAAACCCCGGGUGCAGUAAUGAGGACCAAGACAGGGUGUAAAGGAGUUGGGAUUAACAUCAACGUGGUAGACUUCUUAGUAUAUCUCAUCGUCCUAAAGGCGCAAGGCCUGGACGUGAUCCUUGGAAUGGAUUGGUUAACCAAACACCAAGGCUUGUUGGAUUGUGCCAAGAGGACUGUUACAAUGACCAAUAGCCAAGGAGUCAAAGUAAAGUACGUUCCCAAUCCUACCUCCAAUCAAGCCCCUCAGGUUAAUUGCCUUUCGGGAAUUGAAGUGGGGUUGUUAUUUUUCCUGACGAGUUGCUCAGAAUGCCACUUGGUCGUGACAUUGAGUUCAUUAUUGAGCUAAUGACCAGAGCAGGACCCAUCUAUAAUAAGCCCUAUAGAAUGGGAUCCGAAGAGUUGGCUGAACUGAAGAAGCCACUGGUUGAGCAGCUUAGAAAUGGAUUCAUUCGCCAUAGUGCCUCUCCUUGGGGAUUGUCUCUUCUAUUUGUGUCAAAGAGGGACAGAACUAUUAGGCUCUGUGUUGAUUACCGCUAUCUCAAUGAAGUCACAAUAAAGAACAAGUAUCCACUUCCCAAGAUUGAGGAAAUGUUCAAUCAGCUGAGUGGUGCCAAGGUGUUCUCCAAGAUUGAUCUCUGGUCUGGGUAUUACUUGUUGAAGAUCAGAACCGAGGAUAUCCCAAAGAUGUCGUUUGUGACUAGAUAUCGCAUGUAUGAAUACACGCUCAUGCCAUUUGGGUUAACCAAUGCCCCAACCUACUUCAUGUAACUCAAGAACAAAGUCUUCAUGGAGUAUGUGGAAAAGUUUGUGGUUGUAUUCAUUGAUGACAUACUCGUCUUCUCCAAGUCUAAAGAAGAGCAUCAGCAACACUUGAGGAUGGUUCUGGAAAAGCUUCAAGAGCACCAGCUUUAUGCAAGUUCACGAAGUGUGAUUUCUAGGUGCAUGAAGUUGGGUUUUGGGCCAUGUGUUGAUAGUAGAUGGAUUGUUAGUUGACCCUGCCAAGAUUGAAGUUGUGACGGAGUGGCAAGCGCUGACCAAGGUGAAGGAAAUUAGAAGCUUCCUCGGACUCGUGUGAUACUACCGCAAGUUUGUCGAAGGAAUCUCAAUCAUCCCCUGACCUAUGACUAAACUCUUGAAGAAGGAAAAGAAGUUCGAAUGGACGCCGAACUGGGAGGAAAGUUUCCACGAGAUCAAGGAGAGGUUGACAACAACCCCACUUCUGGCCUCCCCUGAUAUUCACAAGGAUUUUGUGAUAUAUUGUGAUGCAUGAAGGACCGGGCUGGGUGGUGUCAUGAUGCAAGAAGGAAGAGUUGUGGAAUAUCUGUCCACACAGCUACGUCCUCACGAAGAGAACUACGCCAUUCACGAUCUUGAGCUGGCAGUAGUGGUUCAUGCCUUGAAUACAUGGCAACAUUACCUUUUGGGGAAGCGAUGUGAGAUAUACACAGAGCACAAGAGUUUGAAGUACAUUUUCACUCAUAAGGAAUUGAACAUGAGGCAGGAAGAUUGUUGGAGGUGAUCAAAGAUUACGACCUCAAUGUUAAAUACCACCCUGAAAAGGCCAAUGUAGUAGCAGAUGCCUUGAGCAGAAAGGCCCGUUCCUUAAAUGCUAUGAUCGAGGAAAGGCUAACUUCCUUGUAUGAGAAACUUGAAAGCUUCGGAUUGGAGUUAGUCGCACCAGGGUUUCUAGACAACCGUGAACAGAAGCCUUCAUUGAUGAACGACAUCAAGGAAGCUCGGAAGGGACACGAGAGCAUCAAAGAUAUCAAGAAGAAGAUCAAGGAUUGCAAGGCCCCAUGAUUUUCAAUGGAUGAGCAAGGAGUUGUAUGGUUUGGGGACCGCAUUUGCGUACCCAACAAAGCUGAGCUCAAAACCUGAUCUUGCAAGAAGCACAUAACACUCCAUAUUCCAUCCAUCCUGGCAGAACCAAGAUGCAGCAAGACCUCAAGGAAAGAUUCUGGUGGCAUGGCAUGAAGAGAGAGAUAGCCUCUUAUGUCGCAAAAUGUGACGUGUGCUAGAGGGUCAAGGAUGAGCAUCAGCGACCGGCAGGACUGCUACAAUCUCUCCAAGUGCCUGAAUGGAAGUGGGACAAAGUUAGGAUGGACUUCAUCACCGAUCUGCCCAGAUCAAGCAAGGGACAUGAUUCCAUUUGGGUCAUUUUCGAUCACCUGGCCAAGGUGUCCCACUUCAUUCCCGUCAAGACGACCUACACUGGGAACCAGUUGGCAAGUCUCUACAUCAACCAGAUUGUAAGCCUCCAUGGUGUCCCCAUGUAGAUCGUGUCAGAUCGAGGUACUGAGUUCACCUCGAGGUUCUGGAAUAGAUUCCAAGAAGCCUUGGGAACCAAGCUAUCCUUCAGCGCCUCUUUUCACCCUUAGACAUGCGGACAUACGAAACGAGUAAACCAAAUACUCGAGGUCAUGCUCGGUGCGUGUAACUUGGCAUAUGGGGCCAAGUGGGAAGAUUGUUUGCCAUUUGGCAAGUUCUCCUACAAGAACAUCUAUCAAACCAGCCUCCAUAUGACACCAUUUGAGGUGUUGUAUGGUCGCAAGUGCCGCACUCCCCUGAACUGGUCAGAAACCGGGGAAGGUCUAGUCUUCGGACCAGAUGUUCUUCAUCAAGCAGAGGAGCAAGCUCAACUCGUCAGAGAGCGUCUAGAGGCCUCCAAGUCAAGACAGAAGAUCUACACCGACUCCCAUCGCUGAGAUAUGAUUUUCCGCGUUGGGGACUAUGUCUAUCUUCGAGUCAUGCCUCUCAAGGGAACAAAGCACUUCCACGUCACGGGAAAGCUUGCACCAAGAUACAUAGGCCUCUUUAAGAUCACUUCAAGAUGGGGAGAAGUUCCUACCAGCUGGAGCUACCAUCCAAACUUUUGGAUGUGCACAGUGUUUUACACAUGUCGCAAAUCCGUAAGAUCCUCCAUGUUACCAAUCACCCCCAACUCUACAAGGAUAUGGAUCAUCAAACCAUUGAUCUUCAGCUAGACCUCACUUAUCGUGAGGGACCAAUCCGCAUCCUGGAUGAAGCUGAGUGUUGCACCAGAAGCCGCGCCAUCAAGUACUUCAAGGUCCAGUGGAGCAACCACGUUGAAGCAGAAGCAACAUGGGAGCGUGAAGACUACCUCAGAUCAGAGUUUCCUUCUCUUUUUAGCGCUUAGCCUAGGAAUCUCGGGGACGAUAUUCUUGUAAGGGGGUAGGUCUGUCACACCCUGUGUUUGUACCACUUUUCCCACAUGAUGUUUUAUAAAAAUUGGAGUCAAUUAAAACUUUUUGCAUGUUGUGAUGGUUGAUUUUGUUGCAACUUGCUCGUGUGACUAAUUGAGUUUUGAAUCACUAUAGUUGUUCUCCUCUCUAAAGCCCACCUCCUUGACCCCAAACCCUUGCCCAAUNNNNNNNNNNNNNNNNNNNNNNNNNNNNNNNNNNNNNNNNNNNNNNNNNNNNNNNNNNNNNNNNNNNNNNNNNNNNNNNNNNNNNNNNNNNNNNNNNNNNGAAUUCCUCAUGCACUCCGACAGACUCGAGCGACCAUUUUUGUUCCUUCCUUGCUAGUUGUUCACAAGGGCUUGAGCUAUCUGUUGCAUAGCAAUAGAGUUGGCUUGGCAUUCCUCCUAGAGAACUUGGAGAAACUGAGCAUUGUUCGUGCUCUCUGAUAGAAGUGGUGGUGGCAGAAUGUCGCCUUGUGGCUGCUCUUGGUGAUCUCCAGCUUGAGCAGACCAACCAGCCUCAGGCUGCUGGCUAGAGUUGUCAGCGCUGGGGUUGCCGAAAGUGCUGGUGCGGGUUGCAGUCACCAUCCUGUUUGGAACAACCAAGUUAACAACUAGAAUAGGCAAGAGGGAAAAGCAACAAGAGGAAAACGCGCCUAAGGGGGUUGGUAUAGUGCAAGUGUGGUAAAACAAAGGUCCAAAUACCAAACAUAUAACAUUAAGAUAAGAUAGGUGAUGUAGUCUCUUACAUGUUGCCUAAGGCAAAAGCGUGACUUGCAUCAAAACACAAACAACAAGCACACAUGGUUGCAUAUGAACCAUUAAACGGACUAGACUUCGCAUGAGGGAUACAUGACUGAUCCUACCCUAGGGGGUUCUCAGACUCAAGUGGUGGAGUGCUCAAUAUCGUAUUGACGCUCCUCGGGGUCUUCCUCCUGGUCAUCAUCCGUACAGACAUUGUCUCCGAUCAAGGGGGUUGGAGGAAGAGGAGGUCCAUACUAACGAUGUUUCAUCGGUGGGUCGGUCAAGUGCACGACCCUCCUUUACACUCCUGCGAUGAGAACGUGUGGGUGCAUCUCUAGCUAGGGGUACUCCUCCUCUGUAAGCGAUAGCUGGUCAUCCCUCGGAGGCUCCACCCUUCUUGAUCUCGUCUGGCUUUGCCUUGGCUUGUCAGAGUAGCUCACGGGUGUGGUGAAGUUUCUUGCGGAGCUUCAGCAACUCCUUAAUCAGGUUGUGAGCCAGACUAUUGGUGGAGAGGGUGUAGUAGGUCUAGAACCUGAGUUGUGUUCUAUCCUUCUUGGAUAGAACCAACAUCCAACUCUCGUCAAUACGAUCCUUCCUGAAAGGAAGGUGGCGAGUAUCUGGAUCGGCAGGCAUCUCUGGGAUGAUGUCUCGAAGGUGGACGAGUGCCUUCCGUGCACCUGUCUUGGAUGCUAACGCCAAUGUCUCCAUUUGUGGUCCUUCAAAGAACCAUCUUGUCGGGCAGUCAUUUGCCUCCAUGACCACAAAAACGUGUUAUUCCUUCGUGGUGGCAUCGACCGAGUGCUUGUGGUAGAGUAAAACGGGUGAAUGGUGAAACUCGCACUUCUCCAGGCUAUCCUCAAGGAGUAGGGAAAAGCCGAAUGCUUGGAGGUCUUCGGGUAUCACGACCAUCUACAAGGUUCAAGGGGAGGGAUGUCACUAAAGUUUCGAAAAUAGAGUGGAAGAGUUAAGAACUGCAAAAACACCUAUGUAUAUGUGCUAGGUAUAGUUUUUGAAAGGGGUUUCCUCCUAACUUAUGUCCAUGCUAACUAAGGCUUCCUACAGUCAGGACGACUCUGAUACCAGCUCUGUGGCGACCCCGACUCGUAAGUCGUGAUACAGUCAUUCUAGUGAUCAAUGCUCACUAAAUAGAGAGAAGCUGAAUAGUAAGAGUCUUACAGAAAUACAUACCGUCUGAUACAAAUAAAGACCAUUGAGGUAAAGUCUUACAUAGAUAGGGCCUCGAAGGCGAACACACCAACAUAACUAGCAGCGGAAAUCGUGAACGAAAGCGCGAACCCAUUGCAUCUGCCUUAACCCUACAGGCAUUCUGACUCGGAAGCAUCCUAGUUUGCAUGUUCGUCACCAACAAACUCUUCAUCAUUCUCUUGUUCUUCCAUGCCUGGACAAUUAAAUAACCAAUGGCAAGCAAAUGAGUACUAUUAAUGUAGUGGCAAGCAACCCAUGUUUGGAACAAGGCAAUAACAAUGCAUGAUAUAGUACUAAUAGGUAAGCUGCGGAAAGCUAAUUUUAAGUGCAAUGGUAUGAUCAAUAUCUUAUGAAGGUAUACAUCAUGAGGUGACUCAUAUCCAUAUGUACAGAUUGACACAUAUCAAUAUAAACAGGGGUAGAACAUCUCAUGUUCAGUAUUCUUGUCGAGUCAUUUGACUCAGCUCAUUUCUCAUCAUUCUCACAUCCACACACACACACACAGUUUUGUAACAAUGAAUGUAUCCCAAGCGCGGUCAUCCAACUAUCCUUGACCGUGGACACGGCUAUUCGAAUAGUUUUACACUCUACAAAGUUUUCAAACUUCACCCACAAGACUCAGGAAACUUCCGUGUCAAGCCACGAGUCGCGGUAUUGUUCAUACCUGAGGUAAGUACUCGAACAAUGCCUAUCCCAUGAUGAUACUAACUAAGAGUCCACUCGUCGGUGCCAUCCCAUGUGGUGUACAUAACAAGUAUCAUCCACGAGGGCACGCAACAGUGUGCCCUGUGUCUGCGAAAACAGCCCAUGGUCGUUCAUUGUGGCAUGAUCCCAUAUCAAGAGUGACCACGUCACUCCUGCCACUAGUAAUGUGUGCUCUGAACUAAUAUCGACCACAGUAAUCAACAAAGCCCUGUCCCAUAAGGGCUAUCGUGGUCGUACAUGUAAGGUUGGGGUAACGGUCACAACUUAUACCAAUCCAUUUUUAAAACAACACACUCACUUGCCUCGAUAUACCACUUAUUUCUCAAGUGUUUACCUAGGUCAUCACCAUCUCCCUCGGGUAUUAGUGGCACCCGAUGGGGUUUCCAAAAGGUCUUUGAAAUCAUUUCUAUUCUGACACCAUGCAUGAUUCACAUCUCAUUUUCAUAACAACUAUAUUUUCAUCCUAUCUACUUCCCACCCGCACAACCCUCAUAGGAUGGUAGGGUCAUGCUCAGUGCAAGUAUCAAUGAGGACUUAUCAAAGACGACCCACCAAGGUGGUCACCGAUUCACAUGAUUUAAUGCAACAGACUAAAGUUCCAUAUGACAUGCAUAAAAAUGUUUCAAGUCAUGGUCAAGUAGCUGCUUUCCUGGAUGAAAGCACAAUUUCUCCCUAGGGUGGUCUUGCUAAUUGUUCACAACAUAUGCAACAUUGGACUAAUGUGUUUUCCAAGUAUAUUUUAGAAAAGUUCAAAAUAUGCGAUUUCUUUAGGUUUAUGUGGAGAUGCCCCUAGAUACAAGAAAGGAAUAAUAUUGGCUCAACCUUCAAGCUAUAAGACUCUUCAUUUUAUAUUUGUGAGAAAUCACUUUUGAGUCCAUAGGAAAGCCAAUACUAUUAAAAGGGGUGAGGUAGUAAAAUGAACUGAUUGCUCAGAUGCUCAAAGUUAGCCACCAAAACACUCAGUCAUUUUUCCCACAUAUCCACGUUGUCAAGUUCCACAUACACAAAUUCGUUCUAACCAACAUUGCCACUUCAGACCCACCGAGUUUGAACCUCACAUAUAACCCUAGCCAUUCCCACCAAAUCGGUGCAACCGAAACUAUAUCGGUGCUACCUAGUUCAGUGUGACCAACAUUCUGUGCCACCGAGUUUGUUCAUCCGACCGUUAGUCACCUUUUCGGUGCCACCAAGUUCUAUAUAUUGGUCUCACCGAGAUUCAAAGUACACACUUUUAGUACUACUCGGUACCACCGAGUUGUCCACUUCGGUGUCACCGAGUUUACACUUUUGUAUGUAACAGUUGGAUUUUGGCUGCUGCCUAUAUAUACCCUUUCACCCACCUCUCAUUCGUGGGAGAAGCACUCAGAACACACACUUCAAUUACAAAUCCAUUUUCUGAGAGAGAACAACCUACUCAAGUGUUGGGACCAAGAUAUUCCAAUCCAAUCAUUUGAAACUUGAUCUCUAGCCACCCCAUACUGCUUUCCACCAAAUCAACCUCUCCUACCCAUGCAUAUUCUAUGAGAGAGUGAUUUGUGUUGAGGAGACUAUCUUUAGAAGCACAAGAGCAAGGAGUUCAUUGAUUUACCACAUCUAUUACCUUUCGGAAGGUGGUGCCUCCUAGAUUGGUUAGGUGUCGCUUGGGAUCCUCCUACUAUGUGUUGUGGAGUUGAACCAGGAUGUUUGUAAGGGCAAGGAGCUCGCCUACUUCGUGAAGAUCUACAGUGAGUGAGGCUAGUCCUGUGUGGACGUAAGCUGUGGUGCAAUAGACAAGGCUGCUUCUUUAUGGACCCCUUGUGGGUGGAGCCCUGUGUGGACUCUCGUGGCCGUUACCCUCCAUGGGUUGACGUAUCCACUAAAUUGGAUGUACAAUAGCGCCACCUAUCAGAGCCAUGCCAAAAAUCACCAUGUCAACCUCAUGCGUUUAAUCUCCCUACCUUACUCCUCUACUUUACACUUGCAUGUUUUACUUUCCGCUGCAAUACUAUUAGAACUGCAUGUGUUGCGUGUGCUUGACUUGUUAUAACUGUCGUAGCUGCCUCUCAAGUAAAAUUGGGAAAAGGCAAAAAAAUAUCUUGUAAAGUAGUCUAAUCACCCCCCCCCUCUAGACAUACUUUCCAUCCUACAAGUGGUAUCAGAGCUUUGGUCUCCAUUUAAUUUGUUUAGCAACCUAGGAGAGUAUGGCAUCUAGUGAGGGAAGUUAUCAUCAUAGAGGUCAUAACUUCGAUGGCACUAAUUUUGCUAAUUGGAAGCAUAAAAUGAAAAUGCAUAUACUUGACUUUAAUCCUCAUGUUUGGGUUGUUAUUUGUGUUGGUGUGCUAGGUAACUUCUUUGGAGAAGGGCAUGAACCAGAUCGUGAUGCGACAACUGAUGAACUAAAGAUGUUGCAACUUAAUGCUCAAGCCUGCGAUAUCAUCUUUAACUGCCUUUUCCCUGAAGAAUUCAACAAAAUUAGUCGUCUGGAGAAUGCAAAAGAAAUUUGGGAUACUUUGGUUGAUAUGCACGAAGGUACUAGUUAUGUCCAAGAAUCUAAGUUGGGUGUGCUUCAAAGUCAGCUUGACAAGUUCAAGCCGAAGGGUGGUGAAGGUGUCGCUGAAAUGUACUCUAGGCUAGCUCUCAUCACCAAUGAGAUUGCUAGCUUAGGAAGCGAAGAGAUGACCGACAAAUUCAUCAUCAAGAAGAUACUUAGAGCUCUUGAUGGCAAGUAUGACACAGUGUGCACAUUGAUACAAAUGAUGCCAAAUUACAAAGAUCUCUAGCCAACUUAAGUCAUUGGUAGGAUUGUUGCUCAUGAUAUGUCACUCAAGGACAAAGAUGAGCUGCACAACAAGUCAAGCAGUGCUUAUAAAGCUUCAUGUGAUGCUCCCGCUACAUCAAAAGACAAUCUUGUCACUGAUGAAGACAUAAGCCUAAUGAUCAGAAAAUUCAACAAGUUCUACAAGAGUAGAGGCAAAGAUAGAAGCUCAACUUCAAGACAUGAUGUUAAGCGCUCGUCCGGUCAUGACCGAAACUGCUACAAGUGUGGGAAUCCCAGACACUACUCAAAUGAGUUCUCAGCUUCCUACAAAAGAAGAGAAGAGUCACGUCGAAGACGAAGCUCAAGAUAUGAGUCACCUCGUAAAGAGAGAAGGAGUAAAGAAAGAUCACUAUGAACGAAGACACUCACGGAGAGGCAAGGAAGCGGAGAAGAAGGAAAAAUACACCAAUAGAAGUUCAAGAAUAAGACAUCAAGCUCAUGUUGGUGAAUGGGUCUCUGGCUCCGAGUGUGAUCACCACUCCGAGAGAAGCUAUUACUCCAACUCCGACUAUAGUCAAGAUGAAGGUGUUGCCGGGAUUGCGCUUGUUUCCACCAACUUCUACGGCUUAUUUGAUUCACCAAAUGAGGGAGUCGGAAAAUGCUUCAUGGAUAAAGGGCCCAAAGUAUCACAUUCUGAGUAUCUUGAUUUCAAUAGUGAUGAGGAUGACUUGUUAGAAGAAGAUGACUUGCUUCUAGAUAAAACUAAUGAAUGCACUGAAAAUGAACUUGCAAUUUAUCAUGCUAGUCAAGAGAAAUCAAAUGAUGAUGAUAAGACAGAAAUUGAAUGACUAACUCAAGAAUUAAAAACUCUUAAGUUAGCUCAUGAGACUACUCUAGAAGAUCAUAGAGAGCUUGUAAGAACAUUGAGAAGCUACGCUUCGAGAAGCUCAACUUGGAGCAAGAUCAUGAGUCUUAAAAGCAAUCAAUGAUGAUCUUAGAAAGAAGAGUUCUUCUUAUCUAGCCAAACGAUUACUCUUGUCUAACUUUGGUCAACAAGUUAAACCUAGGAAUACUAGUAACAAAGGCAAUAAGGUUUCUUCAUCUAGUAACAACAAUGCUAAAUCUAACUCCAAUAAUGUUAUUGCUAGUACCUCUAUUGAUUACACUAAAGAUUCUCUUAGCCAAGUUACACUUGAGCAAGAAAAUGAUCUAUUGAAGGGGGUUAUAGAGAGAGGUGUCUUCAAGAGUCUUUCCGGAAGUAAGCAAUUUGACGAAAUUGUGUGCAAGCAAGGAGGACAUCAGAAGAAACAAGGUGCUGACUACUUCAACAUCAACGAAGAUGUUUGGGAAGAAGGUCCAUAUCCCACUGCCAAGUUUGUUCCCCAAGAGGAUAAGUCCACUCCUUUCGAAGGAACAAGCUCACAAGAUGGCCUUCUACCACAAGACCACAAAGGCAAGGAAAGCUUCAAGAUGACAUUGACCUAUUUGAAGGAGAACCCCAAGUCAAGGUCAAGUGGAUUCCCAAGGACACACUACAAGAAAUAUGUCAACUAACGACCUUCAAUAUUGGUCAUCGAAUGGUCAUUGAUUUCCAUUUGUGACCUUUUUACGACCAAAAACAUAUGGUCAAAAGCUGAGGGUCUCUAAUGAGCUAUAACGACCUUUUUCCUGGAUUGGUCAUAGGAUUUUACGACCAAAUAGAAGGUCGUAGGUUUAACGACCAACUGAUUUGGUCACUAGCAAUCCGGCAACACCACGUCAGAUCCACCGUGGCAGGCUGACGUGGCAGAAUUACGACCAAAUGAAAAGGUCGUAAAUUAGCUUCAGCACGGUCCAUUCCGGUCGUCUACAUGGGCCGGGCCCAAUAAUUUGGCCUUUUAUUUUGUGGUCUAGAAUCUUUUACUAAGCAGGUUUUUUAUUAGUCCACUUUUCUUUUGGGCCUUGGCCUACUCUUUUUAGUCCACUUCUUGUUUGGGCCUUGGCCUAGUCUUUUUUUUAGGCCCAAGCCUUUUUAGACAAAUUCUAAUUUGGGCCUUGUCCUACUCCUAUUUUUAGGCCCAAGCCUUUUUAGUAUAUUUCUUGUUUGGGCCUCAGCCUUUUUGCAGUCCAAACUAACUUUAGUGCCAAACAAAAUGGUCCGAACAAAACUCAAAUAAUUGACAACUUCAUCAGGUUCACAAAAUACUUUAUCAGGUUCAAAUAGAGCAAGACACUGUUUCACAAAAUACUUCAUCACCAGAAUACUUCAUUAGUUUCAAAUAGAGCAAGACAGGUUCAAAAUACUUCACAGGUUCAAAUAGAGCACUUCACUGUUUCAUCACCAGAAUGAGCAAUCAAGUGGGCUAACUUCAUCAGGUUCUUGAGAAGUUAGCCCACUUCACUGUUUCUAGGACAGGAUCUACGACAGGUUCAACUUCUACGAUGCUUUAGCGCCGAAGAGAGCCAUCAAGUGGGCUAACUUCUCUUCCUGUUCUUGAGACUUCUUGCACCGCAGCUCAAGUUCCUUGUCGCGUGCAUCUUCAUAUUCUUCCGCCUUUAGCUUGAUUGCUGCCAUUUAAUCUUGCAUCACUUCAGCUUGAAGCUCGGACGUCUCCAGCUUCUGCACAAGAUCACGAACAUGAGCAGCCACAGCAACAGUUCCUUUGCUAGAGUUGUUACUAGAUGACUUGAGCCCAACAUUCCUCAGGAAUGUGCUUUGCUUGACUUCGGUCUUGAGAACUUCUUCAACAAUCUCAACAUCAGACUUUGGUUCUUCACCUUCUCGUACCGGUGCGUCCUUCAUUUUUUCCAUCUCAAGCUGGCAUAUGGAGGAAAAUGAUAGACAUUAGAGGCAGAUCUAUUUCACAUUCUGCAAGAGAAACCAAACAAGAAACAAACCAAGAAAUGGAUUAUUUGAAGUAAUCUAACCAGCACACAAAAUCUAUAUGUAGAUAUUUUACUCAAACUCACACAUAAGUAGAUGAUAACUACUAAACUUAAAGCAGUAUUUGAAUCUGAAUACAACAAGUGUACACACUUAUGUGAUCUAGAGACAUGCAAUCGGAACAAUAUGGUGGUUCUAUAUAAUAUGGCUUCUUUGUUGAGAACUAACAUUUUCAGAUCAAUUUUCAUCAUAUCAUAAAAAUGCAACAAAUAGCUACAGCAAAUUCUGAUAUCUUCAUUGAGAACUGUACAACAAAUUCUGAUAUAGUUGUUGAGAUACCAAACCUAUCAUAGGCUCUAGCAAACAACAUCAAAUCUAGGGUGUGUUCUUGCUGGCUGUGAAUCAAACAGGGUUGAGGUCUAUAAACAAAAGUUUGAACUAGCUGGACAAAAGCAUGGAGUGACUUACUAUAGCAAUCUUGACUGGCUCCGAAAACCCGUGCUUCUUGCUGUUGUGGAUGGCCUUGAACAAGUCAAUCGCAGACAGCUCCUCACCCUUACGCUCUUAUUUUUGAAAUGUUUUUUAACAAAAAUCAAAAUGUUAUUCAGCAAGAAUAAGAAAUGAUAUGCAACGAGGAUCAAACAGUAAAGUCUUUAGAAAAAAGGUACUCACAGUGGAAAAAAUGUGUGUUGUCUAGUGCGUGGAACUAGUUCUUUGUUGGUACACGACCUUUUGUCGAUUAAUCUUGUUCAACACACAUGUUUACUACAAAAAACAUAAUGUUAUUUGCCAAGCUGAAAGAAAGUGGAAUAGGCAGUAGUAUAGUAGGACAAUACGAGUCUGAGUAUAUUUUAUUUGGAAAUAUUUCAGUUAUCCUGCACUAGCACAAGUACAUGAACAACUAGUACUAUCUAAGAGUCAGUGUAUUACAUAUGGUGUUGAUUUUGAAAGUUGAUGCUCUCUAUUGUUCCAAAUCUGAUCGGAAACAUGGAAGAGGAAGAAGGGGACCUUGGCCCAUUCCCAUCCUGAUGUGCAGAACAUAAAUCAGCAAACAGAGCAUAUACAAACCUUGUGUCUUGGGGUAGACCACAUCUGCACCAAAGCUUGCCAUUCACCGUCCGUCAGAUCUGGCACCGAAGACUUGGUGCUCACUUUGUUUGCUGCUACAGUAUCAAAAUACUUCUUCAUGAUCUUAUGGCGUCAAUUCUUUGAACUUUUCUGCAGAACAUCUUUGCAAGCGUACUUGAUGGUCUCCGAGUCUGUGUUCAUCUCAAAAUUUGCCUACCAAGACAGCAAACAAGGAAGGAACAACAUUAGUGAUCAUUAACUACAAAACAGAAAAUAGAGUAGCACAUUAACUAUAAAACAAGUAGCUUACAACAACUUUCCCAAUGUAGUCCUCCACUAGAGUAGCAUUAUUUUUGUAUUCCUUGAAGUGAGGAUGAACCGGCAGAUGGCUUCUUGCAACGAGUCCACACUCAGAAGCAAACUUUGCUGCCUGUAGAGGCUUCUCUGGAUGCUUCAUCCCUUCGGCAAUUUGGAUAGGCACCUUUGUGCCAAGCGACUUGGUGAUUCUCUCUAGCCCUUUGCCCUUUCUAAGUCUACGCUUGUUAGUCAUUGCAUCUGAAAAUGAAAUUGAACUCGUAAAUUAGAACAAAAAUCGAAAAAUGCAGGAAUGGUUCUGCUAAACAGGUAAGCAUACAUGAUCACUUCCAUUUGCAAAAUGCACUAGUAAAAGAGAAGGUGAACUUGCAUUGUUGAAGCACAAGCUUUUGUUCUUCUUCACUGACGACAUCAUUCCUGUCAAUAGAAGGUGCACCACGCCUGAGGCGUAGGCAGACAGUGUCGCUUUCAUCCAUGCACAUAAUGGUUUCUUCAUCCAUGGGCAGAAACUCGUCACGCAUUUCCACCGAGCUCUCAAAGUCCAUGCCCAACGGACUUUCCUGAUGGUCCGUCGCAGCCACCAUAGUUGCUUUCUGCCUUGUGACUCUAUCAGGUUCAUCAUGUUCCAGGAUCCUCUUUGUUUGUCCUAGAGGUGGUGCCAUCACCCUUCCUGGAGGCAUUGCAGCAGAUGCUUCUGAGCUCUUCCUCUUCUUGCUGGAUGUCUUCUUAACACCAGGCCUCUUCGUUCUAGAUUCCUUCAGUGCCUUGUAUAAAUAGCACCAAAAAAAACAUUAGAUCACAAGAUAAAUAUGUGAGCACAAGGAAACAGAGAGCAUACAAGAACCAGAACCCUCCAAGCAAGACAGAGUUUGCACCUUAAUAGUCUUGUGCACUACAACUUCAUCCUCCUUAGGAUUGUACUCUGGGUCAUCAUUGAUAACUCCACUACCUUCUUGAACCUCAUUAGUUCUACCUUCUUGUACAUCAUUUGUUUUCCUAAUCAUUGAUGCUAUUGCACCAAUGCCAAGGGACUGAAAUAUCCGAUUGUUCCUCAUCAUAUUUCUAGCCCUAACCUUCUCGUACUCGGUGAGAGGAUGCUCAUCUUUGCAAGGCAAAGGAAACAUAAUUAUUAGGUUAAUUGUUGGAAUGCAUGGACAGACAGCCAAACAUAUCUUAUGAUAUUUUAUUAUCAUUUAAUCCUACUUAUUCAGCUAAGGAAGAGUAACAGCACACAGGCACAGCUAAGCCAGCUAAUUCAGAUUACAGCAAUACAUUUGCAUAAUAAAAUCUCACAAUAUUUUACAUCACCAGCCUCCAAGAUAUUUUACUUAGCAUAUUAAGACACAUUUUAUAAAUCUGAUAGUAUAACCACAAGGAGCAACUUGCAUACCAAUGGUUGACCUCGGGUUUGACCUUGUCAUCCUUGUCAUGGAUGAUCUUGAGGUGGUGCUUGCAAAAUAGAAUAAACAACAACCAGAUACAACAGGGAUAAAGUAAAAUGAUGUACUUAUAUCAAUAAAGGAAAGCAUUUAGACGAUCAUGCACAUACAUGUAAUACAUGUGAAGCAAACUUGUUGGAUCAACAAUAUAGAGAUGUAGUUAAUGCAUCAGUACUAAUACAUGUAAAACACUUGGACAAGCAUGCACAUACACGUGUAGCAAUGCACAUACAGUUAAUGCAUCAGUACUAAACUGACAGUUGAAGCAAGCAACUAAACUGAAGCACUUGGACCAGCAUGCACAUACAAGUGUAGGAAUGCAUCAGUAUUAAUACAUGUGAAACAGGAGGGAGUAAUGUACUAAACUGAUAGUUGAAGAAAACUAUAUAUGUGAAGCAAUGCAUUAACUAUUUACAACAAUUACUUUUAUGUUUUAACUUGCAAUUUUAUCCAUGUACAUGCAAUCAUCUAUAAGCAAAGUAAUUACUCAACUGUAUUCCCAAAUGGAGGCAAACAUAUGCAUUCAUAGCAAUUGGUUGCCCAACAUUUGGUGAAUGAAGAAGCAAGCAGUGUGCAAGCAAGCAAGCAAAGUGCAUAAGUGCUACUAAUACAAGCAAGCAAGCAAAAGAUGUGCUACUGAUAGAAAUAAGCAUAGUUCUACUGAUAGAAACAAGCAAGCAAGGAAGAAAAUUGAAGAGGAGCAAGAAAGCAAGUACUGUUGAUAGAAACCCUAGUAGCUUCUUCUCCAAGUGCUACUCAUAUAAGCAAGUAUUGUUGAUGAAAACUCUAAUUAACCAUGUAUGCUAGCAAGCAAGCAAGCCAUAGUAAUCAAGCAACAUGAACAUGAACCCUAACCACAUGAAGCAGACUACCAGAGGGGGAUAGAACAAACCACCAGGAAUAAAUCCCAUGAACAUGAACAAGAACCUCCAGGAGCUCCUAGAUUGACUGAAUCCUAAACCUAGAUCGACCAGGUGGGGGAUGUACCCUCAUUUGUUACCCAUCACAAAUGCAGGACCCCAUGAACCCCAUGAACCCUAACCCCACGAACCCCAUGAAAUCUUAACCCCGUGAAACCCAUGCAUAAAGUACACAAGCAAGCAAAGUGCUAGUAGUACUGCUGAUGCAAUUCCUAACCUUAUGUAUGCUAGCAAGCAACUAAAUUGAAGAUUAGCAGCAAGCAAGCAAUGCACAUACAAGUGUAGCAAUGCAUCAUUAUUAAUACAUGUGAAACAGGAGGUAGUAAUGUACUAAACUGAUAGUUGAAGAAAACUAUAUAUGUGAAGCAAUGCAUUAACUAUUUACAACAAUUACUUUUAUGUUUUAACUUGCAAUUUUAUCCAUGUACCUGCAAUCAUCUAUAAGCAAAGUAUUUACUCAACUGUAUUCCCUAAUGGAGGCAAACAUAUGAAUUAAUAGCGACUGGUUGCCCAACAUCAUUCACUUAAAUCACUGCUCCAGUAAGACACACUAACAAGAAAUGCACAUACAAGAGUAGCAAAGCACAGCAGAAUUAAUCGCAUGCUUCAGGAAGAUAAAUGUUCUUCCAUCAUCAAAACAACAUACAGAAUGUAUUAUGCCAUGUUAUUUCAAAUGAACAACAAAUUAUGUUCAGAAAAUAUUAAAACAAGCCACCUAUAUCCAGACUCAUCACUACUACUCAAGUCAAGUCAAGCCAAGCCAAUCCAAACACCAGCAGAAGCUCAAGCUGACUGUUUCCAAAGAAAAACACAAGCUCAAGCUCUAAGUAGUAUUAACUUUGAAGACACCAUAAUAGUUGUAAUAAAUAGAUGGGUAUCUGGCCUUGCAGGGAAAUACCAUCACCAGUAGAAGAAGCAUACAACUCAGCCACAUCCACGGCCUAAUGCGACUCGCUUCUCUACGCACAUCAAAACCACGGUAAAUUAAAACCGCCAACCCUAAACCCUUAUUUACCCCAUCAACACUAACCCCACUACAACUGACAUAUUACGCUGCAGCAUGAACCCUAACCCUAGCCCCAUGAACCCUAGAAGAACACAUGAGGGGGAUCUAGCCCAGCAUGAACCCUAAAAGAACACAUGAGGGGGAACCUAUGAACAUCGACGGGAGAUGGGACGAGGGGAUGGGUCGAGGGGAACCCAUUAGGGGUACCUGUCGUCGUCGACAAUUGAUUAUGUAGAUUGAUAACCCACAAGUGUAGGGGAUCGCAACAGUUUUCGAGGGUAGAGUAUUCGACCCAAAUUUAUUGAUUCGCUCACAAGGGGAAGCAAAAGAAUAUUCUCAAGUGUUAGCAGCUGAGUUUAUCAGAUUCAACCACACCUGAAAGAUUAGUGUGUGCAAGCAAAGUAUCAGUAGCAAAGUAGUAUGAUAGCAACGGUGCUAGAAAUGAUCUGUUGACGGCAGACUAUUCCUAACAGUUGUAUCAAUGGUGCCAGUAAGUUGCCCGUGGAUGGAGAACUAUUCUUCCCCGACAACGUUGACGAAAAAGGAUCUUGCAACAAGGAACAGCGAAGUAGCAAGGAACAACAGUAGUAGUAGCAGCAGAGUAACAGCAAUAGCAAUAGUAGUAGCAAAGUGACAGCAGCAAAGUGGCCCAAUACCUUUGUAGCAAGGGACAAGCUUGGACAAAGUAACGUAACGAGGACCCGUAGUAAAAGACUCGUAGGCAUUGGAUCAGUGAUGGAUGAGUAUGACGGAUGUGAUUCAUCAUGUAACAUCUAUAACACGGAGAGAUAAGUAACUAGCUCCCGUUCGUCAAUCUAAUUUAGGCAUGUAUUCCGUAUGUAGUCAUACGUGCUUAGGGAAAAGAACUUGCAUGACAUCUAUUGUCCAUCCAUCCCGUGGCAGCGGGGUCCUAAUGGAAACUACGGGAUAUUAAAGUUAUCCUUUUAAUAAAGAACCGGACCAACGCAUUAACACGUGGUGAAUACAUGAACUCCUCAUACUAUGGUCAUCUCCGGGAGUGGUUCCGGCUAUUGUCACUCCGGGGUUGCCGGGUCAUAACACAUAGUAGGUGACUACAACAUGCAAGAUAGGAUCUAAAACACAAAUAUAUUGGCGACAACAUAAAAGGUUUAGAUCUGAAAUCAUGGCACUCGGACCCUAGUGACAAGCAUUAAGCAUAGCCAAGUAGUAGCAACAUUAAUCUAGAACAUAGUGGAUACUAGGGAUCAAUCCCCGUUAAAAACUAACUCGAUUACAUGAUAGAUCUCAUCCAACUCAUCACCAUCCAGCAAGCCUACGAUGAGAUUACUCACAAACGAUGAAGAGCAUCAUGGAAUUAUUGAUGGAGAAAGGUUGAUGAUGACGAUGGCGAUGAUUUCCCCUCUCCGGAGCCCAAAACGGACUCCAGAUCUGCCCUCCAGAUGAAGAACAGGAUGUGGCGGCACCUCCGUAUCGCAAAACGCGAUGAAACCUUCUCUCUGAUUUUUUUUUCCGGGCGAGACGGAAGAUAUAGAGCUGAGUUUGGGGGCGGUGGAGCCACAUGGGCACCAGAAGCCCUCACGGCGCGGACAGGGGGGUGGCCGCGGGCUGUUGGCGUGGGGCCGACUGGUCCACCUCCUCCGGUGGAUCUUUGCGCAGGUAUUUUUCUUUUAUUCCAGAAAAAAUCUCCGUAAAUUUGCAAGACAUUCCGAGAACUUUUAUUUCUGCACAAAAACAACACCAUGGCAAUUCUGCUCAAAACAGCGUUAGUCCGGGUUAGUUCCAUUCAAAUCAUGCAAAUUAGAGUCCAAAACAAGGGCAAAAGAGUUCGGAAAAGUAGAUACGACGGAGACGUAUCAACUCCCCCAAGCUUAAAGCCUUGCUUGUCCUCAAGCAAUUCAGUUGACAAACUGAAAGAGACAAAAUAAAAACUUUGACAAACUCUGUUUGAUCUUGUUGUUGCAACUAUGUCUAAGUCACAACCAGAAUUUCAGCAAGAUCACAAGCAAACCACAAAAGCAAAUGACAUCUAGGUCUCACAGUAAACUCAUAUCAAUGGCAUAAUCAACUAGCGAGCAAAUAAUAAUAAGUAUCAAACGUCAACACUUCAAUCAAAACAACAUGAAGUAGUACGAACAGAUGGUAUCUCGCUAGCUCUUUCUGAGACCGCAAAACAUAAAUGCAGAGCACCUUCAAAGACCAAGGGCUGACUAAACAUUGUAAUUCAAGGCAAUGAAGAUCCAGUCACAGUCAUACUCAACACAGUUAAAAGCAAAGCAUAAAAAUGACAGAGGUGUUCUCUAAUUGGUGCUUUUGUAAGAGGAGGAUGACUCAACAGGAACAUAAAUAGACAGGCCCUUCGCAGAGGGAAGCAUUGAUUUGCAGACAAGCCAGAGCUCAAGCUCUGAAAACAGAGAUAAUAAUUUUGGGUGGCUUGCUUUCAUUGUCAACGCAAUGACUAAGAGUUCUCAACAUCUUCCAUGCUACACAUGCUAUAGGCGGUUCCCAAACAGAAAAGUAAAGUUUUGACUCACCCACCACAAAUCAAUCACACUCCAGGGCUAGCCGAAUCCUCGGGUACCGUCCAUACCAACAUCAAUCCUGGGGGAGUUUUGUUUGCAAUUACCUUUUUGAUUUGAGCAUGGAACUGGGAAUUCCAAUUACCGGCCCCUUUCUCGUGAAUGAUAGUGAAUAAACACAUAUCGAUGAUAACACGCCUAGCAUGGAAGAUACAAAUAGCCCCCUGUCACCACAUGAGCGGUUCGGGCAUGCAAAACAGAUUAUUUCUUGAAGGUUUAGAGAGUGGCACAUGCAAAUUUACUUGUAACGGCAGAUAGAUACCACACAUAGGUAGGUAUGGUGGACUCAUAUGGCACAACUUUGGGUUUACGGAGGUGGAUGCACAAGCAGUAUUCCCGCUUAGUACAAGUGAAGGCUAGCAAAAGACUGGGAAGCGACCAACUAGAGAGCGACAACAGUCAUCAAAAUGCAUUGAGAUUAACUAUCAUUGAGUGCAAGCAUGAGUAGGACAUAAAUCACCAUGAACAUGAACAUCAUGGAGGCUAUGUUGAUUUUGUUUCGACUACAUGCGUGAACAUGCGCCAAGUCAAGCCACUUGAAACAUUCAAAGGAGGAUACCAUCCUAUCAUACUACAUCAUAGUCAUCUCAACAUUCAUGUUGGCAACCAAGGCAAACCAUUAUAAGCUCCCAGCUAAGUAAGCAUGGCAUAAGAAACUAUGAUCUCUAAGUUGUCAUUGGAAACAUGUUUCCCUCACAAUAAAGCUGAAUCAGGCAUGAUGAGCUAGUCAUUUAUACAAAAAAAAAUAGAUCGAGUUCAUACCAGCUUUUCCAGGCUCAGUCACUUCAUCAUAUAUCAUCAUUAUUGCCUUUCACUUGCACGACCGAACGAUGUGAACAAUAGUAAGAGUGCUCGUGCAUUGGACUAAAGCUGGAAUCUGCAGGCAAACACAAAGGAGAAGACAAAGUAAUAUGGCUCUUUGAAAGCUAAACAGGUAUGCAUGCAAGAGCCACUAAACAUUGUAACCAAUAUCUUCUACCUUCACCCAAAGAAAAAGAAAACUAUCUACACGGGAAAGCUCCCAACAAGCAAAAGAGGAAAAAGAAAAUCCUUUUGGGUUUUCUCAAACUAGACAGACACACGAAAAGAAAACGAGAAAAAGAAAAUAAACUAGCAUGGAUGAUACAGUGGCAAAGUGUGAACACCAGCUAACAAAGUGAAAGCAUAAGAAAGAAUGUAAUGUCGGUUAGAACACGUACUCCCCCAAGCUUAGGCUUUUGGCCUAAGUUGGUAUACUCCCAAGGAUGGUCCUCGCGAAACCCAAAAUCAUAAUGGGGGCUAUACGGGAGUGCUGCAACCACUGCCUGAAUAGCUGCCUCGCGGAGACGAGCAACCUUUGCCUCCCUCUCAUACUCCUCUACCUCUCCUCUAGUUAUGUAAUAUCUCCAUUUUACCUGAAAGUCAAAGAAGGCAGGAGCAGGAAGGGUAAUAUGGAAAACACGCUGUCGGUUAAAUAUCAACCGGUAUAGGAGGGAUUCGUCAUCCCUCUCAAGGAACUGGUAGCGUGUCAAAGUGACGCGGUCAAGGAAAGCUGUAUGGAGCGGGGGAUCUCCUUCGCGGAUGGGUACUCCAAGAAAAUUUGCUAUGCGAGUGGCAUAGAUCCCACCAAAUAAAUCCCCUUCAAUAGCAUUCUUAUUCAGCCUGCUUGCUAUAAUAACUCCCAUGUUGAAGCUUUUGUCACCCGUCACUGCGCUCUUAAGGAUACUUAGGUCGGGUGCGUAGAGGUGACAAUGUUCAAUCUUGCCAUUAAUGCAUCUGUCUAUGAAGAGGGCAAAGUAAUGCAAGGCAGGAAAAUGAAUACUCCCCAUGGUAGCUUGUGUAAUAUCUCUAGUUUCUCCAACCGUAAUACCAGAGCAAAAUUCUCUUACCAAAGGUAUAGGAGGAUCAUUGAGGCUACCCCAAGUAGGUAUUUUGCAAAUUCUAUUGAAAUCCUCUAAAUCCAUGGUGUACGAUUUAUCCUAGAGAUCAAAUAGUAACGAUGGCUCACGGCCAGUUGAAAAUUUGAAUCUACGAACAAAAGAGGCAGUGAGAGCAACAUAUUGUUCACAUUUAUCGGAGAUGAAUUCUUCGAGUCCGACAUUGUGAACAAGCGCAUCAAACUCAUCUUUGUAACCUGCCUCAAUCAUAAAUUCAUCAGAAGGCCAUUCACAUGGUUGUACCUGCGCGUCCCUAGGUUGGUAAGGAUCAGGCUCCCGAAUCGCAAAUGGGGACCUCUCUUGCUUGAGGAACCACCAUGAAAGUUUCUCCUGAACAUCUUCCUUUUCUGAAAUUUUCAGUGACCCAAAGGAAAAGUGAACAAGGCUCAACUAAACUAGUAGCAACUACUCCAACAAGUGCCUAGAGGCCAUAUUACGCAUCAAAACUACUUGGGACCAGCUAAAAUCAGCAUGCAAAGGUCAAGAACAUGGUCACCAAGGCAGCAAAAAUACACGGAGUAUAAGGCACUAGAGCAAAAACUAAUUGGACCAAUGGAGGAGUCACUUACCAAGGAGUAAUUUCACCCAAAACAGUUCGGAGAACGGUGAUUUGAGCAAAGUGAUCGAAAAUCCGAGCAAGAGGAGCAAGAACACGGGUUUGAGCUGCGGAACAAUUUUUUCUGGAGGUAGGAGAAGGAGAUAAGAGCAAAAAUGAGUGGAGGGGGUGCCUGUGUGGCCCACAAGCCUGGGUGGCAUGGCCAGGGGAGGUGCCCCCUCCCCAAGGGCUUGUGGCCCACUGGUGCAGCCCCCAGACAAGCUCUUUGUCUCAGAAUUUUUCAAAAAUUCCAGAAAAAAUCAUACUUGAUUUUCAGGACGUUCGGAAAACUUUUAUUUUCAGGGUACUUUUCUACCGGUCGCUAAAACAGAAAACAGGGAAAACUAAACUAAAUCUAUCAUUUUUCUUCUAAGCAACCUAAAGUGAAAGCUUGGAACAGAGGUUUGUGACUCCUCGAUUCAUCCAUCUCAUGGUCAUCGAAAGAAAUCCGUCAAUGGGGUUGAUCAAGUCUCCUCGACAAACCUUUUUGAAUUGCAAAAGAGAACGGAGAAUUUUUGAUUAGUCACUAGGUCACCUCAAUGGGGAAGUGUAUCUCCCCAACCAGCAAGUCAUACUUCAUCUUGACAUGAGGAAUAGGGCAUUCAAAGCUCCCAAUAAGAAUCGGUGAAGUUUUUUCGAUAGCACUGAUGCAAUGUACUCGAUAUUGUUUCUUUGGAAAGUGCACUGUAUGCUCAUUACCGUUGACAUGGAAAGUGACAUUGCCUUUGUUGCAAUCUAUAACAACCACUGCAGUGUUUAAAAAGGGUCUUCCGAGGAUGACAACCAUGGAAUCGUCCUCGGGAAUAUCCAAGAUAACAAAGUCUGUUAAGAUAGUGACGUUAGCAACCACAACAGGCACAUCCUCACAAAUGCCGAUAGGGAAAGCAGUUGAUUUGCCGGCCAUUUGCAGAGAGAUUUCAGUGGGUGUCAACUUAUCCAAUUCAAGUCUAUGAUAAAGAGAGACAAGCAUAACAAUAACACCGGCUCCAAGAUCGCAUAAAGCAGUUCUAAUGUAGUUGCCUUUAAUGGAGCAAGGUAUAGUGGGCAUGCCGGGAUCACCUAGUUUCUUGGGAGUUCCACCCUUGAAGGUAUAGUUAGCGAGCAUGGUGGAAAUCUCAACCCCAGGUAUCCUCCUCUUAUUAGUCACAAUAUCUUUCAUGUACUUAGCAUACGGAGACAUCUUGAGCAUAUCCGUCAAACGCAUUUGCACAAAGACAGGUCUGAUCAUCUCAACGAAUCGCUCAAAAUCCUCAUCAUCCUUUUUCUUGGAUGGUUUGGGAGGAAAGGGCAUAGGUUUCUAAACCCGUGCUUCCUAGCAGCGAAGUCAUUCUUAUCGUAUCUUCUAGUCUUAGGCUGUGGGUUAUCAAGAUCAACAGGUUCGAUCUCCACAUCCUUAUCAUUGCUAGGUUUAGCAUCUGCAUGAACAUCACUAUUGAUAUUAUCAUUAGGCUCAUGUUCCUCACCAGAUUUUGUUUCAGCAUCAUAGACAGAGACAUCGUUUGGACUCUCAGGUGUAGCAGCAACAGGGUUGCUAGCGUGCAGGUUCCUAUCAUCUUUCUUCUUCUUUCUAGGAUGACUAGGUGAAUCAGUGCUAACUCCUUGAGAAUCUUGUUCAAUUCUCCUCGGAUGACCCUCAGGAUAUAGAGGUUGCUGGGUCAUUCUACCGUCUCUAGUGACGACCCUGACAGAAUUGUCAUUCAAGUCAUUGAGCAAGUCAUUUUGAGAUUUAAGUACUUGUUCUACCUGAGUAGUAACCAUAGAGGCAUGUUUACUCAGAAGCUUAAGAUCAUUGACGUUUCUGUCCACACAAGCACUUAAAUGACUAAGCAUACGAGCAUUCUGUUCCAACUGUCUGCUAACAUAAUAAUUGAAACUUUGUUGUUUGGCAACGAAGUUAUAAAAUUCAUCCAUGCAUAGGCUAGCAAGUUUAUCAAAAGGAAUAUCACUCUCAUCAAACCUACACAGAGAAUUUACUUCUACUACCUGUAUAGGGUUAUCGAGACCAUGGAUCUCUUCGAUAGGUGGUAGAUUUUUGACAUCUUCAGAUUUUAAUGCCUUUCUCUCGCAUAGGUUUCUUGGCUUCUUGCAUAUCUUCCGGACUAAGGAAUAGAAUACCUCUUUUCUUCGGAGUUGGCUUAGGAGGUGGUUCGAGAAUGGUCCAAGCAUUCUCAUUGCACAAGAUGUUAUUCAAUAGAAUCUCAGCUUGUUCUACGGUUCGUUCCCUAAAGACACUACCGCACAACUAUCUAAGUGGUCUUUAGAAGCAUCAGUAAGUCCAUCAUAGAAUAUAUCAAGUAUUUCGUUCUUCUCAAGAGGGUCAUCACGCAAAGCAUUCAGUAGCUGGAUGAGCCUCCCCCAAGCUUGUGGGAGACUCUCUUCUUCAGCAUAAGCAAAGUUGUAUAUUUCCUACAAGGCAGCUUGCUUCAUAUGGGCAGGGAAAUAUUUCUCGGAGAAGUAGUAGACCAUAUCCUAGGGGCUACGCACACAACCAGGAGCAAGAGAAGUGAACCAGGUCUUAGCAUCAUCCUUUAGCGAGAAAGGAAACAGCUUGAUGAUAUAGUAGUGGCGGAUCUUUUCCUCACUAGUGAAUAGGGUGGCUAUAUCGUGCAGUUUGAUAAGAUGGGCUACAACCAUUCCAGACUCAUAACCGUGAAAAGGAUCAGAUUCUACUAGAGUGAUUAACUCAUGGUCGACAGAGAAUUCAUAAUCCUUAUCGGUCACAAAGAUAGGCGAAGUAGCAAACUUUGGGUCGUAUUUCAUCCUAGCGUUCAGAGAUUUUUCUUUCCACAUGUGCAGUAAUUUCUCAACAUCAUAGCUAUCCUUACACGCAAGGAAAUCCUCAGCUAUCUCUCCCUCCAUAACAUAGCGCGUAUCAGGCAUAACAGGCAAUUCAGGCAUAGUAGCAAAUUCUACUUUAAUAGUAUCAACAGUUUCAGAAAUAUCAUCACGUCUAGUAGCAAUUCUAGCAAUAUGUGCAUCAAGGGCACCUAGUGGCAAAGCAGUAUCAAGCAUAGCAUCAUCAGGCAUAGUAUCAAUCAUAGCAUCAUCAGGCAUAGUAUCAAGCAUAGCAUCAUCAUGAGCAUCAUGGGCAGCAGAAGUAGCAUCAUCAAGCAUAGGCGACAUAUCAAGAUUUCUAGCAGGAGGCGAAGUUGCAAACUUACUCAUAACUGAAGGUGAAUUAAGUGCAGAGCUAGAUGCCAGUUCCUUACCUCUCCUCGUAGUGGAAGGCAAUAUUUUAGUUCUUGGAUCUUUCGUAUUCCUCAUAGUGACCAGCAGACGAAAAUCCCAAGUGACUCAGAGAAUAUAGUUGUGCCUCCCCGGCAACGGCGCCAAAAAAGUGUCUUGAUAACCCACAAGUGUAGGGGAUCGCAACAGUUUUCGAGGGUAGAGUAUUCGACCCAAAUUUAUUGAUUCUCUCACAAGGGGAAGCUAAAGAAUAUUCUCAAGUAUUAGCAGCUGAGUUUAUCAGAUUCAACCACACCUGAAAGAUUAGUGUCUGCAAGCAAAGUAUUAGUAGAAAAGUAGUAUGAUAGCAACGGUGGCAGAAACGAUCUGUUGAUGGUAUACUAUUCCUAACUGUUGUAUCAAUGGUGCGAGUAAAUUGCCCAUGGACGGAGAAAUAUUCCUCCCCGACAACGUUGACGAAAAAGGAUCUGGCAACAAGUAAUAGUGAAGUAGCAAGGAACAACAGUAGGAGCAGCAGCAGAGUAACAGCAGUAGCAACAGUAGUAGCAAAGUGACAGCAGCAAAGUGGCCGAAUCCCUUUUGUAGCAAGGGACAAGCCUGGACAAAGUAACAUAGCGAGGACCAGUAGUAAAAGACUCGUAGGCAGUGGAUCGGUGAUGGAUGAGUAUGACGGAUGUGAUUCAUCAUGUAACAGCUAUAACACAGAGAGAUAAGUAACUAGCUCCCAUUCGUCAUUCUAAUGUAGGCAUGUAUUCCGUAUGUAGUCAUACGUGCUUAGGGAAAAGAACUUGCAUGACAUCUAUUGUCCAUCCCUCCCGUGGCAGCGGGGUCCUAAUGGAAACUACGGGAUAUUAAGGUUCUCCUUUUAAUAAAGAACCAGACCAACGCAUUGACACGCGGUGAAUACAUGAACUCCUCAUACUAUGGUCAUCUUCGGGAGUGGUUCCGGCUAUUGUCACUCCGGGGUUGCCGGGUCAUAACACAUAGUAGGUGACUACAACUUGCAAGAUAGGAUCUAAAACACACAUAUAUUGGCGACAACAUAAUAGGUUCAGAUCUGAAAUCAUGGCACUUGGGCCCUAGUGACAAGCAUUAAGCAUAGCCAAGUAGUAGCAACAUCAAUCUAGAACAUAGUGGAUACUAUGGAUCAAUCCCCGUCAAAAACUAACUCGAUUACAUGAUAGAUCUCAUCCAACUCAUCACCGUCCAGCAAGCCUACGAUGAGAUUACUCACGAAUGAUGAAGAGCAUCAUGGAAUUGUCGAUGGAGAAAGGUUGAUGAUCACGAUGGCAACGAUUUCCCCUCUCCGGAUCCCAAAACGGACUCCAGAUCUGCCCUCCAUAUGAAGAACAGGAUGUGGCGGCGCCUCCGUAUCGCAAAACAUGAUGAAACCUUCUCUCUCAUUUUUUUCCGGGCGAGACGGAAGAUAUAGAGCUGAGUUUGGGGGCGGUGGAGCCACGUGGGCCCCACAAGCCCUCACGACGCGGCCAGGUGGGGUGGUCGCGGCCUGUGGGCUUGUGGCCCACUGGUCCACCUCCUCUAGUGGAUCUUUGCGCACGUAUUUUUCUUUUAUUCCAGAAAAAAUCUCCGUAAAUUUUCAGGACAUUCCGAGAACUUCUAGUUCUGCACAAAAACAACACCAUGGCAAUUCUGCUGAAAACAACAUUAGUUCGGGUUAGUUGCAUUCAAAUCAUGCAAAUUACAGUCAAAAACAAGGGCAAAAGAGAUUGGAAAAGUAGAUACGACGGAGACGUAUCAUAGAUGUACCCGAUGUCGUCUUCGUCGUCGAUGUAGUCGUAGCCGUCGUCGAUGUAGUCGUAGCCGCCGUCGAUGUAGUCGUAUCCGUUGACGCCGAUGUAGAUGAAGCCGUCGUCGUUGAUGUAGAUGUAGCCGUCGACAUCAUCGAUGUAGUCGUCGUCGGGGAGAGGGGAGAGGGCGGCGCGGAGCAAGGGAGGGGCGGCGGGGCAGCGCGGAGCAGGGGAGGGGCGGCAUGGAGUUAGGGUUAGGAGCACGGGAGGGAUGGCGGAGUGCGGAGUGGAAUGGAUCCUGCAUGGGUAGUGGGGAGUGGAAUGGAGACGGGAGUGGUGGGUCCCGCGUGGUAGUGGGAGAGGGAGUGGAGGGAAAUUUUGGUGGGGUGAGAGGGAAAUGUUGGUGGGGUGAGAGGGAAAUUUUGGUUGGGUGGGAGGGAAAUUUUUACUAGUUUUUUAGGGUUUGGAGGCAGAAUUUUUGUUUUGUUUUAGACUUAGAUUUCAAAAUUGUCUAAAUAACAAAUCAAUAGGGAGAAGAAGAAUAGUUUAGGGAAUAAACGUGUCUUUCUUGUUUAGAUGAAUAAAUGUUGUAAACUACCAGAUAAUGUCUUAUUAAAUUCCGAUGACCAUGUGUCUUUCUUGUGGAAAUCACUAUACUUUGCUCACGCCAAAAGAAAUAAUACUGCUCAUCCCACUAACAGAGAAGCAAAGGACACAUUGGCAAAUUAACAAUCAAUAGGUAGAAGAAAAACAGUUUAGGGAAUUCAGGGAGAGAGACAACAUGAGAAAAAUGAAUGCAUCUGAAUGAGCCCGAAAAGAAGAUAUCUCUCAUUAGCUGACAACCAAUUGUCAAGACAGAGCUUAGUAACAUCAGCAGAGUAGCUUUGUUCGUCCUUUUGAACACAAGCUAGCAUUCCCCUUCAAAAUAAAUAAGUGAAGCAACCGAAGAGAAAGAGAGAAUGAUCAGAACGACGGGUAUGACCAUAUGAAAAUGCGGUCAGAACGACGGGUAUCACCGUUCCUAGAUAGUGGCUGAAUCAUGGGAAACUUUUGGUGUUUCUAUGAUGAAAUAGAUAAUUUUGUAUCUAAAAAUGAUUUUUGGAAAAAAUAAAGAGCAAACUAUAAGGCAGCCGCACUUGAAAUUUGACCCGCUUCCAGCUUAUUCGACAUAGAUUUGUCAUUUUCACGAGAGAUGGAUAAAAGCUUUUGAAACCCAACCAUUUUGUAAAUUGUACUUUAAAUAUGGCCUAGUAUAUUAGAAAAAUUAUUUGGACCAAUUUUGAAACAAAUAUAUGGUAGGUCCUUCACAAAAAAACCUCAUUUUGGGCACUUGAAAAUGAAAAAUGAAUUUUCCAAACAAGGAAGAUGAAAACUUCCUUAAUCAACAUUGUUUGUCAUUUCAACAUGCACCCUUCUACAAAAUAUGAGACCAUUUCAACAAACUAUGCCAUGAAUGUGGCCAUGAGAUUGAUCAUGUGGCUUGAAAGCCAUGAAUCUUCAGACAUGAUAGCUUAUUUCUGUGAAUAGUUUAUAAAAAUAAUUGUCAUAUUACAAGGCUAUUAUUUUUUCUCGUAAAUUUAUCACAUAUGAUGACACAAUGCGAAGGUUUUCCAAUUUUUUGAUUUGUUUUGAAUAUUUCAUGCCCGUUUGAAAAUGCGGUCAGAACGACGGGUAUGACCGUUCCUAGACAGUGGUUGAAUCUUGGGAAACUUUUGGUGUUUCUACGAUGAAAUAGAUACUUUCGUAUCUAAAAAUGAUUUUUGGAAAAAAUAAAGAGCAAACUAUAAGGCACGUGCAGUUCAAAUUUGACCCGCUUCCAGCUGAUUCGACAUAGAUUUGUCUUUUUCAUGAGAGGCUUUUGACACCCAACCAUUUUGUCAAUUGUACAUUAAAUAUGUCCUAGUAUGUUAGAAAAUGAUUUGGACCAAUUUUGAAACAAAUAUAUGGUCGGUCCUUCGCAAAAAAACUGAUUUUGGGCACUUGAAAAUGACAAAUGAAUUUUUCAUACAAGGAAGAUGAAAACUUCCUUAAUCAACAUUUUUUGUCAUUCCAACAUGCACCCUUCUGCAAAAUAUGAGACCAUUUCAACAAACUAUGCCAUGAAUGUGGCCAUGAGAUUGAUCAUGUGGCUUGAAAGCCAUGAAUCUUUAGACAUGACAACUCAUUUUUGUGAACACUUUUUAAAAAUUAUUGUCGUAUUACAAGGCUAUUAUUUUUCGUGGUAAAUUUAUCACCUAUGAAGACACAAUGCGAAGGUUUUCCAAUUUUUUUUUUUUUAAUUUUUCAUGCCCGUUUGAAAAUGCGGCCAGACCGACGGGUAUGACCAUUCCUAGAUAGUUGUUGAAUCUUGGGAAACUUUUUGCGUUUCUAUGAUGAAAUAGAUACUUUUGUAUCUAAAAAUGAUUUUUGGAAAAAAUAAAGAGCAAACUAUAAGGCAGCCGCAGUUCAACUUUGACCUGCUUCCAACUGAUUCGACAUAGACUUGUCUUUUUCAUGAGAGAUGGAUAAAAGCUUUUGACACCCAACCAUUUUUCAAUUGUACAUUAAAUAUGUCCUAGUAUGUUAGAAAAAUGAUUUUGGACCAAUUUUGACACAAAUAUAUGGUAGGUCCUUCACAAAAAAACUCAUUUUGGGCAAUUGAAAAAUGAAAAAUGAAAUUUUCAUACGAGGAAGAUGAAAACUUCCUUAAUCAACAUUGUUUUCCAUUCCAACAUCCACCCUUGUGCAAAAUAUGAGACCAUUUCAACAAACUAUGCCAUGAAUGUGGCCAUGAGAUUGAUCAUGUGGCUUGAAAGCCAUGAAUCUUCACACAUGACAGCUCUUUUCUGUGAACACUUUUUAGAAAUAAUUGUCGUAUUACAAGGCUAUUAUUUUUCCUUGUAAAUUUAUCACAUAUGAUGACACAAUGCGAGGAUUUUCCAAUUUUUUGUUUUUUUUGAAUUUUUCGUGCCCGUUUGAAGAUGCGGUCACAACGACGGGCAUGACCGUUCCUAGAUAGUGGUUGAAUCUUGGGAAACUUUUGGUGUUUCUAUGAUGAAAUAGAUACUUUUGUAUCUAAAAAAGUUUUUGGAAAAUAUAAAGAGCAAACUAUAAGGCACCCACAGUUCAAAUUUGACCCGCUUCCAAGUGAUUCGACAUAGAUUUGUCUUUUUCACGAGAGAUGGAUAAAAGCUUUUGACACCCAACCAUUUUGUCAAUUGAACAUUAAAUAUGGCCUAGUAUGUUAGAAAAAUGAUUUGGACCAAUUGUGAAACAAAUAUAUGGUAGGUCCUUAAAAAAAACUCAUUUUGGGCACUUGCAAAAUGAAAAAUGAAUUUUUCAUACAAGGAAGAUGAAAACUUCCUUAAUCAACAUUUUUUUUCAUUCCAACAUGCACCCUUCUGCAAAAUAUGAGACCAUUUCAACAAACUAUGCCAUGAAUGAGGCCAUGAGAAUCAUCAUGUGGCUUGAAAGCCAUGAAUCUUCACACAUCACAACUCAUUUUCUGUGAACACUUUUUAAAAAUAAUUGUCGUAUUAAAAGGCUACUAUUUUUCCUGGUAAAUUUAUCACAUAUGAUGACACAAUGCGAAGGUUUUCCAAUUUUUAUUUUUUUUUAAUUUUUCAUGCCCGUUUGAAAAUACGGUCAGAACGACGGGUAUGACCGUUCCUAGAUAGUUGUUGAAUCUUGGGAAACUUUUGGUGUUUCUAUGAUCAAAUAGAUACUUUUGUAUCUAAAAAUGAUUUUUGGAAAAAAUAAAGAGAAAACUAUGAGGCAGCCGCAGUUCAAAUUUGACCCGCUUCGAGCUGAUUCGACAUAGAUUUGUCUUUUUCACGAGAGAUGGAUAAAAGCUUUUGACACCCAACCAUUUUGUCAAUUUAACAUUAAAUAUAGCCUAGAAUGUUAGAAAAAUGAUUUGGACCAAUUUUGACACAAAUAUAUGGUAGGUUCUUCACAAAAAAACUCAUUUUGGGCACUUGAAAAUGAAAAAUGGAUUUUUCAUACAAGGAAGAUGAAAACUUCCUUAAUCAACAUUGUUUUCCAUUCCAACAUGCACCCUUCGGCAAAAUAUGAGACCAUUUCAACAAACUAUGCCAUGAAUGUGGCCAUGAGAUUGAUCAUGUGGCUUGAAAGCCAUGAAUCUUCACACAUGACAAGUCAUUUCUGUGAACACUUUUAAAAACAUAAUUGUCGUAUUACAAGGCUAUUAUUUUUCCUGGAAAAUUUAUCACAUAUGAUGACACAAUGCAAAGGCUUUCCAAUUUUUUAUUUGUUUUUUAAUUUUUCAUGCCCAUUUGAAAAUGCGUCCAGAAGGACAGGUAUGACCGUUCCUAGAUAGUGGUUGAAUCUUGGGAAACUUUUGGCCUUUCUAUGAUGAAAUAGAUACUUUUGUAUCUAAAAAUGAUUUUUGGAAAAAAUAAAGAACAAACUAUAAGGCAACCGCAGUUCAACUUUGACCUGCUUCCACCUGAUUCGACAUAGAUUUGUCUUUUUCAUGAGAGAUGGAUAAAAACUUUUGACACCCAACCAUUUUUCAAUUGUACAUUAAAUAUGUCCUACUAUGUUAGAAAAAUGAUUUUGGACCAAUUUUGACACAAAUAUAUGGUAGGUCCUUCACAGAAAAACUCAUUUUGGGCACUUGAAAAAUGAAAAAUGAAUUUUUCAUACAAGGAAGAUGAAAACUUCCUUAAUCAACAUUGUUUGCCAUUCCAACAUGCACCCUUGUGCAGAAUAUGAGACCAUUUCAACAAACUAUGCCAUGAAUGUGGCCAUGAGAUUGAUCAGGUGGCUUGAAAGCCAUGAAUCUUCACACAUGACAGCUCAUUUCUGUGAACACUUUUUAAAAAUAAUUGUCGUAUUACAAGGCUAUUGUUUUUCGUUGUAAAUUUAUCACAUAUGAUGACACAAUGCGAAGGUUUUUUAAUUUUUUGAUUUUUUUGAAUUUUUCAUGCCCGUUUGAAAAUGCGGUGAAAACGACGGGCAUGACCGUUCCUAGAUAGUGGUUAAAUCUUGGGAAACUUUUGGUGUUUCUAUGAUGAAAUAGAUACUUUUAUAUCUAAAAAAGUUUUUGGAAAAUAUAAAGAGCAAACUAUAAGACAGCCGCAGUUCAAAUUUGACCCGCUUCCAAGUGAUUCGACAUAGAUUUGUCUUUUUCACGAGAGAUGGAUAAAAGCUUUUGACACCCAACCAUUUUGUCAAUUGAACAUUAAAUAUGGCCUAGUAUGUUAGAAAAAUGAUUUGGACCAAUUUUGAAACAAAAAUAUGGUACGUCCUUCACAAAAAAAACUCAUUUUGGGCACUUGCAAAAUGGAAAAUGAUUUUUUCAUACAAGGAAAAUGAAAACUUCCUUAAUCAACAUUUUUUGUCAUUCCAACAUGCACCCUUCUGCAAAAUAUGAGACCAUUUCAACAAACUAUGCCAUGAAUGAGGCCAUGAGAUUGAUCAUGUGGCUUGAAAGCCAUGAAUCUUCACACAUGACAGCUCAUUUUCUGUGAACACUUUUUAAAAAUAAUUGUCGUAUUACAAGGCUACUAUUUUUCCUGGUAAAUUUAUCACAUAUGAUGACACAAUGCGAAGGUUUUCCAAAUUUUUUUUUUUGAAUUUUUCAUGCCCGUUUGAAAAUGCGGUAAGAACGACGGGUAUGACCGUUCCUAGAUAGUUGUUGAAUCUUGGGAAACUUUUGGUGUUUCUAUGAUCAAAUAGAUACUUUUGUAUCUAAAAAUGAUUUUUGGAAAAAAUAAAGAGAAAACUAUGAGGCAGCCGCAGUUCAAAUUUGACCCGCUUCGAGCUGAUUCGACAUAGAUUUGUCUUUUUCACGAGAGAUGGAUAAAAGCUUUUGACACCCAACCAUUUUGUCAAUUUAACAUUAAAUAUAGCCUAGUAUGUUAGAAAAAUGAUUUGGACCAAUUUUGACACCAAUAUAUGGUAGGUUCUUAAAAAAAACUCAUUUUGGGCACUUGAAAAAUGAAAAAUGAAUUUUUCAUACAAGGAAGAUGAAAACUUCCAUAAUCAACAUUGUUUUCCAUUCCAACAUUCACCCUUCUUCAAAAUAUGAGACCAUUUCAACAAACUAUGCCACGUAUGUGGCCAUGAGAUUGAUCAUGUGGCUUGAAAGCCAUGAAUCUUCACACAUGACUAGUCAUUUCUGUGAACACUUUUAAAAAAUAACUCUCGUAUCACAAGGCUAUUAUUUUUCCUGGUAAAUUUAUCACAUAUGAUGACACAAUGCAAAGGUUUUCCCAUUUUUUGAUUUUUUUUUAUUUUUUCAUGCCCGUUUGAAAAUGAGGUUAGAACGACGGGUAUGACCGUUCCUAGAUAGUGGUUGAAUCUUGGGAAACUUUUGUUGUUUCCAUGAUGAAAUAGAUACUUUUGUAUCUAAAAAUGAUUUUUGGAAAAAAUAAAGAGCAAACUAUAAGGCAGCCACGGUUAAAUUUGACCCGCUUCGAGCUGAUUCGACAUAGAUUUGUCUUUUUCAAGAGAGAUGUAUAAAUUUUUUCGACACCCAACCAUUUUGUCAAUUGUACAUUAAAUAUGGCCUAGUAUGUUAGAAAAAUGAUUAGGAACAAUUUUGAAACAAAUAUAUGGUAGGUCCUUCACAAAAAAACUCAUUUUGGGCACUUGAAAAAUGAAAAAUGAAUUUUUCAUACAAGGAAGAUGAAAAAUUCCUUAAUCAACAUUGUUUGUCAUUCCAACAUGCACCCUUGUGCAAAAUAUGAGACCANUUCAACAAACUAUGCCAUGAAUGUGGCCAUGAUAUUGAUCAUGCGGCUUGAAAGCCAUGAAUCUUCAAACGUGGCACCUCAUUUCUGUGAACACUUUUUAAAAAUAAUUGUCGUAUUACAAGACUAUUAUUUUUCCUGGUAAAUUUAUCACAUAUGAUGACACAAUGCGAAGGUUUUCCAAUUUUUUGAUUUUUUUUGAAUUUUUCAUGCCCGUUUGAAAAUGCGGUCAGAACGACGGGUAUGACCGUUCCUAGAUAGUGGUUGAAUCUUGGGAAACUUUUGGUGUUUCUAUGAUGAAAUAGAUACUUUUUUAUCUAAAAAAGAUUUUUGGAAAAAAUAAAGAGAAAACUAUACGGUAGUUGCUGUUCAAAUUUGACCCGCUUCGUGCUGAUUCGACAUAGAUUUGUCUUUUUAAUGAGAGAUGGAUAAAAGCUUUUGACACCCAACCAUUUUAUCAAUUGUACAUUAAAUAUGGCCUAGUAUGUUACAAAAAUGAUUUGGACCAAUUUUGAAACAAAUAUAUGGUAGGUCCUUCACAAAAAAACUCAUUUUGGGCACUUGAAAAAUGAAAAAUGAGUUUUUCAUACAAGGAAGAUGAAAACUUCCUUAAUCAACAUUGUUUGUCAUUCCAACAUGCACCCUUGUGCAAAAUAUGAGACCAUUUCAACAAACUAUGCCAUGAAUGUGGCCAUGAAAUUGAUCAUGUGGCUUGAAAGCCAUGGAUCUUGAGACAUGACAGCUCAUUUCUAUGAAGACUUUUUAAAAACAAUUGUUCUAUUACAAGGCUAUUAUUUUUCCUCGUAAAUUUAUCACAUAUGAUGACACAAUGCGAAGGUUUUCCAAUUUUUGAUUUUUUUAGAAUUUUUCAUGUCCGUUUUAAAACGCGGUCAGAACGACUGGUAUGACCAUUCCAAGAUAGUGGUUGAAUCUUGGGAAACUUUUGAUGUUUCUAUGAUGAAAUAGAUACUUUUGUAUGUAAAAUGAUUUUUGGAAAAAAUAAAGAGCAAACGUUAAGGCAGCCGCUAUUCAAAUUUGACCCGCUUCCACCUGAUUCAACAAUGAUUUGUCUUCUUCACGAGAGAUGGAUAAAAGCUUUUGACACCCAACCAUUUUGUCAAUUGUACAUUAAAUAUGGCCUAGUAUGUUAUAAAAAUGAUUUGGACUAAUUUUGAAAAAAUAUAUGGUCGGUCCUUCACAAAAAACUCAUUUUGGGCACUUGAAAAAUGACAAAUGAAUUUUUUAGACAAGGAAGAUGAAAACUUACUUAGUCAAUAUUGUUUGUCAUUCCAACAUGAACCUUUCUGCAAAAUAUGAGUUCAUUUCAACAAACUACGCCAUGAAUGUGGCCAUGAGAUUGAUCAUGUGGCUUGAAAGCCAAUUUUUUGAUUUUUUGUUUAAUUUUUCAUGCCCAUUUUGAAAAUGCGGUCAGAACGACGGGUAUGACCGUUCCUAGGUAGUGGUUGAAUCUUGAUAAACUUUUGUUGUUUGUAUGAUAUGUGGCUUGAAAGCCAAUUUUCUGAUUUUUUGUUUAAUUUUUCAUGCCCAUUUUGAAAAUGCGGUCAGAGCGACGGGUAUGGCCGUUCCUAGGUAGUGGUUGAAUAUUGGGAAACUUUUCGUGUUUCUAUGAUGAAUGUCGCCAUAAAGAUUUUUAUUAUAUGAACAAACUAUGCCCACUUCAAAAUGUGGUCGAAACGGCACGCAUGAGCACAAAAACAUCCAUAAGCACAAAAACUAUUCAACCAAGGAGCAUCCAUGAGCAAGCACAAAAACAAAUAAUUUUUCUUUCAUCCAUUAGAAUCCAUGAGCAUGCACACAAUUUCAUCAGGCACACCACCAUCAUACUUAAAAGUGAAGUAGUAGUUCAACACUAUCGUACUUAAAAGAUUAAAGCGGCGAAGUAGUAGUUCAACACCAUCAUACUUAAAAGUGAAGUAGUAGUUCAACACCAUCGGGUUCUUAAGAUCUUCACUACUGCUUCUUCCCCUUCUCCUUCAUCAUCCUGAUGCGCUUAGAGUGGCGAAGCCCCAGGCCAGGCUGUGGGAUGUACUCCUCUACCACAAUUUGCAUGGUCAUGCCGCCCAGCUGUGGGAACACCAUCGCGACGCCAUCGUGAGGCACCACCACCAUUGCGAGGCCAUCGUCAGGCACCGCCACCGUCGCGAGGUCAUCGUCAGGCACCACCACCAUCGCGAGGCCAUCGUCAGCCACCACCUCAUCAUCCCUACUCUGCUCCUCUUCUUCCCCACUCUGUUCCUCCUCAUCCUUGCUGCUGUUGUUGCUGUAGCCAGAGUCGCUGCUGCUUUUGCUAUAGCUAGAGUCGCUGCUGCUUUUUUGAUAGCACCUGUUGUUGUAGCCAGAGUCGCCGCUCCUGCUCCCAUUGCCUUGCCAAAUGCAAAAAAUCUUUUUUAACAAUGUGUGUGAGACAUAGCCUAAUGGAGAGGAAGAAGAGACACAGCAUACUGGCAUCGUUGUCGUCCUCGUAGCGCCUGCGACACAUAGUCAUGUUGAACACCUUCACGGUGAACACAUAGUUGUUGUCGUACGUGAAGACAAGGAAGUACCCGUGCCGCAGGUCGUAGGCACGGAUGAACUGCUUCCAGACAUGAUCUAGGUACAUGCUUCCAUCGGUGUCGAACACCACCUUCAUGUUCUCUGGCCGAUGGCCGUCCAGCAUCUUCAAAAAAUUGGGAGGCAGCACCUGCCUGCUGGAGGAUUUCUCAAGUAUAAUUGUGAAGAACUCGAUACCUUCCAAGUCAGGCAUCUCACUUGGUGUGGCACAGCACAGCCGACGGCGUCAGCCUCCCCCCAUCUGUAGUAAGAAAAGCAGAAUUGUAAUUAAACAACAAGUUAUCAUAAAAAUAUUGAAACUAUCCUAAAAAUACUAAAAACAGUAAACACAACUUAAAGAUUGUAAAAACUUGCAUUAUCAUAUCCCUGACUGAUAUUGUAAUUGUGAAGAGCUCAAACAUAAAGAUUAUGAGUAUCCUCGGUCAUUUGCUAGCCUAUUACACUGAGAUUUGAGUAGCAUAGUGAGCAGAGUUAUAUCCAGAUCAAGGACCACACACACACAGUCAAAGACAACUGUGAUUUAUAUAUGGUACUACUACUACUACAAACUCCAUUAUUUUUCCCUACUACAACUAGCCAACACACGUCCUCAUCACAGUUGCAAAAAUAUCAAGUGUAUUGCGACAGCCUGUGUAUAACUACAAGCUAUACAAUAGGGCAACAUCGCAAUUAGCCAACUAAUAUCAAUGCCACACAAGGCAGGAAUUAACUGGGGAAGUAAACUAUGUAGUUCAAUACUAAAUGGUUGUAUGAUCUGGUUAGUUCAAACCCCCAGACCCCAGUAUUCAGAUUUGAUUCAGUCGCAGACUACUUGUAUACAAUUGACACCGGGUUGAACAGAACAACAUAACUAGAUAAAUUAGCACACCCAGGUGAACACCAGCAGCUUGGUUCAAAAUUAAAUAACAAACACAUUCACCAAGAGUCAUGUUAGUUAGGAUAACAAAUAACCAAGUAGCUUAGCAGAAAUGUGAGACAGGCUGAUAAUGGUGACAGGCAAGAAAAUCGAGUAAGGAUUAACAGUGACAUACUACAGUUUGACAGGCUGACAUGUACAAAUGCAUGCAGAAGAUGACAAUUGAAAAUCAAGACACAAAUUGGGUUUACACAUCUUUGUGCCCAUUCACAACUCAGUUCUGAUACAAAUCUUGGGUUACAUUCAUGUUUGAGGCCCAAAGUAGGAGAUUUUACUCGUUCAGACUAGUAAUCCACCAGGAGAAAUCGAAUCCUAGAGGAAAUUUCUCAGAUUAGGUCACCCAUGACAAUUCAAGUGAGUUAGGGUUCGUCGCCCGCAGAAGAAAUCAACCUCACUCCACACCAUUCGAGUAGAGAGGGAGGAAGGCUAUGAGAGAAGAAUACCUUGGAGCUGUCAUGCUUCGGCGGAAGGGUCGGAGGUCGACGGCGACGGCUUGACGAUUGGACGAGGGGCGGUAAGUUGUGAUGGAUCUUGGCAGGAGCGGGCGGCUUGGAUGGAUCUUGGCAGGAGCAGGCGACAAGAGGGAGGAAGGAGUCGCCGACAGAGAGAGAGGAGGAGUCGCUGACAAAGACAGAGGAAGGAGUCUCCGGCGGUGGGAGAGGAGGAGUGGGUCGAGUGGAGAGGAGGAGUGGAGAAGUGAACGGGGAAAAGAGUGGGGAGGAGGAGCACGUCGAGUGGAGAGGAGGAGUGGGGAAAAGAGUGGUUUGAUACAUUCAAAAGGGUGGGCAUAGCGUAUAGAACAAACAUCCUCUUCCUAGCCCAGUGGUAGAAACCCAGUGAAAUAAGCGCCAGGUCGUGGGUUCGAGCCCCCGCUUGCGCAACAACUUUUUUGUUGAAAACAAUAGUUGUGAAAACAACAUCAGGAGCUCUGAAAACAGUUUAGUUCUGAAAACAACAGUUCUAAAAAUAGCUCUGAAAAGAACAUCAGAAUACAACAUCAUCAAUUCAGCCAUCUGAAACAAAACUACAUCAUUUUGCAACAUCAUCAAUUCAACAUCAGAAUACAACAUCAUCAAUUCAGCCAUGCACAUAGCUCUGAAAACUUCAGGAACAUCAUUUUGCAAUAUUUUGCAUUACAAGACAACAGUCUGAAUCAGGAUCACCAAAACUACAUCAUUUUGCCUCUCCAGCCAUCAUGAUCUUCACCAUCUGCCUCUCCAUCACUACAACCAUCAGUCUCAUGCAUUUUUCUACCUGGAGAGAAUUGUAGUACAAAAACUACAUUAGUGAAAGUGUGUUAUAUUGAUUAGAGGUGGGUGAAUAGGAGAUUUUUAGAAUUUCAUCACUAAGGAAAUUCCUUUUGAGGAAAUUCUUCACUGAUGACCAACUUACAGUGGAAACUGUAAAGGAUCAGAAGUGCAAAGUUUCACAACAGCUGUUUUUCAGAGUGAGGAAUGUGAAAACAGAUUGCACAGUGAGCAGGCACGCAGAAAACAGUUGAAGAUUAACUAGCGUGAAGAAUUUGGGGUUGAGGAAUUUCAGAGAAUGUCUUCAGCAAAUUCUUCAAACAGUAGCAGUGAAAGUCAUCAACACAUAAUCUGAGGAAAGUAAGGAGUUGAGGAAUUAGAACCCGUUUCACAGUGAAGACAGUAGUUGAUGACCCAGUUCCAACUGUUGUGACAGUCGUACAUCUGGUUUGGAGUAGCUUGGUAUUGAAACCAAAGGACACACAGUCCCGGGACACACAGUCUGGGGACACACAGUCCCUACCAUGUUCUCCUUGGGCUAAGAACACACAGUCCUCGCCCAACACUCGUGGUAAGUCUUAAGGGCAGACUUCCAAACCCUCACAAACUUGGUCACCCGACGAUCCACAAUUGACUGCUGGAAAGCUCUAGACCAUGAUGCCUAACCGUCUGGAGGAUGCACAGUCCUCAAAGGUAAAAGGCUUCAGUCCCACACAGGAACAACUUCUUCAGUGAUGCUCAAUCACUAGGUUUGGUUUGUGGUUUUGGUGUAUGGGGUAUUUCCUCACUGAUGAAUUACUCUCGAAGACUCUGAGGAAUUUGGGUUGCUCUUAUGACAAGUGUCAGUUCCUAACAGAGCAGCCAACCAGCUAAUGGUUUUGGGGGGCGGCUUUUUAUAGCCUGGGAGCAUCCCGACAUGAUUGGACACUAAUGCCCUUAAAUAAUAUGACCGUUGGCGUGGAUAAGACCAAUGAUGUGGCGUGGCUAUCGAAACUAUCGGAACCCUCAACUGUGAGAGUCCUCAUGUCACUCGUAUUCCUCACUUGAGGCUUUGGGUAGGAUUCGGCUUGGGUUGAGCAUCAUGAGGAAAUUCAUUCCAAAGUGUAACUUCGACCCCCUUUAACAUUACGGUGUUCCUAUUACUCAAGUGUGAAGAAAAUAAAACAGAAAGAGUAAAUCUUCAUGCUUCAAAGUCUUCAGAAUGAUUUCCUUCAGGACACACCGAAUUCCUCAGUUUCAAUAUCUUCAUGAGGAAUAUCAAUUUCAUCACAGAUUCUUCGCGAUUCAAUUCUUCAGCUUCAGACCAAUUUCUUCAACCGAAGAUAUACAUUUUUAGGGGUCGAUAUUCAUCAAAUAUAUCAAACUCCUCAGUGACUUAUAGAUCAUGUGUACACUCAUAAACACAUUAGAUACUUAACCUAUAAGUCUUCAAACCACCAAAAUCACUAAGGGGCACUAGAUGCACUUACAAUUAGGAUCACAACAACAAAAACUAUAGAGAAGGUUGAUCACCAAUUAAAACAAGGAACAUGUAGUAAUAGGUUUCGAUCACCAAGGAGACAAUAUUUACCUUCAUGUCUAUUCGCUACUCAUCGUCGUCGAUACCAAAACGGUAGGCAUUGGAGUCUUGGCACCUUUGCAUUCAUGCAUGUCGAAUUUCCUCAGAAUAUCCUUGAGGUAUUUCUCCUAUGAUAUGAAGAUUUCAUUGCGUUGUUGAUGAAUUUGAAGACCUAAGAAGAAUUUCAGCUCCCCCAUCAUAGACAUCUGAUAUUCUUCACUCAUUAUGUAAGCAAAUUCAUCACUCUAUCGUUUGUCAGUACAGCCAAAUAUGAUAUCAUCGACAUAUAUUUGACACACAAAUAGCUCAUUAUCAUAGGAUUUAGUGAAAAGAGUUGGAUCAAGUGAACUAGGUUUGAAGCCUUUCUUCAUGAGGAAUUCCUUCAAUGUAUCAUACCAUGCCCGAGGGGCUUGCUUGAGACCAUAGAGAGCCUUUUUGAGUCUGAAGACUUUGUCUGGAUUCUUUGGAUCCUCAAAACCUGAGGGCUGAGCAACAUGUACUUCUUCCUCAAGCUUACCAUUGAGGAAUGCACUUUUCACAUACAUUUGAUAUAAGAUGAUGUUAUGAUGAUUAGCAUAAGCAAGUAGUAUUAGAAUAGCUUCAAUUCUAGCAACAAGUGCAAAAGUUUCAUUGAAAUCUAUUCCUUCAACCUGGGUGUAGCCUUGGGCUACAAGUCGUGCCUUGUUCCUCACCACUUGACCGUCCUCAUCUUGCUUGUUUCGGAAAAUCCACUUGGUGCCGAUGAUGUUGUGCUUGCGAGGAUUUGGUCGUUUGACGAGCUCCCAUACGUCAUUCAGCUUGAAUUGAAGAAGUUCGUCUUGCAUAGCUUGGAUCCACUCUGGUUCCAGAAAAGCCUCAGCAACUUUUGAGGGUUCUGUGAUGGAUACAAAGGAAAAAUGCCCACAAAAGUUAACUAAGUGUGAUGCUUUUGAGCGAGUGAGAGGACCUGGCGCGUUGAUGUCGUUGAGGAUUUUGUCAAGUUCUACUUCAUUUGCAAUCCUCGGAUGAGCUGGUUGAGGAUUUUGUCUGGGCUGAGGAAGUGGUUCUGGUGCAAUUUCCUCAGGAGCAUCUUCUUGAUUUUCAUCGGCGAUGGGGAUCGUUUCUUCACCAAUUUCCUCAGUGGGUACAAUGUCUUCAGUAGGUUUGAGCUUUAUUGCUUCCUCAGGAGACAACUUAUCUGGACCAGAAGGCAAUUGCUCUCUUUGCGAGCCAUUAGUUUCAUCGAACCGCACAUCUACAGUCUCAACAACUUUGUUGUGGUAGUUGUUGAAGACUCUGUAGGUGUGCGAGUCCUUUCCAUAACCGAGCAUAAAACCUUCAUGUGCCUUAGGUGCAAAUUUUGAGCUAUGGUGAGGAUCUCUAAUCCAACAUUUUGCACCGAAUACUUUGAAAUAACUUACAUUGGGUUUCUUAUCAGUGAGGAGUUCAUAUGAUGUUUUCUUGAGGAAUUUGUGAAGAUAUACCCUGUUGAUGAUCUGGCAUGAAGUGUUGAUUGCUUUAGGCCAAAAGCGACGAGGAGUCUGAUAUUCUUCAAGCAUAGUUCUUGCCAUCUCAACCAGAGUCCUGUUCUUCCUUUCGACGACACCAUUCUACUGAGGAGUAUAAGGAGCAGAUAAUUCGUGAGUAAUACCAAGUUCAUCAAGACUAGUGUUUUUGAACUCUGUUCCAUUAUCACUCCUGAUAUGUUUGAUCUUGAUGCCAAAGUUCGUCGAGGCCCUUGAAGAAAAUCGUUUGAAGAUUUCCUGCACUUCAGUUUUAUACACUAUGAUAUGCACCCAUGUAUAUCUAGAAUAAUCAUCAACUAUGACGAAGCCAUAUAAAGAUGCUGCAUUGGUUAGUGUGGCAUAGUGAGUAGGUCCAAAUAGAUCCAUAUGAAGCAAUUCGAAUGGACGUGUAGUGGUCAUGAUAGUCUUCGAGGGUUGCUUGGAUCUGGUCAUUUUCCCAGAUUCACAUGCACUGCAGAGAUGAUCUUUGAGGAAUUUGACUAAUUCGAUGCCGAUGACAUGCUUCUUCUUCGCAAGCGUGUGCAAAUUCCUCAUGACUGCAUGACCUAGUCUUCGGUGCCACAGCCAUCCUUCUGAGUCUUUUGCUAGUAAGCAAGUGGCUGGUUGAGGACCUGUAGAGAAAUCAACAAUGUACAAAUCCCCUCUUCUUACACCUUCGAAGACUUUGGAUCUAUCAGAUUCCAUGAUGACUACACAUCUAUAUCUACCAAAGAUAACAAUCAUAUCAAGAUCACAAAGCAUAGAGACUGACAUGAGGUUAAAACCAAGGGAUUCAACAAGCAUUACUUUGUCCAUAUGCCUAUCCUUGGAAAUAGCCACUUUGCCCAGUCCCAAUACCUUGCUUUUACCUUUGUCAGCAUAUGUGAUUUGCUUCAGAGGUGAUGGAGUUAGUGGCAUAUUCAUCAGCAAGCUUCUAUCACCAGUCAUGUGAUGUGUGCAGCCACUAUCAAGAGCCCACUCAGUGUUCUUGGGUUUGUCAUCCCGUAGAUGAAUUAGUACAUCUUACCAUCUCAUAUGCUUCAGAUUUGAAGAAUAUGAUAUCAGUUUCAUCAGAUAAGAAUUUCAUCACAACAGAAUUAUAAGGACGUGUGAAAUAUUUCUAUUUCAUCAACAUUAGCUUGCGUCCUAUCAAGCAUUUCCUCAGGUCUCCAGCAAAUUCUUCAGAUGAUGAUUUUCAUCUUGGGACCUGACCUGCAGAAGUGAUUAGUUCGAUUUCUUCACCACCCACAUCUGAAGGGGUGGCAAAGCAUUCAUCAUCCUGCGAGCACCAUAUGAGAAAGGUGGCAUUGAAGCUAAUGCACUUCUCUUAACAGUAGGGGGGUUAAAGUACUCAUAUGAAUAUGUAGAGAACUGGUUUGAGGAUUUAUGAACAUACUGAUUUGAAGAGUAACGCUCAUAUUCAUAUUCCUUGUAGUUUCCCUGCAUGUUAGACACAUUAGCACGGGUACGAGCAUAAUUUUGACUAGUUGAGGAUUUUGAUCCUCUUGAAGACUUUGGUCCUCCUGAGGCAUUUGAUCUGGGGUUCAGAUUCUUCAUCGGUGGUGUCAUGAGGACAUUGACCUGAAGAUUUUCAAGAUAGCUUUUGGGAACCCAGAUUUUCCUCAAGGGAGGACCAUUCCUGCAGUUAGUUCCAACAUAUCGAGCAAAUACUUCACCAGACUGAUUUUUGAACAGUUUAUAGUUGGAGUCAAAUGACUCAUCUGAGGAGUAGGAUAAUUCACAUGAAAAGCCAGUUAGAUUGGAUGGAUCAAAAGGAGGCCCAGUAGCAGCAACCCAUGAGGUUUUGGGAUACUGCUCAGGUUUUGAAUAAGAUCCAUCAGCAUUUAAUUUCCUCUCAAAGGCAAUUCCUUCUUUCCUCGGGUUCCUGUUCAAGAUCUGCUUUUUGAGCACAUCACAAAGGGUUUGAUGUCCUUUGAGACUUUUGUAUAUGCCUAUCACAUACAAUUCCAUCAACCCUGCAUUUUCAUUAGUAGCAUUUGUGUUUUCCUCAAGUGAGGAAAUAGACACUACAGGUGCAGUUGAAGAAUUUGUAGCAAUAGAAGCAUUUGAUGAUUCUGGUGAAGAAUUAGCAGUUUCGCGUUCAAUGCAUUUAAGACAUGGAUGAAUGAAUUCAGCUUGAGCAGCGGUGAUCUAUUGAGCUAGUAAUGAAUCAUUUUCCAUACGAAGAUCAUCAUGAGAAAUCCUCAGCUUCUCUAGAUCAAGCUUCCUUUGAAGAAAUUCAUAGGAAAGUUUCUAAUGAUCAGCGAGGAGUGUAUCACAAUGAUCUUGAAGAUUAUCAAAUCUAGACUGAAGACUUUUCACAUCUUCAGUGAGGAUUUGGGUUAGAUUCAUUUCAUCAUUCAACAGAUCAUCACUUCUAUCUAGCAGUUUCUGAAGCUUUUCCAGGGCAGUUUGUUGUUUAGUGGCAAUGAUAGCAAGUUUACUGUAAUUGGGUUUUUUAUAAUCAUCAGGUUCACAGUCACUUGAAUAAGAGGAGGAAUCAUUAUUCGGUACCUUUGAACCUUUUUCCAUGAAGCAAUAGGUUGGAGCGAAGUCAUCAGCAUAGUCAUCAGUGUAGAUGAUGUUAUCAUGUUCUUCAAGAUUGAAGAUUGACUUGCUGACGAAGGUGGUUGCCAGUGCAAGACUAGCCUGUCCGGAUUCUGAGUCUUCAUCAGAACCCUCUUCUUCAUCACAUUCCUCUAAUUCUGCCUAGGAAUCCAUUUCCUUGCCAAUAAGUGCCCGAGCCUUUUUGAAACUAGUCUUCUUGUGCGAUGAGGGCUUUGAAGAUGAGGAUUUUGAAGAUUUCUUCUUCUUCUUCGAGUCAUCAGAACUGUCAUCCUUGUAUUUCUUCUUCUUUGAUUCCUUUCCCCAACGAGGACAGUCAGCAAUGUAAUGACCCGAUUUCUUGCACUUGUGACAGAUUCUUUUCUUGUAGUCCUCAGAUGAAGAUUCUGAUUUCAUCACGUCUCUUCUUGAAGAUUUACCGAACUAGCCACGUCGUGUAAACCUUGGGAAUUUUCUCACAAGCAUUGCAAGCUCCUGUCCAAAUUCUUCAGGGUCACCAAUGCUGUCAUCCAAAUCUUCUUCUUUAGAUGAGGAAAUUGCUCUAGCCUUCAGUGCACGUGGUCUAGAAUAGCUUGGUCCAUAUAGAUCUUUCUUUUCUUCUAGCUGGAAUUCAUGAGUAUUUAGCCUUUCGAGUAUAUCAGCUGGAUCAAGCAUCUUGUAGUCUGGUCUUUCUUGAAUCAUCAGAACUAAAGUAUCAAAUGAAGAAUCCAAAGAUCUCAACAGUUUCUUCACAACUUCGUGAUCAGUAAUGUCUCGAACUUCCAGUGCUUGCAGUUCAUUUGAUAUGUCAGUGAGGCGAUCAAAGGUGUCUUGGCAGCUUUCAUUGUCAUGCCUCUUGAAGUGAUUGAAGAGAUUGUGAAGAAUAUCAACACAAGAGUCACGCUGGGUUGAUACUCCUUCAUUUACUUUGCACAGUGUCUCCUAGAUCAGUGUUGCAGAGCCCAAGGCACUCACUCUUCCAAACUGUCCUGGGCUCAGAUGGCCACAGAUGAUAUUCUUCACUUCAGAAUCGAGUUGCUUGAAUUUCUUGACAUCAGUAGCAGAGACACUAGCAGAGAUGAUGGGGACGCCGUGUUCCACAAUAUACCAGAGAUCAUUAUCAAUAGCUUUUAGAUGCAUUUGCAUCUUGUUCUUCCAAAAGGGAAAGUUCUUUCCUUCGAAGGUAGGACAUGCUGCAGUCACCUUAAACAUGCUUGCAGUCGACAUAACUAAAACUCCAGGUGGUUAAACCAAAAUCACACAGAACAAUGGAGUACCUCGGUCUGAUACCAAUUGAAAGUGCGUUAUAUCGACUAGAGGGGGGUGAAUAGAAGAGUUUUAGAAUUUCAUCACUUAGGAAAUUCCUUUUGAGGAAAUUCCUCACUGAUGACUAACUUACAGCGGAAACAGUAAAGGAUCAGAAGUGCAAAGUUUCACAACAGCUGUUUUUCAGAGUGAGGAAUGUGAAAAUAGAUUGCACAGUGAGCAGGCACGCAGAAAACAGAUGAGGAUUAACUAGCGUGAAGAAUUUGGGGUUGAGGAAUUUCAGAGAAAUUCUUCAGCAAAUUCUUCAAACAAUAGCAGUGAAAGUCAUCAACACAUAAUUUGAGGAAAGUAAGGAGUUGAGGAAUUAGAACCCGUUUCACAGCGAAGACAGUAGUUAAUGACCCAGUUCCAACUGUUGUGAUAGACGUACAUCUGGUUUCGAGUGGCUUGGUAUGGAAAUCAAAGGACACACAGUCCCUACCGUGUUCUCCUUGGGCUAAGAACACACAGUCCUCGCCCAACACUCGUGGUAAGUCUUCAGGGCAGACUUCCAAACCCUCACAAACUUGGUCACCCGACGAUCCACAAUUGAAUGUUGGAAAGCUCUAGACCAUGACGCCUAACCGUCGGGAGGAUGCACAGUCUUCAAAGGUAAAAGGCUUCAGUCCCACACAGGAACAACUUCUUCAGUGAUGCUCAAUCACUAGGUUUGGUUUGUGGUUUCGGUGUAUGGGGUAUUUCCUCACUCAUGAAUUACUCUCGAAGACUCUAAGGAAUUUGGGUUGCUCUUAUGACAAGUGUCAGUUCCUAACGGAGCAGCCAACCAGCGAAUGGUUGUGGGGGGCGGCUAUUUAUAGUCUGGGAGCAUCCCGACAUCAUUUGACACUAAUGCCCUUAAAUAAUAUGACUGUUGGUGUGGAUAAGACCAAUGAUGCGGCGUGGCUAUCGAAACGGUCGGAACCCUCAACUGUGAGAGUCCUCAUGUCACUCGUAUUCCUCACUUGAGGCUUUUGGUAGGAUUAGGCUUGGGUUGAGCAUCAUGAGGAAAUUCAUUCCAAAGUGUAACUUCGGCCCCCUUUAACAGUACGGUGUUCCUAUUACUCAAGUGUGAAGAAAAUAAAACAGAUAGAGUAAAUCUUCAUGCUUGAAAGUCUUCAGAAUGAUUUUCUUCAGGACACACUGAAUUCCUCAGUUUCAAUAUCUUCAUGAGGAAUAUCAAUUUCAUCGCAGAUUCUUCGCGAUUCAAUUCUUCAGCUUCAGACCAAUUACUUCAACCGAAGAUAUACAUUUUUAGGGGUCGAUAUUCAUCAAAUAUAUCAAACUCCUCAGUGACUUAUAGAUCCUGUGUACACUCAUAAACACAUUAGAUACUUAACCUAUAAGUCUUCAAACCACCAAAAUCACUAAGGGGCACUAGAUGCACUUACAAUUAGGAUCACAACAACAAAAACUAUAGAGAAGGUUGAUCACCAAUUAAAACAAGGAACAUGUAGUAAUAGGUUUCGAUCACCAAGGAGACAAUAUUUACCUUCAUGUCUAUUCGCUACUCAUCGUCGUCGAUACCAAAACCAGGAACUCUAUGCCCACUACUGUUUUCCUCAUCAUCAAUACAAUAUUGCAGCAUAGUAUGAUCAGUCAUGUUUUCCUCAUCCUUGCUCUCAUGUCCAUCCGCUACCACCUUUCUUCUUUUUCUUGAUGCCUUCAACUGUUGCAGCAUCAAUGAGCACACGUUCCCGGUCCCUACGCACUCUGCUUUGCACCGGAACUUCCAUAGAGUCAUCACCAGUUUGCACCGGAACUUCCGUACAAUCAUUAUCCUCAUAUGUUAGGCCACUACCACCGGGGCCCUUGUCCACUUCAGUUUCAGUUUCAGUCACACUCCACCAGUGUCUGUGCUCAAAGUUUUGCACAACUCACCAAUUUUCAUGCAAAAGAGUGUCUGGCAAGUAAAACACCAUUGUUGCUUGUGCUGUUAGAAUAAAGGGAUCACUCUUAUACCAGCACCUUGAAGUGUUGAUGCUUUUGAAGUGGCCAUCAUAUUUGACACAAGAGCGUCUCUUCUUCUUGCUACCAAGAUCAAACCAGUCAUAGCGAAAUAAGACAACCGAGCGAUGGAUGCCUCCACUAGAGUUGUACUACAACUCUAUGAUGCUUCUCAGCUGACCAUAGAAGUCAAUGUUCUCACGAUCAUGUGACCCCUCGGUGAUGAUUCCACUAUUUUGUGUCUUCCUGUUUUCCUCACGAUCAACGGUGUGGUACCGUACACCAUCAGCAAUGCAUGCUGAAUACACUCGCACUCGCUUAUCCGGUAAGCAUGCCAAAGCAAAUAGAUGAUCACUGACCUUCUUCUCCCCAUGCAACUUUCCAACAUGAUUCUUAAACCAUUUAGCAAAUCCCUUGGCAACCUUGUAUCAACAUUAAUCUGGCUUUCUUCCUGAUUUAACUCUUCCUUGCAUUUCCUGCAAUUCCAACAAAACAUGUGAAUUAAAAUAUUAGGCUGGUGCCAACAACCCAAGAUAAAGUAAAUAAAUAACGAGUGCACAAGAUAUAAUGUACUCGAUAUAUGGUAUAACCUCGGCGCAAUUGCUGAGCACAUACCAAACCAUCUUGUCAUACUCAUCACCAGCCUCCAAGUAUCGCGAGGCUCCAAGAAAGUUCACACUAUGGUUGAAAACCGAGACAUCACCACUAUGCGAAUCAGACCGCUCUCUAUUUAUGCCCGGCCGGUUCCAUCUUGUUUCCACAUUGCCAAAGUAUCUAGAGCAAAAAUUCUAGCACACGUCAACGACAUAUGCUUCAGCAAUCGAAGCUUCAGGUCUUGCCGUGUUUCGCACAUAACGCUUACCAGUAAGCAACCUUCUUUUGAUUGGGUACAUCCAACCAUAUUGCACAGGACCUCUAAGCAUUGCCUCUUUUGGUAAGUGCACCACCAAAUGGACCAUCAUGGUGAACAAAGCUGGAGGGAAAAUCUUCUCAAGAUUGCAAAGAAUAAUUGUAAUUUCUUUUUCAAGUCUUUCCAGAUCAGUUAACUUGAGUGUUUUGCAUCACAGUUCUCUAAAGAAAUUUCCCAGCUCACCAACCGCUUCAUAUAUAUCAUUGUCCAUGAUUCCACGGAGGCCAACCGGUAAAAUCCUUUGGAGGGGGAUGUGACAAUCAUGGGUUUUCAGUACUGAAAGCUUGAAUCAGUAACACACUUUGCUAGGUUAGAAGCGUAACCAUUUGGAAAUCUCACCGCUCUUAUGAAUUCACAGAAUGCUAGCUUUUGUUCUUUACUCAUUGUAUACCAUGCUCGUGGCAUUUCAAUUGUAUCUUCAGCUUCAUCAUGUUGUAGAUGCAAAUCUUCUCUUAUGCCCAUGUCCUCCAAAUCAAGCCUAGAACUAACCGUGUCCUUUGUCUUCCCUUCAAUGUUCAGAAACGUCCCUAGCAGAUUCUCACAUAUGUUUUUCUCAAUGUGCAUUGCAUCGAGAUUAUGCCUUAAUUUCAGACCGGCCCAGUAUGACAGGUCCCACAAAAAAGACCUCUGGUCCCAACAUUGACCUUCCGCGCGCUUUCUUUUCUUCGCAAGCUUUCCUGGUCUGACAUCCUUCACCUUCUCAAGUUGCUGCUCUUGCUCUUCCUUAGUGAAUUUAGCUGGCUCGUCAUGGGUUUCAUUCUCACCAUUAAAAUCUUUGCUUCUUCUCCAGCGAUGGUUUCGGGGAAGAAAGCGGCAGUGCCCAAUAUAGCAGAUCUUUCUCCUUAUUCUCUUUGAGCAAGGGUCUUUGUCACAAUGGACACAUGCCUGAUAACCCGUUGUGAUCCUCCCAGAUAGAGGGUGAAGUGCCGGGAAAUCAUGGAUGGGCCAUAUGACUGCAGCAUGUAGAUUGUAAUUUUCUUCCAAACUAGAGGCAUCGUAUGUAGGUACACCAGUCCAGAGCUGGAGCAGUUCUUCUACGAGGGGCUCCAUAAAGACAUCAAAAUCCUUUCCUGGAGAAUCUGGACCCGGGAUAAGCAGUGACAUCAUGAAGUUGGACUGAUCCAUGCAUGCCCAUGGUGGCACGUUGUACGACACCACAAAAACAGGCCACAUGCUAUAAGACGCGUUCAUGUUCCCAAACGGAUUAAAGCCAUCUAUGGCAAUGCCGAGUUUUAUAUUCCUUGAAUCUGCAGCAAAAACUCCAUGUUCAGUGUCAAAUUCUUUCCAUGCCUCUCCGUCCGCUGGAUGGCUCAGCUCAUUCUCCACAGGUUGCCGCUGAAGCUUGUGGCAUUGUACCUCGAAUGAUGCUUUCUUCGAGAUAAACAUCCGUUGCAGCCUUGGUAUCAACGGAAAGUGCCUCAGUACCUUCUCUGGUAUUGACUUCUUCCCAUCAACAUCUUUCCACCUAGAGGCAUUGCAUUUUGGACAGUUGUAAUGCUUCGCAAAAUCCUUCCGAAACAAGACACAGUUAUUUGGGCACACAUGUAUUGAAACAUAACCUAGCCCCAGCCUGCGGAAUAUGCUCAAUGCUUCAUCAUAAGACGUGGGAACACAACUAUCAAGGAAUUGCAAGGUCAAAAGGCGGAGUAUUGGUUGAAUGCAGCAUUGCUAAUCCGGUAGAAAGACUUGAUGUGGAGUAACUUCACGGUGAAGGUAAAUCUUGAAAAUUUACCCCCUUCAUGAGCUGCGCGCUUAGCCUCCUCCAACACCUCAGCAAACAUCGACUUCUGCCCAUCAGCACGAUCUUCAGCAUCGUACAGAUCCUUCAAUAGGUCAGGAAUCCUAUCAUCUUCAUGCCCAUCCUCUUCAUCCAAACCAGCAUUCUCUCGCAAAAUAUUUUCCAUAAAAUUAAUGCCAGCAUCACCACCACCCAUCAUAUGAGGGGCCUGUGUAUCAGCUUCAAUAUGUUGAGGUUGUCCGGCUAAAGGUUCUCCAUGAUAUAUCCAUCUAUCAUAUGUGCUGGCCAUCCCAUUAAGAAAAAUAUGAUUUUCCACUACUCCUUGAGCUUUUCUCGAACGGUUGAGGCAAUUACAGCAUCGCCAAACAAUGACAGCAUCCUUGGAAAAAAUUUCCCGAACAAAUUGCAUGAAUUCAUUAACUCCUUUCAUAUGUUCUUUCGAAAACCAUCUAACUCCUUUUCUAAUCAAGCUUAUGUCCAUCUGCCAAAGAAAGUAAUGCUUGCAAGUUAGCAAAUCUAUCUAAGUGCAUCAACAUUAAUUAAUGAGAAUGGAUGGCAGUAAUGGCAGUUAAAAAUCCAGAAAAUAAGGUAGGCACCAAACUUUAUAUGCUAACUACCAAACCACAACAUUCAGCUAUUUCCAAUUUCUCACUACUUUAGUCCAGUUCACAUGGUUUACUAAUUUCACAUCGGAGCAAUAAAAAGCAGUUCAAAUAGAAAUACAGAUGCUGUGGUGAACAUGGGAGAAAAGAAAAGCUAAAAAACAUGGUGCUUCACAAAAAAACAGAGGUGGUUUACAAACAACUAAUGUGGUUAUACCACCAACAAUAACAACAUAUGCUGCCACAAAGAACUAUUUUGGUUAAACUACCAACAAUAACAACACUGUAAAUUUACAUGAAUGACAUUUCAAAGAUUGCAUCAAAUCUACAUCAAUGAGAUUUUUCCUAGUUUACAUCAAAUCUACAUCAAUAUUGAUGUUCUUAAAUAUAUUUGAGGCAGAGGUGUAACAUCAAAUUUCAUAGGUGCUGAAAAAUCUCAACUACUGUGUACUACAUCAACUACUGUGGUGAAAAUAAGGUGCUGAAAUUCUCUUCAUCAACUACAUCAACUACUCAACUACAUCAACUACAUCAACUGCUCAAUUUCAUCAACAGAAAUUCUCUUCACAAUUUCUACCAACUUCAUCAACAGAGAGGAGAGGGGGAUAGGAGAGGGGGAAGAGAGGAUAGGAGGGAAGAGGAGAGGGGUAAGAGAGCAUAACGGCGGCAGCAGCGAGUCCCCCAUGCUCGGCGGUGAGUCCCUCAUGCUCGACGGCAGCGAGUCCCCCAUGUAUGGGUGAGGUCGGUGUCCGAGGCGAGCGGCACCACCACCACUACCAGUGGGCGAGGUGGCUGAGGCGAGCGGCACCACCACCGCUACCUUCACUGGCCGUGGCGUCGGCACCACCACCACUGCCGAUGGGUGAGGUGGUCGUGGCGUCAACACCACCACCGCUGGUCACCGCCCCCGUCGGUCGCCGCCCCCAUCCCCGUCGGUCACCGUCGCCCCCAUCCCCGUCGAUCUCUGCCGCCCCGUCCCCGUCGGUCGCUGCCGCCCCCGAGAUCUAGAUUUGCUUGUCCCCUGUCGGAAAUUGGCUAAGUGUUGGCCCCUGUCAGAAAUUGGCCAUGUGUUGGUCAUCCCCGUCGGUCCCACUUGUCAAUGAUACGAGAGACCCAUGAUUUAAUAUAAUAUACCCCCAAAUACUGAUACCUGAGCAACAGUCCCUCUCUAGCCCAGCGGUAGCAAACACUUAGAGGAAGCGCUGGGUUGUGGGUUCGAGUCCCCGCUCGCGCAUGUUUUUUUUCGGGAAUUAAGCGAGGCUCACGCAUGUCCCCGCUCGGUCGUCGGCCCCUCACCUACCUGUCAAAUGGAUCCUACCUCAGUGACAAGUAAGCGAGGCUGCUCAGGUGGCUGCAUAACCAGCCUAGUGCAUUCGAACUACUUAGUAACGACCAUUCAUAUUGGUCAUUAUCACGUAGAAAUAAGGCAGUGCCAGGUGUUGUCCGCUUUAUGACCUUUUCCAGUAAGCAAGUGAUGACCUUUCUGAUGAAAAUGGUCGUUGGUUUUUGUGGCUAGGACCCCUCCAGACAGCUUACAACCAAAUGAUGUCAAAUGGUCAUAGAUUUAUGACCAUUCCUUCGAGCGUCACUGACAAAAGGUCGUUAGGUGACCUAUUUCUUGUAGUGACACUACUAGCUCUACCUCAGCAAGUGCUACCACAACUCCAAGGAUUCCCAUCAAUUUGGUGUGAAUUCCCAAGAGGAAGAACUAGAAGUUCUUGAGGGGUGACUCUGCCACUGAAAUUCACUCUCAUUUAUAUUGGCAAGAACUAUAUGCAAUCAACCUCAACCAUAUGCAUUAAUUCGAUGAGUCACACAUUCCCUCAAAGGUAAGCAAGGAACAACGUAAUAAAUGCAUAUUUGGACAUUAUCCCAAGUGUGCUUCACUCCAUGUCCAUAGAUAUUCUUGCAUAUGUUCCUUUGGCUUUGGGACUAACCCAUGUAGGUGAGAAGAGUAUGAAAAAAACAAGGAUUGCUCCCAACUCAAUAUGAUCUUCAUCAACCUUGAGCAUCCACCACUACUUCACGUACUUGAAGUCUUCUACGACUAAACCCAAGGUUAGUUGAUCCCUCUUAGUGGGGAUAUCAUAUCAAGGGGGAUAUUUACUCUAAGGCUUGAGUAUAAGCAUCUCCUCGGGAUAUGAACACAUUAAUGCUUAUGUAAAAGUAGUAACCCCGCUUGUGCUUAACGAAGAGUACGACCUAUGAUCAAGUAUUCUUACUUGGCUCCUAUGUCAAUAUACUCAUAUAUAGAUGACUUUGUAAUCACCCAAGUGCUUGAUAGCUGCUAGUAUGUGUGUGCAUGUGCACCAUGUUUUAUUCAUCAUUCUUAUUGUGUGAGGAGGUUGGUCUGCCUGUGUUUGAUCAUUCGAGGACAUCCAAUUGUGGUUAUUUGGCUUUUGAUUUAUCUUUUGACAAUUGGAUGGACAAGAAUGCCUAGGACCCUUCUCUAGCUAUCAAUGCUAUCUCAUCUCAAGUUCAAUUCAUUCUUCAUCACAAAACCUGAACAAGCACUUGUCGAUCCCUCUGCGUGAAGGUGCACUCGGAGUUCCGUAUCGUCAAAGGCUACCUUCCGAAAACUCCUUGAAAAACUCGGUGUGACCAACUCCACAAACUCGGCGCCAUCGAUUUUUCAAAGUUGAUCAGGUUUUCAAUCUCGGUACCACCGAAAUCGCCAACUCGGUUACACCGAGUUUCCCUGUCUGCUGACGGUUAAGAAACUCGGUGACACCGAUUUUGCCAUCUCGGUGACACCGACAGCGCACAGGUAUAUAUACCUGCGGACCGAAUCUUUGACAUCACUUCGUCAAAACGUUUGUUCGCCAAGAACCUUGGUGACCUAGAGACCCCAGGUCAUCGCCCUUGACUACCCGAGGGCCACCGCCUGUGGGAUUCGCCGCCAUCGACGCAAUCUGCACCGCCGUCUUCGCCAUAGCGGAACCACCAUCGAGUUAGGGUACGGUUUGAUCUACUUUGCGUUUCCCUGUACAAAUCUCACACAUUGGAAUACUUAUUUCCCAGACCACCAUGUCCAAACCCUUCUUUCCACCAGAUAAAUCUCGUAGAGUAGAAGAAGUAGAAAUUCUGCAUCUUAUCUGAUGCAGCAUGCAACUCGGUGAGACCGAGUUUACAAAAUCGGUUCCACCGAUUCAUGUUUUAAGGUUCCUCAGAGGAAACUUGGUGAGACCGAGCAGCUCUUUUCGGUGCCACCGAAAAUGACUGCCAAGUCUCUAUUAAGCGAGUAAGCCUUCUCAGUGAUUCUGAAAAAGCCAACUCGAUGCCACCAAUUUACGUCCUGCAGAAGAUCAUACCGUGAGUUUCAAAACUUCAAAUUUUCAAAAAAAUCUGAAUUUUGUGAUGCUCAUCCAUUUUGUCUUUCCUAUAUCCACUUCAUAUGUUAUGUUGUUUGCUACUGAGUGUGUCUGUCAGCAUGUCAGGUUCAGAUGAUAGUUAAAAUGAUUUCAGGGAACCAAGUGUUGACUUGGAAGCUCGCACUAGUCCAGAGAGGGCAGACUCUGACCAUGGAUCAAUAGUUCUCAUGGCUUGCCCAAGGCAGCCACCAGGCAAAGGAGGAAGGUUAAUCUGAUGAGGAAGACUCAGACUUUUUUCCAGAAGAAUCUUCUACCCCUCCUAAGGCUCCUCCAUGGAAAGUUGUCAGGAAGAUAUCUACGAGUGCUGCUGAUCAGAGAGCACCUGAUUAUGCUAAGAAGGGCAAAGCAAUUGGAAAGGAUGCACCUGCAAAGAAGGCUGGCGUGAAGAGGCCCAAGAAGAGAACUAUCCAUCUUGUUGGCACAAAGACUUCAAUGUUUGAAGACCCAGAAGAAGUUCCUGAGGAGAUCCAAGUUCCUCCCAAGAAGAAGAAGCUGAUGGGUGAUGCAAUGAAGUCUGCUCCAAAGCCUGUUGCAAAAGCAAAGAGGGUUGUAGCUUCCAGGAAGACCACUAAAGAUAUACCUGUAGCUCCUAAGAGCAAAGGCCCUGCAUCAAGUGCCCAUGUUGCAGAAGAGGAACAAGAUGAGAAUGCUCUAGUUCUCAGGAAGCUCAUACCAUAUGUUCCACUGCACAAUGAUUCUCAUCCUGUAGCAGAACAUAUGAAGAAGAGGAAGGAUGCCGGAUUAAGAAAGUGGAGAGCUGCUGAUCCAUAUGCUAUCAUAAGAAGAAUAGUUGUUGAUCCAAGGUUUCACACUAAGGAACAACGCGAUUUUUAUGAGACUGUCUUGUAUGACAAAAGUCCUGGUGUCAGUGAUAUGAGGUAUGUCGACUAGGCAUACAUCAAGGAGAAUGAGAACUUAUUUCCACAUGUUCAAGAGAACUUCAGGCUAGUUGACAUAGAAGAUUUUGUUGGGAAGGAGAUCACCCCAUGGAAUGACGAGAUGAUCAUGCAAUUCUAUGCAACAGUUCAUUUCUAUGAUGACUCUCUAGUCCGGAUGACCGAUGGUCACACGUAUGACGCUACAAUUGCCGAAUGGGCUGCAAUCAUUGGUGUUCCCAAGCAGGAAGAAGGAGAUGUAGAUGUGCAUGCAGAUGCUCAGCCGAAUCACGACUCCAUAGAAAAUAUGUACAAGGCCACUCGACAUCAGUAUUUGGCCAGUCACAAGUUUGGUUCAGUAUAAUUUCUACAAGCUGGUAUUCCCACGACAAACACUAUACUGCGAUACACUCUCAUGCCUAAGUUAGGAAAUGAUUAGAUGAUCAUAGGAUACUCAAUCAACCUGCCGCACAUACUUGAUACCCAUACCAGAUUUCGAGUGAUAGACUUGAUAGUUGAGACUAUUCGAAGGACUGCUGCGGAUCAGAAGAGAUCCUGUGGAUAUGCACCCUAUAUUCAGAUGCCCAUCAAUGCCAAGCUAGGCAAUCAUGUAUAUCAACUUGAUCGUCCCCAUCUACCUCUUCAGCCUGAAUUUGAAGAUAAUGAGGUCGUGAUGGAUGACAAUGAUCCCAACUCAGCUGCAGCAAGAAUGGCAGCAGAGGCUGAAGUUGCUAGAAAUAGGCCACCUCCAGUUCCAUGGCUCAGAACUCAAGUUGAGCAAAUGGCAUUUCUAGUGAGCAAUGUCCAAGGCAUGGAGAAGAACAUUCAGGAGAUUAUGCAAAAUCAGAAGAGCCUUGAGAGAGUUGUGGAGACAAAAUUGCACACCAUGGAUUUGAAGGUAACUGAGUUGACCACCAUUGUUAGAUAGCUUCAACAUGAAGUUGACUCUGUGGAGAUUCCAUGGUUAGAAGACGAAGAUGAAGAUGAUGAUGAGGAGGAGGAUGAGUCUCCUCCUACCACUACCACUAGGUUCAGCACCCAGCCUGGGUCAGUUGUUGUUCCUGCUCCGGAGACAAGACACAAAUCUUUAGCACAAGCUUCAACACCUUCAGCACCAGCUCCAUCUCAAGCUCCUUCAGAGUCAACUCCUCCAGCUCCAGGGACGUCAGCAGAAGCCUUCACCGAUGUUUUUUUGUCGACUCCAUCAUCAGCUACGAGAGAGAAGAGUAGUUCUAUACUUUUGAACUUUUUGGUAACUUGUUGCCAAAGGGGGGAAUGUAUAUAUCAUAGACUUCGUGUGAGAGAUUGACUCUAUUUUCUCUCAUUUGGUUUUAAUAAAACAUUGGCUUUUGGAUGACUUUAUCCUAUCUAUGUGUGUGAUCAUACACUUUUAUCAUGUGUGAUGCUACGAUAUCAUCUUUUAGCUA